This 420574-nucleotide long non-coding RNA is filed under the name Eucalyptus grandis. Its description in RNAcentral is "long non-coding RNA (EGRA_LNC002348)". The record is from RNAcentral. Lineage: Eukaryota; Viridiplantae; Streptophyta; Magnoliopsida; Myrtales; Myrtaceae.
CGUGCAUGAGCCCAGAAACCAGGAAGGAGGCCAUCACUGCUGGCAGCGCCGCCCACUUGCGCCCGAUUGCCGCCGACGCGGCAUAGUGGAGUGGUUCAUAUAUGGUCAAUCGCAGGAUGUUGGUGACCAUGAGGUUCCACCGCUUCCCCCAGAAGUCUUGAAGUGAAGACGAGAGGUACGGCUCACCGAACUGCGGCUCCAGCUCCAUCCCAAAGGCUGCUCGAGCUGUGGCUUGUAUGGAUGAUAAGAUCAGAUCAAGGGCAAGGUAUAGGUGGCAGCAGUAGAUUAACAAGAUCAGGUUUGGAUGGAAAUGGUCGCCGUAGUCGUAUACACGUAAUAGCAUCACAAAAAGCAAAGCUUUUGUGGGAUAGUUCAGCAGCAAGAUAGUUUUGGGUCUAAUGUUUUCAGGAUUUUGAGGAAGUGGGUUUUCUUUAUGAUGGCCAUUUUGAGGUGAGCGUGUGUGAUUUUUGGUGUUCUGUGUCCUCUGUGGUGAUUUCUUAAGGGGCGUCUGUUGGAUCUUGAUGGGUAAGCAAGCAAUGGCCAAGAAGCGUGGAAGAGAGAUUGGAGGAUCUGAAGAUAAAGGCCCUUUGCCAAAGGCAAAGAGGAAGAGCUUGGAGUUGCCAAGUCAUGAAAUGAUGAAGCUAGUUUGGCCUAUAAGAUUCACAGCUGAUAGAUUGAGAGGAAGAUAAAGAAAGAGAGCCGCGACGGGAAGAAUCGGUAAGAGCCUUCUAGUGCCUUUUGGGAUGAUCCUGCCCACUGAGUAGCAAUAGCACAGAGAUAUCAAUGCUGUGAUGCAUACCUUGAAGAAGUUGUAAAUCUCUCCUUCCAUGCUCCUCUGUCUCUCUGUCUCUCUGUCUCUCCCUGUUCCUUGAUUUUCAGCUACACUGUCUUUGGAUCUCUUCGCUAGAGUUUUGCGCGAGUUUGAUGGUCAGAAUAUUGACAAGAAAAGGUCAGUUGUAUCUUCAAUAAGCAAAGAGUCAGAAAGCUGCUUGCCUGCUUCUUUUAUUUAUUGUUUCUCACCUUAGUAAUGCUAAAAUGGACCUCUCUCUUUUUUUAGUGAAGGAAUAAAAAAAUGGUCGGUACUUUAUUCAUUUUAUUGCCGCGUGAGAUGAACCAGCAAAUUUUUUAUGUCGAGUCAACGAAACCUGAAGCAUGUUAUGUGCGGCUGCUUUUGUAAUAUAUGUAAUAUAGCCAAGGAUACACAGAAGAAUGGUCAAACGAACAAUCUUCUUUCCCUUGAUAGUUUUCAGAAAAAAAAAAUGGUGUUGCUAUUACUGAAAUCUUAGGUCAGACAUGAAAGACUAAGUUUGUAAGGUUUUCUGUGCAAUUUGAGAUCAGGCAUGAAAGACUAAGGGUGGGUAAAGGUUGUAAGGUUUUUCUGUGCGACGGAAGAAUAAUCCACUCUGAUUCUGAACUGAGCGCUCGCAGAUCUUGGGCUGUUUUUAUAGACAGACAAGAUUCAAGGACAGAAUCAACCGACACAGCCCUUGCACAUUGCAGUUGUAUAAAUAUGAUGACAUGAUUUGACUCUUUACCUCUAAAACUUGCCAAGGCCUAUGUAUUAGCAGACCAAAAGAAUGGAAUUGUCAUUACUGUAAAGGCAGGCAUGGCCAUUGGCCAUUCCCUCUUUUUAUUUCUUCUAGAAAGAUUAUUAUUUUCAGGGUGUACCGUCAUUUCGUCGCUCCCCCAUACUUCACCUCAGAAACAUAUUUGACAUUUAACAUUCAUUUCUUGGAUUCUCAUAUACUCAUCUGUGUCACAAACAAACACAGAUAUUUAGAUACUCAUUCCCAUCCAUCCUGGAUCGUUUCAUCAUACGAUUCAUACAGGUCUCCUCUCCUCAUCACAUACAGGUCUUCUCUCCUCAUCACAAACCAUCUCCUUUCCAAGAGUUAAAAGCUAUUUCAGAAUCCCAGAAUGCAGCAAACAGGAUCCAAACUAACAAACACAGACCAGCACAAAUAAUUAAACGGCAACUAAAAUAAAGGGGGUGGGAGAAAGGGAGACAAAAGCAGCAUCACCAACAAAUUUGAGCAAAUACAAGUAGCAAGUAGGCCUUUACCCACUUCCUUGCGCACAGAAUCUGAUAAAAGAUACCACAAGAUAUAGAUGACAAAAACAUACAUUGCUCUUGACAACUAGUUCUUAUGAUCACAGUGCUCAUUGAGAGAGAGAGACAGAAAAUGCUCAGAUGCAUCACUUCCAAAUUACUCAUAAGGAACAGCAGCUUCUUUCUUUAAACCUAUUUUCUUCAUGCCAAUAAAAUUUCGAACAAAUAUCUUGUCUCAAUUGUCUAGAUGACCAUCCUGUAAAAAACUAAAGAUAAGUUACCCAGCCAUGGUAAUACAUCAGAUACAUCAACCAGCGAAACAAGUGAGACCAGGGCCAUGUUUGACAGAGUUGGGAGAGCGCUUCAUGAAGUUGAACUCCAGUUUUUUCGGAUGUCAAAAGUGUAGUUGAUCUCAAGGUAACAGUUGUUGUCAUCAUCGGCAAACUAGAGAUCAAAAACAAAAGCAGAAGGGAAAUUGGUAAAAACAAUAACACACGGAAAUCAUUGGUGAGAAGAUAAUUACAGCGAACUUUUCUAUCUAGCAAUCAAGUUGUUGAAAGAUAUAAACCCGAACAAAUCAUCAAUGUUGGAGCUAAUAACCAACUAAUUUUUCUUUCCAACAGAUCGAUCUUGGCGACAAAUACGAAUGCAAGGCUGUUUUUUUUUUUUUUUUUGGUAAAAGUACGAAUUGUAUUCAUUUUGCCAAAAUAAUACAAGGAAGGAUAACCGGCACCAAACAGGAGACAAACACUCAGGAAGACAGUCGUCAAAGAGAGUGUAAGGGUGCCAUGGGAUCCCAAGGAAAGAAAGAACUACCAAAAGAACAAGACAAGAAAGAAAAAACUAACAAACAAACACUAGAAAGAACCUCCAUUAAUCAAAGAUAGAUGGAUGUAGAUCCCAGCUCCGUAGUAGCCUUCUAUUCUUGUGGUUGUCCGGAAUGCAAGGCUGUUGUCAACCAGUGAUUCAGAAAACGCAGGUUUUAAAUGUUGAAGGCCAAUGUCAUGCCUCCUUUUGAUGACUAGAUAUGUAAACAAACCAAGUUGACUACUUGUUGCACAAUUCUUCAAGCUCCAUUUACCUAUAUACAUUUAAAUUCCCUUUUCCCAGACAUGAAGUUUGAAUUAGAAGAAAUGCCUCACAAUAAUCUAUCGAUCAUGAUCUAUGAAAAUGCAUGCAAGGCAACUUAGCAAUCAAGAUACAGGAAGGAGCUGCACAAGUUGACUAUUGAAAUUUGGAAUUGCACGUGGUAAACUGACAAGCUGUCAUCCACACAAGUGAAUUAUAGUCUCGGAAAUUUCAGAUUUUAAAGAAGUCUAAGAUGCUCCAUCACUUAAGAAUUUAGCAACGAUAAUCUAAGACUCUCCAUCAUCUUUUUAACAUAACUCAUUUACCAUUGCUGAUGCAUUAUAUCGAGGGAAAAGUAGAAGUAACUGAGCUAACCUUACUUCUGGCUGAAUACGAUCCUCUAGCAGAUAUGCCAGAUGGUGUCGUCUCUUCAGGCAUUUCAUGCGUGUAGGGUUCCUGCUGUGGACUGAAAGUUCCGAUGAUCUCCUUUGAGCUGUCCACUGCAAAAUUAGACAAUGCAAGGUGAGAAGAAAACAGAGCUUAAUUUACAAACCAUGAAAGUACAAGGUUGAGAAAAGAGGGGCGUGGCGCUACCUUUAACACCAGUUUUCCAUACUGUGUUGCUGUAUUUGAGACCCGACACGAUGUUGUCGCUGACCUGGAAGGUGAACUUUAGCCUAUAACGGCUGCCUUCUUUCAAAGUAAACCACAAGCCUUUGGGCUUUCCAUUCUCAGGAAUUGGCAGUAGUAUAUCAGGUCUACCAGGAGAAAUUAUUGCAGGCUCACAAUCUUGACAUCCGGUUCCAGUGUUUCUACAUUGCAAAGGAAUGAUGAAAAGAAAAUGAUCAGUGAAAAUGGAAUUCAGAUCAUCAUUAGAAAAAAGGAGUUUUCAAUCAAUUACUCAAUCCAGUCAUCAUUCAAGCUCCAGAUCAAUCAGAAAUAUGCAGUUCCGAAGCCAGCAUUCAAUUUGCUAAGGACAUCAAGAGACUGUUAACAGGGCAUUCAUCUCAAACUUGAUUUCAUUUUCUGAAACAACGCUUGGAAAAAUAUAACAAUCUCAGUGAUGGCAUCGAUAGCGAAUUGGAACUAGAGGGAAAUUUGUGCAUUUACUUAAAAUUACGAAAAACAGAAAGCCAAAACACUAGGCUCUGCACUCCAACAACCAAGCUCGCUUUGAAAGCUACUUUAAAAGAGAUUUUCUUUUUCGUUCUUUUCGGUCAGCUCUCAUGUGCAUACUUUGUCUGCUUUCUCAAUCAAAGACAGAUCUCUCACAUUGAGACUAAAAGAUUCAUAAGAUAAACUUCCUUAUAGACUGAUCACCUUACCUCAUACAGAAACCAGAUUUUAGAUCUCGCCCUUUCUUGAGGCAAAAUUGAUUUGAAUUGAGUGAACAAUGGAGUAUUUGCUGGUUCAGGACAGGAAAUGAUCAAACAGCUCAGAGUAAAAUUUACAAAGUUGCCAGCACUUGUCUACUGGUUAGUUGUUCAUCCGGAGCUAUGUCAUUAAUAUACAGCAUAGUGUACCGACCAAUGAGUGUAGAUUGGCAUCCCAUUGAGCUUUCAAAGAAGUGACGAAAAUCGCUUGAAACUUGGAAUAACGCCACUAAAGCAAAUUAUGGAACUUCAUUUAGUGAUUAGCAGAUCAAAUAUGAUAAACUUGCCACAUAGUUUUACUUGCUCCGAAUAAGCAAGAAAACCAAGAGAAAACAAAAAAUAACAACCACGCAAAUAUCAUAGAGUUAACAGACAUCACUGAACAGCAACAAAAGAUUUUAUUUGGGAAAUUAGAACAUGUACCACCCAACCAUUCCAUCAGCUUGCCAUCCUGAUAAAUCAAUAUAAAGUAUGUUGUGAAUGCAGCACAAAAAUAACAAAGGAGAGAACUAGGGACAAGAAUGACAAGCCUUCAUGCAGAAAGUUAAAUCUGCACAAAAAUUUUCAAAAGAAACAUGCUGAGCGAAGAUGGUUUCUCAAUUUGUAAAAUUGUGCUAUACAACUUAAAUAGUCCAAUUUGUAGACGGAGGGCUCACAGAGUUUCAUCUAACAAAUAGAUGCAUUAACAUUGUUAAAUCCAAUCCAAGUAGCUGCAUUGAGGCCUCCAACAGACAAUAUGAAAUGAAUCUAGGAUGCUGCACUCUUUCCUGAGACCUUAAGAUGCGGAACUCACUUCACAAAUGGAACCCCCAAAGGACAGUUGGCUCAUAUUCCUCAUAAUCUUGCUCGAAGAAUUGUCUCAGCAAAAGCUCUUCAUAAGGUGACCGUGCUGCAAAGAAGUGCCAAACUUGUGUUGCGAACGCAAACAUCAAUACGGGAUUGCAUGGUAUUAUCUGAGUCCCGAUCGACCAAAUGAAGAAUGCUCAAUAUCCAGGAUGACGGAUGAACCAAUAGAUUCCAUUAGCUAUAAGCUUGUGAUGAUCCUCAUGAUGAAUUUUGAUCAAAUGGGUGAACGCCUCGCCAUCAGUUCUAAUUGCCAACUUCCUAAUGAUUCCCCCAACUACAAUCACGGCAAAGCCCAGAUUGCUGAUCCACCAGCAUUCUUCCAAAGCUGGAAAAUUACUCCACCAGAGAAAACAACAUUGCAACAAGAUAAUUCCGGCGAGAGGAGCUGGCUUUUUGACUGUGAUCGGAACAGACAUUCUGGUAUGGGAAGAGAGCCUCAGUGCCAUUGGUGUGAUGUUCCGCGACAUGUCCAUAGGCGACGUGUUGUUUCAACAAGCUAAAAUAGCUUUUCCCUUUAAGGGACUGAGCCGAUAUGAAUGACAUUGACCUCGAUUGAAAGUGAGUGAAGCUUGUAGACGAGACAACGGACUUGAAGCUCGUGGACGACUUAAAGAUUGUGGACGAUGAAUCGAGCAAAGAAGAGCCGAUGGUGAACGGUGAACGGCGGACUGAAGCCCAUGAGGAGUGGGCGAGGAGUAAUGAGGAUUAGGCGAGCGGCAAAGACCCAGCGGCAUGGCCGAGGAUCAGGCGAGUGGGGAAGUCCGGGAGUGGGGUGACCAAGGAUCAGGCGAGAGCAACCGGGGAGAGGAAGGAAGAAAAUGUGAAAAAUAGAAAAUCAUUUGGGGAUUUUUUUCAAAUUUUUAUCCAAUCGCAAAUUUUGAUUAAAUUACCCUUGUUUAAAUCGCCGGAAAUGCCCUCCGAUGAACCUAGGCCCUUAGUUGAUACCGUCAUAACCACUUUAAACCCUUUUUAAAAAUAUAAUCCAUUUUAGACUCUCUUUCAAGAAAAUGACCCCACUUAAAAUCUUUAAUUGAAAAUUUUCCUCAAAAAUAUGAUUCAAAGUUGAGCUUAUAAAGUAAAUAAGAUUCAAGUACACUUUAUAAAAGCUUUUUCCCAUUUUGUACAUAAAUUUGAUAUAAAAUUAUUAACAUGACAAUCUAGUCAUUGUCAAUCAUCUUACAAAGCACACCAACGAUCUAAAGUAGAUAAAUUUGCUUAAAAAGAUGUCGUUUUGAGUAGUUGUAUGAAUUUUCUAGUUUUUUCUUACUCUCUUUUCCCUCGUUCUACUUAACCUUUUUUUUUCCCUUCCUUUUCUACUCUUCUGAUUGUCAAAUCAUUGACGAGGAGGAUGUCAUUAAGAUGACGUUUUACAACAAUGAUCUUAGGCAGUUAAGGAGGAUGCACUGGAAACGAGAAACCGGUUUUUUUUCUUCUUAUAGAAGUCCCAGCAUUAGGUAGGCUCAGUCCAUUUUACAAUUUUUUAAAAUUCCUUGCUUAGAUCUAGCUCCUUCGACAAGGAGGCGAUUGUCUCUGUCAAGGGACUUCCAGGUUCGGUAGAUAUACCUGGAACAUAUUGCGAAUUCAGACCUUUUUCUCUCUUUAUUUGUCGAUAAUCUUCUAUGCCAUGUGAAAUUUUCCUUUUCAUUUCUGGUUACCGUUUGUCGUCUUCUUUUCUGAAAGAGGAAGGGAACUUCACGCCAUCACCAUGCCCGCACCACGGUGGCCGUUGGCCAGGCUGAGCGGCCAUGGACGACAACCAUCGACAAUAAUAAAUUCAACUUAACUUCUAGACAGCUUUGUAACGAUUGAGGGAAAUUGAAAAACAAUCAAACAAACAUAAAUUAAAUUUGGUCUCAGUUAUUUUAAAAUCCACUACUCCACGUAAGUUUAUUUCAUUUUCUGCUUGUGUUUUCUCAUUUUCUUUCGUUUUUCCCCUUUUCUUUCCUUCUUUCAUAUAUGAGGAAGUUCCAUAUUUUGCAGAAGUCUACGGGAAUUCUAAGAAUAGGUAUUUCAUUAAAAGAAAGCUAAAAGGAUGCAAAGUAGCUAUAAUGGGUAUACCAAUUAUAAAUUACACCUCUAAGUGUUCACAAAGAGUCAUUCACACACUUUGUCUCUCACAUAAACAAAUGCGUUCCCUUUAAGUAUAAUCGGUAUAUCAAUCUGCUAACUCUUUGGAUCAACACUCAAUUGACCGCAACGCACAAGUGAAGACCUCAAGAAUGCUCAAUAUGCUUUCAGUUUAUCUUAUUUCAAGCACUCGAUGACAAGCAACAUUGUUCUCAUAGUUUGUCCUUAUAGGCAUCCAAAAAGCAAAUGUUACAGCUGGAUACACAGGCCAUUAAGUUCGUCCCUGUUCAAGUAAAAAACCUCGUGGAAGAAGACCAAACCUUGGUAGAAUUUGCCAACCAACUUUUGGUUUUGGCCACAUCUUUUGUCGCACAACAAAUCAGAUGACUAAUGUUAAGUUAUCAAAAGCAAUAACUAUGAAAACCUUAAAUUGAAUAUGAGCCUUUGAGAAGACACUUCUUGAUUGUUGAGGUCCCAUUAGUUAUCUGAUGAUUCUGUAGUUAGGCAGCCGCAAUCAAAUAACAUCACUCCUAGGAAACAAACAAAAAAAAGAUGAGACUGUCACAGUAUGAUGAAAUUGUAUCAUGAAUGAAAGUUACGACUGGAUCGUUAUUUUGCAAUUUACCCUGUUGAAAUGAGAUUCCAUCAUGAUAGCCAAGGUGAACUAAUCAAGUUGGGUCAUUGAGGUGGUUGCAGAUAAGUUUAAGAUAAACAUAAGUCUAUUGACUGAACAAUCAAUUGGGAUUAGUGAUUGAGUUGUAAUAGUAAGAGAAUCAUUAGACGUUGACUUUGACGGUGAGCAUCUCUUUCAGAUUCAUGGCACGGGAGUAUUGAUAAAAGAGCUCUUGCCCAAGGUCGUCUUCAUCAACUUUCUACCCAAUUUGAGAAGUGUUGCUGCCUCCUUGAUAAUGUUUGAGAAAAGUAGUCAAUAAUCGAUAAUGUUCCAUAGUGUGCUUAUGCCGUGAUUUUGACGUGAAAUUAAUUGAUGUGUUUGCGCAUAAAACACAGGUAUCUUCGGCGCUACAAGAUGAAACCUGUUGGCGUGAUUUUCUCUCCUAUCUUAAGAAAGGAGAUUUGUUAAUAUUGUAUUCCUAUAAUUCUGGGAUCUCUUCCUUUUUCUGUUUUUAUUCUAGUUGCUUGUUUCCUUAGUUGUUGCAACCUUUUAUGUACAUAUGGUUGAACAAUGGUAGAUGCUCAAUACAACAAAAAAAUAAAAAAUAAAAAAUAAAAAGAGACCGAAAGCUUUGUCCGAGGACGUAGGCACAUUGCCGAACCUCAUAACCUUUGUGUCUUUGUGUGAAGUUUUGUUUUUCUUCAUGGUAUCAAAGCGGGUUAUGACCCUGAUUAUUUGAAGAACUCACCUCAUCCUCUUUGUGUCGUUUUUUUGUUGAGCACCAUGACAAUUUCAGAAUUAGAAUCUGGAAAACUUCCCGACAAAGGUGCAAGUUUUGAAUCAGCGAAGGUUGUGGUGCAUGAGGUAAACAGCCAACGUCUUACAUCUAUUUUGCUAAAUGGAAGGAAUUUUCUCCCAUGGUCACGAGCAGUGACCAUUGCGCUUGGAGGUCGAUCGAGGCUUGGACAUAUUACUGGGCAAACUAAAGUCCUUGAUGAAAAAGUCAUCCAAAUUUCAAAGAAUGGCAAGCAAGCGAUCACGGCGUUAUGACUUGGAUCUUCAACUUAAUGGAGCCUAAAAUCUAUGAGAUUUUUGCUUAUUCAGUUUUGGCCAAAACAUUGUGGGAUUCGUUGUCUGAGAUGUAUGGUCAAGCCGAUAAUGCAUCUCGAAUCUUUGAGCUUCAACAAGGUCUUGCUACCUCUAGGCAAGGUGCAAAUCAAUCAUUCACAGAACAUCUAGGGAACAUAAAAAAAUAGUGGGAUGAACUCCGUCAAUAUAGACCUGCAACCCAGAAUGUGUGUGACUAUGUGCAAAGGGAAGAGCAAGAUAGAAUUUUUUUAUCUCUUGGCAAGCCUAAGGCCAGAGUUUGAAGACACCAAACGUGACAUUCUUAUGAGGCCUCAAUUGCCGUCCUUUAAUACCGUUUGCUUCAUAAUACAAAGUGAAGAAACAAGGAGGAGAGUCAUGCAUUCUGACUCGAUUGUGGCACCAUCAACAGGAUCAUCAGAACACUCUGCAAACGCUGUUAGUUCUAAUGCCAGGCAAAGUGAUGGUGGUACUCGAUUUGUCAAAGGGAAAGGAAAGAAGCCCCUUCGUUUCCAUUGCAAUCAUUGUGAUCGAGAUGGGCAUUCUAAGGAACAAUGUUGGAUUCUACAUCCUCAGCUGCGUCCAAAUAAGGACAAAGGUCCAGACGCUAAGACAGCAAUUCAAGGGAAUACCAUAGACUUCCAAUCCAAGUUGGAGUCUCUAGCGCUGCAGGUUCAGCAACUACUUCAAACACAUGGUUCGGGUCCCUUUGGCACUGAAUUUGUAAAUUUGGCCAAGACUUCUAGUAAUAUUAGUACCCUUUCUGUGGAGUCUAGAAAUCAAUUUAUUGUUGAUUCUGGUGCCAUAGAUCAUAUGUGUAGUUCCUCACAUAUUCUAGCUAAUAUUGUUUCUAGCUCUUUAUAUCCACCAAUCACAGUAGCUAAUGGAGUGCAGGUACCAACCCAAGGUGUUGGGCAACUGAAUGUGCUUUCGAAGAAAACUAAGGCUUUAUUGAUUCCAGGAUUAUCUUCGAAUUUAAUAUCUGUGAGCAAAUGUGCUAAACAGUGGAAUUGUAAUGUCAUUUUUACUCCACAGAAGGUGUUGUUCCAGGAUCGCAAUACCAGGAGGAUGAUUGGUGAAGGACAACUUCGGGAUGGGCUGUACACCUUAGAUUUGCAUGGUGAAGCGUUGGUGGCUAGGAAGGGGAAUGUGGAUACCUCUCGUCUAUGGCAUUGGUGCAUGGGUCAUCCUUCAGAUUGGGUGUUGCAGUCCUUAAACAUGUCGUUAACUCAUGAUUCUAGUAGUUGUGAUCCAUGUCACUUUGCUAAGCAACAUAGGUUGCCUUUCCCUAAACAUUUGCAUAAAUCAACUGAAUUGUUUGCUUUGGUACAUUCAGACAUUUGGGGAUAUUCUCCUGUUGAUUCUAGAAAAGGUUUUCGGUAUUUUGUUACCUUUAUUGAUGAUAAAUCGAGAGCUACUUGGCUUUACAUUCUUAAGUACAAAAGUGAAGUGCUUAUUGUUUUCCAGGAUUUUUGCAAUAUGGUGAGUAAUCAAUUUAAUACUUCCGUGAAGGUUCUUCGUAUCGACAAUGGUACCGAAUACACCGAUCAUAUAUUUCAAGUAUUUUUAUGAAGCAAGGGUAUUAUUCUCGAGACAACAUGUGUGGGUACUCCACAACAAAAUAGAAUAGCUGAAAGAAAAAAUCGUCACCUACUAAAGGUUACUUGGGCCUUGUUAUUCUCUACGAAUUUGUCUAAAUCCUAUUAGGCAGAUGCAGUUAUGACUAGCUGUUAUAUAAUUAAUAGACUCCCUAGUCGAGUAUUAGGGUAUAUAACUCCUAUGGAAGUGUUGUAUGGGCGAAAAUUUGAUAAAUCUCACUUCAGGAUUUUUGGGUGUGUUUGCUAUGUUCACUCUCAAACUGGAGGAAAGCUAGAUCCUCGUGCCAGGAAAUGUGUGUUUGUUGGUUAUUCAUCUGUCAAGAAAGGCUACAAGUGUUAUGACCCUUACACAAAGCGUAUCUAUAUUUCUUGGGAUGUUGUAUUUGAUGAAACUCAUAUGUUUUUUCCUAACAAGAGCCACAUUUAGGGGGAGUGCACAGAUUAUUAUAAGAAGUUUUCCUAUGAAUGUGCUCCUGUUCCUAUGGAUGUUAAUGGGACUGGUGAAGCCAAAGUCAACAAUGGGGGUGUCGAAGCCAACAAUGGGAGCUGUGCUUCGGGUCACGAAUUUGCAGAUCAAGAAAAUUCAUAAGUGGAUCGAGAGAUUGAGGCAACUGUUGUUCCAGAAGCUGAACCUAGAAUUGCCACUGACAGGCUGAUAAAUGAAAGGGCAGCAGAUGUAAUCCCGUUACAAAGAUUAUCUCGUGUCACUAGACCCUCAACUCGACUUCAAGAUUUUACUACUUAUUAUUCAGUUCAACAUCCCAUUCAAGAAUUUGUUGGAUAUGACAAAUUAUCUCACAAUUUUUUGAGUUUCUUAUUUGCUAUUGAAGAACAACAGGAACCUCACAACUAUGAGGAAGCAAGGGAAAAAGCCAUUUGGGUUAAUGCAAUGAAGGAUGAACUUUAGGCUUUAGAUCGAAAUCAUAUUUGGGAGCUUGUACAACUUCAAAGAGGGAAGAAGACAGUUGGUUGCCGAUGGAUCUAUAAGAUCAAAUAUAAUAGUGAUGGAUCGGUUGAAAGGUGUAAAGCGAUUUGUAAAAUGAUACACUCAAACACAUGGUAUAGACUACAAAGAGAUAUUUGCACCUGUGGUUAAAAUGAACACUGUGCGUGUCCUUAUGUCAGUAGCUGUUAAUUGUGGAUGGUCCUUGUUCCAAAUGGAUGUAAAGAACGCAUUCCUUCAUGGAGAUUUGGAGGAGGAGGUUUAUAUGGAUCUUCCUCCUAGUCACCCCUUGCAUAAUAAAGAUGGAAUUGUUUGUAGGUUGAAGAAGGCCAUAUAUGGACUCAAGCAAUCACCUAGAGCUUGGUAUGGUAAACUAAGUGCUGCACUCAUCAAGGUUGGAUUCAAAAGAGGGAUAACAGACUCAUCAAUGUUCACCAAGGCUGACAACAAAGGUAUAGUUGUUGUACUUGUUUAUGUUGAUGAUAUUGUCAUUAUAGGCAGCAAUCAACCUCGAAUCGAAGCACUUAAGCGGCAUUUGAGCAAGGAAUUUGAUAUCAAAGACCUUGGCAAAUUGAGGUAUUUUUUGGGUAUUGAGGUGGCGAGAUCUCACAAAGGAUUAUUUUUAUCUCAGAGAAAAUAUGUCAUGGAUUUGCUGAAAGAGACUGGGAAGUUGGGAGUUAGACCAGCCAACAUUCCUAUGGAGUAUAAUAGUAAGUUCAUUUCAGAUGACACUCCAUUACAAGCUCUGUGUAACCAACAUGAUGUUGGGCAGUUUCAGCGACUUGUUGGAUGGUUUAUUUAUUUGACUAUCACAAGACCUGACAUAGCAUAUACUAUUAGUUACAUAAGUCAAUUUAUGCAUAAACCAAUUCAAGGGCAUAUGGAGCUAAUAAAUGAUUUACUACGAUAUUUGAAGGCCACUCCUAGGAAAGGAAUUUUACGAAAAUAUGUCACACAGAGCUUGUGGUUACACUGAUGCAGAUUGGGGCCGAGAACCCUAUAGACAGGAAAUCUACUACAGGUUUUUGUACUUUUGUGGGAGGAAACAUUGUCACUUGGAACCACCGCCCGCAGCGGCGCAGCUGGCUUAGGGCUCUCUCCCCCUCACGAAGGGGAGGAGUUCGAAUCGCAGAGGCGUCGUUAGGGAUUCUUACCUGGAGUACUGUGGUGGUGGGUCCUGCAGUCACUCCCCUAGGAUUUGCUCGCCUGCUGUUGACUUAUGGGGUUCCCUGGGUCACAAAAAAAAAAAAAACAUUGUCACUUGGAAAAGCAAAAAACAAACGGCGGUUGCUCAUUCGAGCGCAGAGGCAGAAUAUCGGGCCAUGGCUACUACUACUAGUGAAAUUGUGUGGUUGAGACUUCUGCUUCAGGAAUUGGGUUGCAAUUGCAUGACCAAGCCUACAAAGUUGUUUUGUGAUAAUCAGGCUGUGACUCAUAUAGUUUCAAAUCCAGUGUUUCAUGAGAGGACCAAACAUAUAAAGGUGGAUUGCCACUUUGUGAGAGAAAAGGUGCAAGACAAGACAAUUGAGACUCCGUACAUUCACAGCGAGGGUCAACUGGCUGAUGUUUUUACCAAAGCGUUAGUCAAGGGAGUAUUUAAAGAAAUGACAAGCAAGUUGACCUCCGACGAGGUCUUCGGCCCGUGGAAGAAGUGAUAUGCCCGUGGGAAGCCUCGGCACCUGUAACAUAAGGCAAACCUCUCUUGGCCUUCUUUCCAAACUUGAGGAUAGUCCAUUGUCCUGGAGGAAUAAAUAGGCUCGCGGAUUGGGCCGCAAAGGCCCAUAGAUGUAAUUAUCUCCCACCUGACUGGAUUUCCAACCCCCAACUUGCACUGUGGGAGCUCAUAUGUUUUGAUGCUCUUUUUACAUGUAAUAGAACCCGUUCUUAUGAAUGAAAAGCUUGUCUAUGACAACAAAAGAAAAAAAAAACAAGAUGAAUUGCAAAAAAGGUCUAUUAAAUUCACAUCAAUUAAUGUCACCUUCGGGGUUGCCAUGUAAUUAUGUAUGAACGUGUUAAUCCGUGUUAGAAAUUAUGAGUUCUCUGUCACCAAUGACCAAAACAAGUUAAAGGGGUAUGAAUUAUACAUUCAAACAUAGGUAACACAUAUCUCAAGGGUAAUUUAAAUUACAGGUUAGUUUUAUUUUUUGUUGGGUAACUUAUGUCAUGUUCCGAUCCUCGAGCGUGUGCUUAUUCUUCACUAGUCGAUUAAAUAGCGAAGUCCCAGGACGUAUCGCUGACCCAUUCAUUUUUAAUAUGCACGCGGAAGUAUAAUAAAAUCCCUAGACAAUAAAGCAAUGGGAUAGGAAAGUAUGACCAAUUUUUUCACAAAAAACCUUUUUAUAAACACACAGGUUUAUACACAGAAGCCUACAAAAAGGAAUCAGCUUUCAACAAAAGAGAAAUGCCCUAGGACUAACUAGCUGGACAUGCUCGCCGAUUCUCCAGGCUUCACCUUUUGAACUUCGAGCCUCAGGUCCCCAUCGCUAUCAACUAGGGGCCUGAAAAUGGUUAUACAAUAACCAGUGAGAUAAUGUCUCAGCAAGUUUAACCCCCUAAGACCCGAUUAGGAAAUAAAUACGCCCUAAGGGCUGCCUAAGCACACCACGAGUCAGAUAACUUACCUUGGCCUCAGUUCCCCCUGCAAGUCAAUAUCAUUUACAAAGGUCUCAAAUCACAUCAUAUCAAAUCAUUAAUUAAUUGAUUGAGAACUUAAAACUNNNNNNNNNNNNNNNNNNNNNNNNNNNNNNNNNNNNNNNNNNNNNNNNNNNNNNNNNNNNNNNNNNNNNNNNNNNNNNNNNNNNNNNNNNNNNNNNNNNNNNNNNNNNNNNNNNNNNNNNNNNNNNNNNNNNNNNNNNNNNNNNNNNNNNNNNNNNNNNNNNNNNNNNNNNNNNNNNNNNNNNNNNNNNNNNNNNNNNNNNNNNNNNNNNNNNNNNNNNNNNNNNNNNNNNNNNNNNNNNNNNNNNNNNNNNNNNNNNNNNNNNNNNNNNNNNNNNNNNNNNNNNNNNNNNNNNNNNNNNNNNNNNNNNNNNNNNNNNNNNNNNNNNNNNNNNNNNNNNNNNNNNNNNNNNNNNNNNNNNNNNNNNNNNNNNNNNNNNNNNNNNNNNNNNNNNNNNNNNNNNNNNNNNNNNNNNNNNNNNNNNNNNNNNNNNNNNNNNNNNNNNNNNNNNNNNNNNNNNNNNNNNNNNNNNNNNNNNNNNNNNNNNNNNNNNNNNNNNNNNNNNNNNNNNNNNNNNNNNNNNNNNNNNNNNNNNNNNNNNNNNNNNNNNNNNNNNNNNNNNNNNNNNNNNNNNNNNNNNNNNNNNNNNNNNNNNNNNNNNNNNNNNNNNNNNNNNNNNNNNNNNNNNNNNNNNNNNNNNNNNNNNNNNNNNNNNNNNNNNNNNNNNNNNNNNNNNNNNNNNNNNNNNNNNNNNNNNNNNNNNNNNNNNNNNNNNNNNNNNNNNNNNNNNNNNNNNNNNNNNNNNNNNNNNNNNNNNNNNNNNNNNNNNNNNNNNNNNNNNNNNNNNNNNNNNNNNNNNNNNNNNNNNNNNNNNNNNNNNNNNNNNNNNNNNNNNNNNNNNNNNNNNNNNNNNNNNNNNNNNNNNNNNNNNNNNNNNNNNNNNNNNNNNNNNNNNNNNNNNNNNNNNNNNNNNNNNNNNNNNNNNNNNNNNNNNNNNNNNNNNNNNNNNNNNNNNNNNNNNNNNNNNNNNNNNNNNNNNNNNNNNNNNNNNNNNNNNNNNNNNNNNNNNNNNNNNNNNNNNNNNNNNNNNNNNNNNNNNNNNNNNNNNNNNNNNNNNNNNNNNNNNNNNNNNNNNNNNNNNNNNNNNNNNNNNNNNNNNNNNNNNNNNNNNNNNNNNNNNNNNNNNNNNNNNNNNNNNNNNNNNNNNNNNNNNNNNNNNNNNNNNNNNNNNNNNNNNNNNNNNNNNNNNNNNNNNNNNNNNNNNNNNNNNNNNNNNNNNNNNNNNNNNNNNNNNNNNNNNNNNNNNNNNNNNNNNNNNNNNNNNNNNNNNNNNNNNNNNNNNNNNNNNNNNNNNNNNNNNNNNNNNNNNNNNNNNNNNNNNNNNNNNNNNNNNNNNNNNNNNNNNNNNNNNNNNNNNNNNNNNNNNNNNNNNNNNNNNNNNNNNNNNNNNNNNNNNNNNNNNNNNNNNNNNNNNNNNNNNNNNNNNNNNNNNNNNNNNNNNNNNNNNNNNNNNNNNNNNNNNNNNNNNNNNNNNNGUAGACCGACGCCCGUAUUUUCAAUAAUUACCAAUAAUUACUUUAGGAAUAAAAUUCUAAAAUCACAAUUAAAUCAAUUCAGCACAUUUAGAACUCAAUAAAUAAACAGAUUGUGCCACAAUAAUUAGCAUAAAAUUCCGGUCAUCGGCUAUCCCAGCCUAAUUUCCAAUAAAUAAAUAAAUAAAUAAAUAAAUAAAUCAAUAAUUACGGAAAAUAUUAAACAAAUGCAAUAAAUCCAAUUUAGGCCCGUAAUGUCUAAUUGGACACCGAAACGGACCCGGAAAAAUUUCAAGGUUCAUUUAAUAAAUAAUAGCACAUGUCUACUCACUAAUGUCACUAUCUAACCACAUAACAUUCAUCGGUAAAUAAUUAAAUUAACUAAUCUAGUCUAAUCUAUCCACCUAAACCAUGCUUAAUUAAUCUAAUCAACCCAUAAGCAUAAUUAACCGACUAAGCAAGGAUUAGUGAGUUCAAUUCACUUGAUCGGCGAGCUAGACGAUUCAAAACGUCGGGAACGCGACGAGGCUCGAUACUCUCCAAAGCGGGCCUAGCUUUUGGGCCCGAAAUCACUUCAAAACGGGCCCGAAGGUUGCUGGAAAACCCACUUUUCCCGCUCUCUGUUCGCUACUGCAACACAGAAGAAACAGGGUUGGUUUGGCGAGGCGAGACUAGCGGAGGUUGCACGGGCACUUGGUGAGCUGAACGGCGGCUUCAGUGGCUCCCACAACCACUCAUGGCGGCUGGACAACCUCUUGGAUGGCAAGACAACCUCCAGGAAUGGCGAGCUGGGCGGCGCAACACUGCUAGACACAACUGAGGCGCGGCAAGCCGGAAUGGGCGGGCGGUGGCGAAAAUAGCGAACUGCUAAGGGCGGUGGCUUGCUGGCUUGCUCCGGCGGCUUCUCUACUAGCUGGUGGUCUUCGAACGGUAGGAACAAGGGGAGCGAGGGCAGUGGACGACAGGUGAGGGGGAGAGAGGAAAGAGAUGAGGUUGGAGAGGCCACUUGGUUCAAUUUUCUUCUCCUUUGUCCCAUUGACCCAGCCUCAGCCAAGUCUGGUUCCUUUGCCCUCAUUCAUCCAACAAUGCUCAUCCUUGGACACUUGAAAUGGUCCAAAACCAUAGGCAAAGGGGGGAGCUACGAAUUUCAAGCCUUUUCCCUCCAAUUAGACACUUAAUUCUUCCUAAUUCAACACCAUUUGGCUUCAAUAAAUCCCGUUGUCGAGUCCUUGAUUAAAUCGAUAUUUUUCCUCACCAAUAUAACCCACUCGCUUUCUAAUUUUGUGACAAAAAAAUGAUCUCUGGCUUUUUCUGGACAAAAACGGCCCUACCUCGACUUUUUUUUUUCAAAAAGUCUCGGUUCGUAGAAAAAUCUUCUGAGACUGAGUCGAUGCUCCUAGAAUUAAUUGUGACAUGAUAGAACCUUCAAUUUCUGAAAUCAGACUCAAAUUCGUGGUUAAUUUCAAUUUGACGCGUUUUUAACGUGACUUAGGUUACCGGGUAGGUUUCAGAAAUUUUUAGUACAAAUGACUCGUGAUCAAUUUUUUUCGAGCCACAAUAAAUCCCAUCGACACAUUGGCGACUCUCAAUUUUCGUGAAAAUAUUGAGGACUCAAAUACGGACACAAGGUACCGAAACGAUAGAAAAAUCAGUCUAGUGCCAACUGACAAAAAUUUUCCAAUUUAAUGGUGUCACCCAUGAUUAGCCACACAUUUUAAUCAAACCGAUCUACCUCUGAUUUCAAAUCGAUUUUAUACUGUACUGUAAUGGCCUUUAAAGAUGAGCACAGUCGAAAAGUCGAUUUCUGAUCGAAUUCUCAGGUCUAUCACAGUAAAAUUCUUUAAUGGCUUCCAUGAAUAGUCUAAUUAUCUCGAGAGUGAUCAGCUCUGAGAACAGCCCUUUAGGCGCGUCGAUGAAAUACCCGAUUUAUUCAGUAGAAAACAUGAUUGAAAAUCUGGGAUAUCACAACUUAUUUGUUUUGGUUUUGGUCCUUGUUUUGGAACCACAAAGCAGUGACAAGGUUGAGAUAAUUGGCAGCCCAUUAAGAUUAAACGGGGGAUCAUUGUGAAGCCCAGAGUGCCAGAAACUUUGGCACCGACGAGUUUGAGACAAAGCUAAAACCUAGUAGUGGCGAAACAGAGCCCUUAUAGUCGCUUAUCCCUCUUUCCAGUUUUAUCAAUAUCCGUGAAAAAGUGACCUGAACUUUCAUACCUGCAGUUUUAGAUGCCAACAUGAGCAUUUGCAAUUUGUAAGUUGAUGUUCAUAAGUUGAGAAGCAGAGAUAAACAUUAGUUCAAAUUGUCUCAAUUUAAAUUGUUUCUUAAUUUCAAUUUUUUGCUUCUCAAAGAUUAAAGGAAAAGUAGAUGUGAUGAUUCAAACACAAGGAAAAUCAAACCGGACCAAAACAUAAAAGUUUCCUUAAAAAAGAAAAGAUAAAACUCAAUAGAUUAAUUAAUUGAGUACUGUCGAGGAAAAAGUCAUUGCCCGAGCAGAGCAAUCAGCGUAAUUUGGGGCUUUUUGUUAGCGGACUUCAUGUUUCGUUGUCGGCUAUCGGCCGCAUAGCAAUUGGGUCGUUCACGUUUCUUUGUCGGCCACAUAGCAAUGGGGUCAUUCUCAUAGACUACGGCACUUUGCUUUUCGGUCUUCCAAGGAGUAGUACAAUAAUUUCAACUUUUAAAAAAGAAAGAGAGCCAUUCUUCUCCUUUUCACACCAAGCAAAGCAUCCAUGGCUAGCUCAGACGCAGGAAGUUGCCAGGGAGAUAGAGUAGCAGGUGUUCCUGAAUUUUAGAGGACAAUGUUCUCAUCCACCAAUAACAUUUAACUUUAUGGUCUUUGUCGUGAUAUGUUGCGAAUCUCAGCUUUGAUUGGUUUCUUAUUACUACUCCAUUAAUGAAUGACAGAAAGAGGUCCAACCGUCCAAGCACAACGUUACUGGUAGUAUCUCCUGCAGUUGUCGCAUUGGAAAAUUUAAUGAGUUCUUAGUUUCAUCUCAGCAUCAGGAGCAAAAUUCAUACAUUUUUCUAGACAAUGCAAGACAAUCCAACUUUCACUUGGACUAAAUAAUCUGUACUGAUGUGUGUAAUAGCAUCGUCUGCACGUAUCAAGGCAGUCUUCAUCACACGAUGAAGAAGGUUGCCUUACAGAUCGAUUUUAGCAUGAGAAGAAUUUUAUAAUUGUAAUUCAUACUUUGUUGCAUCCAAACGAAUAUAAUAAUCAAACGGCUAAUCACUUAGCCAAUCAUUACUGGAGGAUUUAAAUUUGUAUUCACAUUGUUCUACAAGUUGUUAAAAGAUUUUUUUGAAGAACAUAGAUUUUCAUAAAGUAAUAUGAAACGAUUAUUGUAGAAAGAAAACGGAAGUACGGAAGCAUGUAGAAUGAAAUAAUUGAAUACAUCUGGAGAAGAUAAAAUCAGAAAAAGGAAGAAAAGGACAAAAAUAUUCAUAUUUCCCGGGGCCUUCUGCCCGAGACCUCCGCUACCGCCAUAGACCGAGAAAUAAUUCAUGAAAGCUUUGAUAUGAAGAAGGUUCCGAGAAAUGACGAGGUUGAAUUAGACAAUUUGUGGUCCAUUAAGUGUGCCGAGAUCAACCAAGAGAUUUAUCGUAAAUUCCUCAAGGAGCCACAUAUGUUCUUGCCAGGUACAUGAAUGCGCACGUGUUAGACCAACAUAUGUUAACAGGUACAUAAAUCAAAUCCGAUUGAACAUGAUUUGUGGAAUUUUUUUUUUUUUAAGUGUUGUUGAGUAAAGGAUACUUUUGCUAUUUGCAAGAGAAUCAUAAAAAAGAAGAAGAAAGAAACUGACAAUAUCUCUUGUUAAUCAUACAAAACGUGACCAUUUAUUAUCUAUCAUCAUUUGUAAAAUCAUCGAAUUUUCUUCAAAAUGUAAUCAAAAACACUCUCUCGAUAAAGAGAGAACAAAUAACAAACUAACCAUAGAUUAAAAAUAGCAAAGAAAAUUGAAAAGUAAUAAUAUACAAAAUUAGGUAGACAUAUGAAUUAUUAAAGUUCGAGUGGGAAAAUGACAUAAAUGGGUCAUGAACAUUGAUCUAAUGUGUAAUAUUAUCCAUAAAUUUUUAAUUUGUUUAAUGUGAUUUUUGAACGGUUGUCAAAUGUUUAAUUUGGUCCAUUAUAUAUUAAAAAGGUUAAUUUUGGAAGGAUUAUUGGAAAUCGAGUAUUUCACUAAGUUCGGUCAAUUGACUUUAUUAAUAAUUAAUUGCUAUUUAUGGAAAUAAAGUUUAUUCCAAAAGUUUAGAUUUAUUAACGAAAGUAUAUCGCAUCAAUAUAAAGAGUAUAUAUGACCAUUGUCAAGUAACGUGAAAUAAUAUUUUAAUAUUUAUUUAUAAUGACAAUGUAGUAAUUUGGAAUUUGUGGGAUCAAUAUUAUAUUUCAAGUGUGAACCACAAGAAAUUAGACCGGGCUUAAUUAAAAAACAAGAUGGUCGCAUGUGUAUGUUGUCGUAUUUCAUGUCAUUUAGUUUAGGAGACCGCAGCUCUCAACGAGGAAGGUGGAUUUGCUAAAUUCAUAAUUCAAAUUCUAAAAUUAAAUUGUCUCUACGUCCGUACCUCCGGAUUUAAAAAGAAAAGAAAAAUUCUAAGGUUGAUUGUCAGCUUGUGGGAGGGGUCUUCUCUUCGAUAAUGUCAAGUUAGACCAUCGACGACAGCUCAGUUUUUAAUAUCUAUUUUUUUCGCACCUAACUUUUUCAGAUUCAGUAAUUUUUUUUUUUCCUUUAAUGAAUGACGUUAUGUAAAGAAACAAUCUAGACGCUGAAGAACGAAAAUAAGAAAAGAGAAUGAACCCCUCCUGUGUCUCUCGGAUUUUUUACUUUUCGGUUUUUCCUCUGCCUUUACUCGCCAAAUUCACGAGAAUACCCAUUCAUACUUCGCUGAGUCCCUCUUUUGUCCAGCAGAAAGAGGAGCGCCUCCGUCCUCUCUCUCUCUUUCUCUCUAUCCAAAUCUAGGCCAAAUCUAUGUCUUCUUCUAUCUUUCUUUACUUCCAAAAUCAACUCCUUCCUCUCUUAAAUUCGCAGUCAUCCGUCCUUUGAGUUGACCAUAUCCCCCAUCCCCUUCCCCUGUGUGUUUCGGGUAGAGUCGCAUAUCUUUUCUAAGUUGAUGCUUGAUGCGGCAUGCUACUUUUAAACAAGAACGUCCUACUUCUAAAUGUAGAUGAAUGCGGUAAAGAAUGAGAUUGCAAGACCCAGACUUUCAUACUUGCAAUGUCAGAUGCCAACAUGAGCAUUUGCAAUUUGUAACUUGAUGUUCAUAAGUUGAAAAGCAGAUAGAAACAUUAGCUCAUGUUGUCUCAGCUUAAAUUAUUUUUUAAUUUUGAUUUUUCGCUUCUCAAAGAUUAGAGGAAAAGUAGAUGUCAGGAUCAAGACACAAGGAAAAUCAAAGUGGACCAAGACAUAAAAGUUUCCUUAAAAAAAAAUAAAAAUAAAACUCCAGAGAUUAAUUAAUUGAGUAGUGUUGAGGAAAAAGCCCAUGCCCGAGCAAGGCAAUCAGCGUAAUUUGGGGCUUUUUGUCAACCGACUUUACUUUUCUUUGUCGGCCAUAUAGCAAUGGAAUCUUCUCAUUGAGUUCCAGCACUUUGCUCUUCGGUCUUCCAGGGAGGAGUACAAUAAUUUCAGCUUUUAGAAAAGAAAGAGAGCCAUUCUUCUUCUUCGGUCUUCCAAGGAGUAAUACAAUAAUUUCAGCUUUUAGAAAAGAAAGAGAGCCAUUCUUCUUCUUCUCCAAGUGAAAAUAACAUAAAUGAUACUCACCCCGUGGUGGACGAGAUGGUUCGCGCCUCGCCCCUCAACCGGCAGGGAAGAUGUUUGAAACUUCUCGCCCCCAUUGCGUGACUCACCUGCGGCCUGUGGGAGGUGUAUCCCUGUGGGUCGCCCCGGAUUUACGCUGCCAGCUACCGGUUAUACGGCAAUUCUCGGAUCACAAAAAAAAAAAAAAAAACAUAUAUGAUCACUAAAUUUUAGUCAAAUAUAUAAUAUAAUUUAUGAAUUUUUAAUUUAUUUAAUAUGAUACUUAAAUUUUAGUUUAAUAUUAUAUAAUAAUUUAAUAUGAUCCAUAAACUUUUAGUAUAUAUUCAAAUUAGUCUCUAAAUUUUAUAAAAAUAUUCAACGUUAUCCUUCCAUCAAUUUAAGCUUAAUGACCACAUUGAAUAUUUCCAAAUAGUCCCAGGACUAGUUUAAAUAUGUAUCAAAGAUUCAUGGACUACAUUAAAUAAAAUAAAAGUUUGGAGACCACAUUGAAUAUUGAACUAAAGUUUAUGGACUAUAUUGAACAAAUUAAAAGUUCAGAAAUCACAUUGCAUAUUAUCAAAAUUCAAAGACAAUUUGUGUUAUUAUUCCUAUAGUUGUUACAUUGGAAAAUUUAAUGAGUUCUUAGCUUCGUCUUCAUACAUUUUUCUAGACGAUGCAAGACAAUCCAACUUUCACUUGGAUUGAUCAAUCCAUACUGAUGUGUGUAAAAGCGUCGUCCACAGGUAUCAAGGUAGUCUCGAUCACACGAUGAAGAAUGUGGCCUUAAAGAUCAAUUUCAACACGAUAAGAAUUCUGUAAUUUUAACACAUACUUUAUUGCAUCCAAACCAAUAUAAUAACCAAAAGGUUAAUCACUUAACUAAGUAUUACUCGAGGAUUUAAAUGUUUAUUCACCUUGUUCUACAAAUUUGUUGAAAAAAAUUGGACGAACAUUUAUCAUCGUAAGGUACGAAAACAUGUAUUGUAGAAAGAAAACGGAAGUAGGGGAGCAUCUAAUAUGAUAUAAUUGAAUACAUCUUGAGAAGAUAAAACAAGAAAAAGGAAGAAGAGGACAAAAAAUUUCAUAUUCUUGGUGAGUGGCAAGGGCCAUUUCGGCCGACGUGCACCCUCAUGCGCACGCGAAAAAUCACACACACACACACACUCACACGAAGAGGCAGGCCAAGUUCCAAGGGAUUGAUCUCGAGAGUUGGUAAACCAUAAAUCAUGACCGUGAGAUAAUUCAUGAAAGCUUAAUAUGAAGAAGCAUCGGAGAAAUGACAAGGUUGAGUUGAGACAAUUCAGCGUCCAUUAAGUGUGCCAAGAUCAGCGAAGAGAAUUAUCGUAAAUUCCUCAAGGAGCCAUAUAUGUUCUUGACAGGUACGUAAAUCAAAUAUGAUUAAAUAUGAUUUGUGGAUUUCUUUUUGUUUGAGUGUUAUUGAGUAAAGGAUACUUCUGUGAUUUUCAAGAGAAUCAUAAAAGAAGAAGGAAACUGACAAUUUCUCUUGGGAAUCAUAUAUAAUGGGAUAGUUUAUCAUCUAUAAAAUCGAUUGUAAAAAAUCAUCGAAUUUUCUUCAAAAUGUAAUGAAAAACACUCAUUUGAGAAAGAGAGAACAAAUAACAAUCUAACCAUAGAUAAAAUGGCAAAAAACAUUGAAAAGUAAUAAUAUAUGGAAUCAGGUAAACAUAUAAAUUAUUAAAGUUUGAUUGGGAAAAUGGCAUAAAUGAUUCGUGAAGAUUGAGAAAUGACAUAAAUAGUUCAUGAACAUUUGUCUAAUGUGUAAUAUUGUUAAUAAAUUUUUAAUUUAUUCAAUGUGAUUCCUAAAUGGUUGGUAAAUGUUCAGUUUAGUCUAUUACACAUGAAAAUGGUUAAUGUUGGAAGGACUAUUGGAAAUUGUGUAUUUCACUAAGUGUUUGGUCAGUCGACUCUAUUAAUAAUUAAUUGCUCUUUAUUAAAAUAAAGUUUAAUCCAAAAUUUUAGGCUUAUUAAUAAAGGUAUAUCGCAUUUACAUAAAGAGUAUAUAAGACUAUUGUCAAGUAACGAGAAAUAAUAUUUUAAUAUUUAUUUUUAGGAAAAUUUGUAAUUUGGAAUUUGUGGGAUCAAUAUAAUAUUUCAAGUGUGAACCACAAGAAGCUAGACUGGGGUUCAUUAAAAACCUAAAUGGGUCGCAUGUGUAUGUUGUCGUAUUUCAUGUCAAUUAGCUUUGGAGAUCGCAGCUCUCAACUAGGAAGGUGGAUUUGUUAGAUUCAUACUUCAAAUUCUAAAAUUAAAUUUUCUCUACGUCCGUACCUCCGAAUUUAAAAAAAGAAAAUUCUAAAGUUGAUUGUCAGCUUGUGGGGGAGGUCUUCUCUUUGAUAAUGUCAAGUUAGACUAUCGGCGAAAGCUCGGUUUUAUCUAUUUUUUUAUAAUUAACUUUUUCAGAUUCAGUAAUUUUUUUCCUUUAACGAAUGACGUUGUGUAAAGAAAUAAAUCUAGGUGCUCAAGAACGAAAAUAAGAUAAGAAAAUGAAUCCUUCCUGUGUCUAUCUCUCAGAUUUUUUACUUUUCGGUUUUUCCUCUGCUUUACUCGCCAAUUCGCGAGAAUCCCCAUUCAAUCUUCGCUGAGUCCCUCUUUAAUUCGGCAAAAAAGAGGAGCUCCUCCAUCCUCUCUCUCCAAAUCUAGGCCAAAUCUCUCUAUUUUCUAGCUUUCCUUACUUCCAAAAUCAACUCCUUCCUCUCUUAAACUCUCCAGUCCUUCAUUCCUUUGAGUUGACCAUGUCCCCCAUCCCCUUUCCUCUUGGGUUUCGGGUAGAGUUGCAUAUGUUUUCUAAGUUGAUGCCCGAUGCGGCAUGCUACUUUUAAACAAGAAACGUCCCUAAUUUCUAAAUGUAGAUGAAUGCAGUAAAGAAUGAGAUUGCAACACAAUGUAGCAUUAAUAAUUUUGUUUAGGGGCUAAAUUGUGAUGUUACCGACAUAUUCAAUCCCUUGUGUUCAUGAAAUGCGAAGAGAUCUUCUUUUUGAUAAAAAUUUAGAUGUCAACCAUGGUGAAAAAAGGGAUCUCAGAUUUGUUUUGCUAUUUUCCUAUAGUGGAAAUUUAGGGUGUCCACCAUGGGCAAUGAGCGUAAUUUGGUUCUUUCUGUCAACCAACUUCACUUCUUAUUGUCGGUCAUACAGCAAUGGGGUCGUUCUCAUCGACCACCAGCACUUUGCUUUUCGGUCUUCCGAGGACCAUAUAAUAAUGUCAACUUUGGACCUGAGCAGGUCCUUAAAAGGCUCAAGGGGGACCCCCCCGACAGGAGGCGUACCCUCCCAGGGGUGAGAGACCCCCGCGUCGGGGCCCCCGUAUUCCAGUGGGAGGGAAGAAAAAAUAAAACUACCCCCACUGGCUCGCCCGCCACAACUCUGGAGCCCGGAAGGGCAAAGGAGAGGGAUGCCACUUGGUGAGGUUAGAAAGGCAGCCCCUCCGGUAGCCGAUCCCAGGCCCGGAACGGGACUGAGUAGGCCAAUGACCCAAGCCAGGUAGAAAUACCUGGGUCGUUCUCAUCGACCACCAGCACUUUGCUUUUCGGUCUUCCGAGGACCAUAUAAUAAUGUCAACUUUUAUAAAAGUAAGAGAGCCAUUCUUCUCCUUUUCACACAUGGUGUUGGAUCUGUGAUAUUAUUAUAUUACGACCAAAAGCAUCUUCUUCAGCAUUACCAGGGAAGAGAGAGAUAUCAAGUAAAGCCACUAUAGCUAGCUCAGACGCGGGAAGUUACCAGGAAAAUGAGUUGCAGGUCUUCGUGAGCUUUAGAAGACCCUGUUUCUCGCCACCAAUAUGAUCUGACUUUAUGGUCUUCGUCGUGAUAUGUUACGACUCUCUGCUUUAACUAAUAUCUCAUAGGCCGAUGGCAUUCGAUUGAUUUUCCUAUUACUACUCCGUUAAUGAAUGACAGAGAGAGAGAGGUCCAAGCACAACGUCACUGAUAACAACUACUGCAGUUAGUACAUUAGCAACUUCAUUGAGUUCUGAUUUCAUCUCAGCAUCAAGAGCUAAAUUCAUAUAUUUUUUUCUUGGACAACACGAGAUAAUCCAACUUUCACUUGGACUGAUAAAUCCAUUGGGAUGUGCGUAAAAGCUUCGUUCACAUGUAUCGAGAUAAUCUCCACCACGUGAUGAAGAACAUGGCCUUACAGAUUGGUCUCAGCGUGAGCAAUGUAAUUUUAACACAUGUUUUGUCGAAUCCAGACCAAAAGGAAAAAAUCAAACAUUUGAUCACUUAACUAAUCAUUACUAGAGGAUUUAAAUUUGUAUCUAUGUUGUUCUAAAAAAUUGUUGAAAAAAAUUCGACGUAAAGAAAUAUGAAAACAAUUAUUGUAGAAAGAAAACGGAAGUAGGCGAGUAUAAAAAAUGAUAUCAUUGAAUACGUCCUGAGAAGAAAAAAAUCAGAGAAAGGAAGAUAAGGAAAAGAAAUUUCAUAUUCUGGGUGAGUGGGUGGGGAAUCCUAACUUACUAUUGCUCAAGAGUUAAACCCUCAUUUUGACUCGCAUGAUGAACGAGCGACUCUACAAGUAGGACUUGUAAAAGUUUUUCUAGUGUGAAUUACAUUAAUUGAUAUUGUAAUUUAUCGUUUUACGGGAUUGGUCUAAGAUGAGAUAAAAGAUUUCUUAAUUAGUCUAAUAUGGGGUGGACUAGUGUGGGCCGAGUUAAGCUUGGCUCGUAAUGAAAGGGCAUGAUUUGAAACUCUAUAAAUAAUACUCAAAUAUCUAAUCUAACCUGAAUUCUCACUAGUAUCCUCACAUAAUGAGCGUUUACCUUGCGCUAAAGGGUGAUGGGCCAUCUCAUUGAGCUAGUGAUACAGAGGGCAAUGAAGGAAAAAGACUUGUGCGUUGAUCAUCGCUUUUUGCUUCCGCAUCAAGAACAAUGGAUUCCAAAACAGGCGUGUUAAUCUUUCUACUCAAUUAUCUGUAUUCUUGUUCUGGUUAUGAAGAUCUUGGGAUUACACGUUUUGCAUCCUACAUGUGGUAUCAGAGCCUCCACAUAACCUAGAACUCGAAUGCGUAGAAUUUUGCCCUAAUUUUAAUAUUUUCGUGAUUUUUUUUCAAUAAAAAUCAAAUUUAAUUAUAAAUUCAGAUUGGGCUCAUUGAAACGAGCAAAUCCAUGGGUAGCACGUCACCGGGGGAGGCCCCAUGCACCCCCAUGCGUGGGGUGCCGCUCGUGCAUGCGACGCACACGGGCACUGAUGUCACGAUGAUGUCAGCAACCCAUGCCUGACCCGAUCCGACUCGUUGACCCACCCGAAUCGGUCAACCUGUCAGACUAAGCGGUUGGACCAGACGGAUGAGCCGGGAACUGAUUGGACCGCUACUAAUCGGACCGGUUUUGACCGAUCUCUACACCUGCGUGUGAGCUCCACGCGCCACGCACUCAGGCGGCGCAUGCGGGUGCGUGGAGGCUCCAAUGGGUAUGUGGUUGGCGGCUAUAGGUUCUUAUGAGAAUUCUCUAUCUUGAGGUGUACUUAUUAUACAUGUUUGAUGAUUUUAUGGAUGUGAAAUUACAUACAAAACCCUAAAUAAAUGUAUUUUUAGUGUAUUUUUGCUUAUUUUAUUGUAUUUUUCUGUGAUUUUAGAAAUACAUGUAUUGGGUUAUUGGUAUGUUAUCACAUAAACAUUAUAGAAGUGUAAUUCAUUAAUAAUAUACAAUAAAGUUCAAUUUUUAUUAAUAAAUAAAGUAAUGUAAUUAGCAUGAUAUGUGAUUUUAGUAAUUUACUACCACUAUCACUAAAGUUAAAGUCAUAUGUAUAUGGUGUAUGUGAGAAGUAAAAUUUAUAUCCCUGGUAUAAGAGAGUUUUAAGAAUUCAAUUGAGUUGUGAUCGCCAAAGUGGCACACUUGAUUGGGUUUGAGAAAUUUCGGUCUCGUGUAAUGAUUGGGAUGUCUCCCAGUCUAAUGCGUAGUCAUACUCCCAAAGGAGGUGAUUAUGUAUUAGUUCAUGGAGGGAUACAUGAUGGUGUGGUAGAGGAGUGACUGAUCCUAAUUGUUCAUAUGCCCAAAGGUGAUGAAUUCACGAAUGUUAGACUAUGUUCACAUAAUCGCUAUCAUGUGGAGAGUGUAUAACUGCAUGUCAUGUAUUCUGCCCAAAGGUGAUUAUGUGAUUUUACAUGUGACUCUCUGGAUGUGUACUUAUACGUCAAGUUACAUAGUACUAACAUGAUGCUAAUUAUAUACAUGUUUUUCAGUCACAUUUUUCUAUAAAUGGUAACUCCAUCACAAUUGAGGUUCUUACUGGUUCAAACUUUAAAAGAUGGAGAGAAGAUUUUCUAUUUGCUAUGAAGAUAGUAGAUGUUUAUGUGGCUCUUAUUGCCGAUUGGUCGACAGAUCUUACUACCGAGAGUACAGAGGCUCAGAAAACACAUUUUGCUGUCUAGGAAAAGAACAAUAGAAUUUUCUUACUAUCCAUGAAGUGUUCCAUUCAGGAACACUUGAAAAGUGAUUUGCUUGCGGACUAUACUGCUAGGUAAAUGAUGGAAGCCUUAGUAGCUAGAAAUCGUGUCUCGUCUAAUGCUGAGAUAGGGACACACCUGCAAACAUUAUUUAGUAUGAAGUAUGAUGGUUCUUGUGGAGUUAGAGAUUAUAUUCUAAAGAUGGUAGAUUUGCAGAUAAAUUUUCAGGCCCUCAAUGUUGUUAUUCCCAUUGCUUACAUUGUACAUUAAGCUCUAAAUAUUAUUCCUCCUGAUUUUGGGAUUGUCAAGACCAAUUAUAAUUCUCAAGAUAAGACUUGAUCAAUUAAUGACCUGAUUGCAAGAGUAGUGGCAGAGGAAGAACAAAUUGAAGAGAGAUAAAGGGCACAUUGCUCUUUAUGCUUCUAGUUUUGGUAGUGCAAUGGUAAUAAGUUGAAAAAUUAUACUCAUAAGGGUAAUUCUGAAGCUGCUGGUCCUUCCAAUAAUAAAGGAAAUUCUGAAGCUGUUGGUCCUUCUAAUAGUUUGGGUUCUAAGAAAGUAUUCUCCAAGAAUGAUGGUGUUCUUUGCUAUUUUUGUAGAGAGAGAGGACACGUAAAGAAACGAUGUAAUAAGUAUAAGGAUUAGUUGUCCAAGAGAACCAAGGGUGAGCCUAAAGAUAAUGAUUCUUUGGCAUUUGUCUAUGAAUUCAAUCUAUUUAAAACCCCGACCAAUUCUUAGGCUGCAUUUGACAGUUAGGAUAAAAUUUAGGAUGUGAUAUGAUUUAUCCUAUCCUAUGUUUGGUGCUCACUCAGGACAGGAUAAAAUUGGAUAUAAGGGGGAUAUAGGCUGGAUAAAAUUAUCCUAUGGGGGAGGUAGGAUAAAGGUGGAUAGGAUUUCUAAUGUCCAUAAUAGGAAAGUUAUUUUUCUUGAAUAAUAAACUUAUUAAAUUAAAAAAAUUGAAAAUAUAUUUCAAUAUAAAUAAUAUUUGAAUUAUAAUUUAAGAAAUUAAAAAUAAAAAAGUAGAAAUUUAUUUUUAAUUAAUCUUUUUUUAAUUUAUAUAUUCAACUUAACUCUAUCUUAUAAUAAACAUUCAAUCUAUAAAUUAAAUAUUUACAUUUAUUAUAUAUUUUAGGUAUGUUAGUACAAUUUACUAUUUGAUAAAAUUUUAUUAAAGAAUGAUGAAAGGGGAAAAAAGAAAUAAUAAAGAAAAUAAUAUAAAAAAGAGGAAAAAUUAAGUAAAAUAAAUUUAAGAAUAGUGUUACAAGAAAUUUUUACCAUCUCCGUUUAUGAAAAUUUAGGUUCAUUUAUAAUUAUAUGCCAUUUAUAUGAAAAAAAUGUAUAUGAUAUGAUAUGAUAUGAAUAUAUUCGAUUUUAUAGUGCAAUUCACCAAACAAUGAACAAGAUAUGAAAUAAUCUCAGGAUUUCAUAUUUUAUCAUAUUCAGUCCUAUUCCGAUUAGAAAUCUGGACAACCAAACGUAGCCUUAGUGGCUAGAUAGUGGUGCAACUAAUCAUGUUGCAUUUACCAUACAAGGGUUCAUAAACUAAAGGAUGCCAAAUCAUGAUGAAUCAAAGCUCACUGUGGGAAACAACAUUAAAGUUGACGUCGAGUUUGUGAGAGAUGUUAUUUUAAUUUUAGAUUCUGGUUUUAGGAUGAUGUUAAGAAACACUUUUUAUGUACUUUCUUUUAGGCGGAAUUUAGUUUCCGUAUUUUGUUUGGAUAUGUGUGGAUACUCUUUUAAAAUAAAAAGGAAUAGUAUUUCUAUGUUUUAUAAUUCAAAUAAGAUUGGGUGUCGCAAUUUAUCCAGUGGAUUAUAUUGAUUGAGUUUGUCUCCUAACAACAUGUACGUUAUUUAUUCAGUUGAAAAAGUUGUUUCCAAAAGGCCUCUACCUAAGGAACAAUCUUAUGCAUUGCGGCAUAAACGUCUUGGUCACAUCUUUAAAGAAAGAGUAGAAAGGCUUAUAAAGACUGACAUCUUGCCUACUUUUAAUAGUGCUCUAAGGAUUUGCGUAGACUGUUGUAGAGGUAAUAUGACUAAGAUAAAGAAGAAAUCUGCCGUACGAAGUUCUGAUUUGUUAGAGGUUAUUCACACUAAUAUUAAUGGACCAUAUGUCACGUCCCGAACCCCGGGCAUGCGCACAUCCCUCGGUGGUCAACUAAAAUGCGACGUCUUAGGACGCGUCGCCGACCCAUUCAUUUUAUGCACAUGUGGAAGUGAACUAAUAAACCCCAGACAACAAACAAAUACAUGGAUAGUAAAAGUAGGACAAUCAAUUAUCACAAACCACGCUUUAAAAACAUAUCAGGUUAACUUAGGAGUUUAUAUACAGGUCCUUCUAAAAAAGAACUCAUAGUCAACUUAAACUUCACUAUCGAUAGGGCCAGCCAAAAGGUGUUGCAUCUUGCACCCACCAAAUCCACAUUUUGCAGAUUUCCACGCUACGGCCCUAAAAAAUGUUAACUUAAGACGGGGUGAGAUAAAAAUCUUAGCGAGUCAAAACCUUAAACCCUGAUUAGGAUGCAAAUUCACUUAGAGGCAGCCUAAACAGGCGUCACAAACAACUUACCUCGCCUCGACACAUCCCUACAGAUCAGCCCAUCACAUAUACGAUUAUCAAUGCAUCAAGCAUCACUUAAUAACCGGAACACAUCAUUUCAAUCACAAAUAAUCACAAGGGUCCCGAUUAUAAGGUAAAACCGUUAUGACACGUCUCAUACCGUGCCACAUAAUUUUUUCCCCAUAAUCAGGCGUAGCUAUCUCAACCACUCAGGCAUGUUCCAGUUAUUACGACCCAUCGGCCACGGCCAACUCAACAGUUGGUGGUCAUCCGGCGUAACCGAGCAUCAUCUUGCUUCGUCGGGCACGGCAAUGUCUAGAACCCCUGCUUAGACGGUAUCUUAUAAAGGGGCAUCGGUCCGGCCUCCACCGCGACUCGGCUUCCGGACCCCCGCCGGGCAUCUAAUAAACAUCGGGCAUCAUCUCCAAACUCCCGUUGGGAGACGGGUUCCGAUAGUGACCACACGCACAUCCACACUUGGCUAAGAACACUUUGCUUUGCAUCCAAAUACCUCGUAUUUAAAUAAUGAACUUGGCAUUUUUUUCUUCGUAUUAAAAUCAUCCCAGUAAAAUAAUCGUGUGUGGUCACGCCUUUAGAUCGAACCAAUAAACAUGAUACACUCUCGUUUCAAAAUUCCAUGAUUUUAUAUACUAUAUAAAAUUUUGGUGUAAAAAAUCGACACUCGGUAUUUUUCUAAUUAAAUACCCAUCAAAUCCAAUUUUGCAAUAAUAGCCAAUAACAAUCACCAAGCACUUAAUUGCACAAAUAAACAAUCAAUUUCACAUAUACAUUCAACCAUGACAAUCAGUGUAAAAUUAUGCAAAACGGCUAUUUCGUCACAAUUUACGCUAAUUAUAAUUAAUUAAAUAAAUUGCAAUUAAUGAAAAAAAUCUAAUUUAAUUAAACUAACCACGGUUAACUAACUAACCCUAGUUAACUAACUAACCUAGGGUAGGCUAACUAAACUAACCCCUAACCAAACUAACUUAACUAACUAACCAUUCUAACUACUAGUUACACUAACUAGGAUUAACACUAAUCCUUAAUUAACAGUAACUAACCUACUAAGUGUAAUUAACUUCCUAAUUCGAGAUUAGGGCAUUAACUCACUGGAUUAGGGCAUCGACAGGUUCACGACAACGGUGGCGUGAAGGCGGUGUGAUAUAAUAGUGUUGUAUUGACCCUUGCUGAUUAUUAUGGUCGAGCAGUUGAUUUUCGAUCAAAUUCUCGAGUUUGCCGUGUUUAUAUCUCUUAACGGCUUCACCUAAUAGCUUAGUUAACUCGUGAGUGGCCAACUCCGAGAAAAAUGACCAUAGGCGCGUCAACGAAAUGGUCAUUUCAUAUUAUCGGGAUGAGGUCGAAUUUCAGGAUGUCACAACUCUUCCCCUCUUAUAAAAAUUUCAUCCUCGAAAUUUAAACAAUUUCAAUUCUUUUUAAAAAAGGUGGGGGUAUUGACGUCUCAUCGAUUCCUCGCUUUCCCAAGUUACACAUUGUGUUUCGUGGUGUUGCCAAACCACUUUAACCAGAGGGAUUGUCUUGGUACACAGCACUUGCUCCUUUUGAUCCACUAUUCGAACUGGUCUCUUCACUUAUGACACUCUCUCGUCCACGUCUAUUUCCUCAAAAUUCAGCAUGUGGGUUGGGUCAAGUUCGUACUUCUUCAACAUCGCUACGUGGAAGAUAUCAUGCACUUGUGCAAGUUUCGGCGGCAACGCGAGACGGUAUGCCAAAGUCCCAAUUCACUCCAAAAUUUCAAAGGGACCGACAUACCUUGGACUUAACUUCCCUUUCUUGCCAAAGCGCGAAGUACCCCUCAUUGGUGACAUUUUAAGGAAUACGUGCUCACCAACAUACAAGCUCGCAUCAUAUCUUCAAGGGUUUGAAUCGUUCUCUCAGACUGGCCAUGUGACAUCUUGAUUUUCAGGUUAUGUUUUCAAUUGAAUGAGUUAGGCUUUUCAUCGAUGCGCCUAUAGCCUUUUUCUCUAAGUUGGCCACUCACGAGAUAACUAGUUUAUCUGGUGAAGCCGUUAAGGGAUUUUAACGCAACAAACUUGAGAAUUCGACUAGAAAUCCAUUGUUUGACCGUGCUAAUCUGCAAGGGUCAAUACGGGACUGUCAAAAUCGAUCAGAGAUCGGAGAUAGGUCUUCGACAGAGAUAUGUGAUUAAAGUGUGGGUGAUUCCACCUAAUUGCAAAAUUCUCGUCGAGCGGCACUAAACUGAUUCUUCUGUCGUUUCUGUACCCUGUGUUUGUAUUUGAAACAUCGAGAUUUUCACGACAAUCGAGAGUUGCCAAUGAGUCGAAGAUGUACAAUAUGGCUCGAAAAUAAUCGAGCACAGGUCAAUUGCACUAAAAAUUCCUAAAAGUUACCUGGUAAGCUGGGUCACGCUAAAAUCGCGCUCGGUUAAAAUUAACCGCGAAUUUAAACCCGAUUUCAGAAAUUGAAAGUUCUAUUAUAUCACAAUUCAUUUUAGGAACGUCGACUUGUCCUUCGAAGAUUUUUCUGCAAACUCGAGAUUUCGGCGAAAAAUCAUGGUAAGGUUAUUUUGAACCGGGAAAUUUGAGGGACCGUUUUUGGUCACAUUUUUGGCCGUCAAGUUGGUUCAAUUGACGAGAGAAAAUCGUAAGAGGGACGAUGGGACCUUGGCUGAAUUUUUGGGGCUUCAAUUGGAUCAAAUUGGACGAGAAUUGAAUUGGAUUUGUAGGGAAAUUGUCCAAAUUCGUAGCCCAGGGGUGCAGCCACUUUUGGACCAUUUCAUUAGCUUGUUGGGGAAGCCUUGGUGUGCUUUUGGCUGAGAUGAUGGCUGAGAUGUGUGGGGCCAUGUGAUGAGUGAAAUGGAUAGAUNNNNNNNNNNNNNNNNNNNNNNNNNNNNNNNNNNNNNNNNNNNNNNNNNNNNNNNNNNNNNNNNNNNNNNNNNNNNNNNNNNNNNNNNNNNNNNNNNNNNAUCUUCUAGAGCUUCGCCAACUGCUGUUCGUUGCUGUUCAAUCGUCUGUUGCCCUCACCAUCGACUGUUGUAGCCCGCCUAGUCCUGCCUUGUUGUUUCAGCCCCAACCAGUCGCUUGAUCUAGCUAUUUUGGCCUAAGGACAGAGCCGAAAGCUCAGCAAGGGUUGAGGUCUUUGUGGUCUUUGUGGCCCGUUUUAGGUCCCUUUUGGACCUCUUUUGGUGUCACUGUGAGCCCGAGUUUUGCUCACCAUCGCAUUGCCGUUGCUGUGGACUCACUGGCCCACUAAACUGGUGAGUUUACUUGCUAAACUCUGGUUAUGGAGUUAAUGAUGCUUAAUAGGUAAUUAGUUUAGGCUAAUUAUGGAUUAUGUGGUUAGUUAGAUUAGAUUAGUGAUUUAAUUGCUUAAUUAUGCAUGUUAGGUGGUUAGAAUAGAUUGAUUAGGGGCUAAAGGAGUUGUGCUAUUUAUUUAGAUAGGUUCAAAAAUUUUCUAAGCCCGUUCAGGUGGUUAGAUUAGCAUUUCCGGCCUAAAUGAGUAAUUAUUGUAUUUAAUUUGUAUUAUUUAAUUAUUUUUUGUAUUUAUUUAAUUAUUUAAUAUUUUUCAAAAAUUAUACCGGGAUAGCUGGUGACCAGAAUUUCGUGCUGAUUGCAGUGGUAUGCUUAGUUUAUGCAAUUGAGUGCAAUUGAAUGGUGAUUUUGAUUUUUGAGUUAUUAUUUCAAAAUUAUGAAAUUUUGGUAUUUAAUUAGAAAAUACCGGGUGUCGGGUUUUGACACCGAAAAUGGUUUUAAAUACUAUAUCAAAUAAUGAGAUUUUAAAAGGAAGGAUAUCAAUUUAUAGGGUUCGAUCUGACCGUGUAUCCACACACGAUUAUUUUCAUCGAGUGUUUUUAAUACGAAGAAAACAGACCAAGGACGUUAUCUUAAUUGAGGCAUGUGAAUGCAAAGCACAAUGUCCUUAGCCAGAAUUGAAUGAUUGUGUGUUGGUUAAGAGAACCCAUCCCUGAUGUGAGUCGAAUGGAUGUUACCCCUAUAUGGGACACCCCUGGAUAAUGGAAGCCGGUUGUAAUAGAUUCUGGACCGAUACUCCUUUGGGAAUGCCGUCUAAUAGAGAUGUAGCUAUGCUUAAUGGAGUGAGACGACGCCUGGCUAUGCCAAAAGACUGCCGAACAUCGAGUAGGUCGUGCCCUUGGGGAUGUUAAAUCAAUUGGAACGCAUGAUUGAUUGAGAUAGAUGAGCUGUGGAUUAUGGGACAAAAUUCUGUGGCAUGGUAUGAGACAUGUCAUAACGAUUUGGCCCUAUAAUUAGGACCCUUGUGAUUGAUUGAAAUUGAGCGAGACGUUCCAAUUGAUGUGUGCAUUUAUUAUAUGCAUAUGUAAUAUGAACUGUAUUGACAUGCAGGAAGGAACUGAGGCGAGGUGAGUCUCUUUGGCAUAUUUCAUUCCUAAUCGGGGUUUAGGAUGUGAACUCACUGAGGUUUAUAUCUCACCCUAUCGUGGGUUACCAUUUUUCAGGUACCUAGUGUGAAGGACCAGGAGCUUGAGGCGGAAGGGUCAAGAGCAUGGGUGGCUUAGUAGUUAUUUUUGGAGAUAGACAUCUUGUACAUAGACCCUAGAGUUGGCCUUUGUGUAUAAACUAGUUUGCUUAUAUAAACGUGGCUUUUGUGAUUUGUUGUCCUGCUUUUCUAUCCUAUGCUGUUUGUUGUAAGGGAGUUAGUUAUUCGCUUCUGCAUGUGCAAUAAAAUUGAAUGGGUCGGCGACGCAUCCUGGGACGUUGCAAUUUAAUCGACCAUCGAGGGAUGUGCACACACUUGAGGAUCGGGGCGUGAUAGGCCAUCUGUCUAUGGGUGAUAGGCUGUACUAUACUACAGCUUCAUUCCAAAGGUAGUUUGUAAAUUUUUCCAAAAGGAUACUGUGAACUUCGAGUCUCGAUUUGUCGUAAUCGUCACUGGUACUCCAUGCAGUCGAACUAUCUGGCGCACGUACAACUUAGUGUAUCUGUCCAAUGCAUAGUCCUUUCGUAUGGCGAUGAAGUGAGCAGACUUCGUCAAUCUGUCAACUACAACCCAUAUAGAAUCAUUACCUCGCUGACUUCUCGGUAGUCCCAUCACAAAAUCCAUUGUGAUAUGCUCCCAUUUUCACUCGGGAAUCUCGAGAGGUUGCAAAAGUCCUCCAGGCUUGCAAUGCUGUGCUUUCAUUUGCUGGCAUGUCAGACACUUGGCGACAUGUCUAGCGAUAUCCACCUUCAUACCGGUCCACCAAAAGUGCUGACGCAGAUUCUGAUACAUCUUUGUACUGCCUGGAUAAAUAUUGUAACUGCUACGAUGGGCUUUUGACAAGAUCUCCUCCUUAAGCUUUGCAUCGUCAGGUGCGCACAAUCGCCCACGAAACUUUAGUGUUCCGUUGUCGGUAACUUGAAAGUCAGCCUUCCUCUUUUUCGCAUCUUCUUGCAAAAUUUUCUAGAUCUCCGGGUCUGUCGACUGCAACGUCUUGAUCCUUAUUUGCGCUUCUGAUUCAAUUUUGAGGGUAGCCAUGAGACUUGAAAGGUGGCUUACCUCAAAUUUGAAAUCCAAAUCUUGAGCUCCUUUGAGUAAGAUCCACUCUUGAACCAUCGUCUGCGCAAUUGAAGACUUCUGACUUAACACAUCCGCGACUUUAUUGGCUUUUUCAGGAUGAUACAAGAUGUCGCAGUUGUAAUCCUUGAGAAGUUCCAUCCAACGACGUUGUCUCAUGUUCAACUUCUUCUAAGAGAAUAAGUACCUUAUUUACACUGAUAUUAGUUGACCAUACAUGGCUACUUUGUGCAGAAAUUUUUAUUUCAUCACAUUUAUUGACGACUAUUUCCGAUAUGGAUACUUAUACUUGAUUAAAGAAAAGUCCGAGUUUCUUGACAAAUUCAAGAUUUUUCGGACUGAAGUGGAGAAACGGUUGGGAAAAGUUAUAAAGAUGUCAGAUCUGAUCAUGGUGGUCAGUAUUUUGGUAGGCACGGUGAUGCUGGACAACUUAAAGGGCCAUUUGCUAAAUACUUAGAGGAUUAUGGGAUAAUGGGUUAAUUUACUAUGCUCAGAAGUAUUGAACAAAAUGGUAUAGCUGAAAGGCGCAAUCGUACUCUUAUGGACAUGAUUAGAAGUAUGAUUAGUAGGACCAAUUUACCUGAUUUUCUGUGGGGUGAAGCUUUGAAAACACCUCUUUAUAUUCUAAAUUGUGUUCCUACUAAAGCGGUUCCAUUGACUCCUUUUGAGUUGUGGACUGGAUGUGAACCUAGCUUGAAUCAUCUUAAAGUUUGGGGAUGUCCGCCAGAAGUGAAGUUAUAUAAUUCAACAUUAAGUAAGUUGGAUUCUAAAACUACUCAAUGUUACUUCGUAUUUUACCUAGAUCAUUCAAAGGGGUAUCAGUUUUAUAACCCUAAGGGAGGUAUAAGAAUUGUGGAAUCUCAGACGGAAUUUUUUUUAGAAUUUGAUGUAGCUGAAAAGGAUAGUUGCUCACAAAUUAUUGAAGAUGAUAGUAUGGUGGGGAUUACUAGAUCCCUGUCUCAUCUUGUGUAGACGAUUAUGGAGCCUCUUGCGCCUCAAAUUGAGCCUGUUGUGGCUCGGGAUCCUAUUGUUAAGAUAGUUUUUGAUGAAAUUCCUCAAGCCCCUCAGAUUCAGAAUGAGAUUGAAGUAGCUCUACUCAAAAGAUCGACUAGGGAAAGACGUUCAGCUAUACCACCUGACUAUGUAGUCUACCUAAGAGAGGAUGAUUAUGAUAUUGGUUGCAUUGUUGAUCCUGUGACUUAUACAUAUGCUAUUUCAUGUCCUCAAUUAGAUUUAUGGCUAGAUGCGAUGAAAGAUGAGAUGUAAUCUAUGAGACACAAUGGUGUUUGGGAGCUCGUUGAAUUGCCUGAAGGUUAUCAACCUAUCAGCUGCAAAUGUGUAUAUAAGACUAAAAAGGAUUCCAAAAGAAAUAUUGAAAAGUUUAAAGUUAGGCCGGUAGCUAAGAGUUUCACUCAAAGAGAAGGAAUAGAUUAUGAAGCAACAUUUUCUCCAAUUUUGUUUUUUUGUUUUUUUUAGAUUCAUUUAGAGUGAUUUUGGCAUUGGUAACUCAUUUUGAUAUGGAGUUACAUCAGAUAGAUGUUAAGACUGCUUUUCUAAAUGGAGACCUUAAUGAUGAGGUUUAUAUGGUGUAGCUUGAAGGUUUUGCAGCAAAUGACUCAUGUAAGCUUGUAUGUAGAUUGAAAAAGUCUAUUUAUGGCCUUAAACAAGCUUCUAGACAGUGAUAUUUAAAGUUUCAUAGUAUUAUCACUUCAUUCGGAUUUAUUGAGAAUAAAGUAGAUCAGUGUAUAUACACCAAAGUCAGUGAGAGGAAAUACAUUUUUCUCAUAUUUUAUGUGGAUGAUAUCUUACUUGCUAGUAGUGACAUUGGUUUACCGCAUGAGACAAAGCGGAUGUUAUCGAAAAUUUUUGACAUGAAAUACCUUGGUGAGGCGUCUUUUGUUCUUGGUAUUGAGGUCCAUAGGGAUCAUUCUCACUGUUCAUUGGGUUUGUCUCAGAGGGCACAUAUUGAUCGCAUUUUAGAAAGAUUCAAUAUGCAGCAUUGUAAGCCAGGAAAUGCUCCUGUUAUUAAGGGGGAAAAAUUGAGUCUUUCACAAUGCCAUAAUUUAGAUUUUGAGAAAGUUCAAAUGAAGAAUGUACCUUAUGCUAGUGUGCUUAGAAGUAUCAUGUGUGCUCAAGUUUGCACUAGACCAGAUAUUGCCUUUGCGACAGGGCUUCUAGGCAGAUAUCAGUCAAAUCCAAGAUGCGAUCACUAAGUUGCUACCAAGAAGGUUUUAAGGUACUUAAAGAGGACAAUAGAUUAUAUGCUGAUUUAUAGACAUGUUUCGGACUUGCAACUAGCCGGGUAUUUAGAUGCAGAUUUUGCUGGCUGUCAAGAUGAUAAGAAGUCAAUGACAUGAUACAUAUUUAUGUUGGCAGGAGGUGCAGUAUCAUGGAAGAGCAAGAAAUAGAAAUCUAUAUCUUCUUUUACUAUGCAGGCAGAGUUUAUAGCAUGUUUUUUAGCUGCUACUCAAACUAUUUGGCUCCUGAAUCUCAUUAGGGAGUUAACAGUUUUUGAUUUUGUGGAUAGGCCCAUACAGUUAUAUUGUAACAAUAAUUCUACAGUGUUGGUUAUUAAUAAAACAGAAGUCUCAAGAGGUUUAAACACAUGGAGGUCAAGUUUUUGACUAUAAAGGAAUCAGUGCAGAAUGGUGAUGUUGCAGUAGAUCAUAUUCCUACAGAUGAUAUGGUUGGAGAUCCACUAACUAAAGGCCUAUGCCCGUGUGUAUUUGAGCGACAUGUCAUUAGCAUGGGCUUAGGAGUAUCUUGGGAUACUGUUAUUUAGGGAGCUGUGUUUUAAUUUUCCUCGAAUAAAGUUUAUAUAUGUAUUUGUUACAAUUUAGUAACAUUUUGAUAUAUAUAUAUAUAUAUAUAUAUAUAUAUAUAUAUAUGUUAACUUUUGCAUUCAAUAAAAUAUUCUUUGAAUGAAUUGUUAUAUGUUGAAUAUAUAUAUAUAUAUAUAUAUAUAUAUAUUGAUAAAAGUUUCAAGGUAUUGCAUAAACCUUGAGUGAAGGCUAGGGGCAUUCGGUUAUUAGCUUUGUGCAUAUGUCUUGUUAUACAUAAAGAAAUGUUAACAAUAAAGACAAGGCAUAUGUGGGUUCAUUGGAACCAUAAAGACAUUCUCUAGUGGCACAAAUUUUUUAUGACGCUUAAAGUAAGAGAAUGGUAACUGACAAAUGAGAUUUCUUUAUGAGAGAUGUUAUCCAUUUGCCACACUAGCAUAUUGAAUUUAUAUCAAUAAAAUUGAAAACACUUGUGACCAUGGAAGAUUCUGUGUGUAUACAUACAGUUACCACCAUGAUUCGGUGUUUGAGAUUUUAUAUGAUUAAGAAUUAUCUUUAGACCAAGGUGUGCACAUAGAAUACAAUUUCAAUUUAUAUAGUCCAAGUUGGAGAAUGUAAAAGUUUUUCUAGUGUGGAUUACAUUAAUUGAUAUUGUAAUUUACUGUUUUACGUGUUUGGUCUUAGGUGAGAUUGAAUGUUUCUUAAUUAAUCUAAUAUGGGAUUGGCUAGUGUGGGCCAAGUUGAGCUUGGCCCGUAAUGAGAGGGCCUGGUUGGAAAGUCUAUAAAUAAUGCUCAAGUCUCUCCUCUAACCCGAAUUCUCACUAGCAUCCUCACAUAAGGAGCGCUUACGUAGCGCUAAAGGGUGAGGGGACCGUCUCAUUGAGCUAGUGAUACAGAGGGCAAUAGAGGAGAAUGACUUGCGUGUGGAUUAUCGCUUUUCGCUUCUGCAUCAAUAACGAUAAAUUCCAAAAUAGGUGCGUUAAUCUUUCUAUUCAAUCAUCUGUGCUUUUGUUCUGGUUAUGGAGAUCUUGGGAUUACAUGUUUUGCAUCCUACAGGACAUGUUUUACAAAAACUAAAAAAUUGACAAAAAAAUUAAUUUCGCUUCCAAUUCAUUAAGUUUCAUUCAUAUUAAUCUUAAUUUUAUUCCCUUUAAUUCGUUACUAGCUAACCAAAGUACUUAAAGUAUGAAAAAGUCGAUAUUUUAGGCACUAUUUUCAUUGCAAAUAUGGAAAUUAACGUCUUGAUACUACUCGUGAAUUAAAGAAUAUUAAUGUUCUUUAAAUUAUUUCUUUAAAUGUACGUGUUGACACAGCCACAUUCUACGUUUAAAACAUCGGGCGGUCUCAUUCGAUGGCAGAAGCUUGACUACUUUUUAUAUGCUUUUAAUGCUUAUACCAUGUUAUCACAAGGGCCGGCAAUUCUUCUUAAUCGGGUUUCUUAAUAGUGUCAAAGCUGUGUAAUUGGAAAACACUAUAUUUUUGUUAAUAAAGCUAUAAAACUUACCCAUUAAAUUCAUGGCAAUCCAUGUCACUUCAGGUUUGCCACAUAAUUACGUAUAAUUUUGUUAAUUCAUGUUAGCAACUGUCAGCCCUCUCUCACCGUUGAUCAAAAACAGAUUUCAGGGUAUGGAUUAUACAUUCGAACAUUGGUAACAAAUACCUCACAGGUAAUUUAAAUAACAAGUUAGUUCUGUUCCGUUUUUUUUUUUUUUUUGGAUUACUUAUUAGUUAAAGUUCUAAUCCUUGCUCUUAAACCACUCAGCAGUAAUGGCUUGGGAUAAUUGGUGGUCUACUAAUAUUUCGUUUGCUCCACUGAAAAUAAAUAAUUUAGAGAACAUUUUCCCCAUGAUGAUUACUUAUAUAGUGUACCAAAAUGAAUGAACAAAAUGAUUCUUUGGGUCAACUAAGGAAAUAUUUUGUAUGAUUAAGAUCAAUUGGGAGAUCAUUGCAUCCACCAGGCACAAGGUGCACUAGUAAGGGAAUUGGAGUGAGUGAGGAUGUUUAAUUUUAGUUGUAGAACUUGACUCCUACCCUUUACAAAGAAGCAGAACAUAAAUUUGAAAGAGAAAAAAAAGUUAAGAGUAGGACAAAGGGAUAAAAAAAGGAACUAGGAGACCAUCGUAAGUCCUGGAGUGCCAAAUAGCAACUUCAACAUUGGAGACUCAGCUACAAGCUUACAACCAAGCGGCGGCAAAGCGAUUCUUUAGAGUUGGUUAUCCCUCUUUCAGGUUUUGCUAAUAAUCAUAAAAAAAGCGACCUCGACUUUCAUACUUGCAAUGUCAAAUGCCAACACAAGUAUUUGCAAUUUGUAACUUGGUUUUCAUAAGUCGACAAGUUGAGAGAAAACGAUGGCUCACAUUGUCUCGGUAUAUAUAUAUAUAUUUAAUUUGAUUGUUGCUUCUCAAAGUGUAGAAGAAAAGUAGAUGUAAUGAUUCAAACACAAGGAAAAUCAAAUUAUACCCAACAUAUUUUUUCCUAAAAAAAGGCGAACUCAUGAUGCAACUCUUAAUGAUGGAUUAUUUAUCAGGUCUGCCCCCGAAUUUUCUUUUCAAAAAACAUGAUAGGGAAAAAAUCAUCAAAAACCCCAAAUUUUGUUCAAAGUAACAAAUUUACCCCAUACUUUUUUUUCGUGACACAAAAAGUCUCAAAUUUUGCCAACUAUGACACAUUUAUCCUAACAUUUUUUCAUGACACAUAAACCCCUAAACUUAUAACCAUGUGACACAUUUCCCCCAAAAUAUAGGGCAUUUUCGUAUUUUAUUUUUAAAUUUAAAUUUUCUUUUUCUUCUUCUCUCUUCCCUCCAUCAGCCAUGGUGGAGGGAAGCUAGACUCAGGUGAGGGCUGCCCUUGUAGGUGUCAGGUUGCCCUCAUUGGCAUUAGGCAAGCCACCCUCACCAAAUCCGGGGAGGAAAACCCUCGCCUAAUGCAGGUGAGGGUAGUGGGCGAGGGCAUUCCUCGCUAGAGUCGGCCCAGGCGAGGGCUGCCCUCACCUGGCGUCCAGUGAGGGUUGCCCUCGCCGGAUUUGGCGAGGAUUGUCCUUGCCUGGGUCAUCGAGGGCUAUCCUCUCUUGACCUACCUUCGCUGACCUAGGCGAGGGUUGCCCUCACUUGAGUCCGGCUUUUCUCCGUUGUGGUCAGCAAAGGGAAGAGAUAACAAGAAAAAAGGGAAAAAAAGAAAAAGGAAAAACAGAAAAAUGAAAAAAAAAAGACGAAAAUGCCUAUGGCCAGAGAGUUUGGAGUAAAUGGGUCAGGAUUGACAAAGUUUGGCAUUUUUUGUGUCACAAAAAAAAGCUUGAGAUAAAUUUAUUAUUCUGGGUAAAGUUUAGAGUUUUUGGUGAUUUUUUCCCAACACCAGCAGAUUUUGUUAAUUCAAUUUUCAAUUAUCACAAGAAACUUACACCCUACAUAGAUUAAUUAAUUGAAAAGUCUUUAGGAAAGGGCACCACCCUAGGGGCUUUCUUCUGUCAACCCACUUUAUAAUUGUCCCCACUACUCUUUGUCGGUCAUUUAGCAACUUGCUUUUUCUCAUCGACUACCAGCACUUUGCUUUUUGGUCUUCCAAUAAGUCAUAUAAUAAUUUCAACUUUUCUUAAAGAAAGAAAGCCCUUAUUCUUCUUUUCACAAAUGACGUUUGAUUGUUGAUAUGGACGCUUAUUCUGUUCAAUGGUUGAUUCAAUAAAGGGUGGGAAGUGUUUGCAAAAGAUUAGGGCUUGUUUAUGUAAGACUAAGCAUAUGACUGUUCAAAAUUUUUAAAUAUUUUAAAAAAAUGAAAAAAUUUACAUACGAAUUUACGUGCCAACAUUUUUAAAUUGUAAAAGUUUAAGGUAUUUUGGUUUUUUUUAAAAAAAAAUCAAAAUAUGAGAAAAAUAUGUUAAAAAAAAGAAGAUCAUUUUAUAUAGAUAGUUAUGAUUUGACAUGAAUGACCAUGGAGGCCAACUCUUUGGCAUUAUUUAUCGCUAAGUAGCAAUAGCAAUUUAUGCUUGUGGGAAGUGGGAGAAAAUUGUGAUAAUGAAAUGCUGUGCAUGCAAUUAUCUAAUGAUUAAAUCUUUCAACAUGUUAGAUAUUCCUCCUCUUGAAUAUGCAGAUUUCUAGGUUCCCUCGGGCAAAAUACGAAAUACUAUUCUACGGUGCAUUUGGUUCAGCAUUCCCAGAGGGCUUUCAGUCUCCAAAGCCCCUUGGGGAAAUAAAAUAUUGAUCAGCAACUUAUUUAGACGAUAACUUAUUAGUUAUCAAUAGUUUUGUUAUCGUACUAACAUUUAUUUGUACUUUUAAAAUUACGCAUUAUUUUCAUAGUUUAUCAAUAUUAAUUUAUGUGACUUACCAACGCGUUAAAGGUACUAUCUUUCUUUAUCCGUAUCUUUCUAUAAAUGCGGAUAUGACAUCCCUCGAACUAGCCCUUUUAGCCUUCCCACGAUUGUCCUUCUCUUGGGCAACUUUUUUAUGGGUAGCUUGGAUGGUGUUGACAACAUCAGAGUUGGAAGCCACCGCUAUCACGCGCUGAUCCUCUGAGCGUGUGCCCAUCCCUCGGUGGUCGAUUCCCACGAUGCGUCACCAACCCAUACAUUUUAUGCGCAUGCGAAAGCAAAUAAAUAAAUCCCCAUACAACAACAAGAUGGAAUAGAAAAGCAGGGCCACAAAUUUUUGAAAACCAAACCUUACCUUUAUAUACAUAUCACACCAAGUCAAUUACAAAACUAGCCGACUAUAUAAUGCCCUAUAUCGACUUUUCGCCAAAAAUCUCGGUUUGCAGAAAAAUCUUUGGAGGAUGAGUCAACGUUCCUAAAAUGACUUAUGACAUGCUAAAAUCUCAAUUUUUGAAAUCAAAUUCAAUUUCGUAGUUAAUUUCAAUCCAGAGCGAUUUUAGCGUGACCCAGCCUACCGGGUAGCUUUUAGAAAUUUUUAGUGCAAAUGACCCGUAAUCGAUUUUCUUCGAGCCACGAUGUACCUCUUCGACAUAUUGGCGACUCUCGGUGGUCAUAAAAAUCUCGAAAUUUCAAAUACGGACACAGAGUACCAAAAUAACAGAAAAAUUAGCCUAGUACCGGUCGAUGAGAAUUUUUAUAAUUUGGUGGAAUCAUCCACGUUUAGCUACACAUCUCUGUCGAACCGACCUAUCUCUGAUCUUUAAUCGACUUUUAGCUGUGCCGUAAUGAUUUAUGUAGAUAGGCACGAUCGAAUGGUCGAUUCUUAGUCGAAUUCCCAAGUCUAUUGUCCAAAAAUCCCUUAAUGACUUUCUCAGAUAGUCUAGUUAUCUCAGGAGUGAUUAGCUCUAAGAAUAGCAUAAUAGGCGCGUCGAUGAAAUGCCUGAUUUAUUUAAUUGAAAACAAAAUUGAAAUUCUAGAAUGUCACAACUCUUCCCCUCUUAUAAAAAUUUCAUCAUUGAAAUUUAAACAAUUACAACACUUUAAGCAAAAAGGUGAGGGUACAAUUGUCUCAUCGACUCUUCACUCUUCCAAGUUAAUCCUUCAGUGUCAUGGUAUUGCCAGACCACUUUGACCAAUGGAAUGGUCUUGGUGCACAGAACCUAUUCUUUUCGAUCCACAAUCUGAACUGGAUUUUCAACGUAUGACACUUUGUCGUCCACGUCCAAUUUCUCAAAAUUAAGUACGUGGGUCGGGUCAAGCUCAUACUUCCUUAACAUCGACACGUGAAAGACGUCGUGCACUUGCGCUAGUCUCGGCGACAGUGCAAGACGAUACGCUAGGAUCCCGAUUCUCUCUAGAAUCUUAAAGGGACCUACGUACCUCGGACUUAGCUUUCCAUUCUUGCUACAGCGCGAAAUACCUCUUAUUGGUGACACUUUCAUAAAAAUGUGAUCACCAACUUGAAAUUCCAAUGGUCUCCGGCGCUUAUCGGCGUAGCUUUUCUGGCGGCCCUGAGCGGUCUUUAACCUAUUCCUGAUGACUGCAACUGCAUCCACUGACAGCUGGACUAACUCUGGGCCUAUAAUCUUUCUUUCCCUAAGCUCAUCCCAACAAACUGGCGUUCUACAUGCUUUGCCAUACAACGCUCAAAAGGAGCCAUCUGAAUGCUCUGUUGGUAGCUGUUGUUGUAGGCAAACUCGACAAGAUGAAGUUGUUCCUCCCAGCUUCCCUUGAAGUCUAACAUGCAAGCUCGCAGCAUGUCUUUGAGGGUCUGAAUUGUCCUCUCAGACUGGCCAUCUGUUUGAGGAUGAUAAGCCGUAUUAUACUGCAGCUUCGUUCUUAAGGCAGCUUGUAAACUCUUCCAAAAAAUAGCUGUAAAUCUUAGGUCUCGGUCUGAGGUAAUCGUUACUGGCACUCUAUGCAGACGAACUAUCUGACGCACAUACAACUCUGCAUCUUAUCCAAAUUAAGGUCCUUUCAUACUGCAAUGAAGUGAGUCGACUUUGUCAAUCUGUCGACCAUUACCCAAAUGGAGUCAUUACCUCUCUGACUCCUCGGUAAACCAGUCACAAAAUCCAUCGUGAUGUGCUCCCAUUUCCACUCUGGGAUCUCAAGAGGUUACAGAAGUCCUCCCGGCUUACAAUGUUGUGCAUUCACUUGCUGACACGCAGACACUUGGCGACAUGCUUGGCGAUGUCUGCCUUCAUACCAAACCACCAAUAGUGUUGACGCAGAUUCUGAUACAUUUUCGUACGGCUAAGAUGAAUGCUGUAAUUGCUACGAUGAGCUUCUGAUAAGAUCUCCUCUCUAAGCUCUGCAUCGUCAGGUACACAUGAUUGUCCUCGGAACCUUAGUGUUCCAUCCUCAGAAAUGUGAAAAUCAGCAUUUCUCUUAUCGGUGUCCUCAUGUAGAAUCUUUUGAACAUCCGGGUCUGUCGACUAAAGUAAUUUGAUCCUGAUCUACACAUCUGGCUCAAUUCUAAGGGUGGCCAUAAGAUUUGAAAAGUUGCCUACCUCAAAUUGAAAACCGAAUCUCAAGCUCUCUCGAGUAAAUUCCAAUCCUUAACCAGCAUAUGAGCGACUGAAGACUUCCGACUUAAAGCAUCGGCGACCUUAUUCACCUUCCCGGGGGUGAUAUAGAAUAUCACAAUCAUUGUCCUUCAGAAGUUCCAUCUAGUAGCACUGUCUCAUAUUCAACUCCUUUUGAGAGAAUAGAUAAUUGAGACUUUGAUGGUCGGUGAAGAUUUGGAAUCUUUCUCUACACAAAUAAUGUCUCCAAAUCUUCAAAGCGAAAAUUAUUGUGGCGAGUUCUAAGUCAUGCGUCGGGUAAUUUAUUUCUUGAGGUCUCAAUUAACAGGAGGUGUAUGCCACAACCUUACCAUGUUGCAUUAGCACGCAACCUAAUCCUUUGAACGACGCAUCACUAUAGAUCUCGUAUCCUCCAUGACCAGAUGGCAUGGUCAGCACAGUUGUGGUAGUCAGCUUUUGCUUAAACUCUUGAAAACUAUGCUUGCACUUGUUUAUCCACACAAACUUCUCAUCCUUCUUUAAGAGUCGAGUCAACAGUGAUGCCAAGGCUGAAAAUCCUUCCACGAACCGUCUAUAGUAACCUUCCAAACCCAAGAAGCUUAUGAUCUUUGUCAUUGUAGUUAUUUUUGGCCAGUUGGUGAUUGCUUCGAUGUUGGACGGGUCCAUGGAGAUUCCUUCACCUGAAAUCACGUGACCUAAGAAUGCAACACAAGUCAACCAAAACUCGCACUUGCUGAACUUGGCGUACAACUGUUGAAUCCUUAGAGUCUGUAGUACCAUUCUCAGAUGACUCUCAUAUUUCUCAGCACUCCUCGAAUAUACCAUAAUAUCAUUGAUGAAUACGAUCACGAACUGAUCCAUAUAUUCUUUAAAUACUCAGUUCAUAAGAUCCAUAAAAGCAGCUGAGGCGUUCGUCAAACCUGUUGACACCUAAAUUUUUGCACAAUUUUUGGGUUAAUAAAAAAAAACACACACACACACAAGGCAUAUAGUUUAGAAACAUUUUAUUCUUAUUUUCAUUUUGGUUUAUUUUAUUUUGGGCCACUAGUGAAGGGAAGAUUUUUCACAUAUUCCGUUUAGAUUUUUCAUAUUUUUAGGUAAUAUACACUAAGGGGUGUAUUUUGUGCAAAGAGAGAAUUUUUCUGGAUAGAAUAUGCGAGAAAUACAAAAGGGAAUAUUGUGCGGGGUAUGUAUAUUUCAACAACAUAUUUAGGGGUAUCAUGCGCAAGCAAAAAAGGAAAAAAUAUAUGUCGUGAGGGUACAUUUUUUGGACCUAUAAAAUACAUUACGCGCAAAGUAAAAGGGGGUCCAUUCCGUCGGUAAAAAAAGAGCAAAAGGUGAAAAAGUGAGAGAGGAAAAGUAGAAAAAAAAGAGAAAAAAAAGAGAGAAGAAAAGCCCCCCCUUUCUUUGUGCGAUUGUUCAUCUUCCCCGCAGGGGGGCCUUCGCCGGCCUUGUUACCAUUGAACCCCGCCGUCGCCGUCGCUGAUCUUCGUCUGCGAGCGCUCGAGCCGCCAGUCUCUACCCGCGAGCCCCGACGACCUGCGCCGCCCCGACGCUGAGCCCCCAGAGCCUCGACGACAUGCCUCCGCCUCGUCUCUGGCUGCGCUGCAAUAUUGCCCCUGGACGUGGCGCCAAUCCCUGCCGUUGCGACCCUCCUCUGCAAAUAUGUCUCUGCCGUCAAAUCUCAAGCCACUGGUGACCCGGAGCCGCAGCCGAGCCGAGAUCCAGCCGCCAGAGUCCCUCCGCCUGCAAAUCCGAGGUCCCUGACGACAGAAGGCCCGGACCCAGCUUGACACUUCCCUUUCGCCGGUGCCGAGCCUCGUUGAAGACCUAGAUCUGACGCCGCCCUCGCUCCGCAUCGCGACGCUCGCGCCCCGAUUCGAUUCUCUCCUCGCGACGCCUGCUCCUAGAUCCGACGAUGCCCCAUGCCAAUCCGUGACGCCUGCACUCGGAUCUGACGUCAGCCCUGUACCGGCCCGUGUCUUCAUCCUCGCUAGAGCCCUCGCCGGAACCCUAGCCGGCGAUCUUUCCCCCACUGGAGCUCUAAAACCAGCGGCCAAGAUUUCCUUUUUCUUUCUUUAAAAAAAAAGAAAAAGAAAAAAAGAAAAAAAAUUAAAUUAGGUAUUUUUGCUUUACUUUAUUAGGCAAGUUUAGGUUUUUCUCUAUUUCUUUAUUAUUAUUAUCCCUUUAUAUUUUGUUUUCUUUGGUUGAAAUACCUAUCUAUGCAUAAUUAGAAAUUUCAACAUAUCACCUGAUUCGUAACCGCGCCAGGGUUUUUUUUAUUAUUUCAUCUAUAAGGCUUUAGAUGAAAUAAUUAAUCAAGUGGGAAUAAAAUUGAUAUUUUGAUCUUUAAGGCUUAAGAUCAAUUUAUCGAUUUUACUAGCGAAAUAUUUUCUCUUGAUCUGAAUGAUGUGUGAUAUUUUUGAUGAUUUUGAAUGAGUUGUCUCGUCUUAAUUGCCUUGUUUAUCUUGUGAUAUGUUUGGGUUAGAAUAUUGCAUAGUUUACAUGUUUAGAAUAGGAAUUUUAUUUCAAAUUUUAAAAAAAUCAAAAUUCAAAUAAAUCAAUUUAGGUUGUUAGAUUUUAAUUUAGGUUGCAUGUUUAAUUAUUUGGCAAUUAUUAAUUUCGAAAAUUAAUAAAAGCAACAAAAAAUCAUCAUGCAUAUGUCAUGUAGAAUUAUGGCAUAUUUUCACAUCAUUGCAUAUUAGGGUUAAAUUGCACUUAAUUUAAUUUUAGAUAGUUUUUUUUAAUUUAUUAUAAGUUUAGGUAUUUUUUAGUUAUAUUGCAUUUUAGGAUUAUUUAGGUUAAGAUAAUGUUUUAGUUUAAAUUAGGGUUUGACUCAACCUAAUUCCUAAUAUAAAUUAAAUAGGAUCUUAAUCUAAUUAGGUAAUUUUCACAUUUCACCAAAUUUCGAAUUUCAUGAAAAAUAUUAAAAAAUGUCAUAGGUUAAAUUAGUUUUAUUAUUUAGAAUAAAAUGCAUUCUUUUAGGAAAAGGAAAAAAUGUCAUAUGCAUGUCAUUAGGGUUAGAUUCAUUGAAAUGCAUGUCAUUUAGUAUUUUUGCUAGGCCCAUUUAAUUAGAAAUUACAUGUCAUUAGGAUUAGGUCAUUUAGUUAAUAUCGCAUUGCAUAUUGCAUGAUUUUCAUUAAUUAAGUGAAAAAAAAGAAAUUGCGUGUUAAUUAGAAACCAUAUCUAGGGUUGUUGAUGUGGAUUUUAAUUUAACAUUGCAGAUGCUUUCGUUGCUUGGAGGUAAGUUUUUGCAAUUUGUUUAUUGUUUAUCUGGGUGUUAAAUUGGUGGUUUGUGCAUACGCAUGAUAACCUCAUAUGUUAGGGAAAUAGAUUUAAAAUCAAUUCAAGCUGCUUGCCAAACAUUUUUGAAAAUAAAAGAAUGGUACUGAAAGGGCGUUAGAAAAGUCUAGCGUAACCAAGUCCCCGAACUCAUAAUCUCUGGUUUGUAGGAGUAAAGUAAAUCUCCCAUUACUUUACUUGGGUUUCUAAUCGACCCACCAAAAAAUAGAUUAGUGGCAACUCCUGAUUAAAAAAUCAAUUGCAUGCUAAGAACUUGAACCUAAGUCGUGAAUUGGUAUGGGCUUGGGAGAGCUCGAGUUAAGUUUAAGCUUAACAAUCCAUUAGCCAAACCCUAGGUGGUUUACACCCGAAAAAUUGGUCACGACAAAAUCAAAUGGCAUUACAAUGAACUCAUAAUGGCCGUAUCAAGUACGAAAUGCUGACUUUGGAAUGUCCUCCUUCCUGAUUCUUAGCUGAUGAUAUUCGAUCCUUAAGUCGAUUUUUGAAAAUAUCGACGCUCAUUGUAACUGAUCAAACAAGUCAUCGAUCCUUGGCAGUGGAUACUUGUUCUUGAUUGUCCCUUGAUUGAGCUGACGAUAGUCGAUGCACAACUGCAACGAACCAUCUUUCUUCUUCAUGAAUAGAAUNNNNNNNNNNNNNNNNNNNNNNNNNNNNNNNNNNNNNNNNNNNNNNNNNNNNNNNNNNNNNNNNNNNNNNNNNNNNNNNNNNNNNNNNNNNNNNNNNNNNNNNNNNNNNNNNNNNNNNNNNNNNNNNNNNNNNNNNNNNNNNNNNNNNNNNNNNNNNNNNNNNNNNNNNNNNNNNNNNNNNNNNNNNNNNNNNNNNNNNNNNNNNNNNNNNNNNNNNNNNNNNNNNNNNNNNNNNNNNNNNNNNNNNNNNNNNNNNNNNNNNNNNNNNNNNNNNNNNNNNNNNNNNNNNNNNNNNNNNNNNNNNNNNNNNNNNNNNNNNNNNNNNNNNNNNNNNNNNNNNNNNNNNNNNNNNNNNNNNNNNNNNNNNNNNNNNNNNNNNNNNNNNNNNNNNNNNNNNNNNNNNNNNNNNNNNNNNNNNNNNNNNNNNNNNNNNNNNNNNNNNNNNNNNNNNNNNNNNNNNNNNNNNNNNNNNNNNNNNNNNNNNNNNNNNNNNNNNNNNNNNNNNNNNNNNNNNNNNNNNNNNNNNNNNNNNNNNNNNNNNNNNNNNNNNNNNNNNNNNNNNNNNNNNNNNNNNNNNNNNNNNNNNNNNNNNNNNNNNNNNNNNNNNNNNNNNNNNNNNNNNNNNNNNNNNNNNNNNNNNNNNNNNNNNNNNNNNNNNNNNNNNNNNNNNNNNNNNNNNNNNNNNNNNNNNNNNNNNNNNNNNNNNNNNNNNNNNNNNNNNNNNNNNNNNNNNNNNNNNNNNNNNNNNNNNNNNNNNNNNNNNNNNNNNNNNNNNNNNNNNNNNNNNNNNNNNNNNNNNNNNNNNNNNNNNNNNNNNNNNNNNNNNNNNNNNNNNNNNNNNNNNNNNNNNNNNNNNNNNNNNNNNNNNNNNNNNNNNNNNNNNNNNNNNNNNNNNNNNNNNNNNNNNNNNNNNNNNNNNNNNNNNNNNNNNNNNNNNNNNNNNNNNNNNNNNNNNNNNNNNNNNNNNNNNNNNNNNNNNNNNNNNNNNNNNNNNNNNNNNNNNNNNNNNNNNNNNNNNNNNNNNNNNNNNNNNNNNNNNNNNNNNNNNNNNNNNNNNNNNNNNNNNNNNNNNNNNNNNNNNNNNNNNNNNNNNNNNNNNNNNNNNNNNNNNNNNNNNNNNNNNNNNNNNNNNNNNNNNNNNNNNNNNNNNNNNNNNNNNNNNNNNNNNNNNNNNNNNNNNNNNNNNNNNNNNNNNNNNNNNNNNNNNNNNNNNNNNNNNNNNNNNNNNNNNNNNNNNNNNNNNNNNNNNNNNNNNNNNNNNNNNNNNNNNNNNNNNNNNNNNNNNNNNNNNNNNNNNNNNNNNNNNNNNNNNNNNNNNNNNNNNNNNNNNNNNNNNNNNNNNNNNNNNNNNNNNNNNNNNNNNNNNNNNNNNNNNNNNNNNNNNNNNNNNNNNNNNNNNNNNNNNNNNNNNNNNNNNNNNNNNNNNNNNNNNNNNNNNNNNNNNNNNNNNNNNNNNNNNNNNNNNNNNNNNNNNNNNNNNNNNNNNNNNNNNNNNNNNNNNNNNNNNNNNNNNNNNNNNNNNNNNNNNNNNNNNNNNNNNNNNNNNNNNNNNNNNNNNNNNNNNNNNNNNNNNNNNNNNNNNNNNNNNNNNNNNNNNNNNNNNNNNNNNNNNNNNNNNNNNNNNNNNNNNNNNNNNNNNNNNNNNNNNNNNNNNNNNNNNNNNNNNNNNNNNNNNNNNNNNNNNNNNNNNNNNNNNNNNNNNNNNNNNNNNNNNNNNNNNNNNNNNNNNNNNNNNNNNNNNNNNNNNNNNNNNNNNNNNNNNNNNNNNNNNNNNNNNNNNNNNNNNNNNNNNNNNNNNNNNNNNNNNNNNNNNNNNNNNNNNNNNNNNNNNNNNNNNNNNNNNNNNNNNNNNNNNNNNNNNNNNNNNNNNNNNNNNNNNNNNNNNNNNNNNNNNNNNNNNNNNNNNNNNNNNNNNNNNNNNNNNNNNNNNNNNNNNNNNNNNNNNNNNNNNNNNNNNNNNNNNNNNNNNNNNNNNNNNNNNNNNNNNNNNNNNNNNNNNNNNNNNNNNNNNNNNNNNNNNNNNNNNNNNNNNNNNNNNNNNNNNNNNNNNNNNNNNNNNNNNNNNNNNNNNNNNNNNNNNNNNNNNNNNNNNNNNNNNNNNNNNNNNNNNNNNNNNNNNNNNNNNNNNNNNNNNNNNNNNNNNNNNNNNNNNNNNNNNNNNNNNNNNNNNNNNNNNNNNNNNNNNNNNNNNNNNNNNNNNNNNNNNNNNNNNNNNNNNNNNNNNNNNNNNNNNNNNNNNNNNNNNNNNNNNNNNNNNNNNNNNNNNNNNNNNNNNNNNNNNNNNNNNNNNNNNNNNNNNNNNNNNNNNNNNNNNNNNNNNNNNNNNNNNNNNNNNNNNNNNNNNNNNNNNNNNNNNNNNNNNNNNNNNNNNNNNNNNNNNNNNNNNNNNNNNNNNNNNNNNNNNNNNNNNNNNNNNNNNNNNNNNNNNNNNNNNNNNNNNNNNNNNNNNNNNNNNNNNNNNNNNNNNNNNNNNNNNNNNNNNNNNNNNNNNNNNNNNNNNNNNNNNNNNNNNNNNNNNNNNNNNNNNNNNNNNNNNNNNNNNNNNNNNNNNNNNNNNNNNNNNNNNNNNNNNNNNNNNNNNNNNNNNNNNNNNNNNNNNNNNNNNNNNNNNNNNNNNNNNNNNNNNNNNNNNNNNNNNNNNNNNNNNNNNNNNNNNNNNNNNNNNNNNNNNNNNNNNNNNNNNNNNNNNNNNNNNNNNNNNNNNNNNNNNNNNNNNNNNNNNNNNNNNNNNNNNNNNNNNNNNNNNNNNNNNNNNNNNNNNNNNNNNNNNNNNNNNNNNNNNNNNNNNNNNNNNNNNNNNNNNNNNNNNNNNNNNNNNNNNNNNNNNNNNNNNNNNNNNNNNNNNNNNNNNNNNNNNNNNNNNNNNNNNNNNNNNNNNNNNNNNNNNNNNNNNNNNNNNNNNNNNNNNNNNNNNNNNNNNNNNNNNNNNNNNNNNNNNNNNNNNNNNNNNNNNNNNNNNNNNNNNNNNNNNNNNNNNNNNNNNNNNNNNNNNNNNNNNNNNNNNNNNNNNNNNNNNNNNNNNNNNNNNNNNNNNNNNNNNNNNNNNNNNNNNNNNNNNNNNNNNNNNNNNNNNNNNNNNNNNNNNNNNNNNNNNNNNNNNNNNNNNNNNNNNNNNNNNNNNNNNNNNNNNNNNNNNNNNNNNNNNNNNNNNNNNNNNNNNNNNNNNNNNNNNNNNNNNNNNNNNNNNNNNNNNNNNNNNNNNNNNNNNNNNNNNNNNNNNNNNNNNNNNNNNNNNNNNNNNNNNNNNNNNNNNNNNNNNNNNNNNNNNNNNNNNNNNNNNNNNNNNNNNNNNNNNNNNNNNNNNNNNNNNNNNNNNNNNNNNNNNNNNNNNNNNNNNNNNNNNNNNNNNNNNNNNNNNNNNNNNNNNNNNNNNNNNNNNNNNNNNNNNNNNNNNNNNNNNNNNNNNNNNNNNNNNNNNNNNNNNNNNNNNNNNNNNNNNNNNNNNNNNNNNNNNNNNNNNNNNNNNNNNNNNNNNNNNNNNNNNNNNNNNNNNNNNNNNNNNNNNNNNNNNNNNNNNNNNNNNNNNNNNNNNNNNNNNNNNNNNNNNNNNNNNNNNNNNNNNNNNNNNNNNNNNNNNNNNNNNNNNNNNNNNNNNNNNNNNNNNNNNNNNNNNNNNNNNNNNNNNNNNNNNNNNNNNNNNNNNNNNNNNNNNNNNNNNNNNNNNNNNNNNNNNNNNNNNNNNNNNNNNNNNNNNNNNNNNNNNNNNNNNNNNNNNNNNNNNNNNNNNNNNNNNNNNNNNNNNNNNNNNNNNNNNNNNNNNNNNNNNNNNNNNNNNNNNNNNNNNNNNNNNNNNNNNNNNNNNNNNNNNNNNNNNNNNNNNNNNNNNNNNNNNNNNNNNNNNNNNNNNNNNNNNNNNNNNNNNNNNNNNNNNNNNNNNNNNNNNNNNNNNNNNNNNNNNNNNNNNNNNNNNNNNNNNNNNNNNNNNNNNNNNNNNNNNNNNNNNNNNNNNNNNNNNNNNNNNNNNNNNNNNNNNNNNNGCUGUCUCAUGCGGUGGCAGUGUCAUCAUCCGUAGCAUCGUCCAUCCUAAAGGACAAGUAUGGAUUAGUAUUCGCGAUUAUCAGGGCCCCCAUGCAGGAUCUAGUCGGACUCUCUCGUCAGAGUGUUCCGGUAUAUGUCAGUCCAGGAAUUAGAGGGACUGUCUAUAUCAGGACUCUCGACCUGUAGAUGGGAUGGUAGACCGUAAAAUACAUCCGGGAUAGAUGGUAGGAAGCGGCAUACUGUUGAUAUGAAAUGUGGAUCCCCAAGCGGGUGAGCCCUCCCACUCAGCAGCUACGGAAGUCCAAGGACAACGGAGUGGAUCAGGAAAAUAAUACAUCCAUAGCAGGCAUUAGUUACCAUGAAUCCAUGCACAUACUAUCAUGCAUCAUCAUAUCAAUUUAUUACACAUUCAGGUGGAUCAUCAUGGUUUCAUUCAUGUCAUCAUGGGCAUGACUUCAUUCCAUGACACAUGUCAUGAUCAUCAGGGCAUCAUUACAUCACCAUGCAUAUCAUCAUGCAUAUCAUAUCAUGGAUGAUCAUCAUUAUUUCACAUCACAUAUCAUUAUCAUCAUCAUCAUCAUCAUCAUCAUCAUGCAUAUCAUAUCAUGGGUGAUCAUCAUUAUUUCACAUCACAUAUCAUCAUCAUCAUUAUCAUCAUGCAUAUCAUAUCAUGGGUGAUCAUCAUUAUUUCACAUCACAUAUCAUCAUCAUCAUCAUCAUCAUCAUCAUCAUGCAUAUCAUCAUGCAUAUCAUAUCAUGGGUGAUCAUCAUUAUUUCACAUUACAUAUCAGGGGGGGGGGAUCAUCAUGCAUAUCAGAGAAAAGGGGUAAUUUCCACUUUUAGCUUUCAAUUUGAUCACCACAUCACCCAUUCCUCAAAUCAUCAAUUUCAUCAUCCUCUCGGGCAAAGACCUCCGAGGCUUCCGGCAUUCAGCCUCCCAGGCCACCGGGCAUCCGGCGCCCCACAUUCCAGGCAUCUUGCAUCUCAACUAGCAUCACGAGGCAUUCCCUUCGGGCAGAAACCUCCGAUAGGGCUUCCGGCAUUUACACUCCCUGGCCGAGCAUCCCGCACCCCAAUUUGGCAUCGCGAGGCAUUCCCUUCGAGCAAAGACCUCCGACAGGGCUUCCGGCCCCCCCACAUUCCGGGCAUCCUGAAUCUCCCAGGGAAAUCCGGCAAUGCAUCUCUAUACAUUCCGGGCUCAUCCUCACCACAACACUUCUCACUUAUCAUUUCCACAUUACCAUUAUUUUGAUCUCAAUUUAACAUGACAUAUGGCGUGACAUCAAGCAAGUCAUACUUGGCACACAUGCAUCACAACUCAAUGUCAUACACCAAUAUCUCAUCAUACAUGCAACAAUGUAUAAUUAUUUGUUAAUAAAUUCAAUGGAAUUUAUGGCCAAUAAAAUAAUCCAUUUUAUUUAUUAUUAUUAUUAUUAUUAUUAUUAUUAUUAUUAUUAUUAUUAUUAUUUUAAAUAAAUAAAUAUUUAAUUCAAUAUCUAUAAAUUCCCAAAAUUUCAAAAAUUCAAGCAAUCAUUAAACAAACCAAUAGGAUGACAAUUUCAUGCAAAAUUCAUGGCCAAAUUGAAUUUCACACAAUUUCACAAUUUCCACAAAACAGCACAUAAUAUUCGGAUAAAACCAGAAUGCACAGUUUCCGAAGAAAUUAGAUUAAAAUAUCCAUACGGUCUCCAAAAAUUACGAAAUUUUACAGAGUGAUAGCCAAGACAUUUUCGCACAACUUUCAUGAAGAACUCCAAGCCAGAUUAUUUUUAGAUUAUUUUAUACAACCUCACGAAGCUUCUGGACCCAUCACCGCAUCGUCCAGUGCACAUAUCACCGAAAUAUUGAGAUUUCACCUACCUAUUCUCUUUAUUUUUCUCUGAAAUUUGGAUAUGUUAUACAUCAAGAUAUUCUAUACAAGUUUCAUGAAGAGAUCUAAGUCAAAUAACCAGAGUAUAGUCAUCAUCUAUGUCCAUGAAGUCUCGGGUAUCUCAAAAUACAUCACCAGAAUCAUCUUCUUCAAGAUCUAGUGGAUUUACUAGGCUAUACUUGUUAAUUUCACUUAAAAUUUGAGUAUGUUGUAGUUUAAUAUGUCUCCUACAACUUUCAUGAAGAAAUCGAAGUGAGAUUCUCAACAAAAACCAACAUGCAACCACGAAUCCAGCAAGAGGUCAGUAAAAACUCUCCAGAUCUGAGGUCUCCGUAGAAACAAGACUUUAACCCCUCAAAUCUCCGUAAGUUUUCACGAAAUUUCAGUAUGUUGUAGUUAAAGAUGUUAGCUACAACUCUCAUGAAGAAAUCGAAGCCAAAAUCUGACUCUAAACACACAUUCAAGCUCAAAAAAGUUUCUGACUCACACGGUCCGAACACAAACAGCCACACCAUUCACACACAACUCAUCCAUGCUUCGGUUUUUCUCAUCUAACACCCAAAAACUCAACAUGCAAACGACACACAAGCAUGCAAGAGAAUCUAGAGGACUCCCACUUGCCUCUAGAAUGAACGGUCGACGGCGUAGGGCGGCGAACACGGCGGCACACGGCGGACGAACGGCGACAACCCCUCGGCUCCGCCUCCUUCCUCUCUCGGCCUCUCCCUCUCUUUCUCGAAUUCUCUCUCCCUCUCUCACCCUCUCUCUCGGCCAAAAGAAAUCCGGCCACUCUCCUCUCUCUCUUCCCUUUUAUUUCCCCAACUUCUCAUGAUUAGCAAUCAUGAGAUUGCCUUUCAUUUGGCCAAUGCAUGGCCUUCUCCUUUGCCACUUGUCCUAUUGAAUUUUGAAUUGGGUUUGGGCUUCUUGGGCUUGGGCUCCUUUAUGGCCGGCGACUACUCCCUCUUGGGCCUCUAUAGGGCCGGCGACAGCCCCCUUUUAGUGGGCCUAAUUGGGCCGACUAACUUGGCCCAUUAAGCUUAGGCCAAUGGGCCUAAGGCCCAUUCCAAAUAUUGACCUUUUUCCCCCUUUUUUUUUUUGAAUUUCUUCUAUAAAUAUUUUUAAAUUUUAAUUUUCAUCUUGGCCAAAGUCUUGGGGCAUCUUGGUUAUUGAAAUUUAAUUUAUAAAGUACAUGGCCAAGCAUAAAUUAUUAAUCUAUCAAAUUUAAAUUUUCACAAUCAUAUGCACAAAUCAUCUAAUUAAAGACUAAUGGCUAAGGUAUAAACCUUAGGAAAUUUUAUCGCCUAAUUAGAAACUUUAACACACCUUAUGGCUUGGCUUUGAAUUUUGGGAUGCCACGCCAAGGCGAUGCAUUGGGACGUAUGAAUCCCUUAUCCAACAACUCCUGCAUCUGCACCUUUAGUUCUUUCAAUUUUGACAAUGACAUCCGGUAAUGAGCCUUAGAGAUUGGCUUUAUCCUGAGUGCUAAUUCAAUCACAAACUCGAUCUCUCUCUCUGGCGGUAGACCUAGCAAUUCGUUUGGGAAUACGUUUGGAAAUUCUUGCACCACUGCAAUAUCUUCAAUCUUCAGUUCCUCAAUGGACGUAUCCACAAUAGUUGCCCAGGUAACCUUGACAACUCUCGUCUAACAAACGGGUUGCCUCAAGUGACGAGAACAAGGUAAUCAUGGGUCCUCCUCGAUUCCUGACAAACUCGUAACUUUCACCCUCUAAUGGGUUAAACUAAAUCCCUUUACGGUAACAGUCCAUCUUUAGCUCAUUGCUUGGUGAGUCAGUCCAUGCCAAUUAUCAAAUCAAAGUCAUACAUGGCUAGGACUAACAAGUUUAUUUUCCCUUCUUGCUCACUAAUCGCUAACUUACAACCAGAAUAACCCAAUGCAGAAAACACCUUAUCCUUUUAACGGUGUAGAUAUGCUAACCACUGAUUCCAGCAACUCAGGACUUAAUCCUAUUAGCUUAACAUAUUGCUCGACAAUAAAAGAAUGAGUCCCUCUAGGGUCAAAUAAAACAUAAGUAGCAUGGUCGUUUAGCGAAACCGUACCUGUCAUCACGUCAGGCAUAUCCUCCGCCCGACCUCUUGUGAUGGCAUACAUUGUUUCUUGAGUUGGGGGUCUGACUUGUGCACCCUGCGGUGCGAACUGCAGCGCUGCACCCCUUAUUUGACCCACCUAUGGCGGCGGUGGUAACUGCUGUUGUUGUCCUGGUCUUCUAGGACAAUCUCUAGCUAUGUGACCCCGCUGGCCACAUUCGAAACAAGCGCCUAUCCUUUGGGGGCACGGGGUCAAAUCAUGUCGCCUUCCACAAAAGCGGCAUAUUUCAUUCUGGCUUAAACCUACCUUGCCAACUCCACCCUUCCUAUUGGGCAGGACGUGGAAUCUUCCUCCGGUCAUGGGCUUCUUCCUAUACCGAUUCCCAUCUCAAUUUGAUCCAAACCGCGACCCAGAUGCGGCGGCUUGUUCGUUCUGGUCUCUCUUUAUCAGUUGGGCUCGUUCGUAAAGGUCAUUGUAGUCCUUUAAAUUAAAUGGCACUAGCGGGAUUUUCACUUCUGGUCUAAGCCCAUCUCUAAACCUUCUAGCUUGGUUUACUAGGUUCUUGACCAAUUCGGGGGUGUAUUGCGAUAGUUCAGCGAACUUUGCCUCAUAAUGAUCUACCGUCAUCGAACCUUGGCGAAGGUGCUGGAAUUCUGCCAUCUUCAGUUCUCUGGCACCGCAAAGAAGUACUUGUUCUUGAAGACUUCGUCAAAGGCGUUCCACUCUGGAACUACACCUUUAGGGAAUACCAUGCCUCUGGUGUCUUUCCACCAAGUGUUAGCGUUACGGUGCAGUUAGUAGGUUGCAAGGACUACCUUCUCCGUCUUUGUGCACAUUAGCAAUGCAAAGGCUUUCUCUAAGCCUUGGAUCCAUAAGGCUACGGCUUCGGGGUCUCCUGCCCUAGUGAACUUCGGCGGAUUUAAUUUUAGAAUUUGUUCCUCCAGCUUAAGCAUCGGUCUCUCUCUCCCAACCACUACGUUCCCUGGUGGAACGUCAGCGGGUGUGGCGACAGGUGCGGCAGCAGCAGCGACAUCUGUGGUGGCAUUAGCAGUAGCUAUGGUAGCGGUGGCUGAAGCGGCGGCACUGGCAGCUUGAAUCUGAGCUUGCUGAUCCAACCUGUUUCCUAGCAUCUCGAGUGCUUGCAUGAUCCCAGUGAACCUUGGUCCUCAGGGGCUACUACCCCAGCACCAAUGGGAGGCGGUGUUACUCCACUUAUGCUAGCCUAAGCUGGCACUCUACCAUGGCCUCCUCGGGUACUAACCCUCGCCGUCGUCCUACCCCGAGUAACAGGCCCUAUUGUAUGCUUUCUAGGAGUCCUCUGCUCCUGAUCACUCAUCUUGCAAGUUUUCUAUAGAAACCUACCUUCCAAUUCCACACAGAAUUAGAAGUUGAGCGAUCUACAGACAAACAAUUCUACCAAUCAACUAUCAUAGACAUGCACCAGGAUGAAGUAAAGGCCAUUCCUACUAACUAUCCCAUGAACUUAUCGCACCUUAUCACUCCAACCAUUAACCUGCUCUGAUACCACUAAACGGGAAUGUCACGCCCCAAUCCUCCGAGCGGGUGCCCAUCCCUCGGUGGUCAAUUAAUUAGCGACAUCCUUAGAGGUGUUGCUGAUCUAUUCAUUUUAUGCGCAUGCGGAAGCAAAUAAAUAAAUCCCCAGACAACAAUAAGAUGGGAUAGAAAAGCAGGGCCAUAAAUUUUUGAAAACAAAACCUUACCUUUAUAUAAAUAUUACACCAAGUCAAUUACAAAACUAGCCUACUGUAUACAUGGUCUGUAAAAAAAUGGGGAGGGGGGGUAUAGGCUACAGAUCCUCUAAUUAGUUGAGUCUUCGACUGAAUACUCUAGCGUCCCUGGCUCCGACAGACACGGGUCCACCACUAAACCACCUGGUGGGUCGGCCGUGCCUUUCCCAAAAGCAACCUCUAGUACAUACAUAGGGACCUCAGACUUCGGUAUGGGACCCUCUCUUUGUCCAUUCCGCUCCUGAUGAUACCAUGAUCUGUAUUGAUGGGGUACCUUCUAGGGUAGACCCACAACAACCUAGACCACGGACUUCACAAGUUCAUAGACCCAUCCCCUUGGGUUCCCAUAACACCUCUGUUUAGUGACCUUCUUCAGCUGUCCAAAAGGCUCGGGAGGAGCUGCCAUCUAGGGACCUGUAAAUGUCAUCCCACAAUGGGGUGAGAUGACGUCUCAGCAAGUUCAUCUCCUAAGUUCCGACUCAAAAGAAAAUAUGCCUUAAGGGCUACCUAAGCACAAGCAUAAGUUAGAGGACUCACCUUUGCCUCAGUUCUUUCUUGCAAGUUUGUACAAUUUAUAAAAUUCAACGCACCAAUUCAACACAUCAAAGCAUCAAAUCAGAUCGAGCCAUCGAUCAAUCGAACCGGUCAAUUCCAUGUCAUCAAGACUAUCUCUCGAUCAUUCCAUUCAAUACUAUCUAUAAAGUCCAAUCGCAUCAAGGACUGCUCACAUUAAGCUGAAGAUAGAUAGUAUAGCUCACUCUAAGCUGAUAAAGAGUAUAUUACUCGCGCUAAGUUGAUAUAUCAAAGCCCUCAGGCUGAUAUAGUUUACUGCUAAUGCUCACCGAAGCUGUGCGAUACUUAAUGUUCAUCAAAACUAUGCAAUACUUAAUGCUCACCAAAGCUGUGUGAUACUUAGGGUAUAUUGUUCACUAUAAGCUGAUGUAUCAAGCUCGCAGGCUUAUAAAUUAUACCAUUAUAAUCAACCCACAAUUUCACCACUUUUUUCAUACUCGAUAAAAAUAAUUGUGUGGGUACACGGUCGACAUUAGCCAAAAUAUAAUUUUUUUACUUAAAAAAUCCCACUAAUUAUAUAGCCGAUAAAAAAAAAAUUUGGCGCUAUAAACCGACGCUCGGUAAUUUUCUAAUUAAAUACUAAAAUACUAAAUUUUUGGAUAAAUACCCCAAAAUCAAAAUUCACACUCAAAUUGCACAAAUCUGCAUUCAAUUAAAUAAACCAAUCACACUAGUGGACUCAGCACAAAAUUCCAGUCAUCAACUAUCCCGGUCUAAUUUUCGAAAAGUAAUAAUUAAUUAAAUAAUUAAAAAAAUUAAUUAAUAAAUGCUAAUAAAAGCAACUUAGGCCGGAAAAGCCUAAUUAAAUACUGAAACAGGUCUGAAAAAUUCUGAACCUAACUAGAUAAAUACUACACCUUAUCUGGUUUCUAAUUACACUACUCUAACCACCUAACAUGCAAUAACGAUUAAUUAAAUCACUAAUCUAUUCUAACUAUCGAUCUAAUCCAUACGUAACUUAAACUAAUAAACCUUUAAGCAUAAUUAACUCCCUAAGAGGAGAUUAGUGAGUAAACUCACAAGUUUUGUGAUUCAAUGAGUUCACUAGGAUGGCGAAGUGGAGACGGGCCACAAACUCCAAAGCGAAUGCAUCAAGCGAGGUUCAGAAGGGCUUGGAAACGAGCCAAAUAGUGUGCUACAGACCUAGGAGCUUCGGUUAUAGUUGAGGGCCGAAGGAGAGAGCUGAGCUGCUGGUUAGGCGAGACAGGGCAGGCGAAGGCUACAACGGUCUAGGCGGGGCUUCACGACGGCAGACGGCGACUCACGGCGGCUCAGGCAACAGGAAUGACUUGCAGUGGUGGCUGGAUAGGCUUGAGGGACAAGCUAGACGUGGGAGGGGGUGGGACGAUGCACUGGAUCGGUGCGGUUCACGCGGGGACUCGCGGUGGCAACAACGGUGCUAUUCGACUUCGACAGGUUGCUCGACGGGUAAGGGGGGCUGCUCGGCUUCUCUUUGCAAUUUUUGGAACUUUAACCUUGCUGGAGAUAGAUGGGUCGACGGAAGAAAGGAGAGGGGGAGAAAACUUUGGCUUGGAGGGGGCCACUUCACUUCUAUCUUCUUGUCACCUAGAAGAGACGCCACCAUGGAUGGGCUAGCUUCCUCAGCUAAAAGCAGCCACAAAGCUUCCUUAGGAAGCUAAUGAGAGAGUCCAAAAGGUUGAGACAAGGGGGCUACGAAUUUGAAGGUAUCUGUCUCAAAUUGGAUUCAAUCCUCACUUGAAUGAACUCAAUUAGGCUUCUAAAAAUUCAACCAAGAUACUCACGAUUGAAUUAACAUCCUUCCACGCCAAUAGAACCAACUCGCAUCCCAAUUGCAUGAUAAAAAAUGGUCCCCUAAAUUUUCUGGUCGAAAAUAGCCCUAUAUCGACUUUUCUUCAAAAAUCUCGGUUUGCAGAAAAAUCUUCGGAGGAUGAGUUGACGUUCCUAAAAUGACUUGUGACAUAGCAGAACUUUCAAUUUCUGAAAUUAGAUUCAAUUUUGCGGUUAAUUUCAAUCUGGCGCGAUUUUAGUGUGACUUAGCCUACCGGAUAGCUUUUAGAAAUUUUUAGUGCAAAUGACCCGUGGUUGAUUUUUUUUAAGCCAUAAUGUACCUCUUCAACACAUUGGCGACUCUCGGUGGUCAUGAAAAUCUCAAGGUUUUAAAUACGGACACAGGGUACCAAAACGAGAAUUUUGGUCUCUAAUCAACUUUUAACUGUGUCGUAAUGAUCUCUGCAGAUGAGCACGGUCGAGUAGUCGAUUCCUAGCCGAAUUCCGAAGUCUAUUGCCUAAAAAUUCCUUAAUGACUUCCCCAUAUAGUCUAGUUGUCACGCCCCAAUCCUCGGGUGCGCGCCCAUUCCUUAACUGGUCGAUUAAUUUGCAACGUCCCAAGAAAGUCACCGACCCAUUCAUUUAUAUAUGAAUGCGAAAGUUUAAUAAAAUCCCUAGACAAUCGAACAAUGGGAUAGAAAAGUAGGAUCAUAUUUUUCAAACCAAGACAAGUCUUUAUAGACAAACUGGUUAAUUACAAACUUAGGCUUUCUGCAAAAUUAUCGGCUUAUCAAAAAGGGGACUGUCUUAACAUCCACUAGUCAGACCCAUUUGCCGAUUCUUCAGCCUCCACCUUCCGAACUCCAAGACUUUUGGUCCUCCACGAUUGUCAUCUAGGGACCUGAAAUAUUGUCCCACAGCCGGGAUGAGACUAUGUCUUAGCAAGUUUUACCUCACUAAGACCUGAUUAGGAAGCUAAUACGCCAUAAAGGCUGCCUAAGCACAACAUAGGUCAAAGGGCUUACCUUGGCCUCAGUUCCUUUUCAAUCAAUAAUAUUGAUAACUACAUCAAUCAAACACAUUCCACCAAUAAGAUCAACUCAGCGAUCAAUCGACUUAAUCGAUUACAUGUCACCACGACCUUUCCUUAGUCGGUACAUUCAAUACUAUCUAUAAAGUCCGACCAUAGUCUAGGACUACUCACCCAAAGCUGAAAAUAGAUAGUAUAGCUCGCCCAAACCUGAUAAUAUAGUAUAUUAUGUAUAUGCUCACCCAAAGUUGAUAGAUUAGGGCCCCCAGGCCAAUUUAGUAUACUAUAUAUGCUCGCCCAAAGCUGAUAUUAUGGUAUACUAUUUAUAUGCUCGCCCAAAGCUGAUAAAUUAGGGCCCCUUGGCCAUUAUAGUAUACCACUCUCUCAUACAAUCAACUCCAUCUUUUUAUCAUUCUCGAUAAAUAGCUGUCUGUGGGUACACGGUUGGCUUUAGCCAAAAUACUAGAAUUUUCUUUCCACAAAUGCCACCAUUUUCUGUAGUCCACCAAAAUAUUUUUGGCGCUGUCAACCGACGCCCGGUAUUUUUCCAUUAAUAACCAAAAUCAAUUAAUUUAGGAUUUAUUCCUAAAAUCACAAUUAAUUCAAUUCAGCACAAAUUAAAACUCAAAUAAAUAAACAGAUUGCACCAAGAUAAUCAGCAUAAAAUUCCGAUCAUUGGAUAUCUCGGUCAAAUUUCCGAAAAAUAAAUAAAUAAAUAAAUAAAUAAAUUCCGAAAAUAAAAUAAAAUAAAAUAAAAUAAAAUAUUAUAUUAUAUUAUAUUAUAAAUAUUAAUUCGAAAAUAAUUAAUUAAUAAAAAAUAAUUAAUUAAGGCUUAAAAAAAAAUACUCUAAUCUAAACAUUUAUUUAGCCUUAAUUAAUUAUCCACUAAAUUAAUCACAUCCCUUAAUCCAAUUAACAUUUAAAUAAAGUAAUCUAACCACAUAAACAUACUUAGUCUAAUCUAAACAUCCCUUAAGCGUGAUUAACCUACUAAGCGGGGAUUAAUGAGUUAAACUCACACGAUUAACAAACAGAGCGGCUCAAAUCAACGAGGACGCCGAUGGGAUCAAUUCACUCCAAGGCAGGCGUGGCUUUCAGGGUCGGGAAGCUGGCCAAAUUGAGCCAAAUAGCCACUGCCAUACCCAUUUUUGCUUGCUGCGGUUGAGGCCAAGAAAGGGGUGGAUAAGGGCUCAGGUUGAGGCAACUACUGAUCGAGAUGGACGGAGGGGCUGAAUCGGACCUAGGCGGGGCUUCAUGGUGGCCGGAGGUGGGCUAGACAGCUCUAGCGAAGCUCCACCAGAUCUGAAAUGGCCGCUAGAACAGAGGAACCGGUGAGAUGGAGACGGAGAUGGGCGGAGCGGCGGUGAGGCGACGGCGUGCAGCGAUGGCGACUCCAGCUGUGGCGUGCGGCGGUGAGGCCUCAACGGCGAGCUGGCUUCACCGGUCUUCAGCUUGCAGGGGUGUCGAACAGCAAGGGAAUGGAGGAGAGAGGGACAACGUGUGGCGAGGUGCAGCUACUCCGAUGGCAUGCAAUGGCGAACGGUGACGUGAGGCGUGCGACGACGAGGCUCCUCGGCUGUCUUCUGGUCUGCUGAGGUCUUCGCACAGCAGGGAGAGGGAGAAGAAGCGGUGAUGGGAGAGAAGGAGAGAAAGGGGGAACCAGUUCUCUCUCUCUCUUUCUCUCUCUCUUUGGCCCCACAACCAUGGCCCACCACCAGCUGUCUUCCACCCAUAAUUUCUUGACCAAAAAUGCCCCUUCUAGAAGCUUUAAUAGGUCCAAAUGUUGGGUCCAAUGGGGUGUUACGAAUUUGGAAGGGAGAUAGUACAAUUUGGACUUCAAUUCCUCUUGAAAAAGUUUAAUCCGGCCUCUGAAAAUUCAACCAUCGAACCCUUGGUCAAAUUAAUAUUUUUCCUCUCCAGUAUACCCCACUUGCAUCCCAAUUUUGCAAUAAAAAACAAUCUCUAACAAUUUCUUAAUAAAGACAGCCCUAGGACGACUUUUUCCCAAAAAGUCUCGGGUUGCAGAAAAAUCUUUUGAGACUGAGACGAUACUCCUAAAAUUUAUUGUGACAUGACAAAAUCUUUAAUUUCUAAAAUCGGACUUGAAUUUACAGUUAAUUUCCAUUUGGCGCGUUUUUAGCGUGACCUAGACUACCGGUUAGUUUUUAGAAAUUUUUAGUACAAAUGACUCAUGGUCGAUUUUCUUUGAGCCAUAAUGAACCCACUCAACUCAAUGGCGACUCUUGGUUGUCGUGAAAAUCUCAAAGAUUCAAAUACGGUCAAAGGGUACCAAAACGACAGAAGAAUCAGUCUAGGGCCGGUCGACGAGAAUUUUCCAAUUUAGUAGUGUCACCCACCAUUAGCCACACAUCUCAGUCGAACAGACCCAUCUCUGAUCUCAAAUUGAUUUUUAAUUGUGCCGUAAUAGCCUCUAAAGAUGAGCAAGGUCAAGAAGUCGAUUCCUGGUUGAAUUCUCAAGUCUAUUGCAUUAAAAUUCCUUAAUGGCUAUCAUGAAUAGUCUAGUUAUCUCGAGAGUGAUCAGCUCUGAGAACAGCCUUAUAAGCGCGUCAAUGAAAUGCCUGAUUUAUUCAAUAGAAAAUAGGACUGAAAAUCUGGGAUGUCAUAUUAGUUAUCUCAAGAGUGAUCAGCUCUGAGAAUAACACUAUAGGCGCGUCGAUAAAAGGCCCGAUUUAUUUAAUUGAAAACAUAAUUGAAAUUCUAGGAUAUCACAACCGCCACGAGAGUGUUGCUAUGAUGCUACUUGUCACGAGUUAAGACUAGAGAUUGCGAACCGUGCGGCACUUAGAUCUUGAAAUUGCCUUGCUUGACCCAAACAAGUAGGCCCUACUUGCUCUCCCUUGCACUCUCAACUCAUGGAAAGAUGUGUUGUAGCAUGAUGAUACAUGCGUCAACAAAUAACAAUUUACAUAGUGAAAAACAAUUCGUCAAUAACCAAUUAAACAUUAGUAAAAUCAUAAUACUCUUUUAUAUCACUAGGUAAAAUUUUAGUGUUUGCAACAUACUAAUUAUCUUGCACAUUGUUAACUUAGAAAUUGAUAAAAAAAAUGUUGGUAAAUUAUCUAUAGUUUUGGUAAUUUAAGCUCUACUUGAUAACACUCCAAAUAGUGUAUGAUUCUAUUAUUUUAUUUCUAAAAAAAGAACAAAAAUCCGUUGCUAAAUUUUUUGUUAUCGAGAACAAAAAUAGUUUUUUUUCUUCUUUUUCUGAGAGUAGAUUUGGAAUAGAAUUAAGAAGUAGAAAAAAAUUGCUUCUUGUUCCUAGGAACAAUUCUAGAAUCAAACCCAAUUUAUUUUCCCUUUUUCUCUUUUCUUUCUUUCUUUUCUCCUUCUCUCUUCUUCUUCCUCCUAGUUGGUCAUCGACCAUUGCUAACCACCACUGCCGUCAAUAGUUGUUGGGGAUUGGUUGGGUGAGGUUUGGCGAGCUUGACGGAGGCUCGCCCGACCACUGUUAGCGUCAGCUUUGCAAAUUUAGAUGAGAUCGAGCUUGCUAGUGGCCAAGCUAGCCUUAACUAGCCCGGCAAGUGUUGAUUGGCCACCGGCGAGGCUCUCCUCCCCAAUGGCGCGAGGCUCGGACUCGCCAUGCCAAGGCAAGGUUGAUUUCACGCCGCUUGGGUGAGGUCAAGUCUUGCCAGUGGCUUGGUGUGGCUCACUUUAUAAGGACCCGGGCCUCCCAUUGUGUAAUAUUAUUCGCUUUGGACCUUCGGUCCUUACGGCUUUAAAAUGCGUUACAUAGGUUAGAGAACCUGAGCCUUAUAAACUAAGCCUAGGACUCCCCCUUAAGCGAUGUGGGACAGGAGACGCACCCCCUCCCUACGCAUGUCUGUGGACCGAGGUGUGGACACACUGCCAUCCCUCAUUCCCACGCAUCACCGCCUGGGCCGUCACAAUCUCCCCCCCCCUCUUGGCAGCACAGUGCCCUCGCUGUGGCUCCACAUGCGGUCAGGAAUCGACUCUGAUACCAUUUAUAAGGACUCGGGCCUCCCACUGUGUAAUAUUGUCCGCUUUGGGCCUUCGGCCCUCACGGCUUUAAAACGCGUUACACAGGUUAGAGAACCCAAGCCUUAUAAACUAGCCCAAGACUCCCCCUUUAAGAGAUGUUGGAUAGGAGACGUGCCCCCUCCCUACGCACGUCUGAGGACCGAGGCGCAGUCGCACUGCCAUCCCUCCUCCCCACGCACCGCCACCUGGGCCAUCACACUCUUCCCCCCUUUUGGGAGCACAACGCCCUCGUUGUGGCCCCACACGUGGUCGGGAGUCGGCUCUAAUACCAUUUAUAAGGACCCAGGCCUCCCACUGUGUAAUAUUGUCCGCUUUAGGCCUUCGGCCCUCACGGUUUUAAAACGCGUUACACAGGUUAGAGAACCUAAGCCUUAUAAACUAGCCCCAGACUCCCCCUAAGCGAUGUGGGAUAGGAGACGUGCCCACUCCCUACGCAUGUCCGGGGACCGAGGUGUGGAUGCAUCGCCAUCCCUCCUCCCCGUGCACCGUUGCCUAGGCCGUCACACACUUGGCCACCAAUGAGGCUUGGCCUUGCCCAGAACUACAAGGCCGAGGCUUGUGGCGGCCAAGCAAGCCUUCGGCGAGCUUGCCGAACCUCGUCCAGCCGAUAGCAGGCCACUGUAGUGGUUGGUGAUUGGCCACAAAGGAGAAAGAAGAAGACAAAAGGAAAAAGACAAAAGAAAAGUAUAAUAAAAAUAUUAAACAAUUAAAAGAAACAAAAAAAAAUUACGAGUUCUACCAAACGCAUUUCUAUUCUGGGAAUAAAAAUUUUGGGUAGUUUAUCAAGGGCCUUCAAACACUCAGAAAUUAUUCUCGGGAAUAGAAUAAAAAAGAAUUAUUCUCGACAAUAGAAUAAUUACCAAAUGCACCCUUACUGACUAAACUAGUAAAGGCCUAUUUGUUAAAAUGUGUUUUUGUUCCCAGGAACACAAAUUUUUGUUUUUUUGUUCCUGGGAACAAAAAAGGAAUAGAAAUACAUUUGUUUGCGUUUUUGUUCCCAGAAACACGUCUGGAACGGAAACAAGAAACAAAAAAAGUUGUUUCUUGUUUCUGAAACAAAAUUUAGGAACACUUUUUCUCUCUUCCAUUUUCUUCUCUCUUUUUUCUUCUUCUUUUCUUCUUCUUUUUUCUUUCUUUUUUCUUUGGCCGGUCGCCGGCCUCGGCCAUGGUCGGCAACCGGCCGUCGAGGGCCGGCGACCUCGCUGGAGCGUUGUCGGCCGCUGGGUGAGCUCGAGCUCACCCAGCCAAGGCAAGGCCGACCUCGUGCCGGGCUGGGCAAACUCGAUCUCGCCCAAAUCCACUGGGCGAGUUCGGCCUCACCCAACUACGGCGAGGCUCGGCCUCGCCGGGGGCCGGAGAGCCUCACCGUGGUUGGGCGAGGCCACCGGCCCUCGUCGGCCGGUCACCGGCCAAAAGAAGAAAAAAGAAAAAAGAAAAAAGAAAAAAAGAAAAAAAAGAAAGAAAAUAGAAAAAAUAAAAUAAAAAUAUUAAAAAAUAAAAAAAAUAAAAAUUAUAUAAAUUUACUAAACGUGUUUCUAUUCUUUUUAUAUUUCUUGAACAGAUUUACCAAACGCGUUUUUUUGUUAAAAAAUUGUUCCCUGAAGCAAAAAUACUUUUUUCUAUUUCUGUUCCUAAAAACAAUUUUUAAACAGAAAUGUUGUUACCAAACGCACCCUAAAAUGCCAAAGAAAUCACUACCUUAUUGAUUUAAUAUAAUUCUGAUAAUUUCUAGUAGGUAGGCAUAUUAUUAAAAUUUCAAAAAAGUUGGUAAUUUACUAAUUUAUUUAAAUGUUUGUAAAUAAUUUUGUAGUCUGGUACUUUAUUGAAAACACUUGAACAAUGUAAAAGGAAUUGACAGUUUAUAACUAACAAUAAUAUUAUCAUAAGUUUACCAACUUGGGAAAUUAAUUAAAUUAGGAGAUUUUUCAAAUUUUUCCUUAACAGGACCCCAAAACUCGUAUCGAAAGCUGGCCAACUUUGGCCUUUCCUGACUUCGUUUCGUGGGCUCCAUCUUUAGUUUUUUUCUGUUUUUUACUCAUCAACCUAUCGCAUUUGAUUAUAUGGUCUUCCUUCUGAGAAACUACAACUUUCUGUUUCGACCAUUUUUUCAUUGACCCACGGCAUUUCAUUGAUUUUCCUAUUCGUUGCUCAAUUAUUUCCUUCAUGACGUAUUGAUGCGGCUUCUUUCUCUGUUAAGACCAUUGGGUGAGAAAGUGAGUAAAAAAAUAUAUUAUUUGAGCAAAACGAGCAAUGAAUAUAAAAACGCAAUGGUAUAUGGAAUGAGGUAAAUAUAUGAUUCAUAAAAGGGUGAUUCCUUGACUUCCGCGCAUGUCAUGCCAUAACCACCGUUCUUUCGACCCUCCCGUAAGGGGCCUGCAAGUGGAUGCACAAUAGUUGAUAUAAAUAAUAUAAGACGGGCAGAUGGGAGCGGCGACGAGGGUAGAGAGGGAAUAAGGUUUGAUUCCUUGGCUUCCGCCCAUGGGACCAGCGACUGGAUGCGCGUUUGCUAACUUUAUUUAGCCACAUCUUUGGUUUGUUUGUCUUUCUCAUCGAUCAAUAGGAUUUAAUUUUAUGGUCUUCUUCAUAAAAAAUUACUGCUUUCUGGUAUAACCAUUUUCUCGUAGAACCAUCAGCAUUUGAUUGGUUUUUGUAUUACUACUCCAUUAUUUUCUUAUAACGUGUUAACACGGCCUUUUUCUUUGUUAAGAAGAUUUGCUAAGCUGAGCAAACUCCUGCUAUGGCAAGCUCAGAUGAAGGAAUGUCAUCGGGAUUCGAGUACCAAGUGUUUUUAAGCUUCAAAAGAUCUGACACUUGCCAUGGAUUCACCGACUUCCUCUUCCAUAGCUUGAUUGAUGCUGGAAUCUAUGUUUUCCAAAACAACAAAGAGCUCCGUGUGGGUGAAAGGAUCAAUGGAUUGCUUCAACAAGUGAUCAACAACUCCAAGAUCUAUAUACCCAUCUUCUCUCAGAAUUAUGCUUCAAGCCAACAGUGUCUUGGCGAGCUCACACAGAUCUUCUCAAACACCUCAAACUCAAAAGAUUAUAAAGAGAUUUUACCUAUUUAUUUUGGUGUGGAACCUAAUGAUGUUAGGUUGAAAACUGUACUGUAUAGUGAUGCCAUCCUAAGUUUGCAGCGCGAGAAGGAGUUGAGUAAUGAGCAAGUGGAUAUCUGGAGAAAGGCUCUCAUGGAGGUUGGUGCGAUAAAGGGGUGGGAAGUGAAGAAGUACAAUGGGUAAGAUAGCUACUUUCAAGAUGCUUGUUUCCCAAAUGAUAUUAACACUUGAUCAUAGGCGAAAAAAUUCCGGCAUGACUGUGACCUGGCUUUUAUUAUAGAAAUACUAAAUGAUAAUGGGCAAACGAUUAUCUACGUUUGUCAAAAAAAUAAUAAUUUGAAACUGCUUCAUAAGGUCGUCUUAUAUGAUGGGUGAAUAAUGACAUUAAUAGCUAAGUAGGUAAAUUAUCAUUUGAUUGUGGGCAGUGGGAGGAAAAAGAAUGGGAUAAUGAAAUGCCGUCCUUAUAUAUAUAUCUAAUCCUUUCAUCUUUCAAUACACUAAACAUUUCUCCCCCUGAACGCACCAUGUCAGGUGCUUGAAUUGCAUCACUUCUAGCUAGGUAGUCGUGAGUUCACAUUUUUUCGACCACUAAAAUGGUUUUCCAUUGUGCCAGCCAUGGCGAAAUAAUCAAAUUAAUAGCUGAGGAGGUCACGGAAAAGCUAAAAGUAAAACAUCGACUUAUGAGUAAACAUUUAGUUGGUGUUGAUGAUCAUGUGGUAUCAGUAUUCCAAUUGUUAGACAUCGAUUCCGAUGACGUACGGCUCAUUAAAAUUUAUGGCAUGGGGGGCAUCGGUAAAACAACUCUUGCCAAAGUCAUCUUCAAUGAAGUCUGUAGUCAUUUUGGAGAGUAUUCUUAUUUCCUUGAAGAUAUUCGAGAGAAGUCAUCAAGAGCUAAUGGCUUAAUUGAGUUGCAAAAGAAGUUCUUGGACAAAAUCGACUAUCGUGCAGGAACAAGUAGCAUCGAUGAAAUUGAUCAUGGAGUGAAGAGGAUUGAAGAAGCACUACACAAUAAGAAAGUCCUCUUGGUACUUGAUGAUGUUGAUAGGAGCGAACAAGUGGUGAAAUUAGUUGGAAACACUUUGUAUCCAGGAUCUAGAAUAUUGAUUACAACUAGAAAUAAAGAUGUUUUGCUAAUUAAUAGUCUAAAGUAUUUUGUUUUAGACUAUGAAAUGGAGAUGAUGAGAGAUAAUGACGCACUUCAGCUCUUCAUUCGGCAUGCAUUUAAUAUAGACUCUCAUCUGGAUUACGACGUUGCAAGGGAAAUCAUAUACACUAUUGGGAGACUUCCGUUGGUCCUUGAAGUAAUUGGUUCAUUCCUUCAUGGCAAAAAGCAAGAACUAUGUACAGAGACAUUGGACAAGUUGAGAAGAGCACCUCCUGAAGAUGUUUUUGAAAAGUUAAAGAUUAGUUAUGAUGCCUUAAGUUAUGAGCACCAACAAAUUUUCCUCGAUAUUGCAUGUUUUUUCAUUGGAGAGGAUACAACGAAUGCAAUUCACAUGUGGAGAGAUUGUAGGUUCUUCCCGGUUACUGGAGUUGAUGUCCUUCGAAACAUGCGUUUGGUAGAAAUUAGGGAGAACAAUGAGUUUUGGAUGCAUGAUCAACUUAGAGAUUUUGGAAGAGAAAUAGUUCGUCGAGAAAAUCCAAUAAAUCCUGGAAAACGGAGUAGGAUAUGGAUUUGGGAGGAGGUCCUUCAUGUACUAAAUACGGAGAAGGUAAAUCACUUCUAAAGAAAACUAGGAUGCUCUAUUAUCUUCUUAUUUUUGUAUAUUCAUUUUCCUGUACUAAAUAGACCGUUGAUAUCACUCAUUUCUCUUUUUCAUUUGCAGAUCAACAAGAAGGUUGAAGCACUAUACUUUGAGAGAAAUCCACUAAAUUCCCAUAACAUCAUUGUUCAAAUUAAAGAGAUUGGAAGGUUUGAACAUCUAAGGUUCCUUAAAUUACUUGGAGGAACCUUUGCAGGCGACUUAGCAACUUGUCUUCCCAAACUAAGAUGGUUUUCUUGGUAUUUUCCUCCUCGUAUGGAUGAAAGGACAAACAUGUACCUAAAUAAUAUUGUUGUUCUUGAAUAUACAGGUGUUGACUCAUUAGAUGAUUUGAGAUUACGGGACAUAAUCAAGGUGUGUAUUAUGCUUAUUUCUAUUCUAUAUACUUUGAAAGUAAUAAUUGGUUGUUUACUUAUUGAAUGUUGCAUUCAUUUUGACAGAGGGCAAGAAAAUUGAAAGUUCUCUAUCUUAAAAGUUGUCACGGUAUAAUGAGAACACCAGACUUCUUUGGAUGCCCGAAUUUAGAGAGGCUUAAUUUUGAAGAUUGCUCCAAUUUGAAGAGAAUUGAUGGUUCUAUUGGGAACUUGAAGUAUCUGACUGACCUAAAGAUUGAUAGGUGCUUUUGUCUUAAAGAUUUGCCUGAGGAAAUCGGGGACCUAGAGAAUUUGAAAAACUUCUUUGUACAACGGUGUAAAGUGAAGAAACUCCUAGAUUCCAUAUGGAAGUUGAAAUCACUAAGGGAAUUGCACUUUUCAAGUUGCUUUCUUCCAUUAGUUUCAGCAGAUUUAUGGGAGUUACCUAGUGCUAUUGGAAUGCUUCCGAAUCUAGAAGUGCUUCUAGUUAAUAUUCCCAAUUUAAAAGGUGAACUUCCUUCUGGGAUUGAAGUUUUGCCCAUUCUAAGAAUUCUAAAUCUAUCAAAUACUCAGAUCAGCGAAGUUCCAAAGACAAUCAGCAUGCUUCCUCACUUGCAAAAGUUGGAGUUGAUGGCAUGUCAUAAUAUUCAAGAGUUGCCAGCGCUCCCAACAAGUUUAAACAAUCUAAGAAUGUCAUCUGCAUCAUUGAGGGCAAUCCCGGAUCUCUCGUACUUGACUAAUUUGGUUCAGUUGGAUCUAAUGAUAGUGGAUGAGGAGGAGAUAAACUUUAUCUCUAUUAGUGAUGGUGGAUUGGGAAGUUGAGAGUGCUAGUAUGAACAAAAUAAAGGAGUUAGGGAAGAGAAUAAGAACACAGAAAUUAUAGUGGUUCGGCUUAAUCCAAGCCUACGUCCACUCUCCCACGAUAACAGCCUUCUUGGCUGGAUUCCACUAUGCAAUCAAUCAAGAGAUUACAAUUCCGAGUGCAAACACUUAGUAGAUCACACUAUCUCACUAAGUCACUCUCUUGGUAUUUCUCUCACGAUUACAAACGUUUAAGCUCUCAAGAGACAAGUAUAUGAUCUAAAGUCGCUUAGACUUUGGAAUUAUAAAUUCUACGCUCCGUCUCUUACUUGCUCAUCGGUCCAUGAUCUCCUUAAAUACUCCUCCACUUCCAAACUACCGUUGGACAGCAUCCCGGAGAAUCGUCUUCCAAUAUACCCAUUGGACAGCUCUGUAUCUUAGAAGAUUUGGUAGCCGUUGAGUGACAAAGGUAAAAUCCCAAAUUGAUUCCGAUCGCCCAUACAAACGAAAUCUUGGUUUCCAUAAGUAAAGCUUCUUCGUAUAGAAAGAUCUUGUCUUCAUCAUCCAAUUGUCAAUCAAUUAGAUUGAAUCAAUCAAAUCAAUCUUGAUGUGGAAUCCAAACCAGAUCACUAGCCGUUGUAUGAUUGGGCUUGAGUUACAAUUCAUUGAAUCUGGAUGUAAAGUCUGAGUCUUGAGACUUUACGAUAUGAGUCUUGAGACUUUACAACCUGGGUCUUUAGACUUUAAGGUCUGUACCCAGUUCAGCUUCAGCAUAGAGUCUAUCUUCUGGUUCAGCUUCAGCAUAGAGUCUGUCUUCUGGUUCAUCAUUCACGUUCAAUAUGGAAUUAGUCAGAGUUGACAGACUUCUAAGGUAGAACAGACUUUGAUACUAAAGUCUGGCGGUCUUCAGACUUUGAGUCUUGAGUCUGGCAGUCUUCAGACUUUGAGUCUCGAGUCUGGCAGUCUUCAGACUUUGAGUCUUGAGUCUGGCAGUCUUCAGACUUUGAUAAUAUCCUUUACAUGUUAUAUUAUCUGCAUGGUCUAUUACUCAACCAUCAAACAUGUUAGUAGCCUUUGAUUUAUUUUGUCAUCUUCAAAACAUCAUAAGGGAUUUCCCUAACAAUCUCCCCCUUUUUGAUGAUGACAAAACAAUCUCUGAAUAUGCAGAUUUGUAAACAUGCUUUUAAACAUUUAAAUCAAAGGAUAUCAGAAGAUAACAAAUAGAUUGAGCAUAAUAAUAUUUAGAAAAUAAUCGCAGCUCAAUAUUAUGCAAUAAAUAAUAUCAACCAAUCAGCACAUAUGCAUAUUCAUAUCUUCUCCCCCUUUUUGUCAUAAUCAAAAAGCGAUAAUAAUGGAUUCACGUAGAGAAUGAUAACAAAUAUCUUGCAUGAAUCACAAUUUCCAAAAAUCAGCUUUUAUCGAAUAUUAAAGAUAUGCAAUAUAGCUCACUUCGAUUAUAUCAGCAAAUAUCCAAUAAAAAUCACGGAUGCAUCAUAAAAUUCACGUACCAUUUUUGUCAUAAUAAAAUGAUAAUAUCAAUAUGAGAUUUGUUAAUGACAAAAGGUAAUAAGAGAUGCACUAACCGGAUUUUGUAGAAUAAAUUCUGACACAAUUACCUUUCCUUCCAUCCAUAAUAAGAUCACGAUCAAUCAAAAAAGAUUUUUCCAUAAUUGAUCAAAGCUCCCCCUCAAUUUGUUGCCUUUUUGAGAUGAUCACGAUUCUUUUCCUUUUCUUUUGGAUUCGAUUUCUCCCCCUUGAUUUCCUCAUCGGAUUCUGAGUCUUGUUCUGAAUCAGACUCUGAUUCUGAGUCUCUGUCUGAGUUAGACUCAGAUUCUGAAUGUUCCAUCAAGCAUAAAUUUUCUUGCUCAUCAUCUUCUUCUUUUUUGUUCUUUUCUGGCCAUUCUGCUUGUAUUUUCUUCCAUCGAAAUAUGGUGGCCUUGUGUUGCUUUGCCCUUCCAUAAGACCUGGUGCCAACAUACUAGCCAUAAAGAAUCUUUAGCUCAAAAGUAAAAACACUUUUAUAAACCGAGCACUUGGCUCUGAUACCAAUUGAGAGUGCUAGUAUGAACAAAAUAAAGGAGUUAGGGAAGAGAAUAAGAACACAGAAAUUAUAGUGGUUCGGCUUAAUCCAAGCCUACGUCCACUCUCCCACGAUAACAGCCUUCUUGGCUGGAUUCCACUAUGUAAUCAACAAGAGAUUACAACUCCGAGUACAAACACUUAGUAGAUCACACUAUCUCACUAAGUCACUCUCUUGGUAUUUCUCUCACGAUUACAAACGUUUAAGCUCUCAAGAGACAAGUAUAUGAUCUAAAGUCGCUUAGACUUUGGAAUUAUAAAUUCUACGCUCCGUCUCUUACUUGCUCAUCGGUCCAUGAUCUCCUUAAAUACUCCUCCACUUCCAAACUACCGUUGGACAGCAUCCCGGAGAAUCGUCUUCCAAUAUACCCAUUGGACAGCUCUGUAUCUUAGAAGAUUUGGUAGCCGUUGAGUGACAAAGGUAAAAUCCCAAAUUGAUUCCGAUCGCCCAUACAAACAAAAUCUUGGUUUCCAUAAGUAAAGCUUCUUCGUAUAGAAAGUUCUUGUCUUCAACAUCCAAUUGUCAAUCAAUUAGAUUGAAUCAAUCAAAUCAAUCUUGAUGUGGAAUCCAAACCAGAUCACUAGCCGUUGUAUGAUUGGGCUUGAGUUACAAUUCAUUGAAUCUGGAUGUAAAGUCUGAGUCUUGAGACUUUACGAUAUGAGUCUUGAGACUUUACAACCUGGGUCUUUAGACUUUAAGGUCUGUACCCAGUUCAGCUUCAGCAUAGAGUCUAUCUUCUGGUUCAGCUUCAGCAUAGAGUCUGUCUUCUGGUUCAUCAUUCACGUUCAAUAUGGAAUUAGUCAGAGUUGACAGACUUCUAAGGUAGAACAGACUUUGAUACUAAAGUCUGGCGGUCUUCAGACUUUGAGUCUUGAGUCUGGCAGUCUUCAGACUUUGAGUCUCGAGUCUGGCAGUCUUCAGACUUUGAGUCUUGAGUCUGGCAGUCUUCAGACUUUGAUAAUAUCCUUUACAUGUUAUAUUAUCUGCAUGGUCUAUUACUCAACCAUCAAACAUGUUAGUAGCCUUUGAUUUAUUUUGUCAUCUUCAAAACAUCAUAAGGGAUUUCCCUAACAGAAGUUAUUCAAAUUGACUACUUGAGCUUGCGACAUCACAAUGUCCGUACUCCAACUGAGCUGGCUUCCCUUCUCUGCUAACCCAACUCAAUUUGUUUGGAUUAGACCUGCAAACCUUUCCGCAACUAUCCUUUCUCUGCAGAAGCUAUACCUUAAUAAUUUCAAUCCAAUUGUGUCACUCUCUCUGAACCUGGGCAAUUUGUCAUGUUUAGCCAUCUCUCGGUUUCCAAUGCAAGAAUCUCAGCUUUUGGGCUUCAAGUACCCCCCGAGAGAUUUAGGCUAUCCAGCACGAGAAAGGCGGAAGAUGUCCAGGUGAGAUAUUGCCCAAAGCUAAUUGAGAUCCAAUUUUCUAGGGUGUUCAAAUCACUAGAGGCAUUGUCUAUUGAAUUGUGUGACUCCUUCGGAAGGUGGGGGAAACAGGCAUGAUAAUAAUGAGUCUUCUAAUGAUCAUUAGUUGUGUAUGGCAGGAGACUAAUCCUUCGUUUGAGAGUCUUAUAUAAGUUGCAGAUUCUCACACCUCUGGGAAACAGGGUACGUCGGAAUCAUGGGAACACUACAACCUGUGGAAAUCUGUCAUGUGCAAAGNNNNNNNNNNNNNNNNNNNNNNNNNNNNNNNNNNNNNNNNNNNNNNNNNNNNNNNNNNNNNNNNNNNNNNNNNNNNNNNNNNNNNNNNNNNNNNNNNNNNUUCCAGAAAGAUUUCUCCAACAAAAUCAAUGCCAGAUACAUAUGUCUGUUGCAGGGAAAGACUAUUGGGGCUCCUUUUGAACCUUGCAAGGGCCAUAAGGUGACUCUCUCUCUCUCUCUCUCUCUCUCUCUCUCUCUCUCUCUCUCUCUCUCUCUCUCUCUCUCUCUCUCUCUCUCUCUCUCUCUCUCUCUCUCUCUCUCUCUCUCUCUCUCUCUCGUAAGGUUAACAUUUGAUAAACUGAAAAGAGAGUAAGUAUUUCAGUUUACUUAUUGUUAUCAGAUCAAUAAAGAUGUCACCGACAACUAAAGAUGCAUUCAAAUUGAUAUAAAUUUUGGCAUACCUGCAAGUAGUAUUUUCCCAAUUUUGCUUUCUCAUUAUACUUUUUUCCGUUUCCCGCUCCCUUUUUUUUCAUUUUUCUUUCCUUUCUGUCCAUGAGAAAGUUUCAAAAUAGAUUGAUAUCAAAAUAAGCGGAAGAACUUCAUUAAUCCAGAAGAAUUGUCAUUGUUCAGUUCUUAUUAUUUAACAGGUGUCAUUUGUGUUAUAUACCUCUUUUCAAGUGGAGUCCAUCCGAGCUUCGUUCAUCUUCGCUCUUCAUCUUUUGAUUGGUAGGAAUUCCGUUUUCCUUAAGUGCUUCAAGUUCACUCCAAGGAUUCAUCGUUUCCCAAGCACAUGAUCAUGGUUUAAAGCCGAGGGCGUUGGUUUGCCGUGCCCCAGCGGGUGCGCCGCAAAUUCAUUAUCUCAGUAUUGGUUUGGAUAGCCUGGAUUUGAGGCUUGGUGACGUUGCUUAGUUUCUCCGAAUCAUGUAUUUGUUCUUGAUGGUCUGAGUCUUAGUGUGAAGAAGUUGUUUGUUUCCAUUAAGCUUAGGUGGGUAUUUAUAUACCCAAGAGUAUAUUCUAGAAGAUUUACUUGCAAUAAAGGAAAUAUAUUCGAACUUCUAAAGAUAAGAUUCUAAAACUUCCAAAUCUUUUCCAAAUCUUAUAGACGUAUAUUUGUUCAAUAGCCUCUAUUUUCCUUAAUGACCCGUGGACAGGUUGGGAUUGCCGGGGCUACUUUAGAGCCAUUUUUGCACUGAAAAGAGAGGUGAGCGCACGCUGUUCAGGUUGAGUAGUGGCUGGCAAGCGGGCCAUUGACUCCUGUCCCGGCUUUAAGAAGGGCUCCGAGUAAUCCCAAUCCCCACUUUUGCAAGUUAGCAUCAUUUCCGGGUCGUUUUGCAUGCUCAUAAUAUCUUUUAUUCAAGUUCUAGCAAUGUAUUUAGUUUAUUGCUCAUUUGUACAUAUUUAGCUUAGUUUAGAUCCUGAAUUAUGUUUUUCAUUAAAAAAAGGAGAAGGAUAAAAAAGAUUUUAAAAAAAUGCAUUUAAACAAAAAUUGCAUCGUUGGACUUCUUUUAAUUUAGCUCAGUUUCAUUCUAUUUAGUUUAAUAUUUGUCGCGUCAUCAACUAGUUGAGGAAAUUUGCAUUCCUUUGUUGCGGAUGGACUCCACUUAAGCUCACUCACGGCUUCUUUCUCUCUAGGUUACGGCAAAAGAGCAAGAGGAAGAAGUAGAAAGCGAAGCUCUCAAGUUUUCUCUAUUUCACUCUACGGAAGUCACGGCCGAAUGGAGGAGAUGAAGUGGAGUCUCCGAACCCCUAUACACUCUUCCUUUUGCCCCCUUUAUAGAGCCACGGUUGAACCUGCUGCUUUCCCUCUCUUUCCCUUGCAAUUUUUCACAUUAAUUAUUCCGGUUUUCCUCUGCAAUUUGCAGCAGUCCUUAUUAGGUCAUUUCUCUUUUGGAUGAUCUCUUCUAGCUGUUGAAAUGCUUCAGCUUUUUCUUGUACAAAUCUGUCGCGACCCUUUGAAAGCAGUCCUGAUGCAUUUGUUUUUGGAAAAAGAAAAGGGGGGGGGGGUGGUUUAGAUUUAGGGGUAAUGUUGAGCAGAGGUAAACGGCCCUGAUAUUUGAGAUGCUCUCCCUCAUUCAUCCCAAAUCUUUAUCUCGUGCGACGUUGGGAAGCUCUUUUGAUUUGAUUUAUCUAUAAAUUCUGUUUUAUCUUGAAAUCACUACUAACCUAGUUAUCUAAAUAGUGUCAUUUCGAUACCUGAAAUUGAUUGUGUUAACUAGGUGUCUCGAGCGAUCUUUGUCAAAUUAUGAGUCCUAAAGUCCCUUUUCACUAAAUAUCCAUGUAGGAUUGUUCAUUUGAUCUUGAUUCUAGAGUGAAUUCAACUGCACGAAUGAAAAUAAACGAACCACAACACGAAAGCAAUGUAAAGAAAUCAAAGCACUGCAUUCAAGUAAUAAUAGACAAGUAAAAAUAAAGUGCGGAAAGUAACCGGAUACAAGUCAUACGAAGAAUAUUACAUGGCUUUGUUUUAAACCCCGAGUCAUGAUCCCCAUGAGCUUGACUCGUACCAGUCGAGUAAAGAAUAUGCAAGGCCAUACUAAUAAGUCUGGAGACAUAACCCCGUGAGCUAAUUCUUAGCGUCGAAAUCAAAGUCUAAUAUCAAAAAUCGAGUCUCUAUAACUCGUUGAUAGGAUAUGGAUCAUACGGACGGUAUUUGAUGGGCAGAUCCUUGUGUCAAUUCAAAGAACCGGUUUUCCUUUUAUUGCGAUCCUAAGUCUAAGCUAACCUAAAACAUUACUACUUUGCUUGAAGAGGUUUUUCUAAACUAUGGAACUAGCCUUAAAUGAAUUUAUUCAAACUAAACCUACCUCUCAAAUUAUUCAAACUACAAUACUAAAUAUAAGCCUAAAUAAAAAUUUAUAAUACAAACUAUGAAAGUAAUCUUAAGCUUAAUGGAAUCUAACGACCUCUCAAAACUCUUCUGAAUUGAAGCCACGGUUUUCCCACCAUCAGAUGUCAGCCGUUUAUGAUCCACAUUCAACAAAAUCAUGCAAUUAAACGUUGAAAAGUACAACACACACUGAGCAAGUCACACUCAUCAAUCAAAGCAAGCAAAUGGAAUCAAUUCACACUUAAAGAAAAUUCAAAGAUAAAUCCCAUGUUUUUCUUUAAACUGAUCAUUAAAUGUGUUCGAAGAUAUGCGAUAUCAGCCCAAGAUUACGUGUGAUUGCUGCACCCCACGAAAAAACCGUCAUAUCCUGGAGACAGCGAGGGCACUCUUGGUGGGUGGGCAGGUUCCAAAUCGAUUUUGGCAUGCGGCUAUGGUUAUUGCCGUGCAUCUGAUAAAUCACAUGCCCCCCUGCGUGUUAGCAUUCCAGACCCCGCUCUAGGCUCUUUCGACACAUGUCUCACUUCUCUCAGUCUUUACUUUACCUCCCAAGGCGUUUGGGUGUGUGGCUUACGUCCACUUGCAUAAGAAUCAGCAAACAAAGCUCGACCCUUGCAUGUCCCAAAAAAAAAAAAAAAAAAAACCUCGACCCUUGCACUGUCAAGUGUGUUUUUCUUGGCUAUGGAACCCACCAAAAGGGAUAUUGCCACUCCAAUUCGGACACAAAGAAAAAUCAUGUGACCAUGGAUGUCACAUUUGUUGAAUCUGAUUUCUUCUUUCCUGCCACCAAUAUUACCUUUCAGGAGGAGAUCCAUGGUGAAAGGGUAAACUGGUGGGAAGGUGGCAUGAUGGCAGGGGUUAGCGUUACAUCUGACUCUCGGAUAGUAGGUUUGGCCGUGGACGAGAAAACCAGCAGCAACUUCUUAAUGAAGAUGACCAGCAGAGUAUUUUGCUACAAGAGACAUAAGAACAACCUCAAGAACAUCCCUCUCUUCCUCAAAAUAUCCCCUCUUUAGUACCUGACCAUUUUCCUGAUGAUACUCUUGAGGUAAGCUCUCCCUAUUAUACAUGAUUCUCUUGUUGAUAUUCAUGAGGUUGUUGAUUAUAAAUUACCUGAAAGACAUAAUCGAGGCAAGGCUCCUAAUCGGUACUCAUCAAAUGCAGAGAAACGAAGGUCAUAGUACGCGAUUACCAAUUAUGUUUUGAAAAGGAGAUUGUCGAAACAUUUGAAGGCGUUUGUGGCCAAUGUUUCUACAAUUCAAGUUCCUAAUGGAGUACAAGAAGCCUUGAGGGAUCCCAAGUGGGUUCAAGCAAUGAAAGAUGAGAUGGAAGCCUUGCAAAAAAAUAAGACCUGGAGACUGGUAGAGUUGCCGAAGAGGAAGAAGGCAGUAGGGUGCAAGUGGGUCUUCACCAUCAAAUAUAAAGCAGAUGUGUCAGUUGAGAGGUACAAGGCACGACUGGUAGUAAAGGGAUAUACCCAGACCUAUGGUGUAAACUACCAUGAAACAUUCUCCCUAGUUGCGAAGCUGGAUACCAUACGGGUUUUGAUGUCAUUUGCAGCAAACUUGGACUAGCCUUUGCACCAAUUUGAUAUGAAGAACGCGUUUCUUCAUGGAGAUCUAUAGGAAGAAAUAUACAUGGAAGUCCCAUUGGGUAUGCGUGUGCUGAUUAGUCAAAUGUGGUAUGCAAACUCCAACGGUCAUUAUAUGGGUUAAAGCAAGCACCCCGCACAUGAUUUGGUCGGUUUAGCUCAACGAUGAAGAGGUAUGGAUACACUUAAAGUAAUUCUGAUCAUACAUUACCCUUGAAGUGUAGACAUGACAAAGUUAUAGUAUUGAUCAUAUACAUGGAUGAUAUGAUCAUCACAGGGGAUGAUCUAGAAGAAAUUGUAGACCUUCAAGGGUAGCUAGGCAAUGAGUUUGAGAUGAAAAUUUGGGAGGCCUUAAAUAUUUCUUGAGAAUUGAAGUAGCCAGGUCGAAGAAAGGUAUUUUCUUGUUUCAUCAAAAGUAUGUGUUAGAUUUAUUAGCUGAGGUUGGAAUCUUAGAGUGUCUCGAAGAGUUUCUUGAUUAGGUGCCUACCAAUAAAGAUUAAUACCAAAGGUUAGUAGGGAGACUGAUUUAUUUGUCACACAUUCGUCCCGAUAUUGCAUAUGCUAUAAUUGUCGCGAGCCAAUUUAUGCAUACUUCGAGUGAAGAACAUAUGAAUGCUAUGGUUCGGAUUCUGCGCUAUUUAAAGUCAACUUUAGGAAAAUGGUUGUUCUUUGCGAAGAACAGUCACCUUGAGGUAAAGGGAUUUACAGAUGCGGAUUGGGUAGGUAGUAUCUCUGAUAGAUAGUCUAUGUCAGGCUAUUUCAUAUUUGUGGGAGGAAACUUGGUAACAUGAAGGAGCAAGAAGCAAGAAGUUGUAGCCUUGUCAAGUGCUGAAGCAAAAUUCCGAGGGGUAGCUAAAAGUCUAUGUGAGCUACUAUGGCUAAAAAGAUUCAUAACAGAACUUGGUUUCCCACUUAAAUUCGAGGUGAGACUAUUUUGUGAUGAUAAAGUUGCGAUUAUAAUUUCUCAUAAUCCAGUUCAAUAUGACCAUACUAAGCAUGUUGAGGUGGAUAGACAUUUUGUCAAGUAGAACUUAGAUGCUAAGAUGAUAAAAGUUUCCAUUUGUCAGAUUUGAAGAUCAGUUGGAGGAUGUUCUUACGAAGGCCUUGUCAAGUCGAGCUUUUCACAGCUCACUUGUCAAGCUGGGUAUCAAAGAAAUCUUCUCACCAACUUGAGGGGGAGUAUUGGAAGAUAUGCAAUAUCAGUCCAAGAUUGCAGUUGACUAAAUGAAUCAAAUUUGGGAUUGGAUUUGAUUCUUUAGAUUGGUCUAGAAUAUUUUCUUUCUAUUUAUUAUUCAUAUUUUGUAUUAUAUAAAGAGCUUUGUACAUUUUUCAUUUCUUCGUUCUUCCUUCUCCUCCCUAUUUUCUGACAAAAUGAUUUCACAUUUUAAUGAAUUAACCAUGGAUUUGCAUCUUUAGACGUCCUUUUUGAUUCAUUAGUUGACAAACUUUCGAGACAAGGACAACAAAAACCUGAAAUUACCAAAAUGCCCCGGCUGGUCAAAUUUUCCCCUGUAUUUUGGACCAUUACUUUUGUCCCUUUAUUUCACCUACCAAACCAACAUAGAAAAUUAUGAAAUUUCACUCAUUGGAAAUAGCGGGACGUCUCCUCAAACUUUCUAGUUCAGCAUUUCUUUCAGAUUUGGCCCACAUUUUUUAUGUAAUUACAGAAAUAGCUCAACAAGUACAGAUUGAUUCUGAAAUUUGCCCUGUGCGUGAGUCGGUACAUUGGAAAAUCAUUUGACCUGGAAAAUCGAUCCAAAAAAUUAUGAAAUUCAUCUUGUUUGAAAGACUAAGAAAUCCUAUAAAAAAAUUUUAGUUUAUGACUUUUCUAUAAUUUUAUGUUAAGGCCUUCUAAUUUCCAAAGUACCAAGACAUGUUCAUGAGGACUCUAACAUCAGACUUUCCGAUCAGUUUUCCGGGAUUUAAAUCUAGAUUUCAAGGUGAUUUAACCUAGCAAACAAUGUCCAAAUUUUUCUCACGAUCCAUCAAAUUGAAGCUCAAGAUGUCUUCUUCAAUUCAUUAUUUGAUAAUUUUCUAUGAUUCUGCCAUUAACUAGGUUAAAUCACCUAAUUAACAGGACUGACUAGUGGACUCCGAACCUGGAAAAUUCCUGACAUGCAUUCAAUCAAUCUAUGAGCAUUCAAUCAAUCAAUGAGCGUUCUUAGCCUAACAACCUACUCAAUUGGCUGGAGAUUACUUCACCAACCAAAUUCGCUCUGGGGUUGGAUCCUCAAGGGGUUAUUUUUUCAUUCCAAGGAUUUCGAAUCAGCAGAACAAGGCUCACAUCCUUCCUGGGGCUGGAGAAGUCUUAUUAUUGGGUGGGACGCCAUCUUACCAAAUGUAAGAUGGUCUGUGGGAGAUGGACAAUCAAUUAAUAUCAUGGAGCAUUGCUGGUUACCAAGUGGUAAAAUUGGAGGACCAGCAGCUAGAGAUGAGCCCAGGAUGGUGGCUGAUCUUAUCGAUCCCGUCCACCAUACAUGGAAUACCCACCUAAUAACAGAGAUGUUCGACAACUUUAUUGUCGACCAAAUACUGAGGAUCCCAAUCAGACCCCUCCACACAACUGAUCAACUCAUUUGGACAGCAACAUCAACGGGGCAUUAUUCGGUCAAAAGCAAUUAUAAAGCACUGGUAAAGACAGCAAGCAAACCAGAUGGCAAUCAGGCCUCAACUUCAUACCAAACUCCUACUGAACUAUGGCACAAAAUAUGGAAAAUGCAUACCACACCGAAAAUUCGGAUAUUUCUGUGGUCAGCCUGCCAAAACACCCUAGCUACUAAAGCAAACUUAUAUCACAAACAUAUCAUCUCAACCCCUAUGUGUACUCUUUGCAAUCAGAACAAGCCAGAAACCGUCGAACAUCUCUUCUUUUAUUGUCCAUGGACACACCCCCAACUAAACCUACUCAAUUGGCUUCGAAACACUCUUAUCCAAUAUUAUUCAGCAUACAUCAGUAUAAUCAAGUAUUUUGAAGUAAAAAUCACAUGGAUCUGGAAUCAUCAUCUGUACAUACCGGUUAUCAAUUAUAAACAGAUAUGAACCUGCAUCAUCAACUCACCACCAAAUCAAUCAUCAAGUCGACACCAAAUCAGACUUAUAAACUCACCACUAGGAGAACAACUUUGCUUGAUAAAUUUAGAUCAAUCCAACGCAUGUUAUUCAAAAGGAUUUUGAUCCUAAAGCUCCUACAGGAGAGGUUAUCAUCAUGCAUCAUAUAGCAACGAAGUUUACAUUUCAGCGGCUUUAGGACUUAAUACUAUGAUUAUUUUGCUGAAAAAUCAUCGCUCAUUCAACAUAACAUUUUCCUGGCCGUCACUCAUCUUCAUAUAAUGAGCAUAUCGCGAAAUCAAAUCAAAUUUGGUGCGAAUCCACCAAGUAUUGACGUGAAAAACAAUAAGCUUCUGUUUCAGCAACAUCGAUCUCAGCCAACAUAUGAUUUUUACCCAAAUUUCAUCACAUCAGCGAACACAAGCUAAGACAGGAAUUGAAUUUUAACUUCCAGCGACUUCAAAGCACAACAAUAAAAUUAUUUCAUGCAAACUCAAUACGAAACAGUCAUGUCACCAGCUCAUAUCGACGUACGUGAUUGAUGUAGCAUAAAAUCAUGUCGCGACCCUCCCGAGGGGAAGACAGAUUUAGACGUAAUGUUAAAUUGGGGACCAAGGGUCCUUAAGCGAUGCAAGAUCUCCUCAACCCUUACCUCCAUUGAUGUUGAGAUUUUUGUUUUAACUGAUUAAAUCUAUGAAAAUGAGGAGAUCUAUGCUUAGAACCAGGGAAAACUAAGUAAGUUGCUGCAGGUAUGUCUUUCCACAGUGGGUGAACCUCUUGUUCAAGCCCUUUAGGGACAGACUUUUAGCAGCAAACUACCUAAAAAUUUAGUUCAGAGUAUAGAGACACUCAAGGAUGCCAAGAUGGUAAUAUUUUUAACUAACCAAUUUGCAUUUCUUAGAAGAUCCUACCAGGCUGGAGAAGAAGAUGUGUUUAGAGAGACAUUGAGAUAGUUUUCACAAACACACACUUUACUUUAAGGGACUCUGCCCAAAACAUUACAUCCUCUUUGCCUUUUAUAGGUACUAAGAGGGCACAAAAAAUAAAGACCAUGCUCACGGGUCUUAAAACAAAUAGAGGCUCCAAAAAAUCUGAUCGAGAAUUAUUCUAGGUGAUAUGAACAGUGACUGUGAACAAUGAUUUCCUUAACCUAUUGCUAUAGUACAUUGUUAUAGUGACCUGUGCUAUAGUAACCUUAUCACAGGCCUAUCUUCCAUCUCGGGAGUUAUAGUCAUAGUCUGAAUCAUCAGAACUAUAUCGUGCAAGCUGCUCUUUCUUGUAGCAUUGUUCAAGUUCUAUAAGUCUGAUGUCAGAGGGACUGCAGGUGACUUCUCUUUGUGCUAUCAUGGUAUUCCACAAGUUUAUUCCGCUUGAGGAGGGCCUUUCUUCAUGGAUCAUAGGGUCUUGGACUAUAGGCAUGCAUGAUUGACUGGGACCAAUUUGAAGUUUGGGCAUAAUGAGAGACUGUGUUGGGGUCUAAUCCAAGGGAUAAGGACAAAGGUCCUUGAUCAUAGGAUUCUUGAGAGAGAGAGAGAGAGCCUCCUAACUGGGCAGAGGAUGUUAAGCACAAGAUUCUUGGGAGGAUUGUGUAGGGUCGUAUGUGUCUACUAUUUCUUGCUCUUGCGAUGGAAGUGACCUUGCCUAGUUGUGUGCUUGAUUGAAUUCUUGGAGUGCUUGUUUGAUUUUUGGUGCAAGACCGUAACAAUCCCAUGGGGCAAGUGUGAAGUAAUUCCAUACUUCUUCAGAAAUGGUUCUGUUUUCUUGGCAUAAGGCUAUCUGGAGUUCUCUGUAAUUGUAUUCAACAUAUCUAACACAAUCAGAGAGGGAUUUGUAAAUAUGAGCCUCCUUAAGAUGUGGCUGAGGUUUGUAGGCUGUGGUUCCUACUCAUUGUGACGCAUUGGUAAUGAUACCAUUCUCUUUCACAAAAGCCCAUGGUUGUCGAAGAAACACAACGGUGUGUAUCUUUGAUUAUGCUCGGACAAUUCUUUUUCUUGUUGGAAGAUAUGCUUCCAAUAAGUAGGAGGAUGGAACCCGUUGAGUACAGCUAGAAGGUUCCUAUCACUUUCUUUUUCAAUGUUAUGGUCAAGCGCAAAUAUCCUGGUUAAGUUAGCACGGAAUUUUUUGGUGGGAAACUCAAUAGUUACUAAGUACUUAUUGGUUAAGUACCAUAAUAAUCAUUGGAGUUUGUCAGGAAAAUCAUAUUUCUUCUAGAUUAAAAGAUGUAUGAAUGGAUACUUGGAGUUCAAAAGGAUAAAGAAUUGAGCCUCCAUGGAGUCUGAAUAGAUCUUUGUGGCAUUGCCACAUGAGGUUGUUAAGAUUUUCAGUGAGGCUGUCAUUCUGGAUUUGUUCAAUGAUCUCUUAAGGGUAUUCCAAACUUGGCCAAUAUUGCAUUCUUUCAAUCUUGUACUUUUCUUGGCGAUGAAAAGUUUGAAAAGCAUGUCUUAUAAUGUACAUGUUAAUCUCUACUGGUGCCUUUGGUCUGCAUAGAAAAUUAGCAAGCACAUUUUUUUUUCUAGCAAUGUGUUUGGUUUCAAAAAAGUAUUUCGAAAAUCAUUCUGCCCAUCAAAGCAGUUGAGAAUGAGGAAUCUACUUCUGUUUGAAUUUGGUCAUCUAUGGAAAGGAUGCCAUAUCCAAUUCUACUAGAAAAUGAUGGCCGAUAAGAUGGAAUUCAAACUUUCUUAUUCCAUUUUUUACUGCUAGUAUUUCCUUGAAAGUAGAAUGAUAAUGCAUUUUAGUCUAGGAAAACUUUCCGCUUUUGUAAGUACAAAUGUGCCGCUUACCUUCAAUUUCUUCAAAUAGUAUUGUCGCCCAGUAUUCAUCACUAGCAUCAGCAUGAAGAAUUCUCUUCCCUAUAGAUGAGAUUUGUAAAGAGGGAAGAGUUUGCAUGACUUCUUUUAGUUUUGCGAUUGCUUCUGGUUUGGGUCUUACCCCAAGGUGGAGGAUUUUUCUUUAGCAUAAAUUGCAGGGCAUCAACAAUUUAGCAAUAUUAGGGACAAAAUUUGUGAGAUAAUUAAUUAUCUCGAGAAAUUGCUUAACUUGUUUUAUCGUGAAAUCCUCUUCUAAAAAUUUCAACAAUUCUUUAGUAAUGUGUGGCCUUGGAUAGUAUGUACCCUUGUUGAGGUGCAUACCUAGAAAUUCAAUCUCUAUCUAGAUAAUGUCCAUCUUCCUUUGAGAAAGCAUAAUCCCAUAUUUAUUUACAAUAUUGGCAAAUUUCUCGAGAAAUCGGCAGCGGGAUUAUUCAUCUAGACUGUAAAGUAGAAUGUCAUCAAUGUAAACCAUUGCACUAAGCAGUAUUGGUUGGAAGAUGUGGCACAUGACCUUUUGAAACAAGGAAGGGGCUACUUUAAGGCUAAAAGGGAGAACCUUCCAUUGAAAAUGCUGAUUUGGAAUACAUAACUCUAUCUUAGGUCUAUGUUCAGGAUGAAUGUCCAAUUGCUAAAAUCCGGCUUUGAGGUCGAAUUUGGAAUAAAUAUGGGCUUUGAAUAAUCCAACAAAAAGGGAAUUUUUGGAAGGUAAAGGGAACUUGUCAUCUUAGAGGAAUAGAUUGAGGGGUUGGUAAUUUAUUACUAGCUGUAUUUUUCCUCUAUUUUGCUUAGCCCAUUUGUUGACAUAAAAAGCCUCGCAAGCCCAUUAGGAAUCUGAAAUUUUAGUAAGGCCUUAUUGCAGUAGUUUUGAGCAUUCCUUUUGAGCAGCAACAAGAUGUUCGGAGUUCAUUCCCAAGUGGCUUGCCUUAAUAGGAUUGCUAUUUUCAUUUUCUUGAAUGUAAGGCAAACAAAAAACUUUGGAUUUUUCCACAAUGGGGCAUUUUUGAGAAAAUUCAGAGUGAGAUUCUGAACAAGAUUCUCACAAGUUUUGCAUGAUUGGAUCCAACAAACUCAUUUGAAUAGAGAAGAGUCUUUGGAUAUUGAAAAAUUCAAAGAAUUGACCUUUAUACUUAAGGUUCUUUCCAAGAAUAAUUCGGAGUUGAGAGAUUUGAGUCAUAAUGUCCUAACCAAUGAUUGAUUUGGAGUUGAACGAUCUCUACUAGAAAGAUUUGAAGAAUUUCAUACUCGGCUAAAUACUUAAGCCCUCACAAAUCAUGAUAAGUAUGACGUCCUUUUUGGAUUUGUCACAAGGUUCAAUGGUAGCCUCAAACAUUGGCGGCAAUUGGUUAUAGAAUAAGAUUAAUUGCAAUUUCUACUCUCAGCAGACUUUGGCCAAGCUAUUGUUCUUAUUUACUACUUUUUCAUUGGUAAACCUACUAACCUCAAAGAGCUCAAAAGAAUAGAGUUUUUUGAAAGAAAAUGCUGCUCUCUCUAGAAAAGGUAUCUUUGCAAAUAUUAUCAAGAAAUGAUCAAACUCUUCUACGGUCUUGGAGCUAAUCCAAACCUGAAAUAGUUUUUCCUAGCCUCUAUCCUUAGAGAGCUUUCCCAACAAGUUGAGAGAUCUUUCCUCAACAAGCAAAGGAGAAUUGUGAAUAUACCCCUUGGAGAAAUACAAUGAGAGAUCCAUCUUUGUCUUGAUGAUCUGUGUCUCAGACAGCAGAUGAUGAAAACUUAUAUCAAAGACAAUCGAGAGCUUGAUGGUGCUUGUCCAUACCGAAAUCUAAAGAUCAAAUGAUCCACAAAAGAUUGCGAUGGCCUUUAUGGUAAACAUUUCAGAAAAAAGAAGCAUUUCAAGAAAUACAGAGUUGAAAGAUCCAAGCAUGGAUCUAAGCACUUUCGAAGAAAGAAAAAAUGACUUUUUCUAUGAAGAAGAAGAGAUUGCUUAGAUCGUAAGAAAUCAAAUUGAUGCUUCAUUUGCAACAAGAAGGGUCAUUUCGCCAAAAAUUGUUCCCAGGCGAAAAAAAAGUCAUAAUCACUUGAUACAACAUAUUAAAAUUAAAACUGGCGUUUCCCUUGAAAAUGAUGAUGUUGAAUCAUUGUUCUCUAUUGACAAAAAUUUAUAUGAACAGACCCUUUGUGUCAUUCCUUAUUAUCAAACUCCUAGUGAAACCGAUUCUGAGUUAGAUUCUAAAGAUAUUUUCCAUAUAUCCCUCAAAAUUGUAGAACAAGACCCUAGUAUAUAUUCUAGUGAAGUUCAUUAUUCUCAUUUCUCUGUCAAGAUCUUCACUUCAAAGUUUGCUAAGCCAAUCAUAGUCAUCGCCCUUAUAUAUACUGGUGCUAGUUCUUCAAUUUUAAACACGAAAAUUCUUCCUCAAGAAUACUAGAUUUCUUGUGUUCGAUAUUUCAAUUCUGCCUCAAGAGACACUUUUUCUAUAAAAGUGCAUACUACACCAGUAACUAUUCAAUUCUUCACUCAGUGUUCUAUAACCGCUAAAAUUUUUAGAUCUAGUUUUCUUAACAAAGAUUUAAUCAUUGGUUGGGACGCUAUGACUCAAAUCUCUCGACUCUGAAUUAUUCUUGGAAAAGACCUUAAGUAUAAACAUCAAUUUUCUGAAUUUAUCAAUAUCCAAAGACUAUUCUUUAUUUCCGCCUUUGGGCUUUCAAGAUAAUGAUAUCCCAAAUGUUGUCUAGAUUCUAGGGCAUGAUGUCUUUUAUGAAAGUCUGAAAGCAUCUUUUUGCUGGUCUCAUCUUAUCUUUUGAGAUCCCUUUAUACAUCAACAACUUUAGAAUUAACCGUUUUGAAAGUAUUGUUGUGUGCCAAAAGGGUUUCUAAUUGCCAAUUCGGGACAAUUUCGGCAACAGAAGUUCUCUUUUGCCUUCCAUGUUUAUCCACAUCAGUGGGAGUAAGGAUUUUCGGAACAUGAUGAUAUCUCCCUUGAGGAUCAAUAAAUUCUUCAGCAGCACAAAAAGAAAGCUUAAAGCUCUCUUGCACAAUAUGAGGAAAAUCUGUAUCCUGGAACUUGGAAAUUGAAGCGUUAGCCUUUUCUUGAGUUUCUUGGCUAGAUAGCAUUUCAUCUAGAAGUUCAAGUGGGUAUGAAUUCUUUUUUGCCCACUUUAGGAUUGGUUUGUAAAACGGGGAAACGACAGAUUUUUUAUGAGGUGGUGAGGAAGGAGGUGAAGGUGGUAAAGCAAGGGAUGACAACGGUGGUGAUGUGGAAGAAGGCGGUAGUGAUUGGGCAUAAUAAACCAUGAACUAGAACUUAUCACACUCACCAAGGGUGUCAACAGAGAGGUCUCCAUUCAAAUACCUCUAGUACAGGCCAUUUUUAAGCUUACGGGCUUUUCUCUUGGGUCUUGUAGUCGGAUUUACUUUGUCGGGAGAGUUUGCACAUGAAGAACAUUAGCAAAAAGGAUCCCAAAAGCAAUGGCCAUAAGGGUCUUUGUAGUAAUGGACAGAAUUUCCAUCACUCUGAAAGUACUUGACAAGCUUUUUUGGGUCUGGAUCAGGGAUUGGAUUUGGAACACAAGAUUGGAUUAUGAACAGGGUUUUGAAGAUAGAAGAACUUUCUUCAUCUUCUUUGCCAAACUUGAUGGCAAAAAUGCCAUCAUUUUUUCUUAAAAACUUAGAAUCUGAAAAAUAGAGAGGCUUAUUGUUUUGGUGUAGCUUUUCAUAGUUGGUGAUCCAAGUCUCUAGAAGAAGCUUGGUCAACUUUUCUUUGGGGAUUUGCCUGGAAACAUGGAUACAAGAAGCUUGAUCAUUUUGCAUAGAGAUGAACAGGGCGUCCUCAUUUAUAUUCUGGAAAUUGAGGUCCAAGGCAUGAUUCUGCACAUGAUAAACCAUAUGGUAGUGGAGAGUUGUUGCAAUGGAAUCAGUCGUUUGAGGUGCUCUAGUAAGUUGAAUUUGGACCAUUAGGAAGGAAAGCAAAUGGGGAUUUGAAAGAGCAAUAUUGAAAUUUGGAUACAAAGUUACAAAGACCGUCCCAGCAUUCAAAAUAGUUUGGACUAUGCCUAUACAAACAUGUUGGUAUUCUAAGAAAUGAGUGUCCAGUAAAGCCAUUCUAGCCUCAAUUGACAAGCAUUUUCAGCUAUGAAAAGUAAGUGCAAGUCGAAUAUGAGAAUAUCCUUAUUAGGUCCAUUGUCUUCGAAACUCCGGGGGAAUUUGAAGAGCAACAAAAUACUCAUUUUCAGUGGCUAGAAUGCAGUGCUGGUCAAACUUGGAGAAUUACAUAUACUCUUUCACUUCUUUGGGGGCUUGAUAGACAAGUUGUUGAACGGAGUAGAUAGAGAAGAAUGAUGAAGAGGGUUUAACAAAAGCUGAAUAUGGGUUCAUAAGAGGAAGCUAAGUUUUGAGAGAAGUACACUAUCAGUGCCAUAAGUUGUGUACGGUACUCCCUUUGGUGUCAAAAGUUUCAAUCAUAUCACUUAAGUGUCAAAUCGGAGGAAAAACGAUCACUUUGGUGCCACCGGCGAGAGAUUCUGGCCAAAAUGAUGACGUGGCUUUUAUAUUUAAAAAAAAAAUCGAUAUGGCUUGAGAAACAACGUCAUUUUCCGUCCUCCUUAAGAAAACGACAUCAUUUUUCUGUCCUAAGUGGAUGGUCUCACAAAAACGACGUCGCACAACUCAUUUUAUGAUUUUAUUUAUUUAUUUGGAGAUUGAAAUUAGGGUUCUGAUUCUCGUCGGCUGCCGACCUAGCUUGCUCGGCCAUCGUCGCUCGGCCGUCGACCUAGCUCGCUCGGCCUUCGUCGCUUGGCGACAUGAGGUUUGCACUUGAGCGAGAUCACGGCCUUCGACUUGGCCGUCGAGUGGCCAAGUCAAGGUCGGAGCCACGGCCACCGAGCGCGGGGGCCGUCAAGGACGGCGAUUGGCCCAUCGCUGGCGCAGGUAGAGGUGAGGGAUGUGGGCGAUUUAAGGGGGAGGAGGAGGGAAAACCAUCGACGCCAGCGACGGUGCGGACGCCGGGGUCAUCGGGGGUGGGGGAGCAGAAGACGUUGGAGUAGCCGCAGACGUCGAGGCUGACCCAGUUGGCGGUGAAGUUGUUGGGGUCGGAGAGGAUGGCCUACUUCAGGGCCUGGAGGGUGACAUAGGCGUUGCGGAGGCACGGGUUCUCGAAGGAGGCGGAGGGGUCGACGGCGACUUGCUCGCCGCGGUCGCUGAACUCGUUGAGGUAGUGGAGGAGGUGGUGGUGCUUGGCGGCGCCAUGGGCGGCGGCGGAGAGGACGGCAAGGGAGGAGAAGAGGACGAAGAGGGCGGUAGUGGCCGAGAUUCUCUGGCAGAUUUAGGGUUUAGGGUUUUGAAUUGGGGGAGAGACACCAAGUGACGUCGUUUUUGUGGUUUACAUGCUGACUGUACUCUCCGGCGAGCCACAUCAACGUCAAAAAUUAAUAAAAAAUUGCCACGUCGGAUUUCCGGUCAAUCUGAUUGGAGUUGGCACCAAAAUGAUCGUUUUUCAAACUUUUUGGCACUUAAGUGAUUCGACGGAAAAUUUUGGCACCAAAGUGAGUACCGUACACAACUUAUGGCACUGAUAGUGUACUUCCCCCCUAAGUUUUAGAAAUCAUUGUAUCAUCACUAAGAGAGACUUCAUAGAGAUAGUCUAUCUUGGAGGCAUUUAAAACACGAAAUUGUAAAAGAGAGGAGGAAGAUGGAGAUGAAGUAAAGGUAACUGGAGAAUCGAUGUUUCAGGAUCAGACUAGACAUGGAGAAAGUCUUCUUAGCACUGGAUUAUCCUUCUAAGCGCAUGGAACGAACCAAGUUACAAAAGAAAUCAUUGCUCUGAUACUAAUGAGGGGACCUAUGCUUGGAACUAGAGAAAACUAAGCAAGUUCCUGCAAGUAUGUCUUCCCACAGCAGGCGAACCUCUUGUUCAAGCCUUUUAGGAAUAGUCUUUUAGUAGCAACUACCUAGAGAUUUAGUUCAGAGCAUAGAGACACUCAGGGAUGCUAGGAUGGUAACAUUUUUACCUAGUCGAGCUGCAUUUCUUAGAGGAUCCUACCAUGCUGGAGAAGAAGAUGUGUUUAGAGAGACAUUAAGAGAGUUUUCACAAACAAACUUCACUUCAAGGGACUCUGCCCAAAACAUUACAUCCUCUUUGCCUUUUAUAGGCACUAAAGAUAACAAAAAACAAAGACCAUGCUCACGAAUCUUAAAACAAAUAGAGGCUUCGAAAAGUCCGAUCGGGAAUUAUUUUAGGUGACAUGAAUAGUGACUGUGAAUAUUGAUUUCCCUCACCUAUUGCUAUAGUACAUUGCUAUGUGACUUGUGCUAUAGUAACUUUGUCAUGGGCCUAUCUUCCAUCUCAGGAGUUGCAGUCAUAGUCUGAAUCGUCAAAGGUACGUUGUGAAAAAAAAGCUCUUCCUCAUAGCGUUGUUCAAGUUCUGUAAGUUUGAUGUCAGAAGGACUGCAGGUGACUUCUCUUUGUGCUAUCAUGGUAUUCUACAUGUUUAUUCUACUUGAGGAGGGCCUUUCUUCAUGGAUCAUGGAGGGUCCUAGAGUGUCGACAGGCAUGAUUGGCUGGGGCCAGUUUGAAGUUUAGGUAUAAUGGGAGACUAUGUUGGGGUAUAAUCUAAGGGAUAAGGACAAAUGUCUUUGAUCAUAUGGGUCUUGAGAGAGAGGGCCUUUCCACUGGGCAUAGAAUGCCUGAGCAUAGGAUUUUUGGGAGAACUAUGCAGGAUUGUCCAUGUCCGAUAUUUCUUGCUCUUGUGAUGGAUGCGUCCUUGCAAGGUUCUGUGCUUGAUUGAAUUCUUGGAGUGCUCGUUUAGCAUCUGGUGCAAGACCAUAGUGGUCCAAUGAGAUAGGGGUGAAGUAAUUCCAUACUCCUUCAUGAAUGAUUAUGUUUUAUUGGCACAAGCCUCUCUGGAGUUCUUAGUAAUUGUAUUCAACAUAUCCAACACAAUUAGGGAAGGAUUUGUAGAUACAUGUCCCCUUAAGAUGUGGCUAAGGUUUGUAGAUUGUGGUUCCUACUCCUUGUGGCGCAUUGGUAAUGAUACCAUUCUCUUUCACAAAAGGCCAUGGUCUACGAAGAAACACAAUGGUGUGUAUCUUUGGUUAUGCUCAGAUAGUUCUUAAUUCUUAUUGGAAGAGAUGCUUCCAAUAAGUAGGAGGAUAGAAGCAAUUGAGUACGACCGGAAGGUUCCUAUCACUUUCCUUUUCAAUGUUAUGGCCAAUCGCAAAUUUCUUGCUUAAGUUAGCAAGGAACUUUCUAGUGGGAAACUUAAUAGCUACUGAGUACCUAUUGGUUAAGUACCAUAAUAACCAUUGAAGUUUGUUAGGAAAAUCAUCUUCCUUCUAGAUUAAAGGAUGUACGAAUAGAUACCUAGAAUUUAAUCCAAAAUGAUAAAGAAUGAGCUUCCAUGGAGUCUGAAUAGAUCUGUGUGACAUUGCCACAUGAGCCUAUCAAGAUUUUUAGUGAGGCUAUCAUUCUGGAUUUGUACAAUGAUCUCCUAAGGGUAUUCUAGACUCGGCCAAUCUCGCAUUCUUUCAAUCUUGUACUUUUCUUGAUGAUGAAAAGUGUGAAAAUCAUGUCUCAUAAUGUACAUAUUAAUAUCUACUGCUACCUUUGGUCUGGAUAGAAAAUCAGCAAGCACAUUCUUCUUUCUAGCAAUGUGUUUAGUUUCAAAAGAGUGUUUUGAAAACUAUUUCGCCCAGAAAACAACUGAGAAUGAGGAAUCUACUUUUGUUUGAAUUUGGUCAUCUGUGGAAAUGAUGCCAUAUCCAAUUCUACUAGGAAAUGAUGGCUAAUGGUUUCUUUUGUAACUUCGUUCGUUCAAUGCGCUUGGAAGGAGAAUCCAAUGCUGAGAAGACUUUCUCCAUAUCAUGUUUGAUCCUAAAACCUUCAAUGUUCCAAUUACCUUUACUUCAUCCCCAUCUUCCUCCUCUCUUUUAGAAUUUUGUGUAUUAAAUGCCUCAUAGAUAAACUAUUUCUAUGAAGUCUCUCUUAAUGAUGGUACAAAAAUUUCUGAAACCUAGCUUCCUCUUAUGAACCCAUAUUUAGCUUUUGUUAAACCCUCUUCAUCCUUCUCCCCCGUCCACUCCAUUUGACACCUUAUUCGUCAGACUCUCAAAGAAGUGAAAGAGUAUGUGCAUUCCUCCAAGUUUGACCAGUACCCCUUCUAGCCAUUGAAAAUGAGUAUUUUGUUACUCUUCAAAUUCCUUGGGAGUUUCUAAGACAAUGGACCCAACAAGGAUAUUCUUAUAUCUAUUAUGAAACUGUCCGACUUGCACUUACUUUUUAUGGCCGAAAAGGCUUGCCUGUUGUGGUCAGAAUGGCUUUACUAGACACUCGGUUCUUAGAAUACCAGAUGCUUAAAUUGGCACAGUCCAAACUACUUUGAAUGCUGGGACAGCCUUUGCAAUCUUGUAUCCAAAUUUCAAUAUUGUUCUUUCAGAUCCCCAGUUGCUUUCCUUCUUGAAGGACCAAAUUUAGCUUACUAGCGCACUUUAGACGACUGAUUCCAUUACAACAACUCCACUACCAGAUGGUUUAUCAUGUGCAGAAUCAUGCCUUGGACCUUAAUUUCCAAAAUGGAAAUGAGGAUGCCCUAUUCAUCUCUAUGCAAAAUGAUUAGGUUUCUUGCAUCCAUGUUUCUCGGAAAAUCCCCAAAGAAAAGUUGGCUAACCUUCUUCUAGAGACUUAGUGUCACGCCCUGACCCUCAGGCACACACACAUCCCUUACUUUUGGUCGAUUUUAAAAUGCGAUAUCCCAGGACUACGUAUCGUCGACCAUUUCAUUUGUAUAUGCACAUGCGAAAGCAGUUAUAAUUCCCCACACAAUAAAGCAAUGGGAUAAAAGCAGGCCAUAUAUUUUCCUUACUGAAAAUUCACAACUACAUCUUUUUACAUGCAUCUUAUAGUAUUCUACAAUACCAUAUAUACGCAACUCUGGUCUAACGUCUAUUCACAUGCAAACAAGGUCUGACAAGAUAGGACAGGAUCUCAGUCAUCAUCCGGGUCGUACACGAUGUCAUACUCGGGGUCCUCCUCCACGUACUCCUCUUCGGAUUCCUCAACAAGGAUCUCCUCGUCAAAUUCAUGCUCCUUAGGCUCCUCAUCCAGGUCCUAAAAUGGUUAUUCAAUAACCACUGAGACAACGUCUCAGCAAGUUCUUCCUCCUAAGACCCGAUUAGUAAACUAAUACACCUUAGGGCUGCCUACACACAACAUGAGUCAGAGGACUUACCUUGCCCUCAAAUUCCACCUGCAUAUUAGCACAGAUUAAAUAGGCACCCAAGCAAUCACAUCACAGAUCGAAGCAUCGAUCAAAUCGACUUAGUCGAUUACACACCAACAAGACCACUCACGGUCAUUUCCAUUCGAUCAAUCAAUUCACACAGCAGAUCAAGGCAAUGAAUCACAUCAAAUCACACUUAGAUCGAAUCAUCGAUCAAUCGACCUAGUCGAUCACACGCCAACAAUGACCACUCACGGUCAUUUUAAGGCGCCGUUUUCGCACAGUGAUGUACUUUAUCACCGAACCACGCCUGUCUAUACUUCGUACUUAAUCGGUCUCAGCCAAUAAAAUUAUCAGUUAGCUCUCAUCACUUUCUUCACUUUAGAGCUCAUCAAAGCAUUAUAAAGGUUAAAUAAACAAACUCGGCCAUUUACAAAUCAAUCAUUCAAUUCCACUCAAAUUCAAUCAAUUAAGGAAUAAUUCCAUAAAUUGCACAAUCAAUUUAAUUAAGCACAACGUGGAGUUCAAAUAAAUAAAUGGAUUUCACCACGACAAUCAGCACGAAAUUCCGGUCACCAGCCAUCCCGGUUGAAUUUCCGGAAAAUAAAUAAUUAAAUAAUUAAUUUUGAUAAUUAAAUAAAUACAAUAAAUUCAAUUUAGCACAAUAUAAAACUCAAUUAAAUAAACGAACUGCGCCACAAUCAUCAGCAUAAAAUCCCGGUCACUAGCCAUCCUAGUUGAAUUUACAGGAAAUAAAUAAUUAAAUAAUUAAUUUCGAAAAUUAAUAUUUAAUUCCUAAAUUUCCACCUAGGCCCGAUUUGCUUAAUUAACACCCGAUAAGGGACGGGAAAAAUCCCAAGAAGCAUCCAAUAAAUACUAUAGGCAAUUCUCUAUCUAAUUACACUAAUCACACAACUAAUAUGCAAAGCAAUUAACUAAUAAUCACUAAUCAGUUCAAAUCUAACAACCUAAUUACACUUAAUUAACACUAAUCAACCUUUAAGUGCAAUUAGCAAACUAAGAAGGCAUUAGUGAGUAAAACUCACUCAAAACGACGAGCUCGACGCGAGGGUCGACUUUCCUCAAAGCGGGCCGAGCAUCCGGGCUCGGGAAGGCGGCCAAAACGGGCCAAACAGUUGCUGCAAUACCCAUUUUCUGCACUCUUUGUGCGCUGCUGGUUGGGGACGUUCCGGGGUCGAUUGAGGCGGCCAAGGGCAGCUAGGGUCGGGUGGAGCUCCGGCGGUUCGAGGUGGCGGCGCAUGGUGGCCGGAGGUGGCCGGACUGUGGCCUGUGCUGGCCAAAACGGAGCUAAAUAGAGGCGGUUGGGAGCUGGGGUCGCACGACGGGGCGAUGAGAGGCGAGGCCAAGCACGGCUGCACACACGCUAGCGCGGGGACGGGCGACCGGCGACAACGGUAGCUUCGGUCCAGUAACGCUAGCUGCUGCCCCAACUCCGGUGUCCUCCCAGAUCUAGGACCCCGAGCAGCGAACGGAGGGGAAGACAGAGGGUGUCGACGGCAACUGAGAUGGGUGAGGGAGGGGCGGAGACAAACGACGGAGCGGCGGAGCAGGUGAUGCACGGGUAAGGACGGCUUGCGGCAUGAGGCGGCGACGGUGAGCUGCUUCAGUCUUCAGGCGAGCUGCUGUCCUGCUUCUGCUUCUGUCUUCGUUCGAACAGUGAGGGGAAAGAGAGAGUGUCGAGAGAGAGUACCGAGGGAGAGAGAUAAGGAUAAGAGAGAGAGUAGAUAAGUUUGAAAAGUCAAAAAGCAAAAGUGAAAAGGAGAAGCAAAGUGAGAAACGGAAGAGGGCAGUCGGUGGGGGCAUUUCGCACGAGGAGAAAAGAGAGAGAGAGAGAGAGAGAGAGAGAGAGAGAGAGAGAGACUUUCGGCCAAAGGAAAAAGGGGAAAGAGAAAAGGUGAUUGGCCCAAAAAUAGAAAAAGAAAAGGGAAAUGGGAGGAAGACUAAACAAAAGAAUUUCCUAGAGUAGAAAAUUCUCAUCUCAUUUUCUUUUUGAUAUGCCCAUAAUUUCUCAAAAGAAAUUUCAGAUUAGAGUACUCGGUUCCCACUUGCAUUUCUGCAUCCAAAUUCUCUCUUAAUUUCUCUCAAAUAAUUCUCACAAAAAUCAAUUGAUAUCUCCAUUAUCAAAUUGAUUAUUUUCCUUAUCCAAGAAUCCCUCAUGCUUCUCAAUUUCACAAUCCCCGGCUUCAACUGAACGAAAACGGCCCUAUUUAUCCAGUCUAAGUUAGAACCUGAAAAUCUGGAUGUCACACUUAGAUUACCAACUACGGAAAGCUGUACCAAAACAAUAAGCCUUUCCAGUCUUCAAAUUCCGAGUUUGUAAGAAAAAAGGAUGGCAUUAUUGCCAUCAAGUUUGGCAAAGAAAAUGAAGAAAGUUCUUUUAUCUUCCAAACCUUGUUCAUGAUCCAACCUUAUGUUUCGGAUCCAAUCCUGAUCUAGACCCAGAAAAGCUUGUCAAGUACUUUCAGAGUGAUGGAAAUCCCGUCCAUUACUAUAAAGACUUUUAUGGUCAUUAUUUUUGGGAUCCUUUUGCCAAUGUUCUUCAUGCACAAACUCUCCUGACGAAGUAGAUCCGGUUACAAGACCCAAGUGAAAAGCCCGUAAGCCUAAAGAUGGCCUAUACCAGAGGUAUUUGAAUGAAGACCCAUCAACAGACACCUUUGGUGAAUGCGAUAAGUUCUAGUUCAUGAUUUCUUAUGCCCCAUCACCACCACCUUCUUACACAUCACCACCGUUGCCAUUUGUUGCUUUACCAUCUUCGCCUCCUUCCUCACCACCUCAUAAAAAACUCAUUGUUUCCUCAUUUUACAAAUCAAUCCUGAAGUGGGCAAAAAAGAAUUCAUACCCACUUGAACUUCCAGAUGAAACACUAUCCACCUAAGAAACUCAUAAAAAGGCUAACGCUUCAAUUUCCAUGUUUCAGGAUAUAGAUUUCUCUCCUCUUGUGCGAGAGAGCUCUAAGCUUUCUUUCCUACUACUAGAGAAUUUAUUGAUUCUCAAGGAAGAUAUCGUCAUGUUCCAAAUAUCUCUGCUCCCACCAAUGUGGAUGAACAUGGAAAGCAAAAGAGAACUCCUGUUGUCGAAGCUGUCUUAAAUUGGCAAUCAGAAACCAUUUUGGCACACAACAAUGUUUUCAAAACAAUUGAUUCCAAAAUUGUUGAUGUACAAAGGACUCUCAGAAGAUGUGAUAAGACCACCAAAAAGAUGCUUUCAGACUUCAAAAAGACAACAUUUGGGAUAUCAUCAUCUUGAAAGUCCAAAGGUAGAAAUAGAUAAGAGUCUUUGGAUAUUGACAAAUUCAGAGAAUUGAUCUUUAUGCUUAAAGCCUUUUCUAGGAAUAAUUUAGAGUUGAGAGAUUUGAGUUAUAAUGUCCCAACCAAUGAUUAAAUCUUUGUUGGGAAGACUAGAUCCAAAAACUUUAGUGGUUAUAGAAUAUUGAGGGAAGAACUGAAUAGUUACCGGUGUAGUACUCACAUUUGUAGAAAAAGUGUCUCCUGAGAUAGAAUCGAAAUACUAAACACAAGAAGUCCAGUAUUCUUCAAGAAGAACUUUCGUGUCUAAAAUUGAAGAACUAGCACCAGUAUCUAUAAAGUCGAUGACUGUGAUUGGCUUAGCAAAUUUUGAGGUGAAGAUCUUGAUAGAGAAAUGAGGACAAUAAACUUGGCUAGAAUAUGUUCUAGGGUCUUGUUCUACAGAAGUGAGGGAUAUAUGGAAAAGAUCUUUAGAAUCUAACUUAGAAUCGGUUUCACUAGGAGUUUGACAACAAAAAAUGACAUAAAUGGUUAGUUUAGAUGGAUUUUCAUCGAUAGAAAAUAAUGAUCCAGCAUCAUCAUUUUCAAGGGAAACGCUAGUUUCAAUGUAUCAAGUAGUUCUGACCUUUUUUUUCUUUGCUUGGGAACAGUUUUUGGCGAAAUGACCCUUUUUGUUGCAAAUGAAACAUCGAGUUGAUUUCUUGCGGUCUGAGCGAUCUCUUCUUCUUCUUCUUCUUCUUCUUCUUCUUCUUCUUCUUCUUCUUCUCAGGAAUCACCAUUUUUUCUUUCUUCGAAAAUGCUUAGAUUCAUGCUUGGAUCUUUCAACUCUGUAUUUCUUGAAAUGCUUCUUUUUCUAGAAUGUUUUCCACAAAGGCCAUUGUAAUCUUUUUUAGAGCAUUUGAUCUUUAGAUUUUCGCAUGAACAAGCACCAUCAAGCUCUCGAUUGUUCUUUGAUGCGUUUGAGACAUAGAUCAUCGAGAUAAAGAUGGAUCUUUUGCUAUAUUUCUCCAAGGAGUAUAUCCACAAUUCUCCUUUACUUGUUGAGGAAAGAUCUCUUAAUUUGAUGGGAAAGCUCUCUAGGGAUAGAGGCUAGGAAAACCUGUUUUAGGUUUGGAUCAGCUCUAAAGCCGUGGAAGAGUUUGAUCAUUUCUCUAUAAUGUUUAUCGAGAUACCUUUUUUGGAGAGAGCAGCAUUUUCUUUCAAAAAACUCUAUUCUUUUGAGCUCCUUCAGGUCAGCAAGUUUACCAAUGAAAACGUGGUAAAUAAGAACGAUAGUUUGGCCAAAGUAUGUUGAGAGCAGAAAUUGCAAUUGAUCUUGUUCUAUAUCCGAUUGCUACCAAUGUUUGAGGUUACCUGUGAACCUUGUGAUAAAUCCAAAAAUGGCGUUAUACUUGUCGUGAUUUAUGAGUGAUUAAGUGUUCAGCCAAAUAUGAAAUUCUUCAAAUCUUUCUAGUAGAGAUCGCUCAACUCCGAAUUAAUCAUUGGUUGGGACAUUAUUACUAAAAUCUCUCAACUCCGACUGAUUUUUGGAAAAUGCCUUAAGUAUAAAGAUCAAUUCUCUGAAUUUGUCAAUAUUCAAGGACUCUUCUCUAUUCAAAUGAGUUUGCUGGAUCCAAUUAUUCAAAAGUUGUUAGAAUCUUGUUCAUAAUCCCACUUUGAAUUUUCUAAAAAAUGCCCCUACCCUUUAUGGAAAAAUUUAGAGUUUUUUGUUUGCCUUCCAUUCAAGAAAAAUGAGGAUUUCAAUCCUACUAAGGCGAGUCACAUGGGAAUGAACCCGAAACAUCUUGUUGCUGCUCAAAAGGAAUGCUCAGAACUACUACAACAAUGCCUUAUUGAAAUUUCAGAUUCCUAAUGAACUUGCAAGGCUUUCUAUGUCAACAAACGGGCUGAGCAGAGUAGAGGAAAAAUGCUGCUAGUAAUAAAUUACCAGCUCCUCAAUUUAUUCUCCCUAAUAUGACAAGUUCCCUUUACCUUCAAGAAAUUCCAUUUUUGUUGGAUUACCCAAAGCUCAUAUUUAUUCAAAAUUCGACCUCAUCAUCGGGUUUUAGCAAUUAGGUAUUCAUCUUAAAGACAGACCCAAGACAAGAUUUUGUAUUCCAAGCUGGCAUUUGUAAUAGAAGGUUCUCCUGUUUGACCUCAAAGUAGCCCAUUCCUUGUUCCAAAAGGCCAUGUGCCACAUCUUCCAACCAAUACUGCCUAGUGCAACGGUUUACAUUGAUGACAUUCUACUUUAUAAUCCAAAUGAAGAACCCCACUGCCGACUUCUAGAGUAAUUUGCUGAUAUCGUAAAGAAGUAUGUGAUUAUGUUUUCUCAAAGGAAGAUGAACUUUGCCCAGAUGAACAUUGAAUUUCUAGGAAUGCACCUGAACAAGGGUGCAUACUAUUCAGGGCCACACAUUACUAAGGAAUUGUUGAAAUUCUCAGAAGAGGAUUUCACGACAAAACAAGUUUAGCUAUUUCUUGAGAUAAAUAAUUAUCUUAGAAAUUUUGUCCCUAACAUCGCUAAAUUGUUGAUGCCAUUGAAAUUGAUGUUGAAGAGGAAUCCUCCAUCUUGGGGUAAGACUCAAACCAAAAUAGUCGCAGAACUGAAAGAAGUCAUGCAGACUCUUCCCCAUUUGCAAAUCUCAUCUACAAGGGAGAUAGUUCUUUAGAUUGAUGCCAGUGAUGAAUACUAGGCGAUAAUACUGUUCGAAGAAACUGAAUGUAAGCGACACAUUUGUACUUACAAAUGUGGAAAGUUUUCCCGAGCUAAAAUGCAUCAUCAUUCUACUUUUAAGGAAAUACUAGCAGUAAAAAUAUGAAAUAAAAAAGUUCGAAUUCCAUUUUAUUGGCUAUCAUUUCCUAGUAGAAUUGGAUAUGGCAUCAUUUCCACAGAUGACUAAAUUCAAACAGAAGCAGAUUUCUCAUUCUCAACUGUUUCGAUGGGUGGAAUGAUUUUCAAAAUACUCUUUUGAAACCAAACACAUUUUUGGAAAGAAGAAUGUGCUUGCUGAUUUUCUAUCCAGACCAAAGGCACUAGUAGAGAUUAACAUGUACAUUAUAAGACAUGCUUUUCAUACUUUUCAUUUAAAAAAAAAUACAAGAUUGAAAUAAUACGAGAUUGGCCGAGUUUGGAAUACUCUCAAGAGAUCAUUGAACAAAUCCAGAAUGACAACAUCAUUGAAAAUCUUGACAGCUUCAUGUGACAAUACCACACAGAUCUAUUCAGAUUCCGUGGAGGCUCAAUUCUUUAUUAUUUUAAAUUAAACUCCAAGUAUCCAUUCAUACAUCCUUUAAUCCAAAAGGAAGAUGAUUUCCCUGAUAAACUCCGAUGGUUAUUAUGGUACUUAAUCAAUAAGUACUUAGUAGCUAUUGAGUUUCUCACUAGAAAGUUCCUUACUAACUUAACCAGGAUAUUUACACUUGGUUGUAACAUUGAAAAGGAAAGUGAUAAGAACCUUCUAGCUGUACUCAACUGUUUCUAUCCUUCUACUUAUUGGAAGCAUCUCUUCCAACAAGAAUUGAGAACUGUUUGAGCAAAACUAGAGAUACACACUAUUGUGUUUCUUCACCGACUAUGGGCUUUUGUGAAAGAGAACAGUAUCAUUAUCAAUGUGCCACAAGGAGUUGAAACCACAAUGUACAAAUCUCAGCCACAUCUGAAGGAGGCUCGUAUCUACAAAUCCUUCCCUGAUUGUGUUGGAUCUAUUGAAUAAAAUUAUAGAGAACUCCAAAGAGCCUUAUGCCAAGAAAACAUAAUCAAUCUUGAAAAAGUAUGGAAUUACUUCACACCUGUCCCAUGGGACUACUAUAGUCUUGCAUUAGUAGCUAAACAAGCACUCCAAGAAUUCAAUCAAGCAUUGAACCAGGCAAGGAUGCCUCUAUCAUAAGAGAAAGAAAUCGUAGAAAUGGAUGAUCCUGCACAGUCCUCCUAAUAAUUCUAUGCUCAGGCAUCCUAUGUCCAGUGGAGAGGUCUUCUCUUUUAAGACCCUUAUGAUCAAUGACUUUUGUCAUUAUUCCUUGGAUUAGACCCUAAUGCAGUCUCUCAUUAUGCCCAAACUUCAAAUUGGCCCCAAACAAUCAUGCCUGCCGACACUCUAGGACCCUCCAUAAUUAAUGAAGAAAGGCCCUCCUCAAGCAAAAUAAAAACAUGUAGAAUACCAUGAUAGCACAAAGAGAAGUCACUCGCAGUCCCUCUGACUUUAAACUUACAGAACUUGAACAACACUAUGAGGAAGAACAGCUUGCACAACAUAGCUCUAAUGAUUUAAAUUAUGACUACAACUCCCAAGAUGGAAUAUAAGCUUGUGACAAGGUUAUCGUAGUACAAGUCACUAUAACAAUGUACUGUAGCAAUAGGCCAAGGAAAUCACUGUUCACAGUCAUUGUUCAUAUAAACUAGAAUAAUUCUUGACUAGAUUUUUCGGAGUCUCUGUUUGUUUUAAGACCCGUGAGCAUGGUUUUUGUUUUUUGUGACCUUUUAAUGCCUAUAAAAGGCAAAAAUGAUGUAAUGUUUUAGGCAGAGUCCCUUGAAGUAAAGCAUGUGUUUGUGAAAACUCUCUCAAUAUCUCUCUAAAUACAUCUUCUUCUCUAGCCAGGUAGGAUCCUCUAAGAAAUGCAGCUCGACUGGUUAGAAAUGUUAUCAUCUUGGCAUAUUUAAGUGUCUCUAUGAUUUGAACUAAAUCUCUGGGUAAUUUGCUGCUAAAAAGCUGUCUUUGAAGGGCUUGAACAAGAGGUUCACUUUCGACCUGCAGCAACUUACCUAGUUUUCCCUUGUUCUAAGCAUAGGUCCCCUCAUUAGUAUCAAAAGAAGCCACUAGCAUAUUGGGGCCGGCUAAGAACCAAAUAAGAUACAUGAGUAUAUCUCACUUUCUGUGCAACCAAAGAUCUAGAAUUGGGGACUCAAUUACACUAAUUAUCUAACUAGUGUCAUUUCAUUACUUGGACUUGAUUAUUUUAUCAACUAAAGUGUCUACACUAUCUUUGUACCAAAUUAUGAAUUCUAAGGUUCUUGUUCGUUAAGUGUCUAUGCAAUGUUUUUAGUUUUUAUUAUGAUCCUAAAAUAAAACCCUACCAUUUAACUAGAAUAAGCAAAUCAUGACGUAAAAGCAAUAUAAAAGAAUCGAGGCCAGUUCAUGAAAUAAAGUAAUAAAAGAAUGAGUAAAAGAUAAAGUGCAGUAAUGCAACCCGAUACGAGUCGAAUAAAGAGUAAAGCAUUGCCUCUUCAUUAUGCCCAGGAUAACAACCCCAUGAGAGGAACUAAUUUUUUUAAACCUAAACUAAACUUAUAAAAGAUCACGAAGUUUCCUCGAUCAUGUGUGUACUAAUUAAAUAAAACCAAAAUAAAUCUGAUAUUAAAAUCUAACAACCUAAUCAAAACUUAUUUUUCUAACUAUUUUGAUUUUGAUUUUUAUUUUUAUUUAGACACAAUAGGGGCCCACCCUCUGGUCUCAUGAGUUUUGGAUCUUAAACUCGGGAGAUCAUUGGGCUCCCACUUUAAUUCAAAAGGACUUUCAAAGCGCAAUUUCAGAUACAAUCCUUCCAAGCCCAUUUUCCGUUAAAACUACACUAAACGCCAAUCUAGGCCCCUUUCUAUCAUUACUACACACAGCCACGCUAAUCAUUUUCUUUCGUGCCUUUUUAUUUCUUUAUUUCUAUUUGUUUUAUUUCUUUAAUCCAUCGUCUUCUCCAGAAAACUUACUGAACCUAUGCAAGUUUUAUACGCUAAAUAAACACCACAAUAUCUUUAUCAUCAUCUAUGAUCAAUUAUCCCAACAUUGCAACGAAGUUAUCUAGUUUCCCUUUUAAAGUCUUAGAAUUUUUUGUAAAACUUUCUAGAGUGCACACCAUUGUAAGCGUCUUUGGAAUGUAAUAUUUGAAGUAGCUGGGCACUCCUCAUUUUCUGCCUCUGGAAAAAGGAUUUGGCUAGCCAAUUUCCAAGAUUUAUCCAUAUUUUUUAGAUUAAAAAAACAUUGCACGAGUACUACAUAAAAUUGAGAGUUUCGCGAUGUCAUGCUUCUUAUGCAUGUCUGUCUCCUUUAUUUUGCAUUGCUAAGUCAAGAUAUAGUUCCAUCUCACUUCUUAUCCUCUCUAAAACUAAGAAAAUGCAACCAAUCGUUUAUUCACUCUAGUAAAGCUAACCAACAAUUUGUGACAUCCUGAAUUUUCAAUACUGUUUUCAAUUGAAUAAAUCGGACCUUUUAUCGAUGCGUCUAUAGUGCUAUUCUCAGAGCCGAUCACUCGUGAGAUAAAUAGACUAUAUGGGGAAGUCAUUAAGAGAUUUUAAUGCAAUGGACUUGAGAAUUCGACCAAAAGUCAACUGCUCGAUCGUGCUAGUCUGCAAGGGUCAUUACGGUAUUGUCAAAAUAUAAAAGUGUGGGUGAUUCCACCUGAUUGCAAAAAUCUUGUCGAUCGGAACUAGACCGAUUUUCUGUCGUUUUUGGUACCCUGUGCACGUAAUUGAAACUUUGAGAUUUUCAUGACCACCGAGAGUUGCCAAUGUGUCGAGUGGGUUCAUUGUGGCUUGAAGAAAAUCGACCAUGGGUCAUUUGUACUAAAAAUUUCUAAAACCUACAUGGUAGCCUAGGUCACGCUAAAAACGCGCCGGAUUGAAAUUAACUGCGAAUUUGAAUCCGAUUUCAAAAAUUGAAGAUUCUGUCAUGUCACUAUAAAUUCUAGGAGUAUCGACUCAGUCUCAAAAGAUUUUUUGCAAUUAGAGACUUUUUGGGAAAAAGUCGGCAUAGGACCGUUUUUGUUUAGAAAAAGACAGGAAUUGUUUUUUAUCGCAAAUUUGGGAAGCAAAUGGAUUGUAUGGGUGGGGAAAAAUGCCAAAUCGAUCGGUGAGGUACUAAUUGGGUUUGUUGAGGUCGAAUUGGAUUGAAUUAAGCACGAACGGGUGUCCAAUUGAGAGAGAUUGUGUCAAAUUCAUAUGCCCCCCAUUCCCUAUGGUCUUUGGACCAUUUCAAGGUUGCAAGAGGGAGCAUUGGUGGCUCAUUGAGGGCCAAGGAAGCCAAGCUUGGUGGACAAGUUCAAGAAGACAAGCAUGUGGAAAAAAAUGGCAUGUGGUCCCCCCUCUUGCCUCCAUCUCUCUCUCUUCCUGUCCAAGCCAACCGCCCAGCCUUCCUCCCCCUCCAUCCUUGUUGUGCAAAGACCAGAGGAACCAGAGAAGCAAGCCCCCUUGUCGUUUGACCAAGCCGCACGCCCACCAGACCGUUUUCCUCCUCUGUUUUCACUUUUGCUGGUUUCUGCUCCGGUUGACCUUUCGCCAAAGAUUCGAGUGAAAAGUUGACUUCCCGUGCAAAUCAGCCAACGAUCCAUCCAUCAUCGUGACUAGCACAUCUAGACAGUUCCAAAGAGCCCGACCUCACCCCAAACGAAGCCACCGACAGUCCUGUACGGCCGCCGCAAGCCACCGGUCUCCAAUCCGUCGGUCUGCUUGCUGGUCCGCAUUUUUCAUGUUUUUCUUCAUUUUUCUCCCAUUCCAGCCCUUCCUUCUCCUAUUCCAGCCCUUCCUUUUCUCAUCCCAACCUCCAACAAGAUCCCCAAGACCCUCGGGAGCCACCAGUUGCCGACCACCCGCUCGUUGGAGCUCUGAUCGGCCCGUUUUCACCGUUGAAGCCGCUGGUUUCCUCUCUGCAGUCUAGCAAGCGGAAGCAGAAGCCUAACCAACCUUGUUUCCUUGUUUUUGCAGCUCAAAAUAGAGGCUGAGUUUGUGGGUAUCCAGCCACCUUCAAGGCCCGUUUUGAGGUGGUCCUGAGCCUCGGUUUCUAGGCCCGCCUUGAGGAAAGUCGAGCCUCGCGACGUUCCCGUCGUUUUGCACUGAACCGCUCAUUAAACAAGUGAGUUUAGCUCACUAAUUCCUUAUUAGUCGGUUAAUUAUGCUUAGGGGUUCAUUAGAUUUAAUUAAGUAUGGUUAGGUGGAUAGAUUGGAGUAAAGCAAUUAAAUUAGUGCCUUAUCAAAGCAUGUUAGGAAAAUGGUUAGUGAUAUUAGCAAGUAGACUCAUGUUAUUAUUUAUUGAAUGGGUCUCGAAAAUUUUCCGAGUCUGUUCGGCUCCAAUNNNNNNNNNNNNNNNNNNNNNNNNNNNNNNNNNNNNNNNNNNNNNNNNNNNNNNNNNNNNNNNNNNNNNNNNNNNNNNNNNNNNNNNNNNNNNNNNNNNNUUGAGCUGUAAUUCGUCCUGACACGAUUUAAUGGUGUUCUUAGGAUUUUAUUCCUAAAUUAUUUAAUUUUCGUAAUUGAUUGGAAAAUGACCAAGCGUUGGUCUAUAGCACCAACAAUAUUUUGAUUGGGCUAUAUAAAGUGAUGAAAAAGAAUGUUGUGUUACAUGGCUCGGUGAAUAGGUAUAUCGCCUUGGAGAAUGCACGUGACUCGUUGAUUAAUUACAUCACCUUAGAGAAUGCAGGUGGCUCAGUGAUCAAGUAUAUCACUUUGGAGAAUGCACGUGGCUCAAUGAUUAGAUAUGUCACCUUGGAGAAUGCACGUGACUCGGCGACUAAAUUUGUCACCUUGGAGAAUGCACAUGGCUCGGCGAUUAGGUAUGUCAUCUCGGAGAAUGCACGUGGCUCGGUAACCAAGUACGUUGCCUUUGAGAAUGCACGUGGCUCGAUGACUAGUUAUAUAUCAUCUUGGAGAUUGCAUAGUAUGAGUUAAAAUAACCGGGAGAUGGUCUGAUUGACAUAUAAUCGACUAGGUUGAUUGAUCAAUGAUUUGAUCUGAUGUUAUGAAUUGAUUGAUUGAUGUGAUAUAAGGCAUCUGUAAAUAUCAUUGAUUUGCAGGAUGGAGCUGAGGCCAAGGUAAGUCCUCUAUCUCGUGUUGUGCUUAGGCAGCCUCUAAAGUGUAUUGGCUUCCUAAUCGGGUCUUAGAGGGUAGAACUUGCUGAGACGUUAUCUCACUGAUUAUUGUAUAACCAUUUUCAAUCCCCUAGUUGAAAGCGGUGGGGAAACCGAGGCCCGAAGUUUAGAAGGUGAAGCCUGGAGAAUUGGCAAGCAUGUCUGACUAGCUAGUCCUAGGACAUUCCCCUUUUGUUGAAAGCCAAUUCAUUUUUGUAGGCUUCUAUAUAUAAACCUGUGUCUUUAUAAAAAGGUCUUUUGUGAAAAAUUGGUCCUACUUUUAUCACAUUGUUUUAUUGUCUAGAGAUUUUAUAUGCUUCCGCAUGUGUAUAUUAAAUGAAUGGGUCGGCAAUGCGUUCUAGGAUGUCGCUAUUAAUCAACCAAGGAGGGAUGGGCACGUGCUUGGAGGAUCGGGGCGUGACACAAUUAGUCUCCGUAAUCAUCCACUCUCUCCGCUCGCUCUAUUCACUUUUUUCCUUGAGGUAAGUCCGAAUUAAAUUCUUUCUUAUCUUUUCUACAUUUCUAUUCCACUUUUUGAUUUUAUUUAGGGAUUCGACACUACUUAGGCUAGUUGUUGUGCAUCUUGACUAAUCCACCUUCCUAAGCGAUCUUAAGGAAGCACUCCUCCACGUUAGCCUAGUGUAGAGUUGUCAAAUGGGUGGGUCAUGUUGAAAAUGGUCUGACCUAUAUUGACCCAUUUAACUCAUACUUAACCCGACCUGACCCGAUCCAUAGUAUUAAAAUAUAUUUUAAACUACUUUCACCUAUGAAAACUCGUAUCUAAUUAUUUAAAGUUCAUUUAAACCCACAUUUACAAUGCAUUAGUUUUCAAUGACUUGUUUUUUCCUAUAUUUGCUUUACUUUCUCUAAUUAUAUUUUUCUUAUUGAAAUUUGAAAAAAAAAAUAAAGCUUAAAUAACCAAGGUAAAUAUAAUUACUAUUGUAGCUAAUGAAGAUGAUUAUUUUUCAAAAUAAUUUUUUUCAUGAAUACCCCGAUUAUGGUCAUCACAUAUAUACACACGCAGUGGCAAUCCCCCCAAUGGAUCCUUUUUGGAGGAUAUAGCUAUAAUUUCAUGAAGCAAUAUAUCAAGAACAUAGUUUUUUUUUUUUUUGGGUCGAAAUCAAGAACAUAGUUCACAAGCUCAAUUUUCACCCUCUCAAACCAUCUAAUCCGCCAUUUUUGUGAGAAAGCCUGCUGGUGAGCAGACCAAAAGAAUUACAAUAAUAGCUUUACAUUGAAGCUAUAUUAUAUCUGCUAUAAAAAAAGAAAAAAGAAAAAGAAAAUGACGCUAGAUUACAACCUAGUAUGAAAACCAAAGAACAGCCAUAAUUGUUGAAGAUACCUUUCCUGAUGCUAAUUGAUCCUAAUUGAUCUUGACCGGUUCAUUGAUGGAAGAUUAAAAUAUUGCACGUCAGAGAAUCUUUUUUUUUUUUUCCUUUGUUAUGUAUAUUUUCUUCCCUAAUCAUCUAGACUUCUUGUAUUAUAAAUAGGGUUGUAAUUAAAUUAUCAUACAUGAAAGCAGUACACAAUUCCAAUCUUCAGUUGCUUUUCAUCCUCUAAAAUUUCUGACAUGGUAUAGAGCCUCCCUCCUUAACUUAGCUUCCGCACACCAACAUCCAGCAAAUAUUUGUUUUCUUUCAAGGGAGGUAUCAUGUUGAGAAACCAAAGUUCAAAGGCUGGUGUAUCCCAAGGCCCUGAAACGUCUUCCGACGAUGAAAGAGUAGAUGAUAUUCCCAUGGAGCAUCAACCAGAUUCAACAAUAGAAGAACAGGACCAAACACGACCUAUUGAGGGGCGGUUGGACCAUGUACAACCCAUUCAAUCUAACUCUAGAACUUAUUUUCCAAGCCCAAACGUUUAGUGGGUUCCUGUACAAGUUCAACCCGUCCAACGCCAGACAAAGCAGAGAAGUUCGAACUAUAAUCUCAACCCCAUGGAGCCUGGUGAGAAUGGCGGGCCAGGAGAAGGCCCACCAUUGGUCACCGAGCCCAUUCCAGGAUAUGGACAGGGUUGGUCCUUUUUGGGCCAUAAUGGAUUGGGUCCGUCGUGUUUCAAAGGGAAACCCUACCCGACCUACGGACCUGGUUUCUUUCCAUUUGCAAGUGUCGUCGGUAGACGGCCAAAACCCGAUGAUCCCUAGUAUACUUCCGCCGUCACCAAUCCCUAACUCCACCUCGUCGCCCAGCAACUAUCAAGAAUGGAGAACUAUUCCGUAUGGUAUUGCAAGCUCUACUGAACAUUGAUUACCAAAGACAAGGAAGGAUUUAUUGAUGGCACCGUCCCAAUCCCGACUGAGAUUGAUUGACAUGACAAUGGAGGAAGUGCAAUCAGCUCAUGCAGAACCGGAUAGGGAAUUGCCUCAUGUCAGAGAUUGCUGCCAAACUUCCUACAAUCGAAGACGUAAAGGGAGUAUGGGAAAGUUUGUGAGAAAUGUAUGGGAAGCUCGAUAAAGCUAAAACUUUCUUGCUAACUCAAGCCCUAUCGAAGCUCAAGCAAGCAGAUUUCCAUUGUUUUCAAUCGGUUGUCCACUCUAUGGAACGAACUCGAAAUGGUGGAGGAAAAAUUAGAGGGACCCAAAGCUACUUUGGCUCAAUAUCGAAUCAUGAAAGAUGGGGAAAAGAUAAGACGUCAUUUGCUUAUUCUAAAUGAGUCGUACUUACUGUUUUAAAACCAGAUCUUAGCCAUGGAACUAGUCUCCUUGCUCGAUCGGAUGUACCAGCUCGCAGUUCAAGAGGGAUCUCAAUGAUUGCCUCAUUGGAGUAUGUCAAAGUAGGUGACCGUGUUGUUUCUUGCGGCCAAGGCCUUGUCCGACCAACAACAGCUCGCCUUGAGGUCCGGCCAUCAAGGCUCAUGAAACCCAGAAGCCGCAUUAGGGUUUCUUGGGGAAGAAGACAAUGGGCUAUCUUCAUUUCGAGCGAACAACCAUGAUUUGUUAACUCGAUUGAAUGGCCCAGGAGACACACGAGCUCGGCAUCAAAUGAAUGGGCGAGAUUUCAUCACAAGAUCAAACGGCGCAGGUUAUUCAGCGAGAUUAGAUGAUCCAUCUUUAAUCCUCGCUGCGCCUAGAUUAGAUGGCACACAUCACACCAUGUUAGCACUCGCUUGGAAAGAAUCUAACGGCCCAAAUUCUGCCAUGUCAUUAAGCAAAGCUAAAGGAAAAGGUAAAUUUUGCGAUUAUUGCAAACGCCCUUAUCACACAAAUGAAAAUUGUUGAAAAUUGCUGGGAAGUUAGCAAAUAAAAAAGGAACGAGAUGUCUCCAUCGCAGCACAUGCUAAGGUCAACUAGCCUAUCAAUAAUGAUUAGUCUCAGCAACUUAUGAGGGCUUUAAAUCAUAUGGGAAUACAAGACAAAACGGCCAGUUAUGCAGGUAUUUUUUAUUGUUUGAUGAGCAGUAUUUUGAAUAAAGCAUGGAUUAUUGAUUCAAGUUCUAGUGAUCAUAUAGUUUGUAAUGAACGUUUCUUUUCCAAAAUUAGCAAGUCUUCACCUCAUACUUCUGUACGGCUUCCAAAUGGAAGUGACACUUCCAUUGCCAAAAUUGGGAAUGUUCAGGUCAAUUCAUCCAUCAUACUAAAAAAUGUUCUAAAAAUGUUCUAUUUAUUCCCGAUAUUCACUUUAACCUCAUAUUCGUGUCUAAACUUUGUGAAGAUAACUCUUGUCAGGUCUUUUUCGAUUUUGACGUCUAUUUCUUUUAGGCCCUUUCAACUAGAACACUAAUGGGCUUGGGUAAAAAUCAUGAGGUACUCUAUUUUUUUUUUUUUUUGGGUAAUGAUGAGGGACUCUAUUUUUAGGUUACAUUUCCCAAGACUCUUGAUACGUCUUUCCCUUUGAAUAAGAGCAUCAUAUGUAAUGCCAAUAAUAAUAAUGACAUUUUUUUUUUAAUCUCAUUAGUGUUUAGGCCACAAUGCCUAUUUCCCUCAUCCCAAGUGCUCUAUAUGUCCAUUAGCUAAACAAUCGUGUAUGCCUUUUUUCAAAAAGAACAUCACGUGCUAGCCAAGCUUUCCCUUUUCUAUACAUGGAUAUCCUAGGGAUCAUGUCACAUUCCACAUCGUGAUGGGUCCCCAUUCUUUCUCACAAUUGUGAAUGAUCAUGCACGAGCAACUUGGGUUUUUCUCAUUCAAUCCAAGGCCCGAGUACUUCCUUAUCUCAAGAAUUUCUUUAUCUUGAUUAAAAAUCAGUUUCACAAAUUUGUACAAUGCAUUCACACUAAUAAUGCCCGUAAAUUCUUUAAUCAAUAAUGCUCUUCAUCAUUUCUCUCAAAUGGGAUUCUUCAUGAAAGUUCUUGCACCUAAACUUCCCAACAAAACGGGAUUGUAAAAGAAAACACCGUCAUCUCUUAGAAGUUGGUCGAGCUCUUAAAAACCAAGCCUCAAUUCCCAAAAUUUUCUAGGAAGACUGUGUCGUCACGACAGCCUACUUAAUCAAUCAGAUGCCAUCCUGUUUCUCAACGAAAGGACUUCUUUUGAGUUAUUAUUUGACAAACGUUCUGACAUUCGUUGCCUCCGUGUUUUUGGGUGUUUAUGCUAUGUAUCUACCUUAGGCCCUCGGAACAAACUGGGAUUCACAUAACAAGAAGGAUUUGACUAUAUAGGAACUUUCUCAGUGGCAAAAGAAGUCACCGUUAGGUCAUUUAUUUCCGUUGUUGCUCUUCAUGCUCGGCCCCUCCAUCAGAUUGACGUCCACAAUGCCUUUAUUCAUGGAGAUAUAGACAAGGAAACUUACAUGGACCUUCUUCCAGGAUUACGCAGACAAAGGUAGAAUAGCAUACGUCGUCUUCCUAAAUCCAUCUCCGAGCUCAAAUAGGCCUCUCAUUAAUGGUAUGCCGAAUUCACUAAUGCACUUAUGGCUACAAAGUUUCAGCAAUCCAAGCAUGAUUAUGCUUUAUUAACAUGGAGACAUGGUACAUUAUCAAUUUACGUAUUAUAUAUGUUGAUUAUAUACUCAUUAUGAGGAAUGAUACUUCUGCCAUUGAUAAAUUCAAGAAGUACCUACACUUUACCUUCCACAUUAAGGAUUUUGGAUCACCCAAAUACUUUUUUAGGAUAGCAAUUGCACGAUCAAAUAAAGGCUUUAUUAUAGAGAUCACAUUAGAAGAAGGAUUGUCGAGAUCUAAACCAACUACUAUUCCAAUCAAACAAAAUAUCAGGAUGACAACAAUUGAGUAUGACGCAGGACUAUCACCCAUGAACAAAGAUCCUUUGCUUAACGACCCAUCAACUUAUCAAAGACUUGUUGGGAAACUCAUUUAUUUGCCCAUGACCAAUCCCAACAUUUACUAUGUAGUAUAGAUUCUCAGCCAUUUCAUGCAUGCCCCAAAACAGUUUCACAUAAAUGCAGUAAUAAUAGUUGUAAAGUACUUGAAAGGACGUCUAGGAUUAUGGAUAUUAUCGUCUCAGGACAGCAACAUGGAGAUGACAACAUGAUGUGACAAGGACUAUGCUAGUUUCCCCAUGAGUAGAAACUCUUUUUAUGGGUUUUUGUAUAAAGUUAGGAGACUCAUUACUUUCAUGGAAAACAAAUAAACAAUCAACUGUUUUUUUAUCAUCUGUCAAAGUGGAAUAUCGGGCAAUGGUAAAGACUAGUUGCGAAUAGUCUAGAUAAGAUGCCUACUCAAAGACCUUAGUGUAUGGGUAAAAGAACCAACUAUCUAAUUCUGUGACAAUGAUGUUGCAUUGAAACUUGCAAUGGACCCAAUUUUUCAUGAGAGGACGAAACACAUAAAAGUUGAUUGUCAUUUCAUCAAAGACAAGAUUUAGAAUGGGGUAAUCAAAACAAGAGAAAUAAGAAUAACAAAGCAACCCACAUGUAUUUUUACCAAGGCUCUAUGUCAAAGGUAGCCUUCGUAUCUACUAAACAAGUUAGGUGUAACAUCCUCAAUUUCAACCCUUAUAUUGGUCACAACUAGGAGGCUAAGCUAGAUAAGCCUUGGAUUAGUCAAACAUUCCUAGAAAAUAGAUGUGAACAAGUGUGAAAAGCAUUAAAUGAGGAUGAUGAGUGUGGAGGCUCAUGUGUCCUAAGUAAUUAAUGAAGGGAGGGCGAGUCAUGACUUCAGGAAAAUGAUAGCAAGUGAUCUUGCAAGCUAAGUAGAGCGCCACCUCUCGUUCAUAGAUUUGCAACCUUGAGUUUCACAAGUUUUGAUUUCCCAGCUUUUUGAAAUUGCUGGACCUUUCCUACUUUUCAAUUUUAUAGAGCUCUUUGUACUUCGAAUUUGGAGAAACUUCUUUCAUAAAAGUUUUUCUAAACAUCUUGAUUUAAAACAUAAUUAAAUUUCAUACUUUUCUAAGGUGAAAUGGUUGGGACGAAGGUCCAAUCAAUUACCGUACAGAACCUGCUCAGUAUAGUGAAAACGGUAAUCAAAUUGUUUUCUCACAUUUUUAUAAAAUCUUCCCUUUCGAAUUUGGACAUGCUUCCUUCAAAAAAGUUUUAAAUGACGUCCAUAUCUACAACAUAUUAAAAUUUCAAAGAUUUUUGUGAAGAUUUGGAAUUCGAAAUGAGUCUAUCUCUCCAACUGUUGAAUCUGCUUGACGGACGAAUAUUUGGGUUGUGUUCAAUGAUUUGCUGCUCUUUCCACAGCACGAAUUUGACUUGACUUCCUUCAUGAAAAAUGUCUCUUAAGGUCUUCUCUUAAACAUAUUAAAACUUCAUAAGUUUUUGAUUCUGUUUGAUAAGGUAAAGACACUGAGUUCGGAAAUUGUUCAAAACUGUUUUUCUCACCCAAGAGGUAUGAGUCACGCCCAAGCUUGGACUCAAGUCCUUAAAUGCCAUGUUGAGGUGUACCUAAUGAUCUCUUCCUUAGCCUCGGAAUCAACUUGGAGACUUUUCUAGAUUGCCUUCUUGAGGAAGGAAAACUUGCCUUCUUAAGGAAAGAAAGGAAAGUAGAAAGAAAACUAGAAUUCCUUCAUGAAGAAGGUGAGGUGUCCCUUGACUCUUCAAAGGUCAUGAUUGUGAUCCAAAAUAUCUUGGAUAUUCUAGAAAAGUGGCAUACACAUGGACCAAUUGGAGAGCGAUACAUGGGCUCUCAUUAAUAACCGAAGAUUCUAGAAUUUGCUGAGUUGGUAACUUUGAAAUUAUUAUUGUCAAACUUCAUUAAAUGCUCAUUCAAUGCGAGGUAUAGGUGGACCAAUGGAAAAGUGAAAAGCGGGUCAUCAUCGAUGAUGCCUAUGAGCUUAGGUUGCCAGGUUAGGCCUUUUAGUUUUCAAACUCAUCAUUUAGGAUUCAAUUAUAGGACCCAUAGCCUUGCCACCCAAGGAAUUUAGACGGGACACUUGGAAACAUUGGAAUGGACCGCUUGACAUGGUAAUGAUGGCUCAGAGGGCUAUAAAUAUGAGGAGCUCUCUUCAUUUCCCUCACUUUACUCCCAUUUUCUCCACCCUCCAUCUCCUUGAACAUCUUCCACCUCACGUCUCUCUCUCAGCCUUGCUCACCCAUUGCCUCAUCGGACGACCUUCUCUUGGUAAAAUCACUUAUAGUUUAUCGAGGUUUAUUGAAGGUAAGUAGAAUCUCUAACUCUUGGCUAGGGCGAUAACCUACAUCGUUGAGUUUAGUGGUGUGCUCACCCGUGUAAGUCGUGUGUAUGUUAUAAUGUUCUUUUGUAUGUUUGUUCAUUUUUGCAUGUUUGAGUGUGUUCACGCCCCGGGACAAGGUCAAGGUUCGCUAGGCUUGGAAUUGAUGUCAAGUCGCGACGGCCUAAGCAUUUGACGCAAGCCACGAACCAAUAAUCGUUCUCGGCAUAUUUUAUAAUAUGAUGUUGAGGAUCAUGGCAUACUCACUUGAAUGAGCAUACCCUCGGGUCUUGCAUACUUUGGCUAAGAUAAAAGAUGAAAAUCCGGUUUGUGUGAUGCACUUAUGCGUGCACUUAAAGAGGAAAAAGUGUCCGUUGCCACAUAGUGUUGGUGGCGAUGCCUUGUUCAUUGAACGGGAUGCCCUGGUUGAGCCAUGAUGCUUAGGUUUGAGCCCGGAUGCCUCCGGUAAGCUAGCCCCAGGAUGCCCUAGUUGAGCCAGAAUGCCUAGAUUGAGCCUGGAUGCUUUGGUGAGCUAGCGCCAAGAUGCCUUAGUUGAGCCAAGAUGCCCUGGUUGAGCCAGGAUGCGUUGCUUGAAGCUGGAUGCCUCGAUUAAGUCGCGAGGGCCUAGUUGAGCCAGGACAACGAUAAAUGAAUUUUCAUGAGUGCCGGUAUGCAUAAGCAUAAUAUGUGGAUAUGUUCAUUGAUGUGCUAAAGGUAAGCAUGCAUUGAAAUAUACGGUAAUUGACAUAUGCAUGUAGUCGAGGUGUAGCAAUAAGUUUGCUAAUGAUCCACCAUCAAUAUUGCAUGGCGAGUGUUGUACCUACUAAUUUUGAUGAUGAGAUGUCUUCCUAGUAGAGAAUUAGGGGUUUAACUUACUGAGUUUCCCCAAAACUCACCUCUCAUCCUUUUAGUAUUGUAAACAUGAAAGUCUCACGUCAAUUUUGGGAGUUGCAAUCUUGCUAGAGGAGCUAAGGUUUACCCUGACCUUUUGAAGAUGUGGUAGUUGUAAAUAUAACAACCGUGAUAAAAAGGCCUUGUGAAUGUAACAAUGUAAUUGUAUUGUUUGUAAAUGAUUGUUUUCCUGGCUAAUUGUUGUGACAUCUUGAUUUUCAGACUCUGUUUUCGAUUAAAUGAGUUGGGCUUUUCAUCGACGCGUCUAUAGUUCUUUUCCCUGAGUUGAUCACUCACAGGAUAACUAGUCUAUCAGGUGAAGUCAUUAAGGAAUCUAAACGCAAUAGACUUAAGAAUUUGAUCAGAAAUCGACUGCUCGACCGUGCUAAUCAGCAAGGGUCAAUAUGGUACUGUCAAAAUCUAUCAGAGAUCAGAGAUAGGUCAGUUCGACAGAGGUAUGUGAUUAAAGUGUGGGUGAUUCUACCUAAUUGCAAAAUUCUAAUCAAACAGCAUUAAACCGAUUUUUCUGUCAUUUCUAUACCAUGUACCCAUAUUUAAAACCUCGAGAUUUUCACGACAACCGAGAGUCGCCAAUGAGUCGAAGAUGUACAAUGUGGCUUGAAAAUAAUCGACCACGGGUCAAAUGCACUAAAAAUUCCUAAAAGCUACCCGGUACGUUAGGUCACGCUAAAAUCGCAUCCGGUUGAAAUUAACUGCUAAAUUGAACUCGAUAAAGUUCUGUCAUGUCACGAUUUAUUUUAGGAACGUCGACUCAUCCUCUGAAGAUUUUUCUGCAAACCUUAGUUUUUGUAAAAAAUCAAAGUUUGGCGAAAUUGGACCGAGAAAGUUAGAUGGGCAUUUUUGGUUGCACUUUUGUGGCAUCCCAAAAAUUCAAUACAAACUUUAAGGUGUAUUAAAGCCCAUAAUUAGGUAAUGGAAUUGCCUAUGGUCUAUGUUUUAGCCAUUAGUUUUCUCUUAAGACUAAAUGAUAUAUGCUUGUGUUCAUGAAUUUUUGGAAUUAGUAUUACAGGAUAAAUUAAUGAGAAUAAUCUAUUCUUGGCUAUGCACCUCAGACUAAAUUCCUAUAGAUAAAAUGUUACAAGAUUUUGGCCAUGUGAAAUUAAAAACUUGAAACCUACAAAAGAAAGAAUUAAAAGUGUUUAAAGGUAAAAUUUAGGGUUUAAUUAGGUUUGGGCCUUAGGCCCAAUAGCUUGGAUCUUUAAUGGGCCAAAAUGGCCGGCCCAUUGAGGCCCAUGGAGAGGUGACCGUCGACCAAGGAGGGGAGGAGUGGCUGGCCCACUUCUUCCAAGCCCAAGCCCAUCUUGCAUGAGCCUUGCCAAGUGGCAAAAAGGAAGGCUCCAUGCAUUGGCUUGUGGGGAGGCACACUAUCAUUGCUAAUGAUGGAAAUUUGGGGAAACAAAAGGGAUAGAGACCGGCUGAUGGAGGGGCUUCGUCCAAGAGAGUGAGAGAGAGAGAGAGAGUUGCGAGAGAGAGAGGGGAAGCCGAGAGAGGAGAAGAAGGAGCCGUCGCCGUCCGUUGGCCGUCCGUGUGCCGUCCAUGUGCCGCCGUCCGCUUGAUUUUAGAGGCAAGUUUGGAUCAAUUUCUACUCUUGCAUGUGUGGUUGAAUUCUUGGGUAUUUAGAGGUAAGGAACCGAAGCUAAUGUGGUUUGUUCUUGAAAAUGCUUGUUGAUUUCGUGUAAACCGCAUGACCCAGAAACUUAUGGAGGCUUGCAUGCAUGUUUCGAGUUGGAUUUUGACUUCAAUUCCUUCAUGAAAGUUGUAGACAACAUCUCAAAGUAUAACAUACUAAAAUGUGAGACAAAAUGGCUGAUAUUCAAGGGGUUAAACUCUUCUUCUACGAAGACACUAGAUCUGGAACUGCUUUGUCGACCUUUUGUUAGUUUUGUGGGUUGCAUGUUGCUUUUUACCGAGAAUCUCACUUCGACUUCUUCAUGAAACUUGUAUAGAACAUCCUAAAGACUAACAUACUCAAAUUUCAGGUAAAAUGAGCAAGUGUAACCUAGUGAAUCGACUUUCUCUUGAAGACGGUAAAUCUGGAAACACGGUACUGGACACCCAAGACUUCUUGGACCCAUAUGGUGACUAUUCUUUGGAAAUUUCACUUAGAUCCCUUGAUAAAAGUUGUAGGGGACCUCUUGAAGAAAAACAUAUCCAAAUUUCAGAGGAAAAAAAGAAGAAUAAGUGGGUGAAAACUCGAUAUUUUGGAGAUAGCUAUACUGGACGUUUCGGUACUAGAAGCAGGAGCUUUGGACGCCUAUAGAAAAUUAUCUAGAACGAAUCUGGCAUAGAUGUCUUCAUGAAAAAUCUACUUUACUGACUUCACUAUAACCUGGUAAAAUUUCAUAAUUUGCGGAGGUCAUUCGGGUAUUUUAAUCGAAUUAUUUCAAAAAUUGCGCAAUCUGUUUCUAUCCGAAAUUACAUGCUGUAUUUGUGUGAUUUAUAUCUUCUUUUAUGGAACUCUUUUGGACAUGUGUUUUUCAUGAAAUUGUUAUCUUAUUGUCUUGUCUAUCACAUGUCCUUAUUUCAUGAUUUUUGAGAAUCAUAUGGAUAUUUAAUUUAAAUAUUUUCUAAAAUGGUACAAGCUGGAAUUUAAUAAACUUCAAAAAGGCAUGGUAUGUGGAUUAUUUUAAAUUGUAUGGACUCCAUGAAUUGCAUUGUUAUGAAUGAUUGUGUCUUGCUGCAUGUAUGAUGAUGAUUGGAAAUGCAUAUAUGAAUCAAAGGAUGAAAAUGAUCUUGAUUUGCCAUCACAUCACAUGCCAUGUUAAAAUUGAAUUAUAAUUGAAGAUGUGAAUUGAGAUAAGUAAGAAGGCCAUCGGAGGUGUGAGCCGACGAUGCCCUGGGAGUGUUGGGAUGCCUGGCUAGAAGGGUACGGCCGGUUGCCUGGUGGCCUGGAAUGGCCAGAUGUCGGAGGGUCCUCAGGAGUUUCGAGAUGCCCGGAGAGUGGGGGAGCUGGAAGCUCGGCAGGUAUUGUGCUGAGGGAUGCCUCGUGAUGCCAGUUGGGGUACGAGAUGCCUGGCAGGUAUUGUGCCGGAUGGUUCUCGCAAUGCCAGGUGGGGUGCGAGUGAUGAAUGUGGGAUGCAAACAUUAGUCCCGGGAAAGAGAAAUGUGGCAGUCCAAAAUGAAAGGAUGAAAUUGAGAAAUUGAAAUUGAAUUAUGCAUGAUGGUAUAUGCAUGACAUGAUGAUGAUAUGUGCAAGGAUGCAUGGUAAUGAUGAUGGUACAUGUGAUAUAUGAUGAUAGUAAGUGCAUGGAUGUAUGUGCACCUAUGACAUGAUGAUGAUAUGUGCAUGGAUGCAUGGUAAUGGUGAUGGUACAUGUGAUAUGAUGAUGAUGAGCGCAUGGAUGCAUUGUAAUGAUGAUGGUACAUGUGAUAUGAUGAUGAUGAGUGCAUGGAUGCAUGGUAAUGAUGAUGGUACAUGUGAUAUGAUGAUGGUAAGAGUAUGACAUGAUGGUGAUGACUAUAUGAUGAUGUAUGUACAUGAGGUAUGAUGACAUGUGCAUGAUAUCAAGGUAAAUUGUGCAUGGAUGCUUUAAUGACAUGUGAUGCUAUGAUUGUGAUGAUUGUGUGGCAUGAUGCACUGAGUGGUUUAUUGGUCCUUUACCUGCUGAGUGGUUGUACUCACCCCUUCGGGGACCAACAUUUCAGAUUAGAGAGAUGCCACUCCCUGCUGUCACGCGGGGCGUCUUUUACGGCCUUCCUUCGGAUGUGGAGGUCGAGUGCGUGGAGAUCAACUGUCCCACCAUCCCUGGUCUUACAUUUAUUCGGGUUCGUGCGAUAGUGAUGUACGAUAUAGGCCUGGCUGAGGGCCCCGUCAUUCAGGAGUUCAUAUCAGUUCACGUUUGACGAGAUGGGGCAAUGCGAGGGAUGUUGCCGCCACCACCACCUGAUGCAUCGGGAUGGGUGUGAGGGCAUGUGCGUGAGAAGUAGGAGCUGCUACUUUUUGGAAAGUAGUCGAUACUAGAUGAUGGGGGGAUCUUACAUGAUAGACAUAAUGGGUCGAGUGUUUCUUUUUAGGGUUAUGGCCGAGUGUAGCUAAAAAUCUUAGCCUUUCUUUUGAUGUACCGACCCAAGAAAAUUCAUCAUGAAAAUAUGUAAAUAAAAGUGUCUGGGCUCUACCUUUUCUUAUAAUGUUUAGUGGUGUGCAAUUGUAUAAUGAUUGUUGGAGGGAGAGAUGGCGAUAUUAAGUUUUGCUUCCGCUAAUGAGUCGCGCUGGGACUGUUUUAAAAAAAAAUGCCUAGGAACUAAGGUACUUCUUUGGUAAGAUGUGGCGACCUUGGGCGCUUCGGGGUGUCACAACUUUUGGCAUUCAAGUUGGUUCCCUUGGAUAGCUGCAUCUCCUCCUUCUUCUUCCUCCUAGCUGCUCCUUUCUCCAUUGUUGUUGCUGUGUGAGAGCUCAAGACCAGCAGAGAAGACUAGCCAAGCCUCUUGUAGUCGCCGCACACCGUUCGAGCAUCGCUAGAGCCACUCACCCGUGCCCGCAAGCCGUUCGUGUGUCCCUGCUGUCCAGCACUCGCACACCAUCCUAGCAAGCCCAACUUGCCAUCCCGAGCCGCCUCUGCUGUCUAGGCCGUCUACCAAGCCAUGGUCACUACCCUCAAGCCGCCGGACUCCUGCCACCACCCGCCUGGACCCUCCUGGACCCGUCGUGUCCCUUUUCCAUGCCAACUGAGCCUCGACCAGCCCCUUUCAACCACCAAGCAGAACCGAAGCUUCAACUUCGGGCUGAGCCUUCGUGGGCCUUUUCCGAGCUUCUCUUGGCGUCGCUCCAAGCUUGAGUCUUGCCCGCCUUGGCAUUACCGUCACCGAGAACUCAUCGGAUCGCAAAAUCGGUGAGUUUACUCACUAAACCUUGCUUAAGAGGUUAAUUAUGCUUAAGGAUUGAUUAGAUUAGACUAAGUAUGUCUUAGGUACUUAGUUAGAUAUAAUUAGUGAUUUAGUUGGUUAAUUAGAAUUAUUAGGUGGUUAGAUUAUAUUAGUUUAGGGUUAAUUAGAUUGUACUAUUUAAUUAAUAUGGUACAUUAUUUUUCUAGAUGCAAUUAGGUGGCUAAAUUAGUGUUUUAGGCCUAAGUAUGUAUUUAUUGAUUUAAUUUGCAUUCAUUUAAUUAAUUUUGUAAUUUAUUUAAUUAUUUAAUAUUUUUCGAAAAUUAUACCAGUAUAGCUGGUGGCCGAAAUUUCGUGCUGAUUGCAGUGGUGUGCUUAGUUUAUGCAAUUGAUUGCUAAAUUAUACAAUUGAGUGGUGAUUGUUAAUUUUGGGUUAUUAUUUCAAAAUUGUGAAAUUUUGGUAUUUAAUUAGAAAAUACCAAGUGUCGGGUUUUGACACUGAAAAUGCUUUUAAAUACUAUAUCAAAUAUUGAGAUUUUAAAAUGAAUGAUAUCAAUUUUUAAGGUUCGAUUUGACCGUGUAUCACACACGAUUGUUUUACCGGGUGUUCUUAAUAUGAAGAAAAUAGGUCAAACACAUUAUUUAAAUUGAGACAUUUGAGUGCAAAGCACAAUGUCCUUAGCUGUGUUUGAAUAAGCGUGUGGUCAUGAUCAGAACCUGUCACCCGCCGGGAGUCAGUGAGAUGAUACUGUACCAGCAAUUGGGAGUUGGCCGGGGCCAUGACACCGUACAGGCAACUGGGGAGUUGGCCGUAUCAGCAAUUGGGGAGUUAGCUGAGUCGUCGACUGGGGAAUUGACCAGAUCGUCGACUAGGAAGUUGACCGAAUAGUUGACUAGGAAGUUAGCUGUAUCGCUGAUUAGGGAGUUAGCCAUAUUGUCAACUGGGAAUUGACCGUGGCCAAUGGGUCGUAAGAACUAGAACAUGCAUAAGUAAUUGAAAUAGCCACGCUUGAUUAUGGGACGAAUGGGACGUGUCAUAACGGUUUGGCUUUAUAAUCGAGACCCCUGUGAGUAUUUGAUGGUUGAUUUGCAGUGUUUCGAUUGUUCAACAUGUUUGUCGUAUGCAUAUGUAUAUGAACUAUACUAAUGUGCAGGGAGGAACUGAGGCGAGGUGAGUCUCAUUAAUUGUGUGGUUAGGCCGCCGCUAGGCAUAUUUCAUUCCUAAUUGGGGUUUAGGGCAUGAACUCGCUGAGAUUUAUAUCUCACCCCAUUGUGGGUUACCAUUUUCAAGUACCUAGUGUGGAGGAUCCAGAGCCGGAGGCUAAAGGGUCUGGAGCAUAGGUGGCCUAGGGUUUCCUUUUGGACAUAGACCUGUAUAUAAACCUAAGGUGUUUAUAAAAGUGUGUUUGUGAGAUUGGUUGUCCUACUUUUCUAUCCCAUGUUGAUUGUUAUCUGAGGAUUAUUUUAUUAUACGCUUCUGCAUGUGUAUAAUCGAUUGGGUCAGCGACACAUCCUAAGAACGUCACAAUUUUAUCGACCACCAAGGGAUGUGCGCGCACUUGAGGUUUGGAGCGUGACAUACUUGCUAUUGUCCAGGUGUUGUAUGUAUGCUUCCGCAUGUACUUAAUGAAAAGAUAAAAAGAAAUGGGACGGCGAUGCGCCUGGGACGUUGUGAAAAUAACCUUUGUUGCUCAUGACCCUGGGGAUGGAGUCGGGGUCGUGACAUUAGGCGUCCUUGAUGUGUAUAGACCACCAAGCUUGAGGGGGAGUGUUGAAGAUACUGUUGUUGAUACUAAUUGAUCUAAAUUGAUCGUGACCAGCUCCCCUCAUUUAAGCAGCCAAGAUUAGUUAAUUACAAAAGUUUGCAGACACAAAUUCUCUCGAUUGCAAACCCAAAAUGCAAAUUUGCAACUCGUUAAGAAAUCAUUGGAGGACACCGAAUUCUCUCUCUUGUGCUACUCAACCUAACAAGCCCCCUCUCUGUUUCUCUCUACCUGUGGGUCAGAGAAGGUGAGGUUGGUGAAGAAGCAUCACAAAAGAGGGAUUUAUUGAAAAUAAACCAGUUUAACCACCCCUGUCCACACGGCGGCCGUGGCGACAAGUGGAAUUGAGAGAUGAUCAAGGUGGAGGGAUAGAAGAAGCAUAGAGGGUUGGCGAGAUUUGAGGGGAGAGAAAGGCGAGGAUCGUUAUAGUAAGGGUGGUGGAGCUGCUUUGUCUCUACGGAUAGAGGCAGAAAGAAGAGAUGAGGCCUGGGUUGAAAAGGAAGAAGAACACCCCGAGUGCUAAAACUUGACACGGAUGGACAGAUAAGUGCCAAAACUUAUAAACUAUUCACUAAAGUGCCAAAAUCAGAGGAAAAAUAAACACUUAAGUGCCAACGGCGAGAAUUUCUGCCCAAACAAUCAAUCCAGUUUUUUCUGGCAAGAUUAACAAAUGUGGCAAUUCUUUUAAAAUAAAUUACAGGGCGAAUGAUGUUGUGCCGUCCACAUAGACUGCAAGAGACGAUGCUAAACGACAUCGUUUUGACACUCAAGUGUUUAUUUUAACUAUGAGUGAUACUUAAGUGAUCAUUUAUACUACAAUUUGACACUUAAGUGAUAUUUUUUUAAUUGUGACUGGUAUUUAAGUGAACAUGGAGGAUGACAUCGUUUUAAACAAGGAUGUUUAGUAGAUAUUUCGGGGAGCGACGUAGAGUGGUUUUAUUAAAAAAAAAUAACGCCAUGUUGGAUUUCCAACAAGCUUGUCAGAGUUGGCACUUAGGUGCCCAUUUUUUUUUUUUUUAAAAGUGACACUUAAAUAUACAUUUUGAAAGUUUUGUUAUUUAUGUGUCCAGUUGUGCUAAAUUUUGACACUUGAAGUAUUCUUCUACCAAUUUAAAAGUGGGUUUGCUACUUAACCCACUAAAACCCAUUUUUGAUUUUGCCUUUUCCUUUAGAACCCAUUUUGACUCAUAUUAUUUUAAGUUUAAGUUGAAUUGUUUAUGACCUUCCUUCAUAAAUAUGAGUUAAGAUAUAAGUUUGUGAUUCAUUUUGAUAGCUCUAGCCUAGUGUAUUCAGAAUUUUAUUCCUAAAGUACUCCAAUUAAGCUUGAUUCCAUGAUUAUAAGGGAUAAGCAAACUCCUUUUGCCACGUAAGCCAACACUCCGUUGGUCAUGGUUAUUUAACUUAGUAACCAAACGUAGCGUGUACAAUACCAAGGUACAUAUUGGAAAAGAAAUUACUCUUCUUACAAAUUGUAGAUUAAUCAGACCCCAAUAGAAAUUUUUUCCCAAAGUCAUAUUAUUUCAAAUAAUAUUUGUGAAAGUAUUAGUGCUUUAAUGUAAAUAUAACUAUUUUCUAUAGAAGAUAAUCCUUGCAACCAAUAUAUUUCAUAACGUAAACAAUUGAUAAAUAACUAGUGACAUAUUGAAAGAUGGUUCGUCAAUAAUCACCUAUGCCUUAAUAAAUUUAUCAUAAUAUUCACACUAACUCAUGAAUUACACAAAUAUAGUUUUAAUGAAAUUGGUUGCGUAAGUUGAUACAUUGAAAAACGAUUCAUCGUUAAGCAGUUAAAUGUUAGUGACCUCAUGAGCUGCACUUGCAAAGUGUGCAGCAUACUAAUUGUUUUCAUGGGUUAAAUUCAUCACAGUAAAUUAGAAACUACAAUAGAAAAUUUAAAAAGAAUUUGAUGAUAAUCUAAUGAUAUUGGCUAAUUCUUUAUAGGGAUGGUACUUUACUGAUUAAACAUGUAAAAUUACAAGAGGUUACUAACUUACUAAUUUGUCUAGAUGUUGGCAAAUUCUUUAUAUGGUUGCUAUCUUACAUAUUACAUUUAUAUUAAUUCAAAAAAUUUGGCGAAAACGGCGCCCGGGAGAGUACAUGUGAUUUGGUGAUUGGAAAUGACCUAGAGAUAGUUCGACUGACAUGUAAUCGACUAGGUCGAUUGAUCAAUGAUUUGAUCCAAUUGUCGUGAAUUGAUUGAUUGUUUGAUGCAAUAUAUGAAGCAUCUGUAUAUAACCUUGAAUUGCAGGUUGGGAUUGAUGCCAAGGUAAGUCUUCUGACUCGGGUUGUGCUUAGGCAACCAUGUGGUGUAUUGGUUUCCUAAUCGAGUCUUAGUGGGGUAAAACUUGCUGAGAUGUAGUCUCAAUGGUUAUUGUAUAACCAUUUCAGGCCCCUAGAUGGCAACAUCGGUACCUCCCCCUCCUCCAGAGCAGUUUGGCAUUCUAGUGGAUAUCUCUGAGAAAGAAACUCACUUCCAUGUUCAUCCUCAUCCAGAAGGGUUGGAGUAUGUUUUGAUUGAGUCGACGAUGUGGGUUGAUGUCGGCUAGGAUGACUUGGUACCUCACGAGUAUCGGUCUUGGUAUCACUACUAUUUUGAUGGGCGAAGAAUAGGUCCCAUCCCUGAAGAGAACAUACUUUACCCCAUCCUAGAGGAAGCUUUUGGUGAGGGGACUGCAGACCCCGAUGGUGGAGGCAUAGAUCAUGCCAGAGAUCCUACACUCAGGAGUGAGCCGACUUCCCCUGUGUACACUGUAGAGGAUGAAAAUUUUGAGGAAGGUGAGAUUGUGGAACAAGAAGUGGAAGGUCCAAAGGAAGAUGAGGAGUGGGGAAUAGCUGAGGAGGAGCCAGUAGAAGAAGAGCCUGAAGAGGAUGAAGAGCCUGAGGAGGAGGAAAGUGAGUCACAAGAAUCAGAAGAGGAUUAGGAUGAUCCUGAGUACGACCCGGAUGAGGACUGAGAUCCCAUCCUCUUUUGUGAACCCUGUAUAUAUGUGGAUAGAGUGAGACUGGAAAGUUGUGAAUAGUUUUGUGAAAUACCUUGGGUUGUGCUAUGUUUAAAAGUAUGAUUGUGAAUUUCAAUAUGAAAAAUAUGGCCUUGCUUUUCUAUCCCACUAUUUUAUUGUCUGGAGAUUUAUAACUACUUCCGCAUGUGCUAUUAAAAAUGAAAGGGUCGGCGAUACAUAGUCCUAGGAUAUCACAUUCUAAAAUUGACCAAGUAGAAGGAUGUAUGCAUGCCCGAGGAUCGGGGCGUGACAAGGGCCACCCUCAUUAAUUGUUGGUAAGGGCCGACGAGGGCCUAGUAGUCCUUGCUAAAUCUAGCGAGGGUCGGCCUCGCCUGGGGCCGAUGAGGGCUCGACGACCCUCGCCCUGGGGGAGGCUACCUUUGCGGCCAUCGGUGAGCUCACCAUAUUUGGGCGAGGGAUGGCCUCGCCUAGGCAAGGUGACAUUGGCCCAGGGUGAGGUUGCCCUCGCUGCCCCUGUGGCCAGCGAGGGUCGCCUAGCCCUCACCAGCGAUUGUUGGCCCUUCCCCAAAAAAAAAAAAUGAAAAAAGGAAGGAAUGGAAGAAAGAAAAGGAUAAAAAUAUUUUAGACUAACAUUGUAAUUGGACAAAAUUGUCAUGACCGGUUGGAAUAUUUAGUUGGCUGCGAUCGGACGAGUCAGCUCUUAUUUGAAUGACGCAACUUUUGGAGCUAUUAUUUUGAAAACAAUCAUGGUUACUUCAAGCCGUUAUUAUGACACAAAAUCUUCUUUGGACCUCAUUAAGAAAAAUGAGAGUACUUCAGACUCUUCUUUAGAAUUUUUCUCGUUGGCUUUUCACUUUACACAUUAUUAAAGAAAAAUAUUUAUUUCCAAAAAAUGUGCAUAGCAAAGAAAAUAAUCUAAUCUAAUAAAGAAAUCCCUACUAUCGAAUAAUAUCUUUAACAAUAUUCUUUAAUAAUGAAAUCUCUAAUAUCCAUAUAUAUUCUUCAUCAAGUAAAUUAUUGCGCAAAAGAUAAACGAAAAUAGAAAAGUAAUGAUAUAUAGAAAGUUUGAUUUCUUGGCUUCCGCACAUGCCAUAGUCACCGGUUUUUCGACCCAUUGCAUAUGGGGCCUGCAAAUGCAGAUGCGUGGGGAAGAGAGUAGAGAGAGAAUCACGUUUUGACUCCGGACGGUAAAACACACUUUUUUGUUUCUCUCUAAUCACUCUCUCUCGCUCACCUCUCUCUCUCUCUCUCUCUCUCUCUCGGUUGUUUCUUUUACCUCUGCCUCUACUCGCCAGUCCACGAGCAUCCGGAUUUAUCCUCCCAUCGUCUCUCUCCAAAUCUCGGUCAAAUCUCCAUCUUUUUCUUUCGUUUUUUUUUUUUGGUAAAAAAAAGGAGUCAGCCAUCUUUUUCUUUCGUUUUUACUUGAAGAUGGGUGAAAGGCGCUCUUCUUGAAGAAUGACUCGUGGGGAUGGAACGCAAGGAAGAAGAAAUUACUGAGAUCGAUUAAUAUCCUAAAAUUCUUAAGUAUAAUUCUUCAGUUGGGACUAAGAAAAAAGAAGUGACGUAUGACCAAAAGCCAAUUCUCGGACCCACGAUUUCUUUUUUCAUCUUUUUCGUUUAUAAUUUCCUUAGUCUUUUAUCGAAAUAUACAUGUGAAAUAGCAUAUAUUGAUCAAUAUAUUUAUGUGUUUGAACGAAAAUUCAAAAGAAACAAAGACGGAGGUGAAGAAAUACGAUCGAGUAAUUGAUUCAAUGCGGUAUGACUUCUAUGGAUUCCAAUGAUUCUUGAUAUAAUGGGAUGAUUGGAUGCGGGCAGUUGAGUGGCGUAGAUGAAAGUAAAGAAAUUCUAGGGGUUAAGAAAUAAAAAAGAUACAAAAUUGGUAAAGCAUGGGGGGACACAUAGAAAGAUGACGAUUUGCCGAGGGUUAAAAGGAAAAAGAUAAGAAUUACAAGAGGAGCAAUUAUUUGUUUAUCGAGCUGUCAAACGAAGUCGGGGGGGGGGGGGGGGGUAAGGAGUCCUAAUUCGUCGGGUAUUCCAUAAAGGAAUUGGAGCGACGCAGAUGACGACGACGAUGGGGUUAGACAAAAGAAGGUUGCCGAUAGAAGGUGUCUUCACGGGUCAAAUGUUGGAUGCAAAUUGCGCAACCUCAAGAUCUCCAUAAAUAGAACGAGAACAUGCGUAAUUAAGUAGAAAGAUUAACGUACCUGUUUUGGGAUCCAUCGAACAUAAAGCGGAAGCAGAAAAUGAAUUACCCACUCAUCAUCAAGGGGAUCCAUGCAUCAAGUACUUCUCCUCUAUUGCCCUCGUAUCACUGGCUCAAUGAGGCAGCCCCCUCACAUUUAGCGUUAGAUAAGCGCCCGUUAGGUGAGGAUACAUCUGAGAAUUAGAGUUAGAGGAGAGACUUAAGCACUAUUUAUAGAGUUUCCAGCCAGACCCCCUCAUUACGGGCGAGAUUCAACUCAGCCCACACUAGCCAGCCCCAUAUUAGACUAAUUAAGAAACCUUCUAUCUCACCUUAGACCAACUCUGUUUUACGGUAACCGUAAAAACAGUAAAUUACAAUAUCAAUUAAUGUAGUCCACAUUAGGAANNNNNNNNNNNNNNNNNNNNNNNNNNNNNNNNNNNNNNNNNNNNNNNNNNNNNNNNNNNNNNNNNNNNNNNNNNNNNNNNNNNNNNNNNNNNNNNNNNNNNNNNNNNNNNNNNNNNNNNNNNNNNNNNNNNNNNNNNNNNNNNNNNNNNNNNNNNNNNNNNNNNNNNNNNNNNNNNNNNNNNNNNNNNNNNNNNNNNNNNNNNNNNNNNNNNNNNNNNNNNNNNNNNNNNNNNNNNNNNNNNNNNNNNNNNNNNNNNNNNNNNNNNNNNNNNNNNNNNNNNNNNNNNNNNNNNNNNNNNNNNNNNNNNNNNNNNNNNNNNNNNNNNNNNNNNNNNNNNNNNNNNNNNNNNNNNNNNNNNNNNNNNNNNNNNNNNNNNNNNNNNNNNNNNNNNNNNNNNNNNNNNNNNNNNNNNNNNNNNNNNNNNNNNNNNNNNNNNNNNNNNNNNNNNNNNNNNNNNNNNNNNNNNNNNNNNNNNNNNNNNNNNNNNNNNNNNNNNNNNNNNNNNNNNNNNNNNNNNNNNNNNNNNNNNNNNNNNNNNNNNNNNNNNNNNNNNNNNNNNNNNNNNNNNNNNNNNNNNNNNNNNNNNNNNNNNNNNNNNNNNNNNNNNNNNNNNNNNNNNNNNNNNNNNNNNNNNNNNNNNNNNNNNNNNNNNNNNNNNNNNNNNNNNNNNNNNNNNNNNNNNNNNNNNNNNNNNNNNNNNNNNNNNNNNNNNNNNNNNNNNNNNNNNNNNNNNNNNNNNNNNNNNNNNNNNNNNNNNNNNNNNNNNNNNNNNNNNNNNNNNNNNNNNNNNNNNNNNNNNNNNNNNNNNNNNNNNNNNNNNNNNNNNNNNNNNNNNNNNNNNNNNNNNNNNNNNNNNNNNNNNNNNNNNNNNNNNNNNNNNNNNNNNNNNNNNNNNNNNNNNNNNNNNNNNNNNNNNNNNNNNNNNNNNNNNNNNNNNNNNNNNNNNNNNNNNNNNNNNNNNNNNNNNNNNNNNNNNNNNNNNNNNNNNNNNNNNNNNNNNNNNNNNNNNNNNNNNNNNNNNNNNNNNNNNNNNNNNNNNNNNNNNNNNNNNNNNNNNNNNNNNNNNNNNNNNNNNNNNNNNNNNNNNNNNNNNNNNNNNNNNNNNNNNNNNNNNNNNNNNNNNNNNNNNNNNNNNNNNNNNNNNNNNNNNNNNNNNNNNNNNNNNNNNNNNNNNNNNNNNNNNNNNNNNNNNNNNNNNNNNNNNNNNNNNGUACGUAUGUGCGCACAUUUGGUCCAGAGAUAAUUCUUAAUAGUCAAUUCUAUCCCAUAAAGUUUUAAACACCGAAUCAUAGCGGUAACUGCAUGUAUACACAUAGAGACUUCCAUGGUCACAAGUGCUCUCAACUUUAUUGAGAUGGAUUAAAUAUGGUAGUGUGGCAAAUGGAUGACAUCUCUCUUAGAGAGAUCCCAUUUGUCAGUCACCAUUAUCUUACCUUAGGCAUCACAAAAACUUGUGCCACUAGAGAAUGCUUUAUGGUUCUAUGAACCCACAUAUGUCUUGUCCUUAUGGUUAACAUUUAUUUAUGUAUAACAAGACAUAUGGACAAGGCUAAUAACCAGAUGCCCCUAGCCUUCACUCAAGGUUUAUACAAUACCUUGAGACUUUAUCGAUAUGUAUUCAACAUAAUAACAACACAUUUAAAAAUAUUUUAUUGAAUGCAAAAGUUGAUACAUAUCAAACCGUUACUAAAUGUAACGAACACAGAUGAAACCUUUAUCAGAGUAAAGCCAAAAUAGCUCCCACCAAACCACAGCAUCUCAUAAUGCUCUCAAGCCCAUGCUAAUAACAUGUCACUCAAAUACACAUGGACGUAGGCCUUUAAUUAGUGAAUCUAUAAUCACAUCAUUUGUAAAAAUAUGCUAUAUUAUAACGUCACCAUUCUAUACCGUUUCCUUUUGGUCAAAAAUUUUGACCACUCUAUAUUUAGACCCCUUGAGACCUCUGUAGUAAAUAAAUAAUACUACAAAUUUGUUAUCUCAAUACAACCGUAUGGGUCUAUCCAUAAAGUUAAAACAAUCAACUCCUUCAUGAGGUUUCGGGGCCUAAUAGCUUAAGCAACAGCCUAAAAGAAUGUUACUAAUACUGCUUACAUAGUAGAAGAUGACAUAGAACUUUAUUUACUGCACUUCCUGCUAACAUAAAUAUGUAUUCCGUUAUUAAUCACAUGUCAUCCUAACGGCCAUUAAAGUUUACAUCUGAAUACCUUACUAGCUGCAAGAAUUAAAUAUGUCUGUAAAUUAGCAUAUAAUUUCUUGUCCUCUUUAAGUACCCUAAAAUCUUCUUAACAGCAAUCCAGUGAUCACGUCCUAGAUUUGACCGAUAUCUGCCUAGAAGUCCCGUCACAAAGACAAUAUUUAGUCUAGUGCAAAUUCGAGCAUACAUUAUACUUUUAAAUGCACUGACACAAGGUACACCAUUUAAUUAGAUUUUCUCAAUAUCUAAAUAAGGAAAAUGUGAUAGAUUUAGUCCAUCACCCUUAACAACAGGAGCAAUUCUUGGCUUGCAAUGAUGUAUAUUGAAUAUUUCCAAUACACAAUCAGCAAAUGUCCUUAAGAUAAAUCUAAUAAAAUCCAAUAUUUAUAUGGUGAGAACAAUCCUUACGAACCUCAGUAUAAAAGGCAAAAAAUGCCUCAAGGUCACUACUUGUAAAUAAAAUAUCAUGUACAUAGUAUAUGAGAAAAAUAAAUUUCCUCCCACUGACCUUGCAGUAUAUAUUAAAUUACUUUGUUCCAAAUUGAAAAAAAAUAACAACACUAUGAAACUUUAAUAAUAAUGUUUGGAAACUUGCUUAAAAACUAUGAAUAAAACUUUUCAGUUUACACACAAGUUUACUUAAAUCUACUGCAAAAUCCUCCAGUUGCACUAUAUAGAUUUUGUAUCUAUUUAACAUAACUCCAAAUCAAAAAAAAAAAAAAACUAUUAAUGCCACGUUCACUCUGAAAGAAUAUUUAAAGAAAUAAUUAUUUAUUCACUAUAAAUUAUCCAUCCAUAUUUCAAAGUGAAAACUUUAGCUACCAAUUUGGUUUUAAAUUAUACAAUCUUCCUUUGAAAUCCUUUUAGUUUUGUACGCCAAUAUGCAACUAAUGAACUUGUGAUCUUUAGGCAAAUCAGUAAGUUUCCAAACACUAUGAUGUUUUAUAGAUUAUAUAUCGCCUUUUAUGGCAUCUAAUCACAUACUUGAUUGAGAACAAAAGACGACAUUUAUAAAUAUGCCACUACAUCAACCAUAUAGUGGAUAUUGCAGUCAUGCUUUCACAAAUAGACUAUAUAAUUUAAUGGAAUAACUGAUCAUCUUUACCUAACAAAUCUCCUGAGUAAAGCUACAACCACUUCAUUCUAUACUUGAGGGAUUUGAAAAAAUUUCAUCAUAACUAUAUCAAGAAUAGUACCUUGAACCUCAACAAGUUUAGUCUAUGAUAUAGGAGAUUUCACAAUUGUCUGUACCACAAUUGUCUGUAUAGGUAAAGACAAAGACACGGUGAUCUUCUAUCGCACUAUUAUCCUUAAUAGUCUGAGAACAACUAUCCUCUACAAUUACAUCGAACUGCAAAAACUUUAUAGUAUGUGUUUCUAUAAUUCUUGUACCUUCUUUAGAGUCAUAAAAUUAAUACCCCUUUGAACAAUCUGAGUAAGAUACAAAAUAAUUCCAAGUGGAUCUAAAUUCCAACACACAUAAUAUUGAAUUAGAUAACCUCACUUCUGCAUGAUACCUCUAAAUUUAAUAUGAUUCAAGUAAUUUAUAUCAAAUCUAUAACUCAAAAGAAGUUUAUAAAAUAACUGAAAAAGGUUGCUUUCAAAAUAUCAGCCCACAGAAGACCGGAUAAAUUAGUCUUGCUAAUCAUACUCAUCAUCAUGUUCAAUAUGGUGCAUUUAUGCAUUUCGGCCAAAUCUUUUUGUUAGGAUUUUCAGGCAUAGUAAUCAAGUUACCACCCCAGAAUUUACGAAAUAUUUGACAAAUGACCAUUUAAGUUAUUUCGCAUUAUCAUAUUCGCCAAUAUACUCACGGUCACUAUUAAGCCUGAUAACCUUAUAAGACUAAUUGUAAUUGUUUUAUUCUUUAUCUCGGUAAUUUUACUUCCACAAUAAUCUGUAGAAGUCUUUAAAUAACCAUUAAGAGUAGACAAAUUAUCAACAUUGUUAACUUUUCUACUCUUCCUUUAAACAUGUGUGAGAUUAUUCUUUAAAUAGAAAAUUUUGAAAACAACCUCUUCAACCAUAUAUGAGAUGUAUAUGCCAUUAGAACUUAAACACAAUCUUUACAGAUAUGUCCUAAUUUCGGUAGUAGAUAAAACAUGACUUUAGGCCAUUAAAGCUUUCAUCAUCUUUUAGCAGUGCAGUCAGUAGACAAGCCACUUUUCAAGUGUUCCUAAAUGGAACGCUUCAUGGACAGUAAGCAAAUUCUAUCACUCUUUUCUCAAGCAGCAAAUCAUAUGCCCACUACUUAAAAUUUGAAGUAGUAAAAACCUCAAUAAUAAUGAAGUUAUUAAUUACAGAAAAUGUGACUGAAAAACAAGUAAUAUAUAUAUAUAUAUAUAUAUAUAUAUAAUUAGCAUCAUGUGGGCACUGUGUAAUUUGACGUAUAAAUACACAUUUAGAGAGUUACACGCAUAAUCAUAUAAUCACCUUUGGGUAGAAUACAUGACAUGCAGUUGUACACUCCCCACAUGAUAGCGGUUAUGAGAAUAUAUUCUAAUCUUUGUGAAUUCAUCACAUUUGGGCAGAUGAACCACUGGGAUCAGUCAAUCCUCUACUACACCAUCAUGUAUCAUUCCAUGAACUAAUACACAAUCACCUCCUUUGGGAGUAUGACCAUGCAUUAGACCAGGAGACAUCCCAAUUAGCAUACGAGACCGAAAUUUCUCAAACCCAAUCAAGCGUGCCACUUUGGCGAUCACUACUCAAUUGAAUCCUUGAAACUCUCUCAUACCAGGGAUAUAAACUUUACUACUCAUAUACAUCAUAUACAUGUGAUUUUAACUUUAGUGAUAAGAUUUUAACUUCAGUGAUAAGGGCGGCUUAUCACUAAAAUCACAUAUCAUGCUAAUUAUAUUACUUUAUCCAUUAAUAAAAAUUAAUCAUAUAUAUAUAUAUAUAUAUAUAUAAAUAUAUAUAUAGCGAACCUGAAAAAUAGAUUCUAAUGAGAUCACUGAUCACAGCAACACAAGAAACUUUUCAUAACAGAGAAGAAAUAUCUCUUAUGCACCCUGAUUACAGAUUACCAUAACAACAUAAAAAGAAUGCUAAUCUAGAAGAUCUCUUACAAAUUAACAUCAAUAGUAAUACAUGGUACACCAAAUCAACAAGCUUGACAAUUGAUCCAUUAUUACUCAUGAGUUUCAUAAGGCAAACAUGACUCCAAGGUCAAUAGCUGAUUUAUUAGCUAAUUUUAAGUAACAAAUUAUCAUUGCAUCAACUAGUAGCCUAUAAAUUGAGUCAAAACACAUAACCAAAUAUCUAAACUAUAACAAUAGAUACAAUUGCUCUGUGUAAAUGUUGUCAUUCUUCUUAACCAUAAAAAAUAUUCAACUUGAUAGAUAUUAAUCAGCGACCAGAUGAGUUUAGAUACAAUAUGCAAUAACUUAACUGACAUGCAUUACCCACAUUUAGCAGAUGUGUUAAUCAAUACAAUCAGUUUGGUCAUGAGUUCUUAAGACGUCCAUCAUUCAAAAAUUACCAGCGUGUCAAGGAGUAUGCUUGAGCAACAAAAGUUUCAUAAUAUUUACGGUUUCUCAUCAUUUCAAUACAUAGCUCAAAUACUACCCCAUACUAAUUGUAUCUCAUUAAACCAGUUUCAAUUUAUAAUAAAGUUUGAUUUUAUUAAUGAAUCACAACUUCAUAAUGUUUAUGUGAUAACAUACUAGUAACCCAUCACUUGUAUUUUCAAAAUCACAGAAAAUACCAGAAAAAUACGAAAAAUACACCAAAAAUACGUGUAUUUAGGGUUUUGUAUGUAUUUUCACAUCCAUAAAAUUAUCAAACAUGUAAAAUAAAUAUACCACAACAUAGAGGAGGAUCAUACAAAUCUAUCACCGCCGGCCAUGCACCGAUCCGACGCUCCACGCGCUUGCACGCGUCGUUUGAGUGCGUGGCGUGUGGAGCGCAUGCGCGAGCCGCGCCCCGCGCGUGGGAGCGCGUGAGGGCACGUGACCGCGCGUGGGGCGCGUCUUCGACGCCCUGGUAGUGUGUGGGGGAGCGUGAGGCCUCCCCCGGUGACGCGCCGCCGACGGUUCUUCUCGUCUCGUUGAGCCCAGUUCGAAUAUAUAAUUUAAUUUGAUUUUUAUUGACUGAAAAAAUUACGAAAAUCUCCAAUUAGGGAAAAAUCUAUGUGCGUUCAAAUUCUAGAGUUAUGAAGGCUUUGAUACCAUAUGUUGAACGCAAAUUGUGUAAUCCCAAGAUCUCCAUAACUAGAACAAAAAUAUGCGUAAUUGAGUAGAAAAAUUAACGCACAUGUUUUGGGAUCCAUCGAACAUGAAGCAAAAGCAGAAAAGGAAUUACCCACUUAUCAUCAAGGGGAUCCAUGCAUCAAAUACUUCUCCUCUAUUACCCUCCGUAUCACUGGCUCAAUGAGGCGGCCCCUCACGUUUAGCGUUAGGUAAAUGCCCCUUAGGUGAGGAUACAUGUGAGAAUUAGGGUUAGAGGAGAGACUUGAGCACUAUUUAUAGAGUUUCUAGCCAGGCCCCCUCAUUACGGGCUAGGCUCAACUCGGCCCACAUUAACCAGUCACAUAUUAGACUAAUUAAGAAACCUUUUAUCUCACCUUAGAUCAAUCAUGUUUUACGGUAACUGUAAAACAGUAAAUUACAAUAUCAAUUAAUGUAGUCCACAUUAGGAAAACUCUUACAUCAAGUCCUCCAUUGCUAUGGCUGGCGACUGGCUACAGGAAGAAGAAGAUGAAGAGAAAAAGAAAAAAAAUGGUUUGGCCUUGUAGAGUUAUUUCCAAGAACAAAGAAAUAACUUUUGAUUUUGCUUUUUUAUUAUGUUUCAAAUCUAUUUACAGGACAAAAACAUUAUCAAAUAAAUUUAUGUUCUUUUCUUUUUUAUUUUAGAGAAUAAAAAAAAAAUCAAGUACUAUUUGACACGUUGUGAAAUAUAUCCUAAUUAAUUUAGUAGGGUCGUCUAGGGCAAUCGGCGUAAUUUGGGGCUUUUUUAUCAACCAAGUCUACUUUUAUUGUCGAGCAUAUAGCAAUGGGGUUGUUCUCAUCGACUACCGGCACUUUGCUUCUCUGUCUUCCAAGGAGUAAUAUUAAUAAUUUCAACUUUUAGAAAAGAAAGAGAGUCGUUCUUCUCCUUCUCACACUUGAUGUUGGAAGCGAGAGAGCGACCGAUCGACCAAGCAAAGCAACUAUGGCUAGCUCAAACGCAGGAAGUUGCCAGGAAGAUGGAGGAUAUUGUUCUCGUCCACCAAUAGCUUUUGACUUUAUGGUCCUCAUCGUGAUACGUUACGAAUCUCUACUUUAACGAUUUUCUCAUAUAGUCCCAUGGCAUUUGAUUGGUUUCAUACUACUACUCUUUUAAUGAAUGACAGAGAGAGGUCCAAGCACAACAUUACUGAUAGGAUCUCCUACAGUUGUUGAUGGUUUUGGGUGAUGGGCCUAAGUUGGCCCGUCCGCUCAUGUUGGGCCCAAAAGCCCGGCCCACAUGAAUAGGGCCCGUGGAUGGAGGGACGUAUAAAAGGGAUGAGAAAGAGGGAGAAGACACCUUUUGGAAAUUCAAUGUAUGUACGUCUUCUCCCGCGCGCUCUCUCUCUCUCCAAAAAGAAAAGAAAAACAGUAAGCGUUUUUCUUCCCUUCAAGGCGUCAUCGGAUCGAACAGGGCCAGACUCUCUUCCUCUUAUCGGCGUCAGUGUCUAAUCUGUGGCUAACAAGGUACGCUCGAAUCCGUGGUGUGCUUUACGAUCAGUGAUACGUGUUUUUCCCGGGCUUUGUCUUCCGCAUUGCUUUAGGGGUUCGAUUUAGUAUCGAAUCCAGUUUUCGGGGAUCCGUUAUUCCCGACAUUGGUAUCAGAGCCCUAGUUCACGUUUUUCCUGACCCUUUUCAUGUUUUUUUAUUGAAUUUUCGCGAAGAAAAUCGGCCGACACGGAUCGGGGCAAGAAAUCCGACACCUGAGCACUGUUCAUCGAUUUUUUCGAGUUUCCGUAAGUUGAAAUUGAUUUCUGAAGGCUUAGGGUGAAAGGGCUCGUCGAGGUGAGUCCGACGACAUGUCGUGCACCGCCAGGCGACGCCGCACGCACCCACACACGCGGCCAGAAGCCACUGCGGGUGGGCGCGACGCGCCCGAAGCGCUGGCAUCGGCUAGCGCGUGCGUCCUACGCGCCGAUCGGCGAACCGGCACGUGCGCAACGCCGGCGGCGAACCGGCACGCGCCGGUCGACGGACCGACGCGUGCAGACAUCAGCAUGACAUCAUCCAACGGUCGGUAACCGCUAGGAUGACGUCAUCACUGACGUCAGCGUCGACGACGGUUGGCCGGGCGGUCACCGGUCGGCGAUCCGACCCGACCCGACCCGCGGACAUCUGGCAUGCGCGCGGCACGUGUGGUCGGUUUGUCCGACCCGGCCCGAUCGGCCCGACCGGUCCAACCGGUCCUUCUGGUCCGACUGGUCCGACGACCUGACCACUAACCCGUUGACCCAUUGACCGUUGACCAUGACCGUUGACCGUUGACCCGGAAAAAAAAAAAAGGAUUUGUUUCUUUUUCAAAAAUGUCUGUGUGGGUUAGAAGUAAUCCAUUUUUUAUUCUGCAUUUGUUGCAUGAAUCAUGGAAAAUUAUGUAUUUUCCAUUUUGUUUAUUGUGGAUUAUAAGUGAUCCAUUUUAGUUCUGCAUUUGUUGCAGGAACUAUGAUGCGUUAUGCACGGAUACCUGCAAUCUCGAGAACGAACGAAGGAAGAGCUAGACUGAAAAGGCUAAUGAAAGAGUUAGCUGAUUAUCGGUGGCAUGAUGGUGAUUUAGUAUCACACGUGGUCAAGGUCAAUCAGAUGAUAUAGGAAAUCAUCUGGAAUGGUUAUCUUAUGCCGGAUUUUGAGAAGAUGCUGGCUUUGAUGAACACUCUUCCACCCGAAUGGCAAGCAGUGUUAGAUCGGCUAUAGGAGGUCAACGUGGUCCCGGAUUACAGGAGGCUAGUGGAAGCUUUUGUAAGAGAGUACUAUAGGAUUGAGUUGGCCAAAACUUCAACCCUUAGAUUGAGCGCCACAUGGCGUAGAGUAAAUGAGCCUUGGUGGCAACAUGAAAGCUCGCUAAAAGUUUUUCCAUGGUUGGCAAAUGUGCCUUCAGCUUUCUCAGAUACUUUGACUAAUAGAUUAGAAGGGACUUUCCCUAUUUAUUUCUUAGAUUAGUUUGAGAUGUUUUUGAGUGUUGAAUAUCUCUUUCUAUGUUGAUAUUUCUUUUUGGAUAUAUUACUUAGUGUAAUGGAUUGUUGUAUUAGUUGAAAGCAUUAUUAUUUUAUUGGAUGUCAAUUAUCUAUUGCUUUCUGUUAUUGCUGAUUGCUGUGGGUAGUUAGCUGUGGGUAGUUCAUAGAAGUUUUUGUAACUUCAUAGAAUUUAUUUUGCAUAAGACAAUUAUAUUAAUAAUAGUUUUAAGUUAGGAUUUUUGGAGGAUGAUUGGAAACGUAGUGACCUUUUGAUUCUGGAACCUUACUUGAAAUUAUUCAUUGAUAUGAUGGGUCUGUGCAAAGUGGAUGCAUAAAUGAUAGGCAUUAAUUAUUCGUGCAUAUAUGUCUGAUGUGUUCAGAUUUAUGGAUUCAGCAACUAAGAACGCAAUUGCUGAUGUGAACGGCAACAAUUGUGAAAUAUUGAAUAUGAAGAUUCAAUAUGUGCUGGAAAAGCAAAAAUCACUAGAAGCUAUUAACCAUGUUAUGGAAGAUCUUGAGGAUGAUGUGCGCCACCUUGAGCUGGUAGAGGACCGCUUGAUGGCAUGUGAGCCGAAAAUAAAUAUUUGCAAUGCUGGUUCUGGCUCAGAAAAGGCUUUGAGCUCUAAGCGCAAACGUAUUGAUUCGUUCAAUAUGUGGGAAUGCAAAGGAUCAAGUCCUUAUUGCAAGAGAUCAAGAGUUAACCAACACAGGAGAGGAAAACGUCCUCAAGUGAAGAAAAUGUCAAGGGUGAGGUGUUACAAUUGUAACAAGAAGGGUCACUAUGCUCGCGACUGUCGUGAGCCAAAGAAGGUAUACACCUCUUGUACAUUUGAGAACUUUGCUUUUGUGUCAAGUUCUAUUUUAUAGACUGAAUCCAAUCCUUUCGUGGACUGUAGAUUCAGGAGCAACAGACGAUGUAGCGAAGGAUAGAGGAUCCUUCGUGGAAUUCCGACGAAUACCAACUGGAACUAAGUGGAUCUAUGUGGGAAACAACUCCAGAGCUGAAGUUAAAGGGAUUGGCACCUACCAACUAAACAUGUGUGGUGGGCACACCUUAUUCCUACAUGAUGUUCUAAAUGCUCUGGAGAUUCAUCGAAAUUUAGGUGUCUGUUUUAAUGUUAGUUAAGCUUGGUUUUAGUGUGAACUUCCGUAAUAACGAUGUAGAUUUGUAUUUGGAUACAAACUACCAUGAUUGUGGUCACUUUCUAGAUGGUUUUAUUGUACUAAAUGUUGACUGUGGUGAUGUCAAUAUAUGUUAUUCCCUUGUUUCACGUCUUCUACUUCAUAUGAUAAUGAUGUGAAUGUGUGGCAUGCUAGACUUGGUCAUAUUGGCCAAUAAUGUAUGAAUAGGCUAGCCAAAGAGGGCUUGUUGGGCAACAUUGAAAAAGUCGAUUUGCCCAUAUGUGAGCAUUGCCUAGUAGGAAAAACGACAAGGAAACCAUUUGGAAAAGAUAAAAGAGCUGAAUUUCCUCUGCAUUUAAUCCAUUCUGACGUCUGUGGUUCAAUGAAUGUGAGAGGAAGGCAUGGGGCCGUUUAUUUCAUCACUUUUAUAGAUGAUUAUACUCGAUUCGGAUAUGUCUAUUUGAUUUCUCAUAAAUCUGAAGCAAUAAGUUGUUUCAAAAGGUUUAUGAACCUGGUAGAAAAUCAAUUAGACAAGAAAAUAAAAGCAUUGAGAUCCGAUCGAGGUCGAGAAUAUUUAUCUGAUGAGUUCAUAAAAUAAUGUGAUGAAAAGGAAUAGAAAUAUAGUUGUCUAUUCCAUAUACUCCUCAACAAAAUGGUGUUGCAGAGAGAAGAAACAUAACCCUACUGUAAAUGGUUAGGUCCAUGAUGGCGUAUGCUAACUUACAUAUCACUUUUUGAAGUGAUGCGUUGUUAACUGCUGCCUAUAUACUUAACCGGGUACCUUCCAAAUUAGUUAGUUCCACUCCAUAUGAGUUAUGGACAGGUAGAAAACCGGACUUAAGUUUUCUUAAGCCAUGGGGUUAUGCUGCCUAUACUCAUAAGUUCUCUCACAAGUUUGGGAAAUUGGGUCCUAAAGGAAAGUAGAGUAUUUUAAUGAGAUACUCCGAACACUCGAAAGGGUAUGUGUUCAUAGGUGAGCAGGAAAGUGGGAAUAUAACUGAAUUUUAAUCACGGGAUGUCACAUUCUUAGAGGAUGAAUUUCCUAAGAAGGGCGAAAUAGGGAAAGAUUACCCCUAUUUGAAACCUUGGAUCAAGAUAAUGAUAUUAGUGGAGUUCGUCCAAGUGGGAGUAUUAUGAGAAGUGAUGAAUUGAAUUCAACUCAUUCUCAAUUACAACCACAUAAUGAGAGGAUAUCGUCAUUAUCUAAUCCGAGUGGGAGCAUAAAUGGGAAUGAUGUGCUAAGUGUACAAUCUCCCAUAUAGCGAACAAGUCGCCAAAGUAUUCCCCGUCGAAGUUUGACAUUGAAAGGGAAACUUUUAUGAUUGCUCCGCAAAAUGAGGAUGAGCCAAGAAAUAUUAAUGAGGCUCUAAAUUGCCCUAGUAAGGAAAAAUGGAUUUAUGCAAUGAAAGAGGAGAUGGAGUCAAUGAAGUCAAACCAAGUCUGGGAACUGGUUGAUCUUCCAAAAGGACGUAGAGCUAUUGGGAACAAGUGGGUUCUCAAAAUAAAGCGAAAGGCUGAUGGCUCGAUAGAAAGGCAUAAGGCUCGCCUUGUGGCGAAGGGGUAUAAUCAACAUGAAGGAAUUAAUUAUGAAAAUACAUUUUCUCCUGUAGUGAGAUUUACCUCGAUUCGUAUAAUUCUGGCAAUAGUGGCUAGUAUGGAUCUUGAGUUACAUCAAAUGGAUGUAAAGACUACUUUCCUCAAUAGAGAAUUAGAGGAAGAAAUAUAUGGAACAACCUGCUGGCUUCAUAGUGAAAGGCCAAGAAGAAAAUGUAUGUCGACUUUGGGGGUCGAUAUAUGGCCUUAAGCAGUCGUCAAGACAAUGGUAUAUACGAUUUCAUAAUGCCAUAAUGGCAUAUGACUUUACAAUGAUAGAUGAUGAUCAUUGUGUAUAUAUCAAAAGAUCCAAUGAUCAAUUUGUGAUCAUAUCAUUAUAUGUUGAUGAUAUACUAAUUGCCGGAAGUAAUAUGGAGCUUGUCAAUACUGUCAAAAGUUGGUUGUCUUCCAACUUUGAGAUGAAUGAUAUGGGAUUGUAAACCUAUAGACACUCCUAUUGCAAAAGGUGAAGGAUUGAGCCAUAGACUGUGUCCAAGGACUCCACAAGAGAAGGAACAAAUGAAAUAUGUUCCUUAUGCUAGUGCUGUUGGGAGUUUGAUGUACGUUAUGAUGUGUACAAGACCUGACAUAUGUUUUUGCAGUUGGAAUAGUGGGUAGAUAUCAAUCCAAUCCAGGUCAAGCACGUUGAAAAGUCGUUAAGUGAAUACUAAGGUAUUUAAAGGGGACUGCUGAUUAUACGUUGAGUUAUUAUGGAAAGGAUCUGCAACUCAAAGUCUAUUCUGAUGCUGAUUGGAGAGGAGAUUUAGAUGAAAGAAAAUCUCCCUCUGGGUUUGUUUUCUUACCGAAUAAUGGCACCAUAUGUUGGAGCAGUAAGAAACAAAAGUUUAUAGCCUUGUCCACGAUUGAAACUGAGUUCGUGGCAUUAUCAACAGCAAUCAAAGAAGAUGUUUAGCUUAAGAGAUUUUUUGGAUCAUUUAGGUGUUAUUAGAAGUGCUGUAGAUUCAUUAUUGGUUAACUGUGAUGGCCAAGCAACAAAAGCGUACACCAAAGAUCCAAAAUAUCAUGGCAAGACCAAACAUAUAGAUACCAAGUAUACUUUUGUCAAGGAUAUGAUUGCACAAAAAGAUGUGAACUUAGAGUGCAUACUACGCAUAGAAUGGUAGCAAAUCCUAUGACAAAGCCAAUACCUAGAGAUGUGUUUUGAGGCCAUAUGAAAUCUCUAGGAUUGCAUAGAGUCUGAUGUACUGGAUUGUAAUUUCCCUGAAGCAUUCACAUUUGAUGAAUUUGUAUUUUUCAUCAUUAAUGCCUAUGAAUCUUUGUUUAAUCUUUAUGCAUCUUAAUGCUCAGUGCAUUAUUUUAAGUUGAAAAAGUAUGUCGGACAGAUAUAAGAUUAGCCCACUCACACAGGUAAUCGCCUCUAUUUACUGUGUGAUAAAUAGAGAUGAGACUGUUUUUAAGCUUAUUAUCUAGGUGAUAAUCGAGAGCUCAAGCUUAAAAUACGUAUGUCGCCUUAACUGGGUGUUAAGAUGAGGACAUAAUACUUACUAUGUCCGAAAGUAAAAUACCCCACAUAUUUUACUUUAUCUGUCUAUGAUGCCAGAUGUGAGUUCUGAUGAAUUUUAUGAAUGAGUAGAUACGUGAACUCAAGUUAGACAUUGGGUAUGUCUGAACUAUCAUCUGUACGGUAUUGAAAGGUGUAAACAUACGCUCAAUGGGAAAGGAGUUAAUACCGUAAUACGUAUUUCAUACUACGUAUGCAUGAGCCGACCAAUAAGAGUGGCAAAAAGCUUGAUCUCAUCUUUUUAUAACGUGUGAGACUCUUGAGGAAAAAAGUUCCUCAAUUUUUUAGUCCCCUCAUGACUCUUACUUAUUCUCAAGAUUUCUAUUUAGUGUUUGCUAUCUUAGGAUGUUGCCAAUGGUCAUGAGUUGAUUCGAUCUAAUGGGGCAUUUCUAGAAAAGCAAGCUGAACUGAAAUUGAGAGUUUGAAGGAAAGAGGAAGAUCGAAUUUGGAGAAUCACAUUAUAGUUUUUGUAUUCACCAUUUAACCAAUUAUGACUAUCUUUGUGAUAAUCAUAAUUGUGAAUACAAUAUAUAUAUCAUUGUUUAAAAGAGAUCAAGAGAGACAUAAAUGUGAUCGAUCGAUCUAGGGUACUGCAUACUAAAUCUACUUGGAGUGUGUGAUGCCCAUUAUGAGCUGCUGCAUAUUCCUAACAGAUGUAUGGCAACGAGCUCUCAAAGUAUGCUGGUCGCACGGAUUAUUCACCGGUAUGAAUGUUGAAGAGAGGUAAAGAGAAUUCUGUUCAGCCCACCAUGUGCGAGUGGGAGAUGAUGGUUUUGGGUGAUGGGCCUAAGUUGGCCCGUCCGCCCAUGUUGGGCCCAAAAGCCCGGCCCACAGGAAUAGGGCCCGUGGAUGGAGGGACGUAUAAAAGGGUGAGAAAGAGGGAGAAGACACCUUUUGGAAAUUCAAUGUACGUACGUCUUCUCCCGCGCGCUCUCUCUCUCUCCAAAAAGAAAAGAAAAACAGUAUGCGUUUUUCUUCCCUUCAAGGCGUCAUUAGAUCGAACAGAGCCAGACUCUCUUCCUCUUAUCGGCGUCGGUGUCUAAUCUGUGGCUAACAAGGUACGCUCGAAUCCGUGGUGUGCUUUACAAUCGGUGAUACGUGUUUUUCCCGGGCUUCGUCUUCCGCAUAGCUUUAGGGGUUCGAUUUAGUGUCGAAUCCGGUUUUCGGGGAUCCGUUAUUCCCAAGUUGUUAAAUUGGAAAAUUUCAUGAGUUCUUAUUUUCAUCUCAGCAUCAGGAGCUAAAUUCAUACAUUUUUAUUUUUCUAGACAAUGCAAGACAAUCCAACUUUCCCUUGGACUAAUCAAUCCAUACAUGUGUAAUAGCGUCGUCUACACGUAUCAAGGUAGUCUCCAUCACACGAUGAAGAAUAUGGCCUUACAGCUCAAUUUCAACAUGAGAAGAAUUCUGUAAUUUUAACAGACUUUGUUGCAUCCAAACCAAUAUAACAAUCAAACAGUUGAUCACUUAGCUAAUCAUUACUCGAGAAUUUUAAAUUUGUAUUCACAUUGUUCUACAUAUUUGUUAAAAAAAUUUGAACAUAUAUUUUCGUAGAGUAAUAUGAAAAUAUUUAUUGUAGAAAGAAAACAGAAGUACGCAAGCAUCUAGAAUGAAAUAAUUGAAUACAUCUUGAGAAGAUAAAAUCAGACAGAGUAAGAAAAGGACAAAAAUAUUCAUAUUUCUCGGGGCCUUCUGCCGGAGACCUCCACUACCGCCGUAGACCGAUAAAUAAUCCGUGAAAGCUUAAUAUGAAGAAGGAUCCGAGAAAUGAGACGGUUGAAUUGAGACAAUUCGUGGUCCAUUAUGUUGAGGAAAAUUCCCUUAUUAAUUUUGAAAAUCGACAAAAAUUCCCUUAAUUCUUUGAUUUUGAUAGUAAGCUUUUCCAUAUAAAAACUCUUAUGUGUAUCAUCAGACGUUACUUGUCAGAUUCAAAGUCGUAGUGAAGAUCUUAUCCUUUAUAUUCAAUCUCGACGGAAUAAGGAUAGUGAUCGGACCUUGUGCUAACGACUAGAGAUUGGCGUGGAUUUCCUACCUAAUAUACUUUGAUUGUUCGAAAGAAAAUUAUCGAAAACAAUCUUAUUGAUUUUGGAAUGUUUCAAUCUACCAACGGAACAAUCAGAUUGAAGAUGACAUGUUUUCCAAAGGAAGGACUUAACUUAUGAAAAUCCCAUCUACUGUAUUGAUGGCAUAUCUUACGGGGAAGUUCUUUCUCGACAAUUUAGAAGCAAUCAGAUCUUCCUGCACUUUCUAGUCCAACAGAUUGAUUGGAUGGUUGAUCCUCAGAGGGCAGGUCCAACCAUCAGCUUGGACACUAAGGAGUAUGAAAGGAAGUUGUACAGCUGAUAGACGUAAGAGAGAACACAUAAAUUCUGAAUUCUAAAGUUCACAAUAGUCUUGUCCUAAUUACUUUCAUCUUACCUGAUCAUUGUGAUCUUUUAGAGGUUGUAAGUGUGAGAUUAGUAAAUCUUUCACACGAGCUUGAGUAGCACUUACUCAGUCCUUGUAACAUCUGAUUGACUCAUACUAGUGGAAUCUAGCUGAUAGGUUAUCAGUGCGGGAGAGUGUAGGUAGGCUUGUUAAAGUCGAACCAUUAUAAUUCUAUUGUGUGCAAUUUCUCUAUCCAUUAAACUCUUAUUUAUAUUUUGUGAUAUUUUAUUUCACACCGAUAAGAUCUAAACACAACACGGUUUGUCUUCAGAUGUUGUCCUAUAGCAAUAUUAUAUUAAUUUUGUUUAAAUUCCGCAUUAAGUGUGCCAAGAUGAAUUAAGAGAAUUAUUGUAAAUUCCUCAAGGAGCUGCAUCACCUAUUUAUUUUUCAUACACUCAUUUCAUCUUCAUUAGUCGAAAGCGCAUGUGUAAAGACAACAUAUGUUCUUAACAGGGACAUAAAUCAAAUAUGAUCAAACCUGAUUUGUGGAUUCUUUUUGUUUGAGUGUUUUUGAGAAAAGGAUACUUAUGUGAUUUUCAAGAAAAUCAUAAAGAAGAAGGAGGAGGAGGAAAUCGACAAUUUCUCUUAUUGAUCACUCAUCAAAUCAUUUGUGAAAUCAUCAAAUCUUCUUCAAAAUGAAAUGAAAAACACUUAUUUGAGAAAUAGAUAACAUAUAAGCAAACUAAACAUAGAUAAAAUAACAAUGAAAAUAAAAAAGUAAUAGGUAUGGAGAGAGAGAGAGAGAGAGAGAGAGAGAGAGAGAGAGAGAGAGAGAGUAAUAAUUAAAUUAAUUGUAUAAAAGACCAAUCAAAAUAGAAAAGCAAGAAAACGUAUGAAUUAUUAAAGUUUGAUUGGGAAAUAAAUUUUGGAUCAAUGUGCAACGUCGUUUUUGAAUUUAUAAUUGGUUCAACGUGGUCUUCGAGCUUUAGUCUAAUAUACAAUGUCAUUUUGAAUUUUUAAUUUGUCCAAUAUGAUUCCUAAACUAUUUGUACAUGUUCAAUCUAGUCCUAAAACUAUAUGGAAAAUUUUAAUGCUAGAAGGACAAUUGGAAUCUUGUAUUUCACUAAGUGUUUGAUUUAUUAUUGUUUAUUAGUAAAUAUUUCAAUUCAAAAACUUAAACUUAUAGAUGGAUAGAGAUCACAGUAAUAUAAAGAGUAUAUGUGAUGUAUUGUCAAGCGAUUUGAGAUAAUAUUUUAUUUUUAUUUUUCAGGAAAGUGAAGUAAUCUGGAAUUGGUGGAAUCGAUAUAAUAUUUUAAGAUAAAACCACAAAAGAAUUUGACCGAGGUUAAUUAAAAACCUAAAUGGGUCGAAUCUGUAUGUUGUCAUAUUUCGUGUCAUUUUGCUUUGGAUAUCGUAGUUAUCCAUGAAGAAGGUGAAUUUGCUAAAUUCGUAGUAUAAAUUCUAUAAUUAAAUUGUCCCCACGUACGUAUCUCCCAAUUUAAAAAGAGAAAAUAUUCUAAAGUUGAUUGUCGGCUUGUGGGGGAGGUCUCUUCCUCGAUGAUGUCAAGUUGACUAUCGUCGACUGCUCAUUUUUCAAUCUCUACCUCUUCGUAAAUGAUAUUCUGCAGAUUCAGAACUGCUAAAUUCCAAGAGCGAAGGAGGGACCAAGAGACUCCGGUCAAAUUUGGUGACAGAGUAAGAUCACAUGUAUAAUUUCGAAGUCAUCCUAAGAGAAAAAGUCAUGGAGGCAUAUGUUAGUUCUAUGUCCUAAAAUAAUCAUAUAAUGUUAAAGAUUAUUUAAUGGCAAGUAAAUAUUCAUUCAUCAUUUUAUUUAUAUGGAUAAGUCCAUAAGAUCAGUUUCGACCAAACAUAUUUUUAAGAUUUUAAGAAUAUGUGUGACAGAUUUACAAUUAUGUUGAAUCAUUAAACAGUUCCUAAUUGAUGGAUCAUUGAGAGGAUAUUGAUGAUUCUAUUGAGAUUGGUGUAUUCUCAAACUUCACCAUUCAAUAUUGGAUAGCUGAGGGGAUGAUGAGUUACAAAUUAUUGGGUAUUGUGAUAUCCGAGCUAGAACACAGGUGUUUGUCUUGGAUUAAUUCAUUGAAUGUGACAUACAUAGAACGAUUGGCAACAUAGAAGCUUUUAGUGGAGUUAAUGACUAAUCGUUCAUGCUUUAAUCUGGUGAAAGAUUCUUAAACCUGAGGCACGAUGCUGACUUGUAUGAUAGAUGGCUGUGGUUAACAAGUGUGCAUAUUAACGCUUCGUUGGACCAUCUUUGCACUUGCUAGUCAUAGUUUGUUCAUAUACAAAGUCACAUAUGUGCACAAUAUGGAAUCUUUUUUCUUGUUAUAUAUUGACAGACAAUAUUGAUAUUCUAUGCGAUCUAAUAUUGAUAUUGUAUUGAAAUCCUCGGCAGGGUUGUAAUUAAGAAUGAAUAGUUCAUGUCUCAUAGAAUGCAAGUCAAUUAGAUUUGGGCAUAUCAUCAAAUUGGUGGCUUAACCAAUAAUUCCAAAUGGCCUUUGUUCGAUCGAGACAUGAUGAGAUAGAAUGAUCAAAUUACAUGGUCGCCAAAACUCACAGGUUCAUUAUGUUAAUGAAAUAUUCACACUGUCUAGGUAGCCAUGACAUAUUGCUAGAUGUCACCUAUGAUUUGCAGGAACAUGAGAUUAAUCUGAACAAUUAGUUUUCUUGAUUGUGCUAAUUUGUUAGUACAAAUCCUAUUGCCAGCUUAGUGAUAAACUUAGAGAUAUCGCACGCUAUAACCAAUUAUAAUAAUGUUUGAACAAGAGAGACAACAUUACAAAUGUGUUUGCAAUUAAGCCAAUUAGAUUGAGUUGGGCUAAAAAUAAAAGAUUUGGAAAGGGCUUCAUACUUUACAAGAUCUGAAGCGGGUUCAAAUUUAAUGACCGAAUUAAUAAUCUGAAGUGAGUUUAGAAUUAGUAGCCACAUUAAUGAUUUGAAGAAAGUUCAAAAUCAAUAGCAUCAUUGAUGAUCUAAAGUGAGUUUAGAAUUAAUAGCAACAUUAAUGAUUUGAAGUAAGUUCAUAAUCAAUACCAUGUGCAAAAUCAAUAACCAAAUUAAUGAUUUGAAAUGAUUUCAAACUUAAUGGCUAAAUUAAAGAUCUGAAAUGGUUUUAGAAUUCACAGUCACAAUGAUCUGAAAUAUUUCAAAUUCAAAUGAUUAAUUAAUGUUUUGAAAUGAUUUUAGAUGUAACGGUAUAAUUAAAUAAUUGUAACGGUUACAAAGUUAAUGCUCAGAAUAAAGAUUUGUAACGGUUAGAAAUUAAUGCUUAGAGUAAUGCUCUGUAACAGUUACAUAGUUAAUGCCCGAAUUAGUGUUUGAAACAGUAUCAGAACUUACGUCCAUUAGACGUUAUGGCCGAAUUCUCUCAAACGGCUUUAGAGUUAAUGAGCCGAUUAAAAUGUGAUUUGGGACUGAUUAUCAAAGGGCAAUUGAGAAAGUAGAUAAAAAAAAAAAAAAAUCAACAAUCGAAAAUUGAGAGUGCCAUUCACACACGAGAGCAAUUGUUAGCAUAAUUGUAGUCGUGAGAUCUCUUAAUUUAUCUCUUUUGUUCAACGUGAGAUUGGUGGUAUGUCUGAACUAAAGGCCCGAUAUUUAUGGGGCUGGAUUUGAAGAACGUUAGAACCCAUGCUAAAAGGAGAUCAAACGUUCGUAGUUUGGAUUUGAAGAACAUCAUAACCGAUAUUACCGGAAGACAUUAGAUGUUUGUGGUCAAAAUUCCAAGAAUGUCAUAAUCAAUGUUACUAGGAGAUCAAACGUUUGUAGUCAAAAUUUGAAGAGCAUAUAAACCAACAUUGUGAGGAUAUCAAAUGUUCAUGUCAUAAUCUGAAGAACGUCAAAAUCAAAAUUUUGGAGCAUGAUAUAAAGGUAAUGUGAUUAGCCCCUUUAUCACUCCUAAGUGUUGUUAUUAAAAAUGCAUGAACAGUGUUAUGGAAAUAUUCGUAUGGGUGUUUUUACUUCCGUGGCAAUCAUAUUUUAAUUCUUAUUUAUCGAAACAAAGACCAAUAGCAUAUUCAUGAGCCAACAUUGAAGUAAUUAUCACUAUUAUUUAAAAAAAUCUAAAUUAUUUAUUUUCAUGAAAUAAAUAGAUUCUAAUUAUGCGAAGAUCCACUGAGAGAACCAUUAUAAAUUCCUCAAAAAGCGACAUCAACUAUUUAUUAUAUAUUUGUUUUAUCUCAACUAAUAUGUUGUCACGUACCUUACACGUGAUUAGACCAUAUAUAUAUUUGAAAAUGUACAUAAAUGAAAUUUGAUUGAACAUGAUUUGAGGCCAUAUAUACAUGUUAUCCCCGUUCGUUCGACCCAUUUGCACAUGGGGCCGGCAGCAGCUGAGUGCAGGACAGUCGAUAUAAAUAAAUAUAAGAUGGAUAGAUGGUACAGAUUGAAUCACGUUUGAUUCCUUGGCUGGCGCCCGUGGGGCCUGCAACUGCAUGCGCGUUUGCUCACGUUUGUGCUGUCGGCCGCUUUUGGAGGCACAUAUUUUGGUGUUUUUCUCAUCAACCAAUAGCAUUCGAUUUUUAUGGCCUCAUCGUACAAAAUUACGACUUUCUGGUACAACCAUUUUCUUGUGGAGCCAUUAGUAUUAGAUUGGGUUCCUAUAAGUUAGACCCGUUAAGUGGAUGGGUCGGAUCGAGUUUGGAUUGGGUCAUAAAUGAUCUGACUCAAAUCGACCAAUUUAACAUGUCUAUGAUCCAUUUAUCGUAAUACAAAUUUUUUCAUUCAUACCCAACUCGACUCAUACCCAACUUAUAUCCGACUCAUUUAACUAAACCUAAUAAAGCUUAUUUCUUAUGAUUUUUUUUAAAUGGUAUUGUUAAAAUAAUUUCAUGCAACACAAAUUUAAUUGACAAUUUUUAUAAUUUUUAAAAAUUUAUCUUUAGAAAAUCGAAUUUUAGUUAUUUUUUUAAAUUGAAUUUUUAAUUAUUUUAUUUUUUAAGAAUAUAAUUUUUAAUUUUUUCUUUUUUUUUUCUUUUUCUUCUUCGGCCAAUCGCUGGCCAUGAUGAUGGCUAGUGACCAACCACAAGCAAGCCUCAAGCUCGCUGGGCUCGCUCGACGUUGACGAGCUUGAGGCUCACUAGAUCGAUGAGGCUUGAGCCUCAAUCAACAUCGAUGAGCUCGAGCUCGCCUCUUGCCAGAUCUGGCGAGCUUGAGGCUCACUAGAUCGGCGAGGCUCGAGCCUCGCCUGAUGUCGGCGAGCUUGAGUCUUACCAAAUCGGUGAGGCCCGGGCAUUGCCUAGUUGGUCGUCAGUCGUCGCCGUGCCAGCCACCGGCUAAGGAAGGAGGAAGAAGAAAGGAACAAAGAGGAAAGAAAAAAGAAAAAAAAAAUUGAAAUAUAAAAAAAUAAUUAUAAUUUCGAUUUUUAUAAAAAAAAAUAUUUUUGUAAAGUUAAAGAGGGAACAAAGAGAUUAUGAGGUUUUGGUUGAAAAUGGGUUUUAAGUCCAACUCAUUUAAGACCCAUUUAACACUCAUCUAUAUUAAGUUUUCAAUUGUUAAACUCAUUUAACUAGUUUCUUUAAAAAAUAAGUGACCCAUAUAUGACUCAUUUAUAAUUUAAAUGGGUCAUAUAUGGGUCAAAGACCCAUUUUGCCACCUCUACUAUAAGUACUCCAUCAUUUCAUCAUAUCAUGUGUUGACGUGACUUUUUUCUCUGUUAAGAGAGAGAAAGAGUAACAAAUAAUGUAAAUAGUCUAAGAUCAUCGAGGGAAAAAAAAAGGAGAGCUAGUAAAUACUACAUCUUUACUCAAUUAGCUAUUUUGAGUUCUACACAUUAUUAGAGAAGAAUAUUUAUAUUCAAACAGUAUACAUAGCAAUCAAAAUAAAGAUUUUAUUUUUGUGAGUGAUUUGAUCAGUCGAACGAUACCUUUCUUAUGUUUACUUUAUGUUUUUUUUUUUUCAUUUUUACUCAUUAAUUUCAGGUAUUGGUUCAUUCACAUAAUAUCUCAAAUGACAAGAAAAAAGAGGUAUCACUAUUAUCUCAUCAAGUAAAUUAUUUGUGCAAAAGAGCAACGAAAAUGGAAAAGUCAAUAAUAUAUGGAAAGUUCGAUUUCUUGGCUUCCACACUUGCCAUAAUCAGUCAUCACCGGUCUUUUCGACCCAUUGCACAGGGGGCCUGGAACUGCACAUGGGCGGGGAAGAAGGUAGAGAGAGAAUCAUAUUUUGACUCCGAAUGGUAAAACACUUCUGGCCGCUUGAGCUGGGCUUUAUUAGCUUUUUUCUCUUUCUUCGGUUGACACGCUUUAUUGGUUUAAAUAGCUUCUUCUUUUUUUUUUUUUUCGUUUGGCGGAGUGGCAACAGCACCGUCAUCCAAAAUGGUCCUUCUGGGAUAUACUCCCCUCAACGGCAUGUAGAACUUUUUUAUUGAACAAGAAACGAAAGGUUCCGUGGCCGGUUCAGUACCGGUUCUACCUGGACCAGGUCUCCGGUAGAACUGACUGCGCAGAUGUUAAAAUUGGGAAGGUUAAAGCGGGACCUCAUCCCUACUUUUCAAUAUCUACGUUUGAAGGGCAUUUCAAGUCCCCUUAGCUUAAAAAACUAUGGUUCUAUCAGCCUGAUAGGCUGUGGAUUUUUCGCAUUAGCGGCACCAUAAAAAGUAAAAAGUAUUCAAAAGAUGGACGUAUUAAAGAAUAAAGAAAAAAGGGAGAGAAAUUGCAAAAUAAAAUACGAAGGUAUAGAGUUGCCAUGAGUGCAAACUGCAAACUGCCACCCCACGAUUAGCUGGACAAUCAACUCGCGCCGAAAACUGGGCUCCUUUCUGUCGGCCACUUGCUUUAUUUUUCUCAUCCACCAAUAGCAUUUGAUUUUAUUGUCUUCCUCGUAAAAAAUAAUGACGAUAUGUUUCAACGACCAUUUUCUCAUCGAUCCGUAGCAUUUCAAUGGUUUUCCCAUCACUUCCUCAUUACCUGUGCACGUCUUCUUUCUCUGAUACGAACAUGAGAAACUCUUCAUCUCAGAGACAGAGAGAGACAGGAGCUGAGCAAACUACUGCUGUGGUAAGCUCAAAUGCGGGGACUUCAUCAGGAAGCAACUAUCAAGUGUUUUUGAGUUUUAGAGGAUCCGACACUCGUGAGGGAUUCACCAACUCUCUCUACCAUGGCUUGGAUGAUGCUGGAAUAUGUGUCUUUUUAGACGACGAAGAGCUCUCUGUUGGUGCAAGGAUCGAUGGAUCGCUAGAGCGAGCAAUCAACAACUCCAAGAUCUACAUACCCGUCUUCUCUCAAAACUAUGCUUCCAGCCAAUGAUGCCUCCGCGAGUUAAAGCAGAUUGUGGAAAACACCUUCAAUUCCGAAGGUAAAAAAGAGAUUCUACCGAUUUUCUUAGAUGUGAUACCCGACGAUGUUAAGCUGAAAACUCCGCUAUACCGUGAUGCCAUACAAAAAUUGAAGCACGAGAAGAGGUUGAGCAAUGAGCAAGUAAAUGAGUGGAGAAACACUCUCAUGAAGGUUGAUGAGAUAAAGGGGUUGGAAGCAAAGAAGUACAAAGGGUAAGCUUGCUGCUUUCAAGAUCGUUUGUUUCCCCAAUUUUCCUUCACACUUAAUAAUAGAGGUAAAAGAUUUCAGUAGGAUUGAAGUGGGGCUUUAAUUAUAGUAAAUACGAAAUGAUGAACCUACGCUAUGUUCAUCAGAAAAUGUGAAACUGCUUAACAAGGCCAUCUUAUAUAAUGGGCAAAUAAUGAUAUUAAUAGCUGGUAGCUAAAUUAAUAUUUGUUUGUGGGCAGCGGAAGGAAAAAGAAUGGAACAAUGAAAUGCCGUGUGCAUUCCUAUUUAAUCAUUUAAUCUUUCAAUACACUGAAUAUUUCGCCUAUUGUACGCACCACGUUCAACUUCUACAGUCAUCGCUUGAGGAUAAGUCAUUGAAUGUCAAUUUCAAAUUCAUAAAAUUCUGCACGAACGUUAUUGACUUAAUCCCGAAAUUGCUAAUCUCACGUUUGAAUCAAGUCAAAUUUCGGGCCAUGCCAUGGUGCACGAGUUGCCAAGUGCACAAAAAGUAUGUUAUGGAGGGAUGUUUAAGUCCAAUUGGGACUCCUAGAAGAUCGCUUAUAGAUUGUUUAUCAGCCAUUAAUUAUCUGAUUAUCGUGCGGUUUAUCCGGGGCUUGAAUAACACCAGUUCCAGCUAGGCAAUUGUGAUUACAAAUUUUUGCCCACUAAAAUGGUUUUCCAUUGUGGCAGCCAUGGCGAAUUGAUCAAGUUGGUAGUUGAGGAGGUUGUGAAAAAGCUGAAGAAAAAACAUAGAUCAGUGCCCGAACAUUUAGUCAGGAUUGAUGAUCGAGUUUCAGCGGUGAGGGACUUGUUAGACAUUGACUUUGGCGAUGUGCGGUUCAUUCGAAUUCAUGGCAUGGGGGGCAUCGGUAAAACGACUCUCGCCAAGGUCGUCUUUAAUGAAAUCUCUUCUCAUUUUGGAAAGUGUUGUUGUUUCCUUGAUGAUAUUCAAGAGAAGUCAUCAAGAAUUGAUGACUUAGUUGAGCUGCAAAAAAAGUUAUUAUCCGAAAUCGGCACUCAUGCAGGGACAAAGAGCAUUGACGAAAUUGAUGAUGGAAUGAAUAGGAUUGGAGAAGUACUUUGCAAGAAGAAAGUUCUCAUUGUACUGGAUAAUGUUGAUAACGGCAAACAAAUGGAGAAAUUAAUUGGACGGGGUACUUUGUGUUCGGGAUCUAGAAUAUUGAUUACAACUAGAAAUAAAAUUGAUUUGCGAACAAAAUAUCAAAUUUUCAAUUAUGAAAUGGGGGUGAUGAGCGAUGAUCCUGCACUUGAGCUCUUUAGUUGGCAUGCAUUCAAUAGAGACUCUCCUUCACAUGCCUAUGAUGAUCUUUCAAGGGAAAUUGUAUCUGCAACUAGGAGACUUCCGUUGGCUCUCGAAAUAAUUGGUUCGUUUCUCUACGGCAACAAAUCGCAAAAACUAUGGAAAGAGACAUUGAAGAAGUUAAAAAAAGCACCCGAUGAGAAUGUUUUUAGAAAGUUAAAGGUUAGCUAUGAUGCCUUAACUUUCGAGCAACAACAAAUUUUUCUCGAUAUUGCAUGCUUUUUUGUUGGUGAGGAUAUGAGGAGUGCACUUUACGUGUGGAAAGAUUGUGAGUUUUAUCCUCAUUCUGGAGUUCGUGUCCUCAUUAAUAUGUCUUUGGUAAAGAUUGUGAAGAACAAUAAGUUUUGGAUGCAUGAUCAGCUUAGAGAUCUUGGAAGGGAAAUUGUUCAUCAAGAAAAUCGAACGAAUCAUGGAGAGCAGAGUCGGAUAUGGAAUUGCGAGGCGAUCCUUGACACAAUAGGAACAGAGGAGGUAAAACAAAUCUAGAGUAAUAAUUUCUCUAAAAGAAAAUCAUCUUGGUUCCUAAAGGAUGCUCUUUUUUCUUUCUUCUUUUCACAUUUUAAUCCUUUUCCUCUCAAUUAGAAUUUUGAAUACCGCUCAUUUCUUGCUUUCCUUUUCAGAUGAAGAAGAAUGCUGUAGCACUGGAUCUUGAUGUACGCAAAAGUUAUCCUGAGGUCGUUGUUAGAAGUGAAGAUAUUGGAAGAUUCAAAUGUCUAAAGUACCUCAAAUUAUAUGGGGGAACCUUCACCGGUGACUUGGCUAAUAGUCUUACCAAUUUAAGUUGGAUUUUAUGGAAUCAUCCUCAUCCAAUGUCUAACCCAACCAACAUGCACUUAAAGAAUGUGGUCGUUCUUCAAUUUUCUGACAAUAACUCCAUAGAUGAUUCGCAACUACAAAGCUUAAUCACGGUGUGCAAUAUGCUUCUAUUCUAUUUCUUUGAAAGUAAAAUUUAAUUGUUCAUCCUUUGACUAUAGCAUUUGUUUUGCAGAUGGCAAGAAAAUUGAAAGUUCUUUCUCUUAAUGGUUGUAAUAAAAUAACUAGAACACCAGAUUUCUCUAAAUGCCUGAAUUUAGAGAGCCUUAAUGUCAACAGCUGUUCCAAUUUGAGGGAAAUUGAUGGCUCUAUUGGGAAGUUGAAGUGUCUAAUUGACAUUAAGAUUGUUUAUUGCCCUCAUCUUAAAUUUUUGCCUGAAGAAAUCGGGUACCUUGUGAAACUGGAGGAAUUCACUAUACAGCGGUGUGAUGGAGUGAAGAGCAUCCCAAAAUCCAUAUGGAAAUUGAAAUCAUUACGUGAGGUUCACUUUUCAGCUGGCCGGGGUUCUUAUUCAGCAGAUUCAUGAAGUUACUUAGUAAUAUUGGAAUGCUUCACGAGCUGGAAGCGCUUCAAGUCAAUGCUUACUAUUCAAAAGGUCAACUUCCUUAUGAAAUUAGAGGUUUGCCCUUUCUAAAAUAUCUAACUCUAUCAGGUACUGAUGUUAAUGAAGUUUCAAAGAGUGUUGGCAAGCUACCUCGCCUGCAAAGAUUGGAAUUGAUGGCAUGUCAUAAGAUUCUAGAGUUGCUAGCACUCCCAACAAGUUUAAAUCUGAAUUGUUGCAUGUUGUCCUAGAUCUCUCGAACUUGAUUAAUUUGGCUGAGUUGGAUCUAGAUGAUAGUGGAGGAAAAAGAGGUGAAAUUGUACCAGUGAUUUAUGGUGGAUUGGGAGACUAUCCAAUCCGACUAAAUUGAACUUGAGACUUUGCAAUGUCAAGCUGCCCUUCCUCUCAGACCUUUCAGCAACUUUCCUUGUCUUUGCAAAAGCUAGGUCUUGAUGAUUUCCAUUUAAUAGAGUCACUAUCUAAACCAGGAGAAAUUUUGUCACAUUCAGAGCUCUCUAGAUCUCCAGUGCAUGCAUAUGAACUCAGAUGGGCUUCUACUUCCACAUCUCAAGUAGUUGCUUGUGCAAAACUGUGAACGCCUCCACGGAUUCAGGCUAUCAAGCAUGGGGGAAGCUGAAAGAUAAUCUCGCUGAGCUUUUGCCCGUACUUAGAUGGGAUCGAGUUUCUUUGGGUGUUCGAAUUACUGGGGGCAUCGUCUAUCAUAUCUUGUCAGUCCUUGAGAAGGCCAGUUCAUGUGGGGAAAGCAGGGCACGGGAGCAGUGAGUCUGCUAAUGACUUGAUUACUUGUGAAGCGAGACUAAUCCUUCCAUUGAGUGCCUUUAAAUAAGUGACAAAGUUUUGUGCUGUCAUCUUGUGGGCAAAUACACGAGAUUCAAGUUGUCGAACAAUGGAAUCGUGGGAAAACUUCGAGGUUUGGGAUUGUCGUAAACUGCGAAGUCUUCAUUGUUUACAAAAUAUAAAAAAUCUCAAGUCCUUUUCCAUCAAAUCAUGAAAUUGUCUUAGGAAUGUCGAGGGCCUUGACGAGCUGGAGUUUUUGGAUUACCUACUAGUUGCGGCCUGUGGAUCGUUAGAUUGGUUGAUUGGUGAUGUAUCAAGCGCCAAAUUUCUAAAUGAUCGCCACAUAUUUAUCUUCGGUUGCAGGGAAAGACUUUCGGGGGUUCCGCUAGUCUUUACAAGCACCAAAAGGUGAGUCUUACUGAACAUUCUCUCUCGCGUAGUUAACAUUGAUUGGGUGUUUCAGUUUACUUAUUGUUAUCGGACCAAUAAAGAUGUGAUUGGCAAAUAACGAUGUAUUCCAAUCGAUCUCACUAGUUUUGACACCAAUCUAAAAUUCGGCACACUUGCAAGUUUCAUUUUCCCAAUUGUGUUUUCUGACUUUCCUUUUCUCGUUUUCUACUCCUUUUUCCCCUUAUUUUUCUAUUCCUUUCCGUCCAUGAGUUAGAUAAGCUAGGGAACAAGGUCAGAUGGAAACAAAAUAAGUGGAAGAACUUCAUUAUGCAGAAGAAAUGUCAUCGUUUAGUUUCUUAUAAUUUUUUUUUAAAAAAAUGCCUUAUACGUUUCACACGUCUUUUUAAAUGGGGUGUGAAUUGUUCAGAUAAAUUUGUAUCUUUACUUAAAAUAAUAUCGAUUUCUUACUUAUACUUUGGAGAUAAGGUUGGUACUUUGCAAUUUUCAUACAUAAGACAGGAAGCUAAAUGAAUCACAUAUUUGUUUCAUGUGUCGUAGACACUUUGCUCAUUGUAUGCAAAGAACGCAUUCUUAGAGCAUAAUUCACGUGGUCAACCAAUUUAACUCCGGUGGAGUCGAGUUAUUUACUUAGGAUGAUUCUGCGAUGUUAACUGCCAAGUCACUUGUGCUCGAUCAUGUAUGAUGUACAUGUAGACUUACUAAUUGAAUCAACAAGUAACAUAGAGCAGGUCUCAAGGUUCUUAUCUUCAGAACUUUGACUAGAUAAGAGUGAGUCCGAGCCAUACUCUCUCCUUUUCUUUACAGUUUUCUUGACGCAAACAUCCACAAACAUGAAUUCAACUUUUAAGCGGAUUUGCAAAUAAUUGUAGUAAAUCCAAAAUCAAUCAAACAAACAUGAAUUAAAUUUGAUCUCACUUAAUUUAAAACCCACUCAACGCAAGUGUCUUUUAUUCUCAGCUCGUGUAAUCUCAUUUUCUUUUCCUUUUUUCAGUUCUUCUUUUCUUUUAAUGUAUUAAGAAAGCUCCAUUUGUGCAGCAAGUCUAAAGGACAAGGUCAGUUUUUAUGACAAAUGACUGGAGAAACUUCAAUGUCUAGAGGAAACAUAUAGAAUAGCCCAAAGUCUCUCAAUCAAAUUUUCUUUUCAUUUUAUGUGGAGCAAAUUGUAUAGUUUAGCGUAAUUUUUAUGUAAUAGACUCCACUUUAUUGUGCAUUUCUUACUUAAAAUCAUUAACUAUGGAGAUGAGUUUGGUGAUUUGCGAUUUUUACAAUGAACUCUAAAAGAAUUAGAUACUCAUUGCACCACUCAAAACAGCUUUGCUACCGGAGUUGUUUCAAGAAGACAACUUACAUAGUCCACCCAUCUACUGUUCCAGUGACCUAUGUCCUUGAUGGAAUUGGGUGCUCCUCGAAUUUUUGCAUGUGGUUGGGGCCAGCCAAGUAGGAUGUGCGUUCCAAUAGCACCUCAAAUACUUAUUUUAGAUUGUACAGUUUGAUUAAAGGCCACUUUACACAGGAACAGGAAAGCGACUUCAAAGAGGAACAGGAAUCGAAUCAGAGGAGAGGCUGGGGAGAGUGUCAUUCCAUCGCCCGAGCUUCAAUAGUUUUCUCCACUGCGUCCUCCCCGUUUUUUUUCCGUUUGAUUAUAAGUGACUUCAAAUAGGAAUCAAAGCAGAGGAGAGGGCUGAGGAGGGUGUCGUUCCAGUGCCUGAGCUUCAACAUAAUGUGAUGUUGGUUGUGGUAAAGAUGGCAAUCUAGAACUGGAGAGGACUUUCGCCAUCAAGUCAGAACGACAGUUGGCAGAAAGCAGAGCUGGAGCGUAUCAGAAGCACUCGAAUAGCUAUCACCGUUGGCCGGGAAUAAAGGCCACCUUGUCCGUAAUGUAUUCGUAACCUAUUGUUUUGCCUACAGGGCAUUUGUUUCGUUAAUUAGUAUUUGCUUUUGAGUUCUGCUUUGGGUUUCAACCAAUAUGCACUUGAAGAAUGUGGCCCGUUCAUCAAUUUUCAGAUGACUUCAUAGAUGAUUUGAAACUCUGGAGCUUAAUCAAGGCGUGUCAUGUUUUUUAUUAUUCUAAUUAACAGAUAUGUGAUUGUGCAUCUUAUGAGUGGCUGUGUUCGUUAAUUACGGAUAGCAAUGAAAUUGAAAGUUCUUCUUUCUUCGUUGUUCUCACGUAAUCACAAUGCCGUGGAGGACAUCGCUCCGGUGAUGCUUUUGUUAGUGUUCCUGAUUUCACUAGAAGCGCUAUCAUUUGUCUUAUAGAAAAUGAAGAAAGAAAAAUAGAAUAAAAAGGUCGUUUUCCCUUCAUUUGAUGAUCUUUUUUGAAAUUUUAUUUCCUUUGUCUCCAAUCCACUUAUCUUGCUUUCUGCAUAUUCGUUCAAUAGCAUGGUGACCUAUGUAUGUGGAGACACCCAUCGUUUAGCAAGCAACUCUUAGUGGAAUAAUUGAAUACCAUGCAUCUUCCUGUCUAAUCAUUUGAUCUUUCAAUUAAUACAUCAGAUAUUUCUCCUCUUGAACACAAAAUGUCCAACUUUAGGUCUUGAACAUAACUAAUAAAAUGCUAUUUUUUUCAGAAAAAUAAAAAAAUGCUAAUAAAAUGCUAAUUUGCGAUGCAUAAAUAUUUGUACAUUUAUUUUGCUGAAAUACGAUUAACAUAAUUCGAAGAUUGCUAAUCUCAUGUUGGGAUCAAGUCAAUUUUUCGGUGUCAUGACAUAGUGCAACACACGGCACCUUGCCAUGUGCGUGAAAAGUAUGUUUGAGAGUGACGUGUUUUUUGAUAUUUCUAUUAGUUUCAUAUAUUUCAUGGUUACAUAGAAUAAGCUAGAACAAUUAAAUCUGAAAUUCUUCAGUUUAAGUUUCAUCAUUUUCUUCUGGCUCUGUUUAUUUUAAGAAAUAUUGAUGAUUUAGAAAAGAUUUUCCUAAAAUUGAGUGCUUGUGUUGCUUCAAAUAAUUGGUUGAUGGAAAAUAUUUUCAUUAUCACCAAUAAUUUAUAUCUAAACAUUUUUGUUGACAAUGAAAAUAUUUUGUAUUCAUUCAUUUUUGUAAAUUAUAUAAGCAAUUAUUUUUAGGAAAACAUUUUUCGAAUCGUUUAUUGCGGCAUCCUAAAACUCCAUGGCAACCUCUAGAUGCCUUACAACCUUUGGAAGGGCGAUGGACGCAUCAUUGAUCUAUGUUAUGGUCUUUAGACCAAAGAAGUGUAAUAGNNNNNNNNNNNNNNNNNNNNNNNNNNNNNNNNNNNNNNNNNNNNNNNNNNNNNNNNNNNNNNNNNNNNNNNNNNNNNNNNNNNNNNNNNNNNNNNNNNNNGUUGCCUCACCCCUUUUGGAGAUUAACAUUUCAAAUUAGAAAUAUGCAUUUGCUACCAGUUGCACGCGGUACUUACUAUGGCAUACCUACUGAUGUGGAUGUGGAGUGUACUGAGCAUGUCUGUGUCGGUGCUCUUUGUUUAGUUUUUGUUCGAGUCCGAGUGUUGGUUAUGUACGACAUGGGUCGAGCUGAUGGCCCGAUCAUCCAGGAGUUUAUAUUUGUCCAUGUCCGACGCCAUGGAGUUAUGUUCGGGAUGUUACCGCCGCCACCACCCGAUGCACCGGAUUGGGUAUGAUGGCGCAUAUAGCUAAUGAGAGUUGACACUUUUUGGAGAUAGCCAACGCUCGUAGAUGGCGGGUGGUACAUGAUCAAUGUAGAAUUGAGUCCUUUUGGGAUGGUAGCCGAGUAUAGUUAAAAUCUUAGCUUUUUGUUGUAUCGACCUCGAUGUCCAUCAUGAAAAUAUAAAUAAGAGUGAAUCAGCAGUAUCUUUUCUUAUGGUGCGUAGUUGGUAUGUAUUGCAUUAUGGUUAUUGGAGGGAGAGAUGGUGAGACUUGUUUAUGCUUCCGCUAAUAAGUUGAGCUGGGACCUUUUCAAAAAAAAAAAUUCCCUAGUCAAAGGGUAUCAGUCUGUGAAGUUAUAUGAGAUCAAGUAAUUAAAAGAGAUCACCUGUGGCCACCUCAAGCAAGUCGGGGGUGCCACAUUUAUUUUCCACGUAACAAAUGAAAUCUAAAUAUGAUUUUCUACAUGCUUGGUGUUUUCUUUGGAACUUGACAUAAUCAAGAACGUAAGGCUUGCACAACAAAUCAUAUGAGUGAUGUCAAGUUAUCAAAAAUAGUUACUAAGAAAACCUUAAAUUCAAUGAAAGUUGUCAAGAACUGAUGGCCUAGUUGAAUUGCAAAGACAGUCAAAUUAUGAAACACCGCAGAAUAAGGAGCAUCGACGAAAUUGACUAUAGGAUGAAGAGGAUUAGAGAAGCAAUUUACAAUAAGAAGGUCCUCAUUGUACCGAAUAAUGUUGAUUAAAGCAAACAAGUUAAGAAAUUGGUCAGAAGAAGUGCUUUGUGUUCAAGGUCUUGAGUAUUGAUUACUACUAGAAAUAAAGAUAUUUUGCGAAUCAUUGGAUCAAAGUGUGAAGUUUUAAAUCAUGAAUUUUUUUGGUGGGAGGGGGGGGCGAUUUAUAGUGAUCAUCCUCUUCAUCUCUUUAAUAGGCAUGCAAUUAACAGAAACUCUCUUAUUGAUAGUUACUAUGAUCUUUCAAAGAAUAUUGCAUCUACAAUGGAAGACUUCCUUUGCCUAUUGAAGUAAUUGGUUCGAUACUAAAUGAUAAAGCACAUGGACUAUGGAAAGAAACAUCCAAAAAGUCAAAGCAAAGCACCUUCGGAUAAUGUUUUCGGAAAGUUGAGGAUUAGCUAUCAUGCAUCGAGUUUUGUGCAGCCAACAAUUUUUUUUUUUCAAUAUUGGAUGCUAUUUUUUGUUGGUGAGGAAAAGACAGAUGUGAUUGAUCCAUUUAGUUCAACAUUUGGAAAGAGUUUUGGGGUUCUAAAGGGAUUUGACAAAUACAUAUGAUGUUUGGUUCAUUUUUUGAAGUUCUGAAGCCCUUUAAAGGCCUUUAGGAAAAUAUAGGGUUUGGUGCCUUAGGAAAUAGCAUUUUCGGAAUGCUAUUGGGCUGGUUUAAUGAAGAUAUGUCCUUUUCCCAUCCCAACCUUAUUUAUCAAACAUAAUUCCAAUUUUGCCCCUUUAUAAACAAAAAAGCUUAAGAGAGCGGCUCCUCUCUUCCACUUGCCUCUACUCACCAAAUCUGUGCUCCUUGCGCUCCUCUUCCCCCCGAGCUCCCUUCCCUCACACCAACCCUCGAGCUCUUUUCCUCGCUCACCACUUGUACAGCCCCACCGUCCUUCUAAGAAACUUCGUCGCGAAAUGCCAUGGCUACCGGCGCUGCAGAAUGCCUUCUCCGCUACAUCUAACGGGGUUGGGUCUCGGAGUGCAACUUGGGGAUCGAGAGGAGGCCGUACCACCGAAACUGCGGUUGACGCUUCACAAGAAAUCCAAGAGCAAUUGCCCUCGUUUGAUGGCGAAGAAUAAGAGCGUGUUGUAUCCGAUCGGAAGGGCAUGAAGCGAGGGGUCUCUGGUACAAAUUCGUUGCCAUCGUCAUUGCCAGUCAUGGGGAGGUCUCAUAUGGUGAGUCCUUGCGAUGAGACAGAGAGUGGGAAGAUGAGUUUUGUUUGAAGAUGUGAAAGAAGAUUUGAAGGAAGAAGUUGAGAGAGAAGAGUUGGGGAAAUUUUUCUGUAUAUUCUUGUCUAUUAACUCAGUAUACAUAAUCGAUAUUAUAGUACAAGAUAUGUGUAAAGAAAAGGCAAUAAAAUAAUAUACAAAUGAGAUCCGAUAUUGAAUAAUCUUGAUCAAUAUUGAAUGAUCUUUGAUUGAUUCAAUAAUAUCAUAUUGAUUGAUCCUCUAGUAUCCUGUAUCUUCCAACACUCCCCCUCAAGCUAGUGGCUUGUAGAUGUCCAAGACACCUAGCUUGCUCAAGAGAUACGCAUGCUGUCUCUGACAUAAGGGUUUGGUAAAGACAUCUGCCGGUUGCUCCUCUGUUCCAAUCCCUUAUGCCUCGAUCAUUCCUUGCUGAAUUUUCUCUCGAGUGAAAUGACAGUCCACUUCUAUAUGUUUCGUUCUUUCAUGCACAAUGGGAUUUAAUGCAAGUUUGAGGGCUGCAUCAUUGUCACAAAAUAAUCUUGUCAGCCCUUCAACUUAUACCCCGAGAUCCUCAAGUAAUCCUCGUAGCCACACUAUUUCACAUGUGGUUUUAGCCAUGGCACGAUAUUCUGCCUCUGCCGAGGAUAAUGAAACGGUUGGCUAUUUCUUCGUCUUCCACGAAAGUAAGGAAUCCCCCAACUUAAUACAGAAACCAGUUAUGGACCUUCUGCUCAUUGGGCAAGUUGCAUAGUCUGCAUCACAAUAUGCAGUCAUCCUCAUGUCACAUUUCCUAGAAAGGAAAAUGCUAAGUCCAGGACAUUUCUUCAAGUAUUUUACCACCUUCAGUGCAGCAUUCAUAUGAGAUUCCUUGGGUUGGUGCAUAAAUUGACUGAGCGUCUGCACAGCAUAACUUAUGUCUGGCCUGGUCAUAGUCAAAUAUAUAAGCUUCCCAACAAGUUUCUAAUACCCCAAUGGAUCCCUGAGAAUGGGAUCAUUUUGUUGAGAUAGUCCAGCAUCAUAAUCCGCUGUAGUGAGUUUGGUAUUUUGCUCUAUUGGUAUCAUUGCUGGCUUACAUCCCAAUAAACCUGCUUUUGAAAUAAUUUCUAGGGCAAAUUUCCUUUGGCUGAGGGAGAUACCUUGGUCUGACCGCACAAUUUCAAUUCCAAGAAAAUACUUUGGAGGACCUAGGUCUUUAAUAUGGAAGGUGGAAUGUAGAUAUUCCUUGAAACCUUUGAUAGCUACUUCGUCGUUACCCAUAAUAAGUAUAUCAUCUACGUAUAUCAUCAAGUAAAUAGAUGACGUACCUUGAGUCCAUGUAAAUACCGCAUAAUCGAAUCUGGACUAUUGAAAACCUGCAGCUAUCAGAGACUCAGCAAAUUUCAAGUACUACUGUCUAGAAGCUUGCUUGAGUCUAUACAAGGAUUUGCGGAGACGACAUACUUUAUUCUCCCCUUGUCUCCGUAAACCUUGUGGUACUUCCAUAUAGAUCUCCUCGUCUAGAUCCCCAUGCAAGAAAGCAUUAUGAACGUCCAUUUGAUGUAAUGACCAAUCCUGGAAGGCUGCUACUGAAAGAAAGGAGUGGACAGUUACAUCUUUGGCUACCGGGGAAAAGGUUUCGUGAUAGUCAAAACCUUCCCGCUGUGUGAAGCCCUUUGCCACCAAUCGAGCCUUGUACCGUUCGAUCGAUCCGUCUGCCCGAUAUUUGAUAUUAUAUACCCAUUUGCAUCCAAUGGCUUUGUGAUGCGAGGGUAUGGUAACAAGAUCCCAUGUGUAAUUAUUUAUCAAGGCCGUCAAUUCUGCUUCCAUGGCUUUCUGCCAUCGCAGAUCACUUCUUGCUUCAUCAAAACUGGUCGGCUCUUGCUCUUCGGAGAUGCGAGUGAUACAACAUCUAUGUUUGGGAGAUAACUUAUCGAAGGAAACAUAAGAGGAAAUGGGGAAAGGAAUACCUGGUGAAUUCCUGACACCACAUAUAUAGUCUUUUGUCCAAGUUGGUGGACGCGUGGCUCAGCCGGAACGCCGCGGUUGUCCAUCUUCUGGAGGAAUUGGAGUAGCUGGAUCUUCCGUGGGAGGUGAAUGGGAAGAAGACACAUCAUUUGGGCUUUCAUCUGCAGCUUCCAUUAAGGGUGUCAAGUUGGUAUUUGAUGGAGAAGAAUUCCUUGUAUCGACCGAUGAGGGAAGUAAGACAUAUGUGGGAUCUCCGACUAGUUCCUCGGUAUAAGACAUAUGAGAGUUUUCAGUGCGAUCUGUGCUUGACUUCUGAGAAGCAAAUGGAAAGAUAUUUUCCUGGAAUAAGACGUCUCUACUGACUGAAAAUUCUCCUAUGGAAGGAUCAAAUACCCGGUGUCCCUUUUGUAAGUUGGGAUAUCCCAUGAAUAUGCAACUUCAAGCUCGAGGACCCAUCUUAUCCCUAGGUCCAACAAUUGUAGCAUAGCAUAAACAACCAAAUAUUUUUCAGGUGAUCCAAGUCUGGUUUAUUCCCAAAAAGCAACUCGAAAGGAGUUCGUCCACCUAGUAUUUUAGACGGCAUACGAUUUAUCAAAUAGGCUGCAGUUAAUACACAAUCUCCCUAAAAAAUGUCUAGAAUAGAGGCUUGAAAUUUCAAAGUCCUUGCAACUUCCAACAGGUGACGAUGCUUCCUUUCCACCACUCCAUCUUGUUGUGGUGUAUAUACACAUGAAAUCUCAUGUAAUAUCCCUAGUGAAGAAAAUAGAGUAGCACAUUCAUGAUUGAAAAAUUCCUUUCCAUUAUAUGUCCUUAUUUUUUGGACCAUUUUCCCGAACUGAGUCUUUGACAGGGAAAGGAAAUUUCUCAAUUGGGACAAAACUUGACCCUUAGAUUGCAUAAGAAAAAUCCACGUAGCUCUGGAGUGAUCAUCCACAAUAGUAAGAAAAAACGAGACCCAUCAUGAUUCGGUGUAUGGUAUGGACCCCAGACAUCAAUAUGCAGCAGGGAAAAAAUGUUUUUUGUGCGACUUUUGCUCAAGGGAAAAGGACUACGCGACUGCCUUGCAAGCGGGCAAAUAUGACACUGAGGAUAAGGGAAAGAAGAACUAUGCCCCAAUCUGGAAUGCAAAAGGAAUUUUCUAUCAUUGGUAGUCAAAUUACACAAUGAUUUAUUACAAGAAAAAUUAUGAAGGUGUGUGGGCAAGCUUUUCCAAAAAAAUAAUCCUUCAGAGAGAUUACCCUAGCCCAUCAGUUUCCCAGUUGAAAUGGCCUGAAAUAAAUAGGUAUUAGCAUUGAAAAGUACUUGACAAGAAUUUUCCUCACAGGCUCUAGACACAGAAAUGAGAUUAAAUUGGAAGUUUGGGACAUAAAGGACAUGGCUUAGAACAAUUUGGGAGUUAAGAGUGAUUGUUCCUGUUGUAGUAACAUGGGUGAUGUUCCCAUUUGGUAAUUGCAUAAUAAUAGGAUUUUCUAAUUCUUCACGAACAAUAGAAAAUAAUCCUUUAUCGCAUGCUAUAUGAUCACUGGCUCCCGAAUCGAUAAUCCAGGCAUUUCUUGAUAUGGAAUUUAUCAUGCAACAAGAAAUCCCUGUAAAACUGCUCCCCCCUUUUUGAACGUCCAAUUUUUGUAGCGCCUGCAUCAAUUGCUGAUAUUCCCCAUGUGUGAUAGGCUAGUCUACUGAUCCUGUAAUUUGGAAAGCGGAGACGGCUGGUGAUAUAUCUUUUCCCUUUUGUUUUUCUUUUUCUCCAGGUCUGCCGUGUAACUUCCAGCAAUUUUGAAUUGUGUGAUGGGGCCGCUUGCAAAAAUCACAAAAUGGUUUUCCUCUAUUUUUAAAAUUCUGCCCAUAAGCUUUCGAAAAAAUUGGGCCGUUGGAUCCCUUAGAUCCGGAUGCAUCUCCGCCGUCCAAAUCGAUCGGAUAUCGCGCGCCUUGUGGACCAUCGGAUCGCUGCCCUCGAUCUUGACCGUCCAUUGAGGAUGCUUUAAAGCCUCACUUCUCAGAUGAAAACCCUAGCAACGGGUCAUUUUUCUUUUCUAGGGUUUUCUCCCCACUUUGGAUUCUUACCGCCAGCGCUAGGGUUUCGCUGACCAUCUCCCCCCUCUGGAUUCUUGUCGCCAGCGCUAGGGUUUCACUGGCCUUGUUGUCCGACAAGGAGAGUCUCUGGCUUUCUUCUUGCACAGCUAAUUGGAAGAUCCGGCCGAGAGUGGGUGUUGGCUCCAUAGCCAAUAUCUGCGACCUAAAGGUAAGAAAUGAUUCGUUAAGGAUUAGUAAAAAAUGAGUAGCUUUCUCCCUGUCUCUCAUCUCUUUAAACUACCAUAGCGUUGUUUCGGGCCCUUGAAGUUUUUCUUCGGUGGCUUCCAGCUCGUUCCAGAGGGCUGACAGCUUGUUGAAGCAUGCCGUCAUGGACAUGUCUCCUUGCUUCAGUUCGCUGAGAGCUUGAUGCAGCGAGAAAAUCUUCGCCCGAUCCAACUUCCCGUACAUCUCUCUAUUAUUGUCCCAAAUGUUUUUUGAGUCUUCUGUUGGGGGCAAACCGGCUGUGAUUUCUGGGCUUAUGCAAUUUCCUAUCCACGUUCUAACCAACUGGUUACAUUUUCUCCAUUGCUUUCUCAUUUUUUUCAUCGGUCAGAAUCGAGACAAUACCGUCAAUAAAGCUUCCUUGUCCUUUGUGACGAGCGCUCACCGAAACUCUCGUGCCCAGCUCGAAUAGUUUUUGGGUCCCAUGAGAUGGUGACUGAUGAGUCGCAACUCGGGCCCGUCGGUGGUGGACACAUAGAGCACGUCAUCGGGUUCUGAGCGACCCAUGGCUGCCGCAAAAGGAAAAGGCAUAAACCCUGGUGGAACUCCCGGGUAGGGAUUCGCUGAUUGACCCGGAUUGAGUCCGCCCGAAAUUCCCGAAUUCGAGUCGCCUAACCUGUUAGGGUUUUCACCCGCAUUGAAAUUCCUAGUUACUUCUGAAUGGCCUACCCCAUUGGCGGCUGGUGGGCCAUCUUGAAUCUGGCCUCCCGAAACCGAACAUGUGGGCUUGGCCCAUAAUACAUUGGUAUCGGCAUCCACUAGUAGGAAGGUCCUAACGUGGGCACCCCUAGGUUGGUUUGCCAUGGAAAAAAUUGCCCCCCCCCCCCGUGGUUCGACCUGUGAUGAGAUGCACAGGAUUUUGUGCUUCUGAGGUCGCCAUAUCCACAGGUAAACAAGCUUGAUCGUCGGCCAUGGUGAUAAAUCAAGCUCCCCCUCUUCUCUUUCCUUCGUUUGUUUUAAUAUGAAGUCUUCAAGGUGUCGAUUCCUAUGCCGAAGUGCUAACGCCUUUUGCAGGUUAGCUUGUUUCACUCGACAAUAAUCAGAAAACCAGAAGAAAAAAGACAAAGUAGAAGAAACGGAUCACAGACGUGUGACCUGCUCUAAUACCAUGAAAGAAGAUUUGAAGGAAGAAGUCGAGAGAGAAGAGUUGGGAAAAUUUUCUGUAUAUUCUUGUCUAUUAACUCAGUAUACACAAUCGAUAUUAUAGUACAAGAUAUGUGUAAAGAAAAGGUAAUAAAAUAAUAUACAGAUUAGAUCCGAUAUUGAAUAAUCUUGAUCGAUAUUGAAUGAUCUUUGAUUGAUUCAAUAAUAUCAGAUUGAUUGAUCCUCUAGUAUCCUGCGUAUCUUCCAACGUGAUGUGAAAUUUUUUAUUUUUUUCUAUUUCGUUUGUUUUUCUUUUGCUUUUGGUAGCUGAGAUGAGGGUUGUUGAUUAUUUAUUCGUUUUGAUCUCUCUGUGACCAGCUUAGGAAUUUGGAAGAACCCUUCACUGAAUUAGAAAUCUUACUGAUCUAUGGACAUGAUGGCGUCCUCUGGUGUCUAGGUGAAAGUGUCGUGAUUGCAAUGUUCAUCUCUUGGUACAAUGAAUGUAAUUGACCUUAAUGGAGCCAUACAUUUCCAUUCAAUUCUUGUUUCGUUCUUCGGAUUUCUUUUUUAUGAAGAGGAAUUGAGUAUGAGGAGGCAAAUACGAUCACAAGAAAAAUCUUGACAGAUAGUUGUGAUUGUGAGAUUUUUCUUAACAUGGAUUCAAAUCCGGAUCUUUUUGCUUGCACAAAUUCAGAUCAUAUCUCCCAUCUUGCAAUCACAAGCUGCACAAUUGGCAAGCCGCACGUCUUAUUGAUUCAUCUUCUUUCGUUUGAUUGAUGAUGCCCCAAUCCACCAGAUUCCUUCUUCUUUGGAGGGUCAAUCUUUAAUAGAGAAAUUAAGGAGGGAACAAAAGCCCCACAAUGUGGGGCAAGUGCUUCAAAUGAUAAUACAUCUCUAAAUCAAAUAGCCAUGAGUUUAAGAUAUAGUUAAGGAAGAUUGCAAUAUUUAAGGAUAACUUAUUCCUUUCUUCGGGACAUGUGAUUAUGUUUAUUAUAAUGAAAUUACUCUCUUUUAGUUGAGAAAGAUCCAUUUAUUUAUAAAUUUCUUAAUAUGUUUCUUUCAAUGCAAAAGAUAAAAGUUAUGAUUUUUUUCAGUUUUAAACAAAUUAAAUUUAAAAACUUUAAAUUGGCACACAAAGGACUUUUCAAAUAUAUAUUUACUAAAUAGUGUUUUCUAAAGUUGCAUCUCAAGAUACUUUUCAAUUACAAUUUAUCAAAUAGUAUUUAUAUUUUACCAAAUCCCUUUACGUUAAAGGCAUUUAUAUUUCCUCCAAGCGCAUUCCCCGAAAGCCGAAUAAAAAAGACCCUAUUAUGACUUGUUCUCAGAGAGGGGCGUCUGUGCCCCCAAUAGGAUGUCCUCAAGUGCAUACGUUCUGAUCUACCGACAGCAUUCGAUUUUAAGGUCUUCGUCAUCGACUUUGUGUCACCAGCCAUUUUAUGUCUGCUUCCAUGUGCCUGUUGUCUCCUUCGAAAACUAAAUUGGAAAUAAGAAUGCAUUUUGAUCGCAAGAGCUGACGAAAGCCAAAGGAACAAGCAAGAUGAAUUGACGAUUUUCCCUAGCCAUCACAUAAAUAAACAAAAGGACAAAAUCAAGGCGAUGCGACCUAUUUUUUGACAGCUAAACAGUGUACUAAGCGCCGGCCAAGGGAAGUAAGUGAUUGUCAUUUCUCAAUGAGACGAUUGUGCGGAGGUUCGUCCAAUAGAAGCCAAAGCUGCCUGGCCGGCGAGGUCGUCGAUUGUGAGUUUUUAAAUAGCCUUGUUGAUUAAAAGAUAGUGACAGAGCAGCACUCCCACCGCGACAUCUUUGUUUGAGCAAAUUACCAUGUGACAGAAACUUGGGUUUCAACGGAAUGACUUUCGUUUGAGACAAAAAGUAGAACUGAACUUGUAAAAAGCUAAGCAUUUCUGGUCUUCCGCUAUAUAUUUCCGUUCAGUCCACCAUUUAUUUAGGCAUAUAUAUAUAUAUACCAUAAAGGGGUUAGGAUUGGAGUACUAUAUGAGAAAACAAGGAAGUAUAAGAGAUUAACAGAUCUAUAAGAACAGAGAACUGUAUAAAACUUAAAUAAAAUCGCGAGAAUUAAAAAUAAUGCAAAGACCAAAGGCAAUAUAUAAAAUAUAAAGUAAGAGUAUGCAUAAACAAAAACCAACCAUGAAGGUGGUAUAGACUUGUAUUAUAUAAAGCUGAAAAGUGAAAUUACAUGUAUUGAAGGAUGCAGAAACUAAAGCAUCAAGGCAUCCACUAGGGCGGUAAUCCGCACUCUAGGGAGUAUUGAUAUUUGUAUUACAAGAAAUGAUUAACCAACUAUCAUGUAAGUUGGUAACCCUGUAUAAAACUAUGUAUGGAAAACUAACUUACUUUGAAACUAGGGGAUACAAGGUAAAAGAGCUUGGAGAUGAAAGAGAUGAGGAUGAAGAUGGAAGAGAUAAUGGUUUACAAGUGAGAGAGGGAGGAAGAAGAGAGAGAAAUCUAGAAAAUUUCGACGUCCCCUUCUUCUAUGUCAAGAGGGUGUAUUUAUAGGAGGUGCUACAAUGAAAGUGCUACAGUGCUGAACAGUAUAAAGUGAAUAGUGAAUAGUGUAUGAAUAGUGUAUGUCUAUCAUGCUAUGGUGUAUAGCCUUUGCACCGCUUGUAAUAGUGUUGGCAUGUGAUGUCUUGAGUUUAAUCUCUAUCUAGGUUGAUUCCCUAGCAGUCGUCUUCAUUGGUGUUUCCACUAUGAUGUGACUAUAAGGAUCUGUCUGUAUUAUCCUGAGAUUUGGAAGAUCCAAAUUGUGAUCCUUCCGCUUCGGAGAGCAUUGUUCUGAGGAUGUUGCAGUAUUCCUCCUUGCUCUGGACUGCAGCCAGUGCUGCACUUGCAAUGGAUUUUUCUUGUAGAAAAGAUGUAUUUGAUGGGACUGUGGUUAUUUGAUUUUUCUAGCUAUUUAGCCAUGUCCUAACCGUAGCUUCAAAUCCUUGGUCAUGAAAUUUGAAUCCAUCCCACCUUUUUGUUUUGUAUUUUCGGACAAGUAUUGGUACACCCGAUUUAUUGGAUGUAUUGUAUUCAAAUUCCCAUGCUGUUACCCAAGAAAUUCUGAAUAUUAUAAAGAAAUGCAUAAGGCAUGGGAACCUUAUAUCAUGAGGUGUUGGUACAAAGUAUUCACUGAAAACCGUGUAUCCUUAUUUGACCGUGGGGUGUAGUAUUAUGUCCAAAAGACAAAAGAGAUCCCACCAGGAGUCAAACCAAUUAGGUAGGCUUUGUCUUGAGAAGUUGUCUUUAAAGAAUAAUAACCAGGUAUGUUGGAAAUUUGUAUUUUGUCUGAAAAAGACAUUCCACCAAGCUUGUUGGUAGUCCCAGUAUGUAUAUGAGGAGGAGUAUGGUAGGCUUUGGGUAAGUCUGGUUUGGAAUUUUCUAGGUGUAUGGGCUGAAGCUCCCCAGUGUGAGGGGUGAAUGACUUUACUAAUGGAUAUAAUGGAAUAUAGGAUAUUUCUUGUAUUGUUUUUGUCAGCAAAGUGAGUGAACCUUGCCAAUUCUGUUUUCACUAGAAUUUGCUUAUAAUAAGCAAGGGUUCUGUUUGUAUUGUGAGGUUUGAAAAGCUAAUUUUUUGGAAAUAUGUUUUUUGCAAAUUUGAUUGGAUCUUCAUCGAAGAAUCCAUCUUCUACAGUCAAUAUUUUUUGAAAAGAUGUUUUGAGAAAAAAUUUUGAUCUUUGAGAAUGAGGGGUUGCCUAAGGCCUAAUAACCACCUCACUCGAAAUUCUUUUGUAUUCCGCUUGUUUUUGUGUAUCAAGCAGGGAAUGAUUGUUACUUACCUCGAUGGCACUAGAUGGCUCUUUCUUUACGUCUUUUUGCAAAGACUAGGCAAGUAACAAUAUUGUUUCUUUUGGUAGCCAUGUUGGCUAACUGAUUAAAGGCUAGCAUGGGUUCAGAUGAUAUGGGUUCUAUUGUCAAAGAUGUUUGUUGUAAGAAUGUCUAGUUGUUUUCUGCCAUUUGGAGCCAUGUCUUGACGGAUGUUAAGCUUUUUGGCUUUGGUAGCGUAUUGGAGGGUUCGGCAGUGGCUUUGCCUUUGCCUUUAUCUUUGUCUUUUUUGGAUCUUGGCAUAUUGGUAUCCCCUGUAAAAAUUCUCUUGUGAGAAAAUCAAGCAAUGAAUUUGAAGAACCAUUUAUAAAUUCAAUGUCAAAAUCGAAUACUAAAAGUAUGGCUUGCCAUAUGGCAAAAAUAUGUUUUGAUGCAAUGUUUAAAACGUCUUUUUGUAAAAUGUCUUUAGCUGAUUUGCAAUCAAUUCGUAAGAGAAAUUUUUGAUUUAAUAAAUCUCCUUGGAAUUUUGAUAUAGACAAAACUAUAGCAAGUAUUUCUUUUUUGAUUGUCGAAUAAUUUUGUUGAGUGGAAUUCCAAUGUUUUGAUAUAAACCGAACAACUUGUUCUUUGUUGUUUUUGACCUGUUUGAGAAUGCCACCAUAUCCUAAUUCUGAUGUAUCCGUUUUAACUAUUUUGAAAGUGGAAGGAUCAGCUAGGUGUAAGCAUGGUAUAUCUUUCACAUGCAUUUUUAUUUGUUUGACAAUGUCAGUAUGGAAAGAAGUCCAAGGUGGAGGAUCCUUUCGUAACCUUUGAUGUAAAGGUUUACAAAAGAUAUUUAUAUUGGGAAAGAAAUCUAAAAUAUAAUUGAGACUAUCCAAAAACCUUUGUAAUUGAGUUUUGUCUUUAAUUUCAUCAGGGAAUUUAUCAGUAAAAGAGAUUGAUCUUUCUAUGGGAGUGAUGGUGCUUAAAUGAAUGUAAUGACCUAAGAAUCUAAUCUUGGUUUUGAAGAGUGCAAUUUUAGUAGGAGAGACUACAAGACCGUUUUGUAUGAUUAUUUUUAUGAAAGUGGAUAAAUGUUUGAAAUGUUGUUCUAUAUUGGAAGAGAAUACUAGAACAUCAUUUAUAUAAACUAUGAUAUACUUUGAAUAAAGAUUGAAAAUCUCGUUCAUAAUUCUUUGAAAUUCCGAAUGGGCAUUUUUUAGACCAAAUGACAUAACAUUCCAUUCAUAUUGGCCAAAAGGAACUGUAAAGGCUGUCUUGUAUUUAUCUUUUUCACUGACUUGUAUUUGCCAAAAUCCUGACUUUAUGUCAAAUUUUGAAAAUAUUUUUUAUCUACAAAGUCUGUUGAGCAAAUCUUUUUUAUUGGGUAUAGGAUAUCUUAUCCACCUAAGGGCUGUAUUAAGAGGUUUAUAAUUAAUAACUAACCUGGGAACUCCUCUUUCAAGUUCAGCAUUUUUAUUGACAUAAAAAGUAGAACAACUCCAUGGUGAUUGGCUUUUUCUUAUGAUUUUUUUUAUUCAAGAGAUCUUGUAUUUCUACUUGACAGAAUUUCAAAACUUCUUGAUUCAUUUGUGUUGGGUGAGCUUUGAUAGGUAUUUUGUUUUCAGAAAAAUCUUGUUCAGAAGGUAAAUCAUGAUAUGCUUCUUUCUUUCCCAAAAUGCAUUGGGUAGAGUAGAGCAUAUAGUCCUUUCUAUGUGUUUUUGUAGGGAAGUUAUCUUUUCUAUGAUGUUUGGUUUUAUAAGAUUUUCUUCUAUUCUUUUGAAUUCUAAAUCUUCUUUUAAGAAUUCAAGCUGGUUUUCUUUGUCUUUUAUAAGGCAAUUUAUUUCUGAAAUAGAAUGUUCUUGUAAAAUAUUUAGGCUUCUCUUCUGUGGUUUUGUUAUGAAGUUGAAUGUGAUUUUUCUGUUUAAAGCAUAGGUUUCAAUACCUUCGUUAGUAAUUGUAAAAGGUUGGAUUAAUUGUAUGAAAGGUGUUCCAAGAAUUACCUGUUGCCUCAUAUUUUUUACUAAAAGAAAAGAUGUUUUGUAAGACAUUUGAUCUUUUAUUAUUAAGACUUCUGGUAAUUUGUAUUGGAUAUUAAGUUUAUCUCCUGAGGCUGAUUUUAAAGAUUCGGAAGUCUUAUCAAAGUAUAUUGUUGCAACAAGGUCUUCUUUGAUACAAUUGAGAUCAGCUCCUGUAUCAAAGAGUGUUGUUGUUUCAAUAAUAAACUCAUUAUUGAUUUUUAUCAUAAUAUUUAUUAUCCAUUUUCUAGAUGUUAUUUAUGUUAAUAACAUAAGAAAGGCUGGGUCCGGAGUAUCUGAUGUAUUUGUGAUUUUGUUUUGGUCUUCUAAUUUUGUCUUUCCUUUUAUGACAAGAGAUUUUAUGUCGAAAGUCUCUUGUUUCAUUUCUAAAUGUGUUGCUUUUAAGGCUUGAAUUUCUAAUUUUUGUUGUUUUAUUUCAUUUUGGAGGUCAUUUAUAUUGAUGGGUCUGGACUGAGGUUUUUUGUUUCUAUUCAAAAUGUCUUUUAAACUGUAGGAAGUAUUGGGUUUUGAGGUAAUAUUCAAGGAAGAGUGUAGUCUAUCUAGGUAUUCUUUCUUGACUUCUGGGUUAGUGAUCUUAUCAGCAAUGCUAAGGAGAAAUUUUUCUUCUUUUGUUAACAUGUUUAUUUCAGGGACGGGUUUUUCUGGAGAGGCGUCUUCAUAAUCAGAGUCAGAAGAGGAAUCUAUUUCAUUAAUCUGAAGACCUUCUUCCUCAAGAAGUUCAUCAGAAGAAGUAUCACCAUUUUCUAUGAAGAUGUUGUUUAACUGGUUAAGAGUAUUGUCAUCAAGAGAGAGUUCAUUUAAUUUUUUGUUAAUCCUACAAUAUUUUGAAACAUGACAUUUUCUACCACAAGAAUUGCAUUUAAUGUCUUUAAAAAAAUUUCUAUCAGUAUGAGGUCUAUUUUGGUUAUUCUGGUGUCUUUGUUUAUUCUUAUGUGAUGGAGGUUUGUUGUGAUGUUUCUUCGUUUCUUUUGUAGUAGGACAAGUUCCCUUACAUUUUGGUUUUGUUUUUUCAUUAUAAGAGAGGUCGUAUUGAACACAAAAAUCUCCUAGACUUCUAUUGGUGAGAGAUUGUUCUUCCUUGAGUUGUCUUUGUAAUUUGAUAGUAUUACACAUUUGUGUUCCUUGUCUAUAAACAUAAGAGACUAUUUCUCCAUAAGAAAGAAGAUCAUAAGGUAUUUGGCCAUUGUAUUCUUCUCUAAUUCUAUCUCUAACUUAGUCACCUAUAAUUUGGGGUAAAUCUGCUAAGAAUUUUUCUUUCCAAAAGGGUUAAUUGCAAUCAGGUCUAAUAAGAACCCUUUGAAGGAAGAGUUCUUUAUAUUCUCUAAAUCUCCCUAAGGAUUUGCAACGCAUAUUGUAUAAGAGAUCUUGGUUCCUAUCUCUAAUAUGUGAAGGGUCUCCUAUGAAGUGUUGUGAAAUGGAAUAGAUAAUAGUAUUCACCACAUCUUGGAUGAGAUGUCCUUGAUCAUCAUCCAUGCGUUGACCAAAGUCGUCGAUUUUAUACGUAGUUAAAAUUUAUAUUUUUUGUUCAUCAGUCAAAUAAUUAUCCCACCAACCAUUUAGUUGUCCAGUAAAUCCAGCUACUAAAAGAUUAGCAACAGCAUAAUCAGAAACAUCUUGCUAAGUUUUGUAGGCAUUGGCAAGCAUUACCAUGUUAUUUAAAAUAUUCAUGAUAUUGCUUUCUGCAACACCAUCUAUAUUCCAUUCAUAAAUGGCGUUAGGAGAGUAUUUAUUAUGUAUUUUCUGUGAUGAUUCUUCAUGGGCAAUGUCUGGUGGAGUCGCUCUACUAUAAUAAAGUUUCUGAGGUUGUUUCCAAUUGAGUCUAUUAAUGUAAGUGACUGAUUCAUUAUCAGAAUCACCAGAGUGUUUGGUCAAGGUACUGAUAGUAGGUUGGUCUGGGGUGUCUUUAAUAAUUAGUCCUUGGAAUUUAAGAGUAUUUAAUAUAGGGGCAGGCUCAAGUUUUGAUUUUCCUAAGAGUUUUUUCUUUUGUUCUAUUGCUUUGGCAAACUCUGGGCUAAGAUUUUUUGGAAAUUCAAAAGCUUUAAACAUGGGUUUUUUGAAAGUAUCAACUUGUGGUGUGAUGAGUUGGGUAGGAUUCUGGAUGGUGGAUUUUAUUCUAUUCAACUGUUUUCUAUGGUUGCCAAAUGUUGAUUGGUGUAAUUGUUUUGUUCAAUGACUUUGUGAGUAUAAAGAGAGUCUCCUUGAUCUAGAAGCCUAAAAGAAGUAGCUGUAACCUCGCUUUCUCCAUGUUAUAUUUUUAUUCUCAUAAGAGGGGGAUGAUUAGAAUCUAUGGUUUCACCAUUAUCAAGUUUCAACUUAUAAUGAUGAUCUAAAACAAUUAUUUCUUUUGGUUCGAGGAAUUGUUCUUCGAAACAGUCAAAGAAAAAUAUAUGGACUUCAUAUUCAUAUAUGUAGUCGUAAUAUUUUUGUUUGAUAUCUUUUGCUUUAUUAGCAAAGGUUUUGAAGAACCAUUCUCUAAUUUUUCUGUUGUUUUCAGAAUUAAAUUCUUUAUUAAGGAAAGCCUUGUUUGGUUCAAAAUGUUUUUCUAAAACAUUAAGCUCGGCAUCUAUCAUUUACGAAUAAGUGGGAGAAUGAUGAGAAGAGUCUGUAUUUUCUAGGACUGGUUCAGGCUAGUUUUGUUGGUAAACUAGCCUAGAAAUCCCUGAUCUAUUAGCUAAACCACUAAUUUCCGGUUCAAGAGGUGUCUCAUGAUUACUUCUACUUGUGGAAGGAGGUAAGGGUGUUGUAUCGCGUGUGGGAGUGUCUCUAUGCAUACUAGGAGGAGGAGUGUCUCUAUGCGUACUUGGAGGGAUGGUGAUUAUAGGCAGAAGAUUCGGAUUAAGAUCUAUCGACCUUGUAUAAGAUGUAUGAAAAGAAGGACUAGAUCUUGAAUCAAAAGAUCUAGGAAAUCUAAUGGUCACCCUUCCUUCUGGAUGUUGGAUGACAUUGGUCGAACUAGUAUUUUGAACAAUUUGUUGAGGAAUUUGGUUUUCUAAUUCCCAUUGUUCUGGUAAAGUGACUUGGUUCCAAUUAAUGGAUCUAAGAAUGGUUGUAUUUGCUCUAGAAAUGUCAGUUUGGAGGAGAAGUGUUUCUCCUCUAGGGCUAUGUUUAAAAGCAUUUUCUCCAAAGGCGAAGGACAUGGCUGUAUAAUGGAUUUUAUAGACAAGAGCUAGAGGAAUGGAUCCAUCUGCUACUUUGUAAUUAUGGGUUUUGAUUUGGAGUGUGAGAGCUUUAAGAAUAUUUUUAUCCUUAAAAGAAACUGAGAAAUUGGGAUAACAAUCAAAAUGUAUUGGUCCUUCGCAGAGACUUGUCUCUACUGUACCAAGGAUGGAUUCAUCAUAGUUUAAGAGACGUGAAUCUCGUAAAACUAAGAGAAUUGACGUAUUAGGACCUUCUUUGGUAAGAGGUUUAAUUCCUACUUAGACUAGUCCUAUAUGAAUGUAAUUGUAUUUUUGUUUAUGCUUUUGGAUGGACUCUUUAUUUAAAAGAUGUAUUUUUGGCAGAAGUACACCACAAGUGCCAUAACUUGGCACGCCGGGACACUUAAGUGCCAUAACUUCAAAACGGUACACUUAAGUGCCACUUUUUUUUUCGAAUGGGACACUUAAGUGCCACCUCCGGCGACCCUUGCCGGAAAUCCUACGUGGCAAUAUUUUAUUAUUAUUAUUUGCCUACGUGGCUCGCCGGAGCUCCAAAUCAGCAUAAAAAUUAAAAAAAAAAUUAAAAAAAUUAAAAAGUUUUAAUUUUAAAAUUUUCAAUUUCAAAAAAUUAAAAAAAUUAUAAAAAAAAAAGAAAAUUUUAAAAAUUUUAAUUUUAAAAAAUUUUGAAAAUUAAAAAAAAGAAAAUUUAAAAAAAUUUAAUUUUAAAAAAUUUAAAAAUUAAAAAAAAAAGAAAAUUAUAAAAUUUUAAUUUUAAAAAAUUAAAAAAAAUUUGAAAAAUAAGAAAAUUUUAAAAAUUUUAAUUUUAAAAAUUUUUAAAAAAUUAAAAAAAAAGAAAAUUAUGAAAAUUUUAAUUUUAAAAAAUUAAAAAAAUUUAAAAAAAUAAGAAAAUUUUAAAAAUUUUAAUUUUAAAAAAUUUUAGAAAAAUAAGAAAAUUUUAAAAAUUUUAAUUUUAAAAAAUUUAAAAAAUUUUAAUUUUAAAAAAUUUUAAAAAUUAAAAAAAAUUUAAAAAAUUUUAAUUUUAAAAAAUUUUAAAAAUUAAAAAAAAUUUAAAAAAUUUUAAUUUUAAAAAAUUUUAAAAAUUAAAAAAAAUUUAAAAAAUUUUAAUUUUAAAAAAUUUUAAAAAAAAGAAAAUUUUAAAAAUUUUAAUUUUAAAAACUUUAAUUUUAAAAAAUUAAAAAAAAAAUUAAAAAUAAGAAAAUUUUAAAAAUUUUAAUUUUAAAAAAAUAAAAAAUUUUAAAAAAUUAAAAAAUUAAAAAAAAGGGGGGGGGGGAGGUGGCGGCGGUGGAGGUGGCGGCGGUGAGGGAGCCGCCGGCGGCGGCAAGGGAGCCGCCCCGUUCGGCCUCCCCCCCCCCCCCCCCCCCUUUUUAAACUUUUUUUAAGUUUUUUUUUUUGAAAUUUCUUAAUUUUAANNNNNNNNNNNNNNNNNNNNNNNNNNNNNNNNNNNNNNNNNNNNNNNNNNNNNNNNNNNNNNNNNNNNNNNNNNNNNNNNNNNNNNNNNNNNNNNNNNNNUAAAUUCUUCUAAUUUUUCUUAAUCUUCUAAUUUUUUAAAUCUUCUUAAUUUUUAAAAUUUCGUAAUUUUUAAAAUUUUUAAAUUUUCUAAUUUUUUAAAAUUUUUAAAAUUUUUAAAAUUUUAAAAUUGUCUUAAUUUUUAAAAUUUUUAAAAUUUUUAAAUUUUUCUUAAUUUUUAAAAUUUUAAAAUUUUUAAAUUUUUCUUAAUUUUUAAAAUUUUAAAAUUUUUCUUAAUUUUUAAAAUUUUAAAAUUUUUCUUAAUUUUUAAAAUUUUUAAAAUUUCUUAAUUUUUAAAAUUUUUCUUAAUUUUUUAAAAUUUUUAAAAUUUUUCUUAUUUUUUUAAAAUUUUUGAAUAUUUUAAAUCUAAUUUAAUUAAUUUAUAUACUAUUAUUUACACGUAGACGCGAAACGGCGUCGUUUUUGCAUUUUCUCCGCCACGUCAGCAUGCAAAACGACGCCGUUUUGGACCAAGCUCGCCGGAAAGUCGCCAUGUCAGCCAUUUGGCCGGAUUUUCGCCGGAGUGGCACUUAAGUGUCCCAUUUUACUCCGAUGAUGGCACUUAAGUGUACCAUUUUAAAGUUAUGGCACUUAAGUGUCCCGGCGUGCCAAGUUAUGGCACUCCAGGUGUCCCGCACUCAUGUAUUUUUUCAUAGGAAUUAGAAAGAUGAACAUCUCUUUCUUCAGUGGUUAUGACAUAGUCUAAUUUUUUGAAAAAUUUCAAUUUUGAUUGUUUAUAAAUUUCCUUAAGCUGUAUUUUAGGAAUUUCCCAAUUUUCUAUAGAUUCGUUGAAAUCUUCUAUUCUUACUUCUUCUCUAUGUAUAAGACUUGGAUCUGAGUCCAUUUGUGAUAGAGAACUAGAGGAAGAUGUAAAUCUUCUAUGUAAGCUCAUACUUAAGAUCGAAACUAUUCAUUCUUCAGUUCGUUACAGAACUAAACCAACGGUCUAACAGCCACUCAGGGACUUACGACCUGGACCACUCUGUAGAAACAAGAAGGAUGCCAACGAAUGGCUCUCGAUCUAUAUGUAUGUUCUUACAAAGACUAUCUAUACCUUCCCACUAGCUCUGAUACCACAAAGGGGUUAGCUUGUAUUUAUGAGUUAGUUAUUAAUUAUAAAUCUCUUAAUAUAGCCCUUAGGUGGAUAAGAUAUCCUAUACCCAAUAAAAAAAAAUUGUUUAAUACAGGUCAGUGAAAAGGAUAAAUACAAGACAGCCUUUACAAUCCCUUUUGGCCAAUAUGAAUAGAAUGUUAUGCUAUUUGGUAUAUAUAUUAACGGCAAAUCAGAGCAAGAUAAGAUUGAUAUUCAAAAAAUUGACGAACUAUAUUUCGCGCAUUAGAUCAAAUUAGCCAACUUUAAAUAAAUUGCAAAUCUCAAUGAGAUAGAUUGGCAAUUUUUCAAGCGAUUGCGAGUCGGAUUUCAGGCGCGAAAAUUGGUCUGUCAAUCCCAAAUUUCAAAGACAAUUUCAUGUCGGGAAAUCUCAACCUUACAUCUAGAAAUAUUUCUACUAAAAAAAGUAAAAUAAAAUAAUAAAUAUAAAAUAAAGUAAAGUAAAUAAAAAAAGAACUACCUAAAUUGAUUUUCCCCUUGUUUUUUAUUUUUCAAAAUAGGGCUUGGCUGCUCAUGGUGGGUUGCCAAGGGCGGCUGGUCGCCGGCCGGAGUGAGGGGAUGGUCGUCGGAGCUCCGGCGAGGGUGGACCGGCAGCGAACAGGGCGGAGCAGCUCGGAAAGGGGCGGCAGCUGGCGGAUGUAGCAACUGCAGCUGGUCGCGGGUCAGGGGGCAGCAACCGGGGACCAGGGACCGGCGGAGCAAGGGCGUCGCGGGCGGAGCUGCCGGCGUUCUGGGCACCGGCGAGGGAGCGUCGCAGGUGUUGCUGGCGCGGAGGUGGCUGCUGCGGCGGUGGUCCGGCAGAGGGAUCUGCAGGGAACCGAAUCGACGGAGGGCUGCUGUGGGCGUCGCUCGGCACGGACGGAGGGCUGCAGACGGACAGAACAGGGAGGUCGCGGUGGUGCGGUGCGAGGUCGACUCAGGCGAACAGGGGGCGUCGGGCGCCGAGUGCUGCAGCGGCGCCACUCGGGGAAGCUCCGAGCAGCCUGCGGGGCGUCACUCGGAGAGCAGGGGGCUGCUGCUGCGUCGAUCGAAGGAGGAGGCUAGCGUUGGGGGUUGUUGCAGCGGGCAGAUCUGGAGCAGCGGCAGCCAACGCGGGGGUAGCAGACGGAGGCGCGGAAGAGGGGACUCAGGAUUUGCGGAGCGGCGAUGCGGCGUCCGGCGGGGCGGCAGAGCAGCGGCGCGAACUCGUGUGGAUCGGGCAGAGGUGCAGAGCAGAUGGGCUCGCGGACAGGUGAGCGCAGGCGUCGGCGAGGCAACGGCAGAUCAGGCAGUGGCGGAGCAGGAGAAACGGCGAUGGCCGGCGGACACAAGCAGGGCGGUGACUCUCGGACGACACUACGCGGCGACCGGCACAGCAGACCUCGAGCGGCUAGGGGGGAACGCAUGAACGGCAGCUCCUUUUCUUUUCUUUUUUUCUCUUGUUUCUGCUGGGUUGUCACGUCUCCUUCACUCUCUUCUCACGAGAAAAUAUUGAGUACGUCUUAUGCUCCAGCGUGUCAAACAAGAAGACGCUCGCAGCGCGACACGUGUCCUUGUGUCAGGCGCCAUUUUGAAAAAAUUUCGGACGGGAGACUGAGGGUUUUUCUUUCUUCGCGCCUCUUUCACCUCUGCAGAUCGUCUCUCUCCCCAUUCUCCUCUCUCUCCUCUCUGUCUCUCUCCCCUCCGCCUCUGCUGGUUGCUUCCAUCGCCCCCCACGCCGACGCCGCCGACGCUCCUCCGCCUCCCUCUCGCGACGUCCGCUCUGCUCUCUCUCUCUCCCCCUCCGCGAAGUCGUGCCUCUCUUCCAGCGAAACGCGACGCCGACGGACCUCCACCUCCGCCUCCGCUGGUUGCCUCCGUCGCCCUCAACUCCGACGCCGACGCAGCCUCCGCCUCCUCCCCUGAACCCUACUCUGACGCCGACGCCCCUCCACCGGUUGCCUCCGUCUGCGUCGAAGUCCGUCGCCCCCGACUCCUCCGCCUCCGCCUACGCGCCCGACGCCAACGCGUCGAACCACGACGGCGAAAAUGGAGGAGAGAGAAACAACGAGCUCGACGGCGACGGCGACGGCGACGAAGCAGUAGACGGAGACGAAGAAGCAGAAGCGCACGCUCAGGGUUCUGGACAUGGCUCGUCGCGUCGGUCGCGUUCCGGCUCGCCCUCGUCUACCUCCCCAGGAACCUCCGCUGUCCACCCGCCCCGAGGUCGCCACCCCUCUCACCAGCAUUCGCCGCCGUAACGCCGCCUCUCUUCGCUCCGUCGAUCAAUUCCUGAUCCCCGAUCCCCGCCCCCUCCUCCCUUUAAAUCUUGGAGGUUCAUUUUCUGAUACGAUUUCUGGUUUUUCUUGUUUGUGUCGUCUGCAGUUGGCAAAGGCUGAUUGAAGCAGUAAGCGAUGUCUCCCUAUGCAGGUUCGGCUCCGUUUGAUCUCUGUAGAAAGGAAGCUGCUUGUUUGCUUACUGGUGUGUCGCUGUUCCAUGCUUUGAUCCCUCCCAUCUUCAAUUUUCUUCCCCCCUCCCUCGAAAUCUCGUUUUUUCAGCAUUUUCACUUUGGAAAAAUCUGGGUGAGGAAGUAGAUUUUUUGGGAGAUGAUUGAUUAGUUUGAACGGAGGAAGCACUUGAGUUAUGGUUUUUUGACUGCUUCAACCUUUUUUCCUCCGAGAAAUUAGGAUGAUCUGGUCUAUUCUGAAUCUGGGUCGCCAUUCACGGCAAGCCUGAAUGGUGAAACAAACUCCUCUACCUAUUUAUGUGAUAGGACUGAGGAUCAUUUCUGAGGAUCAUAUCUGAUUAUAGCUUUCUAAAAAAGGAAACUUUAUACUUGCAUGCUAUCCAGUUUCUCUAAGGGAUUAAAGCAACCUGCCAUGUAUGUGAAUCGUUGAAGCAGUGAAUGGACCCUGGAGAUUAUUCGAUCGAAUGAUCAUUAUUUUUUUUCUUAAUUAUAGAGAGGUACUCAUAUUGCUUUUUCUUGGAAUCAGAAUUGCUACUGCUUAAGGGCAUCUUAACUUCUUUCAGAUCCAGGUUAUGGUGCUGUUGGUUUCAUCAUUGAUUGUGAACAUUCUUAUCGUCGCACUGUGCAGCUUAUUUAAUAUAGCUAUUUCUUCAUUUGUCUAAUUCAAGAAAGAGCUCCUCUGUAUUCUAGAUGAUGUUUUAACAUAUACACCGUGUGGUCUAAGAAAAUAAGAAGUUGUUCUGCUUAUAAUUGUUAUCUUGGCAAGUUUCAUUGUGCACCUUAUUUAGUCCAUAGUCCCAUAUUUAUGUUUCAUGUGGAGACUGAAGUGAGGUGGAGAUUUUGUGCAUUCAACAAUCUGUUUCUUGUUCCAACAGGAAAGGGGUCAGCCAUUGCCAAAGUUUGGUGAAUGGGAUGUGAAUGACCCAGCUUCAGCGGAGGGGUUUACUGUCAUCUUUAACAAGGCAAGGUAUGAAAAAAAGACGGGUGGCAAGCCCAAAUCUCCGUCAAAGGCCAACCCUCAAGUCAAACACUCUGUUGAUCCGAGCAAACCUCCAACGGUAAGUUGUUUCUUAGAAGCCUGGGAACAAACUGUUUUAUUUAUGUAGGAUGCAUUAAUUAUUGCAGUCAUUUGUUCUACGAUAAUCUAUUAAGGUUCCAGUUAUGUAGUAGUUAACCUGUCUAAUAAUUAAAUUUAAACUUUCUUAUAUGCUAUGCUAGUCUUGAUGAAAAUGUAGAAAUGGAAAAUAGAACUCUCAAACUUGCAGAUAGGGUAAAAGAAAUUGAUUUGACGGUGUCAUAAAAACUAAGCAGGUUGGGCACUACUUGCUCGUUAGUAUUUGAAUCAUUCAAAAUGACCAUCCGAAAGAUGCUAUUAUCCUUUAUAGUGCAAGCAGGAAUUGAAUUUGAGUUGGACGCAAUUGUCUGUGAACAAGUCAGCUGCUGUAGAUUUUAUUUAUUUAUUUAUUUAUUUAUUUUGUUUUCAUUCUCCCAACCUUUGCUGCUUCGCUCUCUUACUGUGAAUUCUUUGUUGCACGCAGAAGAAAUGGUUUUGCUGCAUUCAGAGCCCAGCAGAAUCUUGACUAGGUUCUUUGGCGAGGAGCUUCCAAAAGAGACGCGCGUUGUUAGGCUAAAGCAGCCCCAGAAUGUUCACUUGAAGAAGAUACAAACAGUUUAGAGCCAUUGUUAUUAUUGCAGGAAUAGCUCGUGGUGUAAAUGUGGGGUUUGUGGAGAUGAGUAAAAUAAUGACGCGUCAUGCUUACUAUAAUCUAUCAUCAGUAUGCUUCUCUCUGUCUCUGCCUAUCUCUCUCUCUCUCUCUCUCUCUCUCUCUCUCUCUCUCUCUCUCUCUCUUCCUCUGCUUAGUUCUAUUGUUAAUUUAUUAAUUGUCUUCUUUCUGUAUUUGUGAAUUGGAUCUGUCUGUGAAAUGUCUACGCCUACUUUCAAUCUGGUUUAAUUUAUUGUUAUCCAUCGUUGAAGACAUUAUAGAUACGAGCUUGUGACCCUUUCCUCUGUCAUCAAUCACGCUAACGGAUGUUUCUGGUUGGGGGAACAGCGUGAGUCAUAGCCAUUUGCGUUUGUCAUUUCUCUUUUAUAGGAAUUAAGGUGUCAACUCCCUUAGACAUGGGAAAGGUCAUCUCCACGAAUCUUCUGCGUAGGGAUUGUUCAAAUGGCAAUUUCGAAUAUUGGUAAUCCUGAUCUCAUAAGGAGAAAGGCACAAUCUUGCCCUUCUUUGUUUUAGGAAAGGUUAGUCUUAUAUCAACAAUGGAAGUAACAAAAAUGUCUCUGAUGUCGUGCGUUCCUCAAAGAACAUGAGUUUGCAAAAUUUCGUGCAUGUGAAACGACGAUUGCGGUCAUGAACCAGCUUUAUCUAUGGCCUCUUUUUCCAUAGAUCAUUGAUGUAGUCGAUUAACUCCACACAUUCAUACAUCAUUGAUGUAGUCCAUAAAAUUCCACAAAUUGGUAGGAUCAAUCGACGUUCCGCUUUUUCCUCUUCCUUUUUCCCGCGACUGAUGUGAAUGACAUGGCUCUAAUAUCCCCCCUACUAAUGGUGCGGAAGCUACUUCUGUUACACAAUCACCGCCAAAGACCUCAAGAAUAAGACCAAGGUUCCGAUCCCAGUAAAUGCAAUUCCAAAACUGUGGAGCUAUGGCUGUCCUACUUACCAAACAACAAAAUAAAACAAAGCUCUCUUCCUCACAUCUUUUCCUUCUCUUUGCUUCAAUUUGAUUUGAGCUUCACUCUAGUUAGGAAGAAGUUGUAAUUGCCAUGAACUUAACGAUGGAACCUAGUAGAAUGCCCAAUUUUUCUUCAUGGCCUGACGCAUUCUGUUUUUUCACCUCAAGGUCAUCUAUCAUAUGACCUUUUCACAAAGUAAACAGUUUCCUUGUCUACACAUGUCUCUAUGGAUAUUUAAAGAAAGAACCGAAGACUGGCGUUGCUAACAAAAAUCUCUAAUUACUUUAGCGUCAUCUGACAGUAUCAAUGUUAAACUCGAGAGAAACCAAGCUUCCUCUCAAAAAGGCGGCGGAGCAGGUAAACUUGGAGAACACUCGCCCCAAUAAGUGCUGCUGACUCGAAGAAAGCCUUAUGGACUGCCCUCCUGCUCAUUGCGUCGUUCACUGCGAUCACAAAUCAUCAUAGAAUGAGUAUUCAUUUAACCCAAUAUCUAUGUAUCGUCUGUUAGUGAACACAAUAUUUACUUAGCAAGGUCAUCCCCAUUCCAUUUCGUGUGGCGAUCAGACACACUUCAAAACAUCUAGCAGAUAACACAAGUAAACAAAACCCAUGACCAUUUGAAACCCAGUACACCAAGCACGCAUCUUCUUUUUUGUUGCCUGCUUUGUUUUCUAAGUCCGCCUUUUCAGCUGCUGCCAAGUUAGGAAGGUUUUACUAUUUUCAGGAUCAUAAACAAUAUAACCGAUUAGUUACGUCAAUCAGAUGGAUAAAAGGAGCUUGUCAAAGGCUCUAGAAAUAGCUUUUAACUUGUCUUGUGAGACAUCUACUUCUGAAGGUCUUUUAAGAACAGAGGUUGUGAGAACCUUUGAGAUUUAGGAGAUAACAGGAGUCAAAGCAAGCUAUAGUGGUCCACUCAGCAUUAAAUAGGAAAGUUAUUUCCAUCAGAGAUGAAACAGGGUUGGAAUCCACCGCGAUAAUUAGCAAGAGGACUUGACAUAAAAUAUCUUACCAAUUGCUUGACGUUCAGUCUCAGCCUCCAGCCAAUGCUGCUCAAACUGAAUGUUGUAGAGAGCCUCCUCCAGCUUCCCUAUCUGUUCCAACAAGGGGUUGAAAUGCUCUGCAGAUACAUUCACAGCAGAUAAAAAAGAGACACGCAGUAUAUUCUGUAAAGUUCGUCAGUUCAAGAGACAAGAAAACAGAAAAAAGGCAGAGUCCCACCGUCCUCUGCGUGCUGAUCAUAGAAUGUAAAAUGGCCAACGUGCACAUCAAAGUCGAUGGUUUCAUGAUAAGGAGACUUGUUAGUAAAGCAGAACCGAUGAACACCCUUAUGGUGAGCCACAAACUCAAAUUUCUCACUGAUCUUGUCGUGAAAAUCUUGAAUCUGUUCACCAGAAGGUCCUUUCAUCUGAUAAUUUCAAAAGUUGCAAAGUACAUACAGUUAUCUAGGUCAUUAUCAUAGGAUUAAAGAUCAAUAAGAGAACUAUUGGCAGAAUCGAGGGAUGUAAUAAUCAAUAUAUGAUAUCAAUCUUAAUCAUGUCCCGACAAACAUGAAAAACAUGAAAAAGGAAAACCAAAUAUGCAUAUGCGAGAUCUAGUCGAGCCAUCUAGGCUGCCAAAGGAUAACAAAAUUCAAUGAAGAAUUUCCUUUAGGAAGAUAAUCAGCAUCCUUUACAAAAAGAAAUACAUGUGAGUACAGUAAUUCCUGUAGGUUAACAAGAUUUCGUGAUACAUGGAAUCUGUGGAAGGGAUCAAAGCAUGGAACAGCGACACACCAGUAAGCAAACAAGCAGCUUCCUUUCUACAGAGAUCGAACGGAGCCGAACCUGCAUAGGGAGACAUCGCUUACUACUUCAACCAGCCUUUGCCAACUGCAGGCGGCACAAACAAGAAAAACCAGAAAUCGUAUCAGAAAAUGAACCUCCAAGAUUUAAAGGGAGGAGGGGGCGGGGGAUCGGGGAUCGGGAAUCGAUCGACGGAGUGAAGAGAGGCGGCGUUACGGCGGCGAAUGCUGGUGAGAGGGGUGGCGACCUCGGGCGGGUGGACAGGAGGAGGUUCGUGGGGAGGUAGACGAGGGCGAGCCGGAACGCGACCGACGCGACGAGCCAUGUCCAGAACCCCGAGCGCGCGCGCUUUUGCUUCUUCGUCUCCGUCUACUGCUUCGUCGCCGUCGCCAGCGCCGUCGAGCUCGUCGUUUCUCUCUCCUCCAUUUUCGCCAUCGUGGUUCGACGCGUUGGCGUCGGGCGCGUAGGCGGAGGUGGAGGAGUCGGGGGCGACGGACUCCGACGCCGAUGGAGGCAACCGGUGGAGGGGCGUCGGCAUCAGAGUAGGGUUCAAGGGAGGAGGCGGAGGCUGCGUCGGCGUCAGAGUCGAGGGCGACGGAGGCAACCGGCGGAGGCGGAGGUGGAGGUCCAUCGGUGUCGCGUUUCGCUGGAAGAGAAGCACGACUUCGCGGAGGGGGAGAGAGAGAGAGAGCAGAGCGGACGUCGCGAGAGGGAGGCGGAGGAGCGUCGGCGGCGUCGGCGUCGGCUUCGGCGUCGGCGUGGGGGGCGAUGGAAGCAACCAACAGAGGCGGAGGGGAGAGAGACAGAGAGGAGAGAGAGGAGAACGGGGAGAGAGGAUCUGCAGAGGUGAGAGAGGCGCGAAGAAAGAAAAACCCUCAGUCUCCCGUCUGAAAUUUUUCAAAAUGGCGCCUGACACAAGGACACGUGUCGCGCUGCGAGUGCCUUCUUGUUUGACACGCUGGAGCAUAUAACGUACCUAAUAUUUUCUCCUCUUCUCACGUCUCCCUGCACUGUAUACUUUUCACUUUCUGCAGACUUUGGCUUUUCCUCACAAAAAGCUUUGCUUUUUACUUAUUCCUUUGUGUCGAUUUUCAAGGAACAAGAAAAACCAAGAAAAGCCCCCCUUGAACAAAACCUUCGAACGCUUUGCCAAUUUUCUCUCUAAAGAGACUCCCCUCUUGUAUGGCCAUAUGUAUCAAUAUGUGGCCCCCUAAAACCCUACGCAUUUUUCUUUAUAUAGGUCAUGGAUUAGGGUUUUAAUUUUUUAUAAAUUCAUAUCCACAAAAAUUUCUUUUCCGAACGCAAUAUAUGUUUUUUAUACAGGUUUGGGCUAAUUUGUUUUCUUCGUGGGCUUAGCCCAACUUAUCAAAUUAAAAUUCUGAACCAUCAAUUUGUACUCAUUUAUCACCGACCCAAUGUAAAUGCAAAUUAAGAAUAAAUGCACCUAAAAUCAUAUGUUAUACAAUUAAUUAAUUAACUAAUAUAUAAAUAUAUAUUUAGGGGUUAAAAUUAAUCUGUAAUUUUUAAUGCGAUAAAUGACUAAAUGGGUCACCAAAUUUUAUGUGUAAACAAAGGUGCAUUGACGAAAUUGAUUAUGGAAUGAAGAGGGUUGGAAACAUACUUUGCAAUAAGGAAGUCCUCAUUGUACUUGUUGAUGUUGAUAAUAGAGAACAAGUAGAGAAAUUAGUUGAAGAGAGAAAUUUGCAUCCAAGAUCUAGAAUAUUGAUUACAACUAGAAAUAAGGAUAUCAACACACCAAACUAUCAAAUUUUUGGAUUAUGAAAUGAAGGUGAUGAAUACCAAUAAUGCGCUUGAGCUUUUCAGCAGGCAUGCAUUUGAUGAUGUCUCUCCUCCAAAUGAUUACAAUAAUCUUUCAAGGGAAAUUGUAUUAGCUAUAGGGAGACUUCCAUUGACUCUAGAAGUAAUUGGCUUGUUCCUUUGCUACCAAAAAACGACAAAACAAUGGAAAGAGACAUUGGACCAGUUGAGAAAAGGACAUCCCAAGAAUGUUUUUGAAAAGUUAAAGAUCAACUAUGAUGCCAGCAACAACAAUUUUUCCUCAAUAUUGCAUGCUUUUUCAUUGGUCAGGAUAAGAUGGAUGCAAUUUACACGUGGGAAGAUUGUGAGUUUUGCCCACAUACUAAAGUUGAUCACCUCAUUAGCUUGUCUUUGGUAAAGAUUUUGCAGAACAAUAAGUUUUGGAUACACGAUCAACUCAGAGAUCUUGGUAGGAAUAUUGUUCAUAUGGAAAAUCCAAUGAAUCCUAGAGAGCAUAGUAGAAUAUGGAUUUACAAGGAGGCCCUUGAUGCAAUAAAGACAAAGGAGGUAAAGCAAUUCUAGAGGAACUGGUAGUUUCUAACAAUAAUACCUCUCCACUGACUUAGGGUUCUCCAUCUUCUUCUUGUUUUCUUUUCUUCUUUUCUCUUUAUGAUAGUUUACCUCUACGAAAUAGAACACUGAUAUCACUCAUAUCCCGUUCUUGUAUGUAGAUAAAAAAGAAUGUUCAAGCCCUAUAUCUUGAUAUAAAUGCACGAGAUUUCCAUAAUGUCAUUGUUCAAAGUAAAGAGAUUGGUAGGUUUGAACAUCUAAGGUUCCUCAAGUUAAGUAAAGGAAUCUUUGUUGGCAACUUAGAGAAUCAUCUUAUUAAAUUAAGAUGGUUGUUUUGGAAUUGUCCUCCAAGAAAAAAUGAAUGGACUAAUUUGUACGUAAAGAACGUGGUUGUUCUUGAAUACUUAGAUGAUUUUUACUUAGAUGGCUCGAGAUCAAAGGACCCAUCCGGGUAUGUAAUACGCUUAUCUCUAUUCUAUUCUAUUUGAAAGUAAUAUCUAAUUGUUCAUACAUUGAAUGUUACAUUCUUUUUUAUAGAUGGCAAGAAAAUUAAAGGUUCUUUCUCUUACAUGUUGUGAUAAAAUAACCAUAACACUAGACUUCUCUAGAUCCCCUUAUUUAGAGAGGCUUGCUUUCGAAGAUUGUUCCAAGUUGCGGAUAAUUGAUGGCUCUAUUGGAAAGUUGAAGUGUCUCACUAAAUUCAAAAUUUUGGAUUGGAGAAGUCUUAAAUAUUUGUCCAUAGAAAUUGGUGACCAAGUGAAUUUGAAGCACUUCUUUAUAGAGAAUUGUGGAGUGUGAAAUUUACCAAAUUCCAUAUGGUAGUUGAAAUCGUUACACAUGGUGUAUUUUGAAAAACUUGAGGGGGCAUCAAGUGCACCAUUGGAGUUACCUAGAGAUAUUGGAAUACUUCAAAAUCUGGAAGUGCUUAAAGUGGACGAUCCUUAUUUAAAAGGUCAAAUUCCUUCUGGAUUUGGAAGAUUGUCCACUCUAAGAAUCCUAAAUCUAUCGGGUAUUGAUGUUAGUGAAGUUCCAAAGACCGUUAGCAUACUUCCUUGCCUACAAAGAUUGGAGCUGAGGCCUUGUGAUAAAAUUCAAGAGUUGCCUAUGCUCCCAAUAAGUUGAACACAUCUAAAAGUGUUAUCUGAAUCAUUGCGGGUAUUCCCGCAUCUCUUGAACUUGACUACUUUGGUUUAGUUAGAUCUAAAUGGAGGAGGAGGAGACAAAUUUUGUACAAGUGAGUUUUGGUGGAUUGGGAAGUUAUCCAAAUUAAAAAACCUGAGCUUAAGACUUGACAAUGUCCAUGCUUCUGCGGAGCUAGCUUCCCUACCUCAACUUAACGAACUUUAUUUGUUUGGAUUGGACCCGCAAACCUGUCCGCAACUUCCCUUGUCUCUACAAAAGCUUUACCUUAUUACUUUCAAUUCAACUUUGUCAAACUUGAGAAAUUUGUAUUUUUUCUGCCUCUACGCGUCGCCAAUGCAAGAAUUUCGAAUUUAUGGGUUUCAACUUCCAUAUCUAAGGCAGUUGCAUGUGAGGGAUUGUGAAGCCCUUGAGAGCAUGAGGCUAUCAAGCACGAGGAAGCUAGAAGAUGUCGUGGUGGAUAGAUGUACGUAGCUAGUUGAGAUCCAAUUUUGUUGGACAUCCGAAUGAUUUGAGCUUUUGUGUAUUAGAUUUUGUUUGUCCUUGAAAAGGCUAGUUUGUAUGGGGGAAGCAGGGCAUGAUAACAAUGAGUCCGCUAAUGAGAUGAUUAGUUGUGAAGGGAGACUAAUCCUUUCAACGAGAGCCUUAAAGAAGUUGCAAAGAUUCCACCUGUUUGGUAACAAUGGGAUAUUCGAGAUUGACGUUGCCGGUAGGUCAGAAUUAUGGGAAGUCUUCAGUGUUUACCAUUGUCCUUCGCUGCGGUCUCCUCGUGGUUUACCAAACUUAAAGAACCUUCGGUCUCUAUCAUUCAACAGUUACUGGGGCUUACAGGUUGUCGAGGGCCUCGACCAGCUGGGGUGUUUGAACAGUUUAAUGGUUAACUUUUGGGAAUCUUUGGGAAGGUUGAUUGACCUAUCAACCACCAAAGUGCCAGAUGACCGCCACAUACAUAUCGGCUGCUGCAAUUAAUUAUGUGAGAGAGAAUUCGACGGCGCCGUCCAGUCUUUCAAGCAUUAUAAGGUGAGUGUAGACCAUUCUCUCUUUUCUCUCUGGUUUUGACGCGGCCAUCCCCAAACAUGAAUUCAAACUUUUAAGCAGAUUUAUAAUAAUUAUGGGAAAUCGAAAAACAAAAAAUUAAAUCUGGUCUCAUUUAUUUUAAAACCCAUUCAACGCAGCUUUGUUUUGUCCUGCGCUCGUGUUUUUUCUUCUUCUCUUUUUCUGUUAUCUGUUUUCUUUCCUAUUUUGUAUAUUAGAAAUUUCUGUGUUUACACAGCUCUUCAGGACAAGGUCAGUUUUUAUCACAACUGAUCGGAAAAACUUCAAUAUCUAGGGGAAAAAAAAUAUAAUAGCUCAGAGUCUUUUAUUAAAAUGCUCUUUCUGUUAUAUAUGGAGUGGAUUAUUUAAUUUAAUGUAUUGUCAAUUUCUUACUUAAUACCAUUCUUUAUGGUGAUGAGUUUGGUGAUUUGCGAUUACAGAGGUCUUUCAAGAACAUAGUUUAUAUGGUCCACCUAUCCGUUGAUCAAGGGGGUUUAUGAUAACCAAAAUUUCUGUUCCAGAAAUAGUUUUUCUGUUCCAAACAUGUUUCUGGAAGAGAAAUACGUUUGAUAAACCUAUUCAGUUUUUCUAUUUCUGGAAUAGAUUUCUAUUCCAGAAAUAGGUUUGGAAGAGAAAUUAUAUGUUAAAAUUUUCUACUUAUCUAUUUAUGGAAUGGAAAUUAAAAAUAAAAAUUUUUAUCAUCGUUCAUCAAUCGGUCCUUCAUUCGUUGUCGUUGACCACCGUUCGUCAGUUGCUCGCCGCCGCCGCCCGCUGGUCGUCGAUCGCCGGCCGCCGCCGCCGCCGGCGGUUGUCCGCCGCCCGCCACCACCACCGGUCGCCAGCCGCCGCCGCCCACCUGCUGCUGGUUGUAUCGGCCCCGCUGCCGCCGGUUGCCAAUCGCCCACCGCUGCCACCAACCGUCGAUCGCCACCGCCGCCCUCCAGUCGCCCGCUGGCCGUCCAUCCCUACCGAUCAUCGGUCCACCGCCGUUCGAAAGGAAGAAAUUUUGUGUCACUAUCAAACGAAUUUCUAUUUUUAGAGUAGAAAUUUUGUGUCGUUAUCAAACGGUUAUUUUUCUGUUCCAGAAACUAUUUCUGGAACAGAAUGGUUGUCAUGCACCCCAAGUGACUUAUGUUCCUGACGGAAUUGAGUGUUACUUGAAUUUGCGUGUGGUAGGGGUCGGCCAAGUAGGAUGUACGUUCCAAAAACACCUCAAAGAUUUUUCAGUGUGAUUAAAGGCCACUUGAAACAGGAACGGGACGAGCAAGUUCGAACAGGAGAGCGACUCCGUAUAGGAACAGGAAAGUGACUUCGAAAAGGAACAGGUAUUAAAAGCCGAUGAGAAGGCUGGGGAGAGUGUCGAGUUCCAGCAGGAACGGGAACGGGAACUGGAAAGCCACUUCAAACAGGAAGUGGAGCAGGAAAGCCACUUCAAACGGCAACAGGAGCCGGAAAGCCACUUCAAACGGGAAAAGGAUUUAAAGCUGACGAGAAAGCAGGGGGCAUUGUCGUUCCAAUGCCUGAGCUUCAACAGUUUUCUGCAAUGCAUCCUCCCCCGUUUUUUCCCGUUAGAUUAAAAGCCAGUUCGAACUGGAAUUAAGACAGUGGAGGAGAAGGAUGGGGAGCGGGUCGUUCGAAUGCCUGCGCCUCAACAGAAUGUGAUGGUGAUUGCAGGUAAAGAUGGCAAGCUGGCCGAUUAUUUGACGGCAGAACCGGAGACGACCCCCUCUGAAAGAAGUCAGAGGAGGCUCGCCAUCAAGUCAGAACGAAGUUGGCUGAAAGCAGAGCCAGGCAGUACAGAAACACUUGAAAGCGCAAUGGAGGAUGAUACACUUGCCCAUUUGAAUGAUCAAUGCCAAUGGUGUCAAGCAAGGCAAACCCAGAAGAUGUCACGUUGGCCGGGAACGACUGCCCCCUUGUCCGUAUUGUUUUUGCGGCCUGUUUCUUUUUUCUUCUUCUUCUUCUUCUUGCCUAGAAGGCAUUCGUUUCUUUAAUUCGUCUUUGCUUUUAAUCUCGGGCUUUGACCAAUAUGCACUUAAGAGGAUGUGGUCUUUCUUUAAUUUUCAGACAAUAGCUUUAGGUUCAUAGAUGAUUCGAAACUACGGAGCUGAAUCAAGACGUGUCAUUAUUUUUUCUAUUCCACUUAAUUAAUAUGUGAUCACUCAUCCUAUGAACAGUGGCAUGCAUCUUUUUAUAAAUGGUGGUGAAAUUGAAAGUUCUUUUACUUCUACAUUGUUCUCACACAAUCACAACCUGCGAUUCCUUUGGAUGCUCAACUUUAAAGAGGUUUACUCUCCAACAUUAACCCAAUUUGAGGAAAAUUGACAGCUCUAUUGAAAGUUAAAGUGUCUGAUCGACUUGAAUAUUUUAUGGUUGCCACCAUCUUGAAGAUUUGCCUAAAUAAAUCAGAGGCCUCGUGAAUUUUCAGUGCUUGAAUUUAGGGUGCUGUUGUUGAGUGAAGAAACUACUAGAUUCCAUAAGGUAGUUGAAAUUGUUAUGUAAGUUGCAAUUUUUGACCUAGUAAUUCGAAUCAAAUUUAUCUCCACACAUUGCAUGGCAAUUGCCUAGUGCAAUGGAAGUGGCUGAAGUCAGGACUCGAAAUUUGAAAGGUCAACUUCCAUCCAGAAUCGGAAGUUUGCCUUUUCUGAGAAUCAAAUGCUUGUCGUACCCUUGCAUUAGUGAAGUUCCAGAGAAGGUUCGUAUGCUUCUUUGCCUGCAAACACUUGACAUAACAUAAUGCGAUGAAACUCAAGAACAGCCGACGCUGCCUGCAAGCUACAAGUGUUGGACCUAUCUGAUGGUUCUAGUAGGAAACAAGGAAGCAAAAUUCACUGGUGAAUUAGGGUGGACUAGGAGGUUAUCCAGACUGAUGGGCUUGAAACUUCUCAAUGUCCUUGCUCUCGCUGAGUCGGUUUCCUUUCCUCAGUUAAAGGAACUUCAUUUGUCUAGGUUGGACCUGCAAACACUCGCGCAACUUCCACCAUUUUUGUUAUAUUCAAGUCUUGAUAACUUCAAUGCAACUGUGUCACUCUCAUCCAAAUUAGAAAAUUUUGUCAAGAAUAGAGCUCUCCCGGUCUAAAUAAGCUUAAAAAGUUUCUGCUUAGGGGUUGCCCAAGAUACUCAAAUUCAAGUACUGGGUACAUUGGAAAAGGGGAAGGGUCGGACGUCUAGGAUUAUUGUUAGGCGGAAAGUGUUCGUGGUUUAUCAAACUUAAAGGAGCUCUGUUAAAGCUCAUAAAAACAACAAUCAAAACAGAAAAAUUUUUGUUGUUUGAGAGAGAAAGAAGAUAAAGAAAAAACAGAGCAUAGCACUUCAUACGUCUUGUGCGAAGGAAAAGAACUGUAGAGUACAACAACUAAAUACAAAGUAGAAACUACUCACGUACGUGUAACACAUAACUGCACACAAACGUGCUAUUAACUUCCUAGAAAAUAGCAAAAACACUAAAUGCAUAAUUAAAUGAACUUGGCUGUUUUUUAAUAAAAAAAAAAUACAGAGGAAAACAGAGGAAAAUAUGACAGAAAACAGCAGCUGAACAAUUCCAACAAGCUCAAGUAUUUAUACAUUCGUGAUUGUAAUGGGCUGCAGGUUGUCGAGGACCUUGAUGAGCUAGAGUUUUUGAAUCAGUUAACCAUUCAUCGCUGCGGAUAAGUAAAAACGUAGAUCGAUGUAUCACGAACAGAAUUUCCUAAGGAUAGCAACAUAGAUAUCUUCGACUGCUGGAAAUUAGCCGAGGCUACAAUUCGAUGUCUCCAUCCAGUCUUGCGAGCAUUAUAAGGUGAGUUGAACCUUCUCCUUUCUUUCUUUGUUUUUUCUUCUCACCUUUUUUCUUGAUGGAUAGCAACGAUCGCCUAAUUCUGUCCCAGUUUGCUUACUCCCGUCUCUAUAUCACUUAUACAUAGCAAACAUUUGAUGUGCUAAAAUAUGAUCUGGUGUUGCCUUUCUACAUAGUUUAUAUGAGGCUUAUGUACACGUAGAGUCUAUCUCCAUCUAAUAACUUAUUCUAAUAUAGAUAACUGGAAAGAGAGAUUUGGUGACUUAUGGAAUCUAAAUGAAAUGAUUCAGAAGGCCAUAGACAAUAGUGAACUCAACUUUUGAACACGGACAGAUCAGUUGUUCGGAACCCCGGUCCAGUGUGAGGUGGGGGGCAUCUUGCGUGAUCUCCUCAGCUGUUGGGCUUCGGGCUUUUACGGGUUUUGGGGAACCAUGGCGACCCCGAUUGUGGAAUUGUGCUCUCUUAGAGAGGGUCUGAGACUUGCUCUGCAAUGUCAUAUAUUCACAAUGAACUUGAUGCAAGAAAUCCUUCGUGACAGGUUUCUUAAUAAAACAACUUGUAAAAUUAGAAUCCGGAACCGCUCUUUUUGGAAUGAAGGACUAACUUCAGGAGCUUUACCCAAUACCAGACGGAGCGCAGAUUUUGAGAGGCAAAUUGCUGUGCUGAUUUCAUGGCAAAGAAGGGCCGCUUGUAAUAGGAUAAUCUUAAGAUCUUAGGGGAACCUCCUUUACACAUUUUGAAGCUACUGGAGUUUGACUGUAGGUGCUGUUUGAGAACUUAUAGAAUCAAGAAUACAGAAGAUGAAGAUGAAGAAUGACAGUAGAUGAUCUGUGAAGAAGUUUUCGAUUCUGUAUUUCCAUUCAAUUGAACAAAAGAAGAUGUUCUCCAUAAUCAUCAACCGAUUACAAUACCUCUCUGUAUAUAUGCGGAAAACAGAGGACUAACAACUAGAAAAACAAACUAACUAACUUUCGCUAACAAACUUUACAGCUAAGCAAAACAGAACAGCAAUCUUGAGACUUUGGUAAUCCGUGUCUUUGACAUCUGUAUGAUCUCCACCGUUGAUGAAACUCAUUAUCCAUGAGUUAUCAAUUUCUUCAACUCUUUUUGCUUCUUGACUGCCUUCUGGUGAUCCACAUCUAUAAUUGUCGAGGACUUCACCUCCUGUGAUUGACUUCUCAAUAUUGCAGACUUGGCUUCUGAUCUUGAUUCUCUAACAUUCCCCCUCAAAUUGGGAAGAGUAAAAGAUUCGAUUCCCAAUUUGGUUCGGAGAGUAAGAUGAGAUAAGCGGGAUAGAGACUUGGUAAAUAUAUCAGCUAAUUGUAGAUGAGUAGAAAUAUACUGAAUACGAAUAGAUCCAGAAGAGACUUUCUCACGGACAAAGUGAAAGUCAACUUCAAUGUGCUUGGUUCGAGCAUGUAAUAUUGGAUUGGCGGUGAGAGAAAUUGCUGAUUUGUUGUCACAAUAUAUAGUAGUAGGUGGCUGAAGAGAAAUCCCUAUAUCUCGUAGCACAAAUGUGAUCCAGGUGAGUUCAGCCGUGGUCGAAGCAAGUGCACGAUACUCUGCUUCAGUUGAAGAUCUAGAAACAGUAGGUUGCUUCUUGGCCGACCAGGAUAGUAGAUUGGAUCCAAGAAACGUGCAAAAACCUGUUGUGGAACGUCGUGUUGUUGGACAACCAGCCCAAUCCGCAUCAGAGAAACCAUAGAGAUGUACUGAACUUUGAGAAUGGAGAUAGAUUCCAAGAUGUAUAGUACCUUUGACAUAUCUAAGUACUCUUUUUAACUGAUGGAAAUCUCCAACAGUAGGCUGUUGCAUCUUUUGACAGAGAAGAUUAGUAGCAAAUGCCAGAUCUGGUCGAGUAAUGGUUAAGUAUUGAAGAGCACCAACCAAGCUUCUGUAUUCCAUAGGAUCUGUAAGUAGAUUUGCAGUGUCAGCCAUGGAGAUUGAUCGAAGAGGCAGAGGUGUUGAGACUGGUUUACAGUCGGCCAUAUAAGCUCGUUUCAACAAGUCAAUAGCAUAUUUAGUUUGACACAGAAAGAGAGUCUGUGAAGUUCGUUUGGCCUCAAUACCCAAAAAAUAGUGAAGAUACCCAAGAUCUUUCAUAUGAAACUGAAGACUAAGUUUCUGAAUAAGAUCAGUUAAGAGAUGUGGUGAACUCCCAGUCAAGAUGAUAUCAUCAACAUAUAGGAGCAAGAGAACUGUAUGUGAAUUUGUAUGUAGAACAAAUAACGAUGGAUCGGCUGUGCUGCAGAAGAAACCAUUUUCGAUUAAAAACUUGCUGAAUUUAUCAAACCAAGCUCUUGGUGCUUGUCGAAGACCAUAUAGAGACUUGUGGAGUAAACAGACAUGGUUUGGCUGAUGAGGACUGAUAAAGCCAGGUGGCUGUUCCAUGUACACUGUCUCGUUCAAAUCUCCAUGAAGAAAAGCAUUCUUAACAUCAAGCUGGUGUAUUGGCCAGUGUCUUAUCAUAGCAAGAGAUAACACUAUUCGAAUUGUUGUGUGUUUCACAACUGGACUGAAAGUCUCAGUGAAGUCUAGUCCUUCUUCUUGGUGAAAGCCUUUGGCGACUAGACGAGCUUUGAGUCUGUCAAGACUGCCAUUUGGUGUGAGUUUGGUCUUAUAGACCCAUCUGCAGCCUAUUACAUGCAUCUGGUUAGUUCUAGGAAUCAAUGUCCAUGUUUGAUUUUCAGCAAGUGCAUCCAUCUCUUCUUUCAUAGCCCUAUACCAGGCUUGAUUAGCUAAAGCUGACUUGAUAGACUUUGGUUCCAUAGGAACUGGAUAAUCAGCUAAAUAAGCAUACUUUGGAUUUGGUUUUUGAAUUCCAGACUUUAGUCGAGUUUGCAUAUGAUGAGUAUUACUUGUACCUUGAGAGGAUGACAGAAUGGAAUUGGAGUUGGAGUGCCUUUCAUUAGAACUUCCUUCAGCUCGUAGAUCAUUGUGUGAGGAUAAGGAACUGGUAGUAUUUUGUUCUUGAGAAAUAGAACAAUGUUGAGGCACAGCAUCUAUAAAUUGUCCUUCUGUCAUUGUCUCAUCUUGCAUAUUCCUUGAGGAAAUGAUCUGAGAUUGCUGUCUGUGACAAGGAUGAUAGGUACAGCAAUCAUGGAAAUCAGGAUGGAUCUGGUGUGUGGCUGACUGAUGAGUGGAUCUAGUAGCUGGUGACUCGGUGCUUGAUGACUCAAGGAAAUGUAGGCCUUCACUCCAUAGUUUGUAUAAGUUUGUAUAAUGUCCAUAUUCAUUGAUCAGUUUCUUUGUAAAAGGAUAGGAAUACUCAUCAAAGACAACGUGCCUACUGAUGUAUACACGAUUAUUAGUUGGGACCAAACAUCGAUACCUUUUGUGCUGAGUGCUAUAACCCAAGAAGAUACAGGGAAGAGAUCGAGGAUCAAGUUUAUGACUUGCAUAUGGUCUUAAGCAAGGAUAGCAUGCACAGCCAAAUACUCUUAAAUGAUCAUACCUUGGCUGUCUAUGAUGAAGUUUGCUAUAGGGUGUGUUCAUCUGCAACUUUGGUGUGGGAAGAAUGUUGAUGAUGUAAUUAGCCGUCACAAAUGCAUCCACCCAAAAUCUCAGUGGAACUUUUGAGUGAUAGAGCAUAGCUAAUCCAAGUUCAACGAUGUGUCGAUGCUUUCUUUCAGAGACUCCAUUCUGUUCUGGAGUGUGAGGACAUGAUAUGAACUGUCUUAUUCCAUGAUGACUCAGAAAUUUUUGAAAUCUAAAGCUUACGAACUCUCCACCUCCAUCACUCUGGAAGAUUUUAAUCUGAUGAUUAUACUGUCGUUCAACUAGCUUCUGAAAUUGAACAAAUAUAUCAUAAAACUCAGAUUUCAACUUCAUGGGAUAUAGCCAGCAAUAUCGAGAAAAAUUGUCAACAAAAAUCACAUAAUAUCUAAACUUUUGAAAGGAACAGACUGGUGAUGGUCCCCAUAUGUCACAAUGAAUUCUUUCUAAUGGGGAACUUGAUACAGAAUCCGAAAAAGGAAAUGAUAGAGCUGAACUUUUGGCUAUUUGACAGCUGCUGCAAACAACUUGAGAUGAAGAAGCAAAUUGUAUAAGCUUCUGUUUUUGUAGAUGCUUAACUACUUGAGCAUUUGUAUGAGCCAAACGCUGAUGCCAUAUGUCUUCACUGACUGUCUUUUGUCGCUGAGUAAAGAAGGCUUCUGUGGUUUGUGGAUUAGCUUGAUAAAGACCCCUAAUUUUCCUUCCGAGCUUCACAGUUGUGUUGGUAUUGUUGUCCUUUACAUAAACACCAGUUUUGUCAAAAAUAAAAGAACAAGGGAAGUCAUCUGUGAGUUUAGAUACUGAAAGGAGGUUCUUCUUUAUCUCUGGGACAAUUAGAACAUCGUUAAGAGGUAAUGUAUUGUUCUUUGUUUUGAGCCAGGUGUUGCCAAUGUGAGUUACAGGUAAACAUGAUCCAUUGCCUAUCAUAACAGUAUCAUGUCCUUGAUAUUUAGAAAAAGUAUGGAGCAUACCAGGAUCAGCACUAAUGUGAGCUGUAGCUCCAGAGUCAGGAUACCACUCACUGCCUGUUGAGUCUUCAAUAUGCAUUGCUGUCAAGGCUGCUGGAAUAUCUUCUGUUUGAUAAGAAUUGUCAAACCGAUACCAGCAGCGAAGAGCAUCAUGUCCAGACUUUUUACAUAUUUGACACUCUAGUCGAAUGCUACUUGUUUCUUUUUCAUUCUGCAAAUUUUUACUUGAGUUUGCAGAAGGAUAAGUCUUGACAUUUUGGUACCUCUGUGAGUAAGUAGUAUAGGGCCUAAACCCUUGGUUUGUUGUAGGGAUAACAUUUCUCUGUCUAGGGUGUUGAUUUCCUUGCCCUGAACUGAAGAUAUCUGUUCUGUAAUUCUGAUAUCUCUCAAAACCACGACCCCUAUUGUUACCAGUUCUGCCACGACCAUAGCUUCGACCACCUCUGUAUCCUCCUCUUUCAGAUAUAAAUCCAGAAGCUUGAGAAAAGUAGUUUUCAUUUGUGGCAUCUUUAGACUGAACCUGAAACUGUCUUUGUCCAAAAUACGCCAAAUUCGGGUUGAACUGACUCCUAGAAAAGUUUUUGAGUCUCAAUUCAAACCUUUCUAAUUGAGCAAUAACCUCAUCAUACUCUGGCUGAGGCUUUAAACAAUAUAUGGUUGUCCGAAAGUUCUCAUACUCUGGACCUAAACCUUCCAAUACACCAAACAUCUUGGUUAUAUCAUCCACAGGUUUGCCUAUUGCAUUCAACUGAUCACAUAUGGAUUUAUAUUCCCUGAGAUAAUCAGCAAGGGUUUGUUCAUGCUUAUGACAUGUUUGCAGUUUCCCCCUUAAUUCAAACUCUCUAGCAAUUGAUUUCUGUGUAAACCUUUUCAGAAGAGUUUGCCAUACUUCAGCUGAUGUUUCUAAUCCAAUGAUUAGGCUCAAAAUAUUUUCAGUAACAGCUCCAGAGAUCCAUGAUGAAAUCAACUGAUCUGUUCUAAUCCAGUCAGUAUACUCAGGAUUAAUAAGAUCGGUUUCACAACCUUCAUCCUCUGUUUGCAGCAUUCGAGAGGGUGAAGGAAUAUCUCCAUUAACAAAACCAAAUAAAUCUUGGCUUUUCAAAAACCUUUGGAUCUGAGCUUGCCACAAUAAGAAGUUGUCCUCAGCAAGUUUGAUUGUGACGAAGUUUGUGAUAUUCACAUGUAUCGGAAAAGGAUAUUUUGGAGUUCUAAUCGCCAUUAAUAUGAUUCUUUGAAGAAGAUGAUAACAGUAGUGCUUAUGAGCUCUAAACCUGUAUGUGUUUACCUUGAACCAGAGGGCUUCAGUGUUCGUCUACUUCUUCUGGCUUGAUUCACGAUCUGGUUACUUGAUAGAUUCUAUUCUGACGCAGGUUGAUCUUCCUGCUCUGAUACCAUGAGAACUUAUAGAAUCAAGAAUACAGAAGAUGAAGAUGAAGAAUGACAGUAGAUGAUCUGUGAAGAAGUUUUCGAUUCUGUAUUUCCAUUCAAUUGAACAAAAGAAGAUGUUCUCCAUAAUCAUCAACCGAUUACAAUACCUCUCUGUAUAUAUGCGGAAAACAGAGGACUAACAACUAGAAAAACAAACUAACUAACUUUCGCUAACAAACUUUACAGCUAAGCAAAACAGAACAGCAAUCUUGAGACUUUGGUAAUCCGUGUCUUUGACAUCUGUAUGAUCUCCACCGUUGAUGAAACUCAUUAUCCAUGAGUUAUCAAUUUCUUCAACUCUUUUUGCUUCUUGACUGCCUUCUGGUGAUCCACAUCUAUAAUUGUCGAGGACUUCACCUCCUGUGAUUGACUUCUCAAUAUUGCAGACUUGGCUUCUGAUCUUGAUUCUCUAACACUGUUGUGUCCACGGAGACGUUACAAUUUGCGUAGUAGCUUAGUUUCUGCAUUUUACGACCACUGGAUUCUCAUCCGCUGGUGGAGAAUGAGGAAAAGAAGAAGAGAAUGAUAAAGAUCAUCUUGUUUUGCCUGAAACAGAGAUGGGAAAAAUAGAGUAGAAAAGAAAAUCAAUGCUGAAAUUCGCAUUAAGGAAAGGAGAGAGGCCUUAUUCCCAAUUUUAUCUCCCCUUUUCUCCCCUCAAAUUUAGGCAAAGAAGGUCACUUGGUAACAUAUCCAACUCCCUGAUUAGUCAGAAUCAUGAAAUGUCACAUCAAGACAUUCUACAAAAUCCAAGACAUCACAGCUCGACCGACAUCCUUAAGAAACUCGCCUGCAGCUGCAUACUCUUCCAACGCCUUCUUGACGACACCAUCCCUCAGAAGCUGUGGAAAAAACAGCCAAGAUGCAGUCACCAUCACGAAUGUGACCGUCAUCAGACCCAUCAAGACUCUCGGCAACCGCCACUUCGCACCAUGCUUCCUUUUCACCACCACCUCGAUAACCAAACACGCCCCCCGGAGCAUUCUAAGAUCCUUAUUAAUCUAAAUUUCUUCUUCCUAUUUGCAAAGACUAAGCAAACAAAUCUAUAGAACGAAGGAAAAUACUGAAAUUCAAAGACAUAGGAAUCAUGCUACAGCUACUAAAACUUUACCGAAGAGAAAUCCACCAACGCUUCUUCAAGGCUCUUCACGAACCGCUUCCAAAUUCAAUUUGGUAUUGGAAUCGAAAAUACACCUGAUGGCAAAAAAGGUAUCCUUGUAAAUAAGAAACGUCUUUCCCAUCUCAAGAAGAAUCAUGCUCUGUCUUACUUUUAUUUAAUUUUAGGAUACGUUUUGAUGAUGACUAUAAACAUGUUGCCUUUGAUUUUUUUCUUUGAUUUCCGUAAGUUAAAUUAAUGCAAAUGAGGAUUCUGGUGCUAUGGAGGACAUCACUCUAGUGAUGUCUUUGCUAGUGUUCCUGAAUAGAAGCACUAUCAACUUAAUAUUUAGAUCGCUCUGCCCUUCGGGGAACAACCCUAAGUAAAACUCUAGUGCCUUUAGUACUAAUACUCAAAACUUGAUAAUAUAGAUAUUUCACUACAAUUGAAGUGGGACUUCCACUAGUAAUACAAAAUGGUAUGUGUAUAAAGAAUGCCGCUGAAACAAGUUAGCUUGUAUAAUGGGUGAAAAAGUCGAAUAAUUGAGAAAAUUCAUUUGAUUUGUACAUUUAUUUUGCACAAACAAGAUUACAUAAUUCAAUGAUUGCUAAUCUCCUGUUAGGAUCAAGUCAAUUCUCCGGUGGCAUGAAAAGCACGUUUGAGAGUGAUGGACUUGUCAAUGUUUUUUGUUAGAUUCACAUAUUUCAUGGUUAUAUGGGAUUAGCUAGAAAAAUCAAAUCUGAAAUCCUUCAGAGUCAAUUCCAUCAUUCUCUUCUAAAUUUUUGUUUUCUACAUGCCUGGUAUUUUCUCUUUUAAAGAAUUUUACAGGAUUGGGAGCGUAAGGCUUUGCAUGACAAAUCAAAUGGCUACAUUGCAAAUAGAAAGCAAAAAGUAUUACGUACUCAUUUCGAAUAUCGUGGACAAUUUUCUCCCUUUAUGUAAAGGAAAUACUCUUUGACUACAUUCAUAGCCAAGAUAAAAGGCGAUUCCUAUCCUGCGUUUGGUUCAUAUGAAAGAUAGGAUAAGGUUGGAUAUAACUUGGAUAAAAUUAUCUCAUAUGGGGGUAGAAUAAAUAUGAAUAUGACUCCUUAUAUUAAUGUUAUAAAAGUUAUUUUUCAUAAAUAACAAAAUUCUUAAAUUAAUAACAUAGAUUGAUUGCCAGAAUGCUAUAACGAGCUUAUGUGCUGUUUAAGUUUUAUAUUAUACGAUAAUAACAUAUUGAUUGCUAGAGGUGGAUUAUAUUGUACAUUUAUGAUUUCUUUAGCAAUGAAUCAUAAGAUAUUUUUACUAUCUCUAUUUAUGUAUAGGAUAUGAAAAUAUCCUGUUAUUAUUACUAUCUAAAUUUUGGUGACCCAUUUAAUCAGUCAUUAAUUGUAUAGAAAAUUAGACAUUAAUUUUUAACCCUUAGCAAGAUAACUUCUAUUAAAUUUCACAUCAUAUAGACAAUAGGAGCAAUUGCAUUAGUAGUAUUAAAAAAAUUUAAAAAUUAAUUGAAAAAAAUUCAAAAGAGAAAAGAAAAUGGGAAAAGCGAGGUCGAGCCACCGGGCCAGGGGCAAGCCGGCCUGGCCUCUCUUUUUUCCUUUCCUUUUUAUUUCUCUUCGCCUGGGCCAGCCCAUUUUUCCUUUUCUUUUCGCCUAAGACCGGCCCAGCGUUCUCUUCCUCCCCCUCUCUUUCCCUCAUGCUCUCGGCAGAAAAAAGAAGAGCAAGGUACAGGGACAGGGAAGCAGAGCAGAACAGGACGUCCCGGUGUGAUCCGUGGAUCGGGAUCAUGCUUGUGUCAGUCUGAAUAAGUGGUUGCGUUGAUUCCGAACAUUGCUUGCCGAUUUCCUUCGAAUCUGGAUGCGAGUUCGAGUCCCGUGUGGGUCAAUACCUUCUUCUCAAUCCAUGCUAACUCCAUGUUCGAUGAAAUGCAUAAGCCAGAUCCAUGAUUAUCAUCUCGCGUUAUCCAUUGUUAGAAAAAGCGAACCUAUAAUAUUUUAGACAUUCUUUGUUCUGAACACUGGCCACUUGGCGCAUUUGCUUCCUUCCACUCGUCAUCGACUUGAUUUUUACCAUAUCCGAGCAUUUUACCAAACAUCCGUUUUAGCCAUUGUGGGCCUUCUAUGUGGCUCAAUGGAAAUGGAUGGUGAUUCUUGAUGAGAAAUACGGUCUUUAAAUCACUGAUACGAAUGAGGAUUUAGGUGAAAACUCAAACUAGUCACAUCUCAACUUUCUCAAUUCACAUAUUGUGCGUAUUUGUUCUGCAUGGUUUUUGUUUGAAAAAAAAAUGUUUGAUGGCUCGUAGCGGUGCUCGGAAGAGAUGGUUAAUGGCAUUGUAUGUGGAUGGUGGUGCGUGGUGGCCGGACGUAGCUUGUGGUUGUGCCCAGGUUAUUUUUAACUUGAAGCUUGACUUGUGUUCGUGUGUAAGUUCCGGGAGGUUCUCAGUCUGCUGGGAAAGGAGGCUGUGGACGUUCCUGGGGGGUGACAAUGUUGAGACGACUAGAGUGGUGCGUUAUGGGCUUAGUAUGGGCCGGGUUUAUUUCAGUGAAGAGGGCUUGAUGCAAAAGGCCCUAAUUGAGUCCAUGGGGCCAGCUUUGCAAGACAAGUUGCAGCCCACGCCCCUAGUUCCGUAAUUAAAACUUUUUAAAAAUAGUUUUAUAAAAAAUUAAAAAUUCGAAAAUAUUAAAAUAGUAAAAAAUCAGAAAAUGCUUGGAAAUAGGUCUUCAUUGAAUUUUUAAGUUUUAGCAUUAGAUGUGACUUGGUUUCACUUGAUUAGUAUACAUGUAACUUAAUCCUAAUGAAGUAUCAUUUUGAAAGAAAUUGAAUAUGACUUGGUUUUAGCUCAUGGGGGAUUAUGUCUUGGGCCUAUAACAUGGCUAUGUAUAUUCUUUGCCUAACUUAUAUCGGGUUUUCUUUUUCGCAUUCACUUUGAAGUCAUUUCAAUACUUUGGUGUUUACUUACCGCACCAUCUUUCAAUAAGUUGGUUGUUUAUCGCUUUCCAAUAAUAAGUUAGGAUUAGUUUAGACUUUGGUGAAAAUGAACUAUACAAAAACAUUUGCACGAUCAUUUAGUAACUUUGAUGCCUUUAGGACUAUAAUGGACAAUCAAGAUUGUGUGACCACUUAAGUAGCGACCUUCCAAGUUGGAGCAACCAAAAGGGUACUAAUAGACAUUAGCAUAAUCAAAUGCCCAACCCUAAAAUCUUUGGUUGCAUAGGAAUUGUGGUGAUAGUCCUGCUUCUUGAUUGGUUUUUACUUGACUCUAAUAGGCUGGUGGUGACUCCUAUAAAUGUUUAGGUUGUUAAAAACUUAAAAAAUGAAAUUCAACGUCACGUGAGGUAUGGAUUUGGAAGAGCCCGCGUCUAAUUGAGGACCGUUGGCUCAAAUUAGGCAAUACCUCUAAACCUAUAUAUUUCUCUUCCCCUUCCAACAAAAAAGGUAUGUUGAGGCAACUAUAUUAUUGUAAUGCACCAAAUAGUGGAUAGAUUAUAGCAAAUUUUUUAAAUUUCAUAUAAUAUCAUAUUCAGUGCUAUCAUAGCUAGAAAUUGAAAUAACCAAACACAGCCUUUCUAAUAGAUUCAUGCAGGUGUAAUACUUGGCGCGUUAGCUACAGUAUUGCACGGGUUGAUAUGCACAAAGCUUAGAAUCCAUCGUUUAUGGUUAGGAUUACUAUAUAUAUAUAUAUAUCUUCUUUUUCUUUUCCUUUUUCCAUUUUAGAUUUUAUUGCUAAAAUUUCUUUUUGUAUUUAGGCUUGGGUAUCUUUGAGAGCUUUUAUUUCUAAUUUUUGCUGAUUGAUUUCAUUACUAAGGUCAUUUAUAUUAACAUACCAAGAUUGAAUUUUCUUAUUUCUAUUAAGAAUAUCUUUGAGAUUAUAAGUCCUAUUAGAAUUAGUUGGGAUUUUCAUAGAAGACUAGAGUCUAUUUAAAUAUUAUUUUUUGGCUUCUGGAUCUAAUAUAUUAUCAGUUGUAUUUAACAAGAAUUGUUCUUCUUUUGUUAAAACAUUGAUUUUAGGUGUUGGCUCAUCUUGAGAGGAAUUAUUUUCUUCAGAUUCUAAUGAAGCUUUUAUUUCAUUGAUUUGAAGACCCAGUUCUUCAAGAAAGUCCUCUGAAGAAGUGUCGUCAUCCGUAGCAGCCAUGAUGUUAUUAAGUUGAUAGAGAGUCUCCUCAUCUAUUGAGAAUUCAUUUAAUAUUUUAUUUAUUCAACAAUAUUUUCAAAUAUGUCCUUUUUCCCACAACUGUAACAUUUAAUGCCUUGUUAAUUUUCCUUUUUGGUUUUUGUUUGAGUUUAUCUUGUUUAUUGGUUUGUGAUUUAUUUUUGCAAUGAUUUUUAAGUUUUCUUUUUUCAGGAGGACAAUUUCCUUUACAUUUUGGUUUUGAUGGUGGAGUGUCAGAAGGGUCAUAUUGAGCACAGAAAUCUCAUAAAUCUUUGUUGCCUAGUGUUGUGACCCGACCCCCUCGGCCUCAAACGGAAAGGGGACAAGGUUGGGUUUAGUGGUACUUGAUCAGGAGAGCUCCCUCACGGUUUGCAUCUAUAAAGGCGUCAUCACCUCACCUUUUGGGACGAACCAUUUGUGAGUUCCCUUAUGCGUGGUUGAGAGCUCUCCCAAGCUUGUACAUUGCGUGAUAGCGGAAGGUAUCUUGAUUUGCACCUACAUGGGUGACACACCUUGGAAGAAGAGAUCGGGUGUAAAUAUCGAAUUUCAGGGUACCUUUACCACCGUAGCCUUCCAAUUAGUACUCGCUCCAUCCAUCACUUCGCCCAUUAGGAACCUUCCAUAGCAAGUAUGCUCCACUAUGGUGAACCUCGUCAAGGCCCAUACCCCUCACGACAAGUUUAUUUUAUAUUCAAUCUAAUUGUUUAGACAACCUAAUAAAGACGAGAGUCACCACUAGCCCUAUUAUUGGGGGUUGGCUAGAAAACUCAAUCGAGGGUUGGGAGUUAUACCUUGAUUUUUACAUAACUAGAUAUUUAGAUUCGAGGACUUGGGUUACGCUAAUAUUUCUAUUAGUGUCAUUUUAGUACAUAACACUAUGUCAUGUUACCUAAGAUGUCCAUGCAUUUCUUUUUACUAUUUUGGGAUUGAAACAUCUAAACUAAGUGAUCAUGCAUAGAUUAUUGCUUUCGUGUAAUUCUAUUUCUAAGAAAAAGAAAAGGAAUCACACAAUUGAAUUUAAAAGACAAGAUGGUAAGUAAACAACUAAGAAAGCAGUAAAUCUAACAUGCAAUCCUAAAGCUCAAAGGAAAUAAAAGGAAUGAAAAGAACCCGCAACUCGUCAGGUGUUUGUACAAAUGAAGCGACCCAAAACAUAUAUUAGGGAUGAAUGAUACAAUAUCGUGAUCGGAUAGGACAUCGACCUUUCAUCGUCUUCAAAUCUUGAGGGAUCUCCACCUCCAAGGAUCUAAUCUAAUUAUAAUCUAAUACUAGAACUAGGUACACACACUCAAAGAAACAAUCAUUCACGACAAAAUAAACAAAAAGCAUGAGAAGCAGUCAAUAAAAUGAAAUAAGGGAAUCAUGUACAUGAAUUAACAAACAAGGCCUCAGGGUUGGCCUUUGUAAUUCAUGCAUCGGUCCCUCUAGACGUUUACCCAAUUCAUUUUUAUGAUUUAUAACCAUCAAUGACCAUUUGUAACCAUCAGUGACCAUUUGUGUUUUCGCAUGGCCACUAAUGCUUAUAAGUUCCUAGGAUGUGUUCUAGGUGAAUCCCAAGAUUUACCCACGGAAUUAGGCAUCACACCUAACAUACAUUUAAAAUCCAUAUGCAUCAGCAAGAAUUAAACAUGCAGGUAGGCUCUUGAGCCUUAUUUCUCAAAAAGUCAAUUAAUUAAAGUGAAUUGUUGGCACGUCAUUUAUUUAAUUGACAGCCGUCAAUCACAACCACAGGCAUUUCUAAGGAAUAUGAUGAUUUCAUGCAUGUGUGUGGUUCAUGUGAUGCUUCAAAAAGUUCGGAUAUGUUUGAAACAUCAAGAAAGGAAAACAAGACCUUUUAGACAAAGGAACGUCUCCGCUAUAAAACACAUUUAAUUGUCAAGGCUAGUUUGGGGCUCAUAUAUCAAGCACUCACAAAUGUCACAGAUAUUUUAAAUACAUUUUGAACCUUAACAAUCUUGACGUCAAAUCAAACAUUUGAAAGAUUUUAAAACAUUUUAGACAAUGAACAUCUUGGUUAUAGAACGCAUUUAAUUGCCAAGGCUAAUUUGAGGCUUGCAUAUCAUACACUCACAGACAUCACAAGCAUUUUAAGUACAGUCCAAAUCAUGGCGAUUCCAAUGUCAAAUAAAAGGUUUAAAGGAUUCGAAACAAUUUGUCACGCCCCGAUCUUCGGAGACGCGCCCAUCCUUCUACUUGGUCGAUUUUAAAGUGCGAUAUCUCAGGACUAAGUAUCGCCGACCCUUUCUUUUUAUUACGCAUGCGGAAACAGUUAUGAAUCCCUAGACAAUAAAACAAUGGGAUAGAAAAGCCGGCCAUAUUUUUAAAUAUUGAAAUUUACAACUACACUUUUACUAAUAGCACAACUCAUAGUAUAUUUACAAUACUAUUUACAGCAAACAAGUCUCACACCUAUCUAUACUAAGACAAGGAUCACAAAAGGGAUGUGACCUCAAUCCACAUUCGGGUUAUACUCAAGAUCUCUCUCUGGAUCAUCUUCUUCUUUAAAAGUCUUUCUCCUCUUCAGGUUCCUCUUCCGCAGCUUCUCCUCAAGGUCAUGAAAUGGUUAUUCAAUAACCAAUGAGACCACGUCUUAGCAAGUUCUACCCCCUAAGACUCGAUUAGUAAACCAAUACACCUUAGGCUGCCUAAGCGCAUCACGAGUCAAAUGAGUUACCUUGGCCUCAGCUCCUUCCCGCAAGUUAGUAUAUAUAUCAAAUAUACAUCAUCACAUCACAUCACCCAAUUAGAUCGAAUAAUCGCUCAAUCGACCUAGUCGAUUACAUGUCAUCCAAAUUAUCUCUUGAUCGACCCCUUCCAUACUUUCUAUAAGUCUGAUCAACAUCCAAGACUACUCAACCUAGGUGAUAUAUAGAUAAUAUGUUAUCUUAUCUCCAGACGACAUAUAGAGUUAUCGAGCUAUCAAAUCAUACCAUACCAUCUCAAGAUGAUCUGUAGGAUUAUCGAGUCGGUAUAUCAUACCGUAUUGUCUCAAGAUAAUCUGUAGAGUCACCAAGCCGGUAGAUCAUACCGUCCUGUCUCAAGAUGACAUAUUAAGUCACCGAGCCGGUAUACACGCAAUUUAUCAUACCGUACUGUCUCAAGAUGCUUCGUAGAGUCAUUGAGCCGGUAGAUCAUACAAUUUAUCAUACCGUACUGUCUCAAGAUGCUCCGUAGAGUUAUCGAGCCGGUAGAUCAUACAAUUUAUCAUACAGUACUGUCUCAAGAUGCUUCGUAGAUUCAUCAAGCCGGUAGAUCAUACCGUCCUGUCUCAAGAUGCUCCGUGGAGUCAUCGAGCCGGUAUACAUGCCAUUCCAAGCAAACAAUCAAAUAACCAAUUUUAUCUUUUCCGAUAAAAUGUCGUGUGUGGGUACACAAUCGACCCUAAUCAAAAUAUAAUAAUUUCUUCUCUUUUUUUAUACAUCCUACCAUUUUCUGUAGUCCACUAAAACAUUUUUGGUAUCAUUAACUGAUGCCUGGUUAAUUUCCAAUUAAGUUUCCAAAAUUAUUUAAAUUAGGAAAUAAAUCCUAAUUUCACAAAUAAAUCAUUUCCGCACAAAAUAAAGCUCAAUUAAAUAAACGGACUGCACCACGACAAUCGGCAUAAAAUUUCGAUCACCGGCCAUCCCGGUUGAAUUUCCGGAAAAAUAAAUAAAUAAAUACUAAAAAUCCAAUUUAGGCCCAUAUUGCCUGAUUGGACGCCAGAACGGAUUGGGAAAAAUCUCAAGAUACAUUCAAUAAAUAUUAGAAACUCUCUACUUGCUAAUGACUAAGUCUAACCACCUAACAUGCAUCAUUAAGUCACUAAUUUAAUUGUUCUAGACUAAUUUAACCACCUAAUUGCACUCAAUUAAAUCUAACCAAUUCCUAAGCAUAAUUAGCAAACUAAGAAAGCAUUAGUGAAUAAAACUCACUCGAUUAAAAAGGGGAUCAGGACACCGCGACGGCGACACAACGGCGGCCGAAUUCUAAACUUUCGGCGGCGUCGGUGGACACUCAGGCCGGGCUCAAAAGCCUCACAAGCUCGCACAAAUUUCUGGGCUUGGACCGAACUUGGGCCUGAGAUUGGGCUGACUUGCUUCGCGGGCUUGGGCUUCAAGAUUGGGCUGCUGAAUUGGGCCUCAAAUUACUGGGCUGAUCUUGCUUUAAAGAAACUGUUGGGCUGAUUUCUUGUGGGCCUGACUUUGUUUGGGCUUCAAAUGGCAUGGGCUCAAUGAAGCUGCUGUUCACUUGGGCUGCGAUUUGGACUACAAUUAGGCUGAAGACACGGGCUUGAAUCAAGCUGGGCCACGACAAUUUCGUGUGGGCUGCUGUACGCUUGUCUUCGGAUGAGAUGGACUCGGAUGAGAUGACCGAUCGAAGAAGUAGCAAAGGCUGUUGUUAGGCCACGAAAAUUGAAGACCAACGUUGCUGGAGAAGGCGGUUUCGCUGGCAGCUUACUUCGGCAAGGAAAUCCACGGAUACGGGGUCAACGACGAGGAAAGCAGCUGGAUUCUUGGCCGCGUGGAGUGAAGAUCGGUGGGGGAGUGAGAGACGUGCGCAGAGACGAGCAGAGGUGGGAGCUUCGAGCGGUUUGCUGGUCAACAACCGACAGAAGGGGCAGCUUCGGUUGACUUGCUUCGAUGAAGCUAGAUACGGAGGAGUCAACGUGGCUGAGGGAGCUCGCUUGCUGGUUGACUUGGCAGGAAACAAAGCUUAGUGGAGGAUGGGCGUGGGCUGUAGAGAAGCGAAGCGGUGGAGCUGCAGGUGAUGGCUUCGGUCAACAGAACAUGGAGUCAGUCUCGAUGGAAGACUUCGCGCGGAUGGAGGAACACGCGGACGCUGUUGCUGCUGGGGAAUCUUCGAUCGUUGCUGGACACGCACAACCCCGAAAGAAAAAGAAGGGCAGCUGGCGUUGGGCUUCGUGGGCGUGGAGAUGCAGAGGAGUCAACUUUACUGGGGUUUUCUUUUCUUUGAUUGACCAAGGAAGCUAGGUAAUGGGACGUGUGGCAAGAAGGGAGUUCGGUGGAGAUGGGAUCGCACGAAAAUAAAACUACUGGACUGCUCGGUGGAAAGAAAUAAAAUGAUGGUGUUGAGUGCAUGAAAAAGGAAAGAAGAAGCAAGUGUGCGAAGGAGGAGGAGUCGUGCACGAAGAGAUGAAGACCGGCAGAGCUUGUCCAACAAGCUGGAUGAGAGAGAGAAAGGCCAAAAAGUCCAAAAUCUUAGCCAAUGUCUUAAAUGCUUGGUCCCCUUAUCUCCUCAUACUUAACCCCUUACCCAAUAAUACUUUCCAACAAAUAUAAGUCCACUAAUUAACUUAAUUUGAAGCCAAAAUUCCAGCUCUAUUUAAAGCUCCGAAUUUUCAAUUUCUGGACUUCAAUAUCUUCGACUAAUUCUCCGUUCGACGUCCAAUUUAGCCAAGGAAAAAGCCCAUAUGAUUUUCUGUAAGUGCCCAUCGCCAGAAAGCUCGGCUUGAAAGUAAAAACUCCUUAAAAUUCGGCCCGUACGAAUUUCCAUUAAUUUUUCGCGACGUUCGAUUCGAUUUUCCGCAAAAAUCUCAGAAUCUCUGAAAAAUCUUCUGAGACUGAGUCGACAUUUCUAAUUUAUCUCGUGACACCAUAAAACUUUCAAUUUUUGAAAUCGGGUUCGAAUUCAUGGUUAAUUUCCAUUCGACGCGUUUUUAGCGUAACCUAGAGUUCCGGGUAACUUUCUAAAAUUUUUAGUGCAAGUGACCCGUGGUCGAUUUUCUUUGAGCCACUAUGAACCCACUCGACUCAUUGACGAUUUUCGAUUGUCAUGAAAAUCUCAAGAAUUCAAGUACGGACACAAGGUACCAAAACGAUAAGAAAAUCAGUCUAGUGUUGAUCGACGAGAAUUUUCCAAUUUAGUGGUGUCACCCACGAUUAGCCACACAUCUCAAUCAAAUCAACCUGUAUCUGAUCUCUAAUCGAUUUAUAUCUGUGCCGUAAUGAUCUCGACAGAUGAGCACGGUCAAGAAGCCGAUUCUUGGUCGAAUUCUCAAGUUUAUUUGCCUUAAAAUCCUUAAUGGUUCCCCAGAUAAUCUAGUUAUCUCUAGAAUGAUCAGUUCUGAGAACAGCCCUAUAGACAUGUCAAUGAAAUGCCCGAUUUAUUCAGCAGAAAACAGGGUUGAAAAUUUGGGAUGUCACACAAUUGAUGUUGCAAGCACGCAUGUACCAAAUUCAUUUUAGUAUGCAACAUCAACAUUUCAAAUCAAUUUUGAAGAAAAUGUGAUAAAAAGAUCAUUUCAUUUAUUAAAAAUUUUUUGAAAAUAAAGAUCAAUGAAUUUGGAACGGAUUUCAUGAAGACGAUGAAGCCUAAUUCUGCAUGCAAGUCAUCCUAAAAAAUCCUAAUAGAAAAUCACAACAAAGAUUUACAAUCGAACAUCACAUACAAGACAAACAUAAUCGACAAAAUUGAAAAGGACCCAUUGAUGGUUUGUCCUUAAGAAAAUCACACAACAUGCAUGACAUCACAAGGAAUAAACUUCGCUAAGAAAGUUUUCUGAAAACGGGCCACAAAAGCAUUUAUAAAUAUUCAAUGAAGUUCAAUGUCGCUUCCGAAAUUUCAUCAAGCAACAGGGUGACAUGCCAUUGCAAGUGAAAUUUGACCCAGUAGACGAGGUUUGAAAAAUGUAAAAUUUCACCACAAGGUAGUCUAAAGAGUGGCAACCAAAGUUUUUAGGGUUCAAUUCAAGAAUCCCUACCGAAAAAUCAUACAAAAAAUAGUAAAAGACUGACUAAAUAGGGUAAAACGGGCUUCAGAAUUUAACCUAAGUCAAAAUUCUAACCUAACUUGGAAAAAUUGGGAAAAAUAAGGGUCAUAUGGUAAGAAAAUCUCAGAAAAUCAGCGGCAUUUUAAAGAUCUAGAUGAGUCAUACAACUUCCUAGAAGGGUCUGCAUUCAAUCAAGAUCGAAUUGAGGGUCAAAAAUUGAGUUUUGUGGAAGCAUGCAUAUCAGCCACUAACAAGACAGAACAUGAUUUAUGAUUAAGAGUUCAAAAGAUCACCUAAAUAAUGUAUGAAUUGCAUGAAAUUUGCACAUGACGAAGAAUUGGAUGCGAUAAUGAUUUGGGUACUCUAGGUUGGGAUGUGAAAGAAUCAUACAAGUCAUUGAUACCGUAAAAUAACUUAGAACUAAAAUGACGUGCUUGACAAUUUUCAUACCAAAUGAUAUCCCAUUACGGCAUAUCAUAUAUGAACACGAAACUUAUAAUGCACACUUCAAAAGUUGAGAAGGUAUUGAUGCAUGAUUCAGUUUUUAAGCGACCCAUAUAAGUGUGUUUUAGUGACUUCAUGAUAAGCCUGUUUUAGUGACUUCAUGAUAAGCCCUUAAACUAUUACAAACAUCACAAAACAUGCUUGAUUUUGAUUACCUAGUGACAUUCGAAAAAUCCAACAAAAAUUCUAUAUGCAGAAAGCGAAACAGCAAACAUUUUUUGUUGAGACCUCGAAAUCUAAUUGGGAUCACACAAAACUAGGUGAAAAUAGCAAAACAGGUGCGUGUUAUGGAUGAAUUGAGUGCAACAGAACCUACGCAUAUUGGAACAUGCAAUUGACAUAUCAAACAAUAAUCAAAUCACGUGAAUCAUAAAUCAUUAGAACGCACACGAUAUAUAUUUCAAGUCUAUGAAGAUAAUGAAGCCAAAUUGACUCAUCUACAAAGUGAAUGUCACUCAAAUGCAAUUCAGAUUGGGUGUAGGGUAGAACAACAUAUGGUCGGUUUUAAGCAAUAUUAACUAACUGAAAGACCUCCAAAAUAUCUAGAAAAAAUAUAUGUUAUAAUCGAUGAUUUAGAACAAAUCUCAUGAAGGAAAAUUUUCCAGAAUCCAAUCAUAAAAAUUAACAAGAAAAUAGCAAAAUCAAAAAUCGGAAUAAGAACCAAACUACAAAUCGACCUAAACUACUGCAGAAUUGAUCAAAUUAUGAGGUGUUUUUUGAGGACCAAAUGACCUCCAUUUGAGACGUGUAACCUAUCAAAUUGUAAAUCUUGAAAUUUAUUUUCUAAGCCUAGAAGGCAUCGAAGUCAAAAAAGUCAUCUAGGACCUCAAUCAAGCUAUAAUAAUAAGCUACUCAUAGAGGUACGGAAAUUACAAAUUAUCGAAGAUCAAGUUCAAUCGACAAUAAACUCAUGAAAAAUCUACAACAAACUUCAAUAAAUCAUCAAACAACUUCAUUUACAUUAGAUCUAAGCAUUUAUUAUGGAUCUAAUCUUGAAUCCUACCCCCGGUCGGAUACGUCAAUCUCAUCUCAUUGGAUUUGAGUUUGAGAAUACCAACCUUUUUGCAUUCUCUUUGGCUUUAGAUGCAAUUAGAUGAGGUAAUUGUAGCUGGUACACGAUCAAGACUAUGAGGGACAAAUCAUAUCGCUUAGGGGUUCGACCAGUGUAGCUGAACAGCUGAUUUAGUGUAAGAACAUAAUCGGUCUAAGGAUGGACUAGCCUUCAAGUUGCUGGUGGGAGGAGAGGUCACCGAAGUUGCUCCACUGACCGAUCUGCCAAACCCCGAUCGAUGGCGGUUAGGGCUCCAAAGUGUAGGAGAAAUCGUUCCUAUUUGUUUUGAAGUUGACAAAACGUUUCCAUCAGUCUAGUCUGAAGAUUGGAAGACUCUAUCGUCAAAGUCUGAAGACCUCCAGACUCAAGAUUUAAAGUCUGCCCUCAUUGACAGUUUCCAGACCAAUGAAGAAAAAGUAUUAUCUAUUGAAGAAGACUUAUCUAGAUACGGGUAUAUCUUUAAGGAUUUGAUUCGUGUGGUUGAAGAAGAUCUCACGGCUAGAAAUUGCACCUCGAGAUCUAUUAUUCGUAUUGAAAUUAAUUCGAGUAUUUUAGAUAUGUUGAUUGGCGAAGUAUAUUUGGAAGGUUCUACUUAUGGAAACCUAAAUCCUAGUUGUAUGGGUGAGCAGAAUUGGUGGGCUAUCAUUAUAUUCUUUAAAUAACUCGAGAUCUUCCUAAUUGAUUAUGUCCAAGGGGUUGAUUGGAAGAACUCUUUUGGAAUGUGCUAACGAUUAUGAAGGCAUAGAGGGGUAUAUAAGGAAGACGCUCUAGUUAUUCGAGUGUGUGAAAUAUAGAGAAAUUUCAAAAUCUGAAGCUCCUUGUUUUUUGCUAUUUCAGUGGAUUGAGCUUAAAUUUUUACUCAAAAGAGAGAUUUGAUACUUUGAGGAAGUGUAGCAGAGUCUCUACACAGUGGAAUCAAGAUUGUGAGACUGUAAAAUCUCUUUUGAUUCAUAAUGGAAUCCAGUCGGUGGGCUGUCAGUGCAGGAGAGUAGACGUAGGCUUGAUCUAAGCCAAACCACUAUAAACCGUGUGUUUUGAUUCUCUAUCCUUAAACUCUUUACUUUAAAUCACAGCUCUAUAUUAUUGUUUAUAGUUGUUCACGACUUCAGUCUAUUAUUCUUAGAAGUUAAUUUAUUUUGAUAAGAUUUACAAAAACUUCUUUGAUCACCUAUUCACCCCCUCUAGGUGCUCGUACUAGUCGUUUCAAUUGAUAUCAGAGCCUGUGUACUCUUUAAAUUGAAGUGUUUUUACUUCUGAGUUAAAGAUCUAUAACUAGUAUGUUGGCUCCAAGUUUGGUUGAAUGCCAAAGCAACACCAGACCUCCUUACUUCAAUGGAAAUGAAUACAGCAUAUGGAAAAACAAGAUGAAGGCAUUCCUAAGAUUGAAAGAUCCUCUGGAAUGGGAUGUGGUAGAAAAAUGAAUUAUUCAUAAGGCUACAUCAGUUUCAGAAAGGGGAAAAGAAGUUGCAGACGCUGGCGAGAUGACUCAAGAAGAAAUAACUAAGAGACAGCUCUUGAUGCAAAAGCAAUUUACUCCUUAUAUUUUGNNNNNNNNNNNNNNNNNNNNNNNNNNNNNNNNNNNNNNNNNNNNNNNNNNNNNNNNNNNNNNNNNNNNNNNNNNNNNNNNNNNNNNNNNNNNNNNNNNNNGAAUCUAUUAUUGACAUGUUUAGUCAUUCUACAGAAAUUGUAAAUGGUCUAGAGUGUCAGGGGACAACCAAUCUUAGGACUCAUGAAGGUUAACAAGCUGUUGCGUGGACUCUACAAAGAUUGGAAUCACGUAAAGACUUCAAUAAGGGAAACACAAAGGAUCAUGCCGCUCUUCGUAGGCGAACUAGUUGGCACACUUCAGUCCUAUGAAGUGGAAUCAACGAUGAAGAAGAUUCUAAAGGUAAGAAAUCUAUUACUUUAAAAUCUAAUGAUGAUUCUGAUGUUACAGACUCUGAAGAAGAUUUAGACGAUGAAGAGCUAGCACUUAUGAUAAGAAGGUUCAGGAUACUGAACAAAAAGGGAAGAAGAUUCAAUUGGAAGAAACAAAUCACUCAAAGGUCUCAGAACAAAUCAAUAGAGGAUGAUGAAUCCAAUAAAUAUGUGAUUUACUUUGAAUGCAAGAAAAAUGGACACAUCAGACCUAACUAUCCCAUGUUGAAGAAAAAGAAAGGAAAAACUGAAAAAUAUAGGAAGUCUCUCAAGGUAGAGACAUGGAGUGAUAUUGAAUGCAAAGAAAGUGAUGAUGAUUAUGCAAAUAUUUGUUUAAUGGCAAAAUCAGAAUCAGACUCAGACUUUGAGACAGAUACAGACUCAGACUCAGACAGUGAAAUUGAUGUAAACAAUUUAAAAAUUCCUACUAAAGUCUCGAAAUAUAUUGAUGAACUUUGUCUUAGUCUCAAAACUUCUCUUAAAAAGGAUUUUUGAGCUAAAAAGGGAGAAUUCUACAUUGAAGCAAUAGGAAAUCUCUUGGAAAGAAUAGUUUGAUAAUUUAGACAAAAAUUUUGUCAUUUUGAAAGAAAAUGCAAAUUCUUUUUUAAAAGAAAAUACAUGUUUGAAAAAUGACAUUUCAAAUAUUUCAAAAAGGUUUUCAAUAGGAUCUGAGAAGCUAGAAAAGAUUAUUUCAAUACAAAGACCUUACUUUAACAAAUCAGGGUUGGGAAUGACUUUUGAAACCAUUCCUCUAAUUGAUUUUCCGAAAGUAAAGGAAAGAAUCAAACAAAGACCUACAAAAGCCUUUUAUAGAAAUCAUUUUCAAAAAAUCUUUGUAAAACCUGUUGGUCGAAGUGCUCUCAAAUGUUCUAAGUGUUACAGCUCAGAACACUUUGAGAAAGAAUAUCCUAUGGUUUGGAGACCUGUUAAGAAGGAUUGGGCAAAUACUGUAUAUUGCACUAACUCCACUGGACCUAAGAAAAUGUGGGCACCAAAGAAAGCUUGAGUUUCUUUUUUAAUUGCAGGUUACUAUCAAGAAGAAAAUUAAAUGGUAUUUGGAUAGUGGCUGUUCAAGACACAUGACUGGAGAUUCAAGAUAUUUCACAAAGCUUAUUCAAAUCAAUGAAGGAAAAGUCUCUUUUAGUGGAAAUAGCAAAUGUAGAAUUAUUGGAUGUAGAACAGUAAAGAUUGGAGGUCUCAUAAUCAAUAAUGUCUCCUUGGUGGAAGGACUAAACUACAAUCUACUCAGCAUAAGCCAAUUGUGCGACACUAGGUUCAAAAUCAAUUUUCAGGAAGUGACAUGUUCAGGAAUCAGUAAAGACCACUCUCAAUCUUUUACCGGGCAUAGACAUGGGAAUAUUUAUCUUCUGGAUAUAAAACCAGAAAGACCUCAACGCUUGAUAUCAAUAUAAGACGAAGAGAAUCUCUGGCAUCAAAAGUUUGGCCAUAACAACAUUAAGCAAAUUGCCAAAAUCUCUUCCAAGAAGCUUGUUUGAGGUCUAUCCAACCUGAAAUACCAAAAAUCUGACUUAUGCACACCAUGUGUGUUGGGAAAAUAGGUUAGAAGUUCUUUUAAGCCAAUAAAUCAAGUUUCCACUAACCGUGUGCUACAGCUCCUUCAUAUGGAUCUCUUUGGAUCAACUAGAACUCAAAGCAUUGGAAAGAGAUUUUGCCUAGUAAUAGUGGAUGAUUAUUCGCGAUUUACUUGGGUUUACUUUCUAGCAAGUAAGUUUGAAACCUUCUCUCAUUUUUCAAAGUUUCCUAAGAAAGUGUAGAAUGUGAAAUGUUAUGUUAUUUCAAGAACACGAACAGACCAUGGAGGUAAGUCUGAAAAUUAAGACUUUUCCAAAUUUUGUGAUGAAUUUGGUUUUCAGCACGUGUUCUCUUUUCCAUACACUUCUGAACAAAAUGGAGUUGUGGAAAGGAAGAAUAGAUCUUUACAAGAGAUGGCAAGGCCUCUUUUAAUUGAAAGUAAUAUUUAUUCUCGUUUUUGGACUGAAGCAGUUUCUACAACAUGUUAUAUUAUUAACAGAGUAUUCUUAAGGCCUAUUAUGGGGAAAACUCCCUAUGAGUUAUUCAAACGAAAGAAGCCAAUUGUUUCUUAUUUUCAUUUGUUUGGUUGCAAAUGUUUUAUUUUGAAAAAUGCAAAUGAUCGAAUUGGUAAGUUUGAAAAAAAAUCAGACGAAGGAAUCUUCCUUGGAUAUUCAACCUCUAGCAAAGCCUACGAAAUAUUCAACAAGAAGACUCAGUCUGUGGAAGAAUCGAUGAACGUCAGAUUUCAAGACUCUCUGCAAAAUCAAUCGAUUCCGACGCAAACUGAAGAAUCUGAACCUGCUCUAGACUCUACAAAGUCUACCUCCCCUGAAGCAGCUUAGACUCUAGAAGAAAAACAACGAACGAAUGUUGAAGAUUCAACUGAAGAUGAAGACCAACAACCUGUCAGAAUGACUAGCAACUAGAAGCAUAAGUCUAGCCAUCCCAGAGAACUCGUUAUUGGUGAUAUUAAUGAAGGGAUUCAUACCAGAUCCAAAAGGCAAAUAGAGUCUAGCGCGGUGGCACUUAUUUAUGAAAUAGAACUGAAAAGCAUAGAAGAAGCUUUAACUAACGAAAGCUGGAUUGAAGCAACGCAAGAAGAACUCAGACAGUUCAGCAUUAACGAUGUUUGGGAAUUAACUCAUAAACCAAAAGGUAAGUCUAUUAUUGGAGCUAAAUGGGAUUUUAGGAACAAGAUGGACGGAAAAGGAAAAGUGAUAAGAAACAAAGCAAGACUCGUGGCCAAAUGAUAUAUGCAAGAAGAAGGAAUAGACUAUGAUGAGACCUACGCUCCUGUAGCAAGGUUAGAAGCAAUUAGAUUAUUGCUGCUUUUGCUUGUUAUAAGAAUUUCAGGUUAUUUCAAAUGGAUGCCAAAAGUGCAUUCCUAAAUGGAUUUAUUCAAAAAGAAGUCUAUGUGGAACAACCUCCCGGAUUUGAAGACCUAAGGAAACCAGACUUUGUAUUCAGACUGAAAAAUGCUCUAUAUGGAUUAAAGCAAGCACCUCGAGCUUGGUACGACAGGUUAAGUAAGUUUUUAAUUCAAAAUGGCUUUGUUAAAGGAAAAGUAGACACUACCUUGUUUAUUGAAAAGGAAGGUAAACACUUUUUACUUGUUCAAAUUUAUGUUGAUGAUAUUAUAUUUGGUUCACCUAACGAAAACUUGUGCAAGAAAUUUUCUAAAUCUAUAUAGGAUGAAUUCGAGAUGAGCAUGAUGGGUGAACUAUCCUUCUUUCUCGGACUACAAGUAAAACAAUUGAAGGAAGGAAUUUUCAUUCACCAAGAAAAAUAUGCUAAAGAACUUGUUAAAAAGUUCGGAUUGGAGAAUUGCAAAAAGACCGAUAUACCAAUGUCAAGUUCUUUGAAGCUAGACAAAGACGAAGGAGGAAAGAAAGUUGACUAGAAGCUGUACAGCAGUAUCACUAGUUCACUUCUUUAUCUUACUAUUUCUAGACCUGGCAUUUUGUUUAGUGUUUGCAUCUGUGCUAGAUUUCAAUCUGAUCCAAAAGAGUCUCAUUUAAGCGCCGCAAAACGCAUCAUCAAAUACAUUGCAACUAUUUCAAAUUUAGGUCUGUGGUAUCCCAAAGAAGGAGACUUUACUCUUCUUGGAUAUUCAGACGUAGAUCUAGCAGGUUGCAGAGUUAAUUGGAAGAGCACUUCAGGCACUUGUCAAUUCCUUAGUAACAAAACAAUAUCUUGGUUUUCAAGGAAGCAAAGUACUGUAGCUCUUUCAAUAGCAGAAGCGAAGUAUGUGGCUCUUAGAAGUUGUUCUCAAAUCUUAUGGAUAAAACAACAACUAAGAGACUUUGGAAUCGAAGACUCAUGCAUUGAGAUCAAAUGUGACAACACCAGCGCAAUGAAUCUCACAAAGAAUCGAAUUCUUCAUUCAAGAGCAAAGCAUAUAGAGAUUCGGCAUCAUUUAAUAGAAAUCAUGUUCAAAUGGAGAAGUCAUGAUUCAAUUCAUUGACUCAAAGAAUCAGCUAGCGGACAUAUUAGAGUCUAUUUGCUCCAGACUUAACAUCUUAUCUCUUAUAGUCUGAAAAAUCUCAGACUUAGGGUUAAAGUCUGAAGAUGCUCAAACUUAGAAGAUCAAGAAUUAUGACUAUAAGUUAUUUCGGUUCUAGCAAUUUAACUUUCGGAUAAAAACUCAAAAAGAUACGAUUGCUUAUUAUGCGCCAAUUGAUUGAUGUUAUCUUUCCAAGCUUUUUGAAGUUGUAGCAAUUAUUCUUUUCAAAAAGGAAGUUAUCAUUUUUGAAAUAACAGUUAUCUAUUUUCAAAAAGGCAGUUAUUCAUUUUUGAAAAGACAUUUUUAUUUUUCCUUUUAUGACAAUCCGUAUACCUCGUUUUGAUUGCUUUCUAUACUGUUUUUCUUCUUCAUUUUUACUCACAAACCCUAGAGCACAAAACUUCACUUUCUUACUUUUUCUCUCUAGUUUAAUCCGUAAAGUUUUCAUCUUUCUCGUGAAUGAGUUCGAAAAUUCUCUCAAAGACUGGGACAAUGUCUUCCCAAAGAAAAUCCUCAAGGAUAGCAAGCAGGGGACCACAGCAUAUGCGUGAGAGUCCUACGCACUUCGAUCCGACUGAGGAAGAAGAUUCUUCAAGGCAGCAGCAAAGUCAACAACAACAUUCUUAACCGUGCCAUUCUUCUCGGGCUAGAUUACAAGAGCCUCAGCAACAACAGGCAGAGGAAGAAAUUAUUGAGGAUGUCGAACUUGUAAGGACUCUUAAGCCUGCAUUUACUUUCAAACUUUACACCGCCCCUAAGGAAGGUGGUUCUCCAAUGACCUUUAUUGAUGAAUUUUUGAAAUAAAAGGAGUACCAAAAUGAAACCGAUUUUCUAAGAACAAUGGAACAUUUGGGAAUCGCUCUUGUUGGUUCGAUAGAAAGGGCUUUUGCGAAUUUCCCAAGUGAUCCACGUUUUGGAGGAUUUAAUCAACUUGAGGGUAAAGAUGAUGAUGAAAAAAUGUUCACUCAUUUUAAGCCUAGGAUGGGUGUUGCUGCGAAAAUUUGAGGAAGUAGAACGGAUCUGUUUCGUUCUGAGGAACACAAGCGAGUUUAUGCUAAAUUGUUGAAGCGAGGGGUGAUGAACCCAAGGAGUGUGGAUUUUGAUUUUCUCAAUUCAUUGAACGUAAAGUUACGGGAGAAGUUUUCUUUACUUCAACUUGAACAAUUAUGCUCUGAGACAACUGUAGCUUAUCCGGUACUUGCAGCAUAUUUCUAUUCCAAUCUAAGCUUUUUAGAUGCAAAUAGAUUUUCCUUUAGUGUUCGAGAUUAGGAUUAUGUGGUAGAUGUUGAUACUUUAGCUGAUGUGAUUGGAGUGGAGAGAGGGAUUUUCCAAACAAUCAGCAUGUUUGUUGGUCAUGCCACUAUGGAGCUUGUUCAAGAUAGGAUUGCAGAAGGCCGGAUUUCGUAUUUGAGGAUGAGUGCCUUUAAUGUCUUGCUCCAUAAGAUUGUGAUUAACUGUCUCAGACCCAAAUCCACAUCAAAGACUAAUGUCUCCAAUUCUGAAGCAAAGCUGAUGUACGCCAUCAACAUUAGUUAUAAGUUCUCUCUGCCUUAAACCAUAAUGUUUCACAUGUAUUGGUCAAUGGUAAAGGACAAGGGACAACUUCCUUACUCUCCUCUUGUUACUCAUCUAUUCAAACAUCUUAACAUUCAACCUCCUAGAAUUCUAUGUGUUCGAACGAGUGUUCCAAUGGUGGUAGGACUGAAGAUGGUUGCUAAGAUGCGUCUGAAGAAGCUAAACAAGGCUUUAGAGCGAUUUAAGGAGAAGACACCUGUCAAGACUUGACAAGACCCUGUGGCUAUAAAAAGAAAAGGGAAGGAGCUCAUGACAGCUCCAUCUAAGAAGAGGAGAGCACUCAUCUUGCAGGAUGACGAAUAUGAGGAUGACAUCACUAUCUCAGCUCUUGCCUUAAAGAACUUACAGCAUCUUGUUCCUGAGACAAAGACUUGAGAAAAAGACAGAGAGGAGACAUAACGGAAAAGUAAAGAGAGGGAAAUGAUGAGGAAAUAAGAAGAAGAAGAAGGAAGAAUAUAAGAAGAAGAGCGAAGAGAAGAACAAACAGAAGGAGAAAGUCAUGGUGAUUCUCCAUCAGAGGAAGAAGAACAAGAUCAUCGUGAUAAUGAAGAAGAGCCAGAGCAAGAAGAAUACUUCUCUCCACCUGUAGGCACCAAAACAGGGGGAGCUAUUGAUAAAAUAGGUAUUCCUUCACUUGCUUUUACCAGUGAUGAUGUUAGUCGUUCUCCUGCCGAUCCAAAGGAUGUGUAUGCCUCUCACUUUCUUGAAGAAGGUAAUGAGGCUUCAUCUCCAAGUUUGGAUAUUCGUGCUGAAGUUCCAUCAUCUGGAAACACUCCAGAAACUAAUCAUACUGAAGCAAGUACUUAAACUGAAAACUUGGCAGACUUUAAAAGAUGCUUGAACUUCUUCUGGAAAUCAAAGGUCAAAUUUAUACCUUGGGAUGUGAAUUUCAGUGCAUGCAGAAUGCUCAUCAAGCCACCUCAGUUUCUUUGCACGAUCAAGUUUAAGCCCUUAAUCUUCAAGUUUAAGCUACAACAAAGGGUGAGGAUUUAGCACAAUUGAAGGAGGAUCUGAAAACACUGGAGGAGACUAUCAAGUCUAUGGGAGAUUUCUAGCUCGUUUGCAUUCCCAAACAAUCUUAAUUUUAUCAAAUUUUCUUUAUAUUCUCUACUUUUUGCUGUUGACAAAAAGGGGGAGAAGUCAAUGCAGAUUUGACACUCUGAUUUUGAUUUGGCUUUGAUUACUUUUAUCUUUUGUUUGGAUUGUGAUUGGUUUGGACUAUGUUGACCUUUUUAAUGCUUGCAGUAUCUUAAGCUAUGUUGAUGUUUUUGGUAAAGAUAGUUUAUUUUACAGUAUUAACUUUUUUUUUUUUGUGGAUGCAGAAUCGCUACUAUCUUUAUCCUAAUCUACUUAUCUUUUAUGAGAUAUCUUUGUUUGCUUAAGUGAUAUCUUGUAGGUCUAAAGUAUCCAAAUCUGCAGAAAAGUUUUGUCAUCAUCAAAAAGGGGGAGAUUGUUAGAGAAAUCUUUCCUAUUUGUUUUGAAGCUGAGAAAACGUUUCCAUCAGUCUAGUCUGAAGACUUGAAGACUCUAUCGUCAAAGUCUAAAGACCUCCAGACUCAAGGUUUAAAGUCUACCCUCAUUGACAGUCUCCAAACCGACGAAGAAAAAGUGUUAUUCGUUGAAGAAGACUUAUCCAGAUACGGGUAUAUCUUUAAGGAUUUGAUUCGUGUGGUUGAAGAAGAUAUCACGGCUGGAGAUUGCACCUCGAGAUCUAUUAUUCGUAUUGAAAUUAAUUUGAGUAUUUUAGAUCUGUUGAUUGGUGAAGUAUACUUAGAAGGUUCUACUUAUGGAAACCUAGAUCCUAGUUGUAUGGGUGAGCAAGAUUGGUGAGCUAUCAUCAUAUUCUUUAAAUAACUUGAGAUCUUCCUAAUUGAUUAUGUCCAACGGGUUGAUUGGAAGAACUCCUUUGGAAGGUGCUGACAGUUAUGUAGGCAUAAAGAAGUAUAUAAGAAAGACCCUCUAGUUAUUUGAGUGUGUGAAAGAUAGAGAAAUUACAACGUCUGAAGCUCCUUGUUUUUUGCUGUUUCAAUUGAUUGAGCUUAAAUUUGUACUCAAAAGAGAGAUUUGAUACCUUGAGGAAUUGUAGCAGAUUCUCUACAUUGUGGAAUCAAGAUCGUGAGACUGUAAAAUCUCUUUUGAUUCAUAGUGGAAUCUAGCCGGUGGGCUGUUAGUACGAGAGAGUGGACGUAAGCUUGAUCUAAGCCGAACCACUAUGAAUCUUGUGUUUUGAUUAUCUAUCCCUAAACUCUUUACUUUAAAUCGCAGCUCUAUAUAACUGUUUAUAGUUGUUCAUGACUUUAGUCUAUUAUUCUUAGAAGUUAAUUUAUUUUGAUAAGAUUUACAAAAACUUCUUUGAUCACCUAUUCAACCCCCUCUAGAUGCUCGUACUAGCCCUUUCACAAAAAUCAACGGAGAGGGGCCAGUUCAACCAGAUGAACUAGUUGGGGUCCGGACUGUGACGAGUGCUAGUGUUUGACUCAACUACAAAGAAGACGUCGGAUGGGAAGGCUUUGGCGGCGAUGGCUCCUUUUGCUGCUUUGAUGGGAACUAAGAGGCUUGGGGGACUAUUAGUAGGUAUGAGGGACUGUUGGUAGUGAUUGGCACGACAGUGGGGGAGAGAAGUGAGUUCGAGAGAUAGGGAGAGAGAGAGGAAUUUUAGUUUUAGUGAGAGAAUUAAUUCUGCAAAUGAGGCCCCCUUGAAAAUUGGAUGAAAAAUGGCUUUUAUACUCGGUCCUAAUAGGCGAAUCUUGGCCGUCAGUUCAAUCCGACAAUCAAAAACGUGAUUUAAUGGCAAAAUUAAAUUUUUAAAAGGAUAAUCAUACUUAGGAUUUGUCCUAUGAUCGAUUGGAUGGAUUCAAUUUGUAAAAAUUGAGACUUAAAACUAGAAUUGCACUUAAUUAGCGUCACAAAUUUAAGAAAUUCAAGGACCAUUUUGCAAAAUUUUGAAAAUGCAAGGGCAUGGAAGCAAAAUUUGCACAAUGAUGGUCUUAGAACCGGUUGCUGGAAGUCCAUAAUCAACCGACAGGAGGCCGAACUAGCCUACAUUGUCGGUGGCCAGUUGGUCGGAUUAGUUAGGCCAGUUCAGGUAGUUCUUGUGGGUUCAAAAUUUAUGUAAUCUCUCAAGGACCAAAUUGAAGAGAAAACUUACCCGAUUUGAGGAGAAAUGAUCCAAUUUUGAUCCAAUUAAACUAAUUAAACUUAAAAAAAAGCUAAUGAAACUUCGUAAAUGCAAUCUAUGGGCUUUCUAUCAAUGUAAAUGAAUGAUUAUUGUGAAAAGCAAUGGACCUAAACCAUGGGUACACAUAAUCUAGCAUUAUAGGCUAAAACGAGCAAUUUUGUAAUUCUUUGCUCAAAAUUGCAAAUUAAUUUAAAUUGAAAUAAAUUAAUAUUGCAAUAAACCUAUUUGACAAAUUACCCAUGUUUAGGAUAGUCUAUCAUAUUCAAAUUGACUUUGAGUUGAAGUCACGAGACUUAGGCAAAUCAAUGUCUAACAUCGAAAUUGGACUUUGAUUCAUGAAAUUUGACCUUAAUCUUAAAUGGGUCAACUUAAAUUUCUUCAAUUAAAACUCAAUUGCUUGGCUUUCUUAUAUACAAGAGAGUGAAAUUCUUCAAAAUUGGGAAGCUCACAUGUGAAUUUCUCAAAGGACAUCCCGAAUUUGCACUUAUCUUAAAAAAAUGAGUGGAAAACAAUCGUCCAUUCGUGAUCUAUGAAAAAUCGAUUUUGAUCCCCUAAUUGUGGCUUAAAAUGGCAAUUUACCUUUUAUCAUGACAAUUCCCAAAAUUGAAUGAAAGAGAGAAUUAGAAAUAGUCCCUAGACAAAAUGUUGAAGGAACUACAACUAAUUAUGAAUAAAAUGAAAGUAAUUUCAUUUUUGGUCAAUUUAGAACCUUAAAUCAAAAAUUUUGGAGAACAAAGUUUUUAGUCGAAUUUUGUAAGAUUUUCAACACAAAUAUCUAAUAGACACUAAAACAAAGUAUUCUGAAGAUUUUUGAUUUUUUUAAAAUGUUUUUGUCAAAGGCUUGACUAAAAAUCAACCUUUUGACUAAAUUGACUUUUUCUAAAAAGUUGAUUUUUGAGUCAGCUCUUUGAAUUUUUGAAAAGUUCACUUAGCUAAAGUGAAAGUAAGGCUAUUUAACAUCUCUUUGGUAAAAAGCCAAUUUUUGAAUAGGAAUUGUUUAAAAGUAACAAUGGAAAAGAAAGAGAUGAAAAACGAUAUUUUUUGGUCGAGAAAUGAGCUCUAUUGUGAUCGGAAACCCUAAUAUGGGUUUUUACAUUUUUAUGACAAGUCGACUAAAAAAUCAAGUGUCAACAGUUGCCUCUUUAUGAGUGUGUCACGCCUUGAUCCUCGAGCGCAUAGCAUCCCUCGAUCUCUUCGGUCAUGGAAUUACAACAUCCUAGGACGUGUUGCCAACCCAUUCAUUUUAUCUUUUGAUUAUACGCAAGUGGAAGCAGAACAAAUAUCUCCCAACCAUUAACAAAAAUGGGGAUAGUAAAAGGCAUACAUCAGAACACUGUUGAAACCUAAAUUUUGGCAACCCAUUUAGUUAUUUAUCGCAUUAAAAAAUUAGGGACUAAUUUUUAACCCUUAAAAAAUUAAUUAAUAAAUUGCAUAGCAUAUAAUUUUAGGUGCAUUUAUUUUUAAUUUGCAUUUAUAUUGGACCGGCGAAGGAUGGGUUCAACUUGAUGGUUUAGAACUUUAAUUUGCCCACAAAGAGAGCAAAUCAACCUAAGCCCGUAUUCUCAAGGAGAUUUUAGGGAUUUAUUUUUGCGGGAUUUCAAAUUUGAGAAAAAUCCUCUUGCAAUCUUGAAUCGUAUCAAAAACAAAUAUUGUGUUCGGAAAAGAAAUUUUUGUGGAUAUUGAUUUGGAAAAAUUAAAACCCUAAUCCGUGGCCUAUACGAAGGUUGUUCGUAUAGAAUUUUGGGGGCUUUUUCUUGGUUUUCUAGGUCAAAGGUUUAAGCACGAAAGAAAAAAGUUUUUCUUUUCCUUUGGUUCUUGUGUUUCUUCAUUGGGGUGGGGCUCCAAAAGUCAGAAAUACAGUAGAGAGACGGAUAGGGAGUUGACGUGAGAUAGACAGGAAGAGAGAGAAAUAAUUAAAAAAGAAGAACAGUGUUCUUCUUCUCUAGCAGAUCUGCCGCUUACUUGCUUUACUUCUGCUCUCCCUCUGCUGCGACCCAGCCACGACGUCGCAUCCCGGCUGCCAGCGACCGUUGCAACCCGCCUACUUGUGAUUCCGAUCCACCAUCUCUACUGCACCGGAGCUGCAACUCAAAGCUGUCGCACACCCCUUGUUGGCUGAGCCACUUCGGCCUCUGUUGCUUUCGUUGCUGACGUUGGAAGCCCUGACCCAGUGCUGGACCGCCGCUCUGUUGCCCCGCCGGACGCCAUGUUGCCGCCCCACUGCCACGAUCCAACAUGAGCACCCUUUUGCGACGACCGAGCCAAGCACCGCGCCUGCACUCUCGUGCUUCUGCCUCUGCUUCGAUGCACCACCGCUCUACUGCCCCACCGGAUGCUGCGUUGCCACCCCACAAGCCUCAGUCACCUCUUAGCUAGGACCCAACUGCAGCUGUCCACCCGCCUGUAGCGCCCUCCAAGCGAUGGCACCAGCAGCUUGAGCCGACCUUGCCCGCUGUUGCAUCCGCCAGCCGCCGGCUCUCACCAGAGCUCCGAUUGAUGGCGGUUCUUUGUCCUUAGCAGCCUGCCAUCAUAGCCACUUGCCCUUGGUGACCCACCACCAUAGCAGCCUUUGCUGAACCACGUCGGGCCAUGUGGAGCCGCCGUUGAUUAAGCUGGAUUUUGGAAAAUUCAAAAUUAGGUAGUUUUUUUAUUUUUUGUUUUUUGUUUCUUUAUUUGAAAUAUCCCUUGAUGUAAGAUUGAGAUUUCCCGACAUGAUGUAGACUCUUAACUUAAGGAUUGACAGUCCGAUUUUCGCACCCAAAAUCCGACUCGCAAUUGCUUGGAAAAUCGUUAAUCCGAUCUUAUAGUCGAGAUUCGAUUCGCAGUUUAUUUAGAAUGGACCAACCCGAUCUCAUGCGCGAGAUAUGGUUCAUCAAUUUUUGGAUAUCAAUCUUAUCUUGCUCUGAUUUGCCAUCGUGUGGUUUGAGUCGAUUUUCCAAAAAAAUAUAUUUGAAUUAGGAUUAGGUUCGUUUUAGAAUAUUCCUCAUUUUAGGGUUAUCUUGCAUAUCUAGAAUAGGAGAUUUAUUUACUUCGAGUCUUUGAAAAACUAAAAAUCCAAAAAAUGCAUUCAUUUAGGAUGUUAUUUUUUUAAAUUGCACGUUUAAUUAUUUGGCAAUUUUAAUAUUGAAUUUUAUUAAAAAAAACAAAAAAAAUUAUCAUGCAUAUGUCAUGUAGAAUUAGGGUGUUUUUUGUACGUCAUUGCAUAUUAGGAUAAAAUAAUAUAUUUAAGUUUAAGUUUAGAUAGAUUUUUUAGAUAAGUUGCAUCUUAGGUUAGAAAUUGCUAAGUUAAGAUAAUAUCUUAGUUUAAAUUAAGAUUUGGCCUAACCCAAUUCUUCAUGUAAUUUGGAUAGAAUCUUAAUCUAGCUAGAUAAUUUUUCCAUUUUUCUUAAUUUCGAAUUUCAUGAAAAAUACAAAAAAAAUUGUCUUAGAGUAAAUUCAUUUCAUUCUCGAGGAUAGAUUGCAUGCCUUUUAAGAGAAUAGAAAUAUCAUGUGCACGUCAUAUAGAAUUAGAUUCAUGAAAUGCAUGUCAUUUAGCUAUUGUUGUUAGGUCCAUUUAGUUAAAAAUUGUCCGUCAUUAGAAUUAGGUCAUUUGGUUAUAUGGCAUUUCAUAUAGAUUAGAUUUUAUUAAAUAAGAGAAAAUUCUUUUAAAAAAUGAUUGAGUAAUUGCGUAUUAAUUAGAAAUCAUAUCUAUGAUUGUUGAUGUGAAUUAUGAUCUAACAUUGCAGAUGCUUUCGUUGCUAUGAGAUAAGUCCUGCAAUUUAUUCACCGCUUUAUCUAAGUCUUAAAUUGGUGGUUUGCACACCUGCAUAAUAACUUUAUAUGUUAGGGAAAUAAAUUAAAAUUAAUUGAAACUACUUGCCAAACAUCUUUUUUCAAAAUAAAAGAGAAAGGUACCAAAAGGGUGUUAGAGAAAUUUAAUGUAAUCAAGUCCCCGAACUCAAAAUCUCUGGUUCGUUGGAGUAAAGUAAAUCUCCCGUUAUUUUACUUGGGUUUCUAAUCGACCCACUAAAAAUAGAUUAGUGGUGCCUCAUAAUUGAAAAGUCAAUGGCAUGUUAAGAACUUGAACCUAAGUUGCGAAUUUGUAUGGACUUGGGAGAGCCCGAGCUAAGUUUAAGCUUAGUAGUCUAUUAGCCAAAUUCUAGGUGGAUCACCCGAAAAUUUGGUCGCGACAGCUUGGCGACUCCACUAGGAACUUGAGUUAAAACUCUUAGUGGACUUAGGCCAAUUUUCUCUUGCUUUGAAAAAUGUUUUUGUUUGGCAGCAAGGAUCCUAGGUACGUCCCUAAUGUUUAAGGCGUUAAAUGUUCUUGCAAGAUGGGACGUAUAAGGGGAAGUGUUUGCUAACCUUUUUUUUUUUUUUUUUUUGUAUGGGGGUGUAGGGAUGUAUGGUUUACUUUCAUUUAUGAAGUGUUGCUUGAUAUAAAUUGUCUUGCAUGCCCUGCAUUUAGCACUACACUAUUGCACACACAACUUGCCGUUGGACCUGGGCCGCAUAGGAUCAUCUAGGAUGGUAUUGAGAUGGAUACCACUUUGACCGCAUACCUGCGGUACGAGUCACCCAUCUUAAUCCUGAAGUUUUUUUUUUCUUUUUUUUUUCGGUGUCAAGAGCACCUCAGUCCGCAUGCCCGCGACCCGGGUCAGCUCUUUGACCAAGUCGGAGUCAUGAUGACCCGAUUUAGUCCGCACGCCCGCAGCUAGUCCGAUCAUCCUUGUGGCUUCACUUGGCUAAGCCUGUUUAGAGUAUAAAUUGAGCCUCACAUCUCAUGUGCAUGUCUAUGUGAUCGCCUUUCAUUUUUCUUGGUGAAGUAAAUCUUCUAUCCCUAUACCAUGCAAUUUAUUCUGUCGUGCUUUUGGUCAGUCCGUGACAAUUUAGGUGAAUCAUUGAUUUAACUCCUUUGUCAAUUAGAGAUGAAAUAAGGAAUUUGUCAUGCAAUGAAUCAUUUAAAAAAAAAAUUGUAGAAUUUGUUUUCAAUUCAUGUCUAGGAAAUUUGGUCUUGCUAGGGUGUUUAUUUUUCUAGCUCUUUUUUAGGAAAUUCCCUUCAGUGUGGACUUUUCGUGACUAAAAGAAAAAAGAAAAAAUGGAUCAUUGUCAUGGAUUGGCUCUUUAUUUACACCUCAUGCUUACAUAUUUUCAUUCAUUCAAAUUGGUGAUAACGGAUCCCUCACGUUCUCCCAUUAUUAUGCGAUCAAGAGCAAAAAUGGCCAACCAAACUGAAAUGUGUGAUUGUAUCUCCACUAUGGAAGACCAACUCCAAUAGUUAAUCACCUCUAUGCAGCUUAUGAUAGCUUAGAUCCAAUCCCUUUGAGUGAAUCUGACUGCUACACCCGCUCUCCCCAAGAUAGUAGUUUCGAAGCAAUCAAGCAAGGCCCAAAUGGGUGAUGACGACAUGCCUGAAUUGGAAGAUGACCCAUUGUUGGUCGCUCCUGAAAAAGCUAAGCCUGACAAUGUCCCUAAGACAGAGCAAGAUGAACGCUUCGCAAAGCUUGAAGAGAAGGUGAAGCAAUUGCAAGAGUCACAGAGUUCACUUUCAUUCGACUUGUUAGUGUAUGAGAAGGUUAAGGUGCCAAAAAAGUUUAAAAUGCCGGAGUUCGAGAAAUAUGAUGGUACUUCCUACCCGAAAGCUCAUUUGUAGAUUUACCAUGUACGCAUUGCCAAAUAUGUCAAGAAUGUGCCCCUCAUGAUCCAAUCAUGUCAUGCAAGUUUGACCGAGCUCGCACUAAGCUAGUAGGUGAUGAAGAAUGUGAACCUUCUCGACACCUGGAAUGAAGUGGUUGACACAUUCCUCAAGCAAUAUAAGUUCAAUAUGAACAUUGCAUCUUCUUGAGAAGAUCUUGAGAGAAUGGAGAAGAAGAGGAGUGAAUCUUUUAAGGAGUAUGCCGUGAGAUGGCAAAAUCUAGAAGCUCAAAUCACUCCUGAACCUACUAACAAGGAGUUGAUGAAGUUUUUUGUCAAGACUCUCCCGUUUGAGUUCCGUAACCGAAUGGUCAGCAAAUAUGUCAAGAACUCGAAUAAAUUUAUUCCCGUGGGAGAACAAAUUGAGAUGGGGAUAAGAGAUGGAUGGUUUAAUGAGCCAACCUCUGCAAGCAAAAGUUUUAACCCAAAGAAAGAAAAGGACCUUGAAGCUGAGAUUAAUGUGGCUUAUUCUCAACCGAAUUGUGAUACAGCCAAUUGCACUCUUGUAAUUAAGAUUUCUACCGAGCAACAAGGUGGAGGACAUCAGUUCUCUGGUCAACAACGAAGUGUUAGGAGACAAUUCACACCUCUUCCCGGACCUUUAUCCAAAGUCUUGCUUGUUCUUCAAGAAAAGAGAUUACUUUCUAUUGAGCCAAAGUGACAAAAUCCCCAGCAUUAUCCUGCAUAUAAUCCCUCCAAAGUGUGUGACUAUCAUAUGGGAGAUGUUGGUCACUCUAUUGAUGAUUGCUAUGUUUUGAAGCAUAGGGUCCUAGACCUCUUGAAUACAAAGGCGUUCUCUUUCAACAUUAUUUGGGAAAACCCUCUGCCCAACCAUGACGGAGGCACAAAUGCUGUAACUAAGUGAAGAAGUUCUUAUCUUCACAUUUCUCUAUGAAGGAGUUUUUUUUUUUUUUUUUUAUGAUUUCUAGGAUUUCAAGCUUUUUUUUAGGAUUUUCAGUUUUCUGAAGUUGCAAUUAUUGCUUUCGUUUCUAGGGUUUGCUUGUUUGCAUUUUCAAUUCCAAUAUUAUAAUUCAUUUGAUUCUAUUCAAUGAAAUUACAAUUUUAUUUCCAAUUUUGAGGGCAUGACGGGGUACACCAAACUAACCCAAUGACGAUAUCCAAUUAUGAAAAGAAAAUAUCAUUCACGGAGAAAUCCUGAGGACUAGGCUUCUUCAUGCUUUCUCAUAAAAAAAAACUUAUAAAAAAAAAUCAUUUUUCAGGCCAUUUCCAAAAGCAUGCAUUAUGUUAGCCCUGUGUAAUUUUCCAACUCAUUUACUUCAUAUUUCAGAGUAUUACUUUUUUGGCCUAAUGAGAAAGCAUAUGAAAAGGCACAUCAGACGACAAAUUGGGGACACUACAGAUUCUAAUAGUGAGAUGACUAAGAUAAAAUCUCGAUCUGAGCUAAAAUGGAUGUUCAAUUUGAACUUACUUUGAUAGUAUCCUAUUCAUGCAUGUUCUCUUGUGCAAGGGCAAAAGCAAGAAGGGACUAUUUAUCAAAUCAAAGAUCGGAUUCUCGAUCUUAAUCCAAGGAGGUAGUUCCUUUCUGGGGUAAUCUCCUGAAUGAAUGCUUACAAUCAUGUUUGGAGUGUGGUGAAUUGUCUGUUUUGAAAUCACAAAAGCUUCUUAUGCUUAAAUUGUCAGGACUCUUUUGAAAAGAGAGUUUCGAUAGUGAUUUUACCUAUUUAACUUAUCAAUUUCAUGUGGAGAUUUGUCAAGAUAGACAAUGCAAUGGAGUGACAUCAAUGUUUAAGAAUGCUAAAUGAGACGUAUUGGGAUGAUGAAAGGCAAGCCUUAUCCUAUGCACAGUCCUUCUACUUAUACUUUUGUGAGAUGAGUGAGGAAAGUUCCAUAUCUACAUGAUAAAGAGUUUUCNNNNNNNNNNNNNNNNNNNNNNNNNNNNNNNNNNNNNNNNNNNNNNNNNNNNNNNNNNNNNNNNNNNNNNNNNNNNNNNNNNNNNNNNNNNNNNNNNNNNAAAAGCAAUUGUUCAAACAGUAUGGCCUGGAGUAUUGACAAAAGAGGAAGACCUCCCAAAGGUCCAAAUGUUAAAAGCACCAUAUUUUAAUUCAAAAUAGAACCAAGGGGCGUGAAAAAGCAGUGUGCUAGGUAAAAGCAAGGCUAAUGCCCGUGAAAAAGGAAGUGAAGGAAAAAAUGAAGGAGAACUAGGGCAUGAAAAAGCGGUGUGCUUGAUAAAAGCAAGGCUUAUGCCCAUAGAUGGAAAAAGAGAGUCAAGAUAAGGACUAUCGGUUGAAAAAAAAUUGUAUCCCCAAUGGAGCAAUACUCAAAGAACUCAAAUGCUGAGUUUUUACAAUCAAUGAGGUGCAUUAUGAAGACAAUCCCCGAUGGUGAAAAAGAAAACUAGUGGCAAUGCCAAGAUGAUCAUCAACUCUCAACCUUUACACAUAUUUUGAGCCUAAUGGUCCUUUUGUUUCUCAACCCACGAACCCAACCUAUGUUAUGUCCUUUGCAAAGUCUCUUCAAAAUAGGGCACUUGAAUUAACAUGGGAGUUCAUAUGUUUAUAAACAUCACUCGAAGAAGUGUAAGCAAGAUUGUUUUUUUCUCAUUUUGCAGGGCUCUUGACUUGUAAACCCAGAGAUCAUUACAUAAUUAUUCUUUCAAUUGCAUUGACUCAAAGAGUCCAUUUGUUGAGCCAUUGACCAAGCCUAUAUUACAGGCCCUAUUAAAGACCUCUCAGAUUGGUAAUAUUGUACCGCUUGCAAGAAUAUUUGGACCCUUGCCGAUAUGGUGAGAUUGAGUGAUUCUCAUAAAAUAGCCAUUCUAAAUGAGAGUGAGUGAAAGUCAUUUCUAAUUGAAAGUCUCUCAUUUAGUAUUCUUAAGAAAUCCAUGAAAUUGUCUUGAACAACAAUUCUCUCCAGUGGAAAUUUGGGUGAUGCAAAUAUGGUAAAGUCAUUAUGCAUAAACCUUGAUUGAAUUGAUGAAAACUUCACUAAAAUUUCGAAAUGUGCAUUUUAAAGUAGCUCAAAUUGUCUACCUAUUUGAUGAAUGCAUACUAGUGUUUUUCUCUAAUCGCGUCUAACAGAUAAUAUUUCCUUGAAGAUUGAGUAAUACUUGACGUUUAAGUUGCUCCUUGAAGCCUUGAGAUUCAGCGUGCUUUUGUAGCUCGAAGCCUUUUUCACUAACCCGACAUGCUUCCAUAACCCGGUGUCCUUUAUAUUGACCUGGCGUACUUUCGUAGCCUAGAGUCCCUUUUAUCGAACCGGCAUGCUUCCAUAACCCGGAUUUCCUUUAUAUUGACUUGGCGUGCUUCCAUAGCCUAGAGCCCUUUUCAUUGACUCAGCGUGCUUCUGUAGCCCAAUUUCCCUUUUAAUAAACCUAGCGUGCUUCCGUAGCCUAGAGUUCUUGGCGUGCUUCCGUAGCCUGAAGUUCUUGACCUGGCAUGCUUUCGUAGCUUAGAGUUCUUUUCAUUGACUCGGCAUGCUUCGGUAGCUUGAUUUCCUUUUUAAUAGACCCGGCGUGCUUCCGUAACCCGGAGUUUCUGACCUGGCAUGCUUUCGUAGCCCAGAGUCCCUUUUAUCGAAUCAGCGUGCUUUCAUAGCUCAGAUUUCCUGACCUAGUGUGCUUUUGUAGCCCAGAGUCCUUAUUUAUCGACUUGGCGUGCUUCCAUAGCCUAGUGUCCAUUUAUAUUGACCUAGCGUGCUUUCAUAGCCCAAAGUCCCUUUUAUCAAUCCGGUGUACUUUCGUAGCUUGGAUUUCUUUUAUCGACCUAGCGUGCUUUAGUAACCCAGAGUCAUUUUCAUCAACAUGGCGUGAGUCCCCCUAUCAAAUCGACAUGCUUUUGUAGCCCGAAGUUCCUCUUAAUCGACACUAGAUUGAGCUGUCCCCCAAUGCUUUUUCUCCAGGUUUAGUUUGAUUAAGGUGAUUGAAGAAAGGUUUAGAUCCUCGUCAGAUGAUCCAUAUUGCAUUGCCAGGCAACCGUAGAAAGGUACAGGUCCUAUACAAUAUUUGUUGCUUCAAUAGGCAACCGUAGAAAGAUACAGGUCUUGGAAAAGCUGUUCCCCAUUCAAGCGACAGAAGAAAGGUAUGGGUCAUGGAAAAUGAUUUCUUAUUCAGGAGACCCUAGAAAGGUACGGGUCCUGGAAAGUGAUUUCCUAUUUAGGCGAUUGUAGAAAGGUACGGGUCUUGGAAAGUGAAUCCCCAUUUAGGUGACCGUAGAAUGGUAUGGGUCCUAGACAAUAUUCAUUGCUCUAACAGGCGACCGUAGAAAGGUACGAGUCCUAGAAAAGCAAUUUUUUUUGUCAAGGCAACCGAAGAAAGGUUCGGGUCCUAGACAACCAAAUACUGCCAUACUGGGCGACUAUAGAAAUGUACAAGUUCUAGGAAAGUAGUUUUCUUACAAAGUCUUGUUGCUAUUCUGGGCGACCGUAGAAAGGUACGGGUCUUGAACAUGUAACACCAACUAUCUUGAAUUACUCUAUCCUCCUUAAAGGUAAGAUAUUCCAAUUAGGUUCCUUUUCCGUUUGCAUUAGCAUUUCCAUACAAAUUGCAUUCCAAAAUCUUGACAUCUCAGUCUAGAUCUGGAUGUCUUAAUUAUUUUCAUCUAAACAUUUCACUCCGGAUGUGAAUGUUUUUCGAUCUUUCUCGUUAUACCUUAGUCUAGAUCUAGGUAUUUCGAGUUCAAAAAUCUUGAUAUCUCAGUCUGGAUGUAUAUGUCUUAAUUCUUUUCAUUUAAAUAUUUCACUCUGGAUGGGAAUGUUUUUUGAUCUUUCUCGUUAUACCUUAAUCUAGGAAUUUCGAGUUCAAAAAUCUUGACAUCUCAGUCUCGAUCUGGAUGUUUUAAUUCUUGAACAUUUCAUUCUGGAUAUAAAUGUUUUUCAAUCUUCUCGUUAUACCUUAGUCUGAAUCUAGAUAUUUUGAGUUCCCAAAAUCUUGACAUUUCAGUCUGGAUUUGAAUGUCUUAAAUCUUUUCGCUAAACAUUUCAUUCGGAUAUGAAUGUUUUUUGAUCUUUUUCGUCAUACCUAAGUUUGAAUCUAGAUAUUUCAAUAAACAUUAGAAUCUUCAAGAAACCUGAAUGAAGGCCGGGUACUUGUAGAGUAAAUGAAUAUUUAUCAUGUACCUCAAGAUGCUCUACCGCACUGAUCAGUAAGUAACUACAGGUAUCUCUCUCUGUUUGCGUCAUGCAUUUGCAUUAUCAUUUUCUUGCAUCAUAUAAAUUGCAUUUUAAAAUUGGAUUCAUUUUCCAAAAAGAAAAAAUCAUUUGGCGCAUGUGCAUGAUCAAAAUUUAGGUCUCAAUUUGUCUAUAAAGGCAACCUCUACGAGCUCACCUUCAAAGAGGGGUAGCUGUUGACACCUAAAUUUUGGCAAUCCAUUUAGUUAUUCAUCGCACUAAAAAAUUAGGGAUUAAUUUUUAACCCCUAAAAAAAUAAUUAAUUAAUUGCAUAGCAUAUAAUUUUAGGUGCAUUUUUUUUUCUUUUAAAUUUGCAUUUGCAUUGGACCGGCGACGGAUGGGUUCAACUUGAUGGUUUGGAACUUUAAUUUGAUGAGUUGGGCUAAGCCCACAAAGAGAGCAAAUCGGCUCAAGCCCGUAUCCUUGAGGAGAUUUUAGGGAUUCAUCUUUGCGAGUUUUCAAAUUUGAGAAAAAUCCUUUUGCAAUUCUGAAUCUUAUAAAAAAAAAUAUUGCGUUCAGAAAAGAAAUCUUCAUGGAUAUUGAUUUGGAAAAAUUAAAACCUAAUUUGUGACUUAUAAGAAGGUCGUUCACGUAGGGUUUUGGGGACUUUUUCUUGGUUUUCUAGGUCAAAGGUUUAAGCACGAAAGAAAAAAGUUUUUCUUUUCCUUUGGUUCUUUUGUUUCUUCGUUGGGGGUGGGGCUCCAAAAGUCAGAAAUACAGCAGAGAGAGGGACAAGGAGUAGACAUGAGAUAGAUAGGAAGAGAGAGAAAGAAUUAAAAAAGAAGAACAAUGUUCCUCUUCUCCAACAGAUCUGCCGCCUGCUUGCUCUGCUUCUGCUCUUCCUCUGCUGCGACCAAGCCACAACGUCGCAUCCCGUCCAUCUGUGUCGCCCGAGUCUGGCCACCAGCCACCACCACGACCGCCUGCUUGCGAUUUCGAUCCACCAUCUUUGCUACAUUAGAGUUGCAACUCGAAGCCGUUGAACACCCCUUGCUGCCUAAGCAACUCCAGCCUCUGCUGCUUUCGUCACUGACGUUGGUAGUCAUGACCUAGGGCUACACUGCCGCUCUAUUGCCCCGCUGGAUGUUGCGUUGCUACCCCGCCGCCUCAAUGUAGCAUGUGCACCCUUCUGUGGCGCCUGAGCGAAGCACCGCGAUUGCACUCGCGCACUUCCGCCUCUGCUCUGACGCAUCGCUGCUCUGUUGCCUCACUAGACGCCGCGUUGCCACCUUGCCAGCCUCAGUCACCUCUUAGCCACGACCCAGCUGCAGCCGUCCACCCACCUACAGCGCCUCCAAGCAAGGGCACUAGCCACUCGAGUCGGCCUUGCCUGUUGUUGCAUCUGCUAGCCGCCGACUCUCACUGGAGCUCUGAUUGAUGGCAGUUCUUCGUCCUCAGUGGCCUGCCAUCACAGCCACUUGCCCUUGGCAACCCACCACCAUAGCAGCCUUUGCUGAACCAUGCCAGGCCACAUGGAGCCGCCAUUGAUUAAGCCAAAUUUUGGACAAUUCAAAAUUUGGUAGUUUUUAUUAUUUUUAUUAUUUGUAUUAUUUGUUUCUUUACUUGAAAUAUUCCUGGAUGUAAGAUUGAGAUUUCUCGACAUGAAGUAGACUCUUAAAUUAAGGAUUGACAGUUCGAUUUUCGUGCCCAAAAUCCGACUAGCAAUCCCUUGGAAAAUCACCAAUCUGAUCUCAUGCAUGAGAUAUGGUACGUCAAUUUUUGGAUAUCAAUCUUAUCUUGCUCUGAUUUGCCAUCGUGUGGUUUGAGUCGAUUUUGUUUUUGUAAAAAGGAAAAAAUGAAAAAAAAAUAUAUUUGAAUUAGGAUUAGGUUCGUUUUAGAAUAUUCCUCGUCUUACGAUUAUCUUGCAUAUCUAGAAUAGAAGAUUUAUUUAUUUUGAGUUUGAAAAAAUAAAAAUCCAAAAAAUGCAUUCAUUUAGGAUGUUAGUUUUUUUUAAUUGCACGCUUAAUUAUUUGGCAAUUUUAAUUUCGAAUUUUCUAAAAAAAACACAAAAAAUUAUCAUGCAUAUGUCAUGUAGAAUUAGGGCAUUCUUUGUACGUCAUUGCAUAUUAGGAUAAAAUUGCAUGUUUAAUUUUAAGUUUAGAUAGAUUUCUUAGAUAAGUUGCAUCUUAGGUUAAAAGAUUGCCACGUUAAGAUAAUAUCUUAGUUUAAAUUAAGAUUUGGCCUAACCCAAUUCAUAAUGUAAGUUGGAUAGAAUCUUAAUCUAGCUAGAUAAUUUUUGCAUUUUUCUUAAUUUCUAAUCUCAUGAAAAAAAAAAUUGUCUUAGAGUAAAUUCAUUUCAUUCUCUGGGAUAGAUUGCAUGCUUUUUAAGAGAAUAGAAAUAUCAUGUGCAUGUCAUAUAUAAUUAGAUUCAUGAAAUACAUGUCAUUUAGCUAUUGUUGCUAGGUCCAUUUAGUUAAAAAUUGUUUGUCAUUAGAAUUAGGUCACUUGGUUAUAUUGCAUUGCAUAUAGAUAAGAUUUUAUUAAGCAAGAGAAAAUUCUUUUAAAAAAAGGAUUGAGUGAAUUCGUGUGAAUUAGAAAUUAUAUCUAGGACUAUUGAUGUGAAUUAUGGUCUAACAUUGCAGAUGCUUUCAUUGCUAUGAGGUAAGUCCUACAAUUUAUUCUCUGCUUUAUCUAGGUCUUAAAUUGAUGGUUUGCGCAUACACAUAAUAACUUCAUUGGUUGGGGAAAUAAAUUAAAAUCAAUUCAAACUGCUUACCAAACAUCUUUUUUCAAAAUAAAAUAGAAAGGUACUAAAAGGGUGUUAGAGAAAUCAAACGUAAUCAAGUCCCCGAACUCACCAUCUCUGGUUCGUUGGAGUAAAGUAAAUCUCCCGUUACUUUACUUGGGUUUCUAAUCGACCCACCAAAAAUAGAUUAGUGGUGGCUCAUAAUUGAAAAGUCAAUGGCAUGUUAAGAACUUGAACCUAAGUUGCGAAUUGGUAUGGACUUGGGAGAGCCCGAGCUAAAAUUAAGCUUAGUAGUCCAUUAGCCAAAUCCUAGGUGAAUCACCGGAAAAUUUGGUCGCGACAACUUAGCGACUCCACUGGAAACUUAAGUUAAAACUCUUAAUGGACUUAGGCCAAUUUUCUCUUCCUUUAAAAAAUGUUUUUGUUUGGCAACAAGGAUCCCAGGUAUGUCCCUAACAUUUAAGGCGUUAAAUGUUCUUGCAGGAUAGGAGGUAUAAGGGGAAGUGUUUGCUAAUCCCUUUUUUUUUUUUUUGUAGGGAAGUGUAGGGAUGUAUGGUUUACUUUCAUUUAUGAAGUGUUGCUUGAUAUAAACUGUUGUGCAUGCCUUGCAUUUAGCACUACACUAUCGCACACACAACUUACUGACGGACUUAGGCCGCAUAGGAGAUCAUCUAAGAUGGUAUUGAGAUGGAUACCAUUUCAAUUGCAUGCCUGUGGUAUGAGUCGUCCAUCUCAAUCUCGAAGUUUCUUUUUUUUUUUUUUUUUGGUGUAAAGAGUACCUAGCUUGGUUCGCAUGCCCGCGACCCAGGUCAACUCUUUGACCAAGUCGGAGUCAUGAGGACCCGACUUAGUCCACAUGCCCGCGACUAGUCCAAUCAUCCUUGUGGCUUCACUUUGCUAAGCAUGUCUAGAGUAGAAAUCGAGCCUCACAUCUGAUGUGCAUGUCUAUGUGAUUGCCAUCAAUUUUUCUUGGUGAAGUAAGUCUUCUAUCCCUAUACCAUGCAAUUUAUUCUGUUGUGCUUUUGGUCGAUCCUUGACAAUUUAGGUCAAUCAUUGAUUUAACUCCUUUGUCAAUUAGAGAUGAAAUGAGGAAAUUGUCAUGCAAUGAAUCAUUUGGAAAAAAAAAUUUGGAGAAUUUGUUUCCAAUUCAUGUCUAGAAAAUUUGGUUUUGCUAGGGUGUCUCUUUUUCUAGCUCUUUUUUAGGAAAUUCCCUUCAGUGUGGACUUUUUGUGACUAAAAAAGAAAAAAGAAAAAAUAGAUCAUUGUCAUGGAUUGGCUCUUUAUUUACACCUUGUGCUUACAUAUUUUCAUUCAUUCAAUUAGGUGAUAACGGAUCCCUCACGUUCGCCCAUUAUUAUGCGAUCGAGAGCAAAAGUGCCCAACCAAACUGAAAUGUUUGAUCGUAUCGCCACUAUGGAAGACCAACUCCAAUAGUUAGUCACCUCUAUGUAGCUUAUGAUAACUCAAAUCCAAUCCCUCCGAGCAAAUCCAACUACUGCCCCCACUCUCCCCGAGAUAGUAGUUCCGAAGCAAUCAAGCAAGGCCAAAAUGGGUGAUGGUGAUAUGCCUGAAUUGGAAGAUGACCCACUGUUGGUCACUCUCGAAAAAGCUAAGCCUAACAAUGUCCCUAAGAUGGAGGAAGAUGAAUGCUUCGCAAAGCUUGAAGAGAAGGUGAAGCAAUUGCAAGAGUCGCAGAGUUCACUUCCGUUUGACUUGUCAGUGUAUGAGAAGGUUAAGGGGGCAAAAAAGUUUAAAAUGCCGGAGUUCAAGAAAUACGAUAGUACUUUCUGCCCGAAAGCUCAUUCACAUCUCUUCCUAGACCUUUCAAUGCUUAAGAAUGUUGAAUGAGACAUGGCAGGAUGAUGAAAGGCAAGCCUUAUCAUAUGCACAGUCCCCUACUUAUACUUUUGUGAGAUGAGUGAGGAAAGUUCCAUCUACAAGAUAAAGAGUUUUCUCACGAAAGGUACGAUGACCUAAAUGAUGAGGGACAAUUUAUUUCUCUAUCCCAAACACUACAUAUGAUCCAUUGCUUAACCCCUUUGAGCCUUAUACACUUGUGGAGAUUCUUUUCAAAUUAUCCCUGUCAAGAACCACCCCACAUCGGGGCAAGUUGAAGGUAAGACAGAAUCAUGAGGUGAGGACAAUGAAAAGAAUUUUUCUUACUCUCACUUGCAUCAAUCUUCAAGUUGUGCUAUUAAAUUGAAUUCAUGUGGUGAUUUAAGUGCCUUAGGAUGACGAAGAGCAUUUCUUUCUUUAUCCUACAUACUUAUAUCCUUUGAAUAGCGCACUUGAGCUUGCAAUUUCAUUUCUUUAAACCUAGUUGAUGAUCAUCCCCCACACUGGGGCAUUGCAAAAAUCAAUUGUUCAAACAGUUUGGUCUGGAGUGCUAAUAGAAGACGAAGACCUCCCAAAGGUCCAAAUGUUAAAAGCACCAUAUGGUCAUUCAAAAUAGAACCAAAUGGCAUGAAAAAGUAGUGUGCCGGGUAGAAGUAAGGCUAAUGCCCGUGAAAAAGGAAGUGAAGGAAAAAAUGAAUGAGAGCUGGGGGCAUGUGUCGCGACCAAAUUUUUUCGGGGGUGAACCACCUAAAAUUUGGCUAAUGGAUUAUUAAGCCUAGACUUAACUCGGGCUCUCCUAGGCCUAUACCAAUUUGCGACUUAAGUUCAAGUUCUUAGCAUGCAAUUGAUUUUUUAAUCAGGAGUCACCACUAACCUAAUUUUUGGUGGGUCGAUUAGAAACCCAAGUAAAAUAAUAGGAGUUUCACUUUACUCCUAUGAACCAGAGACUAUGGGCACGGGGACUUGGUUACACUAGAUUUCUCUAAUGCCCUUUCGGUACCAUUUCUUUUUAAUUUUCAAAAAUAUUUUUGUAGGUAGCUUAAAUUGAUUUUAAAUCUAAUUCCCUAACAUGUGAAAUGAUCAUGUGGAUGUGCAAUCCACCAAUUUAACAUCUAGAUAAACAAUAAAUAAAUUUCAAAAACUUACCUCAAAACAACGAAAGCAUUUGCAAUGUUAAAUUAAAAUCCACAUCAACAACCCUAGAUAUGAUUUCUAAUUAACAUGAAAUUUCUUUUUUUUUUCACUUAAUUAAUGAAAAUCAUGUAAUAUGCAAUGCAAUAUUAACUAAAUGACCUAAUUCUAAUGACAUGUAAUUUCUAAUUAAAUGAGCCUAGCAAAAAUACUUGAUGGCAUGCAUUUAAUGGAUUUCAUGCACAUGACAUUUUUUAUUUUAUUUUCUUUCUCUCUUUUUUUUUUAUAAAAAAAAUGCAAUCUAUCUUAAAGAUUGAAACUAAUUUAUUUCGAGACAUUUUUUGUAUUAUUUUUUUUAUGAAAAUUCGGUAUUAGGAAAAAUGUGAAAAUUAUUUAACUAGAUUACGAUCCUAUUUAAUUUAUAUUAGGAAUUAGGUUGAGCCAAAUCCUAAUUUAAACUAAAACAUUAUCUUAACCUAAAUAAUCCUAAAAGGCAAUGUCUAAAAAAAUACCUAAACUUAUAACAAAUUAAGAAAAGUAUUAUAUAAAAUUAAACUAAAUGCAAUUUUACCAUAGUAUGCAGUGACGUACAAAAUAUGCCCUAUAUCUACAUGACAUAUGCAUGAUUAUUUUUUUUGUUGUGUUUUUGUUUCAUUAAUUUCGAAAAAAAAGGUCAAAUAAUUAAACAUGCAAUUUAAGCUAAUGAAACAAAAAUCUAACAUCCUAAAUUCAUGUUUUUUUUUUUUCAAAAAUUGAUGAUAAAUAAAAUGUCUAGUCUAAAUAUGCAAAUGACCCUAAAGCAUGCGAUAUUUUAACUCAAACAUAUUUCAAGAUAAUUAAAACAAUUAAAAUAAAACAUAUCAUCUAAAAUCAUCGAAAAUAUCACACAUCAUUCAGAUCAUAGGGUAAAAUUCCGCUAAUAAAAUCGAUAAAUUGAUCUUAAGCCUUAAAGAUCAAAAUAUCAAUUUUAUUCUCGCUUGAUUAAUUACUUCAUCUAAAGCCUUAUAAAUGAAAUAAAAAAACCCAGGCUCGAUUGCCAAUCAGGGUAUAUGUUGGAAUUUCCAAUCAUAUAUUAAAGACUAAUUAUACUAUAAAAAACAAGAUAAAGUAAAAUAAAAUAAAAUAAUUAAAAGAAAAACUACCUGAUGUGUUUUCUUUUUUCUUUUUCUUUUUUUUUAAGCAAAGAUGAUGGUUGCUUCGAUAAGGGGAUUCGCCGGCAGUGAACUCCGGUGAGAGCAGCAAGGGUAGCUACCGGCGAGGGACUCCGGCGAAGCAGGGUGACGAUGAGCAGCGGCAGGGGGAGGCUCCAGUGGCAUCGGGCCAUGGCAGGGACAGCAGCGUGGCAGCAGCUGAGUGUUGGGCAGAGGCGAGCAGGGGCGGUGUGGUCUCCUGUGCUGCAGAUCGGCGACGACAAAGGCGGAGCUGGGGUGCUUGGGUCGCGGAGGCGACUGGUCUUGCGGUGGUGCGGCUCCGGCUGCGCUGGCGAAGAACGGAUGCGUGGUGGCGAGCGAGCAGGAGGCAACAGCGUUGGGUCGUCUGUCAGAGAACAGCAGCAGCGCCUCGAGCUACUGGGUGGUGGUGCAGCUGCAGGCGGAGUAGAAGGGGUCAGUGCAGGUUGCUGCAACAGGCGGUCAAGGUGGAGAGGGCGUCAGGCACUGGUGUAGCGGCGGGUGGCGCUCGGCAAGGUUAGGACCGGUGGGCUUUGUUGGAGCUUCGGCGUCGGGCUGGGCAGCAGUAGGUUGCGGGUGUAGAGGUACGGUGAUGGGCGUCAGAGGCGUGCGGCAGCGGCGUCGGUGGCAAGGCGCGGCGACGGUACAUGCGGUGGCGCGGCGGCGAGCGGGCUUUGGUGGCGUCGUGGGUGGUGCUGGUGCAGUGCUCACGGACGGAGGAGGUGCAACGUGAGCGUGGGCAGGGGCUUCCACGUGAAGAAGACAAACAAUAGCUCCUGCUGCUUUUUUCUUUUUUUUUUUCUUUUUCUUUCUGGCCACACAUCACUUCUCUGCACUUUUUCUCUUUCUUUUGCUGACUUUUCCCUUUCUUUUCUUCUGCAGGUUGUCAGAAGGGAAAAAAAGAAAAAGAAAAUGACCCUUGGACGAGAAAAUGGGAUUUCCUCUUUUUUUUUUUUUUUACUUUCAUGAAUCCUCUCAGCUCUUUUCAUGAAUUUUUUUUAGCGGAUUCUCCCUCUUUAACCCUGUGUAGGUCAACUCCUUUUUAUAGUGGUUCCGAUCAGCCGCUUUCUAUGGAAAAUUUUAAACUUCCAUCUUCUGUUACAUUAAAUCAGGGAUGCAAAUCGGAGCAUCAUUUCGCAAUCAGCUUGAUUUUUAAAUUAAUUUAUUCCAUUUUGUGAAAAUUCUUACCCUUUAUUCACUUGAUUUUUAAAUUGCUUCUACAUUUAACAAAAUCUGAAUAUCCAUUAGAAUUCCAAUUUUCCAUGCGUGAUCAAUCAAAUCAAUUUCCCCCAUUUUUUUUCAUUUUUUUCUUUUAUUUGUUCCAAUGCAAUUUUUAUUUUCCUUAUUUUCCUAAAUGUGCCAAAAUCAGGUGUCAACAGCAUGAAAAAACGAUGUGCCUGGUAAAAGCAAGGCUGAUGCCCAUAGAUGGAAAAAAAGAGUCAAGAUAAGGAUUAUCGGUUGAAAAAAAGGAAAACUGGUGGCAAUGCCAGAUGAUCAUCAACUCUCACCUUUUACAUAUAUUUUGAGCCUAAUGAUCCUUUCGUUUCUCAACCCAUGAACCUAGCCUAUGUUACGUCCCUUGCAAAGUCUCUUCAGAUUAAGGCACUUGAAUUAACAUAGGAGUUCAUAUGUUUGUAAGCAUCGCUUGAAGAAGUGCGAGCAAGAUUAUUUCUUUCACAUUUUGUAGGGCUCUUGACUUGUAAACCUGUAGAUGAUUACUGAAUUAUUCUUUCAAUUGCCUUGACUCAAAGAGUCCCUUUAUUAAGCCAUUGACCAAGCCUACAUUACGGGCCCUAUUAAAGACCUUUCAGAUUGGUAAUGUCGUAUUGCUUGCUAGAAUAUUCAGACCCUUGUCGAUAUGGUGAGAUUGAGUGAUUCUCAUAAAAUAGCCCUUCUGAAUGAAAGUGAGUGAAAGUCUUUUCUAACUAAAAGUCUCUCAUUUAGUAUUCUUAAGAAAUCCAUGACAUUGUCUUGAACAACAAUUCUCUCCAGUGGAAAUUUGGGUGAUGCAAAUAUGGUAAAGUCAUUAUGCAUAAACCUUGAUUGAAUUGAUGAAAACUUUACUGAAAUUUUGAAAUGUGCAUUUUAAAGUAGCUCAAAUUGUCUACCUCUUUGAUGAAUGCAUACCAAUUUUUGCUCUAAUCGUGUCUGACAGAUAAUAUUUCCUUAAAUACUGAAUAAUACUUAACAUUCAAGUUGCUUCUUGAAGCCUUGAGAUUCGGCAUGCUUUCGUAGCCCGAAGCCCUUUUCACUGACUCGGUGUGCUUCCAUAACCUAGUGUCUUUUAUAUUGACCUGGCGUGCUUUCAUAGCCCAAAGUCCCUUUUAUCGAAUCGACGUGUUUUCAUAGCCCAGAUUUCCUUUAUGUUGACCUAGCAUGCUUCUGUAGCCUGAUGUCCCUUUUAAUUGACCUGACGUGCUUCCGUAGCCCAGAGUUCUUGACUUGGCGUGCUGUUGUAGCCCAAAGUCCUUUUCACUUACUCGACAUGCUUCCGUAGCCCGAUGUCCCUUUUAAUAGAUCUAGCGUGCUUUCGUAGCCUAAAGUUCCUGACCUGGUGUGCUUUCAUAGCCUAGAGUCCCUUUUAUCGAACCAGCGUGCUUUCAUAGCCCAGAGUUCCUGACCUGGUGUGCUUUUGUAGCCUAGAGUCCCUAUUUAUUAACCCGGCGUGCUUCCGUAGCCCGGUGUCCAUUUAUAUUGACCUGACGUGCUUUCGUAGCCUAGAGUCCCUCCCUUUUAUCAAACCGGCAUGCUUUUGUAGCCCGGAUUUCUUUUAUCUACUUGGCGUGCUUUUGUAGCCGAGAGUCAUUUUCAUUGACAUGGUGUGAGUCCCCCUAUCAAAUUGGCAUGCUUCCAUAGUCCGAAGUUCCUCUUAAUCGACACUCAAUUGAGCUAUCCCUUAAAGGUUUUUCUCUAGGCUCAAUUUGAUUAAGGUGACCAAAGAAAGGUUCGGGUCCUAGUCAGAUGAUGCAUACCGCAGUGCUAGGUGACCGCAGAAAGGUAUGGGUCCUGGAAAAGCUGUUCCCCAUUCAGGUGACCGUAGAAAUGUACGGGUCUUGGAAAGCGAUUUUCUAUUCAGGUGACCGUAGAAAGGUAUGGAUCCUAAAAAGUGAAUCCCCAUUUAGGCGACCGUAGAAUGGUACGGGUCCUAGACAAUAUUCAUUACUCUAAUAGGCGAUUGUUGAAAGUUACGGGUCCUGGAAAAGCAAUUUUUUCUAUCAAGGCGACCAAAGAAAGGUACUGGUCCUGGACAUAUAACACCAACUAUCUUGAAUUACUCUACCCUCCUUGAAAGUAAAAUAUUCCAGGUAGGUUCCUUUACCAUUUGCAUUAGCAUUUCCGUACAAAUCGCAUUCCAAAAUCUUGACAUCUCAAUCUAGAUCUAGAUGUCUUAAUUAUUUUCAUAUAAACAUUUCACUCCGAAUGUGAAUGUUUUUCAAUUUUUCUCGUUAUACCUUAGUCUGGAUCUAGAUAUUUCGAGUUCCAAAAUCUUGACAUCUUAGUUUGGAUCUAGAUGUCUUAAUUCUUUUCAUUUAAACAUUUCACUCUGGAUGGAAAUGUUUUUCAAAUAUUCUCAUUAUACCUUAAUUUAGGAAUUUCGAGUUCAAAAUCUUGACAUCUUAGUCUCGAUCUAGAUAUCUUAAUUUUUCUUGUUGAACAUUUCAUUCUGGAUAUGAAUGUUUUUCAAUCUUCUCGUUAUACCUUAGUCCGGAUCUAGGUAUUUUGAGUUCCCUAAAUCUUGACAUUUCAGUCUAGAUCUGAAUGUCUCAAAUCUUUUCGCUAAACAUUUCAUUCUAGAUAUGAAUGUUUUUUGAUCUUUUCAUCAUACUUAAGUUUGAAUCUAAGUAUUUCAAUCAACAUUAGACUCUUCAAGAAACCUGAAUGAAGACCGGGUACUAGUAGAGUCAAUGAAGAUUUAUCAUAUAUCUCAAGAUGCUUUAUUGCACUGAUCGGUAAGUAACUACAUGUAUGCUCUUUCCUUUUACAUCAUACAUUUGCAUUAGCAUUUCCAUGCAAAAUAUAAAUUGUAUUUUAAAAUGGGAUUCAUUUUCCAACCAAAAAAAAAAAAAACAUUUAGUGCAUGUGCAUGAUCAAAAUUUAGGUCUCAAUUUGUCUUUGAAGGCUAUAUUUACGAGCUCACCUUCAAAGAGGGGCAGUUGUUGACACUUAAAAUUUGGCAACCCAUUUAGUUAUUUAUCGCAUUAAAAACUCAGGAAUUAAUUUUUAACCCUAACAAAUUAAUUAAUUAAUUGCAUAGCAUAUAAUUUUUGGUGCAUUUAUUUUUAAUUUGCAUUUGCAUUGGACCGGCGACGUAUGGGUUCAACUUGAUGGUUCAGAACUUUAAUUUGAUGAGUUGGGCUAAGCCCACACAGAGAGCAAAUCGGCCAAGCCCGUAUCCUCGAGGAGAUUUUAAGGAUUCAUCUUUGUGAGAUUUCAAAUUUGAGAAAAAUCCUCUUGCAAUCCUGAAUCGUAUCAAAAACAAAUAUUGUGUUCGGAAAAUAAAUCUUCGUGGAUAUUGAUUUGGAAAAAUUAAAACCCUAAUCCAUGGCCUAAAAAGAAGGUUGUUCGCGUAGGGUUUUGGGGGCUUUUUCUCGGUUUUCUAGGUCAAAGGUUUAAGCACGAAAGAAAAAAGUUUUUCUUUUCCUUUGGUUCUUUCAUUUCUUCAUUGGGGGGUAGGGCUCCAAAAGUCAAAAAUACAGCAAAGAGAGGGACAGGGAGUAGAUGUGAGAUAGACAAGAGGAGAGAGAAAGAAUUAAAAAAGAAGAACACUUUUCUUCUUCUCCAGUAGAUCUAACUCUUGCCUGCUCUGCUUCUGCUCUCCCUCUGUUGUGACCCAACCAUGACGCUGCAUCUCAUCCGUCUGCGCCGCCUGCGUCUGGCUGCCAGCCAACGCUGCGACCUGCUUGCUCACGAUUCCGAUCCACCAUUUCUGCUGCAUCAAAGCUGCAACCCGAAGCUGUUGCACACCCCUUGCUGCCCAAGCCACUCCAGCCUUUGCUACUUUUGUCGCCGAUGCCAGUAGCCGGGACCUAGUGCCGCACCACCGUUCUAUUGCCACGUCGGAUGCCGCGUUGCCACCUCGCUGCCUCGAUCUAGCACAAGCACCUUUCCGCGGCACUCGAGCCAAUCACCGUGCCUACACUCGCACACUUUUGCCUCUGCUUCAAGGCACCGCCACUCUACUGCCCCGCCAGAUGCCACGUUGCCUCCCCACAAGCCUUGGUCACCUCUCAGCCAUGACCCAUUUGCAGCCGCCUGCUCGCUUGCAACACCUCCGAGCGACGGCACCAAUAGCUCGAGCCAACCUUGCCCGUUGCUCCAUCCACCAGGCGCCGGCUCUCGUCGGAGCUCCAAUUGACGGAGGUUCUUCGUCCUCAGCGGCCCGCCAUCAUGCCACUUGCCUUUGGCGACCCACCACCAUAGCAGCCUUUGCUGAACCACACCGGGCCAUAUGGAGCCGUCGUUAAUUAAGCCAAAUUUUGGAAAAUUCCAAAUUAGGUUGUUUAUUUAUUUAUAUUUAUUAUUAUUAUUAUUAUUAUUAUUAUUAUUAUUAUUAUUAUUAUUAUUAUUAUUAUUAUUAUUAUUAUUAUUAUUAUUAUUAUUAUUAUUAUUAUUAUUAUUAUUAUUAUCAUUUGUUUCUUUACUUGAAAUAUCCUUGGAUGUAAGAUUGAGGUUUCCCGACAUGAAGUAGACUCUUAAAUUAAGGAUUGACAAUCCAAUUUUUGCGCCAGAAAUUUGACUCGCAAUCACUUGGAAAAUCGCCAAUCUCAUUUCAUGCUCGAGAUUCGAUUCGUAGUUUAUUGAAAAUUGACCAACCUGAUCUGAUGCGCAAGAUAUGGUUUGUCAAUUUUUGGAUAUCAAUCCUAUCUUGCUCUGAUUUGCUGUCGUGUGGUUUGAGUAGAUUUUAUUUUUGUAAAAAGAAAAAAAAAUCCAAAAAAAUAUAUUUGAAUUAGGAUUAGGUUUGUUUUAGAAAAUUCCUCAUCUUAGGGUUAUCAUGCAUUUCUAGAAUAGGAGAUUUAUUUAUUUCGAGUCUUUGAAAAAAUAAAAAUCCAAAAAAUGCAUUCAUUUAGGAUGUUAGUUUUUUUGAAUUGCACGUUUAAUUAUUUGACAAUUUUAAUUUCGAAUUUUAUAAAUAAAAAAAACAAUUAUCAUGUAUAUGUCAUGUAGAAUUAUGGCAUUCUUUGCAUGUCAUUGCAUAUUAGGAUAAAAUUGCAUGUUUAAUUUUAAGUUUAGAUAGAUUUUUUAGAUAAGUUGCAUCUUAGGUUAGAGAUUGCCAAGUUAGGAUAAUAUCUUAGUUUAAAUUAAGAUUUGGCCUAACCCAAUUCUUAAUGUAAGUUGGAUAGAAUCUUAAUUUAGCUAGAUAAUUUUUGCAUUUUUCUUAAUAUCGAAUUUCAUGAAAAAUACAAAAAAAAUUGUCUUAGAGUAAAUUCAUUUUAUUCUCUAGGAUAAAUUGCAUACUUUUUAAGAGAAUAGAAAUAUCAUGUGCACGCCAUAUAGAAUUAGAUUCAUGAAAUACAUGUCAUUUAGCUAUUGUUGCUAGGUUCAUUUAGUUAAAAAUUGUCCGUCAUUAAAAUUUGGUCAUUUUGUUAUAUUGCAUUGCAUAUAUAUUAGAUUUUAUUAAAACGAGAGAAAAUUCUUUUAAAAAAAGGAUCGAGUGAUUGCGUGUUAAUUAGAAAUCACAUUUAGGACUGUUGAUGUGAAUUCUGAUAUUAAAUUGGUAGUUUGCACACCCGAAUGAUAACUUCACAUGUUAGGGAAAUAAAUUAAAAUCAAUUCAAACUACUUGCCAAACAUCUUUUUCAAAAUAAAAGAGAAAGGUACCGAAAGGGCGUUAGAGAAAUCUAACGUAAUCAAGUUCCCGAACUCACCAAUCUCUGGUUCGUAGGAGUAAAGUGAAUCUCCCGUUACUUUACUUGGGUUUCUAAUCGACCCACCAAAAAUAGAUUAGUGGCGACUCCUAAUUGUAAAGUUGAUGGCAUGUUAAGAACUUGAACCUAAGUCGCAUAUUGGUAUGGGCUUGGGAGAGCCCGAGCAAAGUUUAAGCUUAGUAGUCCAUUAGCCAAAUCCUAGAUGGAUCACCCGAAAAUUUGGUUGCGAUAGCUUGGCGACUCCGCUGGGACUUGAGUUAAAACUCUUAGUUGACUUAGGCCAAUUUUUUCUUCCUUUGAAAAAUGUUUUUGUUUGGUAGCAAUGAUCCCAGGUACGUCCCUAACGUUUAAGUUGUUAAAUGUUUUUGUAAGAUGGGAAGUAUACAGGGAAGUGUUUGCUAACCUUUUUUUUUUUUUUGUAAGAAGGUGUAGGGAUGUAUGGUUUACUUUCAUUUAUGAAAUGUUGCUUGAUAUAAACUGUCGUGCAUGCCCUACAUUUAGCACUACACUAUUGCACACAUAAUCUGCCGUCGGACCUGGGCCGUAUAGGAUCAUCUAAGAUGAUAUGGAGAUGGAUACCACUUCGGCCGCGUGCCGGUGGUAUGAGUCGCCUAUCUCAAUCCCGAAGUUUCUAGUUUUUGGUGUCAAGAGUACCCACCUUGGUCCGCAUGCCCACAACCCGAGUCAGCUCUUUGACCAAGCCGGAGUCAUGAGGACUCGACUUAGUCCACAUGCCCGCGGCUAGUCCGAUCAUCCUUGUGGCUUCACUUUGCUAAGCUUGUCUAGAGUAGAAAUCGAGGCUCACAUCUUAUGUGCAUGUCUAUGUGAUUGCCUUCGAUUUUUCUUGGUGAAGUGUUCUAUCCCUAUACCAUGCAAUUUAUUCUGUUGUGUUUUUGGUUAGUCCAUGACAAUUUAGGUCAAUCAUUGAUUUAACUCCUUUGUCAAUUAGAGAUGAAAUGAGGAAAUUCUCAUACAAUGAAUCAUUUGGAGAAAAAACUUUGGAGAAUUUGUUUUCAAUUCAUUUUUAGGAAAUUUGGUCUUGCUAGGGUGUCUAUUUUUCUAGCUCUUUUUUAGGAAAUUCCCUUUAGUGUGGACUUUUCGUGACUAAAAAAAGAAAAGAAAAAAUAGAUCAUUGUCAUGGAUUGGCUCUUUAUUUACACCUCAUGCUUACAUAUUUUCAUUCAUUUAAAUUAGGUGAUAAUGGAUCCCUCACAUUCGCCCAUUAUUACGCGAUCAAGACUAAAAAUGGCCGACCAAACUAAAGUGUGUGAUCAUAUCUCCACUAUAGGAGACAUCAAGAAAUACGAUGGUAUUUCUUGCCCAAAAGCUCAUUUGCAGAUGUACCAUGUAUGCAUGGCCCAAUAUGUCAAGAAUGAGCCCCUCAUGAUCCAAUCAUUUCAUGCUUGGUAUGUGAUGAAAAAUAUGAACCUUCUCGAUACCUAGAAUGAAGUGGCUAACGCAUUCCUCAAACAAUAUAAGUUCAAUAUGGACAUCGCACCUUCCCAAAAAAAUCUUGAGAGAAUGGAGAAGAAGAGGAGUGAAUCAUUUAAGGAGUAUGCCAUGAGAUGGCGAAAUCUGGCAACUCAAAUCACUCCUGAACCUACUAAGAAGGAGUUGAUGAAGUUUUUGGUCAAGACUCUCUCGUCUGAGUUCCGUAACCGAAUGGCCAGCACAUAUGUCGAGAACUUUAAUCAACUUAUUCCUGUGGGAGAACAAAUUGAGAUGGGGAUAAGAGAUGGAUGGUUUAAUGAGCCAACCUCUGCAAGCAAAAGAUUUACCCCAAAGAAAGAAAAGGACCUUGAAGCUGAGAUUAAUGUGGCUUAUUCUCAACUAAAUCGUGAUACAUCCAAUUGCACUCUGGUAAUUAAGAUUUCUACUGAGCAACAAGGUGGAGGACAUCAAUUCUCUGGUCAAUGACGAAGUGGAGACAAUUCACACCUCUUCCUGGACCUUUAUCUAGAGUCUUGCUUGUUCUUCAAAAGAAGGAAUUACUUUCUACUGAGCCGAAGCGACCAAAUCCGAACAUUAUCUUGCAUAUAAUCCCUCCAAAAAGUGUGACUAUCAUAUGGGAGAGGUUGGUCACUCCACUAAUGAUUGCAAUGUUUUGAAGCAUAGGGUCCAAGACCUUUUGGAUACAAAGACGUUCUCUUUCAACGGUAAUAAGAAAAACCCUCUGCUCAACCAUGACGGAGGUGCAAAUGCUGUCACUAAGUGAAGAAGUUCUUAUCUUCACAUUUCUCUACGAAUGAGUUUUUAUUUUUAUUUUUAAAUGCUUUCUAGGAUUUCAAGUUUUUUUUAGGAUUUUUUGUUUUCUGAAGUUUCAAUUGUUGCUUUUGAUCUAGGGUUUGCUUGUUUGCAUUUUCCAUUCCAAUAAUGUAAUUUGUUUGAUUCUAUUCAAUGAAAUUACAAUUUUAUUGCCAAUUUUGAGGGCAUGACGAGGUACACCAAACCAGCCCAUUGACGAUAUCCAACCAUGAAAUGAAAAUAUCAUCCACAGAAAAAUCCUAAGAAUUGGGCUACUUUAUGCUUCCUCAUAAAAUAAAAAUAAAAUAAAAACUCAUCAAAAAGAAAAAUCAUUUUUCAGGCCAUUUCCAAAAGCAUGCAUUAGGUUAGCCCUGUUUAAUUUUCUGACUCAUUUACUUCAUGUUUCAGAGUAUUACUUUCUUAGCCUGAUGAGAAAGCAUCUGGAAAGGCACAUUAGAUGACGAAUUGGGGACACUACAUAUUCUAGUAGUGAGAUGAUUGAGAUAAAAUCUCAAUUCGAGCCAAAAUGGAUGUGCAAUUUGAACUUACUUUGAUAGUAUCCUAUCAUGCACGUUCUCUUGUGCAGGGGCAAAAGCAAGAAGGGAGUAUUUAUCAAAUCAAAGAUCGGAUUUUCGAUCUUAAUCCAAGGAGGCAGUUCCUUUCUGGGGCAAUCCCCUGAAUGAAUGCUUAAAAUCAUGUUUGAAGUGUGGUGAAUUGUCUUUUGUGAAAUCACAAAAACUUCUUAUGCUUAAAUUGUCAAGACUCUUUUGAAAAGAGAGUUUCGAUAGUAAUUUUACCUAUUUAACUCAUCAAUUUUAUAUGGAGAUUUGUCAAGAUAGACAAUUCAAUGGAGUGACAUCAAUGCUUAAGAAUGCUGAAUGAGACGUGUCAGGAUGAUGAAAGGCAAGUCUUAUCAUAUGCACAGUCCCCUACUUAUACUUUUGUGAGAUGAGUGAGGAAAGUUCCAUAUGUACAAGAUAAAGAGCUUUCUCGCGAAAGGUACAAUGACCAAAAUGAUGAGGGACAAUUUAUUUCUCUAUCCCAAACACUACAUAUGGUCCAUUGCUUAACCCUUUUGAGCCUUAUACACUUGUGGAGAUUCUUUUCAAAUUACCCCUGUUAAGAACCACCCCACAUCGGGGCAAGUUGAAGGUAAGACAGCAUCAUGAGGUGAGGAAAAUUAAAAGAAUUUUUCUUGCUCCCACUUGCAUGAACCUUCAAGUUGUGCUAUUACAUUGAAUUCAUAUUGUAAUUUAAGUGCCUUAGGAUGACAAAGAGCAAUUCUUUCUUUAUCCUACAUACUUAUAUUCUUUGCAUAGCCCACUUGAGCCUGCAAUUUCAUUUCUUUAAAUCCAGUUGAUGAUCAUCCCGCACACUGGGGCAAUGUGGCAUCCCAAAAUUCAAAGCCAAGCCAUAAGGUGUGUUAAAAUCUCUAAUUAGGUGAUAAAAAUUUCCAUGGCUUAUGCUUUAGCCAUUAGUCUUUAAUUAGAUGAUUUGUGCAUAUGAUUGUGAAAAAUUUAAAUUUGAUAGAUUAAUAAUUUAUGCUUGGCCAUGUACCUUAUAAAUUAAAUUUCAAUAACCAAAAUGCCCCAAGACUUUGGCCAAGAUAAAAAUUAAAAUUUAAAAAUAUUUAUAGAGGAAUUUUAAAAAAAAGGGAAAAAGAGGGUCAAAAUUCGAUUGGGCCUUAAACCCAAGAGUGGAACUUUAAUGGGCCAAGAUGGGCGGCCCAAUAGUGGCCCAAGAGGAGUAGUCGACCAGCCCUAGAGGAGGCCCAAGAAGUGGCCGGAUGGCCCAAGCCCAAGAAGCCCAAACCCAAAUUCAAAAAAUUCAAUAUGACAAGUGGCAAAAGGGAAAGCCAUGCAUUGGUUGGUUUGUAGGCAAGUAAUGAUUGUUAAUCGUGAGGAUUUGGGGGUAUAAGAAGGGAAGAGAGAGAGGGUGGCCGGCCAUUUUGCUCACCCAAGGAGAGAGAGAGAGAGAGAGAGAGGUGUGCGAGAGAGAGAGAGGGAGAGGCCGAGAGAGGAAGGAGGCAGAGCCGAGGGGUCGUCGCCGUUUGUCCGCCUUGUUCGCCGCCCUACGCCGUCGACCGUCCAUUCUAGAGGCAAGUGGGAGUCCUCUAGCUUCUCUUGCAUGCUUGUGUAUUGUUUGCAUGUUGAAUUUUUGGGUGUUAGAUGAGAAAAACCGAAGCAUGGAUGAGUUGUGUGUGGAUGGUGUGGCUGUUGGUGUUCGGAUCGUGUGAGUCAGAAACUUGUUUGAGCUUGCAUGUGUGUUUAGAGUACUAUUUUUGUUUCGAUUUCUUCAUGAGAGUUGUAGCUAACAUCUUGAACUACAACAUACUUAAAUUUCGUGGAAAAUGAUGGAGAUUUGCGGGGUUAAAGUCUUGUUCUACGGAGACCUCAGAUCUGGAGAGUUUUUACUGACCUCUUGCUGGAUUCGUGGUUGCAUGUUGGUUAUUGUUGAGAAUCUCACUUCGAUUUCUUCUUGAAAGUUGUAGGAGACAUCUUAAAAUACAACAUAUUCAAAUUUUAAGUGAAAUGAACAAGUAUAGCCUAGUAAAUCGACUAGAUCUUGAAGAAGAUGAUUCUGGUGAUGUAUUUUGAGAUACCCGAGACUUCAAGGACAUAGAUGAUGACUAUAUUCUGGUUAUUUGACUUAGAUCUCUUCAUGAAACUUGUAGAGGAUAUCUUUAUGUAUAACAUAUCCAAAUUUCAGAUAAAAAAGAAAGAUAAUAGGUAGGUGAAAUCUCAAUAUUUCGGUGAUAUGUGCACUCGACGAUGCGGUAAUGGGUCCAGAAGCUUCGUGAGGUUGUAUAAAAUAAUAUAAAAAUAAUAUGGCUUGGAGUUCUUCAUGAAAGUUGUGCGAAAAUGUCUUGUCUAUCACUCUGUAAAAUUUCGUAAUUUUUGGAGACUGUAUGGAUAUUUUAAUCGAAUUUCUUCGGAAACUGUGCAUUCUGGUUUUAUCCGAAUAUUAUGUGUUGUUUUGUGGAAAUUGUGAAAUUGUGUGAAAUUCAAUUUUGCAUGAAAUUGUCAUCCUAUUGGUUUGUUUAAUGAUUGCUUGAAUUUUUAUAAUUUUGGGAAUUUAUAGAUAUUGAAUUUAAUAUUUAUUUAUUAAAAAUAAAUAAAUAAAUAAUAAAAUAAAAUAAAAUAAAAUGGAUUAUUUUAUUGGCCAUAAAUUCCAUUGAAUUUAUAAAUAAAUAAUUAUACAUUGUUGCAUGUAUAAUGAGAUAUUAGUAUAUGUAUGACAUUGAGUUGUGAUGCAUGUGUGCCAAGUAUGACUUGUUUGAUGUCACGCCAUAUGCCAUCUUAAAUUGAGAUUAAAAUAAUGGUAAAUGUGGAUAAUGAUAAGUGAGGAAGUGGUUGUGGUGGAUGAUGAUGCUCGGUGGCCUAGUGGUGUAAUUCCGGAGAUUCCCCGGGAGUGUUGGGAUGCCCGGUGGUAUACGGUACGUAAUUCCAGAGAAGGGGGGGAUCCUGGUAGUAUGUCAGUACAUAAUUCCGGAAGCCUUGUCGGAGGUCUUUGCCCGAAAGGAAUGCCUCACGAUGCCAGGAUUGGGGUGCGGGAUGCCCGGUGUUGGAGAAAUCUUCUUGAAGUAUUUUGAAGUUGACAAAACGUUUCUAUCAGUCUAGUCUGAAGGUUUGCAGACUCUGAUAUUUAAAGUCUGAAGACUUCCGGACAGCUAGACUCAAGACUCAAAGUCUAUCCUCAUUGACAGUCUCUAAUCCGUUGAAGAAAGGUUAUCCAGAACUGGAUGUUUCGUUAAGGAUUUAACCUUAUCAUCUGGAGAAGAUCUCGUGGCUGGAAAAGACGUAACAUAAUCCUUUGAUUGAUCAAGAUUGAUUCAAUGAUUGAAGAUUCGAAGAUUGUCUAAAUAUUAUUGGAAGGUUCUACUUAUGGAAACCGAGAUCCUGAUUGUAUGGGCGAACAGGAUUGAUGGGCUAUCAACGCGUUCCUUUAAUAGCUCGAACAAUCUUUCUAAUUGAUUCCGUCCAACGGGUAGAUUGGAGGAACUCCUUUGGUAAGUGCCAACGGGUAUGAUGGCAUAAAGGAGUAUAUAAGGAAGACGUUCUUAGUUGUUUGAGGUGUGCGCGAUAGAAGAAUUCCAAAGUCUGAAGCUCAUUUUUUGUUUAGACAAUUCCUUGAGCGAAUACUUGUAUACAAAAGAGAGUCUAUAUUUGUGAGAAACCUUGAGGAGGUGUGGUAGAACAUCUACACUGUAAAAUCAAGGCAAAGCUGUGCUGUAACUUCUCUUUUGAUCAUAGUGAAAUCCAUCUGGUGGGCUGUUAGUGCGGAAGAGUGGACGUAAGCUUGGAAUAAGCCGAACCACUAUAAAUCCUGUGUUCAAUUUUCUCUUCCUCACUCUCUCUACCUCGAUCGUAUUUCAUUUUGUUAAUCAAGAGAGAAUUUCCUUUCUAUCUUUUGCUAAGAAUCGCUUCCGUAUUUCGAUAAAUUGUUUGUGCACCUAUUCACCCCCCUCUAGGUGUUUAUACUAGCUAUCUCAAUUGGUAUCAGAGCUCGUGUACUCACUUUGUUUGAAGUGUUUUACUUCAGAGUUAAAGAUCCAUGGCUAGUAUGCUAGCACCAGGGCUGAUGGAAGGGCAAAGUAAUACCAGACCACCCUACUUUGAUGGAAAGGAUUACAACAUCUGGAAAAACAAGAUGAAAGCUUUCCUACGAUCAAAGGAUCCUCUGGAAUGGGACGUUGUAGAAAAAGGAAUUACUCCUACAGCUGCAUCAGUCUCUAAAAGAGGGAAAGAAACUGUUGAGACCAGCGGAAUGACUCAGGAAGAGAUAAACAAGAGACAAGCACUCGAUGCAAAAGCAAUUUACUCUUUAUAUUGUGCUUUGUCACCAACUGAAUAUAAUAGAAUAUUUUCUUGUGUUACAGCAAAAGAAGUCUGGGACAGAUUGCAUAUCACCUAUGAAGGAACAGAUCGAGUGAAGGAAACCAGAAUUAACAUACUUCUCGGUCAAUAUGAAGCCUUCAAAAUGAAACCAGGAGAAUCUAUAACUGACAUAUUUAGCCGUUUUACAGAUAUUGUCAAUGGUCUUGAGAAUUAAAGACAAAAAAUUUCUGAUCCCAUGAAGGUAAACAAGCUACUGCGUGGACUCUCCAAGGAUUGGAAUCACAUAAAGACUUCGAUAAGAGAGACGCAAAGAAUUAUGCCACUAUCUGUCGACGAGCUGAUUGGAACUCUUCAGUCUUAUGAAGUGGAACGGAUCAAUGAAGAUGAAGAUCCAAAAGGUAAGAAAUCCAUUGCAUUAAAAUCAAAUGAUGAUUCUGAUGAUACAGAUUCUAAAGAUGAUAUGGACGAUGAGGAGCUUACUCUCAUGAUAAGAAGAUUCAGAAAACUGAAUAGAAAAGGAAGAAGGUUCAACUCAAAGAAACAAAGCUUUCAAGGACAGCAUACCAAGUCUGUUGAUGAUGAGGAACCAAAUAAAGAUGUAGUCUGCUUUGAAUGCAAGAAAAAGGGACACAUUAGACCCAACUGUCCUCUUCUGAAGAAGAAGAGAGGAAAAGCUGAAAAAUUUCGAAAAGCUCUCAAAGCCGAAACCUAGAGUGAUACAGAGUGUGAAGAAAGUGAUAAUGAAUAUGCCAAUCUAUGUCUGAUGGCACAAUCAGACUCAGACUCUAGAUCAGACUCUGGAUCAGACUCAGACAGUGAAUUUGAGGCAAGUAAUUUUAAAAUUCCUGUCAAAGUUUCUAAAUACAUUGAUGAACUGUGUUUUAGUCUUAAGACUUUUCUCAAAAGAAUUUCCGAACUGAAAAAGGAAAACUCAGCUCUAAAACAAAAGGAAAAUGUUUUAGUAGAAAGAGUUAAAAGUCUAGACUUGACUGUUUCCGCUCUUAAAAAAAUGAAGAUAAUCUUUUAAAAGAAAAUGCUCUUUUAAAAACAGACUUGUCAAAUAUUUCAAAGAAAUUUUCAAUAGGGUCUGAGAAACUUGAAAAAAUUCUUUCAGCUCAAAGACUUUACUUCAAUAAGUCUGGUCUAGGUAUGUCAGCAGAAACAAUUCCCUUGAUUGAUUUUCCUAAAGUAAAAGAAAGAAUUAAGAAAAGACCCUUGAAAGAGGCUUACAAAAAUCAUUUCAAGAAAGUUUUUGUAAAACCUGUAGGUAGAAAUGCUCUCAGAUGUUCAAAGUGCAAUAGUCCGGAUCACUUUGAAAAAGAGUGUCCUAUGGUAUGGAAACCUGUUAAGAAAGUAUGGGCUAAUAUUGUUUAUCUUACUAACACCAAAGGACCCAAGAAAAUUUGGGUACCAAAGAAAGCUUGAGACUUUAUUUUAAAUGCAGGUCUCCGUCAAGAAAAAGGUAAAGUGGUAUCUUGACAGUGGAUGUUCAAGACACAUGACAGGAGACUCAAAUUGUUUUAUAAAGCUUGCUCAAGUAAAUGGUGGAAAAGUUUCAUUUGGAGGAAACAGUAAAGGAAGUAUUGUGGGAUUUGGAACCGUGAAAAUUGGAACUCUCACAAUAAGUAAUGUUUCCUUAGUGGAAGGACUCAAUUACAAUCUUCUCAGCAUUAGUCAAUUGUGUGAUACUGGUUUCAAGAUCUUCUUUCGAGAAGGAACAUGUUCUGAAAUCAGUAAAGAUUCUACUCAAUCUUUCAUGAGUCGAAGACAUGGAAAUAUCUAUCUUCUGGAUGUGAAACCAAAUGAAUCGCAAUGUCUUAUCUCAAUUCAAGACGAAGCAAGCUUAUGGCACAAAAAGCUUGGUCAUGUCAACAUGAAGCAAUUAGCCAAAAUCUCAUCAAAGCAGCUAGUUCGAGGACUACCAAAAUUGCCAUACCAAAAGACUGAUCCAUGCACUCCAUGUAUUCUGGGAAAGCAGGUAAGAAAUUCAUUUAAGCCAAUAAAUCAUGUCCCGACUAAUCAUGUACUACAGUUGCUGCAUAUAGAUCUCUUCGGACCAACCAGAACACAAAGUAUUGGGGGUAAGAAAUAUUGCCUAGUAAUUGUUGACGAUUACUCCCAUUUUACUUGGGUAUAUUUCCUUGCAAGUAAGUCCGAAACCUUUUCGUAUUUUGAAAAAUUUGCUAAAAAGGUUCAAAAUGAAAAAGGAUGUGUUAUCUCUAGUAUAAGAACAGAUCACGGAGGUGAAUUUGAAAAUCAAGAUUUUACAAAAUUUUGUGAUGAAUUUGGCUUUAAGCAUGUGUUCUCCUCUCCAUAUACUCCUCAGCAAAAUGGAGUUGUGGAAAGAAAGAACAGAUCUCUUCAAGAAAUGGCUAGAACUCUUUUAAUUGAAAGUAAAAUUUCUUCACGAUUUUGGGCUGAAGCUGUUUCAACAGCAUGCUAUAUCAUCAAUAGAGUCUUCUUAAGAUCUAUUUUACAGAAAACCCCUUAUGAGUUAUUCAAAAAUAAGAAGCCUAUUGUUUCAUACUUUCAUGUAUUCGGUUGCAAAUGUUUUAUAUUGAAAAAUGCAAAAGAUCGAGUUGGUAAGUUUGAAGAAAGAUUAGAUGAAGGUAUCUUCCUUGGAUAUUCUACAUCAAGCAAAGCCUACAGAGUCUAUAACAAGAAGAGCCAGUCUGUGGAGGAGUCAAUGAAUGUCAAAUUUCAAGACUCAACGCAAGAUGAAUCAAGUCAGACUCAUCAAGAAGAGUCUGAACCUGCUCCAGACUCUCCAAAGCUUACAACUCAAGAAGCAUCUCAAACUCUGGAAGACCAACAUCAGAUUGUUAGUGAAGAUCCAAAUAAAGAAAGAGAUCAUCAACCAGACAAAUCAACAAGUAACUAGAAGCAUAAGUCCAGUCAUCCCAAAGAUCUUAUAAUUGGUGAAAUUAAUGAAGGAAUUCGCACCAGAUCCAAAAGGCGAGAAGAGUCUAGUGCUGUGGCACUCGUUUCUGAAAUUGAACCAAAGAGCAUAAAAGAAGCUUUAUCUGAUGAAAGUUGGAUUGAAGCUAUGCAAGAAGAGCUUAGACAGUUCAACAUUAAUGAUGUCUGGAAAUUGACAUCCAAACCAAAAGGUAAAACUGUUAAUGGGUGUUCAGAAACAAGAUGAAUGAGAAAGGAAAAAUCAUAAGAAACAAAGCAAGACUCGUGGCCAAGGGAUAUACGCAAGAAGAAGGAAUAGACUAUGAUGAGACUUACGCUCCAGUAGCAAGGUUAGAAGCUAUUCGUCUAUUACUCGCGUUUGCUUGUUAUAAGAAUUUCAGGUUAUUCCAAAUGGACGUCAAAAGCGCCUUCCUAAAUGGAUUUAUCCAUGAGGAAGUUUAUGUGGAACAACCACCAGGGUUUGAAGACCCAAAGAAGCCAGACUCAGUCUUCAGACUGAAAAAGGCUUUGUAUGGUUUAAAGCAAGCACCUCGGGCUUGGUACGACAGAUUAAGUAAGUUCUUAAUACAAAAUGGUUUUGUCAAAGGUAAAGUAGAUACGACUUUAUUUAUCAAAAAGGAAAACAAAAGUUUCUUACUUGUUCAAAUAUAUGUGGAUGACAUUAUUUUUGGAUCCUCUAAUGAAAAUCCGUGCAAGAAAUUUUCUAAGUCUAUGCAGGAUGAGUUUGAAAUGAGUAUGAUGGGAGAAUUAACAUUCUUUCUUGGUCUUCAAGUAAAACAAUUGAAGGAAGGAACUUUUAUUUAUCAAGAAAAAUAUGUUAAUGAUCUUGUCAAAAGCUUUGGACUGGAAAAGUGCAAAAAGACCAACAUACCAAUGUCAAGUUCUUUAAAGAUAGACAAAGAUGAAGAAGGGAAGAAAGUUGAUCAAAAGCUGUUCAGGAGCAUCAUUGGAUCACUUCUUUAUCUUACUGCUUCUAGACCUGACAUUUUGUUAAGUGUUUGCAUCUGUGCUAGGUUUCAAUCAGAUCCUAGAGAAUCUCAUCUCAGUGCUGCGAAAUGCAUCAUUAAAUACAUUGCUUCAUCAUCAAGCAUCGGUCUUUGGUAUCCAAAGAAGGGAGACAUUAAUCUUCUGGGAUAUUCAGACGUAGAUCUGGCCGGUUGCAGAGUUGAUAGAAAGAGCACUUCGGGAACUUGCCAGUUGCUUGGAAGCAGGACAGUGUCUUGGUUCUCAAGGAAACAAAGCAUUGUGUCUCUUUCAACAACAGAAGCAGAGUAUGUAGCUCUUGGAAGCUGCUGUUCGCAAAUUUUAUGAAUAAAACAACAACUAAGAGACUUUGAAAUUGAAGACUCAUGCACGGAGAUUAAUUGCGACAACACUAGCGCUAUCAACCUCACCAAAAAUCCAAUUCUCCAUUCAAGAGCAAAGCAUAUAGAGAUUCGACAUCACUUUAUUAGAGACCAUGUUCAAAAUGGAGAUAUUUCAAUUCAGUUUGUUGACUCAAAGAAUCAACUGGCGGAUAUAUUUACAAAGCCUUUGGAGAAAAAUCAAUUUGAAUCUAUUCGUNNNNNNNNNNNNNNNNNNNNNNNNNNNNNNNNNNNNNNNNNNNNNNNNNNNNNNNNNNNNNNNNNNNNNNNNNNNNNNNNNNNNNNNNNNNNNNNNNNNNCACAGUCUAAGACUUUCAGACUCAGACUUACAAGACUUUAUCUGAAAGACAGUCUUGGCACGACCGUCAGACUGUAAGUCUUUCUCUCUCUAAUCUUAUCUUGAAAAGGUACGAUCGUCAGACUGUGUUUAAAAUUGUUGCUAUAUUUAAUUGAUGAAAAUAUUGCAUCGUUUCAUUUUAAAAAAAAAAAGGAAGUUAUUUUUGAAAUAGCUAUUUUUGCGGAAAAAGACAGUUAUUUUGAAAAGGCGUCUUUUUAUUUCCUUUGUGACGGUUCGUUUAUCCCUCUUUUUAACCGAUCGUGCACUGUCGAUUCCUCUUCAUUUUACUCUAAAAAACCCUAGAAAGCAUCGAUCCCCCAUUCCCGUUUGUCUUCUUUGUUUAAUCUUCAAAAAGUUGUCAUCUUUCCUGGGAAAGUCAAGCAAGGAAUCUUCCAAAAACUGAGAAAUAUGUCAUCUUCAAGAAAGUCUUCGAGAAUUGCAAGCAGGGGACCACGGCGAAUGAGUGAGGGGCCUACGCACUUCGAUCUUACUGAGGAAGAAGUAAAUCUAGAACAGCAAGCGAGCCCACAACAUUCUCAGCAGCGUCAUUCUCCACCAUCUAGUCCUCAAGGCGUUGUUCAUCAACAUCAGGAAGAAAUCAUCGAUGAUGCAGACCCCGUAAGAGUUCAAAAGCCCGCUUUUAUUUACAAGCUAUAUCGUGCCUUAAAAGGAACUCGUACUCCUUUGAACUAUGUUGAUGACUUUCUUAAAGACAAAGGAUAUAGGAACGAAUAUAUCUUUCUGCGGAAAACGGAAAGUUUGGGAAUUGCUCGUAAAUGGGUGGCUGAGGAAACCCUUGCAAAUAUCCCAAGUGAUCCUCGUGACUGGGGGCCGAAUCCUGUAGAUGGGAAUGAUGAUGACAAUUUGUACAGCCUAUUUCAACCGAAAAUGGGUAUUGCGGCUGAAAUUCAAGGAAAAAGGGGAGAUUUGUUCAGAUCAAAGGAACAAAAGGAUCUGUACUCGAAAUUGCUGAAGCGUGGGGUAAUAAACCCUAGGAGUGUGGAUUUUGAUUUUUUGGAUGCUGUGAAUGUGAACUUGAGGGAAAAGUUCAAUCAUCUUCAACUUGAAAAGUUAUGUUCUGACAAUAUAGAGGCUUAUGCUGAAUUAACUGCAUAUUUCUAUUCAAAUCUUAGCUUUUUGGAUGCGAAUAGAUUCUCCUUCAGCGUUAAAGACCAAGAUUAUGUUGUGGAUAUGAAUAUGCUGGCAGAUGUGUUAGGAGUUGAAAGAGGAAGAUAUCAACCGAUCAAAGUUUCCAUUGCUCGAGCCACACUUGAACUGGUGAAGGACAGGAGAACAGAUGAGAAGAUCACCUAUUUAAGGAUGAGUGCAUUCAACAUCUUGCUUCACAAGAUUGUGAUUAAUUGCCUUUGACAUAAAUCAACUUCCAAGACUGAUGUUUCAAGUUCAGAGGCCAAGCUGAUGUAUGCCAUUCUCUUUGGAAAAAGGUUUUCUCUCCCUCACACUGUUAUGUUUCACAUGUAUAGAGCAAUGAUGAAGGACAUAGGUCAACUCCCUUACUGAAGCCUUGUUACGAAGUUAUUCAGACAUCUGAAUAUUCAGCCUCCACAAAUCUUUUGUGUUCGACCAUGCGAUCAUAUGGUGGUAGGACUGAAAAUGGUCACCAAAAUGCGUCUGAAGGAACUAAGCAAGGAAUUGGAGAAAUUCAAGGAGAAGACUCCUGCCAAAUCUCAUCAACUCUCUUCUGCUGCUAAAAGAAAAGGGAAGGAGCCCAUGGCUGCUCCAUCCAAGAGAAGAAGACCUCUCCUCGUUGAGGAUGAAGAUGAUGACGAAGACAUCACCAUCUCUGCAAUGGCUUUGAAGAAUUUAAGUCGUCCUGUUCCACAGAAAGAAUUGGGAACAAAUGACAAAAGAAGCAGAGGAGAAGGAAGGAGAAGAAAGAGAAACUGAAAAAGAAGUAGAGGAGGAAAGACCUGAAGAAGAAAGAAGAGAAGAAGGAGAACCUAAGGAAAUCUCUUCUCCACCUGUAGGCAUGGAAACAGGGGGAGAUCAGGAGAAAGGAGUGAAGUCUUCAUAUCCUGAUGCAAGUGAAGGAGUCAGUCGCUCGCCUGCAGACCCAGAGGAUGUUUAUGCAUCUCAUUUUCCAGAGGAAGGUCAUGAAGUUUCAUCGCCAAACCUGCGAGAUUAUGCUGAUCUACCAUCGUCUACAUUUACUCCAUUAGAUCGAGCCGAAGCAAGUACUCAGACUGAUAAUGGAGCAGAUUUUCGCAGAAUCAUGGAUAUUCUCUUGGAAAUGCGAGGUCAAAUUUAUGCCUUGGGAUGCGAAGUUCAAAGCUUGAAGAAUGAAAGUCAAGCUUCUUCCUGUUCAUUGAAUGAUAAGAUGCAAGCCCUCUCUGUUCAGAAUCAGGCUAAUGCCAAGAGUGAGGAGAUUGCACAGCUGAAGGAAGACUUUAAAAGGCUGGAAGGCAUUGUUCAGUCUAUGGAAGAUUUCCAGCUUGUCCGCGUUCCCAAGCAAUCUUGACUUCAUCUCAUCCUUUUUAAUGAUGACAAAAAGGGGGAGAGAUGCAAGAUUUGAUCAAACUUUCAAUCAUUAAAGUUUUAACUGUUUGUUGGAUUGUGUUGUUGUUUAAACUCUGUUUGACUUUGACUUUGUUUUGUUGUGUCUGGAUGAGAACUAAACUAGACUUGGACUUGACUGCUUCUAUUAACUAGUAUUGAUAUCUUAUAGUAUUGAUAUCUUAUGGAUGGCAUUUCAUAUAUUAGACUAACCUAUUUUUUGUGGUUGCAGAUUCUAGUGUUAUUCUUUUAAGCCAUUUAUCUCUAUAAGAUAUGCAUAUGUGUUUGAGAAAUGUUUUGCAGGUCAUAGUUAUCCAAAUCUGCAGGAAAGUUUUGUCACCAUCAAAAAUGGGGAGAUUGUUGGAGAAAUCUUCUUGAAGUAUUUUGAAGUUGACAAAACGUUUCUAUCAGUCUAGUCUGAAGGUUUGCAGACUCUGAUAUUUAAAGUCUCAAGACUUCCGGACAGCCAGACUCAAGACUCAAAGUCUAUCCUCAUUGACAGUCUCUAAUCCGUUGAAGAAAGGUUAUCCAGAACUGGAUGUUUCGUUAAGGAUUUAACCUUAUCAUCUGGAGAAGAUCUUGUGGCUGGAAAAGACAUAACAGAAUCCUUUGAUUGAUCAAGAUUGAUUCAAUGAUUGAAGAUUCGAAGAUUGUCUAAAUAUUAUUGGAAGGUUUUACUUAUGGAAACCGAGAUCCUGAUUGUAUGAGCGAACAGGAUUGAUGGGUUAUCAACACGUUCCUUUAAUAGCUCGAACAAUCUUCCUAAUUGAUUCCGUCCAACGGGUAGAUUGGAGGAACUCCUUUGGUAAGUGCCAACGGGUAUGAUAGCAUAAAGGAGUACAUAAGGAAGACGUUCUUAGUUGUUCGAGGUGUGCGUGAUAGAAGAAUUCCAAAGUCUGAAGCUCCUUUUUUGUUUAGACAAUUCCUUGAGCGAAUACUUGUAUACAAAAGAGAGUCUAUAUUUGUGAGAAACCUUGAGGAGGUGUGGUAGAACAUCUACACUGUGAAAUCAAAGCAAAGCUGUGCUGUAACUUCUCUUUUGAUCAUGGUGAAAUACAGCCGGUGGGCUGUCGAUGCGGAAGAGUGGACGUAGGCUUGGAAUAAGCCGAACCACUAUAAAUCUUGUGUUCAAUUUUCUCUUCCUCACUCUCUCUACCUCGAUCGUAUUUCAUUUUGUUAAUCAAGAGAUAAUUUCCUUUCUAUCAUUUGCUAAGAAUCACUUCCGUAUUUCGAUAAAUUGUUUGUGCACCUAUUCACCCCCCCUCUAGGUGUUUAUACUAGCUAUCUCACCCAGCCAGGGAGUGUAAAUGCCGGAAGCCCUGUCGGAGGUUUCUGCCCAAAGGGAAUGCCUCGUGAUGCUAGUUGGGAUGUGAGAUGCUUGGAAUGUGGGGGGCCGGAUGCCCGGUGGCCUGGGAGGCUGAAUGCCGGAAGCCUCGAAGGUCUUUGCCUGAGGGGAUAAUGAAAUUGAUGAUUUGAGGAAUGGGUGAUGUGGUGAUCACAUUGAAAGCUAAAAGUGGAAAUUAAAUCAUGAUAUGAUAUGCAUGAUGAUAUGCAUGAUGAUAAUGAUGAUGAUAUGUGAUGUGAAAUAAUGAUGAUCACCCAUGAUAUGAUAUGCAUGAUGAUGAUGUGAUGAUGAUAUGUGAUGUGAAAUAAUGAUGAUCACCCAUGAUAUGAUAUGCAUGAUGAUAUGCAUGAUGAUGAUGAUGAUGAUGAUGAUAUGUGAUGUGAAAUAAUGAUGAUCACCCAUGAUAUGAUAUGCGUGACAAUAUGCAUGAUGAUGAUGAUGAUGAUGAUGAUGAUAUGUGAUGUGAAAUAAUGAUGAUAUGAUAUGCAUGAUGAUAUGCAUGGUGAUGAUAAUGAUGAUGAUAUAUGAUAUGGCAUGUGUAAUGAGAUGAUGUCAUAAUGAUGAUGGCAUGUAUGAUGUAAUGAUGCCAUGAUGAUGAUGGCAUGUGUAAUGUAAAAAUGUCAUGAUGAUGAUGACAUGUAUGAUACGAUGAUGAUACACAUGUAUGUAUUAUAAAUUGAUAUGAUGAUGCAUGAUAGUAUGUGCAUGGCUUCAAGGUAAGUAAUGCCUGCAAUGCAUGUGUGAUUUGCAUGAUGCAUUGAGUUGUUAUUGGAUUCCUUAUCUGCUGAGUGGUUGUACUCAUCCCUUUGGGGACCCAUAUUUCAGAUUAGCAGUAUGCCGCUUCCUGCCGUCACGCGUGGUGUAUUUUACGGUCUACUAUCUGAUGUAGAGGUCGAGUGUGCUGAGAUAGACUAUCCCUCUGUUCCUGGACUGACUUUUAUUUGAGUACGUUGUCUAGUGAUGUACGACGUAGGCCUGGUUGAGGGCCCUGUCAUUCAGGAGUUCAUAUUCGUACAUGUUUGUCGGGAUGGAGCGAUGCGAGGGAUGUUGCCGCCGCCACCACCUAAUGCACUGGGUUGGGUGUGAGACCCGUGCGCGACGAGUAGGGGCUGUUUCUUUUUUGGGAUAGUUAGCUGACACUUAUGAUGGGGGUUGUGCACGUGUGAUGUUGAGGGUGAGGGGUCUUUUUUUUGAGGCUUUUAGGCUGGACAUGGCUGAGUCCCUAGCUUUUUCCUUUUUUGAUGUACCGACCCAAAAGAAAGUCCCUUCUUUGAAAAAUAUUAUAUUGUAAAUAAAAGUGUCGUGGGCUGGGCUAUAAAAAUAAAGGGUGAUUAGGGGGUGUGUAUUUUGUAUCAUGGUUGGUAGGGGGGAGAGAACGUGAAUGUUUUAAAUUUUCCGCUAUGAGUCACGCUGGGACCGUUUUGUUUUUUGUUUUUGUUUUAAAUGUGUCUGCGAAUUAGAACACUUCUUCAAAGCAGAAAGGUGAUGAGGUGUAACAUUAGUGCUGGUGACGACUUGCGAAGGGUUCGGGGUGUCACAGGCAAGGCAAAAAGCAAUUGUUCAAACAGUAUGGUCUAGAGUGCUGAGAAUGAGUAAAGUUGAUAUAUGAUUCCAUUGUGCCAUAAUAUGAUGAUAUGUGGGUUAUGUGCCAUGUCAUUUAGUAGUUAACCAUGAUAUUUGGGUUAUGUGCUAUGUGGUUCAGUGCUUAAUGAUGAUAUUCAAGUUAUGUGCCAUGUGAUUUAGUGGUUAACAAUGAUAUUCGGGUUAUGUGCCGUGUGAAUUAGUGGUUAAAUAUGAUAGUUAGGAUAGAUAAGAAGUUAAAUGGAAUAUUUGGAUGAUGUGCCAUGUGUCUAAGUGGUUGAAUAUUAUAUUUGAGUUAUGAGCCAUGUGGAUUAGUGGUUAAACAUAAUAUUUGGGUUAUGUACCAUGUGGAUUAAUGAUUAAAAAUGAUAUUUGGAUUAGUGAAUAAGUGUUUAAAUAUGAUAUUUGAAUUAUGUGCCAUGAGUUUGAGAAGUGAAUGGUGCAUAUGUGUGUGAUAUAGAGUAACGCACAUGCAUGAAACAAUGGCAUAUGAUAAGUGAAGUUGCAUAUCACAUGAGUAUCGUAUGGGCUAAUUGAGAAAUAUAAGAAAUGGAAUUGUGAUAGUAUGCUCAUGUGAUCACCUAAGGCCUUGAUGUGUUUNNNNNNNNNNNNNNNNNNNNNNNNNNNNNNNNNNNNNNNNNNNNNNNNNNNNNNNNNNNNNNNNNNNNNNNNNNNNNNNNNNNNNNNNNNNNNNNNNNNNAAGUAGAGAGCGUUGCCACACUUUGCCAUCGAUAUACAAUCGCACAUUUAGGGCACUUCUGAGGUGAACGACUUCCCUAUGUGAAGUUUAGGAAGUUCACUCAUUAAGUCUAUCUCAUAUUUGUUUGUUGAAAUAUUUAUAAGCCCUAAGAAUGGUUGAACUAUUAUGUCAAAUUCGUUUUUGACCUCCCUGUCAAACACAAUUAGAAGGUGAUGGAGUACUCGAUCGCAGGAGGGGUUAUGUGCACUACACUCAUUACGUCAUGACCAUUUGGGUCAAUUAGGGCUUGCCAAAUCUCAUGCCACACCAACUCGUGGCAUGGUAUUUUUAGGUGGGCAGCGAGAGCCAUGGUCCCAUCCGUGAUUUCAACGGUCCACCGAGGGUUGAAGGCACUGGAGGAGGCAUCAGCUAGGAUGCCAAGGAGGGGGACAUUCCCAAUGGAGAGGUGUCUGACCCUAAGCUUGACCUCAAUCUAAUCGCCGAGCCGGAGCCAUGGAUCCCGAAGGCCAUAGAGGCUUAGGUAGUGGUGGGGUUGAUAGCACUUUUUGGACCACCCUCGUAGUAUUAGAGGUGUAGGUUUACCUCGAGCCCUUUUGUAGGAGGUCGUGGCGAAGCGGUUAAGCAUGUUGAACAGGAUGAAGCUGAUUAUUUAAUUUUGAACUCGCUAUGUAUGAGAUGAUGACUCAUGAAGCUCAUAUAUGAUUAUGUUUUAACUAUUCCUAUUGAUUGAUGGUUAGAAAUUUGUUUAUGUUUCUACUUGUGCAUUUUAAAUGUUAUCGAGAAUUAGGUCAGCAACGCCUAUUGGGACAUCGCAACCAAAUGACCAAAAGAUAAGUAAAGGUUUGAUGGGUACGGGUUGUUGUGUGGCCGUAGAGGUUCGGGGCAUGACACUCUUAUACUACUUUGAUAGAAAAACCGUAGUCGGAUUAACGCAGCGGAAUAUAAUAAUCUCCCAUCUUGUGUAAACCUAAUAAGAACCGAUAUAGUAGAGAAAAAUAAAUAUCAAACAUGCAAACACAAUGCGAUUUCUUAUAUAGAAAACCUCCUCAGUGUGAGGAGUUAAAAAAUCACAAGACCGGAGUCCACCCAAAAAUCCUCAUUAUCAACAAAAUCGAGUAAAAAAAGUUCUUUUCUAGUAAAUACUAGAGGUACAUACCAACAAAGACCUCAAGAACAUCAUUUUUGGCAAUAUGCAUAAAUUUCACAAGAGAUCAAGGAUAAAUUUGACCAAAAAUGGAAAUUUUGAUCAACUCAUAAAAAACGUGGUGUAGGAAGCUUGAAACAAAAAUCAAAUUGUCCAGAUUCGAGAAGAGUGCAUGUGACAUCUCGAAAGUUUGCCCAUGAUUCGGAUAAAUGAAAUGGUUGUUUCGUCGACAUGCUUAUGGUUAAUUUACUCGAAAUUGAUCACUCAUGAGUUAACUAAUCUAUUAGAUGAGGCUAUUAAGAGACAUAAACGCGACAUACUAGAGAAUUCGAUCGGAAAUCGACCGCUCGACCAUAAUAAUCGACAAUGGUCAAUACGACAUUGUUAUAAAUCGAUUAGCGAACGGAUAUAGGUCAAUUCAAUGGAAUCACGUAGUCGAAUUGUGGGUGGUUCCGCAUGAUUGCGAUAUUCGCGUCGAACGGCAAUAACCCGAUCUUCUAUCGAUAUUAUAUUCGGAACACGUAAUUGAAACCUUGCGAUUAUGUGACAACUGAGGGUCGUCUACGAUUCAGAGACGCACAAACAUGGAUAGAAAAUUAUAGACUAUGGGUCAAACGUGCUAAAAUCCCUAAAAGCUACCCAAUAUGUUAGGUCGUACUAAAGUCGCGUUCGGUCGAUUUUAACCACGAAAUUGAAUUUGAUUUUGGGAAUUGGAUGUUCGAGCAUGUCACAAUUCAUUAAUUAGACAUUGUCUCAUCUUUCGGCAAAUUUUUGUUGAGUCCAAAAAUUUUGCGGAAAAUCGAUUUUCAGACAAACAAGAAAAUUUAAGGAAAUUUGGAUCAAGAGGAAAAAGGGGAAAUUUGCUGCCAAAAAAGGCUUGUUUGUGAGAAAGUAGAAGAAAUUUGGGAAUGGAUGACCAUUUUACUUUGAGAGCAUGAAGACUUUAGAGGCAUGUCAUGAGUGGUUAGAUAUUUCUCAAGGUUUCUCAUUGGUUGUUCAUUUAACUCUUUUUUUCUCUCUCUCCCAUUUCCCUCCUCUCCAUGCACACGUUCAGCCCUUUAGCUGCCCAUCUUCCUCUUCUGCUUCUUCUUCUUACCUUCUUCUUUCAUGUUCUUCAUCCCCUCUUCCAACUGCCGACCCUCAUUCCUCCACUUUCCCCUACCAGCAACCGCACGCCUCCACCGUCAUUUUAACCGCCACAUCAUCCCACCACCAGGAUUUCCACCACCACCAACUUACCCCUACCCACCGUCCAACUCCAUUCUCCACCGCCAGUCCUCCAUCUCCAACGUCAACCCACUGCAACUCCAUUUCCACCUCACGCCCAACAUAAAAACCGCCACCUUCAGCAUCAUCUUUUUGUUGCACCCUCAUCAUCCCUCACCACUCGAUCACUCCAGCUUCUCCAUUUUCCUUCGCUAGCUGCCACACACCCAGCAACCCUAGUCAGCACCAUCCGCCCAACACCAGCGUCCAGCCAAGCCGCGUCUGUCACCGACCAGCAACAGCUCUCGUGCCCAGCACCACCCCGUCUCGACCAGCAACCACUGUGUCAACUCCAGCAGUCCUCGUGCCCAGCAGCUCAGCCCCACCGAACAACCCUCCAUCGAGCACUUGUAGGGCAGCCAUAGCCACCAAUUGAGCCUCAUCCGAGCCGCGAUUGUCUCGACUUCUCAUCACCAUCGCGUUGCCGUCGCUGUGAGCCUGCUGCCGUCCUAAUCCAGUGAGUUAACUCCCUAAUCCUUGAUUAUGCCAUUAAUUGCGAUUAGGGGGUGUUUAGUUUAGUGCUAAUCAUGGUUAGAUUAGUACUAAGAUGGAUUAGUGUUGAUCAAGCAUGGUUAGGUUAGUUUACCUUAGUUAGGUUAGUUUACUUUGGUUAGGUUAGUUAACCAUGGUUAGGUUAGUUAAUCAUGGUUAGGUUAAUUAAUCAUGGUUAGGUUAAUCAAGUUGGAUUAGCUAAAUUAAUCACAAUUUACUUAAUUAAUAGUAAUUAGCGUAAUUAGUGAUGGAUUAGUUGUUUCGUAGAAUUUUACUCUCAUUUUCUUGGAGGGAAUUUUGCGUGAUUUUGAUGGCUUAUAUGUGCUAUGAGGUGCAAUUGAUUGCUUGAUGGUAGUUAUUGAAUUUUAGUAUAAAACUCGGUUUUAUGGGCUUUUAAAUGGGAAAAUGCUAGGUGGCAAUUUUUGAUGCCAAUCUUUAUGUACUAUAUAAAACCGUGGAGUUUUAAAAUAGGACCCUACCAAGUUUGACAUAUCACUUUUGAAUGCGUGACCAUGCACGAUUAUUUUAUCGGGAUUUUUAAUAAGAAGAAAAACGGGCCAAGUUCAUUAUUUGAAAACGACGCAUUUGAAUGCAAAGCAUGGUAUUCUUGGUUAAAUAUAUGCUUGUAUGGUCAUUAAGUGAACCCGUCUUGAUGCGUUUACGUGGGAUGAUGCUCGAUUUUAUCGGAUGCCCAGCGGGGGUCUGGAAGCCGAGUCGCAGUUGAGGCCGAACCAAUGCCCCUUUAUUGAAUGCCGUCUAGGCGGGGGUUGUAGACGUUGCUGUGCCCAAUGGGGCGGGACAAUGCCCGAUUUCGCUGGAUGACCGCCGACUUUUGAGUUGACCAUGGCCAAUGGGUUGUAAUAAUCGAAACACGCUUGAAUGGUUGUAAUACUUUGCACCUGAUUAUGAGGCAAAAUUGCUAGGCAUGGUAUAGGCUGUGUCAUAACGGUUUUACCUUAUAAUUGGGACUCGUGUGAAUAUUUGAAGGGUGAAAAUUAUGUUUUUUGGUUAUUAAUUACGCUUGUUGUAUUUAUAAUGGCAUAUGUGAUGCACUAAUAUGCAGGGACAUGUCAAGGCAAGGUGAGUUUUGUAUGGUGCGUGGUUAGGACCACCUUCGAGGUGAAUUUGCAUCCUAAUCGGGGUUUAGGCUGUUGACUCACUGAGAUUUAUCUCACCCCAUUGUGGUUAAACAUUUUAGGGUUGUAGCGUGGAUAUCUGCUGAGUGCGAAUGUGGUGGGCGUGAGAUGCGACACCUUUUGGCUGGCCCUACCAUUAGUGAAGUUUAGGUUAACCCUAGUCCCUAAAGGUUUUUGAGAGGGUUAAUAGGAAGUGGCCAUGGAAAGGCUUGUAAGUAUUAAACUUCCUAAGGUUAACAGUUGAUAAAUGAAUAUGUUGUUUUCAGCAAUGUUUGCCAUGUUUUACCAUCCCUAUGUUUGUUUAUUGGCUGGGGGUUUAUUUAAUUGGCUUCUGCAUGUGGCUUAAUUGAAAGAUAAAAGAAUGGGUCAGCGACGCGUCCUGGGAAGUCGCAUUUUUAAUCGACUGCCAAGGGAUGUGCGCAUGCCGGGGGUUUGGGACAUGAUAGUGCACCAUGGACACAUUGACAAAAUUUCAGCUUAAUAAAACCACGAAUCGACAUUUUAUGCCAAUUUGCUAUAAUGCAAACUAAAUCAUAAACCCUAAAUUUUCUGCUUUCUCUUUUUCUCUUGUUAUUGCUUCUCUACUAACUUCUUUGCGGUUACCACUUAAAAGAUAGCAAAAAAUCAUAUUUGUCCAUAUGACUUAUCAUAUGGGCUCAAGUCCUUUUGGGCUUACUAUUCAUUGAGUUUCCUCCACAUGGGAGUGAACUCAACUAACAAAAAGAACUUAGAGAUCCAAUGGAGCUAUAAAAUUGAUUAGAUGCAAUUCAUUUCCAAGUUUUGACUUGAAACUGAUGAUUUUAUGCUGGAUGGUGCACCCCGUGCUCGAGCCCAAUAUGAUAUCAUACGACCAUGUGCUCAAGAUUAGAUCAAUUCAGCUCAAUUUUUAAUCUAAAACUUGAGCUUCAUCUCAAGUCCUCGCAUAUAAAAAAAAUCAAAAUUAAUGUAAUAUCCAUUUUCCUUAUAAUUUGAAUACGUUGAUAUUUUUGAUAUAAACAUUAUUGAUAUUUUUAAUUAGGCUAGCAAGCCACUUGACUGAGUCCUUGAAAAUUUGAGCUUGCACUUAACAGACUUGCACCACACAAAUCGACUCAGCCACUCGAAUUCGGUUUACAAGCCUUUGAGUCAUUAAUGGUUUUUUUUUUUUUUUUGAUGCCAAGGCAAUCCUGUACAUCCGGUAGCCGGCAGGUAAACCCUGGAGUGGCGCUAGUGGAGGACCCACCACCCCGGCGCCACACUUAAGACACCAAAUGCCUCAUCUAGGUUUUGAACCCCUCACCUUUGAGCAAGAAUCAACAGAGUUCUUAUCUAGCAAAGCCACCACGGCCAGUGGUAAAGGAAAAUAAAUCUAGAAGAUUUAAAAAUUGAGUUUCGACAGCUAACAAAGUUGACUGCUAAAAAUUGAACUAGAAAUAUUAUUCGAUAACAGUUAAAUAUCUAUUGCGGAGUAUCAAAAGUUUCUUACUAAACAUUGGAUUGUGGAUAAUCAACAUAUUAUUUCAUGUCAGAAAUUGCCAAACNNNNNNNNNNNNNNNNNNNNNNNNNNNNNNNNNNNNNNNNNNNNNNNNNNNNNNNNNNNNNNNNNNNNNNNNNNNNNNNNNNNNNNNNNNNNNNNNNNNNUCUUGAUUCAUGGUCAAUGAAGCCCCAAAUAGGUUUGAGGUGCUUCGGUAGCCCCAUAUUGAGGUUGAUCUUGGCAUGUGACCAAGUAGAAUUUCCCAGUUGCGACUCCAUAUUCUUCUAGCUUUGCUUCUUAAUCACAGGAUAUAAGGCCAGCUCACAUGUAGAAUUGAGAACCGAAUCGGUUUAAACAGGUGUGAAGAAGGGACAUAGAAGGUAUUUGAUUGUUUGCUGGAGAUUUGUUUGUGUACUUUUGGGCAUUUGCAUAAUAGAAACAAAGCAUCAUUUUUCUUAAAUGAGAGUAAUUAGUUUGUUUAGGAGCGCGCAUGACAAAAUUUUUGUUUCUCUAUUUCUCUAUAUUUUUGUUCCCUGGAAUAGGUUCGGAAUAGAAAUCCGUUUGGUAACACAAUUUCAUUUUUCUAUUUCUAGAACAGAUUUCUAUUCUAUAAAUAGAUUUUGAGCACAAAUCGGAAGUUAAAAUUUUUAGCUUUUCUAUUUCUAGAAUAGAAAUGAUAAAUCAAAAUUUUUCUCAUCGUUCACUCUCAUCAUUCCUCAUCGCCCACUUGCCACUCAUGGGAUGCCAAAUGCCUGCUACCGGUUGUCGGCCGCUCGCCACCGGCCUCGGCCACCAAUCGCCCACCGGCCACCGGACGUCAGCUGACAGUCACUACACUCCGGCUGUUCGUCGCCAACCCCCAGUUGUCAGAUGCCGGAUGUCCACCGGUCGUUGGCUACUUAUUGCCAAUCAUUGGAUGUCGGAGGCUCAUCACCAACCACCGGAUGUUUGCCGCCGACUGUCCACCGCUCGCCACCGGCCGCCGGAUGUCGGUCGCCUGCCACUCGCCGCCAAACUCCGACCACUGGCCACCUACCGCCGGCCUCCUGUUGCCGAUCUCGAGAUGUCGGACGUUGAACUCUAGAUGUUGGACACUGGUUGUCGGUCACCGGACUCUGAUGUCGAACUUCAAACUAUGGCCGCUUGCCGUCGGUCAUUGGACUUGGUACUAGACGCUGAACAUCAGACUUUGGAAUUUGGCUGCCUGCCGUUGGUCAUCGAAUGUUGAACACCUGUCACCUAAAGUUGAACUCCGGCCAUUGGACGACGGUCGUUGUUGCUCCUAGAAAUAGAAAUUUUAUUCUGUUAUUAAACAAAAUUUUAUUUUAGUAGAAAUUUUGAAUUUUUAUCAAACACAUUUUUUUAUUCAGAAACUCAUCCGUGGAAUAGAAAUUGAGAAAUCAAUUUCUGGCCAAAAAUUGAUUUAUGUUCUAGAAAUUUUGUUAUGCGCGCCCCUUAGUGAUAUUUAAGUACAUUUGUGACAUCCUCGUUCCAACCUGGUUUUUCAUAACGGAAUUAUUCUAGCAAGUGAUCUUUGGACGAGAGUGUCUUGAGGAUUGAUAGGCCAAGAGGACAUCAAGAAAGGCCAUUUAGGGGAAAAAAACUCGAUUUUUCAUCAGCAAGGGCAUAUGAGUGCGGAAAAAUGGAAAUGAGCCACGAAUGAGGAUCCAUUGGGCCCAAGCCUAAGUGGGUAUCCCAAGGCCCACACGUCUAAGGGGUGGGAAGCCAAGGGAGGCCCAUGGGCCCCUCAAAGCCCAUCAAACCCUUUUGACACAAUCUUAGCUCUAAAUGCAUAAAAGGAUGUGAAUAGUGCAUGAAUAGUGUGAGAUCUUGGUGAAAUGACCAAAAUGCCCUUCUAUUGGACUAAAGAAAAAAGGGCAAAAAUGGAAGAAGAGCAAGGAAAGGGCGGGCAUAGAUGUGGGCGGGAAAGGAGGCUUUGAAAUCCAAUCUACCUAGACUAAUCUAGUCCUAUCAAGCCACUUGAGUGUGGAUGCUUCCUUUAACUACUAAGAUUUUGCUUAUUUCGCAAGUCACCUUGAUGGACAUGAGCCCAAAGGAUUUGACGAGCAUUUAUGGAGACUAAACCUCAUUCUCUCUCCUCCCUUCCUCUCCCUCAUGUCGGCCACUCACUUUCCCUCACUCUCACUUUCAUUUCCUCACUUAUUUGCUCUCAAAUUCUCUCUCUCUCUCUCUCUCUCUCUCUCUCUCUCUCUCCCCUUGACACCACUGAAGCCGCCCUCUCCCUUAUCAUCUUCAUUUCAAGCUCAUUUCUUCAUUUUUCACUUGUUUUCUUCACCGACGACGACCUAUUGAACUCUUGGCACCAGAUUGCCCUCUUGCUCUGUCGUAUGACCACCGGAUCACCACCAUCCAGUUGCCAUCCAGCCUUGUAGUCCUCUCCCCCAACAUGUUCUGAAGCCUGAGUCGUCCAUGAAUGGCUUUCUAGCCUUUGAUUAAGGUUUUCAUUGCAUUUAGGAAGUAAUUUAGGGUGAUUAGUGUUAAACAUGUUGUUUAGAUGAUGUGCUACGCGGUUUAGUGAUUACCUAUGUUAUUUAGGUUAUGUGUCAUGUAGUUUAGGGAUUAAACAUGUUAUUUGGAUGAUGUACCAUGUGAAUUAGUGAUUAUUUGUCAUUUGAAUGAUGUGCCAUGUGGUUUAAUGGCUAUCCAUGUUAUUUAGGUUAUGUGACAUGUGGUUUAGUGGCUAUCCAUGUUAUUGAGGUUAUGUGAUAUGUCAUUUAGGAGUUAAAAAUGUUGUUUAAAUUAUUUGACAUGUGGUUUAGUGGUUAAACAUGUUAUUUGGAUUAUGUGUCAUGAGUUUGGAAAGUGAAUAAUGCAUAUGUGUGUGAUAUAAGUAAUUAAUGUAUAUGGAAUGAAGGCAUAUGACAAGUGAAGUUGCAUGUUGUAUGAGCAUCACAUGAGUUAAAUGAGAAAGAUAAGAAAUAGAUUGUGUGAUGGUAUGCCCGUGUGAUCACCUAAGGCCCUGAUGCAUUUUACACGGGGUGUGAACCAAUCUUGAGGCGUUUUACACAAGAUGAUGUCCGAUUAAGUUCGGAUGCCCCCAAGUCAACGGGAUGCCAUCGCCGAUGGAUAUUAGAACAAAGCUCCUUACAACAAUGCCCCCAAGUCAAUGGGAUGUCAUGUUCGAUGGGGCGAGAUGAUGCUGGUUAUGCCGGAUGAUUUGCAAACCUUCGGGUUGGCUUUGGAUCUUGAGUGGCCGUAAUAAUUUGGACAAAUGUGUAUGGGAAAUGCAUGAGAUUUGUAUGUGAUGAUGUCUAGAUUAUUGCAUGGCAUGAACGCAUGACUUAGAUCAUAAUGCCUAUUCCUAUGUUUGGCUCGAGAACAUGAAGUUUAUGUUAUGAAAUUGCCUAUGCAUCUACUUUGAUGCCUUGUAUGGUAGACAAGUUGUUAUGAGAUACGAGAGUAAAGCGAGAAGUGUGUUGCCAUGUUUCGCCAAAGAUAGACAAUUGCACGUUUAGGGCACUUCUGAGGUGAACGACUUCCCUACACAAAGUCUAGGAAGUUCACUCAUUGAGUUUACCUCAUAUUUGUCUGUUAAAAUGUUUUCAAGCCCUAAGAAUGGCUAAGUCAUUCCGUCAAAUUCGUUUUGGCCUCCUUGUCGAGCACAGUCAAAAGGUGAUGAAGUACCCGGUCGCGGGAGGGGCCGAUACGCACUAUACGUGAUAUGUCACGAUCAUUUGGGUCAAUGAGGGCUUGCCCAACCUCAUGCCACACUGAUUCGUGGCAUGGUAUUUUUGGGUGGGCGAUGAGAGCCAUGGUCCUAUCCAUGACUUCGACAGUCCAUCCAGUGUCGGAGGCUCCAAGGGAGGCAUUAGCUAGGAUGCCAAGGAUUAGGACAUUCCCAAUGGAGAAGUGUCCGACCCCAACCUUGACAACGAGUUGAACUUCAAGGAGUCGGAGGCCAAAGGAGCUUAGGUAGUGGCGGGGUUGUUAGGACUUUUUGGACCACCCUCAUAGUAUUAGAGGCGUAGGUUUAUCACUAGGCCUCCUUUUCUGGAUGAGGUCAUGGUGAAGCGGUUAGGUGUGUCGGAUAUGUGAAGCUGGUUGUUUAAUUUUGAACUCACUAUGUAUGAGAUGAUGACUCAUGAAGCUUUAUAUAUAUAUGUGUGUGUGUAUAUGUAUAUAUAUCUGACUAUGUCUUAACUAUCCCUGUUGAUUAAUGGUUAGAGAUUUGUUUAUGUUUCUGCUUGUGCGUUUUAAAUGUUAUAAAGAAUUGGGUUGGCAACACCUCUUAGGACGCCGCAAUCAAAUGAUCAAAAGAUAAGUAAAAGUUCGAUAGGCGCUGGUUGUCAUACGGCCAUAGAAGUCCGAGGCGUGACAACAUUUUUCAUUUAGUGUCGGUUAAACAAUUAGAAUCCAUCUCAGGUUUUCAUUAAAAUUCCCAUGCAAGGAAUGAAACAUGGAUAGAGUGACGACCAAAAUAAUGAGAUAAGCACAAGUAUCAAAAUUUUUAUACGAUGCUCAUUUGAGUGUAAUAACUUUUUUUUGACCACUUGAGUGUCAUGGUUUUGAAAAAAUUUCACUUAAGUGCCAUAAUUUUCAUUUGAUCACUUGAGUACUUCAAAAAUGUUCACCCAAGUGCAGAAAUCCAACACGGCAUGGCACUUGUGGAGAUCUUUUAAAAAAAAAUUAUGGGACUUAAGUAAUCAAUUGAAAAGUUUUAUGGAACUUAAGUUAUUAGAAAAAAAUUAUAGUACUCAAGUGAGCAUCGUAUAAAAAUUAUGCUGACAUGGGUUUUAUCCUAGAUGCAAUAAUGAGGCUCUAUAAUAUCAUUUACCUGACAUCCUAUUGGGCAAUAUUACCGCACUUUGCCUUUUAUCCACCUUUUACUUUUAUGUCGUGAUUCAUUUUCAUGGUUGAGUGCGUAAGUUUCAUUUUAGGGCCAUAUUAAACACAAAAACAUUGCAUGGAUACUUAACGGAUGGGAACUUUAGAACUCGUAAUUUGGUAAAAAAAUUGUCUAGAUAUUUCAGUUGAUAAGUAAUCAAGUUUAGGUACUAGAAAGACAUUGAUUAGAUAACUAGUAUAAUCAAGUUCCCAUUCUUAGAUUCUCUAUUUGUGUAGGAAAUGAGACAUCCUUCCGUAUCUCACUUAGCUCCAAACCGACCCCAAUAAGUUAAUGGCAAUUUCUCAUGACAGAGUUUUCAUAGGAUAAUCAAACAUAACAUGAAUAUUUCAAUGCCACGCAAAAUAAGAGUUUGGGAGAAUCCAUGUCAAUUAAGGACCGUUGGUCCAACUUGACGUUAACUUUAAACCCGUUCUUUCCUCAACAUGCCUGUUGCCAGUUCACGACACUUAGGAUAGUCUGGCAAGAAAUUGAGGUGGUCUUGUGUGGGGAAUACGCGUUUCCCAAAUAUUCAUUCCGCCCUGCCUUUAUCCUCAACUAACAUCAUUUAUGAUCCCAUCUACUAAUUCAGCAGUAACACUCCUCCAAUAAUGAUACACUUUCCCUCAACUAACAUCAUUUAUGAUCGCAUCUACUAAUUCAGCAGUAACAGUCCUCCAAUAAUGAUACACUCUCCCUCAACUAACAUCAUUUAUGAUCCCAUCUACUAUUUCAACCGCAACGCGCUCCUCCUAUAAUGAUACCUCAGAUUCAUCUUUUAUACUAAUCUCAGUAAUCUCAUUCGUUGUAGAUUGGCCGACCUAGAUUUACUGCUCUCAUGCUAUCAUCAAUCGCACGGAUACAUAAAAUUGGAUCUACUACUUUCAGAAUCUUUGAAAAAUUUUAAUAUUAUGUUCGCCGGGCAAUUUUGGUCUUUUGUCUACUUCCAUUGUCAUCGAUAAAUAGCAUUUGAUUUUAUUGUUUUCAUCCUAGAAUAUUAUGACUUUCUGCUUCAACCAUGUUCUCGCAGACCCAUAGCAUUUGGUUGGUUUUCUUAUAACUAUUUUCCUCAUCGUUUGUCGUUGCCGCCUCUUUCUCUGUUAAGAACAUUAGGUCACUGAGAGAGAGAGAGAGAGAGAUCUGCUAAGCCGAACAAACUACUACAAUGGCGAGCUCAAAUGCAGGAACGUCAUUGGGAAGUGAGUAUCAAGUGUUUCUGAGCUUCAGAGGGCCUGACACUCGUACUGGAUUCACGGACAUCCUCUAUCAAAGUUUAAUUGAUGCUGGAAUUUGUGUCUUUCGAGACGAUGAAGAGCUCCAUGUUGGUGAAAGGAUCGAUGGAUCACUCCAGCAAGCGAUUGAUAACUCUAGGAUCUAUAUACCAAUCUUAUCUCGGACCUAUGCUUCAAGUCAAUGGUGCCUCCGUGAGCUCACGCAGAUCAUGGUGAACACUUCCAAACCAGAAGGUAAUAAAGAGAUCUUACCUAUUUUCUACAAUGUGGAACCUGACGAUGUUAAACUGAAAACUCCACUAUAUCGCGAUGCAAUACUGAAAUUGGAGUGUGAGAAGAAGUUGACUACUGAGCUCGUAGAUGCAUGGAGAGAGGCUCUCGUAAAGAUAGAUACAAUAAAAGGGUGGGAAGCGAAGAAGUACAAAGGGUAAGCUAACUGCUUUUAAGAUUCUUGUUUUCCCAAUUUCCUUUUACAUUUAGUCACAGAUGUCAUAAUUCCAGUGUGAUUGAGGUGGGAGAUGAACCUUUACUACGUCUGUCAUAAAAUGUGAAACUGUUUAAAAAGGUCAUCUUAUAUAACGGGUGAAAUUAUUAUUUGACUGUGGGUACUAGGAAGAAAAAGAAUGGGAUAAUGAAAUGCUAUGCACAUUCUUAUCUAAUCACUUAAUCUCUCAAUACUCUUACGUACACCAUGUUCAACUUCUAUAGUGGUCGCUCUAAUAUGUCGGUUUCAAAUGAUUAAAUCUUCAUUGCGGGAUCAUUAUUAACAUAUUCCCAAGAUUGUGAAUCUCUUGGUGGAAUUAAGUCAAAUUCAUGACAUGGUACAAGCGUUGCCAAGUGCACGGAAAGUAUGUUUUCGGAGUGAUGUUAAAAUCAAAUAUGGACUCUUAAAAGAUCACUUCUUAGAUUGGUACUGUCCCAUUAGCUAUCUGAUUAUUAUGUAAUUUAUCCGAUGCUUGAAUAACAUCACUUCUAACAAGGUAGUAAUGAUUUCGCAUUUUUCCCCCACUAAAAUGGUUUUCCACUGUGGCAGCGACAGUGAACUGGUCAAAUUGGUAGUUGAGGAGGUCGUGCAAAAGUUGAAAACAAAACAAAGAUUGGUGACUGAAAAUUUGGUCGGAAUUGAUGAUCGAGUUAUAGCUGUAAGUGAAUUGUUAAACGUGGACUCUGGUGGUGUACGACUCAUCAAAAUUCAUGGCAUGGGGGGUAUCGGUAAAACAACUCUCGCCAAGGUUGUCUUCAACCGACUAUCUUCUCAUUUUGGAAAGUUUUCUUGUUUCCUUGAAGAUGUUCGAGUGAAGUCAUCAAAUGGCUUAGUUGAGUUGCAAAAAAAGUUAUUGUCUGAAAUCAGCCAUCCAGUAGUAGCAAGGAGAAUUGACGAAAUUGACGAUGGAAUGAAAAGGAUUGGAGAAGCACUUUGCAAUAAGAAAGUCUUCAUUGUACUUGAUGAUGUUGAUAGCAGCGAACAAGUGGAGAAAUUACUUGGAAAGAAUACUUUAUAUCUAGGAUCAAGGAUAUUGAUUACAACAAGAAAUAUAGAUGUUUUGCGAACCUAUAGAUCAAAGUAUCAAAUUUUGGAGUACGAAAUGGAGGUGAUGAGUUUUGAUUAUGCUCUUCAACUAUUCAGCAAGCAUGCAUUUGAUAGAGAUUCUCCCUUAGAUGAUUAUAGUGAUCUUUCAAGGGAAGUUGUAUCUAAUACUGGGAGACUUCCAUUGGCUCUUGAAGUAAUUGGUUCGUUACUCUACCACAAAGCACAAGAACAAUGGAAAAAGACAUUGACAAAGUUAAGAAAAGGACCUUGUGAGGAUGUUUUUGGAAAGUUAAAGAUCAGCUACGAUGCCUUAAGUUUUGAGCAACAGCAAAUUUUCCUUGAUAUUGCAUGCUUUUUCAUUGGUGAGGAUAAGACGAAUGCAUUUUACAUGUGGGAAGAUUACGACUUUUCCCCAGAUAUUGUAGUUGAUGUCCUCAUUAAUAUGUCUUUGGUAAAGAUUACGGAAAAUAAUAAGUUUUGGAUGCACAAUCAACUUAGAGAUCUUGGAAGGAAUAUUGUUCAUCGAGAAAAUCCAACGAAUCCUGGAAAGCGGAGUAGGAUAUGGAUUAACAAGGAGGUCAUUGAUGCAAUUAGAACAAAUGAGGUAAAGCACUUCUAGAAAAUCCUCACGAGGAAAUUAGAAGUUUUUCUACUAGAAAAUCUUCUAUCUGCACUAGGAUGCUCUUUUUUCUUUCUUUUUCCCAUUUCAAUCCUUUUCCUUUCAAAUAAGAUACCAAAUGCCACUAAUUUCCUACUCUCAUUUGUAGUUGAAGAAAAACGUACAAGCCCUGGAUCUUGAUCUAUUCAAAAUUGAUAAGGACACCAUUACAAGUGAAGAAAUUGGAAGGUUUGAACAUCUAAGGUAUCUCAAAUUACAGGGGGGAACAUUAGUUGGAAACUUAGCAAAUUGUCUGACCAAACUAAGAUGGUUGUUGUGGAGUCAUGCUCCUCAAAUGUCUAAGCCAACCAAUAUGCACUUACAGAAUGUUGUCGCUCUUCAAUUUGCAAGCAAUAACUCAAUUGAUGAUCCGAAACUACAAAGCUUUGUCAAGGUGUGUAAUAUGCUUACUUGUACUCUAUUUUCUCUUAAAGGUAAUAUUUGAUUGUUCAUCCAUUGAAUAUUGCGUUCAUUUGAUAGAUUGCAGGAAAAUUGAGAGUUCUUUCUCUUAAAAAAUGUGAGAGCAUAACCAGAACACCAAACUUCCUUGGAUGCCCAAAUCUAGAGAGGCUCACUUUUGAAGAGUGUUCCAAUUUGAGCAAAAUUGACAGCUCUAUUGGGAAGUUGGAGCGUCUGACUCACCUAAAGAUUGAUACUUGCUGCAGUCUUGAAGAUUUGCCUAAAGAAAUGGGGGACCUAAUGAAUCUAAAGCACUUCUUUUUACGGUGCCAUGAAGUGAAGAGACUCCCAGAUUCCAUAUGGAAGUUGAAAUCAUUUCAUGAGGUGCACCUUUUAGGCCACGUCAAUUCGGCAAAUUCAUGGGAGUUACCCAGUGCUAUUGGAAGUUUGCCCUUUCUAAGAAUCCUAGAUCUAUCAAAAAUUGGUGUCAAUGUAGUUCCAAAGUCCGUCAACAUGCUUCCUUGCUUACAAAGAUUGGAGUUGAGGGAUUGUGAUGAGAUUCAAGAGUUGCCAGCACUCCCAACAAGUUUAACCCAUCUAAUAGUGUCAUCUAAAUCAUUGCGGGUAGUCCCAAAUCUCUCAAACUUGACUAAUUUGGUUGAGUUGGAGCUAAAUGAUUGGCAAGGAGGAAGAGAUAAACUUUGUACUGGUGAAUUAUGGUGGAUUGGGAGGUUAUCCAAACUAACUAAAUUGAGCUUUGGACUUCACAAUGUCCCUACUCCUGUUGAGCUGGCUUCCCUUUCUUUGCUAAACCAACUUGAUUUGUUUGGAUUGGACUUGCAGACCAAUCCUCAACUUCCCAUGUCUCUACAAAAACUAGGCCUUCAUUAUCUCAGUUCGAUUGCAUCACUUUCUCUGAAUCUGAGUAAUUUGUCCUGUCUAGAGCUCUCUUGGUCUUCAAUGCAAGAAUUUCAACUCGAUGGGCUUGAAUUUUCAAAUCUAAAGGAGUUGCAUAUUAAAAUCUGUGCACCUCUCGAGAGACUCAGCCUAUCCAACAUGAGGAAGCUUGAAGAUGUCCACGUGAGAGAUUGUCCAAAGUUAGUUGAGAUCCAAUUUUCUGGGGCGUUCGAAUCAUUGAAGGCAUUGUCUAUUGAAAAGUGCAAGACCUUGGGAAGGCUAGUUUACGUGCGGGAAGCUGGGCACGAUAGUAAUGAGUCUGCUAAUGAGUUGAUUAGUUGUCAAGGGACACUAAUCCUUCUAUCGGGAGUAUUCAAUAAGCUGCAGUAUCUCAAGCUGGUGCGUUGCCCUAAGAUACUAACAAUUCAAGUUGUCGGUAAAUCAAAAUCAUGUGAGGCAUUCAAUGUUCAAGGUUGUACUUCGCUACAAAGUCUUCGUGAUUUUUCAAAUUUAAGCAACCUCAAGAAUUUACACAUCAAUGACAACGAUGGGCUAGAGGUUGUUGAGGGCCUUGACGAGCUAGAGUUUUUAAUAAACUUAGAAGUUCAUAACUGUGAAUUGUUGGAAAGGUUGAUUGACGUAUCAAGCACCAAAUUGCCCAAUGAUUGCCACAUGCGUAUCUCCGGUUGUGGGAAAUUACUCGGGGUUAACGAAGGAUUCAAUGGCUCCUUUAAGGCUUUCAAGAAUUAUGAGGUGAGUCAGAGCCAUUCUCUCUCGUUCUCUUUUCAGUUUUCUUGAGACGACCAUCCACAAACAUGAAGUCAGCUUCUAAGCAGAUUUGUAAUAAUUGUGGGAAAUCAAAAAACAAUUAAACAUGAAUUGACUUUGGUCUCACUUGUUUUAAAACCCACUCAAUACAAGUUUGUUUUGUUUUUUACUCGCGGUUUUAAUCUGCUUUCAUUUUUUUCCGUUUUUCUUUCCAUUUUUAUAUAUGAGAAAGUUCCAUAUUUGUAUCAAAGUCCAUGGGACAAGGUCAUUUUCCACCACAAAUAAUUGGAAAACGUCAAUGUCUAGAAGAAAUAUAUAGAAUAGCUCAAAGUCUCUUAUUAAAAUGCUCUUUUCAUUAUAUAUGGAGUGGAUUAUUUAGUUUAGCAUAUUUUUAACAUAAUAAUAUACUCCCCUUUAUUGUUCAUUUCUUAUUUAAUAUCGUUCAUUAUGGAGAUGAGUUUGGUGUUUGCAAUUUCUACCAUGAAAAUAGAACAUUAAAAGAACAAAUACUUAUUGCACAACUCAAAAUGAUCUUGCUAACGGAGGUGUUUCACGAACACAAUCUAUAUGGUCGGCCUAUCCACUUAUCAAGUGACCUAUGUCCUUAAUGGAAUUGAGUGUUACUUGAAUUUGCAAGUGGCUGGGGUUGGCCAAGUAGGAGGUGUAUCCCAAAAGCACGUGAAAUACUUGUUUAAAAUUUUACGGUUUGAUUAAAAGCCACUUCAAACAGGAACAGAAAAGCGAUUGCAAACAGGAACAGGAAAGUGACUUGGAGCGCAACUGCGGACAGAAACAAGAAGGCGACUUUGAACAGGAACAGGAAGGCUACUUCGAACCAGAAAUCGACUUGGAACGCGACUUUGAACAUAAACAGGAAAGCGACUUCAAACUGGAACGGGAGAGAGACUUCGAACAUGUGUUCCAAGAGGAACAGGAAAGCGACUCUGGAUGGAACUACGAAUCAGAACAGGAACAGGAAAGCGACUCUGGAUGGAACUACGAAUCAGAACAGGAACAGGAAAGCGACUCUGGAUGGAACUACGAAUCAGAACAGGAACAGGAAAGCGACUCCGGAUGGAACUUCGAAUCGGAACAGGAACAGGAAACCUGCUUUGAACUAGAAGGGGAGUUUCAACCAAAUAGAGGGCUAUCAGAUUCGGAAGAUUUAGAGGCUAAUCUUUAGAAGUUAGAAGAUUUAGAAUCAUAUCUUUAGAAGAUUGAACGUUUUCAAUUUUAUGUAUUUCUUUUCUUGCAAGUAAAUCUUCUAAAAUGUACUCUUGGGUAUAUAAAUGCCCACCCAUGUUUAAUGGAAACACAACAAUUUCUGUUUCAACAUGGUAUCAGAGCCAUCUAAGACUAACGUCCCUUUUCAACCCUAGCUUUCUUAUUCUUCUUUUUUCCUUCCAAGGGUGGUUGAUAUGACUCUAGAUCCUACCAUUGCCACCAUCAUAACUCCCAUUACAAACCCUUCUUUUACACUUCCUCCAUUCAGAUUUGCUCACCACUUCCUUUCUAUAUGUCUCAUAGCGUCCAAUUACUUGCUAUGGAAACCACAGGUUAUCCCAUUUCUCAAGGGACAAAACAUCUAUGGCUAUGUUAAUGGAACCACAAUGUAGCCCAACUAGCUCUCUAGCAACAGAAAGAUGCUUCCAUCAUGAGUAUUCUAAUUGCGUCGCUCUUAGAAUCUGUUUUACCUAUGAUUAUUGGUAAACCACCUAGUAAAGCCAUAUGGGAUGCUCUCAAUGCCUCUUUUGGCUUAGCUUCCAUUUCACGUAUGCUCUCUCUUCAUCUCAAUCUUCAACAUUUGCAACAAAAACAGGACAAAUCAGUUAUUGAUUUCCUCUUGCAUGUUAAAUCCAUUGCUGAUGAGAUGAAUGCUGCAGGAAAGCCACUUGAAUUGGAGGAUUUUAAUGUCCACAUCUUCCGUGGUCUUUGAUUUGAUCUCCAAGACAUUGUUUCUAUAUUACUUGGUUGUUCUAAGCUAAUCUUGUUUUUGGAUCUACAUCACGAGAGCAUUAAGGCCUUCCAAAAGUUGCAGAUUUUUUAGCCUUCCUCUCAAGCUAAUUUUGCUACAGCCGACUUUGCUCAACAAAAUGCCUGCACCCCUCCUAGUUCCUCUUUCUCUCUAACUGUGGUAAAUCUAGAGGUUGUGGGAGUCACAGUAGUUGCUUUGCCUAUGGUCAUGGUGCCCAUGGUCUUCAACAAGGUCAUUUUAUGGUGUUCCAUCUAUCAACGUGCAAAUCACAUUGCUGCCACAUGUUACUAUCGCUCUCCAAGUAUGCCUUAUCACUUGCUAUGACAUUCCAAAAUUUGGUCCCUGUUUCGAAUAUAUGAAAUGGUUGAUUCGUCGACACGCUUAUGGUUAAUUUACUCGAAACUGAUAACUCAUGAGUUAACUAAUCUAUUACGUGAGGCCAUUAAGAGAUAUAUAUGCGGUAGACUGGAAAAUUCGAUAUAAUCAGCAAAGGUCAAUAUGACACCAUUAUAAAUCGAUUAGCGAACGGAUAUGUCAUGCCCCAAUCCUCGAGCGCGCGCACAUCCCUUGGUGGUCGAUAAAAUUACAACGUCCUAGAAUGCGUCGCCGACCCAUUCAUUUUAUUGCACAUGCGGAAGUGAAUUAAAAACCCUUGACAACAAACAGUAUGGCAUAGGAAAGCAGGACAAUCACAUCAAACCAAACACUUUUAUAAACAAGCUAAGUUUAUACACAAAGGUCUACAAAAGAUUAGCUUUCAAAAAGGAACUGUCCUAUGACCACUAGUCGGACACGUUCACUGAUCACUCAAACUCCACUAGCUCCGAGGGCCCCGGGUCCUCCACAGCUCCAUCAGGAGGGUUAGCUGCACCCUCACCAAAAGCAGCAUCGACAACCACCGAGAGAAUCUCAAAACUCUUGAGGAGACCCACCCUAUGUCCAUUAAGUCCAUGGUGGAACCACGCCCUAAAUCGAUGAGGUACCCUCUUGGGUAGGCCUUCGUCGACCUAGACGGUGGUCACGACUAACUCGUAGACCCAAUGAGUACCAGGGAUCCAGACAUCUAUCCCCCACUCAGUAAUAGCCCGCGGCUGUCCAAAACGUUCUGAAGGAAUUGCCAUCUAAGGACUUGGAAAGAUUGAGCCCACGACGGGGUGAGACAAUGUCUCAACAAGUUCACCCCCUAAACCCCUAUUAGGAAGGAAAUACACCUAGAGGCGGCCUAACCACACAAUCAAUGAGACUCACCUUGCCUCAGUUCUUCCCUGCAUGUCAGCAUAGUCACAGAUGCGUAUAGCAAUUUCACACAUCAAUUGGAAUGUCUCAAUCAAUCACCUCUCAAUCAAUCACAGGAGUCCUGAUUAUAAGGCCAAAUUGUUAUGACAUGUCCCCUACCAUACAAUUUUGUCCCAUAAUCCGGCGCAUUUAUAUCAAUCAAUCACACAUUCCAAUUGAUUAUGGCCCUCAAGGCAUGGCCUACUCGACGUUUGGCAGUCUUCUAGCGUAGCCAGGCGUCACCUCAUCCCUUGAGCACAACAACGUCCACUCGACACACAUCGAGGACGGCAUUCCCGAAAGAGCUUCAGUCUGGCCUCUACCGCGAUCUGGCAUCCAUUGAUAAGGCACCCAUAUAAGGGCAACGUCCACCUGACGCACAUUGGGGACAGGUUCUCUUAACCAUCACACGAUCAUUCAAAUCCGGCCAAGGACAUUGUGCUUUGCACUCACAUGUCUCAAUUAAGAUUAUGACCUUGGCUUGUUUUCUUCGUAUUAAAACACUCGGUGAAAAUAAUCGCGUGUGGGUACAUGUUCAGAUCGAACCUUAAAAAUUGGUAUCAUUCCUUUUAAAAUCCCACUAAUUGAUGUAGUAUUUAAAAUCAUUUUCGGUGUCAAAAUUUGACACCUGUUAUUUUCUAAUUAAAUACCAAAAUUUCACGAUUUUGAAAUAAUGACUCAAAAAUCAAAAUCACCAUUCAAUUGCACUCAAUUGCAUAAACUAAGUACACCACUGCAAUCAGCACAAAAUUAUGAUCACUGGCUAUCCCGAUAUAAUUUCCGGAAAAUAAUAAAUAAUUAAAUAAAUACCAAAAAUUAUUAGAUAAUACAAAUUAAAUACCAUAAAUACCAACUUAGGCCGGAAAUGAUAAUCUAACCACCUAAACGGGCCAAGAAAAUUUUUAAACCUAUCUAGAUAAAUAGUAUAAUCUACCUAGUCCUUAAUUAGUCUAUUCUAACCACCUAACAUGCAUAAUUAAAUAACUAAAUCACUAAUCUAAACUAACUAAUCACUUCACCUCAUCUUAAUCUAAGCUAAUCACCCCUUAGGCAUCAUUAACCUCCUAAGCAAGGUUUAGCAAGUAAACUCACUAGUUUAGCGAGCCGGUGAGUCCACGGUGACGGUGGCACAGAGGCGAGCGAUAAACAAGCCUGUGGUGACACCAAGCGAGGUCUGGAUGGGCCUAGAAACAGGCCACAAGCUCUCACCUGGGCUAUGAGGUUCGGUCAUUGCUCGGGGCUGCUGGGCUGAACCGAAUGGGCUGAAAACGACAAGCAGGGAUGGUGGUGGCUGCAGCAGCUCUUGGCGAACUUGACAAAGGCAAACAGCGGCUGGUACAACAAGCUUGACGGCUGGACAGAGGGCUCGACGGCAGCUAAGGAUCCUGGGGGAUGGCGAGACGACGCAGGAUGAGCAGGACGCAAGCAAACUGGCGCAUGGGGCUCGAGCACUCACAGGUGUGUUGCUGGCGACGGCAGUAGAGCUCCGGCUGGUCAACUAGCAGGGGAAGCAACUGGCUGGUUUCCUGGUUUUCUUGAGCUCUCAAAUGACCACAACAAUGGAGAAAGGAGCAGCUGAAGGAAGAAGAAGGUGGCUGCCGAAGGAGGAACCCCAAAUGGCUUCCAAGGCUUCAACACCUAUCCAUUUCACUCAUUGACUGCCCCCACCUUGCUCAUCCAUCAUCUUCAACCAUUAUCGACUCCCAAGCUUCCCCAACAAGCCAUUAAAAUGGUCCAAAAGGUUGCUCUCCGCCCCCCCCUUAGCUACGAAUUUGGACAUUUGCCUCUUCAAUAUGAUUCAAUUUCCCGUCAAAUCAAUCUAAUUAAAGCCCAAACAAUUCAGCCAAGGUGCUCACAUCACAUUUCACAUUUUCCCUCAUCAAUUGAACCAAUUUGACAGCCAAAAAUAUGACAAAAAAUGGCCCUCUAAUUUUCUCGGUCCAAAAUAACCUUACUUUGACUUUUCGCCGAAAUCUUGAUUUUGCAAAGAAAUCUUUGGAAGAUGAGUCGACAUUCCUAAAAUGAAUCAUGACAUGACAAAACUUUCAAUUUUUGAAAGCGGGUUCAAAUUUGUGGUUAAUUUCAACCGGACGUGAUUUUAGUGUAACCUAUGUCACACCCCGACCCUUAAGCGCGCGCACAUCCCUCUGCAGUCGAUAAUAAAAAUGCGACUUCCCAGAACGAGUCACCGACCCUUUCAUUUUAUUGCACAUAUGGAAGCAAAUAAUAAACCCCUAACAAUAAAUAACAUGGGAUAGGAAAGCAGGGCAACAUUUCAUAAAAGCCAACUUUUAUAAACAACGGGUUUAGAAACAAAACAAGUCUGGUCAAAGGUCUACAAAAAGGUCAGCACUCAAAAAAGAGUUGUCCUAUGACAAAAUAUUCAGACACAUACGCCAAUCCUUCAGACUCCAUCUCCACAUACUCCAGGGCUUCAGGUCCUCCACAACCACCAACUAAGGACCUGAAAAUUUAAUCCCAUGAUGGGGUGAGAUGUUGUCUUAGCAAGUUCACCCCCUAAACUUAUAUUAGGAAAAAAUACACCCAAGGGUGGCCUAACCACACAAUCCAAAGAACUUACCUCAUCUUAGUUCCCUCAUGCACGUCACCACAGUUCAUAUACACAAUUGGCAUAUAAUUAAGGCACACAACAAUUGAAACGCCUCACUCAUCUCAGUCAAUCAUAGGAGUCCUGAUUAUAAGACCAAACCGUAUGACACGUCCCAUAACAUGCCACACGAUUUUGUCUUAUAAUCAAGCUCAGCUAACUCGACCAACCAUGCGUUCCAAUUGUUAAUUACACCCCUCAAGGGUACGGCCAACUCUGAUUUUGGUUGUCUUCUGGCAUAGCCAGGUAUCGUCUCACCUCCUUUGAGCACGAUUACGUCUCUCAAAGACGGCUUUCCCGAAGGAGUAUAGGUCCAGAAUCUACUACGACCCAAGUCCUAAAUGAAUGGGUAACGUCCGACGUAAACGCUUGGGAUAGGUUCUCUUAACCAAUACAUGACCAUUAAAAUUUGGCCUAAGACAUCGUACAUUGCACUCAAAUGCCUCAAUUAAAAUAGUGAUCCUGACAUAUUUUCUUCAUAUUAAAAAUACCCACUAAAAAUAGUCGUAUGUAGGUACACAGUCAAAUCAAAUUAGAAAAAUUGAUUUCCUCCAAUUUAAAAUCACACUGUUUUAUAUAGUAUAUAAAACUAUUUUUGGAGUUAAAAUCUGACACCUAAAAUUUUAUGAAUAAAUAAUGGAAUUUCCCAAAUUUUGGAAUAAAUGACCAAAAAUCCAAUCAGCACUCAAUUUACACAAAUUAACAUCUAGUUACAUAAACUAAUCACACAAUUGCAAUCAACACGAAAUUCCAGUCACUGGCUAUCUCGGUCUAAUUUUCGAAAAAUAAUAAAUAAUUACCAAAAUUAAUUAAAUAAAUACCAAUAAACGCAAAAAAAUGCAAACCUACAUUGGAAAAGCCUAAUUAAAUACCGAAAUGGGCCCGGAAAAUUUCCGAACCAUUUAGAUAAAUACUAUGACUUAUCCAGUCUCUAAUUACACUACUCUAACCACGUAACAUGCAAAAUUAGAUAAUUAAAUCACUAAUCUAAUUUAACUAACCACCUAAGCCUUAAUUAACUUAAACUAAUCACCCCCUUAGCAUAAUUAACCUCCUAAGCAAGGUUUAGUGAGUAAACUCAACGAAUUAGCGUUCCGAUGAGUCCAUGGCGAUGGCGACAUAGAGACAGGCGAUAAACUCCGAAACGGCGACACCCAGCGGAGACCGAACGGACCCCAAAACGGGCUUAGAGGCUUCCAAGCCCUUUCUGGAAUUCGGUUCUGUCCAAGAACCGAAAUGGCUUGGCCAAGCAAUGAAACGAGCUGAAAUAUGUGGGUCGGGCUGAUUUUGGCUUGACUAUGCUGCAAUGUGGGUUUCGAAUGGGUUGGAUCGGCAUGGAGGUUGAAGCGUGAAUGCUCGCAGCGGGCUGAGGUCAACAUUGGGGCUUGCUGGAUGUUGAAGAAGUUGCUAUGUUGACUCGGUGAAGUGAAUUGGCAUUAGGGGGGAAUGUCGUGGACGAAGGGGGGAGCAGCAAAAGAGGAUCAGUGGGGUUGCUGCAUGGGAAAGAUGGAGGGUCGGUGGAGGGUGUGGGCUGGCGUGAGCUGCUUCGGUGGACACUAGUCAUGGAGAUUUGCGGUCAACAAACCAGUUGAGGGAGUCACAGAGAUGACUGGGAUGUGGCAGCUACUAGUGCUGCUUCGGUGGGGAGUAUGGGUAAACGGAGGGAGAGAGAUGCGAGGAAUUGGGGUGAGCUUCGAAGGAAGAAUGAAGGGAAAUGAAAAGCAAAGCAAAAACCGAUGGAGUCGGCAUCGAAGGGGAGAGAAGAGAAGCUGAAGGAGGGGGACAACGACGGAAGGGCAUCUAGCUUAGCUCGCCCAAGAAGAUUGAAAAAAAGAAGGGGGAAAGUCAACACUAUUAUCCACUUAAUUGAAUGCUUGUCCCCUAAUUCUUUCUAGCAUAAUAAUUCCACAAUUAAUCCAAUUUUGAUGCCAAAAUUGCUGCCCCAUGCCUAGCUCUGAAUUUACUAAAUUUGGACUUCAAUUUCAUCACGAAAUUCCCCAAUUUAAUGUCCAUUUUUGUUGAAAAAGAAGCCCACACAAUUUCUGCAAGUUCCCAACACCAAAUAUCACAAUAUGGAGGCCAAAAAUCCCUUCAAUUUGGCCCAUCCGAAUUUCCGUUCUUUUCCGAAUCGUCCGCACUGAUUUUACGUAAAAAUCCCGAACUCGCCGACAAUUCUUCGAAUGAUGAGCCGACAUUCCUAAAAUAAAUCGUCACAUGAUAGAACUUUCAAUUUCUAAAAUCAGGUACAAAUUCAUGGUUAAUUUCAAUAUGACAUGAUUUUAGGGUGACCUAACCUAUCGGGUAGCUUUUAGGAAUAUUUAGUGCAAUUGACCCGUGGUCAAUUAUUUUCGAGCCACAUUGUGCUUCUUCGACACAAUGGCGACUCUCGGUUAUCGUGAAAAUCUCAAGGUCUUAAAUACGGACAUAGGGUACGAAAAUGAUAGAAAAAUCGAUCUAGUGCCAUUCGAUAGAAUUUUCACGAUUAGAUGGAAUCACCCACACACUAGUCACAUACCUCUAUUGAAUAGAACUAUCUCUGAUCUUUAAUCGAUUUUGUCGGUAUCGUAAUGACCCUUGCAGAUUAGCAUGGUCGAGCAAUCGAUUCCUAGUCGAAUUCUCAAGUCUAUUGCGUUUAGAUUCCUUAACGGCUUCACCUAAUAGGAAAGUUAUCUCAUGAGGGGCCCACUUAGAGAAAAAGGCCAUAGGCGUAUCGAUGAAAAGCCCAUUUCAUCUCAUUGAAAACAUACUUGAAAAUCAGGAUAUCACAACUUUUCCCCUCUUAUAAAAAUUUCAUCCUCGAAAUUUCAACCUAUUACAAAUCUUAAACAAAAAGGUGGGGGUACAGUCGUCUCAUCGAAUCUUCACUUUCCCAGGUUACUCCUUCAAUAUUGUGGUGCUGCUAGACCACUUUGACCAACGAGAUGUUCUUAGUACGCAUAAUUUGUUCCUUGUGAUCCACAAUCUAAACCGGGCAUUCAACGUACGACACUUUGUCAUCCACGUCCAAUUCCUCAAAAUUAAGCACAUGGGUCGAGUCAGGCUCAUACUUCCUCAACAUCGACACAUGAAAGACGUCAUGCACUUACAUUAACCUCGGCGAUAACGCAAGACAAUACGCUAGGAUCCCGAUUAUUUCAAGAAUCUCAAAGGGACCUACGUACCUCAGACUCAGCUUUCCCUUCUUGUCAAAGCGUGAAGUACCCCUCAUUGGUGACUCAUUUAGAAAGACGUGAUCACCAACUUGGAAUUUCAAUGGUCUCCGAUGCUUAUCGGCGUAGUUUUUCUAGCAGCUUUGAGCAGUCUUUAAUUUAUCCUUGGUAACGGCAACUGCAUCUACUGACUACUGGACUAACUUUAGACCUGUGAUCAUUUUUCCCCGACUUCAUCCCAACACGUUGACGUUCUAUACGUUCUACCAUACAACGCUUCGAAAAGGAGCCAUCUGAAUGCUCUGCUAGUACUUGUUGUUGUAGGUGAACUCGACGAGAUGAAAUUGUACCUCCCAACUUCCCUUGAAAUCCAACAUGUAAGCUCGCGGCAUGUCUUCGAGGGUUUGAAUCGUCCUCUUAGACUAGCCAUCCGUCUAAGGAUAAAACAUCGUGCUAUACAACAGCUUCGUUCCUAAGGCGGUUUGCAAACUUUUCCAAAAGGCAGCUAUAAACCUCGAGUCUCGAUCUAAUGUAAUCGUUACUGAAAGUGCUAGUAUUGUCACGCCCCAAUCCUCGGGGACGCGCCCAUCCUUCUUAUUGGUCAAUUUUAAAGUGCGAUAUCCCAGGACUAGGUAUCGCCGACCCUUUCAUUUUAUUACGUAGGCGGAAGCAGUUAUAAAUCCCCAGAUAAUAAAACAAUGGGAUAGAAAAGCAUGCCAUAUUUUUCAUAUUGAAAUUCACAACCACACUUUCAUUAACAGCACAACUCAUAGUAUAUUUACAAUACUAUUCACAACAUACUUGUCUCACACCUAUCUACAUCAAGACAGGGUUUACAAAAGGGAUGGGAUCUCAAUCCACAUCUGGGUUAUACUCAAGAUCCCUCUCUGGAUCGUCUGCUUCUUCAAAAGUCUUUCUCCCCUUCAGGUUCCUCCUCCUCAGCUUCUCCUCAGGGUUCUGAAAUGGUUAUUCAAUAACCAAUGAGACCACGUCUCAGCAAGUUUUACCCCCUAAGACUCGAUUAGUAAACUAAUAUGCUAACCGGGCUACCUAUACACAUACGAGUCAGAGGACUUACCUUAGCCUCAGAUUCCACCUGCAUAUUAGCACAGUUCAGUAGGCACCCAAGUAAUCACAUUACUGAUCGAAGCAUCGAUCAAAUUGACCUAGUCGAUUACAUGUCAAUCAGACCAUCUCAUGGUCAUUUCCAAUCAACCAGUCAAUUCACAACAUCAUAUCAAAGCAAUGAUUAAUCGACCUAGUCGAUUAUAUGUCAUCACGACCCAUGUUUGGUUGGUACAUUCAAUACUAUCUAUAAGUCCAACCAUAGUCAAGGACUGCUCACUCUAAGCUGAUACAUAGAUAGUAUAGCUCGCACUAAGCUGAUAGGGUUAAGGUAUACUGCUUUCGCUAAGCUGACAUAUCACCCGUAGGUUGAUAUAGUAUACUGGUAUACUGCUCUCGUUAAGCUGACAUAUCGCCCGCAGGCUGAUAUAAUAUACCUCCGAUGCUCACACUAAGCUGAUAAAGUCUGCUCGCGCUAAGCUGACAUAUCGCCCGUAGGCUGAUAUAGUACACCAAUAUACUGCUCUCGCUAAGCUAACAUAUCAGAGCCCGUAGGAUGAUAUAGUAUACUAUCCGACCAUUCAAUCCAUUCCAUCUUUUAUCCUUCUCGAUAAAAUAGCCGUGUGUGUGGACACGGUCGGCCUUAUCCAAAAUAUAAUAUUUUCCUUUCCAUAACUCCCACAUUUUCUGUAGCCCACUCAGAUCCUUUUGGCAUUAUCAACUGAUGCCCAGUUAUUUUUCAAUUAAUAACCAAUGAUUAUCCAAUUAAAGAAUAAUUCCCUCUUUCACAAAUAAUUCAAUUCAGCAUGAAAUAGAGCUCAAUUAAAUAAACAGACUGUGCCACGACAAUCAGCAUAAAAUUUUGGUCACUGGCCAUCCCAAUUGAAUUUCCAGGAAAUAAAUAAUUAAAUAAUUAAUUUUGGAAAAUAAAUAAAUAAAUACAAUAAAUUCAAUUUAGCACAAUAUAAAGCUCAAUUAAAUAAACGGACUGCACCACGAUCAUUAGCAUAAAAUUCCGGUCGUUGGCUAUCCCUGCCUAAUUUUCGGAAAAUAAAUAAUUUAUUAAAUUAAUUUCGAAAAUUAAUAAUUAAAUACUAAAAAUCCAAUUUAGGCUAGUAUUGCCUGAUUGGACGCCAGAAUGGAUCGGGAAAAAUCCCGAGAUGCAUUCAAUAAAUAGAAGUACGUCUCUACUUGCUAAUAACUAAGUCUAACCACCUAACAUGCAUCAUUAAGUCACUAAUUUAAUUGUCCUAAACUAAUCUAACCACCUAAUUGCACUUAAUUAAAUCUAACCAACCCCUAACCAUAAUUAGCAAACUAAGAAAGCAUCAGUGAGUAAAACUCACUUGGUAAAAGCGGAGACCGAAUCACCAUGAUGGCAACGCGACAGCAGUCGAAACUCGGGUUUUCGGCGACAUCGACGGGCACACGGACCAGGCCUAAAAGCCUCGCAAGCCCACAGAAAAUUCUAGGCUUGAACUAAACUUGGGCCCGAGCUUGGGUUGACUUGCUUAGCGAGCUUGGGCUUUAAGAUUGGGCUGUUAAAUUGGGCCUCAAAUUACUGGGCUGAUCUUGCUUUAAAGAAACUGUUGGGCUGAUUUCUUGUGGGCCUGACUUUGCUUGGGCUUCAAAUGGCGUGGGCUCAAUGCAGCUGCUGUUCACUUGGGCUGCGAUAUAGACUACCAUUGGCUGAAGACACGGGCUUGAAUCAAGCUAGGCCGUGACAAUUUCGUGUGGGCUGUUGUACGCCCUGUCUUCGGAUGAGAUGGACUCGGACGAGAUGAUCGAUCGAAGAAACAGCAAAGGCUGAUGUUGGGCCACGAAAACUGAAGACCAACGUUACUGGAGAAGGCGGUUUUCGCUGGGCAGAUUUGCUUCAGCAAGGAAAUCCACGGGUUGGGGGUCAAUGAUGAGGAAAGCAGCUGGAUUCUUGGCCACGUGGAGUGAAGAUCGGUGGGGGAGUGAGAGACGUGCGCAGAGAUGAGCAGAGGUGGGAGCUUCGAGCGGUUUGCUGGUCAACAACCGACAGAAAUGAGAAGCUUCGGUGGACUUCUUUCGUUGAAAUAAGCUUGACCAAACAAGCUGGAUGGACUUCGGCUUCGCUGAUAGCUUCAAGGAAUUUCGGUGGAGAGACAGCAAGAGGGGGAGAGAGAUCACGGGGCUGUGGUCUUCGAUGAUGCUGGGCCAAGAGACGCGGACGAAGGAAGCAGUAGCUACGGACUACGUUGCUGGAGUCAACACUCGAACAUGGGGUUUAGCUGGUGUUGACUGUGGGGACGCGUGGCUGCAAGAUGGAGGGGUCUGCAAACCGAAGUCAGCUUCGGUGGAGUUGGGGUUACUUCAGCAGCUCGUCUUCAUGAAGUUGGAUGAAGAUACGUCAAAGAAAAAGAACAAAAGGGCAGAAGGUUUCGGUAGAGAUGGCGGUUCUUUGCAAAGAGGAAUGAAAGCGAAGCAGAGCCACAGAGAUGGAGAGGAAAUGAUCAUGGAACCGAAGCUGUUUGCUUUGACAAGAUGAAAAGAAAAGUGAGGCAGAAGCAGGAGACGUCGCACAACUGGAGGGAGGCGGUGGACAGGCGUGCGAUGGAAGGAAGCCAGCUAAGAUGAAAUAAAAAUCCUCAAUCCUUAGCCAAUACAUUAAUACCUUGGCCCCACAAGCCCACAAUGUUAUCCUUUUUGUCCCCCCCCCCCCCCCAAUCACUUUCAAGCUUAUUAACUCACAAAUAAACCAAUUUAAAGUCCAAAAUUGCUGCCCUCAUCCUAUCAUACGAAUUCCACAACUUGAGCUUCAAAUCUUCAUGAAAUUUCUCAAAUCGACGUCCAAUUUCAUCGUGGAAAAAGCCCAUAGAAUUUAUACAAAUCCCUAUCAGCACAUAGCCCACUAUGGAAGUCCAAAUUUCUUUCAAAUGAGUCCAUUCGAAUUUCCGAUAAUUUUCCGUGACGUCUGAUUCAAUUUUCCGCAAAAAUCUCAGAAUCUCUGAAAAAUCUUCUGAGAUUGAGUUGACAUUCCUAAAUUAGUUCGUGACACCACAGAAUUUUCAAUUUUUGAAAUUGGGUUCGAAUUCACGGUUAAUUUCCAUUCGGCGCGUUUUUAGCGUGACCUAGGCUACCGGUUAACUUUCAGAACUUUUCAGUGCAAAUGACCCGUGGUCGAUUUUCUUCGAGCCACAAUGAACCCACUUGACUCAAUGAUGACUCUCGAUUGUCGUGAAAAUCUCAAGAAUUCAAGUACGGACACAAGAUAUCAAAACGAUAAGAAAAUCAGUCUAGUGUUGAUCGACGAGAAUUUUCCAAUUUAGUGGUGUCACCCACGAUUAGCCACACAUCUCAAUCGAACCAACAUGUAUCUGAUCUCAAAUUGAUUUAUAUCUAUGCCGUAAUGGUCUCGACAGAUGAGCACGGUCAAGUAGCCGAUUCCUGAUCGAAUUCUCAAGUCUUUUUGCUUUAAAAUUCUUAAUGGUUUCCCCAUAUAGACUAGUUAUCUCUAGAAUAAUCAGUUCUGAGAAUAGCCCUAUAGACGCGUCAAUUAAAUGCCCGAUUUAUUCAAUAGAAAACAUGACUGAAAAUCUGGGAUGUCACAAGUAUGAACACCUAGAGGGAGGUGAAUAGGUGUUUAAAAUAAACCUUGGCAAAUAUAUGCGGAAUAAAAUAAAUUUUGAGCAAAAUAAAGGAGUUAAGGAAGAGAAUAAGAACACAAGAUUUAUAGUGGUUCCGCUUAAUCCAAGCCUACGUCCACUCUCCCACACUAACAGCCUUCUUGGUUGGAUUCCACUAUGCAAUCAACAAGAGAUUACAACUUUUAGUGCAAACACUUAGUAGUAGAUCACACUAUCUCACUAAGUCACUCUUUUGGUAUUUCUCUCACGAUCACAAACGUUUAAGCUCACCAAAGACAAGUGUAUGAACAAAGAUCACUCAAACUUUGGAAUUAUAAAUUCUACGCUCCGUCUCUUUCUUGCUCAUCGAUCCUUGAUCUCCUUAAAUACUCCUCCACUUCCAAACUACCCGUUGGACAAUAUCUCGAGGAUCGUCUUCCAAUCUACCCGUUGGACAGAUCUUUAUGUAGAAGAUUUGGUAGCCAUAAGUAGAGCUUAUUCGUAUAGAAAGUUCUUGUCUUCAAUAUUCAAUCGUCAAUCAAUUAGAUCGAGUCAAUCAAAUCAAUCUUGAUAUGGAAUCCAAACCAGAUCACUAGCCAUUAUAUGAUUGGGGCUUGUGUUACGUUCUGUCGAAUGUGGAUAUAAAGUUUGAGAGCAAUAGACUUUACUACUGAGUCUGAGUGCAAUAGAUUUUACAAUUUGGGUCUAAACAUAUUUUGCUUUUGAACAGAUUUAGCUUUAAGGUCUGAACACAGUCUAAAUAAGUUCAGCUUCAGCAUAGAGUUUGUCUUCUUAUUCAGCUUCAUUCACGUUCAGUCUGGAAUUUGUCAGAAUAAGUAGACUUCUGAUGUAAAACAGACUUUGAUACUAAAGUCUAGCAGUCUUCAAACUUUGAUACAAAAGUCUGAAAAUCUUCAGAAUAUACUUUGGACAUAUGUUACAUACAGUCUUCUGGUCGUCUUCACACUUUGAUAAUAUCACUUACAUGUUCUAUCUUCUGCAUGAUCUAUUACUUAACCAUUAAACAUGUUAGUAGCCUUUGAUUUAUUUUGUCAUUUUCAAAACAUCAUAAGGGAUUUCCCUAACAGUUACCGGCACUCUAUGCAGACGAACAAUCUGACGCACGUACAAUUCUGUGUGCCUGUCCAAAUCGAGGUCUUUUCGUACCGCGAUGAAGUGAGCCAACUUCGUCAGUUUAUUGACCACUACCCAAAUAGAGUCAUUACCUCUCUGACUCCUUGGUUAGCCUGUCAUAAAAUCCAUUGUGAUAUGUUCCCAUUUCCACUCGGCUUACAAUGCUGUGCCUUCACUUGUUGACACAUCAAACACUUAGCUACAUGUUUGGCAAUAUCUGCCUUCAUACCAGACCACUAAUAAUAUUGACGCAAAUUCUGAUACAUUUUCGUGCUACUAAGAUGAAUGUUGUAACUGCUACGAUGAGUUUAUGAUAGGAUCUCCUCCUUAAGGGCUGCAUCGUUAGGUACACACAAUCGUCCUCGGAACCUUAGUGUUCCAUCAUCAGAAAUGUGAAAGUGUCCCAUAAUUCUUUCUAGCAUAAUAAUUCCACAAUUAAUCCAGUUUUGAUGCCAAAAUUGCUGCCCCAUGCCUAGCUCCGAAUUUACUAAAUUUGGACUUCAAUUUCAUCACGAAAUUCCCCAAUUAAAUGUACAUUUUUGUUGAAGAAGAAUCCCAUACAAUUUCUGCAAGUUCCCAACACCAAAUAACUCACUAAGGAGGCCAAAAAUCCCUUCAAUUUGGCCCAACCAAAUUUCCAUUCUUUUCCGAAUCGUCCGCACUGAUUUUUCAUAAAAAUCCCGAACUCUCCAAAAAUUCUUGGAAGGAUGAGUCAACGUUUCUAAAAUAAAUCUUCACACGAUAGAACUUUCAAUUUUUGAAAUCAGGUUCAAAUUCGCAAUUAAUUUCAAUAUGACGCAAUUUUAGUGUUACCUAACCUACCAAGUAAUUUUUAGGAAUUUUUAGUACAAUGGACCCGUGGUCGAUUGUUUUCAAGCCACAUUGUGCAUCUUCGACACAUUGGCAACUCUCGGUUGUCAUGAAAACCUCAAGGUCUCAAAUACGGACACAUGGUACGAAAAUGACAGAAUAAUCGGUCUAGUCCCGUUCGAUAGAAAUUUCGCAAUUAGGUGGAAUCACCCACACACUAAUCACAUACCUCUAUUGAAUCAACCUAUCUCCGGUCUUUGAUCGAUUUUAACGGUGCCAUAAUGACCCUUGCAGAUUAGCACGGUCAAGCAAUCGAUUCCUAGUCCAAUUCUCAAGUCUAUUGCAUUUAGAUUCCUUAACGGCUUCACCCGAUAGGCUAAUUAUCUCGUGAGGGGCCCACUCAGAGAAAAAGGCCAUAGGCGUGUCGAUGAAAAGCCCAUUUCAUCUCAUUGAAAAGAUACUUGAAAAUCAGGAUGUCACAACUCUUCCCUUUCAUAAAAAUUUCGCCCUCGAAAUUUAAACCUAUUACAAAUCUUAAAUAAAAAAGUGAGGGUACAGUCGUCUCAUCGAAUCUUCACUUUCCUAGGUUGUUCCUUCAAUGCCAUAGUGUUGCCAAACCACUUUGACCAAUGAGAUGAUCUUGAUGCGCAUAAUCCAUUCCUUGUGAUCCAUAAUCUGAACCGCGUUUCCAACGUACGACACUCUGUCGUCCACGUCCAAUUCCUCAAAAAUAAGCACAUAGGUUGGGUUAGGCUCAUACUUCCCCAACAUUGACAUGUGAAAGAUGUCAUGCACUUGUGCCAACCUCGGCGGUAAUGCAAGACGAUAUGAUAGGAUCCCGAUUAUUUCAAGAAUCUUAAUGGGACCUACAUACUUGGGACUCCGCUUUCCCUUCUUGCCAAAGCAUGAAGUACCCCUCAUUGUUGACAUAUUCAGAAAGACAUGAUCACCAAUUUGGAAUUCCAAUGGUCUCCGACGUUUAUCAGCGUAGCUUUUCUAGCGGUUUCGAGCGAUUUUUAAUCUAUCCCUGAUAACGGCAACUACAUCCACUAACUGCUGGACUAACUCUAGACCUGUGAUUUUUCUUUUCCCAACUUCAUCCCAACACACUGGCGUUCUGCACACUUUGUCAUACAACGCUUCGAAAGGAGCCAUCUAAAUGCUCUGCUAGUCAUUGUUGUUGUAGGCGAACUCGACGAGAUGAAGUUGUUCCUCCCAACUUCCCUGGAAAUCCAACACGCAAGCUUGUAGGAUGUCUUCGAGGGUUUGAAUCGUUCUCUCAAACUGGCCAUUUGUUUGAGGAAGAUACGCCGUACUGUAUUGCAGCUUUGUUCCUAAGGCGGUUUGCAAAUUUUUCCAAAAGGCAGCUAUAAACCCUGAGUCUCUGUUUGAUGUAAUCGUUAUCGGCACUCCAUGUAGACGAACAAUCUGACGCACGUACAAUUCUACGUGCCUGUCCAAAUCAAGGUCCUUUCGUACUGCGAUGAAGUGAGCUAACUUCAUCACUCUGUUGACCACUACCCAAAUAGAGUCAUUACUUCUCUGACUCCUUGGUAAGCCUGUCACAAAAUCCAUUGGGUAUGUCCCCAUCUCCACUCGGGAAUCUCAAGAGGUUGCGAAAGUCCUCUCGGCUUACAAUGCCUUCACUUGCUGACAUGUCAAACACUUGGCGGCAUGCUUGGCAAUGUCCGCCUUCAUACUAGACCACUAAUAAUGUUGACGCAAAUUCUGAUACAUUUUUGUGCUACUAGGAUGAAUUCGGUAACUUCUACAAUAAGCUUCUGACAAGAUCUCCUUCUUAAGCGAUGCAUUGUCAAGUACACAAUCGUCCUCGAAACUUUAGUGUUCCAUCAUCAUAAAUUUGAAAGUGUCCCCUAAUUAUUUCUAGCAUAAUAAUUCCACAAUUAAUCCAAUUUUGAUGCCAAAGUUGCUGCCCCAUGCCUAGCUCCGAAUUUACCAAAUUUGGACUUCAAUUUCUUCACGAAAUUCCCCAAUUUAAGGUCCAUUUUUGUUGAAGAAGAAGCCCACACAAUUUAUGCAAGUCCCUAACACCAAAUAACUCACUAAGGAGGCCAAAAAUCCAUUCAAUUUGGCCCAACCGAAUUUCCAUUACUUUCCGAAUCAUCUGCAUUGAUUUUUCGUAAAAAUCUCGAACCCACCGAAAAUUCUUCGAAUGAUGAGUUGACAUUCCUAAAAUAAAUCGUCACAUGAUAGAACUUCUAAUUUCUGAAAUCGAGUUCAAAUUUGCGGUUAAUUUUAAUCUGACGUGAUUUUAGCGUGACCUAACCUACUGGUAGUUUUUAGGAAUUUUUAGUACAAUUGACCCAUGGUCAAUUAUUUUUGAGUCACAUUGUAUAUCUUUGACACAUUGACGACUCUUGGUUGUCGUAAAAAUCUCAAGGUCUUAAAUAUGGACAUAGGGUACAAAAAUGAUAGAAAAUCGAUCUAGAGCCGUUGGAUAGAAAUUUCGCAAUUCGGUAGAAUCACCUACACACUAAUCACAUACCUCUAUCGAAUCAACAUAUCUUCGAUCUCUUGACGGUGUCGUAAUGACCCUUGCAGAUUGGCACGGUUGAGCAGUCAAUUCCUAAUCGAAUUCUCAAGUCUAUUGCAUUUAUAUUCCUUAACGGAUUCACCUGAUAGGUUAGUUAUCUCGUGAGGUGCCUACUCAGAGAAAAAGCCCAUAGGUGUGUCGAUGAAAAACUCAUUUCAUCUCAUCGAAAAUAGACUUGAAAAUCAGGAUGUCGCAAUUCUUCCCCUCUUAUAAAAAUUUCGUCAUCAAAAUUUAAACCUAUUACAAUUUCUAAAUAAAAAGGUGGGGGCAUAAUCAUCUCAUCGAAUCUUCACUUUCCCAAGUUGCUCCUUCAAUGCUGUGGUGAUGCCAGACCACUUUGACUAAGGAGAUGGUCUUGGUGCGCAUAACUAAAUUUUAGCGACCCAGUCAUUUAUUUAAUGCAUAGAAAAUUAGGGAUUAAUUUUAUCGCUGAAAAAAUAUUAGAAUGCAUAGCAUAUAAUUUUAUAUGCAUUUAUUCUUUACCAAAAAAAAAACUUUAGAUGCAUUUAUUUAUUCUAAUUGCAUUUGCAUUGGACCGGUGACGAAUGGGUUUGAUUUGAUGGUUCUGAGCUUUAAUUUGACAAGUUGGACUAAACCUAUGAGAGAGCAAAUUGGCGCCCAAGCCCAUAUUCUCAAGGAAAUAUUCUACGGUCAUCUUUGCAAGGUUUGAAAUUUGAAAAAAUCCUAUUGCAAUUUUGAAUCUUUGACAAUAUGUGAUAAAAUCGGUGGAGAAUAUUCAUUGUUGCAAAGGAAAUAUAUAAAAGAUGAGGAAAUAAAUAGGAUUUUGCAUUCGGGAGGUUAUAGGCGAUCUUCGUGCAUAUUGAAAAAGGAGAUAAAAUAUUCCACGAAGAUCACAUUCUUGGCUAAUAAAAGGAGUCAUGUACAAUGAGAAAAGGAGGCCACACAUUGAAUAUAUGGCCACACAAAAGGGGGGUUUUUUUAGUCACAUUGAAAGGGGGCUUCUUCUCGACUUCUAAGUCAAAAUUCAACAAAAAGCAAAAAAAAAAAAAAAAAAUCGUUCUUUGGGCAGAGGGUUUUUUCUUUGAUCGUUUUAGGGGAGAAGCAACAUUAAAAAAGGAAAAGUUCUUGAGGAAAAGUCAACAAAAGCAAAAGAGAGCAGAGAAAGGGCAGUGAGUGAGAUGUGAACAGAGAGUGGGACAUGAGGGGACAAUGCAGCAGAACAGGAAAAGGAAAAAAGAACAGAAAAGGAAAAAAAGAGGAAAAGCAAGAGGGCUAGUGUUCUUCUUCUCGACUGAACUCCCUCACCUUCAAGCGUUGGUGUCUCUCUCAACUCACCACUGCCGCUCCGCCUGCAACCCAACACCGUCACGACUUGCAACCACCACGUUCCACUCGCCACAUCUUUGAGCGACCCCCUGUGACAGUUCCACCCAACGUCGCUGUCACGACCUGCCUCUACUAGCCCAGCACUCGAGCUCCCCUGUUGCUGCAACCUACGCUUCCAACGCUACCCUACUUCGCCUGACCUGCAACCAAGUCUCCGUUGCCGCCGUUAGUAGCCGCUCGACUCCUCACAACGACUUGACGCUCACCAUUACUGUAGAUCACGACGCCAGGACCCGUUGCUAAGUUGCCCUACUACCCGAGUGCCGCUACUGCCUCGACACUAGUAGGUCUAGAAACUAAACGCCGGCCCCCCUAUACGUUGCUCCGAGGCCCAAGCAAUGCCGCCACUUCCGCCCGCCCCUGAUUCCCUCAUUGGAGUUUCAAAUGACAACCCAUCACCCUCAAGGAACCACCACAGCUGUGACAUCCAGAUUUUCGGGUUCUAAUUUCGACUAGAUAAAUAGGGCCGUUUUAAUCGGAAUUUUGUAGAGGACCAUUUUUAUUGUGAAAUUGGGAUGCAAGAUGGGUUAUUGGAUGAUGAAAAAUAACAAUUGAAGCAUGGAGACAUUGAUUAAUUUUAUAGAGGCUAAGUAAGAGUGAAUCAUGAGGAAGUGGUUGUGCAAUUGAAGCCAUUGCUAGGAAAUUCGUAACAUCCCCACACCCUAGCAAGAAUGGACCACUUGGGAGGUUAUAUGGGACAUUUUUGAUGGCCUAAUGAAGGCCAAGUAUUUAUACAUGAUUUAGAUUGAUUUAAGGGAGUUAUUUUGCAAAAUAUCAAUCCUUGGUGGAGCCCUCACUCCUCAUGGCUAUCCACCUCUCUCUCAUACCCCACAACCGAACAGCUUCUCUCCUUGAUCGUCUAAGCCCUUCUUCUCCAUUCCAUGCAUGCGACCUCCAACCAGGAAGGGAGAAGGCUAGUAGGGGCAGCUCGUUGCCGCCAGACCGCUUGCCAGCACCACUGCAACCCACGUUCCUCUGCUCCCUUCGUCUCUGCCACCAUUCAACCGAAGCCGUCUCUCUCUCCGCUCGGCCCAUGUCCCACGAAGCUGUUGCUGCACAUCUUCAAUUCAACGAGUGGAAGUCAGCAAGCGGUGAAGCCCUCCAUCUCCACGCUGCCACCUGUGGAUUUAUUAGCCUUCUUCGGUCAACACUUCUCUUAGUUGAAGCCGCUGGUUGACUGAGCAAUCCAUUCCCACGAAGCUGCAACCCACCGAGAUCUCACUUUGCUGCCACGUGCUUCUCCAUCUCACUGCCGUGGAAGCCCACGAUCCCUCCGCAAAGCCAACGCACACCAGCUGAAGACCGUCGAAGCCCCCCUCAACCGAAUCUCUCUCUGCUGAUGGUUGCUCUUUACUUCGUCGCGUGGAUUGCUGCCUCAACGAAGACCAGCUGCUUCGAUCUUCCUUCGCCACACCAGCUGGACCAAGCCCAACGCCACAACUGCUUCUUCAUUCAGCCCAAUUAAAGACUUGAAGCCCAUGUGAAUUGUAGCAAUUCAGCCCAUUGGGGUUUAAUUUCAUUGAAGCCCAUGUGGAGUUCGGCCCAAGAGAACAGCCCAUUCUCAGUUUAUUUGCUCAGCCCAUUGAAGUUGUUUUUCGGCCCAGCUCGCAGAUCAGUCCGCAAUCCAUUGGAGAUUAGUUUGAAUCCCAAGCUCAAGCCCAAGUUCAGCUUGUUUUUUUUUUUUUUAGCUCAGAGUUUCUUCAGGCUUGUGAAGUUCUUGGCCCGGCCCAAGUUCGGCCGCCGUUGUGUCGUCGUCGCAGUAUCCCAGUCUUCGCUUUGCGCAAGUGAGUUUUACUCACUAAUGCUUUAUUAGUUUGCUAAUUAUGCUUAAGGUUGAUUAGAUUUAAUUAUUUGCAAUUAGGUGGAUAGAUUAGAUUAAAGUAAUUAAAUUAAAGACUCAUUGAUGCAUGUUAAUUAGAUUGAUUGUGCAUUUAGCUAGUAAUCAUGUCCUAUUAUUUAUUGGAUGCUUCUUGGGAUUUUUCCCGUCCCUUAUCGGGUGUUAAUUAGGCAAUUCGGGCCUAGGUGGAAUUUUUAGGAAUUAAAGAUUAAUUUUCGAAAUUAAUUAUUUAAUUAUUUAUUUCCCAGAAAUUCAACUGGGAUGGCCAGUGACCGGGAUUUUAUGCUGAUGAUCGUGGCGCAUUCCAUUUAUUUAAUUGAGCUUUAUAUUGUGCUAAAUUGAAUUUAUUGUAUUUAACUUUCGAAAUUAAUUAUUUAAUUAUUUAUUUUUCGAAAAUUCAACUGGGAUGGCCAGUGACCGGAAUUUCGUGCUGAUUGUCGUGGAGCAGUCCAUUUAUUUAUUUAAGCUUUAAUUCGUGUCGAAUUGAUUUAAUGGUGCAUUUUUUAGUUAUGUUAUUAAAUAAUGAAAUUUUGGCCUUAUGAUUGAGAAUUGGUCGGGUAUCGGUUGUCAGUAUUGAAAGUGAGUUGGUAAAUCACUUGGAGAAUGCACGUGGCCCAAUGAAUUGGAAUGUCACUUGGGAAAGACACGUGGCUCGGUGAUUAGAUGUGUCAUCUUGGCGAAAAGGUAGCCUUAGAGAAUGGACAUGGCUCGGAGACUCGGUAUGUCUUCCUGGAGAAUGCACGUGGCUCGGUGAUAGAGUAUGGCAUCGUAAAAAAGGUCAAGUGGGACCGUAAAGCCACUAAAUCUUGGAAAGGUCGGGUGGGACCGUAAAGCCACUAGAUCAUGAGAGGGUCGGGUGGGACCAUAAAGCCACUAAAUCUUGAAAAGGUCGGGUGGGACCAUAAAGCCACUAAAUCUUGAAAGGGUCGGGUGGGACCAUAAAGCCAUUAAAUCUUGAAAGGGUCGGGUGGGACUGUAAAGCCACUAAAUUUUGAAAGGGUCGGGUGGGACCAUAAAGCCACUAAAUCUUGGAAAGGUCGGGUGGGACCGUAAAGCCACUAGAUUUUGAGAGGGUCAGGUGGGACCGUAAAGCCACUAAAUCUAAGGAAUUGCUUGGUGUUGGAUGAAUGACCUAGAAAUGGUCCGACUGACUUGUAAUCGACUAGGUCGAUUGAUCGAUGAUUCGAUCUGAGUGUGACAAUGUGAUUCAUUGCCUUGGUUUGAUGUUGUGAAUUGAAUGAUUGAAUAGAGAUGACCGUGAGUGGUCUUCUUGGUGUGUAAUCGACUAGGUCGAUUAGAUCAAUACUUCGAUCUAUAAUAUGAUUUCUUGGGUGCCUAUAUGAUUUGUGCUAAUAUGCAGGUGAAAUCUGAGGGCAAGGUAAGUCAUCUGACUCAUGUUGUGCAUAGGCAGCCCUAUGUGUAUUAGUUUACUAAUCAAGUCUUAGGGGGUAUAACUUGCAGAGACGUUGUCUCGGUGGUUAUUGAAUAACCAUUUCAGGGCCUGAAGGAGGGGCUUAAGGAGCAUGAAUCUGAUGAGGAGAUCCUUGUUGAGGAACCCAAAGAGGAGUACGUGGAGGAGGACCCCGAGGAUAACCCCGAGUACGACUCGGAUGAGGACUAAGAUCCCAUCCUAUCUUGUCAGACCUUGUUUGCAUGUGAAUAGACGUUAGACCAGAGUUGCGUAUAUAUAGUACUGUAGAAUACUAUGAGAUGCAUGUAAAAAGAUGUAAUUGUGAAUUUUCAGUAAUAAUAAUAUAUGGCCCACUUUUCUAUCCCAUUGCUUUAUUGUCUGGGGAAUUAUAACUGCUUCUGCAUGUGCAUAUAUAAAUGAAAGGGUCAGCGAUACAUAGUCCUGGGAUAUCGCAUUUUAAAAUCGACCAAAAGUUAAGGGAAGUGCGCGUGCCUGAGGAUCAGGGCAUGACAACAGCAGCCCCUUGUCGAACCAAGCCGGGCCACGUUGAGCCGCAGUUGAUUAACCCGGAUUUAGGAAAAAUCCCAAUUACGUAGUUUUUUUUUAUUUCAUUUAUUUCUUUACUUGAAAUAUUCCUUGAUGUAAGAUUGAGAUUCCUGACAUGAAGUAACCUCUUAAAUUAGGGAUUGAUAGUCCGAUUCUCGCGGCUAAAAUCCGACUCGCAAUCACUUGGAAAAUCUCCAAUCCGAUCUCACGCUUGAGAUUCGAUUCACAGUUUAUUUAAAAUUGACCAACCCGAUCUCAUGCGCGAAAUAUGGUUCAUCAAUUUUUGAAUAUCAAUCUUAUCUUGCUCUAAUUUGCCGUUGUGUGUUUUGAGUCGAUUUUGUUUUCAUAAAAAAAAAUCCAAAAAAAAAUGAGUUAGAUUAGGUUUGUUUUAGAAUAUUCCUCGUUUUAGGGUUAUCUUGCAUAUUUUGAAUAUGAUUUUUAUUUUGAAUUUAAAAAAAUCCAAAAAAAUCAAUUUAGGAUGCUAGUUUUUUUAAACUUAGGUUGCAUGUUUAAUUAUUUGACAAUUUUUAAUUUCGAAUUUUACAAAAAUCAUCAUGCAUAUGUCAUGUAGAAUUAAGGCAUUCUUUGCACGUCAUUGCAUAUUAGGAUAAGAUUGCAUGUUUAAUUUUAAGUUUAGAUAAAUCUUUUAGAUAGAUUGCAUUUUAGGUUAGAGAUUACCAAGUUAAGAUAAUAUCUUAGUUUAAAUUAAGAUUUGGCCUAACCUAAUUCUUAAUAUAAGUUGGAGAGAAUCCUAAUUUAGUUAGAUAAUUUUGCAUUUUUCUUAAUGUCGAAUUUUAUGAAAAAUACCAAAAAAAUUGUCUUAGAGUAAAUUCAUUUCAUUCUCUAGGACAGAUUGCACGCUUUUUAAGAGAAUAGAAAUUUCAUGUGCACGUCAUAUAGAAUUAGAUUCAUGAAAUGCAUGUCAUUUAGUUAUUGUUGCUAGGUCCAUUUAGUUAAAAAUUGCCCAUCAUUAGAAUUAGGUCAUUUGGUCAUAUUGCCAUGUCACAUCAUGUUAGAUUAGUAGCAUGUAUUGCAUAAAGCAUAAUUCUCAUUAAAUAAGUGAAAACAAAAAAGGUAAUUGUGUGUUAAUUAGAAAUCAUAUCUAUGAUUGUCGAUGUGAAUUCUAAUCUAACAUUGCAGAUGCUUUCGAUGUCAUGAGGUAUGUCUUGCAAUUUAUUCACUGCUUUUCUUGGAUGUUAAAUUGGUAGUUUGUGCACCCACAUGAUAACCUCACAUGUUAGGGAAAUAGAUUAAAAUCAAUUCAAACUACCUACAAAAAAAUAUUUUUUUCGAAAUAAAAAAUAAAGGUACCGAAAGGGCGUUAGAGAAAUCUAGCGUAACCAAGUCCCCGAACUCACAAUCACUAGUUCGUAGGAGUAAAGUAAAUCUCCCGUUACUUUACUUGGGUUUCUAAUCGACCCACCAAAAAUAGAUUAGUGGCGACUCCUAAUUGAAAAAUCAUUUGCAUGUUAAGAACUUGAACCUAAGUCGCAAAUUGGCAUGAGAAAGCCCGAGUUAAGUUUAGGCUUAGUAAUCCAUUAGCCAAACCCUAGGUGGUUCACCCGAAAUUUUGGUCACGACACUGGCCGAUCAGUGUGAUGCCCACACCAUAUGCAACAACCUUUGUCAUAUGUCAUCAUGUCAUACUUGUGUCUCAUAAUAUAUCAUACAACUGCACCAAUCAAUUUACAUGCUCGUGGCAUAUAGAUCACCCAUCAAAGUAAGAUAAGUCAUUGCAAUUGAACAUAAGUUAUUAGAAUAACUUAUCACAUCCCAGCGUAAUCUAUCCAAUAAUUCACUUCACUUAUCACAUCUUAAUAACUUAUCACGUAACUACUUAUCACAUAAUGAUAACUUAUUAGCAAAACUCGAUAACCUAUCUCCAAAACUUGAUAACUUAUCAAGAUAACCAAUCAAAACCCUAUGAUAACUUAUCAUUUAAAACCCACUUAUCACAUCAUCAAAGCACCAUUUAGCCUUAAUCUAGUCCUAAACUAUCUCCUAAGUGCAACAACAACCCUAUUCAAGGGUUAGAAAACCACUCACACCCGAGUCCAAGCUUUAACAAGCAUUAAGGGACGAGCGGCAAGACCGAGCAACAGUUAAGGUGGCCGGACCAACAAUGACCAGCCCACGGUGAGGGCUAUGGAGGCGUCCCGAUGAUGGUGUGGUGGCAGCACGGCAAUUGGCUAGGCAGCAGACAAUCUCCAAACUCCACAAUGGACCAAACCAAGAGAGAAAGGAAGGAGAGGAGACUGCGGCAAGGGCUAGACAACAGCCUCCUUGCCUCCGAAAAUCUGCUAUGGCUACAAGAAUGGCAGUGCAGAAUGGCCGUUCAACGGCGGUGGCAUGGGGGACAAUCACCGGUGAGGAAAAUGAGAGGAAAAUGAGGGGAAAAGCUUACAAAGAUGGGGAAAAUGGAGAUGGGUGUUUUGGCUAUGGCAUGGAGAGAGAGAAAGUGAGAUUGAGAGCAAAAGUGAGAAAUAUGAGAGAGAGAGAGAGAGAGAGAGAGAGAGAGAGAGAGAGAGAGAGAUGGUGGCGAGCGGUUUUAGGGAAAGAGAGAUAGUGGAAUGAUGAGGAAAUCUAACCAAUAAAUGACCAUCCUAUCUAAAUAUUUUAGAACUCCUCUCAACCAAGCAAAUGAAAGGCACUUGAUGUGCAAAAUCCAAGCAUUAAUGAAGAAGAUUGGCAUGUGGGAAAAAAAAAAGGGGAAUAGGCUAGGCUAGGUUGUGCUUCUUCAAGUCUUCUUCCAAAGCAAAUGGUCGCCCCCUUUCAAGCAUGUGGCACCCCCUCCCUUAGCCAAUUCCAUCCUUACCCCUUGGUCCUUAGCUGAAAAACAAAAGGGCAAUUUGGUCAUUUCACACAAAAUGCACACUAUUCACACACAUUGGUGCAUUUAAUGCCAAGAUCUUGAAAUGAUGGAUCCAAUGGGCUUGGAGAGCCCAUGGCCCACCCUUGGGCCACCCACCUCUUGGGCAUGUGGCCCUUGGGCUGCCCAUCAUGGGCGUGGGCCCAUUUGGGCCUAACUUCUUGGGCUUGAACCCAUUGGACCACCCAACAUGGGCUUAGGCCCACUUGGGUCCUUGUCCAUGGCCUAUUUUCACUUUCCCGAGUUUUAGCAUUUCGUUGAUAAGAAUUCGAAUUUUCACCCCGAAAUGGCCAUCUUGACAUUUUUCGUGGUCUAUUGAUCCUCAUCGUAAUCCCAUCCGAACAUUGGCUACUGAUGUAAUUCAAUUCUGAGAAUUGAGGCAAGAUUGAGGAUGUCACAUUGUUCGUGAUCGUGUCGCCCAACAACAGCUCAGUGUGCAGUUUAUCUCCACAGUUAACUGACUCACUAAUGCCUUCACCAAAGCUCUUCCUAAAGCACGCUUUACAUUUUUACGAGACAAGUUGAAGAUUCACUAUCUUAACUCUUCCACUUGAGGGGGUGUCUCAACCAAAUAUAGGGCUAUCAAAUUUGGAAGAUUUACAAUCUUAUUUUUAGAAGUUAAAAAGUUUUCAAUUUUAUGUAUUUCUCUUCUAGCAAUUAAUCUUCUAGAAUGUGCUCUUGGGUAUAUAAAUACCCGCCUACAUUUAAUGAAACACAUAACAAAUUCUGUUUCAACAAGGAGAGAGGCUCCGAAUGCGAGCCUCGAAGGGAAUAGGAAGGAGACUAUUGAACAAGAAAGAUGCUCCGAAUAGGAAUAGCAGAGAGACUCCGAACGCGAGUCUUAAGGGGAACAGGAAUGCAAUUCCAAAUAGAAAUGAGAAAGUGGCUUUGAACUAGAGAACAAGAAUUUAAUCCAAGCAGAAUGAUGGGGAGAGUGUUGGUCCCAUUGAAAAUUGGAGAACAUAAGAGAAACUUCGAACAUGAGUUCUAAGAGGAACAGGAAGGCAGUCGAACUAGAACAUGACUAGGAAUGCAACUUCGAAAAGGAACAGGAAAGAGACUUCGAAUUAAAAAAGGAAUUCAAUCCAAGGAGAAGGCUGGGGAAAGUGUCACUCCCGUUGAAAAUUGGAGUUACGAUUUGUCUCUUGGCACUUUUCCUUCUUUCUUUUCUAAUACGUUCUUAUCCUAUAUCUAUUUUACAAGCUACUUGAGAUAGCUAGUAUAAACACCUAGAGGGGGGGUGAAUAGGUGCACAAACAAUUUAUCGAAAUACGAAAGCGAUUCUUAGCAAAUGAUAUAAAGGAAAUUCUCUCUUGAUUAACAAAAUGAAAUACGAUCGAGGUAGAGAGAGUGAGGAAGAGAAAAUUGAACACAGGAUUUAUAGUGGUUCGGCUUAUUCCAAGCCUACGUCCACUCUUCCGCACUGACAGCCCACCGGCUGGAUUUCACUAUGAUCAAAAGAGAAGUUACAGCAUAGCUUUGCCUUGAUUUCACAGUGUAGAUGUUCUACCACACCUCCUCAAGGUUUCUCACAAAUAUAGACUCUCUUUUGUAUACAAGUAUUCGCUCAAGGAAUUGUCUAAACAAAAAAGGAGCUUCAAACUUUGGAAUUCUUCUAUCGUGCACACCUCGAACAACUAAGAAUGUCUUCCUUAUAUACUCCUUUAUGCCAUCAUACCCGUUGGCACUUACCAAAGGAGUUCCUCCAAUCUACCCGUUGGACGGAAUCAAUUAGGAAGAUUGUUCGAGCUAUUAAAGGAACGUGUUGAUAGCCCAUCAAUCAUGUUUGCCCAUACAAUCACGAUCUCGGUUUCCAUAAGUAGAACCUUCCAAUAAUAUUUAAACAAUCUUCGAAUCUUCAAUCAUUGAAUCAAUCUUGAUCAAUCAAAGGAUUCUGUUACGUCUUUUCUAGCCACGAGAUCUUCUCCAAAUGAUAAGGUUAAAUCCUUAACGAAACAUCCAGUUCUGGAUAACCUUUCUUCAACGGAUUAGAGACUGUCAAUGAGGAUAGACUUUGAGUCUUGAGUCUGGCUGUCCGGAAGUCCUCAGACUUUAAAUAUCAGAGUCUGCAAACCUUCAGACUAGACUGAUAGAAACGUUUUGUCAACUUCAAAAUACUUCAAGAAGAUUUCUCCAACAAUCUCCCCCUUUUUGAUGGUGACAAGACUUUCCUGCAGAUUUGGAUAACUAUGACCUGCAAAACAUUUCUCAAACACAUAUGCAUAUCUUAUAGAGAUAAAUGGCUUAAAAGAAUAACACUAGAAUCUGCAACCACAGAAAAUAGGUUAAUCUAAUAUAUGAAAAGCCAUCCAUAAGAUAUCAAUACUAGUUAAUAGAAGCAGUCAAGUCCAAGUCUAGUUCAGUUCUCAUCCAGACACAAAACAAAGUCAAACGGAGUUUAAACAACAAACAAUCCAGCAAACAGUUAACAGUUUAAUGAUUGAAAGUUUGAAUCAAAUCUUGCAUCUCUCCCCCUUUUUGUCAUCAUUAAAAAGGAUGAGAUGAAGUCAAGAUUGCUUGGGAACGCGGACAAGCUGGAAAUCUUCCAUAGACUGAACGAUGCCUUCCAGCCUUUUAAAGUCUUCCUUCAGCUGUGCAAUCUCCUCACUCUUGGCAUUGGCCUGAUUCUGAACAGAGAGGGCUUGCAUCUUAUCAUUCAAUGAACAGGAAGAAGCUUGACUUUCAUUCUUCAAGCUUUGAACUUCGCAUCCCAAGGCAUAAAUUUGACCUCGCAUUUCCAAGAGAAUAUCCAUGAUUCUGCGAAAAUCUGCUCCAUUAUCAGUCUGAGUACUUGCUUCGGCUCGAUCUGAUGGAGUAAAUGCAGACGAUGGUAGAUCAGCAUAAUCUCGCAGGUUUGGCGAUGAAGCUUCAUGACUUUCCUCUGGAAAUUGAGAUGCAUAAACAUCCUCUGGGUCUGCAGGCAAGCAAUUGACUCUUUCACUUGCAUUAGGAUAUGAAGACUUCACUCCUUUCUCCUGAUCUCCCCUGUUUCCAUGCCUACAGGUGGAGAAGAGAUUUCCCCAGGUUCUCCUUCUUCUCUUCUUUCUUCUUCAGGUCUUUCCUCCUCUGCUUCUUUUUCACUUUCUCUUUCUUCUCCUUCCUUCUCCUCUGCUUCUUUUGUCAUUUGUUCCGAUUCUUUCUGUGGAACAGGACGACUUAAAUUCUUCAAAGCCAUUGCAGAGAUGGUGAUGUCUUCGUCAUCAUCUUCAUCCUCAACGAGGAGAGCUCUUCUUCUCUUGGAUGGAGCAGCCAUGGGCUCCUUCCCUUUUCUUUUAGCAGCAGAAGAGAGUUGAUGAGAUUUGGAAGGAGUCUUCUCCUUGAAUUUCUCCAAUUCCUUGCUCAGUUCCUUCAAACGCAUUUUGGUCACCAUUUUCAGUCCUACCAUCAUAUGAUCGCAUGGUCGAACACAAAAGAAUUGUGGAGGCUGAAUAUUCAGAUGUCUAAAUAACUUCGUAACAAGGCUUGGGUAAGGGAGUUGACCUCUGUCCUUCAUCAUUGCUCUAUACAUGUGAAACAUAACAGUGUAGGGGAGAGAAAACAUUUUUCCAAAGAGAAUGGCAUACAUCAGCUUGGCCUCUGAACUUGAAACAUCAGUCUUGGAAGUUGAUUUAGGUCAGAGGCAAUUAAUCACAAUCUUGUGAAGCAAGAUGUUGAAUGCACUCAUCCUUAAAUAGGUGAUCUUCUCAUCUGUUCUCCUGUCCUUCACCAGUUCAAGUGUGGCUCGAGCAAUGGAAACUUUGAUCGGUUGAUAUCUUCCUCUUUCAACUCCUAACACAUCUGCCAGCAUAUUCAUAUCCACAACAUAAUCUUGGUCUUUAACGCUGAAGGAGAAUCUAUUCGCAUCCAAAAAGCUAAGAUUUGAAUAGAAAUAUGCAGUUAAUUCAGCAUAAGCCUCUGUAUUGUCAGAACAGAACUUUUCAAGUUGAAGAUGAUUGAACUUUUCCCUCAAGUUCACAUUCACAGCAUCCAGAAAAUCAAAAUCCACACUCCUAGGGUUUAUUACCCCACGCUUCAGCAAUUUCGAGUACAGAUCCUUUUGUUCCUUUGAUCUGAACAAAUCUCCCCUUUUUCCUUGAAUUUCAGCCGCAAUACCCAUUUUCGGUUGAAAUAGGCUGUACAAAUUAUCAUCAUCAUUCCCAUCUAUAGGAUUCGGCCCACAGUCAUGAGGAUCACUUGGGAUAUUUGCAAGGGUUUCCUCAGCCACCCCUUUACGAGCAAUUCCCAAACUUUCCAUUUUCCGCAGAAAGAUAUAUUCGUUCCUAUAUGCUUUGUCUUUAAGAAAUUCAUCAACAUAGUUCAAAGGAGUACGAGUUCCUUUUAAGGCAUGAUAUAGCUUGUAAAUAAAAGCGGGCUUUUGAACUCUUACGGGGUCUGCAUCCUCGAUGAUUUCUUCCUGAUGUUGAUGAACAACGCCUUGAGGACUAGAUGGUGGAGAAUGACGCUGCUGAGAAUGUUGUGGGAUCGCUUGCUGUUCUGGAUUUACUUCUUCCUCAGUAAGAUCGAAGUGCGUAGGCCCCUCACUCAUUCGCCGUGGUCCCCUGCUUGCAAUUCUCGAAGACUUUCUUGAAGAUGACAUCUUUCUCAGCUUUUGGAAGAUUCCUUGCUUGACUUUCCCAGGAAAGAUGACAACUUUUUGAAGAUUAAACAAAGAAGACAAACGGGAAUGGAGGAUCGAUGCUUUCUAGGGUUUUUGAGAAAAAUGAAGAGGAAUCGACAGUGCACGAUCGGUUAAAAAGAGGGAUAAACGAACCGUCACAAAGGAAAUAAAAAGAUGCCUUUUCAAAAUAACUGUCUUUUUCUGCAAAAAUAGCUAUUUCAAAAAUAACUUCCUUUUUUUUUUUUGAAAAUGAAACGAUGCAAUAUUUUCGUCAAUUAAAUAUAGCAAUAAUUUUAAACACAGUCUGACGAUUAUACCUUUUUCAGGAUAAGAUUAGAGAGAAGAAAGACUUACAGUCUGACGGUCGUGCCAAGACUGUCUUUNNNNNNNNNNNNNNNNNNNNNNNNNNNNNNNNNNNNNNNNNNNNNNNNNNNNNNNNNNNNNNNNNNNNNNNNNNNNNNNNNNNNNNNNNNNNNNNNNNNNGUAAGUCUGAGUCUGAAAGUCUUAGACUGUGAUAUCCUCAUACCUCAAAAUGUGAGUCUGGAACGGAUAGAUUCAAAUUGAUUUUUCCCCAAAGGCUUUGUAAAUAUAUCCGCCAGUUGAUUUUUUGAGUCAACAAACUGAAUUGAAAUAUCUCCAUUUUGAACAUGGUCUCUAAUAAAGUGAUGUCGAAUCUCUAUAUGCUUUGCUCUUGAAUGGAGAAUUGGAUUUUUGGUGAGGUUGAUAGCGCUGGUGUUGUCGCAAUUAAUCUCCGUGCAUGAGUCUUCAAUUUCAAAGUCUCUUAGUUGUUGUUUUAUCCAUAGAAUUUGCGAACAGCAGCUUCCAAGAGCUACAUACUCUGCUUCUGUUGUUGAAAGAGACACAGUGCUUUGUUUCCUUGAGAACCAAGACACUAUCCUGCUUCCAAGCAACUGGCAAGUUCCCAAAGUGCUCUUUCUAUCAACUCUGCAACCGGCCAGAUCUGCGUCUGAAUAUCCCAGAAGAUUAAAGUCUCCCUUCUUUGGAUACCAAAGACCGAUGCUUGAUGAUGAAGCAACGUAUUUAAUGAUGCGUUUCGCAGCACUGAGAUGAGAUUCUCUAGGAUCUGAUUGAAACCUAGCACAGAUGCAAACACUUAACAAAAUGUCAGGUCUAGAAGCAGUAAGAUAAAGAAGUGAUCCAAUGAUGCUCCUGAACAGCUUUUGAUCAACUUUCUUCCCUUCUUCAUCUUUGUCUAUCUUUAAAGAACUUGACAUUGGUAUGUCGGUCUUUUUACACUUUUCCAGUCCAAACCUUUUGACAAGAUCAUUAACAUAUUUUUCUUGAUAAAUAAAAGUUCCUUCCUUCAAUUGUUUUACUUGAAGACCAAGAAAGAAUGUUAAUUCUCCCAUCAUACUCAUUUCAAACUCAUCCUACAUAGACUUAGAAAAUUUCUUGCACAGAUUUUCAUUAGAGGAUCCAAAAAUAAUGUCAUCCACAUAUAUUUGAACAAGUAAGAAACUUUUGUUUUCCUUUUUGAUAAAUAAAGUCGUAUCUACUUUACCUUUGACAAAACCAUUUUGUAUUAAGAACUUACUUAAUCUGUCGUACCAAGCCCGAGGUGCUUGCUUUAAACCAUACAAAGCCUUUUUCAGUCUGAAGACUGAGUCUGGCUUCUUUGGGUCUUCAAACCCUGGUGGUUGUUCCACAUAAACUUCCUCAUGGAUAAAUCCAUUUAGGAAGGCGUUUUUUACGUCCAUUUGGAAUAACCUGAAAUUCUUAUAACAAGCAAACGCGAGUAAUAGACAAAUAGCUUCUAACCUUGCUACUGGAGUGUAAGUCUCAUCAUAGUCUAUUCCUUCUUCUUGCGUAUAUCCCUUGGCCACGAGUCUUGCUUUGUUUCGUACGACUUUUCCUUUCUCAUUCAUCUUGUUUCUGAACACCCAUUUAGCUCCAAUAACAGUUUUACCUUUUGGUUUGGAUGUUAAUUCCCAGACAUCAUUAAUGUUGAACUAUCUGAGCUCUUCUUGCAUAGCUUCAAUCCAGCUUUCAUCAGAUAAAGCUUCUUCUAUGCUCUUUGGUUCAAUUUCAGAAACGAGAGCCACAGCAUUAGACUCUUCUCGCCUUUUGGAUCUGGUGCGAAUUCCUUCAUUAAUUUCGCCAAUAAUAAGAUCUUUGGGAUGAUUGGACUUAUGCUUCCAGUUACUUGUUGAUUUGUCUGGUUGAUGAUCUCUUUCUUUAUUUGGAUCUUCACGAACAAUCUGAUGCUGGUCUUCUAGAGUCUGAGAUGCUUAUUGAGUUGUAAGCUUUGAAAGGUCUGGAACAGGUUCAGACUCUUCUUGAUGAGUCUGACUUGAUUCAUCUUGCGUUGAGUCUUGAAAUUUGACAUUCAUUGACUCCUCCACAGACUGACUCUUCUUGUUAUAGACUCUGUAGGCUUUGCUUGAUGAAGAAUAUCCAAGGAAGAUACCUUCAUAUGAUCUUUCUUCAAACUUACCAACUCGAUCUUUUGCAUUUUUCAAUAUAAAACAUUUGCAACCGAAUACAUGAAAGUAUGAAACAAUAGGCUUCUUAUCUUUGAAUAACUCAUAAGGGGUUUUCUCUAGAAUAGGUCUUAAGAAGACUUUAUUGAUGAUAUAGCAAGCUGUUGAAACAGCUUCAGCCCAAAAUCGUGAAGAAAUCUUACUUUCAAUUAAAAGAGUUCUAGCCAUUUCUUGAAGAUAUCUGUUCUUUCUUUCCACAACUCCAUUUUGCUGAGGAGUAUAUGGAGAGGAGAACACAUGCUUAAAGCCAGAUUCAUCACAAAAUUUUGUAAAAUCUUGAUUUUCAAAUUCACCUCCAUGAUCUGUUCUUAUACUUGAGAUAACACAUCCUUUUUCAUUUUGAACCUUUUUAGCAAAUUUUUCAAAAUACGAGAAGGUUUCAGACUUACUUGCAAGGAAAUAUACCCAAGUAAAACGAGAGUAAUCAUCCACAAUUACUAGGCAAUAUUUCUUACCCCCAAUACUCUGUGUUCUGGUUGGUCCGAAGAGAUCCAUAUGCAGCAACUGUAGUACAUGAUUAGUAGAGACAUGAUUUAUUGGCUUAAAUGAAUUUGUUACCUGCUUUCCCAGAAUACAUGGAGUGCAUGGAUCAAUCUUUUGGUAUGCAAUUUGGGUAGACCUCGAACAAGCUGUUUUGAUGAGACUUUGACUAAUUGCUUCAUGUUGACAUGACCAAGCUUUCUAUGCCAUAGGCUUGCUUCGUCUUGAAUUGAGAUAAGACAUUGCGAUUCAUUUGGUUUCACAUCCAGAAGAUAGAUAUUUCCAUGUCUUCGACCCAUGAAAGACUGAGUAGAGUCUUUACUGAUUCCAGAACAUGUUCCUUCUUGAAAGAAGAUCUUGAAACCAGUAUCACACAAUUGACUAAUAUUGAGAAGAUUGUAAUUGAGUCCUUCCACUAAGGAAACAUUACUUAUUGUGAGACUUCCAAUUUUCACAGUUCCAAAUCCCACAAUACUUCCUUUGCUGUUUCCUCCAAAUGAAACUUUUCCACCAUUUACUUGAGCAAGCUUUAUAAAACAAUUUGAGUCUCCUGUCAUGUGUCUUGAGCAUCCGCUGUCAAGAUACCACUUUACCUGUUUCUUGACGGAGACCUGCAUUUACUGUCUGAGUUUGAUCCAGAGUCUGAGUCUGAUUGUGCCAUCAGACAUAGAUUGGCAUAUUCAUUAUCACUUUCUUCACACUCUGUAUCACUCUAGGUUUCAGCUUUGAGAGCUUUUCGAAAUUUUUCAGCUUUUCCUCUCUUCUUCUUUAGAAGAGGACAGUUGGGUCUGAUGUGUCCAUUUUUCUUGCAUUCAAAGCAGACUACAUCUUUAUUUGGUUCCUCAUCAUCAACAGACUUGGUCUGCUAUCUUUGAAAGCUUUGUUUCUUUGAGUUGAACCUUCUUCCUUUUCUAUUCAGUUUUCGGAAUCUUCUUAUCAUGAGAGCAAGCUCCUCAUCGUCCAUAUCAUCUUCAGAAUCUGUAUCAUCAGAAUCAUCAUUUGAUUUUAAUGCAAUGGAUUUCUUACCUUUUGAAUCUUCAUCUUCAUUGAUCCGUUCCACUUCAUAAGACUGAAGAGUUCCAAUAAGCUCAUCAACAUAUAGUGGGAUAAUUCUUUGCGUCUCUCUUAUCGAAGUCUUUAUGUGAUUCCAAUCCUUGGAGAGUUCACGCAGUAGCUUGUUUACCUGCAUGGGAUCAGAAAUUUUUUGUCCUUGAUUCUCAAGACCAUUGACAAUAUCUGUAAAACGGCUAAACAUGUCAGUUAUAGAUUCUCCUGGUUUCAUUUUGAAGGCUUCAUAUUGACCGAGAAGAAUAUUAAUCCUGGUUUCCUUCACUCGAUCUGUUCCUUCAUAGGUGAUAUGCAAUCUGUCCCAGACUUCUUUUGCUGUAACACAAGAAGAUAUUCUAUUAUAUUUAGUUGGUGACAAAGCACAAUAUAAAGAGUAAAUUGCUUUUGCAUCGAGAGUUUGUCUCUUGUUUAUCUCUUCCUGAGUCAUUCCGCUGGUCUCAACAGUUUCUUUCCCUCUUUCAGAGACUGAUGCAGCUGUAGGAGUAAUUCCUUUUUCUACAACGUCCCAUUCCAGAGGAUCCUUUGAUCGUAGGAAAGCUUUCAUCUUGUUUUUUCCAGAUGUUGUAAUCCUUUCCAUCAAAGUAGGGUGGUCUGGUAUUGCUUUGCCCUUCCAUCAGCCCUGGUGCUAGCAUACUAGCCAUGGAUCUUUAACUCUGAAGUAAAACACUUCAAACAAAUUGAGUACACAGGCUCUGAUACCAAUUGAGAUAGCUAGUAUAAACACCUAGAGGGGGGUGAAUAGGUGCACACACAACUUAUCAAGAUACGGAAGUGAUUCUUCGCAAACGAUAGAAAGGAAAUCUUUCUUGAUUAACAAAAUGGAAUAUGGAUCGAGGUAAUAGAGUGAGAAAGAGAACAUUGAACACAGGAUUUAUAGUGGUUCGNNNNNNNNNNNNNNNNNNNNNNNNNNNNNNNNNNNNNNNNNNNNNNNNNNNNNNNNNNNNNNNNNNNNNNNNNNNNNNNNNNNNNNNNNNNNNNNNNNNNNNNNNNNNNNNNNNNNNNNNNNNNNNNNNNNNNNNNNNNNNNNNNNNNNNNNNNNNNNNNNNNNNNNNNNNNNNNNNNNNNNNNNNNNNNNNNNNNNNNNNNNNNNNNNNNNNNNNNNNNNNNNNNNNNNNNNNNNNNNNNNNNNNNNNNNNNNNNNNNNNNNNNNNNNNNNNNNNNNNNNNNNNNNNNNNNNNNNNNNNNNNNNNNNNNNNNNNNNNNNNNNNNNNNNNNNNNNNNNNNNNNNNNNNNNNNNNNNNNNNNNNNNNNNNNNNNNNNNNNNNNNNNNNNNNNNNNNNNNNNNNNNNNNNNNNNNNNNNNNNNNNNNNNNNNNNNNNNNNNNNNNNNNNNNNNNNNNNNNNNNNNNNNNNNNNNNNNNNNNNNNNNNNNNNNNNNNNNNNNNNNNNNNNNNNNNNNNNNNNNNNNNNNNNNNNNNNNNNNNNNNNNNNNNNNNNNNNNNNNNNNNNNNNNNNNNNNNNNNNNNNNNNNNNNNNNNNNNNNNNNNNNNNNNNNNNNNNNNNNNNNNNNNNNNNNNNNNNNNNNNNNNNNNNNNNNNNNNNNNNNNNNNNNNNNNNNNNNNNNNNNNNNNNNNNNNNNNNNNNNNNNNNNNNNNNNNNNNNNNNNNNNNNNNNNNNNNNNNNNNNNNNNNNNNNNNNNNNNNNNNNNNNNNNNNNNNNNNNNNNNNNNNNNNNNNNNNNNNNNNNNNNNNNNNNNNNNNNNNNNNNNNNNNNNNNNNNNNNNNNNNNNNNNNNNNNNNNNNNNNNNNNNNNNNNNNNNNNNNNNNNNNNNNNNNNNNNNNNNNNNNNNNNNNNNNNNNNNNNNNNNNNNNNNNNNNNNNNNNNNNNNNNNNNNNNNNNNNNNNNNNNNNNNNNNNNNNNNNNNNNNNNNNNNNNNNNNNNNNNNNNNNNNNNNNNNNNNNNNNNNNNNNNNNNNNNNNNNNNNNNNNNNNNNNNNNNNNNNNNNNNNNNNNNNNNNNNNNNNNNNNNNNNNNNNNNNNNNNNNNNNNNNNNNNNNNNNNNNNNNNNNNNNNNNNNNNNNNNNNNNNNNNNNNNNNNNNNNNNNNNNNNNNNNNNNNNNNNNNNNNNNNNNNNNNNNNNNNNNNNNNNNNNNNNNNNNNNNNNNNNNNNNNNNNNNNNNNNNNNNNNNNNNNNNNNNNNNNNNNNNNNNNNNNNNNNNNNNNNNNNNNNNNNNNNNNNNNNNNNNNNNNNNNNNNNNNNNNNNNNNNNNNNNNNNNNNNNNNNNNNNNNNNNNNNNNNNNNNNNNNNNNNNNNNNNNNNNNNNNNNNNNNNNNNNNNNNNNNNNNNNNNNNNNNNNNNNNNNNNNNNNNNNNNNNNNNNNNNNNNNNNNNNNNNNNNNNNNNNNNNNNNNNNNNNNNNNNNNNNNNNNNNNNNNNNNNNNNNNNNNNNNNNNNNNNNNNNNNNNNNNNNNNNNNNNNNNNNNNNNNNNNNNNNNNNNNNNNNNNNNNNNNNNNNNNNNNNNNNNNNNNNNNNNNNNNNNNNNNNNNNNNNNNNNNNNNNNNNNNNNNNNNNNNNNNNNNNNNNNNNNNNNNNNNNNNNNNNNNNNNNNNNNNNNNNNNNNNNNNNNNNNNNNNNNNNNNNNNNNNNNNNNNNNNNNNNNNNNNNNNNNNNNNNNNNNNNNNNNNNNNNNNNNNNNNNNNNNNNNNNNNNNNNNNNNNNNNNNNNNNNNNNNNNNNNNNNNNNNNNNNNNNNNNNNNNNNNNNNNNNNNNNNNNNNNNNNNNNNNNNNNNNNNNNNNNNNNNNNNNNNNNNNNNNNNNNNNNNNNNNNNNNNNNNNNNNNNNNNNNNNNNNNNNNNNNNNNNNNNNNNNNNNNNNNNNNNNNNNNNNNNNNNNNNNNNNNNNNNNNNNNNNNNNNNNNNNNNNNNNNNNNNNNNNNNNNNNNNNNNNNNNNNNNNNNNNNNNNNNNNNNNNNNNNNNNNNNNNNNNNNNNNNNNNNNNNNNNNNNNNNNNNNNNNNNNNNNNNNNNNNNNNNNNNNNNNNNNNNNNNNNNNNNNNNNNNNNNNNNNNNNNNNNNNNNNNNNNNNNNNNNNNNNNNNNNNNNNNNNNNNNNNNNNNNNNNNNNNNNNNNNNNNNNNNNNNNNNNNNNNNNNNNNNNNNNNNNNNNNNNNNNNNNNNNNNNNNNNNNNNNNNNNNNNNNNNNNNNNNNNNNNNNNNNNNNNNNNNNNNNNNNNNNNNNNNNNNNNNNNNNNNNNNNNNNNNNNNNNNNNNNNNNNNNNNNNNNNNNNNNNNNNNNNNNNNNNNNNNNNNNNNNNNNNNNNNNNNNNNNNNNNNNNNNNNNNNNNNNNNNNNNNNNNNNNNNNNNNNNNNNNNNNNNNNNNNNNNNNNNNNNNNNNNNNNNNNNNNNNNNNNNNNNNNNNNNNNNNNNNNNNNNNNNNNNNNNNNNNNNNNNNNNNNNNNNNNNNNNNNNNNNNNNNNNNNNNNNNNNNNNNNNNNNNNNNNNNNNNNNNNNNNNNNNNNNNNNNNNNNNNNNNNNNNNNNNNNNNNNNNNNNNNNNNNNNNNNNNNNNNNNNNNNNNNNNNNNNNNNNNNNNNNNNNNNNNNNNNNNNNNNNNNNNNNNNNNNNNNNNNNNNNNNNNNNNNNNNNNNNNNNNNNNNNNNNNNNNNNNNNNNNNNNNNNNNNNNNNNNNNNNNNNNNNNNNNNNNNNNNNNNNNNNNNNNNNNNNNNNNNNNNNNNNNNNNNNNNNNNNNNNNNNNNNNNNNNNNNNNNNNNNNNNNNNNNNNNNNNNNNNNNNNNNNNNNNNNNNNNNNNNNNNNNNNNNNNNNNNNNNNNNNNNNNNNNNNNNNNNNNNNNNNNNNNNNNNNNNNNNNNNNNNNNNNNNNNNNNNNNNNNNNNNNNNNNNNNNNNNNNNNNNNNNNNNNNNNNNNNNNNNNNNNNNNNNNNNNNNNNNNNNNNNNNNNNNNNNNNNNNNNNNNNNNNNNNNNNNNNNNNNNNNNNNNNNNNNNNNNNNNNNNNNNNNNNNNNNNNNNNNNNNNNNNNNNNNNNNNNNNNNNNNNNNNNNNNNNNNNNNNNNNNNNNNNNNNNNNNNNNNNNNNNNNNNNNNNNNNNNNNNNNNNNNNNNNNNNNNNNNNNNNNNNNNNNNNNNNNNNNNNNNNNNNNNNNNNNNNNNNNNNNNNNNNNNNNNNNNNNNNNNNNNNNNNNNNNNNNNNNNNNNNNNNNNNNNNNNNNNNNNNNNNNNNNNNNNNNNNNNNNNNNNNNNNNNNNNNNNNNNNNNNNNNNNNNNNNNNNNNNNNNNNNNNNNNNNNNNNNNNNNNNNNNNNNNNNNNNNNNNNNNNNNNNNNNNNNNNNNNNNNNNNNNNNNNNNNNNNNNNNNNNNNNNNNNNNNNNNNNNNNNNNNNNNNNNNNNNNNNNNNNNNNNNNNNNNNNNNNNNNNNNNNNNNNNNNNNNNNNNNNNNNNNNNNNNNNNNNNNNNNNNNNNNNNNNNNNNNNNNNNNNNNNNNNNNNNNNNNNNNNNNNNNNNNNNNNNNNNNNNNNNNNNNNNNNNNNNNNNNNNNNNNNNNNNNNNNNNNNNNNNNNNNNNNNNNNNNNNNNNNNNNNNNNNNNNNNNNNNNNNNNNNNNNNNNNNNNNNNNNNNNNNNNNNNNNNNNNNNNNNNNNNNNNNNNNNNNNNNNNNNNNNNNNNNNNNNNNNNNNNNNNNNNNNNNNNNNNNNNNNNNNNNNNNNNNNNNNNNNNNNNNNNNNNNNNNNNNNNNNNNNNNNNNNNNNNNNNNNNNNNNNNNNNNNNNNNNNNNNNNNNNNNNNNNNNNNNNNNNNNNNNNNNNNNNNNNNNNNNNNNNNNNNNNNNNNNNNNNNNNNNNNNNNNNNNNNNNNNNNNNNNNNNNNNNNNNNNNNNNNNNNNNNNNNNNNNNNNNNNNNNNNNNNNNNNNNNNNNNNNNNNNNNNNNNNNNNNNNNNNNNNNNNNNNNNNNNNNNNNNNNNNNNNNNNNNNNNNNNNNNNNNNNNNNNNNNNNNNNNNNNNNNNNNNNNNNNNNNNNNNNNNNNNNNNNNNNNNNNNNNNNNNNNNNNNNNNNNNNNNNNNNNNNNNNNNNNNNNNNNNNNNNNNNNNNNNNNNNNNNNNNNNNNNNNNNNNNNNNNNNNNNNNNNNNNNNNNNNNNNNNNNNNNNNNNNNNNNNNNNNNNNNNNNNNNNNNNNNNNNNNNNNNNNNNNNNNNNNNNNNNNNNNNNNNNNNNNNNNNNNNNNNNNNNNNNNNNNNNNNNNNNNNNNNNNNNNNNNNNNNNNNNNNNNNNNNNNNNNNNNNNNNNNNNNNNNNNNNNNNNNNNNNNNNNNNNNNNNNNNNNNNNNNNNNNNNNNNNNNNNNNNNNNNNNNNNNNNNNNNNNNNNNNNNNNNNNNNNNNNNNNNNNNNNNNNNNNNNNNNNNNNNNNNNNNNNNNNNNNNNNNNNNNNNNNNNNNNNNNNNNNNNNNNNNNNNNNNNNNNNNNNNNNNNNNNNNNNNNNNNNNNNNNNNNNNNNNNNNNNNNNNNNNNNNNNNNNNNNNNNNNNNNNNNNNNNNNNNNNNNNNNNNNNNNNNNNNNNNNNNNNNNNNNNNNNNNNNNNNNNNNNNNNNNNNNNNNNNNNNNNNNNNNNNNNNNNNNNNNNNNNNNNNNNNNNNNNNNNNNNNNNNNNNNNNNNNNNNNNNNNNNNNNNNNNNNNNNNNNNNNNNNNNNNNNNNNNNNNNNNNNNNNNNNNNNNNNNNNNNNNNNNNNNNNNNNGAAAUCAACUUCCAAAACUGAUGUUUCAAGUUCAGAGGCCAAGCUGAUGUAUGCCAUUCUCUUUGGAAAAAGGUUUUCUCUCCCUCACACUGUUAUGUUUCACAUGUAUAGAGCAAUGAUGAAGGACAGAGGUCAACUCCCUUACCCAAGCCUUGUUACGAAGUUAUUCAGACAUUUGAAUAUUCAGCCUCCACAAAUCUUUUGUGUUCGACCAUGCGAUCAUAUGGUGGUAGGACUGAAAAUGGUGACCAAAAUGCGUCUGAAGGAACUGAGCAAGGAGUUGGAGAAAUUCAAGGAGAAGACUCCUGCCAAAUCUCAUCAAGUCCCUUCUGCAGCUAAGAGAAAAGGGAAGGAGCCCAUGGUUGCUUCAUCCAAGAAAAGAAGAGCUCUCCUCGUUGAGGAUGAAGAUGAGGAGGAAGACAUCACCAUCUCUGCAUUGGCUUUGAAGAAUUUGAGUCGUCCUAUUCCACAGAAAGAAUCGGAACAAAUGACCCCACGAAGCAGAGGAGAAGGAAGAAGAAGAAAGAGAAGCUGAAAAAGAAGCAGAAGAGGAAAGACCUGAAGAAGAAAGAAGAGAAGAAGGAGAACCUGAGGAAAUCUCUUCUCCACCUGUAGGCAUGGAAACAGGGGGAGAUCAGGAGAAAGGAGUGAAGUCUUCAUAUCCUGAUGAAAGUGAAGGAGUCAGUCGCUCGCCUGCAGACCCAGAGGAUGUUUAUGCGUCUCAAUUUCCAGAGGAAGGUCAUGAAGCUUCAUCGCCAAACCUGCGAGAUUAUGCUGAUCUACCAUCGUCNNNNNNNNNNNNNNNNNNNNNNNNNNNNNNNNNNNNNNNNNNNNNNNNNNNNNNNNNNNNNNNNNNNNNNNNNNNNNNNNNNNNNNNNNNNNNNNNNNNNNNNNNNNNNNNNNNNNNNNNNNNNNNNNNNNNNAAGAUGAAAGUCAAGCUUCUUCCUGUUCAUUAAAUGAUAAGAUGCAAGCCCUCUCUGUUCAGAAUCAGGCCAAUGCCAAGAGUGAGGAGAUUGCACAGCUGAAGGAAGACUUUAAAAGGCUGGAAGGCAUCGUUCAGUCUAUGGAAGAUUUCCAGCUUGUCCGCGUUCCCAAGCAAUCUUGCCUUCAUCUCAUCCUUUUUAAUGAUGACAAAAAGGGGGAGAGAUGCAAGAUUUGAUUCAAACUUUCAAUCAUUAAACUAUUAACUGUUUGCUGGAUUGUUUGUUGUUUAAACUCUGUUUGACUUUGUUUUGUGUCUGGAUGAGAACUGAACUAGACUUGGACUUGACUGCUUCUAUUAACUAGUAUUGAUAUCUUAUGGAUGGCUUUUCAUAUAUUAGACUAACCUAUUUUUUGUGGUUGCAGAUUCUAGUGUUAUUCUUUUAAGCCAUUUAUCUCUAUAAGAUAUGCAUAUGUGUUUGAGAAAUGUUUUGCAGGUCAUAGUUAUCCAAAUCUGCAGGAAAUUUUUGUUACCAUCAAAAAGGGGGAGAUUGUAGGAGAAAUCUUCUUGAAGUAUUUUGAAGUUGACAAAACGUUUCUAUCAGUCUAGUCUGAAGGUUUGCAGACUCUGAUAUUUAAAGUCUGAAGACUUCCAGACAGCCAGACUCAAGACUCAAAGUCUAUCCUCAUUGACAGUCUCUAAUCCGUUAAAGAAAGGUUAUCCAGAACUGGAUGUUUCAUUAAGGAUUUAACCUUAUCAUCUGGAGAAGAUCUCGUGGCUGGAAAAGACGUAACAGAAUCCUUUAAUUGAUCAAGAUUGAUUCAAUGAUUGAAGAUUCGAUAAUUGUCUAAAUAUUAUUAGAAGGUUCUACUUAUGGAAACCGAGAUCCUGAUUGUAUGGGCGAACAGGAUUGAUGGGCUAUCAACACGUUCCUUUUAUAGCUCGAACAAUCUUCUAAUGAUCGUCACGGGUAGAUUGGAGGAAUUCCUUUGGUAAGUGCCAACGGGUAUGAUGGCAUAAAGGAGUAUAUAAGGAAGACGUUCUUAGUUGUUCGAGGUGUGCGCGACAGAAGAAUUCCAAAGUCUGAAACUCCUUUUUGUUUAGACAAUUCCUUUGAGCGAAUACCUGUAUACAAAAGAGAGUCUAUAUUUGUGAGAAACCUUGAGGAGGUGUGGUAGAACAUCUACACUGUGGAAUCAAGGCAAAGCUGUGCUGUAACUUCUCUUUUGAUCAUAGUGAAAUCUAGCCGGUGGGCUGUCAGUGCGGAAGAGUGGACGUAGGCUUGGAAUAAGCCGAACCACUAUAAAUCCUGUGUUCAAUUUUCUCUUUCUCACUCUCUUUACCUCGAUCACAUUUCAUUUUGUUAAUCAAGAAAGAAUUUCCUUUCUAUCGUUUGCGAAGAAUCACUUCCGUAUCUUAAUAAGUUGUGUGUGCACCUAUUCACCCCCCUCUAGGUGUUUAUACUAGCUAUCUCACAUGGUUCUAUGCUCUACAAGAUGGCUCAGUCCUAUCAAAUAACACGAGCAAAACCAAACUAAAUCCAAGUUAUGUAACCCAACAACCUUGCCAGCGUUUAGGGGAUCCACUUGCAAAAUCGGAACAAGAACGAGAAACAGACAGCAACAGCUUGCGGCUUGCAGCUCACGGCAACAGCACGGUGGCGUGGCACGGCAGAUUGCACGGUGGAUUGCACGGCAGCAGCGAACAGUGGCGUGAGGUGUGGUGGUACAGCAAACCGAGAGAGAGAGAGAGAGAGAGAGAGAGAGAGAGAGAGAGAGAGAGAGAGAGGCGUGAGGGAGAGGGAGGGGCGAAGAGAGAUAGCUAGAAAGAGAGAAUGAGAGAAAGAACUUGAGGAAGACGUAGAAAGGGAGAGAAAAAUAGGUUUCCUCAAGCCUUAAAUGCUAGACUCAAUUAUUUGAGUUGUAAUUAUGGCUUCCUAGACUUGGUGAGUAAAAAUGAAUCUCUACCCUACAAGUGUCAACCAAUGAGCUCAUCUUGCCAAGCUUGUCCUUCAAGCUCUUAGGACUCAAUUAUUGGCUAGUUCAAGAGUAGCUAGUCUUAUUACACAAACUAGAUUUGUCCUUCCUCCUAGUGCCCUACUAAAUGGUGCCUAACUCUUCUUGAAUGGCCACCAAAAUUUUGUCUUCUCUCAAUGUAAUUUCAAGAAGCUAAAUAGGUCUCACCUCUAGGGCUAUUAAAGUUUAUACCCCUAAAUUAACCCGUUUUCAAUUAAUGCACUAAUGAAUUAUCCUUCAAAAGUCUAAGGAUAGGUUUAAGUCUUGCAAAACAACUUAUUCCACAAGUCAUUCCAUUUUAGACAUGAGGUGUGUGAGGGAGGUCUCAUUGGCUUCCAACAAUUGUUCACUUUCAAUUAAUCCAAAUUCAAGAAGACAAGAUAUAAUAUAAAGGACUAUCUAAUUAUCAUCUUAACCAGAUAGGAAUGUCUUGAGAUCACCUACGAUCCACAUCCUGUAAUCAAACCAGGGUUUGUGGCUAAGUUUCGAUCAAAAUUGACCUUGACGCGACCUACACUAAUUAAGCGGCAUCGGUGGUGCUCGCACAACGAAACCCAAUCUGAUUUUAGUGCUUGUCCGGGGUUACACGCAUAACCUAUGUUUCAGCCUGAUCAAUCCAUGAAUGACCUUCGGUUAUCAUGUAAUCAUGUAAGACUAAUCGAAUUGUCUUGGCUCAUGGUCACAAGGAAUCAAAUUAGGGUUGUUUAUGAAUAGUACAGUGAUCAUGCGAAAUCACCCUCGACCAAUUUCUAUACUCGAGCUGAAUUGAUAUAUAUCCAUCCAUUAAUCGACUCAUGAUGGGACAUGAUUGUUGACACUUGAAAUUUUUUGUCGACAUUUUAAACAAAUAAUUUGCAAAAAUAAAAAAUAAAAAAAUUGUUUGAAAUGAAAAGAUAAAAAAAUAGAAAUAAAAAAGAGAGAAAUAAAGAAAAAGAAAGAAGAAUGAAUUUAAAAAAAAAAAGAGAAAAAGAAUAAAGAGCCUAAUAAAAUUUUAAAAAAAUUGAAUGAAAUGAAAAGAAAACAAGAAAAAAAGGUAAAGGAAACAAUAAAAGAAAAGGGGGGGGACAUUCACGAGGGAUAGUUUUCUCUCUCUUCACAUUCGGAUUCUCUCACACACCGGGAGGCCAUUGGACAAGGAUCCACUCUCUCUCUAUAACCGUUUUCUCUCUCUCUCCCUCUCAGGGGUUGAUCGCUCUCUUUUGCACUGCUCUUCCUCGUUCUCCGUCUUUUCUCUCGGGACCUCUCGUCGAAGGCGAGGGUUUUCUUCCAUUGUGGAAAGCAAAAGAGAGAAUUCCACUCAUUCUCUCUCAUUCAUGGAUCUUCACGAACACACACAGACUUGUUUUCAUCUUCAUGGAGUCAUUGUCGAAGCUUGACAUCUGGAAUAAAGUAGACGCAUGCUUGCACAUAAUCAAGCUCGAUUGGAUGAAGAUUCAUCUCUUCGAACUCUCCAUUACUUGAUCACAGCAGCAAGACCGAAGCUAAGUCUUCUUUCCUAUCCUCUAGUUUUGACUUUGAUGCGAUCGAUUAGUUGAUUUUCUUAGCGAUCUUAGGCUAUCGUGAUAGUUUAUUCUCAGAUAGUGCUUUGAUCUUGAUCAAUUUCCUUUCAACAGAUUUUGUUGAUUCGAUUUCGUUGAUUUUGUUGACGAUGAAGCAAGAAAAUGCUCGUAGAUUACAACUAUGAAGAAGCGGUCGCGAUCAUCAAGUUUAAAGCCAAGGCGUCCGUUGAUGAGUCUCAUAAAUCGAAGAUCGGAGAUCAACGUCAAACAAACAAAGUCCAGCGGCAAUGACACACUGAUGUGUUCACCUCCAAGUGUCGAUCUAGAAAAAGGAUUAGAGAAGAGCGAUCAUAAUCUGCAAAAGUCAUAAAUCAGAGGUUGAAGAUUGGUGCUAAACAGCUCUUAUACCAGAAUCUGACUUGGCGUUAUUCACGUUCCGUGGUCCUUGAAGCAAAAUCAGAGCUAAGUGCUCAAUUUCCUUUUUCCUGUUUUGAUUACAGAACAAAAUAAAAUUUGACUCUCCGCUGAUUUCGAUAUUUUUUUUUUGUGUUAAAUAGCAGCUUCGUCAUUGCUAAAUGAAGAGAUCUUCGAAGGCAUGUUCUUUGCCGAUUCAAUUGAGGUAAGUGCGUUGAAACUCCUUUUAAUAGCAUCCGAUGAGGCGAGAGCUUCUAGUGUCGAAAAGCAUUCUCGACAACGAAGGUUCGGGGCCAGGAUGCAUUGCGAAUCUGAUUAGAAUCAAUACUUCAUUGAUCUAGAGUUGAUUACAGUUGGAUGUUUUGGUUCUAUGAUUUUUGAACUUGGAUGACAAUUGUUCUGCAACCUCGGAUUCCUGACAGACCUCUUUGUGCGUAUGCCCGGAAUUGAGUUAGUAUAUGUGCUUUUUGGUGCUCGAUGUCUUCAUGAAAGUCGAAGAUGAUUUGAUUAGCUUUCUAACGAGCUAUAGCACGUCCUGAUACGAUAUCAUUAGCUAUCUGAAAUCUUCUUCGAAAUUUAGGAGAUGAUUCUGGAAAACUGAUAUAUUGUAGUUUACUGUUAUGCAUUGUUCGACCUUGACUGUUUUCCGAUUUUCUACUGAAUUUUGUACUUGAAUUCGUAGAUCGGUGUCUUAUGAAAAGUUGCUUGAAAUGUCCUUGGCUACAACAUAUAAUUUUUUCAGAAUUUUUGAAGUUUAUUUGAUUAGGAAAAUGCUCAUUAAAUCGUCCGUAGUGUGGACUGUCUUGUCUGUGACCUAAUUGCUAUUUGCCUUGAAUGAGCUAGUAGAUGUGUCCAAUUGCCUUCGAUGUGUUGUAGAUAUUCAUAAAGGGCAUUUCAGACUUCGGAAAGACGCAUGGCCUACAUCAUUUGAGCUUUGAUUUGAUAUGUUGCACGCCUUGAACGGACAUCAUUCGGUCAUCGAAAAAUAUCGACAAAGUCUGUCAAUUCUGCAGUAGUUUUUUAGGUUGAUUUGCUGUUUUGACCUACUGCAAUUUUCUGUUUUAACUGGAACGAGCUGGUAGAUGAUGUUAUGACUUAAUGUCUUCUAGAGAUUUGUAAUAGACUUCUCAAGCUUUCCAUAGACAUAUUAUAUGUGCAAUUUGACUAUCGUUUGCCCUGCCUAAUGAAUGUUACCAUAUCAAUGUUUGAUUAUGGAAAUUCAGGGGAUAGAUUAGACUGAUUUUUAUUCGUGCUAUGAUUUCUAUGAUGAUUUUUUGAUGAAGUUGUUUGCAUGAAACUUGCGCUUCAUUGUCUGCUUGAGUUUCGCAUUAAUGCAUGGCAUAUCAUAUUUGAAUCUUGUUUGCUGUGAACAUCAUGCACCCAUUUGGCUAAUUGCAAUUGAAAUUUGCCAUGCAUGACAUUCUUAGUUCCAAGUCACUUUGCAAUGUUAAUGACUUGUGUGACUUCUUUGCAUUCUGUUUUAGGGUUAAAUGUUUACCCAAACCUUUUUUGCAUUCAACCUUAUGUCAUGUGCAAGUUUCACAUUUUUGUACAUUGUCUAGGUGGUCUUACGAACCUUUAAACAUGCAUUGUAUUUUGUCCUGUUUGUGACUUGAAUUUGCUAGAUUCAUGUUCAUGUCUGAUGCCUAUUAUUAUUCAUUAUAAUAAGUUUUCUAUGCAUUGUCUUAGUCAUAUAAUAUGAGGCAAGGGAUCCUUGUUUCUUAGAUUAGGUUUAGAUUAGGAUCUUGAAGAUGGAGAAAGCGUGAAGAUGGUGGAGGUCGAUGUCCAUUCCGACCGUUGUCAUGUACUAUUUGUUUUCCCGACAUAUGUCUCGGGUUCCAUGCAUCGUAUAAAACCCGACGAGUUGUGGGUUUCCUUUCUUUCCCAAUUGUUUUCUCUUUUAUAUUUUAUGAAUUGCAUAAUUAGGUUUAACUGCUUUUUCUUGAUUGUUUACUUCAUGUCUUGAAUUUUCAUUUAAAUUGUUUGUUUUCUUUUCAUUUCUUAGGAAUAGAAUAGAAUAAAAGUAAUCCACCACGUAUGAUCAUUUAGUAUAGAAUUGACGAUCCUGAAAAUAUAAAAAGAAAUGCAUGAACAUGUUAGAAAAAACAUAACAUACUGUUUAGGUACCGAAAGGGCACUAAUAGCAAAAUUAGCGUAACCCAAGUCCCCGAACCUAGAUAUCUGGUUACGUAGGAAUUGAGGAAAUACUCCCGACCCUCGAUUGGGUUUCUAGCCGACCCCCAAAAUGAGGCUAGUGGCGAUUCCUAUAUAUAUUUUUUAGGUUGUUAAAUACCUAGAUCAUAUAAAUAAAUCUGCUGUCACGCGGGGUAUGAGCUUAGGAGAGCUCGUGAUCUCGUGAGGAAACUCUCGAGAUCAAAUACCCCUAAAUCCGACCUUUCCCCUCCUUGGCCAUUUCGAGGGGCAGCGAGAUUGGGUCGCGACAAUGAUCAUCCACAUCAAUCCUUAUGGUCAAGCGGUCUUUUCAUGGUCGGAUGCUUAGAUCUUAUGCAACUGUGAUCCAAAGUCAAUUUACCCCUAACCAACUAGUUGGCUCGUGACUAAUCCCCGAGAUUGACUCACAACUUAUUCUCAUUAUUGGCAUACUGAUCCUCAGUCCAUUUCUCAUGCCGGAUGUUGACACAUGAAUUUUAGUUGAUGAGUCAUUAAAAGGUAAAAAUUGAUAUUUGGAUUUCUGAUUGCGACGGAGCCCCAUCUCUCGACCAAAAAGUGUUAUUUUUCAUUUAUUUCUUUUGCAUUGUCGUUUUUAAGUAAUUUCUAACUCAUUUUCAAGAAAAGCCCGAAAAGUCAAACGGGUGACUUUCAAGUUGACUUUUUGGUCAACUGUUUGACCAAAAGUAGAUUGACCAAAAAAAGUCAACCUCGGGUCAAAAAUUAACUUUUUACCCAAAGAGAUUCCAUUUAGUUUUAAUUUCACUUUCAUCAAAUCAAUUUCUUGAAAAUUCAAAGAUUGACCCAAAAAAUCGACAUUUUAGGAAAAGUCAACUAAAUGGUUGACUUUUUAAUCAAACAUUUAACCAAAAAUCAAAAAAAUCAAAAAUGCACAAAGACAUUUUUUUUAAUGCCAAUUUGACUUUUAUGUAAAAAAUUUCACAAAAUUCGAUUAAGAACAUUGAUUUCUGAAUUUUUCAAUUUUAGGUUAUAAAUCAACCAAAAAAAAAAUUACCUUUAUCUAGUCAUAAUUUGGUGUAGUUCUUUGUUUGACAUUUGGUUUAGGGACUUUUUAAAAUCUGCCUGUGCAUUUAAUUACGUGAUUUACCGAGUCAAAAUACUAAUUAACUUUUUGAGCCCUAAUUAAGGGAUGAAAAUCGAUCCUUCAUAACUUACGAACGGACGAUUGCUCCUUCAUAACUUGCAAACAAAUGAUUGUUUCUCACUCAUUUUCUUAAGAUAAGUUCAAAUUUGAAAUCGAGUUUGUGAAAUUCACACCAGAACUCAUCAAUUUGAAGAAUUUUAUCCUCUCAAGCAUAAGAAAAUCAAGCAAUUAAGCUUCAAUCAUCAAAAUUCGAAUUGACCCACUCAUGGUUAUGUUCUAAUUUCAUAAAUAUAGGUCCAAUUUUAAUAGUAGGCUUAGAUCUAUUUUUGAUCUAAGCUCUAGCGCUUCAAUUCAAGGUCAAUUUGAAUAUGAUAAGUGAUCUUACAUAUGGGUAGCUCAUUAGAUAGGGCAAUUGUGAUACUAAUUGAGUUCAAUUUUAAUUAAUUUGCAAUUUCACCCAUUAAAUUGAAAAUUUUACCAUUUUAGCCCUUUAGGCCCAAUUUAAAGCACCCAUGAUUUCAACUCUCUUUUUUUUCACGAUAAUCAUUCAAUUAGGUUAAUAAAAGACCCCUAGAUCAUGUUCAUAAGGUUUAAUUAGCUUAAUUGCAUCUUAAUUGGCCAAUUUCUUCUUAAAAGUGAUAAAAUUCCUUUUCAAUUUGGGACCAAAUUGCAAAAUUUUAGAUCCACAGGGGUCCCAAGUGGACAAAACAGCUAGAACUAGACCAAACCGGCCAAGAACUGAUCAAAAUCCGAUUGAAUCAAACCUAACCGGUCUGACCGGCCACUGGCGCGAUUGGCCGAUUCAGGCCCUUUCCGACCGGUUCCUAACCUCCGGAGAUUGGUUCUAGAAUCUUCUCAAUGCCAAUUUCACUUUUGCACCUUCAAUUUCCCAAAACUUUACAAACUGAUCCUCGAAUUUCGUCAAAUUGCAAAUUAACCCCUAAUCAGAUAUUUUGACGCAAUUCUUGAUUUUGGCUUGAGUUUUUGCAAAUCAAACCCACUCGAUCAAUUACCCAACACUGCAAGAUCAUAAUAGAGACUUCGAAAUCGAUUUUUGAUCGUUGGAUCAAAAUUUCAACUGUCAGAUCGAACUAACAGCCAAAAUCGCUUAAUUUGGGGUGUAUAUAAAUGAAAUUUCCUCCAUUUUUUGGGGGGCUCAUUUUUGCACAAAAAUUCUCUCUCUCCUCAGCAUCUCUCUCUCUUUUCUCUCUCAAUUCUCCUGCCAAAACUAGAUCUCCCCCUCUCUAGUUCAAUCCGACCGGAUCUCUCUCCAGUGAACUUUUGCCAUCGGUUUUAGCCCCCACCGACAGUCUUCAACCCUGCACUACUACCCAGCCCCUUCUUCCUUCACUAGCAGUGAUGGUUAGAGCAAGAUCAAGCUUUGGUAAGAACUAGAUCUAUUCGACCGAGUCCGAUCUCCUCCGACGGCGUCCAAACCGGUCUAGUUUUGGACCAGUUCUGUUUUCUGUCACUACAAGCUAUUUAGCUACCUUUCGAAGCUAUCCCUUAUUGUCUAGAUCUAGUCCUUGGUGUUUUAUGGAGGUUUGAUAGAAGUUUUGGCAAAAUCUUCGAUCGAUUUCGAAAAAAAACCGAUGAAAAUCGCAACGAAGGUAACGAUCUCAGUCUCGAACCCCGUGAAGCGAGGCCGGAUUAGCUGGCUAGGCUAGGGUUCAAUAUUGGUGAUAUAUGCUCAUAGAUGAUUUUUCUAAAGUUUGAAUGUGAUUGAUUGAAUCAGUGUGGAUGAUUGUGCUUGAUUGAAUCAGUGUGGAUGAUUGUGCUUGAUUAGUCUUAAAUCUGCAAUUCCGUAGUCUUAGGACUGACUUACUGUUUUGACCAAAACAAGGUCUGAAAUGACAUUGUUUCAACUAGAGUCUUCUUAGGAUUAGAUAAUAGAUAUCUCAAGCUUCGAAAUGGUAGGUUGCAUGCCCCAAUCAAGCAUCUUUUGAAUCUCAAAAAAAUCUCCGAAGGUGAGUAUUCUCUUGUAGUUAAGUUGGAUUUUCGGUUCUGUUUUUGCUCCCAAAUGAGACUUUACUAUUUUUGUGUAGCCUUCUUUGAUGAUUUUUCGACAAUCUUUCCUCAUGAUUUUUGUUCCAAAUCCUUUUGUGCACAUCUUGUAAUUUUUUCAUGAUUUUUGGAUAUGCUUAACUAGGUCAGAUCUACUCAAAUCCAAACCUAGGUUAAUCUAUUCCGUAUUGAUCUCUGAUUUUUCCAUUUUUGUACUAAUUUUGGGUUGAGUUUUGGAAUAACUUUUCUUCAUGAAAUUUUCUCGUAUUAGUUUUGUACAUGUCCUGUAUUUUAUUUUAUUUUUUGAAAUUUUUAAACAUGCUUAACUAGGUCAGAUCUACUUAGAUCCAAACCGGGGUCAAUUUGUUCUGUAUUAAUCUCUGAUUUGCCAUUUUUGUACUGAUUUUUUUGUUGAGUUUUGGAAUAACUUUCCUGGAUAAAAUUUUCUUGUAAUAGGGUUGUGCAUGUGCUAUAUUUUUUUCAAAAUUUUUAGACAUGUUUAGCUAGGUCAAAAUUUCUUAGAUUUGAACAUAGGACAGUAUGUCCUACUUGAUCCGAAUUAUGUUUUGAUGAAAUUGAGUCCACAAAUGCACCUAUUUGGUCUCAAAUUGUGGUAUCCUAAAAAUUCAAGACAAGCUCUAAGGUGUACUAAAGCCCAUAAUUAGGUAAUGAAAUUAUCUAUGGUUUAUGCUUUAGCUAUUAGUUUUCUCUUAGGACUAAGUAAUAUAUGCUUGUGUUCAUGAUUCUUUUUAUUUAUGUGUUAAUGAGAAUAAUCUAUUCUUGGCUAUGCACCUCAUAGACUAAAUUCCUAUAAAUAAAAUGUUACAAGAUUUUGGCCAUGUGGAAUUUAAAACUUAAAAUCUAUAAAAGAAAGAAUAAAAGGUGAAAUUUGAUUUUUAUUUAGGUUUGGGCCUUAGGCCCAAGACUGGAUUUUGAUGGGCCAAGAUGGCCGGCCCAUUGAAGCCCACGAAGGGGCUGUCGCCGGCCACAAGGGAGGCCAGCCCAAUUGAGGCCCGAGAGGAGUGGCCGGCCCACUUCUUCCAAUCCAAGCCCAAGCCCAUCUUGCAUGUGGCAUGCCAAGUGGCAAAAAGAGGCUUGCAUGCAUUGGCUUGUGGAGAGGCAAGUGAUGAUUGCUAAUGAUGGAGAUUUGGGGGAACAAAAAGGGAAGAGAGAGAGAGUGGCCGGUUGGGUUUCCGUCCAAGCCAAAGGGAGAGAGAGAGUUGCGAGAGAGAGAGUGAGGCUGAGAGAGAAGGAGAAGGAGCUGCUCACCGUUCGUCCGCCCAUCGCCACCCGUUCGUCCGCCGUGUGCCGUCGUUCUCUUGAGUUCAGAGGCAAGUUGGGAUCCACUUCCUACUCUUGCAUGUGUGUCUUGCAUGUGUGUCUUGCAUGUGUGUUUGGAGUGGUGUCGAAUUUUGGGUGGUUAGGAGUGAGAAACCGGAGCUAGUAUGUUUUGUUUGUUGAGAUAGCUUGCUGUUUUCGUGUGAACCGCCUGAACCAGAAUCUUGUAAAGGCUUGCAUGCAUCUUUCGAGUUGGAUUUUGACUUUUAUUCCUUCAUGAAAGUUUUAUCCAACAUCUUAAACUACAACAUACUAAAAUUUGGUACAAAAUGGUGGAGAUUUAAGGGGUCAAACCCUCUUCCUACGAAGACCCUAGAUCUGGAACUGCUUUGCUGACCUUUUGGUAGUUUGUGGGUUGCAUGUUGAUUUUUACCGAGAAUAUCACUUUGACUUCUUCAUGAAACUUGUAUAUAACAUCCUAAAGACUAACAUAAUCAAAUUUGAAGUAAAAUGAGCAAGUGUAGCCUAGUGAAUCGACUUACUCUUGAAGACGGUAAAUCUGGAGACGCGGUGCUGGACACCCGAGACUUCAUGGACCCAUAUGGUGACUAUUCUUUGGAAAUGUGACUUAGAUCCCUUAAUGAAAGUUGUAGGGGACCUCUUGAAGUAAAAAAUAUUCAAAUUUCAGAGGAAAAAAAGAAGAAUAAGUGGGUGAAAACUCGAUUUUUCGGAGAUAACUACACUGGACGUUUCGGUGCUAGAACCAGAAGCUUCGGACGACUAUAGGAAAUUAUCUAAAACUAAUCUGGCCUAGAAGUGCUCAUGAAAAAUCUACUUUAGUGUCUUAAAUAUAACCUGACAAAAUUUCAUAAUUUUCGGAGGUCUUUCGGGUAUUUUAAUCAAAUUAUUUCAAAAACUGCACAUUCUGUUUCUAUCCGAAAUCGCAUGCUGUAUUUGUGUGAAUUAUAUCUUUUGUGUGGAAUUCUAUUGGGCAUGUGUUUUUCAUGACAUUAUUAUCUUAUUGUCUUGUCUAUCACAUGCCUUGAUUUCAUGAUGUUUGAGAAUCAUAUGGAUAUUUAAUUUAAAUAUUUUCUAAAAUGGUACAAGCUGGAAUUUAAUAAACUUCAAAAAGGCAUGAUAAAUGGACCAUUCUAAAUUGUAUGAAUUCCAUGAAUUUUAUUGUUAUGAAUGAUUGUGUCUUGCCGCAUGUAUGAUGAUGACUGGAGAUGCAUGUAUGAAUCAAAGGAUGGAAGUGAUUUUGUUUGCCAUUACAUCAUGUGCCAUGCUGAGUUGAGACCUAAAUUGGUGAACAUGAACAAUGAUAAAUGAGGAAACUGUUUGAGGCGGUUGAUAAUGCCCUGGGUGUCACACCCCGAUCCUCGGGCACGCACACAUCCUUUCUCACUUGGUCGAUUUUAUAAUGCGAUAUCCCAAGACUAUGUAUCGCCGACCCUUUCAGUUAUUAAGCACAUGCAGAAGCAGUUAAAAUCCCCAUACAAUACAACAAUGGGAUAGAAAAAUAAGGCCAUAUUUUUCAUAUUGAAAUUUAUAACCAAACUUUUAUACAAAACACAAACCACUUCAUAAAUAUUCACUUCAAAAGGAAUUCUCAAAAAAAGACAGACUCUCUGUCCAUCCGGGCCGUACUCAAGGCCCCUCUCGGGAUUAUCUUCUUCUUCCAAAAAUCCUUCUCCUCAAGUUUUACCUCCGAGUUCUCAUUCCCAGACUUCUCCUCCUCAGCUCCUCAUCGGGGUCCUGAAAUGAUUUCCCCAAACCGGGAUGAGACUACGUCUCAGCGAGUUCUACCCCACUAAGGCUCGAUUAGUAAACCAUUAUACUAUAGGCUGCCUAAACACGCACAGGGCAGAGGACUUACCUUGGCCUCAGAUCCCACCUGCAAGUCAGUACAAUUCACAAUAGGCACCCAUUUACUCCAAACAAAUCGAACUAGUCGAUUACAUGUCACCCAAAUCAAUCUCCACGGAGGAGUAUCUAAAAGCUAGGCCACGUGCAUUCUCUAGGACGACCUUCCAAGUCUCCGAGCCACGUGCCUCGAACCUUUGGCCCACUUGCAUUCUCUAAGGCGACCUCUUCGCCAAGGUGGUACAUCAAGUCACCGAGCCACGUGCCCUUUUAGAUGUCAUUCUCAAAUAUCGGACCCACGUGCAUUCUCUAAGACACUCAUUUGCCAAGGUGACGCAUCAAAUCACCGAGCCACGUGUCCUUUUUACGAUGCCCAGGCCCACGUGCCUUCUCCUAGGUGCUAUCUCACCAAAGUGAUGCAUCAAUUCACCGAGCCACAUGCCCUUUUAGAUGCCUUUUCGGAACGUCGGGCCCACGUGCAUUCUCUAAGGCACUAAUUCGCCAAAGUGACGCAUCAAAUCACCGAGCCACAUGCCCUUUUAGAUGCCAAACUCUGUCACCAAGCCAUGUGCAUUCUCCAGGAGGACAUACCGAGUCUCUGAGCCACGUGCAUUCUCUUAGGCGACCUCUUCACCAAGAUGACAUACUCAACCACUAAACUCGCGUGCAUUCUCGAGGUGAUAGUCCAAUUCACCGAGCCCACGUAUUUUCUUUCAAGUGAUUACCGACCUACUUUCAACACCGACAACCAAUGCCCAACGAUUUCUCAAACAAAUAAUCAAAAUCAACUCAACAAAGCAUUAUAAAUGUUGAAUAACAUACUUGGCCAUUUACCAAUCAACAAUUCAAUCUCAAUCAAUUCCAAUCAAUUUACGGUAAAUCCCUAAAAUAUCACAAUUUAUUUAAUUCCAUGCAAUGUGGAGCUCAAAUAAAUAAACGGACUGCGCCACGACGAUCAAAACGAGAUUUCGGUCGUCGGCCAUCAAAAUCUUAAUUUCAGAAAAAUAAUUAAUUAAUUAAUUAAUUUCGAAAAUUAAUUAAUACAUAUUAAAAAUUCAAUUUAGCACAAAAUAAAGCCCAAUUAAAUAAACGGACUUCACCACAGUCAUCCGCAUAAUAUUCUGGUCCUGGGCCAUCUCAGUUGAAUUUUCAAAAAAUAAAUAAUUAUUCAAUUUAAUUCCGAAAAUUAAUAUUUAAAUACUAAAAAUUCCACUUAUGCCCGAAAGCCUAAUUGGAGCCCACUAAGAGCUGGGAAAAAUCCCGAGACACUUCCAAUAAAUAGUAGAUCACGUCUACUUGCUAAUUACACAUUCAAUUUGGCUAAUUCGCAUCACAAUUGGCUAAUAAACACUAAUCUAACCACCUAAACCUAAUUAAUUAAAACUAAACCAACCUUAAGCAUAAUUAGUCAACUAAUUCGGGAUUAGUGAGAUUACUCACCAAAUCGCGCGCAAAUCGGAUCAAUCCGACGAGGGCGACGCAAGGAACGAUUCCUCCCAAAACACGGCUCGGGUUCAGGGCCCGGAAACGGCCUAAAACGGGCCUUGAACAGGGCUGGAAACCCACUUUUCCAGCCACUGUUCUUGGCUAGACGAAGCUCGUCCGGCAGCUAGGGCGGCGAGGGGAGGCCGGCGGAGGGCGAAGGGGAGGCCGGGGACGCCGGGCGGAGCUGGGCGGCGGCCGAAGGAGACUGAACAAGCUGGGCAGAGGCAAAGCAGGGACUGGAUCGCGCGAGGGAGGGACGCCUGGGCGCGAGGGGUGGCGGCUGAACGCGCAGCACCUCGCGGUUGGUGCAGACAGCGGCUCGACGGCAUGCGGCAGCGACGGUGAGCUGCAACUUCUGCUCCGACGUUCUUCCAGAUCUACUAGAACGUUGAGCAACAGGCCGAGGGGAAAAAGAAGGUGUCGGUGGCAGCUCAGGGGUGAAGGCGGACGAUGAGCGGCAGACGCACGGGCGCAGGCGGCGAGACGAGUGGCGAUGACUGCUUCGGCAAGCUACUAUCUCUGACGGCAUCACCCAAAUAUUUGAUUCCCAAAACCGAAUUAAAUUUCAUGGUUAAAAUCGACCGGACGCGAUUUUAGUCCAAUCCAACCAAUUAGGUAGCUUUUAGGCAUUUUACCGCGGUUAUAUCCCUUAACAGCAUCACCUAAUGGGAUAGCUAACUCGUGAGUGAUCAGCUCAGAGAAAAAGGACCAUAGGCGCACCGACGAUAUGCACAUUUCAUUUUAUCGAAACGGGCUCGAAUUUCAGUAUGUCACAACUCUUCCCCUCUUAUAAAAAUUUCGUCCUCAAAAUUUAAACCCUUACACAGUUUGCUCAAAAAGGCGAGGGUACAAUUAUCUCAUUGACUCUUCAAUCUCCCAAGUCGCUCCUUCAAUGCCGUGGUAUUGUCAUACCACUUUGACCAAUGGAAUGGUCUUUGUACGCAGAACUUGCUUUUUGCGAUCGACAAUCUGAACCGGGCUUUCCAAGUAUGACACACGGUCAUCCACGUCCAAUUCCUCGAAAUUGAGCACGUGAGUAAGGUCAGGCUCGUACUUCCUUAACAUCGACACGUGAAAGAUGUCAUGCACUUGCGCCAAUCUUGGCGGCAACGCAAGAUGAUACGUUAGGUUUUCGAUUCUUUCAAGAAUCUCAAACGGACCUACGUACCUCGAACUCAAUUUGCCUUUCUUACCAAAGCACGAAGUUCCCCUCAUUGGUGACACUUUCAGAAAAACGUGAUCACCAACUUGGAAUUCCAAAGACAUUCGACACUUAUCUGCAUAACUUUUCUGCCUGCUCUGCGCGGUCUUUAAUCUUCCUCUAAUUACUGCCAUGGCAUCUACUAACUGAUGAACCAACUCUGAGCCUGUGAUUUUCCUUUCCCCGACUUCAUCUCAACAUACUGGAGUUCUACACGCUCUGCCAUACAACGCUUCAAAAGGAACCAUCUUGAUGCUCUGCCGAUAACUGUUGUUGUAGGCAAAUUCCACUAGAUGAAGCUAAUCUUCCCAGCUUCCUUUGAAGUCUAUUACACACGCUCUGAGCAUGUCUUCAAGACUCUGAAUUGUCCUUUCAGACUGGCCAUCCAUUUGAGAAUGAUAUGCCGUACUGUACUGAAGCUUUGUACAUAAAGCACUAUGCAAGCUCUUCCAAAAUGCAGCAGUAAACCUCAAGUCUCUAUCGGAUGUUAUCGUAACCGGCACUCCAUGCAUUCGAACCACUUGACGCACAUACAGGUCUGUGUGUCUAUCCAGACUCAAGUCCUUUCGAACCGCAAUGAAGUGAGCCGACUUUGUCAGCCUGUCGACUACUACCCAAAUCGAAUCAUUCCCCCUCUGACUCCUUGGUAGUCCAGUCACGAAGUCCAUCGUGAUAUGCUCCCAUUUCCAUUCUGGAAUCGUGAGAGGUUGCAAAAGUCCUCCCGGCUUGCAAUGCUAGGCUUUUACUUGCUGACAAGUCAACACUUGGCCACAUGUUGGGCGAUGUUCCACCUACAUACCUGACCACCAAUAGUGUUGACGCAGAUUCUGAUAUAUCUUAGUACUUCCUGGAUGAACGUUAUAACUGCUACGAUGUGCUUCAGAUAAAAUAUCCUCUCUAAGCUCUACAUCGUCAGGUACAACCAAACGUCCAUAGAACCUCAAUACCCCAUCAUCAGAAACUUGAACAUCAGUCUUUCUUUUAUCGGUAUCCUCUUGAAGAAUUCUUUGUACAUCUGGAUCUGUCGGUUGGAGUUCUUUGAUUCAGACCUGUACAUUCAUUUCAAUUAUGCGAGUGGCCAUAAAACUUGAAAGGUGGCCUACCUCAAAUUUGAAUUUCGAAUCCCGAGCUCUCUCGAUUAAGUUCAACUCCUUAACCAAGAUUUGCGCUAUUGAAGACUUCCGACUCAAUGCAUCGGCGACCUUAUUCGCCUUUCCCGGGUGAUAUAGAAUAUCACAGUCAUAGUCUUUCAGCAAUUCCAUCCAUCGGUGUUGUCUCAUGUUCAACUCCUUCUGAGAGAACAAAUACUUGAGACUCUGAUGGUCCGCGAAGAUUUGAAACUUUUCUCCACACAAGUAGUGCCUCCAAAUCUUCAACGCAAAUAUGAUGGCUGCGAGUUCCAAGUCAUGUGUCGGAUAAUUCAAUUCAUGAGGUCUCAACUGACGGGAAGCGUACGCAACAACUCUGCCAUGUUGCAUCAGCAUGCAACCCAAUCCCCUGAAUGACCCAUCACUAUAGAUCUCGAAUCCUCCAGGACCAGAUGGAAUCGUUAGUACAGGUGCGGUAGUCAGCUUUUCCUUCAGCUCUUGGAAACUACACUCGCACUUGUCUGACCAUACAAAUUUCUCUUCUUUCUUCGGGAGCUUUGUCAGAGGUGAUGCUAAUGCUGAAAAACCUUCCACAAACGAUCUAUAAUGACUUGCUAACCCCAGAAAACUUAUGAUCUCUGUCACUGUUGUUGGUCUCGACCACUUGAUCACGGCUUCUAUCUUGCUCAGGUCGAUGGAGAUUCCUUCUCCAGAAAUCACAUGACCUAAGAAUGCAACAUGAAUCAACCAAAACUCGCAUUUGUUAAACUUAGCAUAUAGCUGAUGAGUUCUUAAGGUCUGGAGUACUAUUCUCAAAUGAUUCUCAUGCUUUUCAUCACUUCUCGAAUAGACCAAGAUGUCAUCAAUGAGCGCGAUCACAAACUGAUCCAGAUAUUCCUUGAACAUUCUGUUUGUCAAAUCCAUGACAGCAACUAGAGCAUUCGUCAAUCCGAACGGCAUCAUUGUAAACUCGUAAUGACCAUAGCGGGUACGAAAUGCCGACUUAGGAAUAUCCUCCUUCCUAAUCCUCAGCUGAUGAUAUCCUGUCCUUAAGUCGAUCUUCGAGAAUAUUGAUGCCCCUUGCAAUUGAUCAAACAAGUCAUCUAUCCUCGGCAAUGGAUACUUGUUCUUGAUCGUUACCUGAUUGAGCUGUCGAUAGUCGAUGCACAGGCGCAACGAACCAUCUUUCUUCUCAACAAACAGAACUGGUGCUCCUCAAGGUGAUGCACUAGGAUGAAUAAAUCCUUUAUCCAGUAACUCUUGCAUCUGCACCUUCAGUUCCUUCAACUCAGAUAACGCCAUUCGAUAAGGUGCCUUCGAGAUCAAUUCUAUCCCUAGUGCUAGCUCAAUUACAAAUUCUAUCUCUCUUUCUGGUGGUAACCCUGGCAAUUCUUUUGGAANNNNNNNNNNNNNNNNNNNNNNNNNNNNNNNNNNNNNNNNNNNNNNNNNNNNNNNNNNNNNNNNNNNNNNNNNNNNNNNNNNNNNNNNNNNNNNNNNNNNACACUACAGUUGUCAAAUCAAUCUUUGCAACCUACGUCUAACAAACGAAUUAUCUUUAACCAACGAGAUUAAUGAAAUCGAAAAUUCUUUUCGACUCUUAAUAAUCUCGACAUUUUCGCAAACUAAUAGACUAAAUUGGAUUAUUCCAUAACCAUGAUUCAUUAUCACAAGAUGCUCUAUGAGUCCACUCUACUCAUAUAGCAUUAAAAAUACUCCUUAGCAACUAGUCAAGCAUAACUAUUGCCAGUGAUUCCCCUUUCUCUCACUUAUUUCAAUAAACUGAAGUUCCUCAAACUUCACCAAAACUCUAUCACGAUACUCUGAUAGAAUUUUCCCCUAAACAUUCUUCCUCUAACUAGUGCCAGGUUGGUUCCAUUCUUGUCCUUUUUGCCACCCUAAUGGUGUCCUAACUGAAGUAGCGGAGUCAGUGUUCAAUUGGACUUUCACUGAUAGUCUUUCACCCGACGACCGUGCUGAUUGCAAUUAUAGCACAUUCUAGCCAUACUCAGACACUGGAUUCAUCCAUGCUUCCUUCUACAAUUCUGACACCUAUCUGGUGCAUCUUCUAUCUUCUAUCAGGUGAAAGCAUGCACUCUUUCUGGUUGCCCCAUCAUUCUGCUAAGACCACUCCCGACCAAAUAUCCUUGUUGGCUAUACUCCAAACAAUUUCGCGUCCUAGGAAGGACAUAAGACCGAUCUCCAUCAUCACGUCCAGAAACAACCUGAUCUAUUUGACUCGGUGCUGACUUGACUACCCCACCCUUCCUCGCGAGUGGAAUAGAAUACUUUUCUCUCGACCUUGAUCUUUUCCCUGACCGAUUUCCAUUUCUGCCUGAACUGGAUCUAUACCUUGGCUCGAAUGCAAUGACUCGCUCCCGGAUCACAUCUCCACUCUGGAUCUCAGCAGGUGAGGCGACAACAACGGUUACGGUAUUGAUGGCAACUUGAUCCUGAGCCUCCUGGCUCAUCCAAUUCCCAAGGAGCACUAGCAUCAAAAUGAUCCUAUCGAACUUAGGAUUAUUCAACACUACUACACUAGUACCAACCUGCAGUGGUACUCUUACACUCGAGCUGGCCAGAGCCAACACUCUACCUCAACCACCUCGGGUAUCAACCUUUGUCAAUGCAUUAUCCCGAGUCACAGAGGACAUUGCCCUCUUACUAGGAGUUCUCAACUCCUGCUCGCUCAUGGUUCAGUCUUUACACUGAAACUCGUCUUCCAAACCCAUACUGGAUUAGAAGGUGAGCGAUCCACACACAACAAACAAUUUUAGCAUUCAACUAACACAGACAUGCACCAGCAUGAAUUUAAAGGCCUUUCCUACUAACUAUCCCAUGGUCAACGCUCCUUAUCACUCCAAUCUUGAACUUCGCUCUGACACCACAAAAAGGGGAUGUCACGCCCCGAUCCUCGGGCACGCACACAUCCUUUCUCACUUGGUCGAUUUUAUAAUGCGAUAUCCCAGGACUAUGUAUCGCCGACCCUUUCAGUUAUUAAGCACAUACGAAAGCAGUUAAAUCCCCAUACAAUACACGAUGGGAUAGAAAAGCAAGGCCAUAUUUUNNNNNNNNNNNNNNNNNNNNNNNNNNNNNNNNNNNNNNNNNNNNNNNNNNNNNNNNNNNNNNNNNNNNNNNNNNNNNNNNNNNNNNNNNNNNNNNNNNNNUACAAAACACAAACCACUUCAUAACUAUUCACUUCAAAAGGAAUUCUCAAAAAAAGACAGACUCUAUGUCCAUCUGGGCCGUACUCAAGGCCCCUCUCGGGAUUAUCUUCUUCUUCCAAAAAUCCUUCUCCUCAGGUUUUACCUCCGAGUUCUCAUUCCCAGACUUCUCCUCCUCAGCUCCUCAUCGGGGUCCCGAAAUGAUUUCCCCAAACCGGGAUGAGACUACGUCUCAGCAAGUUCUACCCCACUAAGGCUCGAUUAGUAAACAAUUAUACUAUAGGCUGCCUAAACACGCACAGAGCAGAGGACUUACCUUGGCCUCAGAUCCCACCUGCAAGUCAGUACAAUUCACAAUAGGCACCCAUUUACUCCAAACAAAUCGAACCAGUCAAUUACAUAUCACCCAAAUCAAUCUCCACAGAGGAGUAUCUAAAAGCUAGGCCAUGUACAUUCUCUAGAACGACCUUCAAAGUCUCCGAGCCACGUGCCUGGAACAUUGGGCCCACGUGCAUUCUCUAAGGCAACCUCUUCACCAAGGUGGUACAUCAAGUCACAUGGCCGGAUGGCCUUGAGAGUUUCGAGAUGCCCAGAAUGGCUAGGCGCCGGAAGCCUCGGAGGUCUUUGUCGAGGGGAUGCCUCGUGAUGCCAUUUGGGAUGCGAGAUGCCCGGAAUGUGUGCCGGAUGCCCGGUGGCUUUAAAUGGCUGAAUGCCGGAGGUUUUUCUCGUGAUGCUAGGAUGGGGUGCGAGUGAUAAAGUAUGGGAUGCAAUUAUUGAUCCCGGGAAAGAGUGAUGUGGUGAUCAAAUUGAAAGUUAAAAGUGAAAUUGAAUCAUGCAUAUAUGAUAUGAUAUGAUGAUGAUCACCUAUGGCAUGAUGACACGCAUAUAUGAUAUGAUGAUCAUCACUUAUGGCAUGAUGAUCUGUAUGGAUAUGAUUGAGAUGAGUAUAUGAAGAUGUGUGCACAUAUAGUGUGUUUGUAUAUGCAUGGCUUCAAGGUAGGUUAUGCUUGGAGGCAUGAAUGGCAUGUACUAUGUUAUGAUUAUAUUGUGUGAUGCCUGAGUGGUAUGGAUCCUUUACGUGCUGAGUGGUAGUACUCACCCUUCGGGGACCAACAUUUGAGAUUAGCAGGAUGCCGCUCCUGCUGUCACGCGAGGCGUAUUUUACGGCCUUCCUUCAGAUGUAGAGGUCGAGUGUGUGGAGAAUGACUGUCCCACCAUUCCUGGACUGACAUUUAUUCGAGUUCGUGCGAUAGUUAUGUACGAUGUAGGCCUGGCUGAGGGCCCUGUCAUUCAAGAGUUCAUAUCGGUUCACGUUCGACGAGAUGGGGUGAUGCGUGGGAUGUUGCCGCCGCCACCACCUGAUGCACCGGGAUGGGUGUGAGGGCCCGUGCAUGAGAAGUAGGAGCUACAACUUUUUGGGAUGAUAGCCGACACUAGUUGAUGGGAGAUCUUGCAUGAUAGACAUAGUGGGUCGAGUGUUUCUUUUUGGGGUUGUGGCCAAGUGUAGCUAAAAACCUUAGCCUUUCUUUUGAUGUACCGACCCAAGAAAAAUCCAUCAUGAAAAUAUGUAAAUAAAAGUGUCUGGGCUCUAUCUUUUCUUAUGAUGUUUAGUGGUGUGCAAUUGUAUCAUGGUUGUUGGAGGGAGAGAUGGCGAAAUUAAAUUUUGCUUCCGCUAAUGAGUCGCGUUAGGACUGUUUUCAAAAAAAAAAAAGUCUAUGAACUUCGACGCUUCUACUAGGAGAUGUAUCUAGUGUUCCAUUAGGUGCCUAUGGCUCACAAAGGAGGUUCGGGGUGUCACACAAAUCCUUCAUGAGAGUUGAAAUACAUGAUACAUAUGUUCAAUUGAUGCAUGCUUUGCAAAUUUUUUACGAUGGCAAGUAAGUCAAUUGUGUGAAUUGAGGUUAAAAUGUGCUACAUCAAUACAUAAUCUAAUUGUCCAUCUCUAUUUUGUCAUUUUUGUUGUGAUUCAUGCGAUCAUAUUUAGGUUUUUAAUCCUUAAUGAGAAAAGUUCCAACAUUAUAUCUUCUAUGUGUAGAAUUUUUCGUAAGAUUUUUGCACGUCUUGAGAUGAUUGAAAUUGUGCGCAUUCUGUGAAAUCGAUGCUUAAAUGAAAUCUUGCCAUUUAUGGAUCUUACCAUGCUUAUUUGAGACAUUUAGAGACUAAAUUUUGAGAUAAUGUUUUCUUGACACUUAAACCUCAUGUUAUAAGGUUUGAGUACAUGUUCGCAUCAUUACAUUUGAGUGUCAUUUUGCAUGUUAAUUUAUGCCGCAAGAGCAUAUGUUCAUCAUGAAACUCUCAAGCAUUUCAUCAUGAAUGUUGAGUCAUCUUGUUUUUUCAUUGAAUUGUAUGACAUCUUCUCAUGCCGACUUAGGGUUAGAUGAUUAUCCAAAUUGUUUAUGCAUCUAAUUCUAAGUCACAUGUGAUCUUUUCAUGCCAUUUGUACAUUACUUGAAUGAUUUUUUAGAUUUAUUAAUGCAUGUUUGUGUUCUGAUUUUUAGUUACCGAUAUGCGCACCUUUUGAAAUCUUGAUCUUAGAGCACCUAAUUGACCUACUUUGGACUCAAACCUUUUUAGAAAGUCAAAAAGCACACUUAGAAGUUUCCAAUGCCACUAAUUUCAUACCAAUCGCUCAUCGUUUGGGCCACUUUCCAUUUUUUCAAAAUUAGAUCAGAAUCUAGACAUAAGAUCAAAUUCGGACCCCUGUUGUAACCUCUGUUUGAACAGACAUUUGACAUUUUUGUUCUAUUUUUUCUAUUACGAUUUUGCACUUGACCUCUUAAUAAAACUUGUUCAUCAACAUAUUGGCUGUGUUAUGUGAAAAUUUGAUGAUUUUUAGACUUGUUUUGAUAGGUCAAACCUUGUGAUAUUGGCUAAGUGUCUUGCUAAUUUGACAAAUUUCUAACAUGCUAUAGCUUGUUGUCUGAUUUUUGUAAAAUUGUAUGUAACUUGUUUAGGAAAUUUUCUUUCAAAAAAUUUGUUCAUUACAUGUCGUACAUACUAGGAAAUUUUUCCAUAGUUAGAUUGUCAAUGGGUAUUAUUCAAUUUUGUUGUCUUUACACGCUUGUUCUAAAAUUUCCUAAUAUAAACAUGAUUGUGAUUGUUUAGUUAUACUUUUUAGGUUAGUUUGUGCAUGAAAAUAGGCCAUGCCAUCUUCAUGGAAGCUGUUCCAAAUGUUUUGAUCUUUGUUAUUAAACAAUUGGCAUUUUCAAAUUGUAUUUUUCAAAAAUACUUUGGUACAUGUGAUGUUUCCCAAAAACAAUUGGUUAAGAAAGUUUUUCUCCAAAACUCGAGUUGGCUUAAGAAAAAGUCGUGGUUUGAACCAUAUUCAAAAUGCCUGCGAUGCUUGUGAGUGUAUUUAUGCGAGCCCCAGGCUAGCCUUGGCAAUUGAAUGUGUUCCAUAGCCUAGAUAUUCCUUAAUCCUAAAUAUUUUCAAACCUUUUUAAAAUCCUAAUUUGACAUUAUGAAAGUCACGGUUUGAAUUGUAUUCAAAAUGCCUACAAUACUUGUGAAUGCAUUUAUGCAAACCCCAGGCUAGCCUUAGCAAUUGAAUGACUUUCAUAGCUAAGACAUCAUUUUGUCUCAAAUUUUUUCAUGAAUGAUUUCAAAAUAUGUUUUUGAUUAGGAUAUGACUUUGGUAAUAAGUGAUCCACCAAUGGCUCACUCAUCUGUUUGAUUGGUUGAGAAACAAGGUUCAAAAGACCUACAUGCAUGUUUAAAUUUCUGCAAUGCAUGUGGCUUUUAGAUAAAUGGUAGGGUCGAUGCAUGAUAUCAAGAGAAAACCCUAGGAUCACAUAGAUCACUUAGUUAGGAGAUUUAUAAGUGUUAUUGGUCAUGCGAGAACACAAUUGGUCAACAAUUACUAUAAGUCACAAAAAUGGAUUGGGUGAGUGUCUUAGUGGGACCCUCGCAUGAAAGACAAGGGCCAACCCCGAGACCCCAAAAUUUGACUUUUGCAUUGAACUUUCUUCACAUGAAGUCGUGUUUUUAACUGUUUUGACGUGUAUGCUUAUUUCUUUCUAUUGUAUGAUUUUUUAGACUAAAUUUAGAUUAGGACCCCCAAGAUGGAGAAAGCGUGAAGACAGUGGAGGUCGACAUCCAUUCCGACCAUUAUCAUGUAUUAGUCAUUCCCCUAACAUAUAUCUCAGGUUUCAUUUGUUGUAUAAAGCCCGACAAGUUAUGGGUUUUCUCUCUUCCUCUCAUCUUUUUUGAUUGUGUUUCUUUUUUAUAUUUUCUAGGAUUGCAUGGUAAAUUUACUGCUUUCCUUGACUAUUUACUUGUUGUCUCGUAAUUUCAAUUCCAUUGAUUGCUUUCUUUUCUUAUUUUCUAGAAAUAGAAUAGUAUGAAAAUGACCCACCACACAUGAUCACUUAGUCUAGUACUAAUGAUCCCAAAAAUGUAAGAAGAAAUGUGUGGACACGUUAGGAAAAUACAACAUACUAUUUAGGUGCCGAAAGGGUUCUAAUAGAAAUAUUAGCGUAACCCAAGUCCCUAAACCUAGAUAAUGAUUGUGUAAGAAUCAAGGGAAUACUCACAAUCCUCGAUUGUGUUUUCUAGCCAACCCCUAAAAUGAGACUAGUGGCAACUCUCAUCUUACUUUUAGGUUUUCAUAAACAACUAGACCAUAUAAAUAAACCCAUCGAGCAGGUUACGAGUUUCGAUGAAACUCACCAUGGUUUAGCAUACUCGAUAUUGGAGUACCUCAAAGGAUGAAGCAAUGUCAUCCUUAUGGGUGAAGCGCACUAUCAAGAGAGCUACCAUGGUAAAUGUACCCUUAAAUCUAAUAUCCACACCCGAUCUUUUCUCCCAAGGUGUGUCGCUCAUGUGGAUAUGGAUCACGACACUCCGCUAUCACAUAAGGUACGAGCUUUGUGACAUCCCGAAAUUUGGCCCCGUUUUGAAUAUACGAAAUGGUUAUUUCGUCAACGCGCUUAUGGUUAUUUUACUUGGAGCUAGCCAAUCAUAAGUUAACUGAUAUAUUAGGCGAAGCCUUUAAGGGAUAUAAAUGCAGCAAACUAGAGAAUUCAAUUGGAAAUCGACCGCUCGACCAUAAUAAUCAGCAAGGGUCAAUACAAUACCGUUAUAAAUCAAUUUGCGGACAGAUAUAGUUCAAUUUGAUGGAAUCACGUAGUUGAAUUGCGGGUGGUUCCGCACAAUUGCGAUAUUCGCGUCAAAUGGCAAUAAACUAAUUUUCUAUCGAUAUUAUAUUCAGGACACGUAAUUGAAACCCCAUGAUUAUGUGACAACCAAGGGUUGUCUAUGAUUCGGAGAUCCACAAACGUGGAUCGAAAAUUAUCGACCACGGGUCAAACGCACUAAAAUCCCUAAAAGUUACCCAAUAGGUUAAGUCCUACUAAAGACGCGUUCGAUCAAUUUUAACCAUAAAAUUAAAUUCGAUUUUGAGAAUCGGACAUUCGAUCGUAUUACGAUUUAUUUAUUGGACGUCAUCUCAUCUUUUGGCGAAUUUUCGUCGAGUGCGAAAUUUUGCGGAGAAUCUGUUUUCAGACAAAAAGAAAAAGAAAAGUGAAAUUCGGAUUAAGAAUAAAAAUGGGAAUUUGCUGCCCAAAAAUGAUUUAUUUGGGGGAAAUGAGAGCUAAAUGGUGAUUGGAUGACCAUGAGACUAUAGGGGCAUGAAGACUUUGGGGGCAAGGUGAUGAUGAAUUAGAUAUUCUUACUAAGUUCUCAUUGGCUAGCCUUUCCCUUUCAUUUUCUCUCUCUCUCUCCCAUUUCUCUCCUCUCCCAUGCAUGUUUCUCCCCCCCCCCCCUCCCUCUCUCUGCCAAAGCAGCCCAUUUCCUCUCCAUCUCCUUUUCUUCCUUUCUUCUUUCAUUCUCCCCUCAUGUUCUUUCUUUCCCCCACCACCAGCGAACCCAUCCCAAGCCACCAUCCAGCGCCAUCUUCCCCCCCCCCUGAAGGCCGGGGCAACACAUUUAAAAAGUUCCCCCACUAGCUACCCUCNNNNNNNNNNNNNNNNNNNNNNNNNNNNNNNNNNNNNNNNNNNNNNNNNNNNNNNNNNNNNNNNNNNNNNNNNNNNNNNNNNNNNNNNNNNNNNNNNNNNNNNNNNNNNNNNNNNNNNNNNNNNNNNNNNNNNNNNNNNNNNNNNNNNNNNNNNNNNNNNNNNNNNNNNNNNNNNNNNNNNNNNNNNNNNNNNNNNNNNNNNNNNNNNNNNNNNNNNNNNNNNNNNNNNNNNNNNNNNNNNNNNNNNNNNNNNNNNNNNNNNNNNNNNNNNNNNNNNNNNNNNNNNNNNNNNNNNNNNNNNNNNNNNNNNNNNNNNNNNNNNNNNNNNNNNNNNNNNNNNNNNNNNNNNNNNNNNNNNNNNNNNNNNNNNNNNNNNNNNNNNNNNNNNNNNNNNNNNNNNNNNNNNNNNNNNNNNNNNNNNNNNNNNNNNNNNNNNNNNNNNNNNNNNNNNNNNNNNNNNNNNNNNNNNNNNNNNNNNNNNNNNNNNNNNNNNNNNNNNNNNNNNNNNNNNNNNNNNNNNNNNNNNNNNNNNNNNNNNNNNNNNNNNNNNNNNNNNNNNNNNNNNNNNNNNNNNNNNNNNNNNNNNNNNNNNNNNNNNNNNNNNNNNNNNNNNNNNNNNNNNNNNNNNNNNNNNNNNNNNNNNNNNNNNNNNNNNNNNNNNNNNNNNNNNNNNNNNNNNNNNNNNNNNNNNNNNNNNNNNNNNNNNNNNNNNNNNNNNNNNNNNNNNNNNNNNNNNNNNNNNNNNNNNNNNNNNNNNNNNNNNNNNNNNNNNNNNNNNNNNNNNNNNNNNNNNNNNNNNNNNNNNNNNNNNNNNNNNNNNNNNNNNNNNNNNNNNNNNNNNNNNNNNNNNNNNNNNNNNNNNNNNNNNNNNNNNNNNNNNNNNNNNNNNNNNNNNNNNNNNNNNNNNNNNNNNNNNNNNNNNNNNNNNNNNNNNNNNNNNNNNNNNNNNNNNNNNNNNNNNNNNNNNNNNNNNNNNNNNNNNNNNNNNNNNNNNNNNNNNNNNNNNNNNNNNNNNNNNNNNNNNNNNNNNNNNNNNNNNNNNNNNNNNNNNNNNNNNNNNNNNNNNNNNNNNNNNNNNNNNNNNNNNNNNNNNNNNNNNNNNNNNNNNNNNNNNNNNNNNNNNNNNNNNNNNNNNNNNNNNNNNNNNNNNNNNNNNNNNNNNNNNNNNNNNNNNNNNNNNNNNNNNNNNNNNNNNNNNNNNNNNNNNNNNNNNNNNNNNNNNNNNNNNNNNNNNNNNNNNNNNNNNNNNNNNNNNNNNNNNNNNNNNNNNNNNNNNNNNNNNNNNNNNNNNNNNNNNNNNNNNNNNNNNNNNNNNNNNNNNNNNNNNNNNNNNNNNNNNNNNNNNNNNNNNNNNNNNNNNNNNNNNNNNNNNNNNNNNNNNNNNNNNNNNNNNNNNNNNNNNNNNNNNNNNNNNNNNNNNNNNNNNNNNNNNNNAAUGCUAAUGAGGAUUAGUUUUAGUUAAUCCUAGAUUAGUGUUAACUAAGUUUUGUUAGGUUAGUUAACCAUGGUUAGGUUAAUUAAUCAUGGUUAGGUUAAUGCUCAAAGGAGCUAAGUCUGGAUUUCUCUUCAAAUCUGUUUACUGGACACUCACUGUUUGCUAUUUUCGUUGGUUAAAAUGUGCUACGAUUUUGAGGUUUCUUCCUACCUUGAAAAAUUUUCUAAACAUCUUCAUUUAUGACAUAUAUUUUACUCAAGAUUUUUUUGGAUUUAAAAGAAUAAUAUUUCAGCUUUGUUGCAUGCAAGGAAAAAUCUCAUUUUGUGUUGGAACCUGUAACCUUUUGGUAUUUAAAGGAUUUUUAUUAACUCUUAGAAUUCGAUUUUCAGAAUGGUUUCUUCACAAACAUUUUUCAUCACAUCUUGAAGUUUAACAUAGUCAAAUUCAGAGCAAACGGACAAGUUUUGUACUUCAAACCAAGCUGGUUUUGGAAAACAUAAUUUCUAGACACGGACACAGUUUUGGUAAUGAUUUGAGCAAUUUAUUGCUCCUAUUCUAGAAAUAUCUGGGUCAAGGUGUCUUGCAUAAAAAGUGUUUGUUUAAGUGUCUUUUAUGACAUAUUUAAAUUUGAGGAUUUUCUGAACUUGUUUAGUUAUGUUUCUGGAAUUAAUCUUGGAGACGUGCAAGUGGACUCGGUUUCCGCCAGUGAGGGCCGAUUGUGGUCUUGUGGUUAUUCUUGGUGUCUUGCUUGCUGGAAAAUGUACAUUUUGUGAUUUUGUUGAUUUUUGGCAUGCUGAAAACUUAUGCGUGAUUUUGAUCGCUUGUACGUGUGUUUUUGUGAGAUAAAUUACUCUAUGGUUGGUUCCAAUUUUUAUGUCAAAAGACGGCUUUAUAAGCUUUUAAAUAGAAAAACAAUGAGGUGUCAGGUUUAAUCGCCGAAACUUAUUUGUUCAAUAAAACAAUGACGUUUUAAACUAAGUGCGUACAAAGUUUGAAGGGAUAAUUUUGAGUAUGGGAACAUGUACAAAUUUCUUUUCAAAAGUUUUAAAGAAAAAAAAAUGAGGUUACCAAAGAUUGUUUUCAAAAAGGGUGAUUGGACCAAGAAAUAGAAAAGAAAUAUGGUGUCGGCUUUGGACGCCAAGUUUUAUGUGCUCAAUAAAACCAUGAGGUUUCAAACUAGAUGCAUGCAAAGUUUCACAGGUUGAUUUCAAAUACAUGACCCAGUACGAAUUUAUUUCAGAAAGUUUUGAUCAAAAAAAAAAGGAGUUGCAAGGUUUAUUAUUUGAAAAGAGAUUUUGGUUUUCUUGGCUAAAUAACGGAAAUAAAAGCUGGUUUGAUUGAUGACGUGCUUGCAUGGUCACUUAAUGGAACCCGUCACCCAACCGGAGUUUGGGGGCGAUGUCCGAUAUUUAUUGGAUGCCUGGCGGGGGUCUGGAAGCCAAGUCGCGGUUGAGGCCGAACCGAUGCUUCUUUAUGGAAUGCCACUUAGCUGAGAGUUCUAGACAUUGCCAUGCCCGACGGGGCAGGACGAUGCCCGAUUACGCCGGAUGACCACCAACUUUUGAGUUGGCCGUGGCCCGAGGGGUAGUAAUAAUUGGAACACGUGUGAAUGAUUGUGUUGUAUUGCAUUUGAUUAUAAGGCAAAAUUGUUAGGCAUGGUAUGGGAUGUGCCAAAACGAUUUUACCUUAUAAUCGAGACCCGUGUGAGUGCUUAGAGAAUGAGAAUUACGUGUUUUGGUUAUUGAUUAUGCUUGUUAUACUUAUAAUGGCAUAUGUGAUGCACCAAUAUGCAAGGACGUGCCAAGGCAAGGUGAGUUUAUUUGUGGUGCCUGUUUAGGCUGCCUCCGAGGCGAAUUUGCAUCCUAAUCAAGAUUUAGGGAUUUAACUCGCUGAGAUUUAUCUCACUCCGUCGUGGUUAAACAUUUUCAAGGCCAUAGCGUGGAGAUCUGCUAAGUGCGGAUGUGGUGGGCGCGAGAUGCGACACCUUUUGGCUGGCCCUGCCAUGAGUGGAGUUUAGGUUAACCCUAGUCCCCGAAGGUUUUUGAAAAGGGUCAAUAGGAAGUGGCCGUAGAAGGGCUUGUAAGUAUUAAACUCCUUGGGUUAACCAGUCAAUAUGGAAAUCAUUGUUUUUGGGGAAAUUGUUCCUAGUAUUUACUAUCCCUAUGUUUGUUUGUUGACCAAGGGUUUAUUUAAUUUGCUUCUGCAUGCAUAUAAUCGAAAGGUAAAAAAAUAAUAAUAAGUCAGCGCCGCUUCCUGGGACGUCACAUUCUCAAUCGACCGCAAAGGGAUGUUCGCGUGCUCAGGGUUCAGGGCGUGACAAGCUUGGGAGAGCUCAUGAUCUCAUGAAGGGAACUUGUGAAAUGCUUGAUCUGAAAGGCAAGGUGAUGACGUCUUUUAGAGCGUGAGCCGUGAGGGAACUCUCGUGAUCAAGUACCCCUAAAUCCGACAUUUCCCCCUUUUCUCUCCUCGUGAUAGUGAGGGAUCGAAGGCAGCAAGAUCAGGUCGCGACACCCGAAAGAGGGGUCCAAAUCAAGGAUGUCACAAUAAAGGUAGAUUGAUAUAUCAUGAACAAAAUCGCCAAAGGAUUACAACAAAGAUAUCUUUAAUUGCAAGAAAUUAGUUGAGGCUAGAAACAAUUCGAUGGCUUCGUCCAGUUUUGUGAGCAUUAUAAAGUGAGUUUGCACCUUCUCCUUUCUUUCUUUCUUUAUCACCUAUUUUCUUGAUGGAUAGCAAAGAUCACCUACUUCUACCAUUGUUUGCUUACUCCCAUCUCUGUCACUUAUACAUAGUAAACAUUUUAUGUGUUAAUAUAAUCCAGCAUUGCUUGUCUACAAGUUUAUAUGUGCCUUGUAUAUAGUUAUGUAGUCUCUCUUUAUCUAAUAAUUUAUUUUAAUAUAGUUUUCACAACCUCCUCAUUUCAAGUCGAGCGAAAGGGGUAUAGUUAUGAGGUAUCGCUCAAACGCAGGCUACACAAGCUCUCGCAAAUCCAUGCCUCACAAGAUGUUGGACUUUUUUCUAAGUUCGAUUCUACCUAAGAGUUCUAUGAGUCACUACUAGCCUUUUAGGGUCAGUUAGAAACCAAAUGAAAUAUGGGAGCUUGUCUUAUUUCCUCCACAACUAGAGUUUCUAGGUUCAAGGGCUUGAUUAUGCUAAUAACCUAAUUAGUGCCCUCUCAGUACUUCUAACUUGGUGAGAUGUUCACCUAAGUGGUCAAGCAUGUUUUUUUUAUCAAUUAUGAACCCUAAAAGUUUUGAUGUUGCUACAUGGUCAUGGAAUGUUCUUUUUGGGUUUUAUUAUGAUCCUAAAAGGUUGUCCUAACCAUUCUAGAAAGGAAAAGAAACAAACAAUUUAUUGAAAGUGUGGUUAUCCAAACACCAAAGUAUUAAAUGCUUGAAAUAUAGUAUUGAAAUGAUAAUCUGAUACUCGUCAGGCAAAAAAUAUACAUGGCUAUGUUAUAAGUUUCAGGACAUGAACAACCAAAAGCUUGACCCAAUACUAUGUAUUGCAAAUAAUACACAUAGCCUUGUUGUAAGGCUUGAGACAUGAACCCUCAUAUCCUAGAGGUUAAUCAUAAUCCCUAAAAAUUGAGCUAGAUUGGGGCGAGCCUAAAGUCUACUCAUUUUAUUAGAAAUGAUGAUACUAAAGUAGACUAAACCAUGCAUUCAUUAACAAGAGUAAUGCUAAGUCUAAUUUGAUUUUUAUUUGAUAACUAGAACCUAAGCCGGUUUGAUUAUUAACUCCUAAGUUUAUUAAUUAAGAUUGCAUAAUUAACAUUAAGCUGAAGUAAGCUAAGCUGAGCUAAAUGCCAUCUCGGACUACUUUGAUGAACUCUCACCCUCUAGUCUCUAUUGUUGGUUCCAUUCAAACAUUCUAUCAAGCAAUCACCCCGAUCAAGGAAUUCAAGUUCGACCCAAGAAUUUGAUGUCGAACAUGCUAUUCGAUUACCCAUCCACCUCAUAGAAAUUAGGAAUUGAUUAAUUAAUAUUAAUUGGAUAUUAAACUUCACUUGCAUUAAAGCGGUAGGCUAAGUCACUAACCCCUAAUUAAGGAAUAGUCCACAUUCUUAAACUACUAGCUAAAGUGAUGCAUCUCUAAACGGAAUCGAGCCUAGCAUACAUCUUAUCAACCACAAGUAGGGUUAACUAGGCAUGUAAUUAGGUUCAUUAACCUUAGAAGCCACAAAAGCAAUUAGAAACCCAAGAGGAUAACUUCUCUGUUUCCCUUUGAUUCUUGCUAAUAAUGUUUUAAUCCAAUUAGGGGCCUUAAUGAACUCUGAUUUUAGAAAUUCCAAAGGCUAAUAAGAGCUUAAGAAGUCUAGUUUAACUCUUAAUAAGAUCACCAUUUUCCUAAUUGUGACCCAAUCAAUACAUUUUAUUUAAGGGGUAAGUGCGUAUAAAGUCCUAAAAUUUGUUACGAAAAUAUAAUUGAGUCCUAAAAUUUUCAAAGAGUGCAAUAAGUCCUAAAACUUGUCACGAAAUUACACUUUAAUCCUAAAAUUUUCAAGAAGUGUGAUCAACGGAAUGACUUGAUUGAAUCAAUUUGACAAGUUUUAGGAUUUGAUUAUACUUUUUGAAAGUUUUAAAACUUAAUUGUACUUUUGUAAUAAGUUUUAUGACUUAAUUGCAUUUUAGUGAUAAGUUUUGGGGCUUUUAAUACACUUAUCCCUUUAUUCAAUUAAGACCCACUACACCAAAUUAUCUCCUGUCCUGACCCGAUUCUUGUAAAAUAAAAGAAAAAUAGUAAACAAACUCAAAAUGGCGCCAAAUUUCAUGGACAGCUAGCUUAAGAAGCAUUCUACAAUUUUAAGUUUCGAUUGUUUGCGAUCUAGAAUCACCCUAACAACUUUAUUUUUUUGAUUUUUUUUGUAAAAAAAGUCUUCCAAAUUUUUCAAAAUUGCAAAAGACAUGUCAGGUUGAUACUAGAAAUUUUCACAAAUCAAACACUACUUUGACACUUUGAUCAAAGUUUUGACAGGCUAAAUAAAUUCCAAGUUUUCUAUGAUCUUUUAUCAUUGGAAAGUUACGGAUGUCUAGUUUAAUUCACCUGAAGAUAAUUUUUCCUAAUUCAUUUUAGAUUUUUUCCUAAGAUAAAUGGACAUGCAAAGGUUAUUCAGAGUCCGAUUUUUACAGAAAAUCCUUCUCAUCUUUAAACACAUUCAAGCAUCUUCAAUCUAUAUUGUAAGCAUAUUUCUAGUCUUAGAGCAUCUUCAAACUCACUCUAAUGGAUAUUCAAUAUAUAUUCAAAUAUUCCAACUCACAAUGACCAUCAAAAUCAUUAACAACUCAUGAGAAUUCGAAGAAAACAUCAUCAAGAUCAACUAGACUUAAUCCUAAACAACAUUCAUCUAACAUAUAUCAAACUUAGGGCUAAUGAACAUGCAAACGAACAUCAAAAAAAGAGUCCUAUGAGUUUUGGCUAACAAGGAUUUGAUGAGGAAUUGAGCAUGCAAAUCUUCAAUUGAAGUUAGACUAAGCUUAAUUCCUAAGGUAUUCUAAUUAAACAUCAAAAUCUAAUCAAAUCAACCUUCUCUCUUUAACAAUCCAUAUUAAUGCUCAUAUAGAAUCAUUCGGCCAAGUGGGAAUUAAAUUCAUAGGAUGAUUUUACAUGCAAUUGUCUUUGAAUUAGUUUGAUCAAUUAUCGACUAAUCAAUUUCCUCACAUUCUACUUGAUUAUUAACUAUACGUUGAAGCUAUGCUUCAAUUUUCAAGUAUAAAUGAAAUUAAGGAUCAUGAAUGAUACUAUGAAAUUAAAACAAGAGAUUAUUGCUCCUACCCUUGAUAAUAACUUCCAGCAACAAUUAUGGAUAGCAACCACCAAGGGCAGCUCAAGGAUACGUCGUAAGAGUCAGUUGCAAGGCUUGGCCGGCAGGAGAAGGACGGCAAUCAGCCAAAAUCCAGCCCAUUAAGAGAGAGAGAGAGAGAGAGAGAGAUUUUAUGUAACUGUGUUUUCUUAGCUUAGGGAGAGUGUUCUUGUGACAUCCUCAUUCCGACCUGGUUUUUCAAAAAGGAAUUGUUUCGGCAAGCAAUCUUCGAACGAGAUUGUCUAAAGGAUCGUUAGAUGACAAGAACAUCAGAAAAGGCCAUUAAGGGGCAAAAACUCAAUUUUUCAUCAACAAUGACAUACGAGUACAGAAAAGUGGAAAUGGGCCAUGGAUAGGGACCCAAUGGGCUCGAGCAUAAAUGGGUGGCCCAAUGCCCACAUGCCCAAGGGGUGAGCGGCCAAGGGAGGCCCAUGGGCCUUUCAAGCCCAUCAAGUUCUCUAAUGACAAGAUCUUGGCAUUAAAUGCAUGAAAGGAUGUGAAUAGUGCAAGAUCUUGUGGAAAUGACCAAAAUGCCCUCCCUUUGGACUAAGGACAAAAGGGCAAAAAUGGAAAUUGGACUUGGAAAAGGCAGCUAUGCAUGGAGUGGGCGGCAAUUUUAAGUUUGAAGACCCACCUAACCUAGUCUAGUCUAAUCCUAACUACUUGAGUGCAAUCCAUCUUCUAUUAAUGCUAGAUCUUGCUUCUAAUUUAAGCCACCUUGAUUGACAUGAGCCAAGAAAAGUGAUGGAUAUUAAUUGAGACUCGACAUCACUCUCUCUCCUCUCUUCCUCUUCCUCACCGUUGGCCACUCCCUUCACUCUCACUUUCUCUCAUUUUGCUCACUUAAAACUCUCACACACACACACACACACACUCUAUCUCUUAGUGACCAAAACCCCUUAGCCCACUUCAUCUUCAUCUCAAGCUUGUUCUUCACUUGUUUCCUCUUGUUUUCCUCGCUAGCAAUCGUCCGUCGAACCCCUGACGCUAGACCACCCUUUGGGCCGUCGAACCACCACUCAAAGUCAACCAACCGACCUCCUCAAGGGCUAUUCAAUGCUAUGAAGCCCUCACUGCAGCUCCCUCUCACUCAUUUCUCCUCCGAUCUAGUAAACCCAGAGGUCGUGCCAACGCCGAGCCGCUAUUGGACCACUACCGAGCUGCCAUCGCAGCCGUGACUAUAACAACCCCAACUCCAUCUCUAGAGUCACAAGCGACAAAAGUUAUUUUCGCAACGUCUUAGGCUUGUUGUCGUCCUAAUUCUUUUUAGCUUGUAUCAUGCACAUGUGAAAACAUGAAUAAACAACUCCUUAGACAAACAACAACUGGAAGACUGGGACAUAUAUCACACAAAACAUACUGAUUUAUAUUAUAACUACUUUUACAAGCCCUUUCUCUACGGGCCAUCUUUUCUUUUUACAUCACAGUACAAGUUUUCCAUACACGCCAAGGGAAAUCCUAUCUCCUCUAACGUGACUAUAGCUCCUAAAACUAAUGUGAGACUUCCAUGCCUAUAAGACUGAAAGAUGAGGGUGAGUUUUGGGGAAACUCAGUAAGUAGAAUUCCUAGUUCUCUACUAGGAAAAUAUCUUAACAUCAAAACAUAGCAAAUACAGCACUCGCAAACAGUGUCGAUGGUAGAUCAAUCGCAAGUCUAUUGCUACCUCUUGACUAUCUGUAUGUGAUCUACUUUCAACUUACCAAAUAAAUCAUUUCACCAAACAAGCUUAUCAACAGCACAUAGUAUCAUGUUCAAUAAGUUCAUUAGCCGUAUAAACGAUUCUUCCCAUACUCUCAGGGGCUUCUAGUCGUGGGCUAGGCAUCCGGCCUCAGGCCAAGCAUCCCGUACUUUCAAGAGCUUCCCACACUUUCAAGGGCUUUCUAGCUCAACCAGUACAUCCAGCCAUCAAGUCAAGCAUCUCAUACUUUCAAGGGCUUCCUAGCUCAACCAAGACAUCCCGUUUAGUGAAUGAGGCAUCGCCGCCAAUGCUGUGUGGCGAUGGGUGCUUUUUCCUCUUUAAGUGCAUGCAUAUAUGCAUCAUACAAGCCGGUUCUUAUCUUUUCUCUUGACCAACACGUGCAUGGCCCAAAAGCGUGCUCAUUCAUUCAUGUAUGCCAUGAGUUCUUGUACUACUCUAAUAAACAUGCCGGGAAUGAUCCUUGGUCCGUAACCUGAACCGAUCACUUAGCAUCGAUCUCCACACUAGACAAGGCUUGGAAACAGCACGCCUCAAUGCUGAUCCGUGACCUUGAGGCUUGGAUACAUCUCGCUUAAGUAAAGAUCCUAAGCUUGAGGGACCUUGGUUCGACCCGAUGUGAACAUACCACGUACCAUGAAUGAUCUUCGGCUCUUGGUUUGAUUCAACAUCAAGCGCAAGGUCUCCGCACCAAACUAAACCUUAGAAUAAGCACCCUUUUGUACCUUGCCAAGAUCUCGUGGAUUUGGGUGAUUCCCAUACCGAUCAAGGUUUAGAAUCGGCAUGCCUCAAUGUCAAUCUAGGACCUUACAGCCUUGGGCAAUCCCCGCACCAAGCGAGAUUUGGAACCAGUACAUGAUUUAAGCCGAUUCAAGGCCUUAAUGGUUGGGACGGCCUUGCCUUGCAAUGAACUCAAUCCGAGCGAACCUCGACUUCAUUUCUGGAUGUACAUGACACAAGCACACUACCAAACAUAGUUGCAAGUAAAACCAAACAAAAUACAUCACACACCACCCACAGCUUGACAGGUGAGCACUUAGCUAGCCUUAACAACGAAAAUCUACCUUCCAAGAGGAGAAAGAGGAACCUUACUUACCUUGGCAAACCUCAAGAACUAGCUUGGAUAACUUGAUGGGGUGAUGGUGCAAGGCCAAGAGAAAGGGGAGAAUGGUGUGUGAAUGGCAUGUGAAUGGCAAAGGGAUUCCAAUGAUGGAAAUGAAUGGGGCCUCCAUCUAGUUAUAGGCACCAACCUCAUCAUUACUCAUCCAAGCGGUCCAAUCACGUUUCUUAGAGUGGCACAGCUAUGGCAUCAAGGUGGCAAGCCUAUUUUGCAAGGUGGCACGCCUAGGAUCCUAAGAGAACACCUGUCAUCUUCUUAUUGGACCACCUAUUAGCUUGCUCUCCAAGGCUCAAUAUAGGCUAAUGAUGUGCCUAUGGUCCUAAGGGACACAUAAGUCCAUUUGAUGCCUAAUGUCCUCUCUUGAUUGGUUGGUCUUUGCCUUAUUCACCAAGGCUAUCUUCUAAGCUCAUCAUAACCUAUGAUUCUAGAGGACACCUAAGCUUAUGAGUCACCAACUUCUUCUCCAAGGCAAAUCUCAAGCCAUCAUCACCAAGCCAAAUGGCACUCUAAUUUUUCCAAGUGUCCCGUCUAAAGUCCUUAGUUGGCAAGCCUACUUGUCCAUAAUAGCGCUACGAAUGAGUUGAACAACUAAAAGGUCACACUGGAUAAUCUAGCUGUAGGCAUCAUCGAUAGUGGCUUGCUUUUCACUCUUCCAUUGGUCCACCUAUAUUCCACAUCUAAUGAGCAUUUAAUAAAGUUUGGAUAAGAUGCCAUCAAAGUUGCCAACUCGGCAUCUAGAUUCCUUAGUCAUUAAUGAGGGGUAUGGGUUUCGCUCUCCAAUUGGUCCAUGUGUACACCACCCCUUUCUUGCCCAUCAAGGAUAUCUAUAACUUCAUCAUUACUUUGGAAUAGUCAAAGGACACAUCACCCACUUCAUUAAUGAGGAUGUCCUAGAAUUUUCUUCACUUUUGUCAUUUUCUUCCUCAAGAAGGUGAUCUAGAAAAUUCUAUUAUCCAAGUUGGUUCCAGGUCGAAAAAACACGUACACUCGAGGUUCGACCAUCACGCCCCAUAUUCGCCCAAACCAUCCCCUUGAAGGGUUGGUCGACCUAGGGGGUUGGCAUUGGUCGGCACCUUGGCUAGACCUUCAGUUGGCACGACUAUGUCCGUCUAGGUCCAGACUAGCCCUCGAGUUGGUCCCUAGCCUCUCGUCGAACUUGCCAUAAUUGUUUCCUUUAUUUUUCAUCAUUGGUCCUUCGAUCGGUUCAAGACCAAUCCUAAGGCUAUCUGUGACAUCUUGAUUUUCAACCAUGCUUUCAACUAAAUGAAAUGGGCUUUUCAUCAACGCGCAUAUAGUCUUUUUCUCUAAGCUGAUCACUCACAAGAUAACUAAUCUAUCAGGUGAAGCCGUUAAGAAAUAUAAACAUGACUGACUUGAGAAUUCAAUCAGAAAUCGAGUGCUCGACCGUGCUAAUCUGCAAGAGUCAAUACAACACCAUCAAAAUCAAUUAGAGACUAAAGAUAGGUCAACUCGACAAAGACAUGUAAUUAAAGUGUGAGUGAUUCCACAUGAUUGCAAAAUUCUUGUCGAACAGUACUAAACCGAUUUUUCUGUCAUUUAUGUACCCUGUGUCUGUAUUUGAAACAUUGAGAUUUUUACGACAACCGAGGGUCACCAAUGAGUCAAAGAUGUACAAUGUGGAUCGAAAAUAAUCGACCACAGGUCAAUUGCGCUAAAAAUUCCUAAAAGCUACCCAGUAAGUUAAGUCACGCUAAAAUCGCAUCCAGUUGAAAUUAACCACAAAAUUGAACCCAAUUUCAGGAAUCAAAAAUUCUGGCAUGUCACGAUAUAUUUUAUGAACAUCAACUCAUCCUUCAAAGAAUUUUCAGCAAGUCCGAAUUUUCGGUGAAAAAUCAAAGUUAUGCAAUUUUGAACCAGUAAAUUCGGAUAGGCCAAAUUGGGUACACUUUUGGCCUUCAAGUUGAACUAAUUGGUGAGAAAAAUUGUAGAAUUGAGUGUGGGCUUCCUCCUUGGUAAAUUGGCCAUUGAAUUGAGGUCAAUUGUAGCGAAAUUAGAUUUAAUUAGAGAGGAUUGUGAAGAAAUUGAAGUUGGAAGCUUGAAAUUCGUAGCCAUGGAGGGGGGGCUGCAACAUUUCAGCAUCAUCCUUGGCUUCUUGGAGAAGAUUAGGGAGAGAAAAUUGGCUGUGGAUAUGGCUGAAGGCUGGUGGGUCGAUCACUUAAGUGUUUAUGAUAUUUUGGCAAGAGUUUGGUGGCCUUUGUCCCCCUUGAGGCAGCAGCUCUUUUUCUUCAGCAAUUUUUCUCCAUUUCCAGCAGCUAAACAUCUCCAUUUCAAAAGCAGAAAGCCAGCCACCACCCAUAGCAAACCGAACCAUCCCCUGCCGUCGACCGCCUAAGCCACUGCUGUCCGCUUGGUCGUCGAGCUGCCACCUGAGCUCCACCCGCGCGUCCUCGUGUCCGCACCUCCAACUCGAGCACCUGAGCCCAUCUCAGCUCUGUCCGCACCCUGGCAGCGGCUGUCACCGUCCGCCUCUGCCUAUCCAAGCCACCAUCGCGUCCCCAAGCUACCAAUAGCUCCGCCUGGCCCUGCCGUUCCAUUUCCGCGCUGUCCUAGCCGUUAAACCAGCUUCUCCAGCCCAAGUCAAAACCAAACUCUCAGCUUUGGGCUAAGAGCUUCGUGGGCCUUUUCCAGGCCCUUCCAAGCCUCAUUGGGUGUUGUCGUAGGCCUAUAUUUCACUCACCUCUACAUCGCCAUCGCCAUGAACUCAUCGGCUCACUCAUCCGAUGAUUUUACUUGCUAAACCUUUCUUAGGGGAGGUUUAGAUUAGCUUAAUCGAGAUUAAGGUAUUUAUUUAGCUUGUUUAGUUAUUUAGAUUAAUUAGUUAAGCUAAUUACAUGGUUAGAUUAGUUUAAUUAUGGGUUAAUUAAAUGAGGUGAUUUAAUUGGCAUAGUACAUUAUUUAUUUAAGGCUAAUAAGGUGGUUAGAUUAGUGUAUAUAGCUUAAUUAGUCAUUUAUUUAAUUAUUUUUGCAUUUAUUUAAUUAUUUUUGUAAUUUAUUUAAUUAUUUUUUAUUUUUUGAAAAUUAUAUUGGGAUAGUCGGUCAUCAGAAUUUUGUGCUGAUUGUCGUGGUGUAAUUGGUUUAUGCAAUUGAGUAUUAAAUUGUGCAAUUGUAUAAUGAUUGUUGAUUUUGAUUUUUUAUUUCAAAAUUAUGAAAUUUUGGUAUUUAAUUAGAAAAUAUCAAGUGUCAAGUUUUGACACCAAAAAUAUUUUUAUGUACUAUAUCAAAUAGUGGGAUUUUUAAAAGGAAUAAUAUCACUUUUUAUGGCUUAAUCUAACCAUGUACUCAUACACGAUUAUUUUACCAGGUGUUUUUAAUAUGAAGAAAAUAGGCCAAGCGUGUUAUUUUAAUUGAGGCAUUUGAAUGCAAAGCACAAUGUCCUUGUCUGGAAUUAGAUGUGCAUGUGAACGUUAUGAGAACCCCUCACGAGCGUUUACGCUGGGCGAUGCUCUUAUAUGAAAUUCCCUUGUCAAUUGAUGCCAGUCCCAGUAGAGGCUGGGUCAAUGCUCCUUCGGGAAUGCCGUUUAAAGGUAAACGUUGCCGUGCUCGAUGAGGCGAGACGAUGCCUAAUUAAGCCGGAAGACCGCCGAACGUCAAGUAGGCCGUGCCCAUGGGGCCAUAAUUNNNNNNNNNNNNNNNNNNNNNNNNNNNNNNNNNNNNNNNNNNNNNNNNNNNNNNNNNNNNNNNNNNNNNNNNNNNNNNNNNNNNNNNNNNNNNNNNNNNNNNNNNNNNNNNNNNNNNNNNNNNNNNNNNNNNNUGUUUGGAAUUGGCUUUGCAAAGGGCUUUGGGCUUCCAAAGAUACUUAGACAAAAGUUUGGGUGUUUAGGAACAACUUUCAAAUUCCCAUUAAGCCAAAGUUGGCCUUCUCAAGGCUGAAAGCCCAAGGCAGGUGUGAGGGUGCCUUGGGCUUUCAGCUUUUUCGGCAUACAAGAGGUACUGUUCAUUUUUUUAUUUUCUUCCAAAACCAUCCUCACUUACUCUUGAUUUUUCCGGUUUUUCCCUCGUCAUUGUACUGUUCAUCUUCUUCUCCUUUGAGGUUGGCUUUCCGGGUUGCUCGAAGUUGUGAUUGACCACCGAUGGCUCGGCAUGGUCGCGAUGGCCCAGGCGACCGUCUCUGAGGAGUGGUGCAACCGCCGCCCUGUCUGGGUCGCAACGAUCGCCGUGGGUCGCGGCGAGGUUUGGGUCGCGCGACCUCCCAUGACCUCACCGACCCAGAUCCAGGGGUGGCCAGGUCACGUGACCUCGCCACGACCUAGAGCCAGAGGCGACAAGGUCCUCCCACGACCUCGCCGCCCUAGAUCUAAGUCGCGGUGGGGUCGCCCAACGUUCAACAACCCUUGCCGCCCCAGAUCUGGGUCGCGAUGGGGUCAUCCGACAUCCGGCAGCCCUCACCACCCCAAAUCUGGGUCGCGGCUGUGGCAUCCCAAAAAUUCUUAACAACCUCUAGUUACAUUAAAGUCUAUGAAUAGGUGAUGGAAGUACCAUCAAGUUAUUUUAUGGCCAUUUAAUCCAUAAUUUGCAAUAAGAUAUAUGGCCUAGCUUUUAAGGGAUAAUUAUGUGAUAGGAAAGAAAAUUCUAUCAUUGGUCAUGUGCAUCAUAAAUUGGAACUUAGGGAUUUGUGACUAUAAGUUUAAUGGCCUUAUUAUUUAUGCAAUUAGAUAUUUAUUUAAAUGAUGAUUAAGAUAUAUUAUAAAAAUAAAAUAAAAUAAACUUGGGCCAUUUAAGUUUGGACCUAGGGCCCAAGUGAGAUGGGCCUAAAGUGGGCCAAGAGGCCCGGCCCAUGAAGCCCAUUGGGCUGCCGACGCAUGGCCUCCAAGUGUCUUCGGCAAAGGAGACACUUGUCUCCUUCUUAGGAAAAAAGAGGGGGUGCAUGCAAUAUAAAUACAACCAAAAAGAGAGAGAGAGAGAGAGAGAAAGGGAGAGAGAGAGAGUGGCAUUCGGCCAAGCCAAGUGAGAGAGAGUGAGUUGCGAGAGAGAAGAGGAAGCCGAUAGAGGAGGAGCUCGCCCAUCGCCGCCCGCACGCCGUUCGUCCGUCACCGGUGUGCCGUCCGUGUGGUCGUGUUUGCUCGGUCUUAGAGCCAAGUUGGGGUCCUUUGCUGCUCUUGCAUGUGUGCCUUGCAUGUAUGAUUUGUUUGUGGUAGGUUUCGGAUCAUACGGAAGGCAAAAAUCGGAGCUAGAAUGUGGCUGUUCUUGACUUUGCAUGCUGAUUUCGUGAGAUCCGCCUGAACCAGAAUCUNNNNNNNNNNNNNNNNNNNNNNNNNNNNNNNNNNNNNNNNNNNNNNNNNNNNNNNNNNNNNNNNNNNNNNNNNNNNNNNNNNNNNNNNNNNNNNNNNNNNNNNNNNNNNNNNNNNNNNNNNNNNNNNNNNNNNNNNNNNNNNNNNNNNNNNNNNNNNNNNNNNNNNNNNNNNNNNNNNNNNNNNNNNNNNNNNNNNNNNNNNNNNNNNNNNNNNNNNNNNNNNNNNNNNNNNNNNNNNNNNNNNNNNNNNNNNNNNNNNNNNNNNNNNNNNNNNNNNNNNNNNNNNNNNNNNNNNNNNNNNNNNNNNNNNNNNNNNNNNNNNNNNNNNNNNNNNNNNNNNNNNNNNNNNNNNNNNNNNNNNNNNNNNNNNNNNNNNNNNNNNNNNNNNNNNNNNNNNNNNNNNNNNNNNNNNNNNNNNNNNNNNNNNNNNNNNNNNNNNNNNNNNNNNNNNNNNNNNNNNNNNNNNNNNNNNNNNNNNNNNNNNNNNNNNNNNNNNNNNNNNNNNNNNNNNNNNNNNNNNNNNNNNNNNNNNNNNNNNNNNNNNNNNNNNNNNNNNNNNNNNNNNNNNNNNNNNNNNNNNNNNNNNNNNNNNNNNNNNNNNNNNNNNNNNNNNNNNNNNNNNNNNNNNNNNNNNNNNNNNNNNNNNNNNNNNNNNNNNNNNNNNNNNNNNNNNNNNNNNNNNNNNNNNNNNNNNNNNNNNNNNNNNNNNNNNNNNNNNNNNNNNNNNNNNNNNNNNNNNNNNNNNNNNNNNNNNNNNNNNNNNNNNNNNNNNNNNNNNNNNNNNNNNNNNNNNNNNNNNNNNNNNNNNNNNNNNNNNNNNNNNNNNNNNNNNNNNNNNNNNNNNNNNNNNNNNNNNNNNNNNNNNNNNNNNNNNNNNNNNNNNNNNNNNNNNNNNNNNNNNNNNNNNNNNNNNNNNNNNNNNNNNNNNNNNNNNNNNNNNNNNNNNNNNNNNNNNNNNNNNNNNNNNNNNNNNNNNNNNNNNNNNNNNNNNNNNNNNNNNNNNNNNNNNNNNNNNNNNNNNNNNNNNNNNNNNNNNNNNNNNNNNNNNNNNNNNNNNNNNNNNNNNNNNNNNNNNNNNNNNNNNNNNNNNNNNNNNNNNNNNNNNNNNNNNNNNNNNNNNNNNNNNNNNNNNNNNNNNNNNNNNNNNNNNNNNNNNNNNNNNNNNNNNNNNNNNNNNNNNNNNNNNNNNNNNNNNNNNNNNNNNNNNNNNNNNNNNNNNNNNNNNNNNNNNNNNNNNNNNNNNNNNNNNNNNNNNNNNNNNNNNNNNNNNNNNNNNNNNNNNNNNNNNNNNNNNNNNNNNNNNNNNNNNNNNNNNNNNNNNNNNNNNNNNNNNNNNNNNNNNNNNNNNNNNNNNNNNNNNNNNNNNNNNNNNNNNNNNNNNNNNNNNNNNNNNNNNNNNNNNNNNNNNNNNNNNNNNNNNNNNNNNNNNNNNNNNNNNNNNNNNNNNNNNNNNNNNNNNNNNNNNNNNNNNNNNNNNNNNNNNNNNNNNNNNNNNNNNNNNNNNNNNNNNNNNNNNNNNNNNNNNNNNNNNNNNNNNNNNNNNNNNNNNNNNNNNNNNNNNNNNNNNNNNNNNNNNNNNNNNNNNNNNNNNNNNNNNNNNNNNNNNNNNNNNNNNNNNNNNNNNNNNNNNNNNNNNNNNNNNNNNNNNNNNNNNNNNNNNNNNNNNNNNNNNNNNNNNNNNNNNNNNNNNNNNNNNNNNNNNNNNNNNNNNNNNNNNNNNNNNNNNNNNNNNNNNNNNNNNNNNNNNNNNNNNNNNNNNNNNNNNNNNNNNNNNNNNNNNNNNNNNNNNNNNNNNNNNNNNNNNNNNNNNNNNNNNNNNNNNNNNNNNNNNNNNNNNNNNNNNNNNNNNNNNNNNNNNNNNNNNNNNNNNNNNNNNNNNNNNNNNNNNNNNNNNNNNNNNNNNNNNNNNNNNNNNNNNNNNNNNNNNNNNNNNNNNNNNNNNNNNNNNNNNNNNNNNNNNNNNNNNNNNNNNNNNNNNNNNNNNNNNNNNNNNNNNNNNNNNNNNNNNNNNNNNNNNNNNNNNNNNNNNNNNNNNNNNNNNNNNNNNNNNNNNNNNNNNNNNNNNNNNNNNNNNNNNNNNNNNNNNNNNNNNNNNNNNNNNNNNNNNNNNNNNNNNNNNNNNNNNNNNNNNNNNNNNNNNNNNNNNNNNNNNNNNNNNNNNNNNNNNNNNNNNNNNNNNNNNNNNNNNNNNNNNNNNNNNNNNNNNNNNNNNNNNNNNNNNNNNNNNNNNNNNNNNNNNNNNNNNNNNNNNNNNNNNNNNNNNNNNNNNNNNNNNNNNNNNNNNNNNNNNNNNNNNNNNNNNNNNNNNNNNNNNNNNNNNNNNNNNNNNNNNNNNNNNNNNNNNNNNNNNNNNNNNNNNNNNNNNNNNNNNNNNNNNNNNNNNNNNNNNNNNNNNNNNNNNNNNNNNNNNNNNNNNNNNNNNNNNNNNNNNNNNNNNNNNNNNNNNNNNNNNNNNNNNNNNNNNNNNNNNNNNNNNNNNNNNNNNNNNNNNNNNNNNNNNNNNNNNNNNNNNNNNNNNNNNNNNNNNNNNNNNNNNNNNNNNNNNNNNNNNNNNNNNNNNNNNNNNNNNNNNNNNNNNNNNNNNNNNNNNNNNNNNNNNNNNNNNNNNNNNNNNNNNNNNNNNNNNNNNNNNNNNNNNNNNNNNNNNNNNNNNNNNNNNNNNNNNNNNNNNNNNNNNNNNNNNNNNNNNNNNNNNNNNNNNNNNNNNNNNNNNNNNNNNNNNNNNNNNNNNNNNNNNNNNNNNNNNNNNNNNNNNNNNNNNNNNNNNNNNNNNNNNNNNNNNNNNNNNNNNNNNNNNNNNNNNNNNNNNNNNNNNNNNNNNNNNNNNNNNNNNNNNNNNNNNNNNNNNNNNNNNNNNNNNNNNNNNNNNNNNNNNNNNNNNNNNNNNNNNNNNNNNNNNNNNNNNNNNNNNNNNNNNNNNNNNNNNNNNNNNNNNNNNNNNNNNNNNNNNNNNNNNNNNNNNNNNNNNNNNNNNNNNNNNNNNNNNNNNNNNNNNNNNNNNNNNNNNNNNNNNNNNNNNNNNNNNNNNNNNNNNNNNNNNNNNNNNNNNNNNNNNNNNNNNNNNNNNNNNNNNNNNNNNNNNNNNNNNNNNNNNNNNNNNNNNNNNNNNNNNNNNNNNNNNNNNNNNNNNNNNNNNNNNNNNNNNNNNNNNNNNNNNNNNNNNNNNNNNNNNNNNNNNNNNNNNNNNNNNNNNNNNNNNNNNNNNNNNNUGCAUGAUGAUGAUGAUGAUGAUGAUAUGUGAUGUGAAAUAGUGACGAUCACCCAUGGCAUGAUAUGCAUAAUGAUAUGCAUGAUGAUGAUAUAUGAUAUGGCAUAAUGAUAUGCAUGAUGAUAUGCAUGACGAUGAUGAUGAUGAUGAUAUAUGAUAUGCAUGAUGAUAUGCAUGAUGAUGAUGAUGAUGAUGAUGAUGUGUGAUGUGAAAUAAUGAUGAUCACCCAUGGCAUGAUAUGCAGGAUGAUAUGCAUGAUGAUGAUGAUGAUGAUGAUGAUGAUGAUGAUGAUGAUGAUGAUGUGUGAUGUGAAAUAAUGAUGAUCACCCAUGGCAUGAUAUGCAUGAUGAUGAUGAUGAUGAUGAUGAUGAUGAUGAUAUAUGAUAUGGCAUGAUGACAUGGGUAAUGUGAUGAUGUCAUGAUGAUGAUGACAUGUAUGAUAUAAUGAUGCCAUGAUGAUGAUGACAUGUAUGACAUGAUGAUGCAUGAUAGUAUGCGCAUGGCUCUAAGGUAAGUAUUGCCUGAAAUGCAUGUAUGAUGCAUUGAGUGGUUAUUGGAUUCCUUUACCUGCUGAGUGGUUGUACUCACCCCUUUUGGGGACCAACAUUUCAGACUAGUAGAUAGAUCGAGUGAUGGGAUAUGAUCGUGAGGAGGAGGAUAGCAAAGGAAGGAGCUUUUAGACGUCGACACUGAUCGAUGGACUUUAAGUGUACGACUGUUGGAGGGGAUGUCGGUCAUCUUUUGAAGUAUAGCCAUGUAUAGGAAACUAUGGCAUUUCGAUGUACCAACUAAAGAUGUCCAUCUGUUUUAUGUAAAUAAAAGUGUACGGCUUUAAUUUAUAUAAAAUGUUUAGUCGGUGUGCAUCGUCUUCUGAAUAUAGGGAAGAGAGUUUGUUGGAUGUGCUUCCGUAUAUGAAUUGCACAAGGGACCUAUUAAAAAAAAGGCGUAAACCCCUUAUGUUGUAUGGACCCGCUGCAAUUGAAAUAGUAUCAGAGUGUUAUGUUAAUAGGGAAAGUAAAAGAUAAGCGAACUGUGGCGACCUUAACGGAUCGGGGGUCGUCGAGGGGUGCCACAGCGGCUGGGUUACCCGACGUCUGGCAGCCCUCACCACCCCAAAUCUGGGUCGCGAUGGGGUCGUCCGACGUCCGGCAACCCUCCACCCCAAAUCUGGGUCACGGCGGGGUCACCCAACGUCUGGUAGCCCUCGUCGGGGGUCUCCCAACCCCUGCACUUACCGAUCAAUUUUUUUUUAUUUUUCUUUUGAUAAUAUUUUUUUAUUACAAAAGUCCUUGUACAUAUAAUUCCCUCAAACAUCAUUUUGCUCAAAGUACUUCACAAAUGGCUUUCAAAUUACAAUUUACCAAACACAAUUUGCAUUUUGGAAAACACCUUUAACUCAAUGGUCUUUGCAUUUUCCUAAAGACUUUCCCCAAAAGCCUUCCCAAACGCACCCUUGAUACCUCAUCGUUUCAAGGUGUGGUACCUUCACAAGCUCGAUGGGAGUUAGGAGGGUCCUUUAGGUGGUUUCGACGAGCAUCCCGUUGGGACCAAGGAGUGGGAGAUAGGGCACCCUUUGGAUAUCGAUAUUCUUGAUGGUGCUAUGGAAGACCUGAANNNNNNNNNNNNNNNNNNNNNNNNNNNNNNNNNNNNNNNNNNNNNNNNNNNNNNNNNNNNNNNNNNNNNNNNNNNNNNNNNNNNNNNNNNNNNNNNNNNNNNNNNNNNNNNNNNNNNNNNNNNNNNNNNNNNNNNNNNNNNNNNNNNNNNNNNNNNNNNNNNNNNNNNNNNNNNNNNNNUAUAACUAGUUGUUUAUAAAAUUGUGGUUUGUUUUAUAUAGUUGUCCUGCUUUUCUAUCCCAUGUUGAUUGUUGUCUGGGGAUUGUUUAUUUCACUUCUACUUGUGCAUAAAUCGAUUGAGUCGGUGACGCGUCCUAGGAACGUCGCAAUUUAGUCAACCAAUAAGGGAUAUGCGCGCGCUUGAGGUUCAGGGCGUGACACUAUCCAUGGCCUAGCACUAAGUCAAGGCACUCAUAGACCAUAGAAUUAGUGAUGGUAUAGCUAGGUCUAUCCCUGAGCUCAUUCUGGUCGGUACCCAAUCCAUCUAUAUGGUUCGUGGCCGAUGCAUUACUAAUCCAUGAUCAGACAUCACCAAUUCAAGAUUCCUUUAUGAUCACUAAAAAUUAAAUAGAGAAUGAUGCAUUUUUGGUCAGAAGGCGAUCACAUUUGAUCAAGUCGGAUUGUCCGUGCAUCAGUGCAUAGCCAGGUGGAAUCACCCACGACCAGGUACUAUGACCAGUUGUGACCAUCCACUGAUCCAAAAUCAUCCCUUGACCAAUUCUCAUGAUCAAAAGGUCAUCUUAUGAGCCAGUGAUUCUAUCGCAUCGGUAUGGGUGGUAGAAAAUCAUCAUACCCCGAUCCUCGAGCGCAUGUCCAUCCCUUAGUGGUCGAUAAAUUUUGCAACAUCCUAGGAUGCAUCGCCGACCCAUUCAUUUUAAUGCACAUGCGGAAGCGAAACAAUUACCCCUGACAACACACAACGUGGGAUAGGAAAAAGCGAGAAACCAUUCACAACCAAAACAUGAUUUUAUAAACACCCUGGUUUAUAUACAAGACCAACCUACAGUCAAGAGUCUACUCAAACAAAAAAGUCUACAAGUCCUCUAGGCACUCAAAUCCCUAAUUGAAAACUCCGAGGUCUUCUGAGGACUUAGGUCCAGCACUGCACCACCAGGAGGGUUAGCUGUACCCUCGCCAAAAGCAACGUCUAUUAUCACAGCAAAGACGUCAAAAUCCUGUAGGGGACCCUCUCUAUGUCUAAUGAGCCCACGACGAUACCAUGCCCUAAAUUGAUGGAGUACCCUCUAAGGUAAACCCGCAUCAACCCAAACGGUGGUCAUCAUGAGUUCAUAGACCCAAACCUUGUGGCCCCCAGGAAAAGGGAACUGAGUAACCUACUCGAAAAUCCUCCUGGGCUGCCCAAAACAUUCCGGAGAAAGCACCAUCUAAGGACCUGAAAAUAUUGAGCCCACGACGGGGUGAGACAAUGUCUCAACUCGUUCACCCCCUAAACUCCAAUUAGGAAGGAAAUACGCCUAAAGGCAGUCUAUGCACCCAAGUCAGAAGACUUACCUUGCCUCAGUUCCUUCCUACACGUCAGUACAAUUUUAAACACCUAAUCAAUCAACCAUUGCUCACGCAAGCAUGAACCACUGACGCACAUCGGUCAAUCAAUUCAAUUCAAUCCACCGAUCAAUCAAUCAAAUCAAUCAUUGCUCGCACGAGCAUGAACUACCGACACACAUCGGUCCUCUAGCAUAGCUAAAGAUUACUGCUCAUACAAGCUGACGUACACGUUAUUGCUCACACAAGCUGCCAUUGAUCACUGCUCACACAAGUGGACUUCUAUCAAUGCUCACACAAGCUGACGUACGAUCGUUGCUCUCACAAGCUGACAAAUUAUUGCUCACACAAGCUGCUAUGGUACUUAAAGUUCACUUUCGGUGUCAAAACCCAACACCCGAUAUAUUCUUGUUAAAUACCAAAACUUCACAAUCAUCACUCAAUUGUACAAUUUAAUAAUCAAUUGUACAAACUAACCACACCACUACAAUUAGCACGAAAUUCUAACGACCAGCCAUCCUGGCAUAAUUUCCAGAAAAUAUUAAUUAAUUAAUUAAUUUUGAAAAUUAAAUCAAUAAAUAAAUAUUAAAUAAUUAAAUAAUUACUAAAUAAUUAAAUAAUGCCUAAUUAAGCUUACACUAAUAUAACCUCCUAAUUAGGUUAAUUAAAUAACCUACUAAGCUAAUUAAAUCACCUAAUCUAAUUAGCCUUUAACUAAACUAAUCUAACCACCUAAACAUACUUACCAUAAUCUAAACACCCCUUAAGCGUAAUUAACUCCCUAAGCAGAGUUUAGUGAGUAAACUCACUAGUUUAGCAAUAUGAUGAGUCCACGGCAAUGGCAACGCCAAGCCGAGCGACAAACCUCCUGGCGACGACACCAAACAAGGCUCAGAAGGAACCUAAAACGGGCCACAAAGACCGAAAGCCCUUGCUGGCCUUCGGUUCUGCUUUAGACCAAAGGAGAGGGAACCAGUGGCUAAAACGGCGAGGAAGGGCUGGCGGAGGUUGCAACGGCCUAGGCGGGUGACGGCAGAGGCAAGUAGCAGCUACACAGGGACAUAUGGCGAUUGGACGACGGCGGGGAGGCUCAAGACAGCAAGCUGGGCUCGCUAGAAUGCAAGCAGGAGCAAGCGCAAGCGAGACAAGCAUGCGGGCAACUAGCAAGCUCUGUGGAUCAAGCGAGCGGCUCCAGGGAUUGGACGGCGGCAGAGACGGUUCAGGCGGUCUCGAUGACAACCAAGGAGGCUUGGGGGAUGGCGAGAGUUGACCUUUGACUUUUUGAAAAAUGAUACUAGACCGUAAAGGAAAUGAGAUGUUCUUAGUCUUUAUGGGCAAAUGGAAUUAUGAAGACAUGUAAACAACUCAUUUUUGGCGGGGAAUCAAGCUAUGUCACAAUUGGGAAUCCAAAGUCUUGAGUUCUAAAACUUAUUGGACUCAUAGGUGAAAAUUUAAGUGUCAACAAUAGUGAAAUAGAAAGAGAGAUUUGAAAUCUUAUAGAACAUAAUAAAAUGAUUUAGAAGACAAUCAACAAAAAUGAACUCGACUUUUGAGGUAGAUCAUAUACCAAAAGUUGCAGAAAUUGAAAAGCAAACAUACAUUAGUCUCAAUGAUUUUAAUACAAUAAAUAAUUUUUCAUCAAACAGUCAAUUUUUAUUUUUUUUUUAGAAUUUCAUUGUUCCAUGCCCAAAAAUAAUUUUAAUAACUGUUAUCAAGGGUCAAAAAUUCUUCCUUACCAACCCUUUUAUAAAGUUACUAAUGUUUGUAUAGUUUGCAAUUAGCAAUUUCGGUAUUAAAUUACCAAUUUUUAUUUGCAAAAUUUACUAAUGUCUCAAAUUUACUCAAGUUUGUAUGAAAUUACUAACUUAAAUUAUAGUGAUUUACCAACUUUUAUCAAAUUACAUUACUAACUAGUUUUCGAAUACCAACUCUUAUUUGAAUUAUUUACUAACCUUUUUUUAAAAAAAUGUAUCAACUUUUCUAUUUAAUGUACAAGGUUAAUAGUCAAACGUUGUUUUUGAAGAAGAUCAACGCUAUAUAGAAAAGGUCUACCUUUCUAUGUAAAUUAAGCGAACGACUAAUUCGCAAUAUAUAGAUUAAUGGGCAGGGUUCCUUCUACGGAAUGGCGUCCUCGUCGCCAUAUCACAAAUAAUUGCUAGAACUUCAUUGUCUAGAAGAAUUGUCAUCGGUCAGCUUCUUUUUUUCUUUUUUUCAUUUUAGGGUCCAUAUGGAGCAAACUGUUUACUUAAUCGUACUUUUUAUCCAUUUUAAUAUCGGUUUCGUACUUAAAACUGUCCGUUAUAGAGAUAAGAUUGGUAAUAUUUGCGAUUUUUAAGUGAGGAUACACUACGACUUAGCAAGCAUGUUGCUAAGAGAGACGUUUCUAUAAUGGAUUUAUUUAUAGUAAAUUGGAAUCUUCCGGUAAAUUUAUUUUGAUAGUAACUUUGGCUCAAGUGAAGGUUUGAAACAUAUGAUUUAUUCCAAGAAACGUGAAAUAAUAUUCUCCAGGCCAUCUGGGAUUUCUGGAUUCAAAGAGUUGCUGGGUCUUCAAGGGCGAAACAACUGAGAAAGACUGUCCUUAAAUAGAGCAAGUUUCUUUCCAAAGAAUACAUGUGACAGUAAUCUUUAGACAUUUUGAAGCAACUGGAGCUCGAGAGUAGAAGCUGCUGUUUCCAAAGACCCGUCAGGAUUUGCUAAUAGCUUAGUUUCUGCAUUUUAUAGGAACCGUAUCCUCUUUGACGCACCCAAAAAAAUGAAAAGACCAUGUUGUACUUGUAGCGAGACGGACUGCCGCGAAUCAUUACAGAUAAGUUGGGCUUUCUAAGAGACCAAACCUCUACUGCCAAUACGAAGGAAGAAAAAAAUCACUGAUUACCAUGGACACAAAACAAACAGCAAGUACUGGGCUUCUGGCAGUAGCAAAAUGCAUUAAGAAUACAAACUUUCGUAGCCCUAAGAUCUAGGACCGAAUUAUAUCCUCAAGUGGAGAAUGAAUAAAGGAGAAGAGAAUGAUAAAGAUCAUCUUUUAUUGCCUGAAACAGAGAUGAGAAUAAUAGAGCAAAAAAGAAAAACGAUGCCGAAAUUCGCAUUAAGAAACGAGAGAGGCCUCAUUCCAAAUUUUAUCUCCCCUACUCUUCCAUAGAAUUUAGGCAAAGAAUGUCUACUUGGUAACAAACCCAACUCCCUGAUUAGUCAGAAUCAUGAAAUAUCGCAUCAAGACAUUCUAUAAAACCCGAGACAUCACAGCUCGACCCAUAUCCUUAAGAAACGCACCUGCUGCCGCAUACUCUUCCAACGCCUUCUCGACGACCCCAUCCCCCAGGAGCUGUGGAAAAAACAGCCAAGAUGCGGUCACCAUCACGAAUGUGACCGUCAUCAGACCCGUCAAAACCCUCGACGACUGCCACUUCGCGCCCCACUUCCUUUUCACCACCACCUCGAUCACCAAACAUGCUCCGCGGAGCACGAAAAACCACAUGACCUCCCAAGUAGGCUUCACGCGCCCCAUGUAGAAAAACAUCAGCUCGUGCAUGAGCCCAGAAACCAGGAAGGAGGCCAUCACUGCUGGCAGCGCCGCUCACUUGCACCCGAUUGCCGCCAACGCAGCAUUAUGGACUGGUUCAUGUACGGUCAAUCGCAGGAUGUUGGUGACCAUGAGGUUCCACCGCUUCCCCCAGAAGUCUUGAAGUGAAGACGAGAGGUACGGCUCAGUGCGGCUCCAGCUCCAUCCCAAAGGCUGCCCGAGCUGUGGCUUGUAUGGAGGAUAAGAUCAGAUCAAGGGCAACGUAUAGGUGGAGCAGUAGAUUAACAUGAUCAGGUUUGGAUGGAAAUGGUCGCCAUAGUCGUAUACACGUAAUAGCAUCACAAAAAGUAAAGCUUUUGUGGGAUAAUUCAGCAGCAAGAUAGUUUUGGGUCUAAUGUUUUUAGGAUUUUGAGGAAGUAGGUUUUCUUUAAGAUGGCCAUUUUGAGGUGAGCGUGUGUGAUCUUUGGUGUUCUGUGUCCUCUGUGGUGAUUUCUUAAGGUGCGUCUGUUGGAUCUUGAUAGGUAAGCAAGCAAUGGCCAAGAAGCGUGGGAGAGAGAUUGGAGGAUCUGAAGAUAAAGGCCCUUUGCCAAAGGCAAAGAGGAGGAGCUUGGAGUUGCCAAGCCAUGAAAUGAUGAAGGCUAGCUUGGCCUAUCAGAUUCACAGCAGAGAGACUGCGAGGAAGAUAAAAGAAAGAGAGCCACAACGGGAAGGAUCGGUAAGAGCCUUUUAGUGCCUUUUGGGAUGAUCCUGCCCACUAAAAAAAUAUAUAUAUAAAGAUUUUUCAUGUCAAUGCUAUGGUAUUACAUAAAACGGAUAGUAUAAUCAAAAUUUAUCAAAAAUAUAAAUUAUAAAAAGGUUUGAUAUUCAAUUAGUAUGAUUGAAAUAUUUAAAAUUGAACUGAUAUAAUUAUUAUGAUAGGUUUAGAAUUUUUUGGUGCAGUCUUCCUAAUUUCGACGAUGUUCUUCGUUUUUUCAGACUUUCAACAUUGAUUCACUUUUUCUGGGGCGACGCUGUCAUUGGACUUGUAAGGGUUUUAGAAACCUCCGAGGUUUUCAAGACAACUCCAUGUCGUUUUUUUACACAUGUGAAGAAGUGGGGGCCAGUGCAAUAAAAAGACUUUCGGCAAGACAACUUCCCCAAAAUUUUACAAAUGUCGCAAGUACAUUACUAACCCCAUAAUAAAAUUACGAUUUCAAUAAAUUUAACUACCAUCCUUUUUAUUAUAAAUAUAUCAGUUUAAAGUUUUUUUGUUACUUAAAAAUUAAUUUGACAUAAAUUUAUUAUAAAUGUACCAAUUUGAGAUUUUUCCUAAUAUCAAAAAAAGUUAGUAAGCUACAAACUUAUUAUAGUAUUAGUAAAUCUAUUACAAUGGUUGCAAUUUGCUUGUUACACUAGUAAAAUUUUAGAGUUAGUGAUUUAAUAAUUCAUUUGAAAGUUUGUAAAUUUUCGAUGGUGUUGACAUGUACUAGCAGUUUAUCUGACAAUCAAAUCAAAAGCCAUACUUUUUCUUAUCAACAACGUUAGAAGUUUACUAUUAACUUUAGAAAUUCAUCAAAAGCAGGAAAUUUUUUAGAUUUUCCUUUGAAUUACCUUGCCUUCAUCCCGAAGGGGCGGGCAAUCUUGGUAUUCUAUUUUUUGUCUGAUCAUAUCCUAUCUUUUAUCUAUUAUACAAACUCUUAUGUGUAUUACGUGUUGUGCGCGGGUUGCGAAAUCCUAUUUUAUCACUCAUGUAUCCCUACCCAAGCUCUCCCAAGAAAGUGAGAAAUCAAACUUUCCACCCCUCCCUGUGGUUCUGUCGGCCACUAUUUAGCCACAUCUUUAGUUUUCUUUUUCCCAUCUACCAAUAGCAUUGGAUUUUAUGGUCUUCAUUUUAAAAAAAAAAAUUACGAUUUCUGUUUCAACCGUUUGUGUGACAUCCUGAUUUUCCAAUUCUGUUUUCAAUUUAAUAAGUCAGACUUUUCAUCGACGCGCCUAUAGUUCUUUUAUCUGAGUUGGUCACUCACGAGAUAACUAGUCUAUCCGGGAAAGCUGUUAAAAGGAUUUUAACGCAAUGAACUUGAGAAUUCGACCAGAAAACGACUCCUCAACCGUGCUAAUCUGCAAAGGUCAUUACGGCACUAUCAAAAUCAAUCAAUCAGAAACCGGAGAUAGGUCGAUUCGACAGAGGUAUGUGAUUAAGUGUGGAUGAUUCCACCUAAUUGCAAAAUUCUCGUCAAACGACACUAGAUCGAUUUUUCUGUCUUUUCUGUACCUCAUGUCCGUAUUUGAAAUCUCGAGAUUUUCACGACAACCGAGAGUCGUUAAUGUGUCGAAGAUGUACAUUGUGGCUUGAAAAUAAUCAAUCUGAAGUCAAAUGCACUAAAAAUUCCUGAAAGCUACCCGGUAGGUUAGGACACGCUAGAAUCGUACCAGAUUGAAAUUAACCGCGAAUUUAAACCUGAUUUCAGAAAUUGAAAGUUCUAUCAUGUCACGAUUCAUUUUAGGAACGUCAACUCAUCCUCUGAAGAUUUUUCUGCAAACCGAGAUUUUCGGUGAAAAUUCAAAGUAAGGUUAUUUUGGAUUAGGAAAUUCGUAGGCCCGUUUUUUGUCACAUUUUUUGUCAUCAAGUGGGAUCUUUGGACAAGGAAAAAUGUGGAUUUAAGUGUGGACACCUUGGUGGAAUUUAUAGGCUUCGAUUUGAGCCCAAUUGAGUAAGAAUUGAAUGGAUUUGAAGGGGAAAUGUCCAAAAUUUGUAGGCCAUGGGAGACACAACAUUUUGGACACUUUGGGAAGCUUGUUGGGGAAGCUUGGGAGUGGAUAAUGGCUGAGAAUGUUGGCUAAGCAAGUGGGGGCAUGUGAGGUGUGAGAAGGACGAGUGUUGAAGCCUUGGAAGCCACCUUGGGGACCCCUCUCUUCAGCAGCCCUUCUUCCUCCUUAAGAGCUGCUUUCCCCAUUGUUGUGUAGUUUAGAGAGCUCAAGAGAACUAGAAAACCGAACCAGCAGCCUUCCUCCAUCGUUGACCAAUUGUGCCCGCCCGUCGAAAGCCGCCAUGCACCGUCUCACUAUUCACCACUCGCACGUCUGCCUGCAUGCCACGAGCACCCGUCCUCCUAUGUUCGAGCUUGUUCAACUGCAUCCUAAGCUGCUCAAGCCAUCUCGCAACUCCGUCGAACCUCCUUCGUCUCCGCCCAGCCAACCAAAGCACCACUUGGAACUGUCGUUGCUCGUCCUUGCUGUUUCAGCCCCAACCAGCCGCCGAUUUAGCCCCUACAGCCCAAGAUCAGUAGCCAAAGUUCCAGCAAGGGAUGAAGCUUCGUGGCCCGUUUUAAGUCUCUUUCGGGCCUUGGUUGGUGUCACCGCUUGGAGGUUUGUCGCCCACCUUGGCGUUGCCGUCACCGUAGAAUCACCGAAUCGCUAAACCGGUGAGUUUACUUGCUAAACCUUGCUUAUGAGGUUAAUUAUGCUUAAGGGUUGAUUAGAUUAGGCUAAGCAUGAUUUAGGUGGUUAGAUUAGUUUAGUAGAAGCUAAUUAGAUUAUGUGGUUUAAUUAAUUUAGUAGAUAAUUAAUUAAGGCUAAUUAGGCAAUUAGAUUAGUGUAAGCUUAAUUAGGCACUUAAUUAAUUAUUUCGAAUUUAUUUAAUUAAUUUUUGUCAAUUUAUAUUAUAUUUAAUUAUUUACUAUUAUUUAAUUAAUUUCGGGAUUUAUUUAAUUAUUUAAUAUUUUUUGGAAAUUACGCCGAGAUAGUCGGUCGUUAGAAUUUCAUGCUGAUUGCUGUGGUGUAAUCAGAUUAUGCAAUUAAUUGUUGGAUUGUGCAAUUGAGUGAUGGUUGUGAAAUUUUUGGUAUUUAGUUGAAAAAUACCGGAUGUCAGGUUUUGACACCGAGAAUGGUUUUAAUUACUAUAUCAAACCAUGGGAUUUUAAAAGGAAGGGUAUCAAUUUUUCUGGUUCAAAUUGACCGUGUACCCACACACGACUAUUUUACCAUGUGUUUGUAAUACGAAGAAAACAGGUCAGGUUCACUAUUUUAACUGAGGCAUUUGAGUAUAAUGCACGAUGGCCUGAGCUGAGAUUGAAUGAUCGUAUGCUGGUUAAAAAAACUCGUCCCCGGUGUGUGUCAGUAGGACAUUACCCCUAUAUGGGACGCCCUUGAUUAAGGAAAGCUAGUCGCAGUAGAUUCUAGAUCGAAGCUCCUUCGGGAAUGCCGAAUGGAAUGCUGUCCCCGGUGUGUGAUGGAGGAUGUUGCCAUGCUCAAAGGAGUGAGACGAGGCCUAGCUACGCCAAAAAACCGAUGUGUGUCGGGUAAAACUGCCUGUGCAGGUAAUAAUAAUCAAUUGGAACGCAUGAUUGAUUGAGAUAGAUGUGCCGGAUUAUGGGACAAAAUUGUAUGACAUGGAAUGGGACGUGUCACAACGAUUUGCCUCUAUAAUCAGGACCCUUAUGGUUGUUUGAGAAAUGAUUUGUGACGUUCCAAUUGGUUGAGUAUAAUUCCUGCUUUUGGUUGUGAUAUGAACUAUGCUGACGUGCAAGAGAGAACUGAGGCGAGCUAAGUCCUCUAUUCUAAUUGAGUGGCCGUGUGGCUAGGACGCCCUUAGGCAUAUUUCCUUCCUAAUAAGGGUUUAGGGGGUGAACUCGUCGUGGGCUUAAUAUUUUUAGGUCUGUAGAUGGUAGUGAGGCAGGAUCAUUUUGGGUGGCCUCAGGAAGUCGAGAAGCUUCGAAGCCUGUGGAGUCCGAAGGAUCGGUGAAUGCGUCUGACUAGUGGUCAUAGGAAAAAUCCCUUUUGAGAAUCGAUCUUUUGUAGACUCACUUUGUAAUUAAACCCGGUGUGUUUAUAAAAGCGUGUUUUGGUUGUAAAUGUGUUCCCUGCUUUCCUAUCCCAUGCUUUGUGUUGUCAGGGGUUAUUAUUUCGCUUAUGCAUGCAUAUUAAAAUGAAUGGAUUAGCGACGCGUCCUGGGACGUCGCAAAUUUUAUCAAGCACCGAGAGAUAGGCACACGCUCGAUGAUCGGGGCGUGACAGUUUGAUAUAAUAAACAAACUACUCCAUCAUUUUCUCUUGACGAGCUGACUCGGCCACAUCCUACGACUUUCUGCUUCAACCAUUUUAUAUUCAUAAAUCAGAUAUAUUAUCUGGAGACCUUGUGUGAUUAUCUUACUCCUGGUCAAACAUUGCUAGUUCGCACCGCCAAACCCCCCUCACCAUUUUUUAAUGUUAUUAAUUUUAUGUUCAUCUGAACAACGUAAUUAUCUUACUCCUAAUCAAACAUUGCUACUUCUCUCGCCUCUUUCAAUCAUGCGAUUUGAGUUUAUAGUAGGACGCGCACUUCAUCGCACGAAAAAGAAGCGGGAAGAGGGGCGGUGUUUCGACAACCACUAUAGGGUGCCUCCGUUCAUAUCAUGUUCAGAGAUUAUCAGCACAUGAAAAAUCAAAAUGGUAAGGAGAGUGAGGAAGAUUGGUAUCGACCCAUGUUUCGAUUGAUUUGAACAGUUCCCUACUUGUUGAAACGAAAUCAAAGACUUGCCGGUUGAUUUUAGUCGAAACCACCAUUUUCAAUUUGAGGUUAGAAACGGUCCACUCAGAACAGCUCAACUCUCAUUCAUUUAUUAAAGUCAGCUACGUUGCACGUUAUAGACACUCAGGACAGUCUGGCAAGAAAUUGAGCUGGUCUUAUGCUCGUUUCCCUAAAAUCUGUUCCGCCCUGUGCUCUUCCUUAACAAAACAAUUUUUUUUUUUAUCGCAUCUACUAAUUCAACGGCGACACCCCUCCAAUAAUGGCACGCCAGUUUCAUCUUUUAUACAAAUCUCAAGCUGAGCAAACAAUUGCUAUGGUGAGCUCAAAUGCAUUAACGUCAUCAGGAAGCUGUUAUGAGCUUCGGAGAACCUCACACUUACACUAGAUUCACCGUCGUCUUCUACCAUAACUUAGAUAAUUGUUGAUGAAAAAUAGUUCGUCAAUAAUCGUCUAAGCAUUAGUUACUUCAAAAUAAUGUCUGUAACUUAUGAACCAUGCUGGUACAGUUUCAAAGAAAUGGAGUGACCUCUGUUUGUACAUUCAAGACAAUUGUAAGAAGUUCACUGAAUACUCGGCUUCAGCAAAUAAGAAUUUACAUAGUGAAAAAUAGUUCCUCAAUAACCAAUUAAACAUUAGUAAAAUAUGACUAUAUAUUUUUUGAAAAUUUCUGGCUACGCUUGUGGAGUUUGCAACAUACUAAUUAUUUUGCACGAUGUUAACUUAGUAACGGAUAAAAGAAACGUUGGUAUAUUAUCUACAGUAUUGAUUAUUUACUAAACAAAUAUGUGGAAUGCCAAAGAAAUUAGUAACUUACUAAUUUGAUGGAAUUUAGAUAAAUUUCUCAUAGGAUAGGCAUAUUAUCAAAAUAUCAAAAAAAUGGUAAUUUACUAAUUUAUUAAGACGUUUAUAAAAAAUUUUAUAGUCUGGUACUUAACUAAGAAAAACUUGAAAAGUUUGAAAGAAAUUGAUAAGUUAUCAUUCUCAAAAGUAUUAAAAAUUUACCUACUUGAGGAGAUUUAUCAAGUGUGGGAAAAUUUAAAAUUUUUCCUUGAUAGUAUUGGGUGGUCUUGGGCCUUCUCACCCCAAAAAUUAACUCAAAGGGUGAGACUUUCUCUCACACUUGUAUACCGACCACCAACCCCUUCCACAAUUGAUAUGGGACAAUCUCAAUAAUCUCUCUCUCACAUGUUAGGCUUAAGUUGGAGACGCAACAACCCCUCACACGGCGGGCCUGAGUUAGAGAUGCAACAACUCUUAACUUUCUCAUGUGACAGUUUUUAAUCUAGACUUAUUGAUAAACUCAAGCUCUGAUAUCAGUAUCGGGAGGUUUUAGGCCUUCUCACCCCAAAAGCUAACUUAAAAGUUGACGUUUUCCCUCACACAUACAUAUCGAUCAGCGGUCUUUUCCACGAUCGAUGUAGGAUAAUCUCAACAGACAGGAACCAAAAUCUGGUCUCCAAAGUUAGGCAGUUUUGGUUUUCCUAUUCUCUUCUCGGUUAUUUCCGCAUGACGUGUUGACGAGGCCACUUUCUCUAUUAAGAACAGUGAGGUAAGAGAGAGAGGAAUGCAUAAAUAAUCUGUGGAAAAGAGCAAUGAGAAUAGAAAAGUAAUAACAUAUGGAAGGAGGAAACUGUAUGGAUUAUGAAUUUUGAUUCUCUGGCUUCCGCGCAUGUCGUGCGAUGAUCACCGUCCUUACGGUCCUCUGCACAUGGGGCCUGCAACUGCAUGCCCGUUUGAACAAGCCAGCUAUGUCAUAUAUAAAAUAUAUUGAAAAUAACUAGCCUUGGCUUACGCAUAUGGGGCCAGCAACCGUAUGCAAGUUUGCUAACUACGUUCCAUUGGCGAUUAUUUAGCCACCUCUUUUUUUUUUCUUUUUUUGCCCCUCAUCGACCGAUAGCAUUUGUUUUUAAGGUCUUCUUUCUUCUUUUAAAAUUACGGCUUUCUAUUUCAACCAUUUCUCAUCCACCCAUAGCAUUUGAUUAAUUUUCCUAUAUCUAGUCCAUUAUUUCCUCACACCGUACCUCUUUCUUUGUUAAGAACAUUAGCGCACAGAGAGAGAUCUGUUCAAGCUGAGCAAACUUACUACUAUGGCGAGCUCAGAUGAAGGAAGGUUGUUGGCAAGCGAGUAUCAGGUGUUCCUGAGCUUUAGAGGACCAGACACCCACAUUGGAUUUACCGACUGCCUCUAUCAUAGCUUGAUCGAUGCUGGAAUCUGUGUCUUCCUAGACAACGAAGAGCUCCAUGUUGGUGAAAGGAUCGAUGGAUCACUUCGGCAAGCAAUCGAUAACUCCAAGAUCUACAUACUCAUAUUCUCUCAGACCUACGCUUCGAGCCAAUGGUGCCUUCGUGAGGUCGUGCAGAUCAUGGCAAACACCUCCAGAUCGGGAGGUAAUAAAGAGAUCCUACCUAUCUUCCUCGAUGUGGAGCCUGACGACAUUAAGCUGAAAACUUCGUUGUACAAAGAUGCCAUACGCAAUUUGAAGCGUGAGAAGAAGUUGAGCAAUGAGGAAGUAAAUGAAUGGAGAAAGGCUCUGAUGGAUGUUGGUGCGAUAAAAGGGUGGGAAGCGAAGCAUAUGGGGUAAGCUUACUGCUUUCAGGAUUCUUGUUUGCCCAUUUUUCGCUAAAACUCGAAUCAUAGACGUAUAAAUGUCAGUAUUAUUGAGGUGGGACUUUCAUUAUAGUAAUACUAAACGAGGAACCCGCGCUACGAUUGUCAAAAAAAAAAAAAAAAUGUGAAAUUGAUUAACAAGGUCAUCUCAUGAAAUCGGCGAAUAAUGAUACUGAUAGCUACAUAGCUAUAUUAAUAUUUGAUUAUGGGCAGUGGGGGAAAAAAAAGAAUGGGAUACUGAAAUGUCAUGCUCGUUGCUGUCUAAUCAUUUAAUCUUGCAAUACAAUAAACAUUUUCCUCUUGAAUACACGGUGUUCAAUUUCUGUAGUCGUUGCUUGAACAUCACAAAAUGUCAAUUUCAAAUUCAUGAAUAUAUCUAUUUUGCGUGAACGUUAUUAAAAUAGUCCCAAGACUGUUUAAAUCUUGUGUUAAAAUCAAAUAAAAUUUCCGGUUGUGACAUGAUGCACGCGUUGCCAAGUGCAAAAAAUGUGUGUUUUGGAGUGAUGUUAACGUCCAGUAUGGACUCUUAGAAGAUCAUUUCUAGAUCUUUAAGGUCCCAUUAUCUGUCCGACUGCUGUUUUUUUUAUUCGCUGUACGAUCACUUAUAGCUAGCAAUCGCAAUUUCGCAUUUUUUUUCCCAACAAAAAUGGCUUUUCAUUGUGGCGGCCACGGCAAGCUGAUCAAAUUGGUAGUUGAGGAGGUCAUGAAAAAACUGAAGACAAAGCAUAAACCGGUGACUGAAGAGUUAGUUAGAGAUGAUGGUCAAGUAGUAGCAGUAAGUGAAUUGUUAGACAUCAACUCUGAUGGUGUGCGACUGAUUAAAAUUUGGGGUAUGGGCAGUAUCGGUAAAAUCACUCUCGCAAAGAUUGUCUUCAAUGAACUCUCUUCUCAUUUUGGAAAGUGUUGCUGUUUCCUUGAAAAUGUUCAAGAGAAGUCAUCAAGAACUAAUGGUUUAGUUGAGUUGCAAAAAAAGUUAUUAUCAGAAAUCGGCCAUGCAGGAAUAGGGGGCAUUGAUGAAAGUGAUUAUGGAAAGAAGAGGGUUGGAGACAUACUUUGCAAUAAGAAAGUCCUCAUUGUACUUGAUGAUGUUGAUAAUAGAGAACAAGUAGAGAAAUUAGUUGGAGAGAGAAAUUUGUAUCCAGGAUCUAGAAUAUUGAUUACAACUAGAAAUAAGGAUAUUAACACCCCCAAGUAUCAAAUUUUAGAUUAUGAAAUGGAGGUGAUGAAUACCAAUAGAGCACUUGAGCUUUUCAGGAGGCAUGCAUUUGGCAGUGUCUCUCCUCCAAAUGAUUAUAAUGAUCUUUCAAGGGAAGUUGUAUUAGCUGCAGGGAGACUUCCUUUGACUAUUGAAGUAAUUGGCUCGUUCCUUCACCGCAAAAAGACGAUAGAAGAAUGGAAAGAGGCAUUGGGCCAGUUGAGAAAAGGACAACUCAAGAAUGUUUAUGAAAAGUUAAAGAUCAGUUAUGAUGCCUUAACUAAUGAGCAACAACAAAUUUUUCUUGAUAUUGCAUGCUUUUUCAUCGGUCAGGAUAUGACAUAUGCAAUUUACAUAUGGGAAGAUUGUGACUUUUUGCCACACACUGGAGUUAAGACACUCAUUAACUUGUCUUUGGUAAAGAUUUUGGAGAACAAUGUGUUUUGGAUGCACAAUCAACUCAGAAAUCUUGGUAGGACUAUUGUUUGCAAGGAAAAUCUAAUGAAUCCUGGAGAGCGUAGUCGAAUAUGGACUAAUAAGGACGCCCUUAAUGCAAUACAGACAAAAGAGGUAAAGUAGUUCUAGAGGAAUUGAUAGCUUUUGACAAUAAUACCUCUACACUGACUUAGGAUGCUCUAUCUUCUUCUUGUUUUUUUUCUUUUUCCUUUAUAAUACUUUUCCUUUAUGAAAUAGAAUACCGAUAUCACUCAUUUCCUGUUCUUGUAUGCAGAUAAAAAAGAAUGUUCAAGCACUAUAUCUUGAUAUACAUGCACAAGAUUCCCCUAAUGUCAUUGUUCAAAGUGAAGAGAUUAGUAGGUUUGAACAUCUAAGGUUCCUCAACUUAAGUAGAGGAAUCUUUGUUGGCAACUUCAAGAAUCAUCUUACUGAAUUAAGAUGGUUGUCUUGGAAUUUUCCUCUGGAAAAAAAUGAAUGGACUAAUUUGUACCUAAAGAACAUGGUCAUUCUUAAACUUUCAGGCGAUCUUUACUUAGAUGACUCGAGAUUACAGGACUUAAUCCAGGUAUGUAUUUUGUUCUAUUUAUUUGAAAGUAAUAUAUUAUUGUUCAUACAUUAAAUGUUGCAUUAAUUUUGACAGAUGGCGAGAAAAUUGAAAGUUCUUUCUCUUCAAGAUUGUGCUGAAAUAAACGGAACAUUGGACUUCUCUAGAUGCCCUGAUUUAGAGAGGCUUGCUUUCGAAAGUUGUUCCAAUUUGUGGAAAAUUGAUGGCUCUAUUGGAAAGUUGAAGUGUCUGAUUGACCUAAAGAUUAAGCAUUGUGUAAAAUUAAAAUAUUUGCCAGAAGAAAUUGGUUACCUAGUGAAUUUGAAGCAGUUCGCUUAAAGUAUUGUGGAAUGCAUAAGUUACCAGAUUCCAUAUGGAAGUUGAGAUCAUUAUGUGAGGUGUACUUUAUAAAUCCCGUGAAGGUAUCAGGUGCACCAUGGGAGUUACCUACAGAUAUUAGAAUGCUUCAGAAUCUAGAACUGCUUGAAGUGGAUGAUUGUCAUUUAGAAGGUCAAAUUCCUUAUGGAAUUGGAAGAUUGUCCCCUCUAAGAAGCCUAAGCCUAUCGUGUACUAAUGUUAGUGAAGUUCCAAAGACCAUUAGCAUGCUUCCUUGCCUACAAAGAUUGGAGUUGUAUUGUAAUAAGAUUCAAGAGUUGCCUAUGCUCCCAAUAAGUUUAACCCAUUUAAAUGUGUCAUCUAAAUCAUUGUGGUUAGUCCCCAAUCUCUCGAACUUGACUAAUUUGAUUGAGUUGAAACUACAUGGAGCAAGUGGAGAAGGCAAAUUUUGUAGCGGUGAGUUGUGGUGGAUUGGGAAGUUAUCCAAACUAAAAAGCCUGAGCUUAAGACUUAACAAUGUCUAUGCUCCUGCAAAGCUAGCUUCCCUACCUCACCUUAACGAACUUUAUAUGUCUAUAUUGGACUUGCAAACCUAUCCACAAUUUCCCUUGUCUCUGGAAAAGCUGUUCCUUACUACUUACAAUUCAACUCUGUCAAACUUGAGAAAUUUGUCUUUUUUCUGCCUUUGGGAGUCACCAAUGCAAGAAAUUCAAAUUGAUGGGUUUCAACUUCCAUAUCUAAGGGAGUUGGUUGUGGCGAAGUGUGAAGCCCUUGAGAGCAUCGGGCUAUCAAGCAUAAGAAAGCUAAAAGCUUUCUUGGUGGAUGAUUGCGGAAAGCUAGUUGAGAUCCAAUUUUCUUGGGCGUCCGAAUCACUUGAGCAUUUUACUAUUCAUAAUUGCAGGUCCUUCAAAAGGCUAGUUUGCAUGGGGGAAGCGGGGCAUGAUAACGAUGAGACCGCUAAUAAGAUGAUUAGUUGCGAAGGGAGGCUAAUCCUUUCAACAAAAGCCUUACAGAAGUUGCAAAGGUUCGACCUUUCAGGUGACAAUGGGAUAUUCGAGAUUCAAGUUGUUGGUAGCUCGGCAUCCUGGGAAGUCUUCAGUGUUUCCGGUUGUCCUUCGCUGCGAAGUCUUCGUGGUUUACCAAACUUAAAGAACCUUCAGUCUUUAUCAGUCUUCACGUGCAGUGGCCUACAGGUUGUCGAGGGCCUUGACCAGCUAGAGUGUUUGAAGGAGUUAAAGGUUUGGAAUUGCAGAUCUUUGGAGAUUGACCUUUCAACCACCAAAUUGCCAGAUGAUUGCGACACAUACAUCGACCAUUGCAAAAAAUUAUGUGGGUUUGAGAAACGAUUUGUGGGCCCCCUCCAGUCUUACAAGCGUGAUAAGGUGAGUCUAGACCAUUCUCUCUCUCUUUUCUCUUUGGUCUUGACGCGGCCAUCCCCAAACAUGAAUUCAACCUUUCAAGCAGAUUUAUAAUAAUUAUGCGAAAUCAAAAAAAUAAAUAAAUUAAAUCUGGUCUCAUUUAUUUUAGACCCAUUCAACACAGGUUUGUUUUGUUCUGCGCUCGUGUUUUUUCUUCUUCUUCUUCUUCUUUUUCCUGUUUUCCAUUUUCCGUUUUCUCUCCUAUUUUGUAUACUAGAAAUUUCUAUAUUUGCACAAAUCUAUAGGACAAUCAGUUUUUAUCACAAAUGAUUGAAAAAAUUUCAAUGUCUAUAAUAGCUCGGAGUUUCUUAUGAAAUGCUCUUUUCAUUAUAUAUAGAGUGGACUAUUUAGUUUAGCACAGAUUUUACAUAAUAUACUCCACUUUAUUGUUUAUUUCUUACUUAAUACUAUUCAUUACGGAAAUGAGUUUCGCGAUUUGCGAUUUCUACAGGAAAGAUAGAACAUUAAAAAAAUCGGAUACUCAGUGCACAACUCAAAACAAUUUAGCUAACAGAGACGUUAAAAGAACAUAGUUUAUGUGGUCCACCUAUCCACUAAUCAAGUGACUUAUGUCCCUGACUGAAAUGAGUGUUUCUUGAAUUUGCAUGUGGUUAGGGUUGGCCAAGUAGGAGGUGUGUUCCAAAAACACCUCAAAUACUUAUUUAAGAUUUUAGAGUUUGAUUAAAAGCCACUUCAAACAGGAGCAGGAACCGAAACAGAAACAGGAAAGCCGCUUCAAACAGGAACAGGAAAGCAUCGACCAAAAAAAAAAGGAUAAAAAAGGAACAGGAAAGCCACUUUGAACAGGAAGUCGAACCGAGGAGAAACCUGGGGAGAGGGUGGCUCCAAUGCCUGAGCUUCAGUAGUUUGCUGCAUUGCGACCUCCCCUGUUUUUUCCCCUCUGAUAAAAAGCCACUUCAAACAGCAGAGGAGAAGGCUGGGGAGAUUGUCUUUCCAAUCCCAGAGCUUCAGCAGAUUGUGAUGUUGAUUGCAGGUAAAGAUGGGAAGCUCUUGCCGAUUAUUUGACAGCGGAACAGGAGAGGCCCCUGUCUCAAAGAAGUCAGAGGACGCUCGCCAUCAAGUCAGAACGAAGUCGGCAAUGCAGAGCCAGAGUGUACCGGAACACUCGAAAAUGCAAUGGAGGGCGUACUUGCCCAUUCGAGUGAUCAAUGCCAAUGGCGUCUAGCAAAGCAAACCCAGAAGAUGUCACCUUUGGCCGGGAAUAACGGCCCUCUUGUCCGUACUGUAUUUGUGGCCUGUCUUUUUCGCCUAGAAUGCAUUCGUUUCUUUUAAUUCGUCUUUCCUUUUAAGCUCGGGCUUUGGAACCAAUAUGCACGUAAAAUAAUGUGGUCUUUCUUCGAUUUACAGACAAAAGCUUCAUAGAUGAUUCAAAACUACGGAGCUUAAUCAAGGCGUGUCAUACUUUUCUCUAUUCUAUCUAACUAAUUUGUGAUCACUCAUCCGAUGAAUGGUGGCGUUCAUUUUUUACAAAUGGCAGUAAAAGGGAAAGUUCUUUUUCUUUUACAUUGUUCUCACUUUAUCGUAACCUACGACUCCUUUGGAUGCUCAAAUUUAGAGAGGCUUAUUUUCCAACACUGUCCCAAUUUGAGAAAAAUAGACAGCUCUAUUAGGAAUCAAAGUAUUUGACCAACUUGAAUAUCAAUGGUUGCCAUCAUCUUGAAGAUCUGCCCAAAGAAAUCAGAGACCUUGUGAAUCUUCGGUGCUUGACUUUAGGGUGGUGUUGUUGAGUAAAGAAAUUACAAGAUUCCAUAUGGAAAUUGAAAUCGUUACAUAAGAUGUAGUUUUCGGCUGAGUAUUUUGAAUCAAAUUCAUCUUCAAACGAUGCAUGACAGUUGCCUAGUGCAAUGGAAAUGCUCAAAGUCAUGACUCAAAAUUUAAAAGGUCAACUUCUCCGGAAUCAAAAGUUUGCCCUUUUUUGAGAAUCCUAUGCUUGUCGUGCCCUUGCAUCAGUGAAGUUCCAGCGACAGACAGUAUGCUUCCUUACCUGCAAACGCCUGAGUUAAAAGCAUGCAAUAAGAUUCAGGAACUGCUGACACUUGCCGCAAGUUUAAACAAUGUACUAGUGUUGUCUAUAACGUUGCAAGUAGUCUUAGUUCUCUCGAAUUUGACUAGCUUGGUUCAGUUCGACCUAUCUAAUGGUUCUAGUUGGAGAGAAGGAAGCAAAAUUCACCGGUUAGUAGGGUGGAUUGGGAGGUUAUCCAGACUGAAUGAGCUGAGCUUGAAUCUUUUCAAUGUCCCUGCUCCUACUGAGUGGGAUUCCUUGGUUAAAUAAUCUUCAUUUGUCAAGGUUGGACCCGCGAAAACUUGUGCAACUUCCUCCACCUCUGUUAAAUUUAAGCCUUGACAACUUCAAUUCAACUGUGUCACUCUCAUCCAAAUUAGAAAAUUUGUGAAGUUUAGAGUUCCCACGGUUUCAAGUGCAAGAAGAAUACUCAACAGCCUUCAACUUCAAAAUUUAACAGAGUUGGUUCUGAAAAGCUGUCAAUCCCUCGAGAUAUUCGUACUAUCAAAAAUGAGGAAGCUCAAAAGCGGUCCGAGUAGAAUAUUGCUCAGAGCUAGUUGAGAUCCAACUUGCCGGGCUGUAUGACCCAUUGGAAGCAUUUUCCAGCAUAUGGUGUGAGUCCUUGGGAAAGGUUAGCUUAUACGGGUGGAGUCUGCAAAUGAGUCGAUUAUUUGUGGAGGGACACUAAUUUUUCUGUCACGAGUACUAAAUAAGCUUAACAAGUUUCUGCUUAGGGGUUGCCCGAAGAUACUCAAAUUCAAGUACUGGGUACAUUGGAAAAGGGGAAGGGUCGGACGUCUAGGACUAUUGUUAGGCGGAAAGUGUCCGUGGUUUAUCAAACUUAAAGGAGCUCAAGUGUUCAUACAUUUGUGAUUGCGAUGGGCUGCAGGUUGUCGAGGACCUUGACGAGCUAGAGUUUUUGAAUCAGUUAACCAUUCAUCGCUGCGGAUAAGUAAAAACGUAGAUCAAUGUAUCACGAACAGAAUUUCCUAAGGAUAGCAACAUAGAUAUCUUCGACUGCUGGAAAUUAGCUGAGGCUACAAUUCGUUGUCUCCAUCCAGUCUUGCGAGCAUUAUAAGGUGAGUUGAACCUUCUCCUUUGUUUCUUUGUUUUUUCUUCUCACCUUUUUUCUUGAUGGAUAGCAACGAUCGCCUAAUUCUAUCCCAGUUUACUUACUCCCGUCUCUAUAUCACUUAUACAUAGCAAACAUUUGAUGUGCUAAAAUAUAAUCUGGUAUUGCCUUUCUACAUAAUUUAUAUGAGGCUCAUAUACACAUAUAGUCUAACUCCAUCUAAUAACUUCUUCUAAUAUAGUGAACUGGAAAGAGAGAUUUGGUAUCUUAUGGAAUCUAAAUGAAACGAUUCAGAAGGCCAUAGACAAAAGUGAACUCAACUUUUGAACACGGACGGAUCAGUUGUUCAGAACCCCGUUCUAGCGUGAGAUGGGGGGGCAUCUUGCGUGAUCUCCUCAGCUGUGGCGUUUCGGCUUUUACGGGUUUUGGGAAACAUGGCGACCCCGAUUGCGGAAUUUUUCGGCUCCUUAGAGGGGGCCUGAGACUUGCUCCUGCAAUGUUCAUAUAUUCCCCAUGAACUUGAAGCAAGAAAUCCCUUCGGGACAGGGUUUCCUAUAAAAACAACUUGUAAAAUGAGAAUCCGGAACCGCUCUUUUUGGAAUGCGGGACUAUCCUCAGGAGCUUUACCCAAUACCAGACGGAGCACAGAUUUCGAGAGGCAAAUCGCUGCGCUGAUUUCAUGGCAAAGAAGGGCCGCUUGCCAUAGGAUAAUCUCAAGAUCUUAGGGGAACCUCCAUUAGACAUUUUGAAGCUACUGGAGUUCGACUGUAGGUGCUGUUGUGUCCCAAAAGCCGUUAAAAUGUGCAUAGUAGCUUAGUUUCUGCAUUUUACGACUACUGGGUCCUCAACCGUUGGUGGAGAAUGAAUUAAAGAAGAAGAGAAUGAUAAAGAUCAUCUUGUUUCGCCCGAAACAGAGAUGGAAAUAACAGAGCAGAAAAGAAAAUUGUUGCCGAAAUUCGCAUUAAGACAUUCUAUAAAAUCCGAGACACGACAGCUCGACCGACGUCCUUAAGAAACAUGCCUGCUGCUGCAUACUCUUCCAACGCCUUCUCGAUGACACCAUCCCUCAGGAGCCGUGGAAAAAACAGCCAAGAUGCGGUCACCAUCACGAAUGUGACCGCCAUCAGACCCGUCAAAACCCUCGGCAAUUGCCACUUCGCGCCACACUUCCUUUUCACCACCACCUCAAUCACAAAACACGCCCCCGGAGCAUUCUAAGAUCCUCAUUACUCUAAAUUUCUUUUUUCCGACUUGCAAAGACUAACCAAACAAAUCUAUAGAACGAAGGGAAAUACUAAAAUUCAAAGACAUAGGAAUCAUGCUAGAGCUACUAAAACUUUACCGAAGAGAAAUCCACCAACGCUUCUUCAAGGCUCUUCACGAGCCACUUCCAAAUUCAAUUUGGAAUUGGAAUCGAAAAUACGCCUGAUGGCCAAAGAGGUAUCCUCAUAAAUAGGAAACGUGUUUCCCAUCUCAAGAAGAAAUCAUGCUCUAUUUUACUUUUAUUUAAUUUUAGCAUACGUUUUGCUGAUAACUGUAAACAUGUUGCCUUUGAUUUUUUUUUUCUUUGAUUUUCAUAAGUUAAAUUAAUGCAAAUGAGGAUUCUGGUGCUAUGGAGGACAUCGCUCUGGUGAUGCAUUUGUUAGUGUUCCUGAUUUCACUAGAAGUGCUAUCAACUUCAUAUUGAGAUCGCUCUAUCCUUCGGGAAGCAAUCCUAAAAAAAACUCUAGUGCCUAUAGUACUACUACUCAAAACUUGAUAACAUAGGUAUUUCGCUAACUAUCGAAGUGGGACUUCCAUUAGUAAUACAAAAUGAUAUGUGUGUAUAAAGAAUGUUGCUGAAACAAGUCAGCUUAUAUAAUGGGUGAACAAGUCGAAUAAUUGAGAAAAUUCAUUUGAUUUGUACGUUUAUUUUGCACAAACGAGAUUACGUAAUUCCAUGAUUGCUAAUUUCAUGUUAGAUUCAUAUACUUCAUAGUUAUAUAGGAUUAGCUAUAAAAAUCAAAACUGAAAUCCUUCAGAGUCAAUUCCAUCGUUCUCUUCUAAAUUUUUGUUUUCUACAUGCCUAGUGUUUUCUCUUUUAAAGAAUUUUACAGGAUUGGGAGCGUAAGGCUUGCACAACAAAUCAAAUGGCUACAUUGCAUAUAGAAAGCAAAAAGUGUUACGUACUUACUUCGAGUAUCAUGGACAAUUUUCUCCCUUUAUAUAAAGAAAAUACUCUUUGACUAGAUUCUUAGCCAAGAUAAAAGGCGGUUCCUAUCCUAUGUUUGGUUCAUAUGAAAGAUAGGAUAAGGUUGGAUAUAACUCAGAUAAAAUUAUCUCAUAUGGGGGUAGAAUAAAUAUGAAUAUGACUCCUUAUAUUAAUGUUAUAAAAAAAAAUUCAUAAAUAACAAAAUUAUUAAAUUAAUAAUCAUAGAUUGAUUGUCGGAAUGCUGUAAUGAACUUAUGUGCUAUUUAAGUUUUAAUAGAUUGAUUGCUGGAGGUGGAUUAUAUUGUAGGUUUAUAAUUUCUUUAGUAAUGAAUCAUGAGAGAUUUUUACUAUCUCUGUUUAUGUAUAGGAUAUAAAAAUAUUAUGCUAUUAUUGAUACUUAAAUUUUAGCGACCCGUUUAAUCAGUCAUUAAUUGUAUAGAAAAUUAAGGAUUAAUUUUUAACCCCUAGAAAAAUAAUUGCACAGCAUAUAGACAUUAGGAGCAUUUGCAUUACUAUUAUUAAAUUUUUAAAAAAAUUAAUUGAAAAAAAAAAAUUCAAAAGAGAAAAGAAAAUGGGAAAAGCGAGGUCGAGCCACCGGGCCGGGGGCAGGCCGGCCCGGCCUCUUUCUUUCUCCUUUCCUUUUUAUUUCUCUCCGCCUGGGCCAGCCCAUUUUUCCUUUUCUUUUCGCCUAAGACUGGCCCAGCGUUCUCUUCCUCCCCCUCUCUUUCCCUCAUGCUCUCGGCAGAAAAACAGGAGCAAGGUACAGAGACAGGGAAGCAGAGCAGAGCAGGAUAUGGCGGCGUGAUCCUCGGGUCGGGAUCAGGCCGGCCACGGCGGGCUGGCGGUGGCAGAGGCCAUGCGCUCCUGCCGCUGGCCAUUAAAAGGGAGAGAGGGUGAGUCGGCCAGAGGGAGAGAGGGAAAUCGAGAGAGAGAGAGCGAUUCCGAUAGAGAGAGGGAGCCUUCGGCAGAUCUCGGCUCGGAGACGUUGCGAGGCGGCCAGCCAUAGCUCGAUUCGUCUCGAGCUCGUCCUCUAGCCGCUGUCUCCGAGCCGGGUAGCGACUCUCGCGAUAAAACGCUCAUCCCAUUGAACCCCCUGCUUCGCCAUGUUCCGAGUAAGACGUGGAGACUAGCUGUCUUCCGGUUCAUGCUUGUGUCAGGUCUGAAUAAGUUGGUUGCGUUGAUUCCGAACAUUGCUUGCCGACUUCCUUCGAAUCUGGAUGCGAGUUCGAGCCCCGUGUGGGUUAAUGCCUUCUUCUCAAUCCAUGCUAACUACGUGUUCGAUGAAAUGCGUAAGCCAGAUCCAUUGAUUAUCAUCUCGCAUUAUCCGUUGUUAGAAAAAGCGAACCUAUCAUUUUGUAGACAUUCUUUGUUCUGAACACUGGCCACUUGGCGCAUUUGCUUCCUUCCACUCGUCAUCGACUUGAGUUUUACCAUAUCCGAGCAUUUUACCAAACAUCCGUUUUAGCCAUUGUGGGCCUUCUAUGUGGCUCAAUGGAAAUGGAUGGUGAUUCUUGAUGAGAAAUGCGGUCUUUAAAUCACUGAUACGAAUGAGGAUUUAGGUGAAAACUCAAACUAGUCACAUGUCAACUUUCUCAAUUCACAUAUUGUGCGUAUUUGUUCUUCCUGGUUUUUGUUUGAAUAAAAAAAUGUUUGAUGGCUCGUAGCGGUGCUUGGAAGAGAUGGUUAAUGGCAUUGUAUGUGGAUGGUGGUGCGCGGUGGCUGGACAUAGCUUGUGGUUGUGCCCGGGUUACUUUUACCUUGAAGCUUGACUUGCAUUCGUGUGUGAGUCCCUGGAGGUUCUCAGUCUGCUGGGGAAGGAGGCUGUGGGCGUUCCUGGGGGGUGAGAGACAAUGUUGACAUGCUUAGAGUGGUGCGUUAUGGGCUUAGUAUGGGCCGGGUUUAUUUCAGCGAAGAGGCCCACGCCCCUAAUUCUGGAAUUAAAACUUUUUUUAAAAUAGUUUUUGUAAAAAACAAUUAAAAAUUCGAAAAUAUUAAAAAAUUAAGAAAAAUCAGAAAAUGCUUGGAAAUAGGUCUUCAUCGAUUUUUUAAGUUUUAGCGUUAGACGUGACUUGGUUUCACUUUAUUAGUAUACAUGUAGCUUAGUCCUAGUGGAAUGUCCCUUUGAAAGAAAUUGAAUAUGACUUGGUUUUAACUCACAGGAGGAUCAUGUCUUGGGAUCAUGUAUCGGAUUUUCUUUUCCACGUUUGCUUUAAAGUCAUUUCAAUACUUGGGUGUUUACUUACCACACCGUCUUUCAAUAAGUUGGUUGUUUAUCGCUUUCCUAGAAUAGGUUAGGAUUAGUUUAGGCUUUGAUGAAAAUGAACCAUACAAAAACAUUUGCAUGAUCAUUUAGUAACUUUGAUGCCUUUGGGACUAUAAUUGACAAUCAAGAUUGUGUGACCACUUAAGUAGCAACCUUCCAAGUUAGAGGAAUUGAAAGGGUGCUGAUAGACAUUAGCAUGAUCAAGUGCCCCCUAAAAUCUUUGGUUGCAUAGGAAUCGUAGCGAUACUCUCGCUUUUCGAUUGGUUUUUAAUUAACCUUAAUAGUCUAGUAGCGACUCUUAAAAAUGCUUAAGUUGUUAAGAACUUAAAAAAUGAAGUUUAACAUUGCGAGAGGUAUGAGUUUGGAAGACCCUACGUCUAAUCAAGAGCCGUUAGCCUAAAUUAGGCAAUACCUCUAAACUUAUAUAUUUCUCUUUCUCUUCAAAUGGAAAAGUUAGGUCAUGACAGCUAUAUUGUUGCGAUUUACCAAUCGGUGGAUGGAAUAUAGCAAAAUUUUAAAUUUCAUAUUUAGUCCUAUCAUGGCUAGCAAUUGAAAUGGCCAAACACAACCUUUCCAAUAAAUUCAUGCAGGCGUGAUCCUUAACACGUUAGCUACAACACAGUGUGGGUCAAUACGCACAACGCCUAGUAUCCAUCGUUUACAGCUACAACUACUAGGGUUCCCCCCUACAUGUAGAGAUUGGUAACACCCAAUAUAUAUAUGGUAUCAGAGCUCCUCUGUGGAUCACUCCUUUAUGGUAUUAGAGCUAGUGGGAAAAUAUAGUCAUAGAUCCAAUUCUGUUUGGUGGAAACAUACUCUUAGGUGAGUGUUGCGUGCAGACCUAUAAAGAUGAGCUUACUUAAAAGAUCUAUGUCUUCAUCUAGUUCUUUAUCACAAAUGUCCGCAGAUCAAGGUCCUAAACAAAGAGAAGAAGUAAGAAUAGAAGACUUUAACAAAUCAAUAGAGAAUUGGGAAAUCCCUAAAAGGGUUUUUUUUUUGUUUUUUUUUUUUUUUUUUUUUUUUAUGACCGAUGGAUCGCCGAAGAUCAACCUACGGGGAUCACAUGACCCUCCGGUGCUCAGUAGCACUGGUGGGGCCUCACCACAAGCCACUAUUUAGACGUAAACCCUCAGAGGGCUAGUCUAGUAAACCACUCCUAGGACCCCACUUAAGUAGUGAGCAUUCGGAGAUUUGAACUCAUUCCCUCGGCGAUGAGGUAGUGAAGCCCAAUCAUCACGGCUACCUACGGGUGGGUUGGAAAAUCCUUAAAGUUCAACUUAAAGAAAUAUAUAAACAAUCAAAAUUGAAAUUUUCAAAAAAUUAGAUUAUGUUAUAACCACAGAAGAAAGAGAUGUUCUUCCUUCAAAUUCUUAUGAGAUAAUUCGUCUUUAAAUUAGGAUUCAAUCAAAAAAACAUAAACAAAAACAUAACUACAUCCAUAUAGGUCAUCGAAAAACUUUCAAUGUUCUUAAUUAGCCAACACAAACUCUAAUACCGAUUGUUACGAAAUCACACGUCAAUUCCAGAAAAAUGCCACAAACAAAUAACCAUGAGACAGAAUAUAAUAAUAAAAUAUAAAUUAGAAGGCACACCAGAAAAUUUAUUAUCGAAGUUCACUCAAACUUGAGCUACGUCUCUAUGCAGAGAUACUUUGCAAAUCCACUAGAUUUGGAAGAAAAUUGGAAUACAAUGAUGAUAUCAAGAUUAGGGCACAAAAAAACAAAGAACCUUCACAAAGAAAAAAAACACUCAUUUUUUUCUUCUCUCCUUUUAUUUUCUCUCUAUUUUAUUUAUUUUUUAUCGCUAAUAUUAAGGUGUAGCUUUAACGUAAAUAAAAUCUAAUAGAAAAGAUUUUUAAAAAAAAAAAGCCCCUAAAAAAUUUGACUUCAUCUAUAACAUUAACCGACCCCCACCCACCCACCCCCCAAAAAAAAAAAAACCCUUUCUUUCUUAAGUUAUUAAUUGUAUGUUCACAUGAAUUAUUCUAAUUAGAUACUCCUGGUCUAACAUUCCAAAUUUUCUCUCCAAUUUGAGUUGAUCCAAACGGCCUUCUAUUCCAAUCAUGUCUUCAUCGACCCUUAGCAUUUGAUUGGUUUUCCUAUAACCACUCCAUUAUUACGUGUUCACGCAGCCACCUUCUAUGACUUCCAACCAUUUCACAUAUCUAAGGGAAUGACCCACUCAAAUAUGUUAUCUAGAAGAUAUCCUAAUUUUUAACCACCCAACUCCCCCUCCCCCAAAAAAAUAAUAAUAAUAAUAACCUUUCUUUCUAAAGUUAUUAAUUGUAUGCUCACAUGAAAAAUUCUAAUUACAUACUCCUGGUCUAACAUUCCAAUUUUUCUAAUAAAUUCUAGUUGAUAGCAGAAUCUUGUUUCAUUUCAUUGCACGACAAAGAAAAGUUCAGAGGGAGUGUUUCACGACAGCUUUAGGGCGCCUCUGUUCAUACCAUGUUUAGAGAUCAUCAGCAAAUGAAAAAUCAAAAUGAUAAGGAGGGUGAGUAGAUCGGCAUCAACUCUGUGUUUCAAUUGAACGAUUCCCGACUUGUUGAAACGAAAUCAAGACUCGCCGGUUAAUUUUAGUUGAAAUUAUCAUGUGCAAUUUGAGGUUAGAAACAUACCACUGAGGAACACUUCUAACUCGCACUGGUUGAUGAUCCUUUCGCUUAUUUUUAUAAGUUAAAUUAAACAAGCCAACUACGUUCUAUAAUCAGAUACAUAGGGCAGUCCGGCAAGAAAUUGAGCUUGUCUUGUGCGUAUAUUUCGCAUUUCCCAAAUAUCAUUUCCACCCUUCGCUCUCCCUCGACAUACAUUUUUUUUUUCAUAGCAUCUACUAAUUCAACAGUAACACACUCCUCAAAUGAUGACACGUCAAUUUCAUCUUUGAUACAAAUGUCAAUAAUCUCUUUCAUCGUAGAAAGCAAUUGUAACUGUCUAAUUCAACAAACAAGCCCUAAUGUAGUAUUUGCAGUUCAGUGACACUUGUAAAAAAUUUUAAGAGUCGGUUUUCUUUUAAUUUAUCUGAAAGAUGGUAAAUUUUUAAUUGUGCUGCUUUGUUGUUAAAAGUUUACCCGAUAAUCAGAAAAUGACAAGAUUGAGUAUUAUGGUAUCAGAAAUUUAUCAACAAUUAGAAUUCUACCAUGGAAUUUCUAAGAUUUUUCCUUAAUUGGACCCUUCACCCUUCCAGAAAGCUGUGAAAUUGUUUUUAUGAUAACUUCCAUUCCAUCGGCCACUAAUAUAGCCACAUCCUCAGUUUAUUUUUCUUAUCGACCAAUAGCAAUAUAAAAGCCAGAGCAGCCGAUUUUAGACAUUUAAUUUUUUUACUCACAAAGGUUAAAUUUCAAGUAAAGCACAGAGUCAAUUUCUGUUACUCAUUAAACUAAUGAUGCNNNNNNNNNNNNNNNNNNNNNNNNNNNNNNNNNNNNNNNNNNNNNNNNNNNNNNNNNNNNNNNNNNNNNNNNNNNNNNNNNNNNNNNNNNNNNNNNNNNNGGCAGGCACGAGCACUCCCCUCUUCUUCCUUCUAUGCAUCUGCGAAGCCGUUUGCGUUCUGGUCCAAAGUCUGGUUCGAAGAAUCGAGAACGACUCUUGAAUUAUGUGAGAGCAAAGUGCAAUGUCGGCGAGUCGUGACUUGGGAAAUCUAGAUGACGUCAUAUAUAUAUAUAGCCCCGUGUACUUGGGACAAUAAAAGAGCUAAAUGAUGCCAUUCUACAGACUUUUAAUGAAACAUUUUUCAGGCGAACCACCUCAGAAGUUUAUAUUAAAUUAAUGUCGCAUUAAAUUUUAGGCAAAAAAAAUUGCUGACAUCACUCAUGUGAACAUUUUUAAAAGUUAUGGCAUGUAAGUAAUCGAUUGAAAAGUUAUGGUAUUAAAUUGAGUACCAUAUGAAAGUGAUAUCAUUGUUAGUGUCCUCUUCCGGCUUUUGUCUAUUUUCUUACAUGUAGUAUCCAAUGACAUAAAUUAAAUGUGGCAGACAUUAGUUGGUAUGGAGUACUAGUUAAUUUGACCGCAUAAUUUUAAUUCAUGUCAUUUCUUCUCUGAAACUUCCAUUGAUGUUAUUUUUCAGGAAUCACGCUUUCAUUGGCCUUACAGGCCUCCGAAUACGACUUUUCUGUUUCAACGCUCGAAAUGCUUCAAUUUCUCUAGUUUCCAAGCGCUCGAUGACAAGCAAAGUGCUACUCGUAGUUUGUCCUUAAUAGGCCUCCAAAAACGAUUUAAUGUUUCGACCAUUUCUUCACCGACCCAUAGCAAUUUUUUUUUCUCUUUGGUUUUCCUAUAACUGCUCCGUUAUUUCCGCAUAACAUGUUGCCGUGGCGGCCUCCUACGACUUUCAACCCUUUCAUAUUUUCACAUCAAGGCACGAUGACUCUAAAAUGCUAUUAAAAAAAAAAAUCCUAAUUACUAAACUGCAUCCACCCACCUCGUAUAUUUUAACGUAUUAGUUUUAUGUUCAUAUGGAAUUUCCUAAUUACCCUACCCCUGGUCAAACAUUGUUAUUAUUCUCUCCGAUUCGAGUUGAUAGCACAAUGCGUUUCAUUUCUUCACUCGGAAAAGAAAAGUUAAAGAGUGGGCGUUUUGACGACAACUAUGGCGCGCCUCUAUGCGUACCAUAUAUGGAGAUCAUUAGAAAUUGAAAAUUUGAAGUGAUUAGGAGAGUUGAGUAUAUCGGUGUCAAACUGUGAAUCCAUAGUCCAUUGGAACAGUUCCCAACUGUUGCCACUAAAAUACUAUCCUUUUGAAUAUACAAUGUCCAACUUCUACGGUCUGUCAGUUGAACAUAACUAAUGAAUCGCUAACUUGCAAUGCGGAAAUAUUUGGACAUAUUUUGCACAAACAAGAUUAACAUAAUUCGAAGAUUGCUAAUCUCAUGUUGGGAUUAAGUCGAUUUUUCGGUUUUAUGACAUAGAGCAACAGGUGGCACCUCGCCAUGUGCAUGAAAGUACAUUUGAGAGUGAUGUACUUUUUGAUAUUUUUUGUUAGAUCCAUAUUUUUCAUAAUUAUAGGGAAUUAGCUACAAAAAAUAAAAUUUGAAAUCCUUCGGUGUCUGUUCCAUUGUCCUCUUCUACGUUUUUCUUCUUUUCUACAUGCUUGGUUUUUUUCUAGAACUUUACAAUAUCAGGAACGUAAGGCUCGAACAACAAAUCAGAUAACUAAUGUUAAGUUAUCAAAAGCAGUAACUAAGAAAUCCUUAAAUUCUAUACGAAUUUAGAGAAGACACUUGUUGAUUGUUAAUGUCCCCUUAGUAAUUCAAUAAAGCAAGAGCAAUUGAAUCAAAUCACUCCUACGAAACAAACAAAAAAUAUGAGAUUGCUUUGCAGUCUAACGUAAUUUCAAUCCGAAUGAAAGUUAGCACUAGAGUGUUACUUCACAAUUUACCCCAUCAAAAUAAGUUUUCAUCAUGACAGCCCUGACAAACUAAUCAAGUUGGUCAUUGAGGUGGUUGUGGAAAAGUUGAAGAUAAACAUGAGUUUGUUGACUAAACAUUUAAUUGGGAUUAGUUAUCGAGUAGUAGCAACAAGAGAAUCAUUAGACAUCGACUCUGGUGGUGUGCAUCUCAUUCAAAUUCAUGGCAUGGGGGUAUCAAUAAAACAACUCUUGCCCAAGGUCACCUUCAAUCAACUUUCUACCUAAUUUGGGAAGUGUUGCUGCCUCCUUGAGAAUGUUCAAGAAAACUCAACAACUACUGAAAUAGAUGAAUUGCAAAAAACGUCAUUUUUAAACUCGAGUCAAUUAAUAUCACUAUUUAUGUAAUUGGGUACAAACAUGUUAAUUCGUGCAAAAAAUUGCUAAUUCUUUGUCACCAGUGAACAAAACAAGUUAAGGGGUAUGGAUUAUACGUUUAAACAUGGGUAACACAUAUCUUCAGGGUAAUUUAAAAGACAGGCUAGUUUUAUUUUUUGUUGGUUUACUUAUUUCUUUUAGUUUGAGUCCUUGUUUAGAAUCACUCAACGAUGACAAGGUUGAGAUGAUUGGGAGUCCAUUAAGAUCAACCAUGAGAUCAUCGUGAAGACUAGAGUGCCGGAAAGUUCCGCACCGACGAGUUCAAGACAAAGCUACAACCGGGCAAUGGCGAAGUAGAGUCCUUACACUUGCUUAUCCCUCUUUCUAGCUAUAUCUGUACUUGUGAAAAAGCGAUCCGGCCUUUCAUACUUGCGAUGUUGGAUGCGAACAUGAGCACAUGUAAUUUGCAACUUGAUGAUGCUCAUAAGUGAAGAAGCAGAGAGAAACAUUAGCUCAAAUCGUCCAAAUAUAAAUUGUUUUUUAAUCUUAUUUUUACUUCUCAAAGAUUAGAGGAAAAGUAGGUGUCAUGAUUCAAACACAAAGGAAAAUCAAACUGGACCAGAACAUAAAAGUUUCCUUAAAAUAUAUAUAUCAAACUACAGAGAUUCAAAUUAAUCGAGUAGUGUCAAGGAAACGCCAUUGCCCGUGCCGGACAAUGACCGUAAUAUGGGGCAUUUUGUCGACCAACUCUAUUUUUUUGGUCGGCCAUAUAAUAAUUUGCUCGUUCCCAUCGACUACCGCCACUUUGCUUUCCGGUCUUCCAAGGAGCAAUAUAAUAAUUUCGACUUUUAGAAAAGAAAGAGAGCCAUUCUUCUCCUUUUCACACACGGUGUUGGAUCUUUGAUAUUAUUGUAUUACGCUCAAAAGCAUCUUCUUCAGCAUUACCAGGGGAAGAGAGAAAUAUCAAUUAAAGCGACUAUGGCUAGCUGAGACGCAGGAAGUUACCGGGAAAAUGAGUUGCAGGUCUUCGUGAGCUUUAGAAGUCCCGUUACUCACCACCAAUAGCAUCUGACUUUAUGGUCUUCGUCGUGAUAUGUUACGACCAUCUGCUUUAACUAAUUUCUCCGAGGCCCAUGGCAUUUGAUUGAUUUUCCUAUUACUACUCCGUUAAUGAAUGACAAAGAGAUAGGUCCAGGCACAGCGUUACUGAUAGCAACUCCUGCAGUUAUAACUUUAGUAACCCCAUUAAGUUCUCAUUUUCAUCUCAGCAUGAGGAGCUAUAUUCAUACAUUUUUUUCUGGAUAACAAGAGACAAUCCAACUUUCACUUGGACUUAAUAAUCCAUUCGGAUGUGGGCAAAAACUUAGUUCGCACAUGUCGAGGUAAUCUCCACCACACGAUGAAGAACGUGGCCGUACAGAUCGGUUUUAGCGUGAGAAGAAUACCAAAAUAUUAACACAUGCUCAGUGGCAUCCAAAGCAAAAUAAAAAGCAAACAGUUAGACCACGUAACUAAUCAUUACUCGAGAAUACAAAUUUGUUUUUAUGUUGUUCUUACAUAUUUGUUGAAAAAGAAUUGACGAACAUUUGUCGUCGUAAAGUAGUAGAAUUGAGACAAUUCAUGGUUCCAUCAAUUGUGCAAAGAUCAACGAGAAGAACCAUUAUAAGUUCCUCAAGGAGCCACAGAUCACUUAUUUAUAAUACACUCAUUUCAUCUUAAUUAAUAGAAUGUAACGCGUGCCACGCGUGUUAAGAUACUAUAUGUGUGUCACGCGUGUUAAGNNNNNNNNNNNNNNNNNNNNNNNNNNNNNNNNNNNNNNNNNNNNNNNNNNNNNNNNNNNNNNNNNNNNNNNNNNNNNNNNNNNNNNNNNNNNNNNNNNNNNNNNNNNNNNNNNNNNNNNNNNNNNNNNNNNNNNNNNNNNNNNNNNNNNNNNNNNNNNNNNNNNNNNNNNNNNNNNNNNNNNNNNNNNNNNNNNNNNNNNNNNNNNNNNNNNNNNNNNNNNNNNNNNNNNNNNNNNNNNNNNNNNNNNNNNNNNNNNNNNNNNNNNNNNNNNNNNNNNNNNNNNNNNNNNNNNNNNNNNNNNNNNNNNNNNNNNNNNNNNNNNNNNNNNNNNNNNNNNNNNNNNNNNNNNNNNNNNNNNNNNNNNNNNNNNNNNNNNNNNNNNNNNNNNNNNNNNNNNNNNNNNNNNNNNNNNNNNNNNNNNNNNNNNNNNNNNNNNNNNNNNNNNNNNNNNNNNNNNNNNNNNNNNNNNNNNNNNNNNNNNNNNNNNNNNNNCAAAGGCUCCAUCUUUGCAACACCGCGAGAGAAGCGAAGCCCUUAAUUUGUGAAUCAAUUCCAAAGAAGACGAAGAAGGAGCUGUGUAAAUGGCGAGGGAAAUUCAAAUGCAUGUGCCCACACAGGGUGCCGAUUUUUCCCAAAUUGCUUCUGCAACUUGAGAAAGUCCACAUCAACAACAAUAGAUCCGAUAAGAUGACCAAAGCAUUACCCGUGAUGAAGCUUGACUCUUGUAGAAGAAAAGCGGGCAUGCUAGAUCUUCCUACAUAAGGCGGAUGGUGUGCUUUUGUUGACUGGGUUCACCUCAUUACCAUUUAUGUAAAUAAAUAAAGGAAAAGUCAAAAAGUCAAAAAAGAAAAAAAAUGGGGUUGUUGCUUCGUACAAGACCUGAGGAGAGAGAAGAAGAGAGUGCCCCACCGAGGGAGUUAGUCAAGAGCGUGGAGAAGAAGAGAAGAAACCCGGGCAGGCCUUUGAGGGCCUCAUUCCAAGGCCGGCGAGCCUCACCGUGGCUAGGCGAGGCCGCCGGCCAAAGAAGAAAAAAGAAAAAAAAAUAAGAAAAUAGAAAAUUAAAAUAAAAAUAUUAAAAAAUUAAAAGAAAUAAAAAAUUAUACAAAUUUACCAAACGUGUUUCUAUUCUUUUUAUAUUUCUGGAACAAAUUUACCAAACGCAUUUUUUUGUUCAAAAAUUGUUCUCUGGAACAGAAACACUUUUUUCUAUUUCUGUUCCCAGAAACAAUUUUUAAACAGAAACGUUACCAAACGCACCAUCAGUUUUCAAUCUUUAUUUUAUCAUAAAUAACUUUUUCAGAUUCAGAAUUGCUAAAAUCCAAGAACAAAAGAGAGACCGAGAGAAUCCAGUCAAAUUUGGAGACGGACAAAGACCACGUAAAUAAAAUUUCAAGUCAUCCUAAAGAGAAAAAGUUACGGAGGCCUUUUUAUGAGCCGACCAUCGCUUGUGCAGGUCCACUGCCUGUAAAAUAGUGUUUCGGGCUAUAUAUAUGUACUAAUACUUACCUUCAAAUUACUUUGGAGCAAUUACUUUCCACCUAAUUGACAUUUUGUUGGUGGACGACACACUCAGAAUCAUAGUGAUUUGGCUUUAACCUAAUAAUGCUAAAUAAUAAUAAUAAUAAUAAUCACGUCACUUGUGAAUGGUCUAUUGGAGGCGAAGUUGACAGGGAUUGCAUUAGUGGAAAAUUAUAAAGGCAAGUAUGGAUGCAAUGCAAGUAUGGUUUACAUGAGUAACAUUGAUCUUCACAAGCAGUAAGUUCGUUUUAUCAAUUGAAUUUUCGGCAAGGAACUUGGUGUUACUUUAAUACGGGAAGCCCUUGUUAAGGAUAAGGCCAUUAGGCCUCUUAGAAAUAGGGCAAAUGGAAAAUGGAUGAGGAUUACAUGUGCUGAUAUUAACAUGAGUUCUAUACAUCGUGCCUAAGUCCUUAUACACUACGAAAGAAAACAAAAAAUAAAAAUAAAAAUUGCCAAAGGCGAGAACGUGGAUUUUCCAAUUCUGAAAAUCGCCUUUGAUUUUCGAAGACAACAAAAGCCAUCUCUCCCAAAUUCUAGAGCCUGUAAUUUGGUUUCUUAUUUAUUAUGGAUUAAGUAAGAUUAGAACCGCCACAUAUUCUAACACAAAAUAGGAGAAAAUGCCUAUAUAUGUAUCUAAGUAAUUUUUUUUUCUUUAACGAAGGACGUUAUGUAAAGAAAUAAAUCUAGAUACUCAAGAAUGAAAAUACAAUAAGAAAAUGAAUCUCUCCUGCGUCUAUCUCUCGGAUUUUUUAAAUUUGGAUUUUUCCUCUGCCUUUACUUACCAAUCCACGAGAAUCCCCAUUCAAUCUUUGGUGAGUCCCCUCUUUUAUUCAGCAAGAAAGAGGAGCCCCUCCAUCCUCUCUCUCCAAAUCUAGGCCAAAUCUCUCUCUUUUCUUUCUUUGCUUUGCCAAAAUCAACUCCUUCCUCUCUUGAUCUCGCCAGUCCUCCAUUCCUUUGUGUUGACCAUAUCCCCCAUCCCCUUUCCUUGUGUCUUUCACUUAAAGUCGCAUAUCUUUUCCAAGUUAGAUGCCCGAUGCGGCAUGCUACUUUUAAAUAAGAACGUCCCUAAUUUUUAAAUGUAGAUGAACCCGGUAAAGAAAGAGAUUGCAAGACCAUGCGGCAUUGAUAUUUUCAUUUAGGGUUAAAUUGUGAUGUCAUUGACAGAUUCAAUCCCUCAUGGUCAUGAAAUGCAAAGAGAUCUUCUUUUUGAUGAAAAUUUAGGUGUCAAUUACGGUGAAAAAAAGGAUUCCUAAGAUUUGUUUUGCUAUUUUCCUAUAGUGGAAAUUUCAAUAAUAAGUUCAACAUAUUACAGUGGCACAAGUGAACAAAGCUAAACCUUCGGAAGCUACGCAAGGACCUCCGAAAUCAGAUCAAGGACCUUGGUUCAAGAAGCAAGUUAGCACGAGAACGCGGGGCGAGGGUGGUUCAAGAAAUGGAGGCCGGACAACAGGAAUAAGUAUUGUACGAAGGAGAGGAAGAAGAUGUAAGAUGAUGGUAUUGAAGGUAUAAAGCAAAGAAAGUGUUGUACCGAUGUCAACUAUUUUUUCCCGUCGAUGAAGCAUAUUUAUGUGAAAUGACAUGGUUGAACUGAGACCGUUCAUGGUCCAUCAAGUGUGCGAAGAUCAACGAACAAUUGUAAACUCCUUAAAGAUGGGGGGGGGGGGGGGGGGGGAAAAAAAAAGAGAGAGUAGGGGUGAGCAUUUGGUCCAAGGUCAACCCUGAACAAACCCUGGACCGGCCCAACCCUGCCAAUCUUAGUCCAAUUCCCAUGGAGAUUGGGUCAGUCCUUGGUUUUAGAAUUCUUGGACCAGUACUGUGCGCGUCAGUCCAAUUUGGACCAAUCUUGACUAUAUAUAUAAUAUCAGUUAUAAUUUUUUUAUAUAGAGAAAACCUUAUAAUAAACUACGUCAAUAACAUUAAACAACUCUUUAGUGAGAAGUUCAAGUAAUUUUACAUUAUUCUUUAAUAAUUUAAGUUUUUAAUGUCUUUUAUGGCGUCAAUAGUCAUAAUUUACGAAUGAGGAAAAUGUUUUUGUGAUGAAUCCUCACGGCAUCCAAAAAUGCACCUUAUGACAUCCUCCUCUAGUAUUCAUUCUCUUAUAUCUUAUUUAUCAUCUUAGUCUUCAAUUUGCUAAAAUCGAAAAAAAAUAACUUCUCUGCUCGACACUCGACACUCGCCUCGCUUGAUUUGGAUCACUCGUGCCGCUUGUUGCUCAAGUCGCUUGUUGCUCGAUACUCGCUUGGCUUAUUACUCCCCGCUUGACAUUCGAUGCUCAUUCUGUUCGACGCUCACCUCACUUGACCCUCACCGCUUGCUUUUCUUAGCUGACCUUGCUCAUCAUCGAACCCAUUGGGUUGGUACAAUCAUCGGUUGCCCUUUCAAGGAGUACAAAAAAUGAAAUAAAAAAUUAUUAGUUAGUCUUGGGUUGACCUUGAAACCGGACCAAACUCAUUGGUCAGUCCUGUCCUUAAUCGUUUUUUUAAAGAGUAUAAAAAAUGAAAUAAAAAAUUAUCAGUUGGUCCAAGUUGACCUUGGAAACGGAUUGAACCCAUUGGGUCGGUCCGAUCCUCGGUCCCAAGCUCAUAGGGUCAGUCCUCAGUCCCAAAAAUUGAGGACUACUAUGCGGGUUAGUCCUAGGGUUAGGGUGUGGACCGGCUCAACUCGGAUCGUGCUUACCCCUAAGAGAGAGUAAUAUAAAAAAUUAUCUAUGCAGAAGAGAAAUAAACACAAAGAAGUAAUAGUACAUGGAAAAAUUAAGGAGCGACAAGAGAGAAAGAGAGAGAGAGAGUAAUACAAAAAUUAUAAAAAUUAUCUAUGCAGAAGAGAAAUGAAAACAAAGAAGUAAUAAUACAUGGAACAAUUAAGAAAGUCUGAUUCCUUGGCUUCAGUGCAUCGCAUGGCAUAAUCAUCACCGUCCUUUCUACCCGUUGCACAAUGAAGAGGGUAGAGAGAGAGAGAGAGAAUUCAAAUGGGGCCUGCUACAUGGACAUGUGAUACGCGACAUGAUACAACACGCUAACACAUUAUUUCUAUAAAAAAAAAUAGAGAAUUCCAACACGUUCCGACAUGUUAUAUAGUAAAUAUAUAUUUUUAUAUAUAAAUGCAAAAAUAAAUAAUAAAAAGAGCAUAAAAUUAAUUUAUACUAAAAAUAUUAAUUCAACAUUUGUUAAUAUCAUUCAUUAUUUUAAUUUAACAAAUAUUGAAUAAGAAAUUCAAAAAUUGCAAGCAAAAAAGAGUAAAUUUGAAGGAAUAUGUCAUGUUUUCUUACACUUGUCGGAAAUUAAUUAGAUUUCUUAUAGUCCCAGAUAGAGUUUGGAGUUCAUGAUAUAGACUGGCUUGGAGUUCCUCUAAAAAACAAGGUUCGAGAAAAAUGAAAAUCUAGGACAAGAACUCUCGAAGUACGACCAAAAGAAAAGGAAAUAACUAAAUUCACCAUGGAAAAUGUAAGAGAUAACUCACAAGUUAAUGACAUAGACCAAAGGAGAUAACUCAUAGGCAACGCCUGCAAGAGGUGGAAAGAAGCCAAAAAAAAAAAAAAAAUCACAACUUUAAGUCUGCAGGAGCGGCGGAGCGACACUAGCGAGAAGAGGAGCGUUCCAUCAUUACUCACGGGAAUGUCAAAACUUAUAAGUGAGAAACUUGAGAGUGAGAAUUUUAUUAUUUCCCCUUUAUUUUUGUUAUUUUCAUUAUUUUCUCAUAUAUUUAUAUUUUGACUCCUCAAGUAUUGAAAAUUUUUUAUAAUUAACCCCGUGCGUGUCGGAAUCGCGUGCCGGAAUUUCGGACUCGUGUGUUGGAGCGUGUUAGAAAGAGUCGACCACGUGUCGGAUUUGCCGACACUCAUUGACCGCAUGUUGGAACGUGUCGGAGCGUGUUGGACACAUGACGGAGUGUCGAACAUGACACGAAAGCCUUUGAAAAGUGUCGAUGCUUCUUAGCCUGCAACUGCAUGCUCGUUUGAACAAGCCAGCAAUGUCAUAUAUAAAAUAUAUUGUAAAUAUCUAGCCAUGGCUUAUGCACAUGGGGCCCAGCAACCGUAUGCAAGUUUGCUAACUACGUUUUGUCACCUCUUUGGUGCCUUUUUUCUUUUGUUUUUUUUUUGUUUUUUUUUCAAAUUUCUCAUCGACCAAUAGCAUUUGUUUUUAUGGUCUUCUUUCUUCUUUUAAAAAUUACGACUUCCUACUUCAACCAUUUCUCAUCCACCCAUAGCAUUUGAUUAGUUUUCCUAUAUCUACUCCAUUAUCUCUUCACACCGUGCCUCUUUCUUUGUUAAGAACAUUGGCACAUAGAGAGAUCUGUUUAAGCUGAGCAAACUUACUACUAUGGCGAGCUCAGAUGAAGGAAGGUUGUUGGGAAGCGAGUAUUAGGUGUUCCUAAGCUUUAGAGGACUGGACACCGGUACUAAAUUUACCGACUACCUCUAUCAUAGCUUGAUCGAUGCUGGAAUUUGUGUCUUCCGAGACAACGAAGAGCUCCGCGUUGGUGAAAGGAUCGGUGGAUCGCUUUGGCGAGCAAUCGAUAACACCAAGAUCUAUAUACUCAUACUCUUUCGGAACUACGCUUCAAGGCCAAUGGGUGCCUUCGUGAGCUUGUGCAAAUCGUGGCAAACACCUCCAGCUCGGGAGGCAAUAAAGAGAUCCUACCUAUUUUCCUCGAUGUGGAACCUAAUGAUGUUAAGCUGAAAACUCUGUUGUAUGAAGAUGCCAUACUCAAUUUGAAGCAUGAGAAGAAGUUGAGCGAUGAGGAAGUAAAUGAGUGGAGAAAGGCUCUAAUGCAUGAUGAUGCGAUCAAGGGGUGGGAGGCGAAGAAGUAUAUGGGGUAAGCAUAUUGCUUUCAAGAUGCUUGUUUCCCCAAUUUUCGUUAUCGCUCGAAUCAUAGAGGUAUAAAUUUCAGUACUAUUGAGGUGGGACUUUCAUUAUAGUAAUACUAGACGAGGAACCUAUGCUACAAUUGUCAAAAAAAAAAAAAAAUGUGAAAUUGAUUAACAAGGUCAUCUCAUCAAAUGGGCGAAUAAUCAUACUAAUAGCUACAUAGCUAUAUUAAUAUUUGAUUAUGGGCAGUGGCAGAAAAAAAAAAGAAUGGGCUACUGAAAUGUCAUGCUCAUUACUAUCUAAUCAUUUAAUCUUGCAAUACAGAAAACAUUUCUCCUCUUGAAUACACGGUGUUCAAUUUCUAUAGUCGUUGCUUGAACAUCAAUGACAAAAUGUCAAUUUCAAAUUCAUAAAUAUAUCUAUUUUGCAUGAAGUUAUUAAAAUAGUCCCAAGAUUGUUAAAAUCUCGUGUUUAAAUCAAAUCAAAUUUAGGGUUUUGACAUGGUGCACGCGUUGCCAAGUGCAUAAGCUGUGUGUUUUGAAGUAAUGUUAAUGUCCAAUAUGGACUCUUAGAAGAUCAUUUCGAGAUCUUUAAGGUCCCAUUAUCUGUCCGAAUGUUGUGUUUUUUUAUUCGGUGCUUACAUAAGAUUACUUCUAGCUAGGUAAACGCGAUUUCGCAUUUUCUCCCAGUAAAAAUGAUUUUCUAUUGUGGCAGCUAUGGCAAGCUCACCAAAUUGGUAGUUGAGGAGGUCGUGAAAAAGCUGAAGACAAAACAUAAAUCAGUGACUGAACAUUUAGUUGGAGUUGAAGAUAAAGUAGCAGCAGUAAGUAAAUUGUUAGACAUCGACUCUAGCGGUGUGCGACUGAUUAAAAUUCAUGGUAUGGGCGGUAUCGGUAAAACGACAAUCGCCAAGAUUGUCUUCAACCAACUCUCGUCUCAUUUUGGAAAGUGUUGUUGUUUCCUUGAAGAUGUCCGAGAGAAGUCAUCAAGAACUAAUGGCUUAGUUGAGUUGCAAAAAAAGUUACUUUCUGAAAUCGGCCAUCAUGCAGGAAUAAUGGCCAUUGAUGAAAUUGCUUAUGGAAUGGAGAGGGCUAGAGACAUACUUUGCAAUAAGAAAGUCCUCAUUGUACUUGAUGAUGUUGAUAAUAGAGAACAAGUAGAGAAAUUAGUUGGAGAGGGAAAUUUGUAUCUAGGAUCUAGAAUAUUGAUUACAACUAGAAAUAAAGAUAUCAACACAUCAAAGUAUCAAAUUUUAGAUUAUGAAAUGGAGGUGAUGAAUACCGAUAGAGCGCUUGAGCUUUUCAGUAGGCAUGCAUUUGGCAGUGUCUCUCCUCCAAAUGAUUAUAACGAUCUUUCAAGGGAAAUUGUAUUAGCUACCGGGAGACUUCCUUUGACUCUUGAAGUAACUAGCUCAUUCCUUUGCCGCAAAAAGAUGAUAGAACAAUGGAAAGAGACAUUGGACCGGUUGAGAACAGGACAUUUCGAGAAUGUCUAUGAAAAGUUAAAGAUCAGUUAUGAUGCCUUAAGUUUCGAGCAAAAACAAAUUUUCCUUGACAUCGCAUGCUUUUUCAUCGGUCAGGAUAAGACAGAUGCAAUUUACAUGUGGGAAGAUUGUGACUUUUUCCCACACUCUGGAGUUGAGGAACUCAUUAGCUUGUCUUUGGUAAAGAUUUCGGAGAACAAUGUGUUUUGGAUGCAUGAUCAACUCAGAGAUCUUGGUAGCACUAUUGUUCGCAUGGAAAAUCCAAUGAAUCCUGGAGAGCGUAGUCGAAUAUGGACUAAUAAGGAGGCUCUUGAUGCAAUACGGACAAAAGAGGUAAAGCAAUUCUAGAGUAAUUGAUAGUUUCUAGCAAUAAUACCUCUGCACUGACUUAGGAUGCUCUAUCUUCUUCUUGUUUUUUUCUUUUUCCUUUAUAUACUUUUCCUUUAUGAAAUAGAAUGUGAAUAACACUCAUUUCCCGUUCUUGUAUGUAGAUAAAAAAGAAUGUUCAAGCACUAUAUCUUGAUAUACAUGCACCAGAUUUCCAUAAUGUUGUUCUUCAAAGUGAAGAGAUUGGCAGGUUUGAACAUCUAAGGUUCCUCGGGUUAAGUGGAGGAAUCUUUGUUGGCAACUUUGAGAAUCAUCUUACUAAAUUGAGAUGGUUGUCUUGAAAUUUUUCUCCGGAAAGAAAUGAAUGGACUAAUUUGUACCUAAGGAACAUGGUCGUUCUUAAACUUUCAUGCAAUCUUUACUUAGAUGACUCAAGAUUACAGGACUUAAUCCAGGUAUGUAUUCUAGUCUAUUUAUUUGAAAGUAAUAUAUGAUUGUUCAUACAUUGAAUGUUGCAUUAAUUUUGACAGAUGGCAAGAAAAUUGAAAGUUCUUUCUCUUCUAGAUUGUGCUAAAAUAAACGGAACACUAGACUUCUCUAGAUGCCCUGAUUUAGAGAGGCUUGAUUUCAGCAAUUGUUCCAAUUUACGGAAAAUUGAUGGCUCUAUUGGAAAGUUGAAGUGUCUGAUUGACCUAAGGAUUGUGCUUUGCCAAAGUAUUAAAUAUUUGCCCAAAGAAAUUGGUGACCUAGUGAAUUUGAAGCACUUCGUUGUAAAGCAUUGUGGAGUGUGUGAUUUACCGGAUUCCAUAUGGAAGUUGAGAUCAUUAUGUAAGGUGCAUUUUACAAAGGAAUUAGGUGUACCAUCUGCACCAUGGAAAUUACCUAGAGAUAUUGGAAUACUUAAGAAUUCGGAAGUGCUGAAAGUGGAUGAUCCUUAUUUAAAAGGUCAAAUUCCUUCUGGAAUCGGAAGAUUGUCCACUCUAAGAAUCCUAAAUCUAUGGGGUACUAAUGUUAGUGAAGUUCCAAAGACCAUUAGCAUGCUUCCUUGCCUGCAAAGAUUGGAGCUGUCAAGUUGUCAUAAGAUUCAAGAGUUGCCUAUGCUCCCAAUAAGUCUAACCCAUUUGAAAGUGUCAUCUAGAUCAUUGUGGGUAGUCCCUGAUCUCUCGAACUUGACUAAUUUGAUUGAGUUGACACUAUAUGGAGUAAGAGGAGAAGGCGAACUUUGUAUAGGUGAGUUGUGGUGGAUUGGGAAGUUAUCCAAAUUGAAAAUACUAAACUUAAGACUUAACAAUGUCCAUGCUCCUGCAGAGCUAGCUUCCCUACCUCAACUUAACGUACUUUAUAUGUCUAGAUUGGACUUGCAAACCUGUCCGCAACUUCCCUUGUCUCUGGAAAAGCUGUACCUUGAUACUUUCAAUUCAACUCUGUCAAGCUUGAGAAAUUUGUCUUUUUUCUGCCUUUGUGAGUCACCAAUGCAAGAAAUUCAAAUUGAUGGGUUUCAACUUCCAUAUCUAAGAAAGUUGCAAGUGGUGCGGUGUGAAGCCCUUGAGAGCAUCGGGCUAUCAAGCAUGAGAAAGCUAAAAGAUGUCGAGGUGAAUGAUUGCGGAAAGCUAGUUGAGAUCCAAUUUUUUUGGGUGUCCGAAUCACUUGAGGAUUUGUCUAUUAAUGAUUGUAGGUCCUUCAAAAGGCUAGUUUGCAGGGGGGAAGCGGGGCAUGAUAACAAUGAGACCGCUAAUGAGGUGAUUAGUUUCGAAGGGAGACUAAUCCUUUCAACGAGAGCCUUAAAGAAGUUGCGAAGUUUCCACCUGUUAGGUAACAAUGAGAUAUUCGAGAUUCACGUUGUUGGUAGCUCGGCAUCGUGGGAAGUCUUCAGUGUCAGUUGUCCUUCGCUGCGAAGUCUUCGUGGUUUACCAAACUUAAAGAACCUUCGGUCUUUAUCAUUCUUCGAUUGCAGUGGCCUACCGGUUGUCGAGGGCCUCGACCAGCUAGAGUGUUUGAAGAGUUUAACGGUUUUGUAUUGCGAAUUUUGGAAAGGUUGAUUGACCUGUCAACCACCAAAUUGCCAGAUGAUUGCUUCAUACACAUCACCCAUUGCAAAAAAUUAUGUGGGUUUGAGAAAGGAUUUUUGGGCCCCCUCCAGUCUUUUUUUUUUUUUUUUGGUCGAAGCCCCCCUCCAGUCUUACAAGCGUGAUAAGGUGAGUCUAGACCAUUCUCUCUCUUCUCUUUGGUCUUGACGCGGCCAUGCCCAAACAUGAAUUCAACCUUUCAAGCAGAUUUAUAAUAAUUAUGCGAAAUCAAAAACCAAAAUAAAUUAAAUCUGGUCUCAUUUAUUUUAAACCCAUUCAACACAGGUUUGUUUUGUUCUGCGCUCGUGUUUCUUCUUCUUCUUCUUUUUCUUUUUCUUUUUUCCUGUUUUCCAUUUUCCGUUUUCUCUCCUCUUUUGUAUAUUAGAAAUUUCUAUAUUUGCACAAAUCUAUGGGACAAGGUCAGUUUUUAUCACAAAUGAUUGAAAAAAUUUCAAUGUCCAGAAAAAAAAAAUAGAAUAGCUCAGAGUUUCUUAUUAAAUGCUCUUUUCAUUAUAUAUAGAGUGGACUAUUUAGUUUAGCGCAGGUUUUACAUAAUAUACUCCACUUUAUUGUCCAUUUCUUACUUUAUACUAUUCAUUAUGGAAAUGAGUUUGGCCAUUUGCAAUUUCUACAGGAAGGAUAGAACAUUAAAAGAGUCGGAUACUUCGUGCACAACUCAAAACAAUUUAGCUAACAGAGACGUUACAAGAACAUAGUUUAUGUGGUCCACCUAUCCACUAAUCAAGUGACUUAUGUCCCCGACUGAAAUGAGUGUUUCUUGAAUUUGCAUGUGGUUAGGGUUGGCCAAGUAGGAGGUGUGUUCCAAAAGCACCUCAAAUACUUAUAUAAGAUUUUACAGUUUGAUUAAAAGCCACUUCAAACAGGAGCAGGAACGGAAACAGGAACAGGAAAGCCGCUUCGAACAGGAAUUCGAACCGAGGAGAGACCUGGGCGGAGCGUGGUUCCAAUGCCUGAGCUUCAGCAGUUUGCUACAUUGCGUCCUCCCCUGUUUUUUCCCCUCUGAUUAAAAGCCACUUCAAACAGGAAUUUAAACAGAGGAAAAGACAGGGGAGAGCGUCUUUCCAAAGCCAGAGCUUCAGCAGAUUGUGAUGUUGAUUGCGGGUAAAGAUGGGAAGCUCUGGCCGAUUAUUUGACAGCGGAACUGGAGAGGCCCGUCUCAAAGAAGUCAGAGGACGCUCGCCAUCAAGUCAGAACGAAGUCGGCCAAAAGCAGAGCCAGAGUGUACCGGAACACUCGAAAAUGCAAUGGAGGGCGUACUUGCCCAUUCGAGUGAUCAAUGCCAAUGGCGUCUAGCAAAGCAAACCCAGAAGACGUCACCUUUGGCCGGGAAUAAAGGCCCUCUUGUACUGUAUUUGUGGCCUGUCUUUUCGCCUAGAAUGCAUUCGUUUCUUUUAAUUCGUCUUUCCUUUUAAGGUCGGGCUUUGGAACCAAUAUGCACGUAAAAUAAUGUGGUCUUUCUUCGAUUUUCAGACAAUAGCUUCAUAGAUGAUUCAAAACUACGGAGCUUAAUCAAGGCGUGUCAUGCUUUUCUCUAUUCUAUCUAACUAAUUUGUGACACUCAUCCGAUGAAUAGUGGCGUUCAUUUUUUACAAAUGGCAGUAAAAGGGAAAGUUCUUUUUCUUUUACGUUGUUCUCACUUAAUCGGAACCUACGACUCCUUUGGAUGCUCAAAUUUAGAGAGGCUUAUUUUCCAACAUUGUCCCAAUUUGAGAAAAAUAGACAGCUCUAUUUGGAAUCAAAGUAUCUGACCAACUUGAAUAGCAAUGGUUGCCGUCAUCUUGAAGAUCCGCCCAAAGAAAUCAGAGACCUUGUGAAUCUUCAGUGCUUGACUUUAGGGUGGUGUUGUUGAGUAAAGAAACUACAAGAUUCCAUAUGGAAAUUGAAAUCGUUACGUAAGAUGUAGUUUUCAGUUGAGUAUUUUGAAUCAAAUUCAUCUUCAAACGAUGCAUGGCAGUUGCCCAGUGCAAUGGAAAUACUCAAAGUCAUGACUCAAAAUUUGAAAGGUCAACUUCUCCAGAGUCGAAAGUUUGCCCUUUUUUGAGAAUCCUAUGCUUGUCGUGCCCUUGCAUCAGUGAAGUUCCAGCGACAGACAGUAUGCUUCCUUACCUGCAAACACCUGAGUUAAAAGUAUGCAAUAAGAUUCAGGAUCUGCUGACACUUUUCGCAAGUUUAAACAAUCUACUAGUGUUGUCUAUAACAUUGCAAGUAGUCCUAGUUUUCUCGAAUUUGACUAGCUUGGUUCAGUUCGACCUAUCUAAUGGUUCUAGGUGGAGAGAAGGAAGCAAAAUUCGCCAGUUAGUAGGGUGGACUGGGAGGUUAUCCAGACUGAAUGAGCUGAGCUUGAAUCUUCUCAAUGUCCCUGCUCCAACUGAGUAGGCUUCCUUGGUUAAAGAAUCUUCAUUUGUCAAGGUUGGACCUGCGAAAACUUGUGCAACUUCCUCCACCUCUGUUAAAUUUAAGCCUUGACCACUUCAAUUCAACUGUGUCACUCUCAUCCAAAUUAGAAAAUUUGUGAAGUUUAGAGCUCCCACGGUCUCAAGUGCAAGAAGAAUACUCAACAGCCUUUAACUUCAAAAUUUAACAGAGUUGGUUCUGAAAAGCUGUCAAUCCCUUGAGAUAUUCAUACUAUCAAAAAUGAGGAAGCUCAAAACUGGUCCAAGUAGAAUACUGCUGAGAGCUAGUUGAGAUCCAAUUUGCCGGGCUGUAUGACUCAUUAGAAGCAUUUUCUAGCAUAUGGUGUGAGUCCUUGGGAAGGUUAGCUUAUACGGGUGGAGUCUGCAAAUGAGUCGAUUAUUUGUGGAGGGACACUAAUUUUUCUGUCCCGAGUACUAAAUAAGCUUAAAAAGUUUCUGCUUAGGGGUUGCCCGAAGAUACUCAAAUUCAAGUACUGGGUACAUUGGAAAAAGGGGAAGGGUCUGACGUCUCGGAUUAUUGUUUGGCGAAAAGUGUUCGUGGUUUAUCAAACUUAAAGGAGCUAUUGCAAUGGGCUGCAGGUUGUCGAGGACCUUGACUAGCUAGAGUUUUUGAAUCAGUUAACCAUUCAUCGCUGCAGAUAAGUAAAAAAGUAGAUCGAUGUAGCACGAACAGAAUUUCCUAAGGAUAGCAACAUAGAUAUCUUCGACUGCUGGAAAUUAGCUGAGGCUACAAUUCGAUGUCUCCAUCCAGUCUUGCGAGCAUUAUAAGGUGAGUUGAACCUUCUCCUUUCUUUGUUUUUUCUUCUCACCUUUUUUUCUUGAUGGAUAGCAACGAUCGCCUAAUUCUGUCCCAGUUUGCUUACUCCCGUCUCUAUAUCACUUAUACAUAGCAAACAUUUGAUGUGCUAAAAUAUGAUCUGGCGUUGCCUUUCUACAUAGUUUAUAUGAGGCUUAUGUACACAUAUAGUCUAUCUCCAUCUAAUAACUUAAUUAUAAUAUAGAUAACUGGAAAGAGAGAUUUGGUAUCUUACGAAAUCUAAAUGAAAUGAUUCAGAAGGCCAUAGACAAUAGUGAACUCAACUUUUGAACACGGACAGAUCAGUUGUUCGGAACCCCGGUCUAGUGUGAGGUGGGGGGCAUCUUGUGUGAUCUCCUCAGCUGUUAAGUUUCGGGCUUUUACGGGUUUUGGGGAACCAUGGCGACCCCGAUUGUGGAAUUGUGCGCUCUUAGAGAGGGUCUGAGACUUGCUCUGCAAUGUCAUAUAUUAACAAUGAACUUGAUGCAAGAAAUCCUUCAUGACAGGUUUCUUAAUAAAACAACAUGUAAAAUUAGAAUCCGGAACCGCUCUUUUUGGAAUGAAGGACUAACUUCAGGAGCUUUACCCAAUACCAGACGGAGUGCAGAUUUCGAGAGGCAAAUCGCUGUGCUGAUUUCAUGGCAAAGAAGGGCUGCUUGCAAUAGGAUAAUCUUAAGAUCUUAGGGGAACCUCCAUUAGACAUUUUGAAGCUACUGGAGUUUGACUGUAGGUGCUGUUGUGUCCACGGAGCCGUUACAAUUUGCGUAGUACCUUAGUUUCUGCAUUUUACGAUCACUGGUUCCUCAACCGCUGGUGGAGAAUGAAGAAAAGAAGAAGAGAAUGAUAAAGAUCAUCUUGUUUUGCCUGAAACAGAGAUGGGAAUGACAGAGCAGAAAACAAAAUUGAUGCCGAAAUUUGCAUUAAGGAACAAGAGAGGCCUUAUUUCAAAUUUUAUCUACCCUUUUCUUCCAUCAAAUUUAGGCACAGAAUGUCUACUUGGUAACAUACCCCAACUCCCUGAUUAGUCAGAAUCAUGAAAUGUCACAUCAAGACAUUCUACAAAAUCCAAGACAUCACAGCUCGACCGACAUCCUUAAGAAACUCGCCUGCAGCUGCAUACUCUUCCAACGCCUUCUUGAUGACACCAUCCUUCAGGAGCUGUGGAAAAAACAGCCAAGAUGCGGUCACCAUCACGAAUGUGACCGUCAUCAGACCCGUCAAAACCCUCGGCAACCGCCACUUCGUGCCACACUUCCUCUUCACCACCACCUCGAUCACCAAACAUGCUCCGUGGAGCACGAAAAACCACAUGACCUCCCAAGUAGGCUUCACGCGCCCCAUGUAGAAAAACAUCAGCUCGUGCAUGAGCCCAGAUACCAGGAAGGAGGCCAUCACUGCUGGCAGCGCCGCCCACUUGCGUCCGAUUGCCACCGACGCGGCAUAGUGGACUGGUUCAUAUAUGGUCAAUCGCAGGAUGUUGGUCACCAUGAGGUUCCACCGCUUCCCCCAGAAGUCUUGAAGUGAAGACGAGAGGUACGGCUCACGGAACUGUGGCUCCAGCUCCAUCCCAAAGGCUGCUCGAGCUGUGGCUUGUAUGGAUGAUAAGAUCAGAUCAAGGGCAAGGUAUAGGUGGCAGCAGUAGAUUAACAAGAUCAGGUUUGGAUGGAAAUGGUCGCCGUAGUCGUAUACACGUAAUAGCAUCACAAAAAGCAAAGCUUUUGUGGGAUAGUUCAGCAGCAAGAUGGUUUUGGGUCUAAUGUUUUCAGGAUUUUGAGGAAGUGGGUUUUCUUUAUGAUGGCCAUUUUGAGGUGAGCGUGUGUGAUCUUUGGUGUUCUGUGUCCUCUGUGGUGAUUUCUUAAGGGGCGUCCGUUGGAUCUUGAUGGGUAAGCAAGCAAUUGCCAAGAAGCGUGGAAGAGAGAUUGGAGGAUCUGAAGAUAAAGGCCCUUUGCCAAAGGCAAAGAGGAGGAGCUUGGAGUUGCCAAGCCAUGAAAUGAUGAAGCUAGUUUGGCCUAUAAGAUUCACAGCUGAUAGAUUGAGAGGAAGAUAAAGAAAGAGAGCCACGACGGGAAGAAUCGGUAAGAGCCUUCUAGUGCCUUUUGGGAUGAUCCUGCCCACUAUGUAGCAAUAGCACAGAGACAUCAAAGCUGUGAUGCAUACCUUGAAGAAGUUGUAAAUCUCUCCUUCCAUGCACUCUCUCUCUCUCUCUCUCUCUCCCCCCUCCCUGUUCCUUAAUUUUCAGCUGCACUGUCUUUGGAUCUCUUCGCUGGACAGCUGAACAUGAUAGAGUUUUGCGCGAGUUUGAGAGUCAGAUAUUGACAAGAAGAGGUCAGUCGUAUCUUCAAUAAGCAAAGACCUAGUAAGCGGCUUGCCUGCUUCUUUUAUUUAUUGUUUCUCAUCUUAGCAAUGCUUAAAUGGACCUCUCUCUUUUUUUGUGCAGGAAUUAAAAAAUGGUCGGUACUUUAUUCAUUUUAUUGCCGCGUGAGAUGAACCGGCAAUUUUUUAUGUUGAAUCAACGACCUCAAAGCAUGUUAUGUGCGGCUGCUUUUGUAAUAGGGAAAAUGUCACAAAUGGUUUCUAUACUAUUACCUAAUGUGCAAUUUGGUCCCUGAACUUUCAAUCGGCUCAAUUUNNNNNNNNNNNNNNNNNNNNNNNNNNNNNNNNNNNNNNNNNNNNNNNNNNNNNNNNNNNNNNNNNNNNNNNNNNNNNNNNNNNNNNNNNNNNNNNNNNNNCCUUGUUCUCACUUAAUCGGACCUGCGGCUCCUUUGGAUGCUCAAAUUUAGAGGCUUAUUUUCUAACAUUGUCCCAAUUUGAGAAAAAUAGACAGCUCUAUUGGGAAUCAAAGUAUCAGACCAACUUGAUGUCGGAGGUUUGUUUGUCAAAACAAACUAAGUGUUUUUUCCUUGUCCCACAUAAGAAAAGUGGGAGGGAGUGGGCCAAUUUAAAAAUGUGAGAUUUCCUUUUUCUAGUUAAAGGAAUGAUUGGGUGAGGUUAGACCCAACCAUAUUCACAUGCGGGUGCGCAAAUAAUUGCAUGAUUAUUUGGCCCACUUAGCACGCCUGCAUGCUGCGGUUUAAUUAGCACUAAUCCAUUUGUUAUUUUUUUAUAUUUUUAAUUUUUAAUCAAUUCAAAGGUUGCUUUUUUAAUUUGAGAAUUUUCAUAAAUGAAAUAUAAAAUGAAAAUUCGAAAUUCUAUUUAAAAAAAGAACUAUUAUUCCUAAUUUUUAUUUGUGUUUUUUUUAUAUAAUUUUUGGAAAAUUACUUUUUCAGUUUGCAACUUUUCCCGAAGGGUUGCAAUUGUUCGGUUUUCGACUUCUUCUGAAGAGUCGCAUUUGUUUGUCCAAACAAUUUUUCUAAAUGACGUGUUUGUUCAUUUUUUGGCAAUUUUCAUGAAGAGUUGCAAGACUAUUUUAUAUAUAUACUCGUUAUUUUUUGGAAAAACAAGAGUGAUAAUUUUUCAUCUUUUUCGAGCUUUCUAUUUGAAAAAAACUACAGCUAUUCUUUCAAUUGUUUCCUAGAGAGACCCUGAAGAAAUACUAGAAUUGCUAUCUAGUAUUCUCAUUCGAGACUUUGUUGUAUCCUAGAGGAUUUUUGUCCGUGACCAUUAGCAACGUUAUGGAACAAAUAAAUCCUUAAAGAAAGUGAUAUCACGCCUCAAAGUCCAACUUGAAUACUCUGAAUAUCCAUCUUCAUUCUUUUACCCAAUUCGAAACCAUAUUUUCACAACACUUGAAUAUCAAUGGUUGCCAUCAUCUUGAAGAUUCGCCUAAAGAAAUCAAAGACCUUGUGAAUCUUCGGUGCUUGACUUUAGGGUGGUGUUGUUGAGUAAAGAAACUACAAGAUUCCAUAUGGAAAUUGAAAUUGUUACAUACGAUGUAGUUUUCGGCCGAGUAAUUUGAAUCAAAUUCAUCUUCAAACGAUGCAUGGCAGUUGCCUAUUGCAAUGGAAAUGCUCGAAGUCAUGACUCAAAAUUUGAAAGGUCAACUUCUCCAGAAUCGAAAGUUUUGCCCUUUUUUGAGAAUCUUAUACUUGUCGUGCCCUUGCAUCAGUGAAGUUCUAGCGAUAGAUAGUAUGCUUCCUUACCUGCAAACACCUGAGUUAAAAGUAUGCAACAAGAUUCAGGAUCUGCUGACACUUUUCGCAAGUUUAAACAAUCUACUAGUGUUGUCUAUAACAUUGCAAGUAGUCCUAGUUCUCUCGAAUUUGACUAGCUUGGUUCAGUUCGACCUAUCUAAUGGUUCUAGUUGGAGAGAAGGAAGCAAAAUUCGCCAGUUAGUAGGGUGGACUGGGAGGUUAUCCAGACUGAAUGAGCUGAGCUUGAAUCUUCUCAAUGUCCCUGCUCCUACUAAGUAGGCUUCCUUGGUUAAAGAAUCUUCAUUUGUCAAGGUUGGACCUGCGAAAACUUGUGCAACUUCCUCCACCUCUGUUAAAUUUAAGCCUUGACCACUUCAAUUCAACUGUGUCACUCUCAUCCAAAUUAGAAGAUUUGUGAAGUCUAGAGCUCCCACGGUCUCAAGUGCAAGAAGAAUACUCAACAGCCUUCAACUUCAAAAUUUAACAGAGUUGGUUCUGAAAAGCUGUCAAUCCUUUGAGAUAUUCAUACUAUCAAAAAUGAGGAAGCUCAAAACCAGUCCGAGUAGAAUAUUGCUCAGAGCUAGUUGAGAUCCAACUUGCCGGGCUGUAUGACUCAUUGGAAGCAUUUUCUAGCAUGUGGUGUGAGUCCUUGGGAAAGGUUAGCUUAUACGGGUGGAGUCUGCAAAUGAGUCGAUUAUUUGUGGAGGGACUCUAAUUUUUCUGUCGCGAGUACUAAAUAAGCUUAAAAAGUUUCUGCUUAGGGGUUGCCCGAAGAUACUCAAAUUCAAGAACUGGGUACAUUGGAAAAGGGGGAGGGUCGGACGUCUCGGAUUAUUGUUAGGCGGAAAGUGUUUGUGAUUGCGAUGGGCUGCAGGUUGUCGAGGACCUUGACAAGCUACAGUUUUUGAAUCAGUUAACCAUUCAUCGCUGCGGAUAAGUAAAAACGUAGAUCGAUGUAUCACGAACAGAAUUUCCUAAGGAUAGCAACAUAGAUAUCUUCGACUGCUAGAAAUUUGCUGAGGCUACAAUUCGAUGUCUCCAUCCAGUCUUGCGAACAUUAUAAGGUGAGUUGAACCUUCUCCUUUCUUUCUUUGUUUUUUCUACUCACCUUUUUUCUUGAUGGAUAGCAACGAUCGCCUAAUUCUGUCCCAGGUUGCUUACUCCCGUCUCUAUAUCACUUAUACAUAGCAAACAUUUGAUGUGCUAAAAUAUGAUCUGGUGUUGCCUUUCUACAUAGUUUAUAUGAGGCUUAUGUACACGUAUAGUCUAUCUCCAUCUAAUAACUUAUUCUAAUAUAGAUAACUGGAAAGAGAGAUUUGGUGUCUUAUGGAAUCUAAAUGAAAUGAUUCAGAAGGCCAUAGACAAUAGUGAACUCAACUUUUGAACACGGACAGAUCAGUUGUUCGGAACCCCGGUCUAGUGUGAGGUGGGGGGCAUCUUGGGUGAUCUCCUCAGCUGUUGGGCUUCGGGCUUUUACGGGUUUUGGGGAACCAUGGCGACCCCGAUUGUGGAAUUGUGCGCUCUUAGAGAGGGUCUGAGACUUGCUCUGCAAUGUCAUAUAUUCACAAUGAACUUGAUGCAAGAAAUCCUUCAUGACAGGUUUCUUAAUAAAACAACAUGUAAAAUUAGAAUCCGGAACCGCUCUUUUUGGAAUGAAGGACUAACUUCAGGAGCUUUACCCAAUACCAGACGGAGCGCAGAUUUUGAGGCAAAUCGCUGUGCUGAUUUCAUGGCAAAGAAGGGCUGCUUGCAAUAGGAUAAUCGUAAGAUCUUAGGGGAACCUCCAUUAGACAUUUUGAAGCUACUGGAGUUUGACUGUAGGUGCUGCUGUGUCCACGGAGCCGUUACAAUUUGCGUAGUACCUUAGUUUCUGCAUUUUACGACCACUGGGUCCUCAACCGCUGGUGGAGAAUGAAGAAAAGAAGAAGAGAAUGAUAAAGAUCAUCUUGUUUUGCCUGAAACAGAGAUGGUAAUGACAGAGCAGAAAAGAAAAUUGUUGCGGAAAUUUGCAUUAAGGAACGAGAAAGGCCUUAUUUCAAAUUUUAUCUGCCCUUUCUUCCAUCAAAUUUAGGCACAGAAUGUCUACUGGGUAACAUACCCAACGCCCUUAUUAAUCAGAAUCAUGAAAUGUCACAUCAAGACAUUCUACAAAAUCCAAGACAUCACAGCUCGACCGACAUCCUUAAGAAACUCGCCUGCAGCUGCAUACUCUUCCAACGCCUUCUUGAUGACACCAUCCCUCAGGAGCUGUGGAAAAAACAGCCAAGAUGCGGUCACCAUCACGAAUGUGACCGUCAUCAGACCCGUCAAAACCCUCGGCAACCGCCACUUCGUGCCACACUUCCUCUUCACCACCACCUCGAUCACCAAACAUGCCCCGUGGAGCACGAAAAACCACAUGACCUCCCAAGUAGGCUUCACGCGUCCCAUGUGGAAAAACAUCAGCUCGUGCAUGAGCCCAGAUACCAGGAAGGAGGCCAUCACUGCUGGCAGCGCCGCCCACUUGCGCCCGAUUGCCGCCGACGCGGCAUAGUGGACUGGUUCAUAUAUGGUCACUCGCAGGAUGUUGGUGACCAUGAGGUUCCACCGCUUGCCCCAGAAGUCUUGAAGUGAAGACGAGAGGUACGGCUCACGGAACUGCGGCUCCAGCUCCAUCCCAAAGGCUGCUCGAGCUGUGGCUUGUAUGGAUGAUAAGAUCAGAUCAAGGGCAAGGUAUAGGUGGCAGC